AGAGUGCAGAUCCGGCCGUAACUAUUGUGAAGCUUUCCUCAAGUAUUCUCAUGCACACAGCCCUUAUCUGGUCAAGUUCUCUGAUUCAAUAUAAUCAAUUUCCGAGUAGUACUGACGACAGCUUCUCUGUAAAGCUCUUCAACCACAAGCAUUUCUACAAGGCAAAAGACUAGGACGUAUUGGAAUGAAUAUCAAUAAGGGAAUGUCUUAUGAAUUUAGUUUAUAUCCUAAUAUAAGACAAUCAGUAAAUAUUGGAUGCAAUCUAAGGGCUAACAUUUGAUUGAUCAUUAUACGAAAAAAAAAAAAGGUGCAAAAAUACAAAACAUAGCUGAUUGAUGGCCUCUCACAGUCAGUUAUAUGACAAAGUAGCCACCACAACAAACUUUUUUUUUUGAACUGAUUAAGCAUCAGGUUACUGUAUUACACAUAGAGAUAUAUAUAACUGCUAUGACAGCAAGUCAUUAUACUGAUAUUUACAAUCAGAUAUAUACAUGAGACUUAUAUUAUUACAUUUUUAUUAUAUGAAGUACAUGCCCAUCCAAAUCUCCCUCACGGAGGAGGGAUGUCUCUACUCCACUCACAUUUCGCAAGGGAGAAAGACGUUAUAAGAAGUUUUCACCACAACAAACUUGAACUUGGGUGGAGGUCUCAUUAGUAGUAUACCUCAGAAAUUAAGACAAAGACUUUAAAAUGCAAACUUAUGGAGCAAUUUAAGCACUGAAACUAAUAACAGUACGGUAUUAGCAAUUGACCUCUGCUUUUGCUUAGACAAAGGUUUUCAUCACAAUGGACUCAUUAGUUGCCCUUGCCUCACACGUUUGGAUGCUAAGGGGAAAAAGGAAGCUUGAAUUAGUCAAUCUCAUUUCUAAUGGCAUUCACAGAGAACUUAUAAAACAAAAAAAAAAAAAAAUUAUAAAAAAAAAUUCAUCCAUAAAAAGCUUAGUAACGGAAAAAUCGACUCUUUUAUCUGCCACUGACGAAAAAAAAACUGAAGUAUUAAAUAGAUAAAGAAUUUAAUUUUUUUCUUGGAAAAACUAAUAAUAAAUUAACAAUUAGAUAAUACUAUUAAUUAGAGAUCUUUAAUAUUAAGGUUGUCAAAGAUAGAAUGUGUAUAAAAAUUCUUAAUUAUAAGAUAAUUACUAACUAAAAAGAGGCCUAAAAAAGAAGAUUUGCUAUUAUAAGUAAUACCAAAAAUAAAAAGGGAGACUUCCUAAUUGUGUAAUUGGUUAAAAAAGAGGAUUUGCUAUUAUAGGCCUAAUUUGCCUAUGCUUAAAACCGUUCCUGGAUGUAAAAAAAUAAAAAUUAUUGUUAAAUUCCUGACUAAUAAGGUCAUUGAAAGUAUUCAAAGGACCUGAACUUAUAGGAAAGCCAGCCAUGAUGAACUAUACCACGUUGCAAGUGAGCUCGUAUCUUCACCCCUUGAUCUGCCAUCGGCAUUUCUCUUCCACUCACUAUACCAUCCUUUUCAAUCGAUUUUUAUAGAUCAUAAGAGACCAUGUGGCCCACCUUAUUUUUAUUUUGGAUCCAUAACCCAAAGCUGGCCCAAGUUCUGAUUCCAGAAUCAUUUGUCUACAAAGUGACCUCAUUCCGGCAAUUGGUUUAUGCUAAUAGCACGUGCAAUUUUCAUUUUCUUCUUUUUAUUAAUUAAUUUCAUCAUUAUUAUUUGCUUAUUAUUUUAAAAUUAAAGCUAGCAUUUUUCAAAUUAAUUAAUUAAAUUGUAUUAAUGAAAUUAAUCUUUCAUUUUCUUUUCUCUUUCAAUGCACAAAGCCAAACAACCAUUCUCGCUUCAAAUACCGAAGAGCUCCUGACUACGGCUGUCAAUGCUUCUAUAUUUACGUGCUGUGCUGCAUCACUCUUAGCGAAAGCUUGAAUGAAUGAUUAAAGACAAAAGCUUAUAUAAAAGCAGAUGCCGGAGGCAGUCAAAAAGCAUUUGAGAGAGAAGCUAAACAGCAAAUCAUCAAACGCACUUCAAUGACUUUAUUUUGAUUUUGAUUUUUGUUUCGAAAGAAGUAGAAAAGUCCAUGGGUCACGAUAACUGCUUGUCCUAUGCCGUGACCUCAUUGUCCACCGCUAGUGUCAAAUAGAUUAAUCUUUCUAGUAGAUUAAUAUAAUUUAUAAUUUUAAUUUCAGUAUUAAUUUUUAAAAUGUUAGUUGUUAUAUUUAUUUUAAUAAUAUAUCUAUUUUUAGUAUAAAAAAUUUAAAUGUAUAUUUAGAUUAAAUAGAAUUUAUAAUUAAUAUAAUAUAUCUCAUGUAUUAAUGAUAUUUAAAUUAUUUUAUAUAAUAUUAAGCCUAACUUAGAAUUAUAUAUAUUUAUUUUAAUAUUAUGUUUCUAUAUAUUAUAUAAUAUUAAGCCUAACUUAGAAUUAUAUAUUAUGUUUCUGAGCCUCUCUCUAUAACACUAUAUAGAACCCUAAGCCUAAGUGUCACGGGAUGAGUGUUUUGCGCAGCUAACCCGUGCGGCACUUAGACAACUUUGCCGAAUGUUGCUAAGUAAGCCUAGAGAUUCUCGAACAAGAGAAGAGAGCAAUUGAGCCAAAGAAACUUGUAUUGCACAAAGAGAGAUUACAAUGCUUGUUGGAUACAAAUGCCUAAUGCCAUCCCAUAUUUAUAGGGGAGGCUUUGUCAAACUUGGCCUAACUUUGCCAAACUUUGCCAAACUCUAGAGUAUUCUACAAUUUCCUAGCUAUUUACAUGUGCUGGAAUUGUAUAAAGAAUUCUAGAAUAUUUACAUGUUCACAUGUGCUAGAGUUUCCUAGAACCUUCCGGAAUUGGGCCAAGCUAGCACUCUUGGCUUUGUGUUGGCUCUCUAGCUCGAAAUUGGGGCAAUUGGGCUAGCGAAUUGGGCGGUCCGCAACAACCUCCCCCACCUAUGCUCGCGGCGUCCUCGUCGCGCUCUCAUGCUUGAACCUCUGGAUGUGCUCAGCGAAUUGCCACAAACCAUCUUCACGUUCCCAAGUGGCUUCACUCUCGGGGAGGUUUUUCCAUUUCACCAAGUACUCGCUAUGUGCUGGCACGCCCCUCCUCGAAACCGUGCGGUCCGCAAUGAUGUAGUCCACAUCUUUGUCGAAUGCGGUGACAACGGCAGUUGGUGCGCGCCUUGAUUCUCCGCGACCUGGUUCUCCCAUGUCUUCGUGAUAUGGCUUGAGAAGGCUCACAUGGAAGACCGGAUGGAUCUUGAGUCUUGGCGGAAGUUGGAGUUGAUACGAGACGUUGCCCACACGUCGAACAACUCGGAAGGGUCCCUCGUAGCGCCUCACUAACCCCUUGUGAACUUUCCGCAAUGUCUUGAAUUGUUGGGGUAGGAGCUUGAUCAUGACUUGAUCUCCUUCCUUGUACUCAACAUGCCGUCUCCUUGUAUCCGCCCAUUUCUUCAUUUUCCUCGCGGCUUUGUCGAGGUAGGCUCGCGUGAUGUCCGCUUCCUCAUGCCAUUCGCGGGCGAGCUUGUGUGCCGCGGGGCUUUUCCCUCCGUAAGUCGAGGCUAUGGCAUUGGGAGUCAUUGGCUGGAAUCCCAUGAUGAUCUCGAACGGACUCUUGCCCGUAGCCUCGCUUCGCUGCAAGUUAUAAGAAAAUUGGGCGAUGUCGAGUAGCUUCGCCCAAUCCCGCUGGUGAGCGCUCACAUAAUGCCUCAGAUACAUCUCGAGGAGGCCGUUAAUGCGCUCGGUCUGCCCAUCCGUUUGUGGGUGGAAGCUUGUCGAGAACUUGAGAUCGGUCCCCAACAUCUUAAAGAGUUCCGUCCAAAACCGCCCAGUGAACCAAGGGUCUCGGUCGCUCACAAUGCUCUUCGGAACUCCCCAAAGCUUCACAAUGUGCUUGACAAAUAGGCGGGCUGCCUCAUCCGCUUUGCAAUCCACUGGUGCGGCAAUGAAUGUGGCGUACUUGCUGUGUCGGUCGACAAUGACCAUGAUGCUUCCGCAACCUUCGGACUUGGGCAGCGAUGUGAUGAAGUCCAUGGAGACACUUUCCCAUGGCCUUGUUGCUAGUGGUAGCGGCUCCAACAAUCCCGCUGGAAGUUGAUGAUCCACCUUGUCUUGUUGGCACACAAGACAAGUUCGCACAUAUGCCUCGAUGUCGUCCCUCAUGUGCGGCCAAAAAUACGAGGCUUGAACUAGUGCGGUGGUGCGCUCGAUUCCUGGGUGACCAGCCCACUUGGAGUCGUGGCACUCCUUGAUAACUUCCUUCCGCAAAUUUCCCCACCUUGGCACAAACAGCCGAUCUCCCUUGGUGAGGAGGAUGCCUUCCUCUUGCCAAAAUCGCCUUGUCUUCCCUUCGAGCACCUUCUCCAGCAAAUCCUUUGUUAGCGGGUCUUGUUGGAGGCCUUCCUUGAUGCGUGAGACAAGGUCGGACUUCGGUUGGCUCAUGCUAAGUGUUGCCAAUUCCGCCUUGCGGCUUAGAGCGUCCGCAACGACAUUGGCUUUCCCCGGUUUGUACUCUAGCCGAUAGUCGAAUUCCGCAAGGAAAUCUUGCCACCGUGUUUGCUUCGGACUCAACUUCUUUUGAGUUUGAAAGUAGCUUGUCGCCACGUUGUCCGUUAUGAUCGUGAAGUGUGAGCCAAGCAAGUAAUGUCGCCACACUCUUAGACAAUGGAUGAUGGCUGUCAUCUCCUUUUCUUGCACCGUGUAGCGGCGUUCCGUAUCAUUUAGCUUUCGACUCUCGAACGCUAUUGGGUGGCCUUCUUGCAUAAGGACUCCACCUAUGGCGAAAUCCGAGGCAUCUGUUUGAACUUCGAAGGGCUUGGUGUGGUCCGGAAGAGCGAGGACUGGUUCCUCCGAAAUUGCCUUCUUCAACUCCUCGAAUGGACGUUGGCACUCUUCGGAUCAAUGCCACGUUCUGUUUUUCUUGAGCAUAUCCGUCAAGGGUGCCGCCUUGGCUGAAUAGCCCUUGAUGAAAUGGCGGUAGUAAUUCACCAACCCAAGGAACGAGCGAAGCUCGGGUACUUUCGAGGGAGGCUCCCAAUCGAGGAUGGCCUCUACUUUGUCAUUCUCCAUCAUGAUCUUCCCGCCCGCAAUCUUAUGGCCAAGGAACUCCACCUCUUGUUGGGCAAACGAGCACUUCUCUAGUUUGAGGAAGAGCUCAUUGUCUUGAAGUACUUGGAGGACUUUUUGCAAGUGUUGGGCAUGAUCCUCGAGUGUGGUGCUAUACACCACGAUGUCGUCCAAGUACACGACCACGAAGCGGUCGAGGAAUGGUUGGAGUACCUUGUUCAUGAGUGUGCAAAAUGUGGCGGGUGCAUUAGUAAGGCCAAAAGGCAUCACAAGGAAUUCGAAAGACCCGUACCUUGUUGUGCACGCUGUCUUUGGUUCGUCUCCCUUGGCGAUGCGCACUUGGUAGUACCCGGAGCGCAAGUCAAGUUUGGUGAAGUACCGCGCUUUGCCAAGCUGGUCGAACAAGUCCGCAAUCAAUGGAAUCGGAUACUUGUUCUUGAUGGUGAUCUUGUUGAGCGCUCUAUAGUCGAUGCACAUCCGCAGCGAUCCAUCCUUUUUCUUUUGGAAGAGGACCGGUGCACCGAAUGGGGCCUUUGAGGGGCGAACGUAGCCUGCGUCCAGCAAGUCUUUGAGCUGUCUCCGCAACUCCUCUAAUUCGGGUGGCGCCAUGCGGUAGGGCGCCAAGGCUGGUGGCUUCGCGCCUUGUUCUAGCUCAAUCGCAUGAUCUACCUCUCGCGGAGGUGGGAGCUUCUUCGGAAGUUCUGGAGGCAUCACGUCCUUGUACUCAUUGAGGACGGCUUGAAUUCGCGGAGGGACUUGGCUUGGCGACGUUCCGCUAUUUCCUUCCUCGUUUAGUUCCCGAAUGGAGACCAAGAAGCUUGGGUCCUUCUUGAAAGCCCUCUUGAAUUGCAUGGCGGAGAGUUUCUUCUCCUCGGACUUGCCUCGUUCGGUGGGUACCAUGCAUGCUUUGCUCCCAUCGAGGAUGCUUAGGGAGUUUGUAGCGGGCAGCGGGAAGGCAUGGACUUGGUCGAAGAAUUCCAUGCCAAGGACCAUCUUGAAGUCAUCCAUGGGCACAAUGGAGAAAUCAAGCUUUCCGCUCCAUGUACCGAGUGUGAUGUGCACGCCUUGUGCAAUUCCCGCAAUUGGUUUGGCGGGUGAGUUUACUGCCUUCAUUGUGCCUCCUUCCUUGGUGGCCUUGAGGCCUAAACGCUUGGCCUCGUCUACGGACACGAAAUUGUGUGUUGCUCCCGUGUCUAGCAGCGCGCGAACAGACUGGCCGUUUACCUUUGCGCUAACAUACAUGAGCCCUUUCUUGGCUAGUGCGGGCUGUUGGCGGUUGAGUGCCCCGAGGCGUUGGAGAGAACCCAUGCUGAGUUGGGGUUCCUCCGUGGACAUUGUGGGGUUGCUCUUGAGUUGGGCAGCAAGAACAUUAAGCGACCGCUUCUCCGGACAGUCGCGUACCCAAUUUGGACCGUUGCAUAUGAAGCAUGGGCUUCGCGGCUUUGGCGCCUCCUUCUUGCCCUCCGAUUUUCCUUGCCAACUCUUGUUGCUAGACGGCUUUUUCUGCCCCCAAUCUUUGCGGUUGUUACCCUUGUCCUUGCGACUCUCUCCCCCACCUUUGCCUUGGUUGGCCUUUUUGUCCUUGGAUUGGGUAGAGUAUUCGGUGAGCGACUCCGCAACGGCGAUGGCGUCGUCAAGUGUUUGAACACCACGCCUAUCAAGCUCGGUCUUGGCCCAAUCCUUGAGGCCAUCUUGGAAGUAGAAGAGUGAAUCUUUGUCGGACAUGUCACUUAUCUCCAACAUGAGGGUAGAGAACUCGUUAAUGUAGUCCCGAAUGCUACCCGAUUGCUUGAGGCGACGUAAGCGCGCUCGCGCUUCCUUCUCUGCAUUGCUUGGGGUGAACUGCUUUCGGAGUUCUUGCUUGAAGUCGGCCCAAGUGUCGAUGGUGCAAAUGCCCUUGCCCAUCUCGCCAUGCUUGCGACGCCACCAUAGUUGUGCAGCGCCUCUAAGAUAGGUGGGUGCAGUGCCCACUUUCGAUGCCUCAUCUCGUACACCCAUGGCAUCGAAGUAUUGAUCCAGCCCGAACAGGAAGUUGUCCACGAUUGUGGCAUUGCGUGUGCCAUCGUAGGUGUCGGGCUUUGGCACAUCAAUGCGGCGCGCAUCACUCGAGUUUGCGGAAGCUGGACUUGCGGAGAGUGUGCGCUUGUGCCAUGCCCAAUCCGAGCGGACUUCAUCCACUUCCGCACGGACAGCACGUAGUUCGUCCUGAACAAAACUACGAAGUUUUAGCAACUCAUCAUGGAAAGAAUGAAACUCACCUCGGAGAAUGUUCGCUUGCUCAUGCAUGAGAGCUUUUGUGGCCACCGUGAACUCGGCGUAUUCUCCCUCGAGAUUGUCCACUCUUCUCUCUAAUCCCUCAAGGCUAUCUUGAGUGGCGGACAAGGCUAUUUCGAGAGUGCCUACACGAGGCUCCAAAGCAUCCACGGAUGGGGCCUUGGACUUGCCGCGAUUCUUGCCUUGGGCGCGUUCUCCCUCUCGGCCGCGGCUUGGUUCUGGUGGAACAUCCACACCAACAAAACCCUCUUGUGCUACGUUUGAAGGGUUGGCCAUUGCUUUGUGAGCUAAUUUGCGUGCGUGCAAACCUUAGCUCUGAUACCACUUGUCACGGGAUGAGUGUUUUGCGCAGCUAACCCGUGCGGCACUUAGACAACUUUGCCGAAUGUUGCUAAGUAAGCCUAGAGAUUCUCGAACAAGAGAAGAGAGCAAUUGAGCCAAAGAAACUUGUAUUGCACAAAGAGAGAUUACAAUGCUUGUUGGAUACAAAUGCCUAAUGCCAUCCCAUAUUUAUAGGGGAGGCUUUGUCAAACUUGGCCUAACUUUGCCAAACUUUGCCAAACUCUAGAGUAUUCUACAAUUUCCUAGCUAUUUACAUGUGCUGGAAUUGUAUAAAGAAUUCUAGAAUAUUUACAUGUUCACAUGUGCUAGAGUUUCCUAGAACCUUCCGGAAUUGGGCCAAGCUAGCACUCUUGGCUUUGUGUUGGCUCUCUAGCCCGAAAUUGAGGCAAUUGGGCUAGCGAAUUGGGCAGUCCGCAACAUAAGUCUCACAUUCGCAACCGCCCCACAUAUCAGAACCACAGCGAACUGCCUCCGACCCUUCGGACCCAAAAAAAUGAUUGUAUUCCUGCUCUUUCACUUUAAUAAUUUUUUGUAUUAUUCCAUAUCUUUCACUUUAAUAACCCAAAAGCUUUCCUCUGUUUCAACCCAAAAGCUCAAAUUCCUUUUUUCAAUCGAAAAUUGUGUUUGCCUAAUUUUUUAACCAUUUUUAUAUGUCCGUUAAACUUGACAGCCAAUGUGGUCUAUUCGCUAAACAGAGUAAACGAUAACAAUCAAUGGAAAUUGAAACAAAACCCACCAAUCAACAAAACAGAAUAGCCGAGGAAUCCAAUUUCAGGAAACAGCAGUUUCAAAACUCACCAGAGACAAAUGAUAAAACGAAGCUACGCCGUUCCUCGAUCGGUGAUAACUGGCUACAAGGUUUCUUCGCAUUCGUUGGCCUAAUUUUUUAACCAUUUUUAUAUGUCCGUUAUGCUUGACAGCCAAUGUGGUCUAUUCGCUAAACAGAGUAAACGAUAACAAUCAAUGGAAAUUGAAACAAAACCCACCAAUCAACAAUGUGGUCUAUUCGCUAAAUGGUUAAAAAAUCUAACCUUUGUUCACAAUAAUUGUAUUUGCCUCACUGUUUUUGUUUUAUGAGAUCUAUAAUUGAUCUUGGGAUAUUACUUUCUAGUUCUCAUGCAAGCAAGUUACUACCUUCCCACUGCAUCUCCUCCUUUAUCUGCUAUUCAAGAGUUGCGUGCCAUAAUCUGGUGUUACCUCUGCAAGAUUGUGAAUGAAUAUAACGCCUCUAAAUUUAUUUUAUACAUAAUGCUGAUGCUGAAUAAUAUAUUGUAGCUCCUGUCAUAUUCUACUUUGACUUUUUAUAUUCUGUUUCAUAUAAAAAUCUUAUUCAACUUUAGUUGUUCAUGAGCAAAUGUCACAUGUAUAAGCCCAAAUGAUGUUUAAAGGUAGCGCGGCUACCUUUAGUUUGAGCUGACAAUGGAUGAAAAAGAUAUUGAAACUGAUAUUUUGCUGUUUUUCUGAUUUUUCAAAGUAUUUUAGAUCCUGACUUUUGUUAAGUUGUUUCCAACACCUCGUGCCAAAUGAAAGCACAAUCUUUCUGAUUCAGAUGUCUUGUUAAUUAUGCUUCAUUUUUUCAUUAAAGAUUGGAUGGUUACAUGGAUUGAUGGAGUUGGAGUUCAACCAAUAAUUCUAAUUUUUUGGACUUAAAAUGCCUUUUUCUUCUGUAUAAAAACUUUAGUAAGUGCUAUUGAGUUGACAGAAGUUGCAUACUUACAGGUUGUUUCACACUUUUUAGUAGUUUUACAUAUAUGAAUUUCUGUUUUUUGAAUUGCAGAAAGGAGGUGGAACUAUUGAUUUGGAGCCUUAUCUUACUCACUCAUCGACAACGGAGCCUACCCUCACUCCCAUGGCAGUGGAACGGACAACGACUACUAGGGCUGCAACAUCAGUUGGUUUGGGUCUGUUUUGGGUUUAUUGUCAUUUAUUUGGGUAUGUUUUGAUAGCGAAUUUUGAUAUGUCAAUAGAAUGUGUAAUUGUUUUGGGUUGAGCUGGUAAUUAUGCUGGAUUAGAUUGGUUUGGUUUUGGUGCUUCUCUGAUGGAACACUGCUUUUUUUAGAAAUUUUGAAUGUAAUAUGAGACUACAUUUAGUUUAAUUGAACACUGCAUCUAGUCUAAUUACUAGAAGUGUGGCAUUUGGUUUGGUUUAUCCGAUAUUCUCCAGAAUUUCACUUGCAUCUGGUUUUGUUGCAUAUGUUUGUUUGCUUGCAUUUGAUGGCAGUAGCAGACUGUUUGUUUUUGUGACAUUUGAUGGCAGUUUGGUCUGUUCUUGGUGUUGAUUUAAGAUUCUUCCUGUUGUGCUGAUGUUAAUUGCAGGUGCUUGAAUCAGCUAGGGUUGCUGGUUUAUUCAGAUGGUUGACUCAGGCGUUGCUACUGGUUAAUUCAGGUGGCUGACUCAAGUUGUUCAUUUAAUGUUAGGAAGCAAAUUAGGAAUUAAUGAAGUAUUCAUUUAACUAUAAUUAUUGUAGUUAUUUUAUUUCAUAACUGAAUUAUAAUCUAUGAUACUUGUGAACAAAUUAGAGAAUUUUUAUAUAUGAAUUAUAUAUAUGUGUGUGUAUGUACAUUUUGCUAUUUAUAUAAUAAUUUAAAGAAUAUAUUUCAAUUCCCACAAAAAAAAGGCUCCAAUUUCAAUAAUUCCCGCCAAAUAAUUAAAUUUUUUUAAUUUACCACCAAAAUAUAUCUUAAGUUAUUCUUGCUAGAUUUAACAAAAAUAAUUUGUAGGAUUAACAUUUAAUUAAAAUAAUUAAAUAAUUUUAUUAUUCCAAUUAAAUAUGUCAUGCUUAUACGACAGACAAUAAUCAUGAAUGGGAAGUAUUAGUAACAUAUUCUUCCUUGGGAUUUCAGGCAAAUGAAAAAAAGAUUGAGAAUGAUUUCAAGAGGACAGGUGGAUGAUAAAUAUUCAUUUUUGUAUAUUUGGCUAAUGUCCUCAUUAGUGGAUUUUUAUGGUAUUGAUCUUUUUCUUUUUUUAAAAAAAUUUUCAAUUAGUUGCAGCCCUAGAGGAAGAGCAGGCUGAUCAAAUUGAUUUGUCUUGUUUUUCGGGCAAUCUACGACACGAUGACCGUGAUAAUGCUCGUGACUGCUGGAAACUUUCUGAUGGAAAUAACUUUAGAGUUCGUAGCAAGCAUUUUUGUUAUGACAAAACAAAGGUUCCCCCAUAUUUUGUUUGUUUGUUAUGGUAUUUAUAUAUCCUGCAUAGGCUAGGUAGACAGGUUAUGAUGUAGUUUGGUUGGCUCUUCUUGUGCUUUGUGCAAUUUGUAACUGCAGAUACCUGUGGUAAAACAUUUAAUGGAUCUUGUUGCUGUUGAUUGGUUCAAAGACACAAAGAGAAUGGACCAUGUAGCUAGGCGUCAAGGCUGUGCUGCACAAGUAACUAUUCUUUUCUUUUUAUUUAAAAAAAUAAAACACAUUGCCAACAAGGAUCUCUUCAUUGAACAUGUGUCUAGUUCUGAUAAGCUAGCUGAUGUGCUUACCAAACCUCUGAGUUUUGAUCAUUUUGCCUAUAUGCAAACUAAGGUCAAUGUCUGCCCAUGACCUUGAGCUUACGGGGGCAUUUUAAGAAUAACAUAUGCUGAGUCAUCAAGCCAUGCUGGAAGUCAGUUUUGCAGUUAGUUAGAGAGCUUAUCAGCUUCCCUCCAAAAGUUUGUUAUGUGUAUUAGAAUCUGGGCUCACGAGUUUUGUGAGAUUGUAACCUUGAGAAGAUUCUCACACUACUAUAAAUUGUAUUGUGACUCAAUUAAUAAAAUAAGUUGAAGCUUUGCAUUUUCUCUCAGUCAAAAUUUUCUCUCUAUUUUUCUAAGUAACCAAACAAGAUCUACAGAGCAUUUUGUAUUUUAACUGGAGCGGCUGAUUGGUGCUGUACGUGUUACAUUUUUACUUUUUUAACUCAAGUCUGCUGUUGUCCCAAAGUUGGAACUAGAGAUAUCAUUUCACCUCAACUGUGUUUUUUUUUUAAUUAAAAAAAUCAUUUGUUUUAGGUAUACAUACAUGUAUUUUAAUUCUAUUUUCCUUGUAAUUUCUCCUUUACUUUGAAUGAAAGUCAUUGGUGUUUUCGAAUGGGAAUUUUGCAUUAAAAAAUUAAGAAUAGUUAAUAGGAAAUUUCCUGAUUCUUUAGUUACUAUUUUUGGUAUGAGUGUAAUUAGUAGUAAAGUUGGUUUCUACUCGCAAACAAGUGAACUGCUCGAUUCCCAAGUGCUAUUAACCAGUUUCCAACUUUUUAAUAUACACUAAUUGUUCCUGUUUAAUAGCUACUACUAUUAAAACUCAACAGCUAACAAAAAUACUAAAAAAAAAUGAUUUUUUCUUAUGAUGCUGUGAAAAAAAUUACGGGUUUACUUAUUUCCACGAGAUCUUGUAUAGUGUUCUUGUAUAGUGGAAUUAAGAUUGUCUUCCCGAUGGUGCAAUUCACCCUCUUCCUUUACAGUCACUUGCACUUUGUGCAGCUUUGGUGUGGAUAAGAUUCCCAGGGAAAAAGUCUUCAUGUUCGGACAAUGUGUCACAAAUACUCGUUCCAAUGAUGGGAAUUCAAGAGUGUAAUUCUCCAAACAAAAGCUGGUAAGCCUUGGUAAAUCAUCAAGUUCCAAAAGUUUUAAUUCUUUGAAAGCAAUACGAUUCUCCUUCGUUUCUUCUCCAGCAUGUCCUACGAUUUGUUCUAAUUUUUUGCAGUUCCAUACAUAAAGAUUCACCAGACUAGUAGGAAUUCCAACCUGAAAAUAAGCAGAGAGUGUGUGUGUGUGUUAAAAAAGUAAAAAUGUAAGAGUGUCAUUCAACUAAGCUCAAAGUAUGUUUGAUAAUACAAUUAUACGUUUUAUGAACAUAACAAACUGUGAAAUGUCUACUAGAUAUUUUUUGUUAAACAAAAAACGUAACAAGAUAAAUAAAUAAAUAAAUAAAAGCCAGAUAAACAAAGAUGAUAAAAAUGUAUUUACACUAUUUAGUAUUAGGGACGUAGAAAGAAUUUAAGGCAAUUUCUAAAUAUUUUAGACUUAUUUUGCAUCUUGAUAUAAGUUUUUAAGCAUAAAUUUGCACAUUUCAACUAUUCCUUUAAAAAGAACUCAACUAAAAUGCCUCUUUUUCCCUUUUCCUUGGUCCCCUUUUUUUUAUAUAUAUAUAAAAAUGGAAAAAAAAAUUUGGAAAAGACUUCUUAGUACUGUCAACAAGGGAUUGCUGUAAAGUGGAUCUUUAUUAAGUACUUCCAGACUCGAGGAAAUUUCUUUACAAUCUCAAAAAAAUAGUAAACAAUCAUGAAUUUGUGGUUAAUUAAUGGCAUAAUCAAUUCUUAACUAAACUGGAGAUAUUAAUUAAAUUUGAAGACUUUUUUUUUCCGAUCGAAAUGUGAAGAACUAUGGAACAGAGAAAUAUAUAGAUGAAUUUGUGAACUUAUAAGAUGAGUGACUAUCCUUUAAUUUUUGAAAAUCGUACUUAUUAAGAUAUGAGCAAAAACAAUUAAAUUGAAUUAUAUUAUGCUGUUGAAUCUGUUUAAAAAAAUUAUAUUGUUGAUUCUAAUGCUGGUGAACCUAAAAACUAGACUUAAAACGUAGAUUUCAGAGUGGUGGUUUGAAGUACAAUAUUUGAAAUAAAUAAUUAGUGGCUGAAUAUCAUUUGUAAACACAGAAAUGAUUAAAAAAUUGUUGAAUGUUAUUUGAAAAAAAAAAUCGAAAUGAAUACAGAAACCUUACCAAUGGAGGAAAAAUAUUCAUUAGGUUAUCACACUCUUCUAUCUCCAAAUUCUUCAAUUUCCUGAAAGACUCUGAAGCAAGCUGGUGGUGCCAUAUUGUUCUUAGGUUAUCCAUCCACGCAAUAUAUAAUACCUCCAACCUAGGAAGUCGUACCUGGCAGUUAAAGAUUAAAUAACUAAUUAAUCAAUUAAUGGCAUAAUCAAUUGAUAACUAAAUUAGAGGCGGAUAUUAACUAAAUUUGAAGACUCAAGGAAAAGACAAAUCAAGUAUUGUGACUAAAAUUAUUUUUUUAAUUAAAAAAAAAACCUUUUCAUCAAAGAGAGGAGGAGGUUGCAUUUCAGAAUGAAUGGUAUCUUCUGGUGAGCUCGUAGAGAUGAAUCUUAACAUAUUACUGCAACAACCAAUCAUGAGGUUUAGCAAAGAAGGGAAUUCAACAACUAAAUCUGUAUGAAUAUGUCCCAUAUUGGCAAAGCUACUUAGUCUUGGAAGCCAUUCUAGCUGCAGGGAGUGUAGCUUAGGAAAAACCUUUAAUUCAAUCAACUUUCCUUCAUCUCUUUCUGACCAUCCCGUGGUGUCGACUACCCCUUCCAUUGACUCACAAUAGCUUAUCUCAAGAUGUUGGAGUUGCAAAAGGCUAUUAACCAUAGAAUAUGAAAACAGAUACUUCAGACGAUAACACCUUUCCACAGUCACUUUUGUUAAAUUUUGACAACAGUACAUUCUUUGAUUAUGAUCGGCCCAUAAUUUUUUCAUGUUUCUUAAGUCCCUGAGAUUCAAUUCCUCUAAGCUCGGAAGAAUAACCUGCAAAGAAAACCCGUACAUUUUUGUUCCUUCAAGUACAACCGUCUAGUAUAAUAUUCUUUUGAUGAUCGAAGAUUAAUCGUGAUAAUAAAUUAAUCAAUUAAUUAUUGAACAGAAAAUUAUCACCUUUGGAGCAGGAUCAUCAUCAGCAAUGAGUUCCUUGAAUCCCAAAGAAGUUGUUGGUUUGUCCAUGUCGGGUCCUAUAAACAAACAAAAACAAUAUACAUAAUUAAUCUUUGUCGUUGUCUUUUUUUUAAAAAAAUAAUUGAGGCGAAGUCCAUAAAUCCACCAACACUUAAUUUCAACACUUACCAACAAUCAUUUCCAGAUCAUCGCAAAAAAACACUUCUACCUUUUGAAGCCGCAGUAGGUUUUUGGCCAUGGAGAAUGAGAAAAGAUGCUUCAAUUCGUGACAGUCUGAUACUUUUAUAAUCCUUAAGUUGCUGAAAGAUUGAUCUUCUGUGAGUUGGAUGUCACAUAUUGUCUCCAAAUUGAUCAAACGACGAAGAGACAAUGACUCCAGCAAGGGGAAGACUUUGCGACGAACCCGUCCAACUGAACAGACAAUAUGCAAAAUCUCAGAACAACUUUUUACAGAAAGAUGCUUCAAUCGUGGAAAACCUUCCCCAUCAUCUAAUUCAUGAACAACAUUCUGAACACCCUUCAGUUCUCCUAGAUAGAGAUAUUCAGUUCUCUUCAACAACAGUUUCAUCCUGUAAUUCUGCAAAAGAAUGCCAAACUUUUCUAGCCCCUGGAGCUUCAUCAAUCUUGAUAAUCCAGUUUUAACGGACCAGCUGCUCCACCACUUAUUUCCUAUACAUAUCUUAUAGCUUUGCAAUUCCACAGAGACCAAAUCCUGCGGUAGAAUUUCGGCAUCCCGAACGUGUAUCUCCAAAGUAGUUAGCUUUGACAACCCCUUCAACUCAACAAGACUGGCGUUACUUCCUCCUUCAACCUUCUCCCACAGUGAAAAGCUGUUACCAAUAUAUAGUUCUUCUAAUCGAGAUAAUUUUGAUAUGACAUUUGGAGCUAUCACCACAAGGCUGCUACAAUUGCUCAAAUCUAGCAACUGUAAUCUCGUCAAUUGUCCAAUUACAAGUGGCAACUCCUUAACAUCAGAAUCUCGGAAGCUGAGAAUCUCUAAUUUCCUUAGCUGUCCAAUUAUAGUUAUAUCGUUCAGUCGGCAACCAUCUAAACAUAAUGUUUGAACGUUAAUGAGGCAACCAAGUGAUGAAGGUAAUGAAGAGAAAAAUAUUCCAGUAAAAUCUAAAACUUUGAGUUCUUCUGUCCCUUCAAAAAAGAGGUCUGAAAUUUGCAAAGAGCUAUCACGCUUUGAAAACAACAAAAGAACUCGAGACGGGGACAUUCCAACCUUUCGGGAAGCUCUUGAAUAUCUCUAUAAGGUAAAGAAAUAGCUAUUGGACCUUCCCGUAUUGUCUCUUCCAUCUUUUUCUCCACGUAGGCAACAUUUGGAAUAUUAAACAUGAGCUCCUCUUCUGCAAUUGAUACAGUAACAGCAUGAAUGAUGUCAUGCAUUUUAACUUCAUCUUCGGCAUCACUGUCCAACAAUAAGCACGAAGAUUUGAGUUUGCCGAUCAACGUAUGCACUCUACUCCUUGCUUCUUCCAGUGUGUAAACGUUUUUAAAAUAGCCCAUACCCAUACCAUAUCUCAAUAAGUCAGAAACAUGUAUACCACGACCUUCAUUAUAUAGACCACAAAGAAGGAACAGAGAUUUUGCUUCCUUACUUCCCAGUAAGUCGUAACUCAAUUUUAUGGAGAUGUACACAUUUCUUUCCAUUCCAUCAAUUUCUUUUGCAUUGGAACUUCUUAGCUGACGCAGCACAUCCUUCCAAGUGUCAAGCCUCUCAUUUUUCAAAGCUUUUGCAAGUGUAAUCAGUGCAACAGGCAAUCCUCCGCAUUUUUCAACGAUCUCAUCUGCUAAAGGUUGAAAAGCAGAUGCUUUUGCAGAAUUACACACUAUCUUUCCAAACAAUUGCAAUGCUUCUUCCUUUGAUAAAACUUCAAUUGAGAAAUCCUUCUGAGAUUUCAUAUCAUUGCGCAAUAAAUCUCGACUUCUAGACGUCAAUAUUAUUGUGCGUCUUCUCCGAUCGUCCUCUCUAUCUUUCUCAUCAACAUCCCCAUAAGGAAUUCCAACUGUAUCGAACUCAAGUUUUGUCCAAAUAUUAUCCAGUAUAAUGAGGAGCCGCUUCUCUUGCUUCAACCUUUGACACAGUCGAGAAGCUCUUUGAAAUUCAUUCUCAUUCAAGUCAAAUUCCAUGCCUAAAUCAAAAGCAAGUUUGUCUUGAAUUUUAUGAUGAUCUGGGGUCUGUGUUAUCUCAGCCAUAACGAACUUAUCGAACAACUUAUCUUCCAUCACUUGGUUUGCAACUUGUUUGACCAGCGUGGUUUUGCCCACGCCGCCCAUCCCAUAGACCCCAAUUAUGUUGACUUUGUCAUCCUUCACCGCCUCCACAACAUCUUGAAAUACUUUCAUUCUUGAAUCAAACGCCUCGAAAUCUUUCACUUGCAUAUGUUCUGCCCGCUUUGGAGCAGGACGGUAGGAAACAUUGGAGAAGUUGCCUUUUCCCACGAGACUAGCGGCAGCUUCUGCCGCCUUUGCUGCUUGUUUACUAAGCUUGUAACGAGAAAUCAAGUUUGGGCAUAAUCCUUUGAAGCAGGACUUCUUAGCUCUAUCUUCAUCAUCAAUGACGGAUUUUGCAACCCCUUCACUGAUGAAUUCAUUAACGCUAUGUAGCCAGUCUGUGACACCCUCAUAAAGCUCAUCCCCUUGUAGCCUAGCAUGAUUAACUGGUUGCUGCACCAUUUCUCUCUUAUAUCCCAGCUGCUUCACUUGAACUUUUAGCUCAUCUAUGUAGCUCUGGUACUUGAACACAUAAGAUAUCUGCCGUGUAAUCGGGUUGAACAGUGACUUUGCACCUUCUGAUACACAGUUGGUUAAAAAAGCGAGACACGCUUCUAUAGCCAUUGCCUGUUGCUUAACAAUAUAUAUCUAGUUUUUUGGCUGUUGAAAAAAAAAAAUGGAUUCAAAUAAAUUAAAUGAACUAGCGGGGAAGAAAAAGAAAGAAACGACAACAAACAACUUUUUAGAAAAAGGUUUCAGGGGCCUGAAUGGAAAACCAACAAUUUUUUGAGGAAAGAAAACUUUUUUGGAAGAUGGAUGCAAAUUAACCAUUAAUAAUACUGCAUAAGAACACAGAAGUUGACAAUAAACAGUAACUUAAAACUCAAGAAAAUUAAAUGACAAGAUUAAGACAAACAAGAGAUAGUUUUUGUCGGACAUUAAGAAACAACUGCUAUCAAGAUCAAAGAUUAGAAAUUAUGCUAUUGAAAGAAAUUAUUAAAGUAUUUAGAACAAACGCACCUCUUCAAUUAUCUAGGAUCACGGAGUUUAUGAGCUUCACUCUUGGCCUUCGAUUUAUAAGAAAAAAUUUAAUGAGCAAAAGAUCACUGUUGACUGCAGAAGAAUGUGAGUAAGCAAUACAAUUGAAUUGUAAAAGAACAAGACUUAAAGCGUGCACCCCGUGUUCAUAUAAACAGAACACAUGUUCAUUUUUAACAAAGUGAUCAAUAACUAUAUUCGUUAUUUAAUUGAUAUUGUAACCAAUUCUAAGAGAAUAUAAUAAUAAUCAUUCAAUCCAUAAAUUUAGAAUUAGAUUUUUUUAACUCUUUAUUUAAAUAUAAACCUUAAUGGAAAAUUAUAAAAGUUUAGAGAUAAAAUUUUUCAAUCACCAAACGAAAAAAACAGGGGAAUGAAAACAGAGGAAUCUUGUUUUAACUAUUUUUUUUUCCUCAACUCUUGUUCUUAUAUUAAUAAUCUUGUUUUGAUGAUAGUGCUCGUGACUGCGGGAAAAUUUGUACUGGAAACAACUCAAUUUCGGAAGAAAACUUAAUUUUGCAAGUGAUGAAUUUGAACUCGUUGGAUUGGUUGAUUUAUGAUUGACUGAAUUUCACUUUUGCCCAAAAGAUCUUUAACCAAAGUUUAAUAGCCAUCAUGUACUCCUUAAAAGCAAUUUUUUUUUUUAGAUUUGACUGAAUUUGAACUUGUUGGAUUGGUUGUUUUUAGAUUAUUAAUAUGAGAUAUUACAACGUAAAUAUUUUCAUGUGGUUGAGCCCUAUUCUAAAAUCUGUAUAGUUAGCUUUAGAAAAAGGGCUUUUCCUGCUGAUCUGUAAUCUUCAAAUAAACUUAGAUACAAAUAAUGAAAUAAAAGACAACAAACACGCNNNNNNNNNNNNNNNNNNNNNNNNNNNNNNNNNNNNNNNNNNNNNNNNNNNNNNNNNNNNNNNNNNNNNNNNNNNNNNNNNNNNNNNNNNNNNNNNNNNNNNNNNNNNNNNNNNNNNNNNNNNNNNNNNNNNNNNNNNNNNNNNNNNNNNNNNNNNNNNNNNNNNNNNNNNNNNNNNNNNNNNNNNNNNNNNNNNNNNNNNNNNNNNNNNNNNNNNNNNNNNNNNNNNNNNNNNNNNNNNNNNNNNNNNNNNNNNNNNNNNNNNNNNNNNNNNNNNNNNNNNNNNNNNNNNNNNNNNNNNNNNNNNNNNNNNNNNNNNNNNNNNNNNNNNNNNNNNNNNNNNNNNNNNNNNNNNNNNNNNNNNNNNNNNNNNNNNNNNNNNNNNNNNNNNNNNNNNNNNNNNNNNNNNNNNNNNNNNNNNNNNNNNNNNNNNNNNNNNNNNNNNNNNNNNNNNNNNNNNNNNNNNNNNNNNNNNNNNNNNNNNNNNNNNNNNNNNNNNNNNNNNNNNNNNNNNNNNNNNNNNNNNNNNNNNNNNNNNNNNNNNNNNNNNNNNNNNNNNNNNNNNNNNNNNNNNNNNNNNNNNNNNNNNNNNNNNNNNNNNNNNNNNNNNNNNNNNNNNNNNNNNNNNNNNNNNNNNNNNNNNNNNNNNNNNNNNNNNNNNNNNNNNNNNNNNNNNNNNNNNNNNNNNNNNNNNNNNNNNNNNNNNNNNNNNNNNNNNNNNNNNNNNNNNNNNNNNNNNNNNNNNNNNNNNNNNNNNNNNNNNNNNNNNNNNNNNNNNNNNNNNNNNNNNNNNNNNNNNNNNNNNNNNNNNNNNNNNNNNNNNNNNNNNNNNNNNNNNNNNNNNNNNNNNNNNNNNNNNNNNNNNNNNNNNNNNNNNNNNNNNNNNNNNNNNNNNNNNNNNNNNNNNNNNNNNNNNNNNNNNNNNNNNNNNNNNNNNNNNNNNNNNNNNNNNNNNNNNNNNNNNNNNNNNNNNNNNNNNNNNNNNNNNNNNNNNNNNNNNNNNNNNNNNNNNNNNNNNNNNNNNNNNNNNNNNNNNNNNNNNNNNNNNNNNNNNNNNNNNNNNNNNNNNNNNNNNNNNNNNNNNNNNNNNNNNNNNNNNNNNNNNNNNNNNNNNNNNNNNNNNNNNNNNNNNNNNNNNNNNNNNNNNNNNNNNNNNNNNNNNNNNNNNNNNNNNNNNNNNNNNNNNNNNNNNNNNNNNNNNNNNNNNNNNNNNNNNNNNNNNNNNNNNNNNNNNNNNNNNNNNNNNNNNNNNNNNNNNNNNNNNNNNNNNNNNNNNNNNNNNNNNNNNNNNNNNNNNNNNNNNNNNNNNNNNNNNNNNNNNNNNNNNNNNNNNNNNNNNNNNNNNNNNNNNNNNNNNNNNNNNNNNNNNNNNNNNNNNNNNNNNNNNNNNNNNNNNNNNNNNNNNNNNNNNNNNNNNNNNNNNNNNNNNNNNNNNNNNNNNNNNNNNNNNNNUAAACUUUUUUUUGGGGGGGGGGGGGGGGAGCAUGCAAAUUUACCAAAAGAAAUAAUAAGAGCACAGGCUUUAACAAUGAAUAGUAACUUAAAACUCAUGCAAAAUAAGUUACAAUAUGAAAACAAACCAGAGAAAAUUUUUUCUUGGAAAGUAGAUGGAACUUAAGAAAGAGCAGAUGUCAAGAUCAAGGAUCAGGGAUUCUACUAUUAAAAAAAAAAAAAAAUUAUUCAAGGAUUUAGAAAACGUGCACCUCUUUAAUUAUCUGGGAUUAGAGAGUUGGUGAGCUUCUCUAUUUGGCCUUCAAUAUUUAAGAACAAGUUGAAAGAGGAAAAAGAUCACUGGUAACUGCUGAGGAAUGUGUGAGAAAAGAGUUGAUGAGAGCAAUAACAAUGACCUGCAAAAGAAAAAGAAUUAGUCACGCACCGCUUUUCUAUAUCAUGUAUUUGGUUAUUGUUGCCCUGUUGACGCAUGUUGAAGAAGAAAGCACUAGUACACAACUCUAUGUUUUCAUAUAUUCUAAAGAAAUAAUUAAGUUUUCAUAGAAUAAUACCUGUUGUGUUUGAAUAAUUUGGUAUCUACAUUGCUUGUGUACUGUGAAAUUGAAAUGAAUAUUGAUUGACAGAGCAAUGUAUAUACCUAAUAAAACAUAAAGCAAAUCCUUGAACGAAUGAUUCGGGACUAAAACUUUUAUAAAAGCAAAUACCGGAAACACACAAAAAGCAUUUAAGAUAGAAACUAAACAGCAAAUAAUCGAAGUAAGAUCAAUAAUAUAUGAUUUGAUUUAUGCAUAUUCAAAAACCAAAAUUUAAAAUAAAAUAAAAAAUAAAGUUUGAUUUAUUCUUUCCACAAAAAACAGGGGAGUGAAAACAGAGGCAGCUUGUUUUACCAAUUUUUUCUUCUUAAUUUCCGGCAAAAAAAAAAAUUCAAUAAACAGGGGAAUGAAAACAAAGGAACGAAAACAGAGGAAACUUGCUUUUCAGGCUAUCUUGUGACAUGAUGAUAUUGCUCGUGAAUGCAUGAAAAUUUCUAAUGCAAACAGCUCAAUUUGGGAUGAUAAGCUUAAGUUUGCAAGUGAUGCAAGUAAAUAAGUUUUUGCGGUUAAUUGAAUCUUUAAUACUCUGGGCCCUAUUCUAAAAUUUGUAGGUUGCUUCAGAAGAAAGGGCGGUUCUCACUCAUCUUUAAUCUCCAAGUAAAAUUAGAUACAAAGCAAAUCUAAUAAAAUGACAAACAAACAAACAAAACAAAGAAAAGACAGGAGGCAAACAACAUUGAUCUUAAGCCAACUGAUAUUUAAACAGAGAAUUCUUUUCUUUUAUUUUUUUAACCACCUUUUGCUCAAGGAUUAGAGUUUUUAUAUUAACAGAAAGGUUUCAGGGGUCUGAAUAAAAGCCCACAAUUUCUCUAAUUGUUUUUUUUUUUUUUUUUUUGGGAAAAAUGGAUGCAAAUUAUCCAAAGCUAAUAAUAAGAACACAGACAUUACAAAUGAACAAUAACUUAAAACUCAAGCAAAAUAAAUGACAAGAUGAAAACAAACAAGAUAAAUUUUUUCUUGGAAAUUAGAUGGAAAUUAAGGACUGCUAGUAAAAGAUAUUAUUAGAUGAUUUAGAACAUGUGUACCUCUUUAAUUGUCUGGGAUCAAAGAAUUGAUGAGCUUCUCCAUUCGCAUUGAAUAUUAAGUAAGAACGGGUAUUCAAAGAAAUUAUUAGGAAAAAUUUUAAUGAGUAAAAGAUCACUGUUAACUGCAGACGAAUGUCCUAGUAAAAUGUUGAUUUGUGUAAUAACAAUGAAUUGCAAAAGAAGAAAACUUAAUCAUGCACCCCUUUUAUACCCGAGUUUUAAGAUUUAAUUUUUGAAGUUCAGAAUCAAGACCAAAAGCCGAAGCUUUAACAAGGCAUGCAGUGAGAUACAAGAAAUGGAUCGGGUAAAAUACUUUAAAAAAUGUUGUUCAACUCAAUUAACUUGAAGAAAGCACUAAUUUCAUAUGUUCUAAUGAAAUAAUCAAGUUAAAAGUUUUCAACGAAUAAAUACCUGUUGCGCUUGAAUAAUUUUGGCAUAUACAUUACUUGUAUCCUGUGAAAUUGAAAAGAAUAUUGAUAUGCAGAGCUUAUUAGUAGAGAGAAAGCUUUGUAAGAUGCCUGAUAAAAGAGAAACCAAAAGCUUGAAUGAGGAAUGACAUCUUAGAAAGAAACUAAACAUCAAAGUAGGAUCAAUAAUGACUUGAUUUAUGCUUUUUUGUUAUUUCAUUUGUUCUGUCAACAAAUGAUGCCUCGUUAUUACGAGUUCCAACCUGGACGUUAUGCACAAAUUGUUUUUAUGUUUAACAGAAAAAAAUGAAAGCAGGUCACCAUACAAAAUUGCAUGAACAAAUCUUCAAUUUAAUGAUUAUAAAAUAAAAUAAAUUUUAUUAAUAGAUUAUGGGUAUGUUAACGUUAGGGAUUUGAUCAGAUGAUCAUAUGAUUUACUAAACGCUUUAACAAGAACAAGAAAAAGAAUUAAUGGGUUAAAAAAAAUUUAAAAAUAAAAUAAGAGAGAAGUAAAGAACUUAUUUGCAAUUACCAAACUGAAAAAAUGCGAAAUGAAAACAAGGGAGCCCUGUUUUUCCUCACAUUUUUUUUCUCUCUUUUUCAAGUGGUGAGAAUGAUAGCAGAAAAUGCGAGCUCACUAUUUUCAUUUGUUGGCCUAAAAGCCUUCCUCCAAGAGAUGCAUAAAUUUUAUUUGUACAUUUGUUCCAUUUUAAGUACACAUUGUUGCAUGCAUUUUGAACUGUAUUAUCAAUCCUUUUUGUUUUCAGUUGGUUAGUUCAUAAUAACAAAUGAAUUAUAUUAUUUUGCAUGGAUCGAAAUUUAACUUUCCCUCUUUAUUUGUCCCACAACUAAAUAGUCUCAUCUUUUGUAGUAAGCUCGCAGUACGUACGGGGAACUACUGUAUGGGUGCUUUAGCCUAAAAUGAAGAUCUAUUAAAAAUUUCCCUAAUAUCAUGAUAUUAAACAUUAAAUAAUAUCAACAUUUUGACUUCCAUUUUGUUUUUUGGAUGGAGGAUGUUCCAUCUUCUAUUUUAGGUGCUUUGUAAGACUUUUAAUUGAACAAUUGAUGCAAUCAGUAACAAAGGCUUUACUUACAUAUGCAAGUAAAAUUUGCAGGUUGCUUCAGAAGAACGGGCAGUUCUCACUCAUCUUUAAUCUCCAAGUAAAAUUAGAUACAAAGCAAAUCUAAUAAAAUGACAAACAAACAAACAAAACAAAGAAAAGACAGGAGGCAAACAACAUUGAUCUUAAGCCAACUGAUAAUUAAACAGAGAAUUCUUUUUUUUUUUAACCUUUUGCUCAAGGAUUAGAGUUUUUACAUUAACAGAAAGGUUUCAGGGGUCUGAAUAAAAGCCCACAAUUUCUCUAUUUUAUUUUUAUUUUUAUUUUUUGAAAGGAGCUUCACUAUUGGCCUUGAACAUAUAAGAAUAAGCAAAAGAUCAAUGUCAACUGCAAAGGAAUGUGAGUAUGUCAAAGUCAUGGGCGGUUUGGCACCAUUAACAUAUUUCAAAAUGGCCACCCUAAUUGAAGGAAAUUAAAGGCCAAGUAGAUGCCGCCCAAGGAAAGAAACAAAAGAGAAUGAAGAAAAAGAAGAAAGAGAGAAGAAAAAGAGAUGUCGGGCCGAAGAAGGAAAAGAAAAGAAAAAUUAAUAAAAUAAUAAUAAUAAUUAAAUAUUAAACAAAUAGUAGCUAAUUUUGGCUAUAAAACCGCUAGCUCCCUUCAUUUGUAAAUCAUCUAGUUCUUCAGUUCUUUUCUUUAUUUAGAGAGCGAUUUUAAGAGUCUAGUGAUUUGAGAGUUUAGGUGUAUUGGGAUUUUGGGUAGUGAGCUAAAAUACCACAAUACUUGUAACUUCUUUUCACUAGUAAAAUACUUUCCUUCUGUUUUCACCUGUGAACGUAGGCUAAAAGCUGAACCACGUAAUUUCUUGUGUCUAUUUUUUGUACUUGUUCUUUAUUUUCUUCCAAUUUCACUUUAGCUGCGUGUUUGCUUCACUCACCAAUUUUGUAAUAGUGAAUCAGAGCUAUUAGUUGUAUUUUUUGGAGUCGGGUACUGUUCACGUAAGGGGUACUAUUCACGUAUAUGGCACUGUUCACGUAUACGGUACUAUUCACGUAAAACGAUGGGAGGAUCCAAGAAUUUUGCGGUGCAAAGCAGGGAAUAGUGGUGUGAGUAAAACAACUGUGUGGUUUUGUACAUGUCUAGGAAAGUUCUAUCACAAAGGCGAUAAGAGCUUAAGGAGUCUGGGUUUUAAGUGGGACCAUUGUGACCCCUCCAAUGUUUCCUGGGAACUUUCUUGGUGUGCAUUCUCACACAUACUCACAACUAUUCAAGGUGGUACACUUGCUUGUGUGCGGUAUUUAUCAAUAAAAUGGCGGCAAAGUAUGAAAUUGAGAAAUUUAACGGAAACAAUUUUUCAUUGUGGAAAAUGAAGAUGAAAGCUGUAUUGAGAAAAAAUAAUUGCUUAGCAGUAAUUGGAGAAAGGCUUUUGGAGAUAACUGAUGACAAGUGGAACGAGAUAGAUGGCAACACCAUUUCUGAUCUACACUUGGCACUUGCAGAUGGAGUAUUAUCUAGUGUGGCAGAGAAAAAUACAGCGAAGGAAAUAUGGGAUACUCUCACAAAAUUGUAUGAGGCUAAGUCACUACACAGCAAAAUCUUCUUAAAGAGGAAACUUUAUACUCUUCGAAUGGUGGAAUCUACAAUGGUGAUCGACCACAUCAACACCUUGAAGACUCUAUUUUCACAACUCACAACGUUGGGUCAUAAUAUAGAGGAGAAUAAACAUGUAGAGCUUGUACUUCAAAGUCUACCAAAUUCGUAUGAUCAACUCAUCAUCAACCUAACGAACAACAAUCCAGCGGAUAGUCUAGUUUUCGACGAUGUUGCAGCUUUCCUAUUAAAUGAGGAGAGCAGGCGAAAAAAUAAGAAAAACAGACAAGCAAUUUCGCAGCAAGCGGCGGUGCUAUCGGUGACGAGAGGGAGAUCAACGGAACGUGGCCCUAGUGGGAGUCAAAAUCAUAGUAAAUCAAAAUCCAGAAGUAAGAAGAAUGUUAAAUGCUACAACUGUGGCAAGAAAGGACACGUCAAGAAAGAGUAUUGGAGUAACUAGAAGAGAAAAGAGGAUAAAGAACCUGAGUCAUCAAAUGCUCAGGGGUGUGUAGCAAGUACCUCAGAUGAUAGCGAAAUUCUUUACACUGGGGCAAUAACUAUUUCAGAAGGCAGAAAACGACUAUCUAAUGUCUGGCUUAUAGACUCAGGAGCUACCUGGCACAUGACGGAGAGAAUGGUUCUAGACAUAUGAACCUAUCUCAGGAGGAUCUGUAUAUAUGUGAGAUGAUCAUGCCUUGGAGAUCGCUGGUAUUGGUACUAUCAAAAUAAAAAUAUUUGAUGGUACAAUUCGCACAAUUGGGGAGGUACGACAUGUCAAUGACCUGAAGAAAAAUCUAUUGUCUUUGGGACAAAUAGGCAGUUAUGGGUGCAAAACUCAUGUGGAGAAUGGAAUUAUGAAGAUUGUUAAAGGAGAGCUUGUAUUGAUGAAGGCAGAAAAGAUCGGUGCUAAUCUAUUCAUGCUUAAAGGAGAGUCACUACAGGAGGCUGAUGCGUGUGUCGCAUCAAAUGGAGAAGAGUUAAUGAUGAUGUGACAUCUCAAACUUGGCCACAUGUCGGAACAUUGUUUGAAGAUUCUCUCUGAGCGAAAAUUACUUCCAGGGCUUAAAUCGGUAAGUUUACCUUUUUGCGAGCAUUGUGUUACCAGUAAGCAGCAUAGAUUAAAAUUUAGUAGAUCUAUUCUAGAAGUAAAUAUAUUCUAGACUUGAUUCAUUCUGAUGUUUGGAAAUCACCGGAUAUAUCCAUGGGAGGUGCAAAGUACAUGGCGACUUUCAUUGAUAAUUAUUCCAGAAGAUGUUGUGUGUAUCUAAUUAAGAAAAAGUUAGAUGUAUUUCCAGUGUUUAAAGAAUACAAAGCGCGGGUGAAACUUGAAUCUGGUAAAAAGAUUAAGUGCUUGAGGACGGAUAAUGGUGGAGAGUAUACAGACGGCGAGUUUCUUGCUUUCUGUAAGCAAGAAGGUAUUUAGAGACAGUUCACCAUAGCAUACACUCCUCAACAAAACGGAGUGGCGGAGCGGAUGAACAGAACUCUUACAGAAAGAAUAAGAGCUAUGUUGAGGACUGCUGGUCUACCUAAUUCAUUCUGGGCAGAAGCAGCCAAAACUGCUUGUUAUAUAGUAAAUCGGUUGCCAUCUACAGCUAUUAGGCUAAAGACAACGAUGGAGAUGUGGACUGGAAAGCCAACUGAUUAUUCCUACCUACAUGCAUUUAAAUGUCCUGUGUACGUGAUGUACAAUGCCCAAGAAAGAACAAAGCUGGAUCCAAAAUCUAGAAUAUGUAUCUUCUUGAGAUAUGCUGAUGGAAUAAAGGGGUAUCGUCUGUGGGACCCCACUGCCCACAAGAUCGUUAUCAGCAGAGAUGUUAUCUUCAUAGAAGAUCAACUGCAAAGGAAAGAUGAAGAUGAUAGUAGUGUAAAAGAAAAGUCAGAGACUAUACCGGUAUAUGUGGAAAAUAAUCCAUAAGAUUCAGAUUCUUCUGAAGCAGAACCAGAGCACGAGCAACAAAAACCAGUCGAGUCUGAGGCUCCAGAAGUUCGUCGGUCAACUCGUGAGAGACGACCGCCAAUGUGGCACUCGGAGUAUGUUACAGAGAUCAACGUUGCAUACUGUCUUCUAAUAGAGGAUAGAGAGCCUUUAACUUUCCAUCAAGCUUUAGAAAGCUCAGAUGUUGCUUUGUGGAUGACAGCAAUGCAGGAAGAAAUAAAGCUCUACAUAAUAACAAGACAUGAGAACUUGUACCACUACCACGUGGAAGAAAAGCCAUUGGAAACAAAUGGGUCUACAAAAUCAAACGUGAAGGCAAUGACCAAGUAGAGCGGUGUCGUGCGAGAUUGGUGGUGAAAGGAUAUGCUCAGAAAGAAGGUAUUGACUUCAACGAGAUAUUUUCGCCGGUGGUUUGCCUCACGACGGUCAGAGUAGUCUUGGCAAUGUGUGCUACAUUUGACCUACAUUUAGAGCAGUUAGAUGUGAAAACUACAUUUCUUCAUGGAGAACUUGAAGAAGAAAUAUAUAUGCUCCAACCAGAAGGUUUUGCAGAAACAGGAAAAGAGAACUUGGUUUGCAGGUUGAACAAAUCUUUAUUCGGUCUCAAACAGGCGCUGAGGUGUUGGUAUAAGAGAUUUGAUUCCUUUAUCAUGAGCCUUGGAUACAACAGACUCAGUUCAUACCAUUGUGCAUAUUAUAAAAGGUUUGCAGAUAAUGAUUUCAUUAUUUUACUAUUGUAUGUGGAUGACAUGUUGGUAGCAGGCCCUAACAAAGAUCGAAUCCAAGAAUUGAAGGCACAGUUGGCUAGGGAGUUUGAAAUGAAGGACUUGGGACCAGCAAACAAGAUUUUAGGAAUGCAAAUUCACCGAGACAUAAAUAACAGGAAGAUUUGGCUUUAGCAGAAGAAUUACUUGAAGAAAAUCUUGUGGCGCUUCAACAUGCAAGAUUGUAAGUCAAUUUCUACCCCACUUCCUGUUAAUUUCAAAUUAUCCUCAAGUAUGUGUCCUAGCAAUGAAGCAGAGAGGAAGGAGAUGUCUCGAGUACCGUAUGCAUCAGUAGUGGGAAGUUUAAUGUUCGCUAUGAUAUGUACUAGACCAGACAUUGCACAAGUAGUGGGAGCAGUCAGUCGAUACAUGGCGAAUCCCGGUGGAGAGCAUUGGAUAGUUGUGAAGAGGAUUCUGAGAUACAUCAAAGGAACCUCAGAUGUUGCAUUAUGUUACGUAGGAUCAGAGUUUACUGUCAAGGGCUAUGUGGAUUCAGAUUUUGCAGGAGAUCUUGAUAAAAGAAAAUCCACUACUAGUUAUGUGUUUACACUUGCGGGAGCAGCUGUAAGCUGGGUUUCGAAACUGCAGACUGUUGUGGCUUUAUCUACAAUAGAAGCAUAAUACAUGGCAGCUACACAAGCUUGCGAGGAAGCUAUUUGGAUACAAAGAUUAUUGGAGGAGCUCGGGCACAAACAAGAGAAAAAUUAUGUGUUUUGUGACAGUCAGAGUGUCUUUCACAUUGCAAGAAAUCCAGCCUUUUAUUCCAAGACAAAGCAUAUAGGAGUUCAGUAUCACUUCGUUCGAGAAGUAGUGGAAGAUGGAAAUAUGGAUUUACAGAAAAUCCAUACGAAGGAGAACCUAGCAGAUGUUUUGACUAAGCCGAUAAAUGCUGACAAGUUUAUCUGGAGUAGAUCUUCUUGUGGCCUAGCAGAAACGUAGGCAACAUGAUUAUGGCGAAGCAGAAAGGAUGUUGUGGACAUUGAUUGAUUCUCAAUCUAAUCUCCAGGUGGGAGAAUGUCAAAGUCAUGGGCGGUUUAGCAUCAUUAACAUAUUUCAAAAUGGCCACCCAAAUUGAAGGAAAUUAAAGGCCAAGUAGAUGCCGCCCAAGGAAAGAAACAAAAGAAAAAGAAGAAAAAGAAGAAAGAGAGAAGAAAAAGAGAUGUCAGGUCGAAGAAGGAAAAGAAAAGAAAAAUUAAUAAAAUAAUAAUAAUAAUUAAAUAUUAAAUGAACGGUAGCUAAUUUUGGCUAUAAAACCGCUGGCUCCCUUCAUUUGUAAAUCAUCGAGUUCUUCAGUUCUUUUCUUUAUUUAAAGAGUGAUUUUAAGAGUCUAGUGAUUUGAGAGUUUGGGUGUAUUGGGAUUUUGGGUAGUAAGCUAAAAUACCACAAUACUUGUAAAUCAUUUUCACUAGUAAAAUAUUUUCCUCAUGUUUUCGCCCGUGGACGUAGGCUAAAAGUCGAACCACGUAAUUUCUUGUGUCCAUUUUUUGUGCUUGUUCUUUAUUUUUUUUCCAAUUUCACUUUAUCUGCAUGUCUGCUUCACCCACCAAGUUCCUAACAGAGUAAAGAUUUCAUCAGAGUAAGUAAUACAAAUGAAUUGUAAAAGAACAAGACUUAAGCGUGCACCCCGUGUUUUGUUUUAUUCGUAUAAACAUAACAUGUUCAUUUUUAACAAAGUGGUCAAUAACUCUAUUCGCUAUGAAAAUGAUAUUGUACCCAAUUUUAAGAGAGCAUAACAAUAACCAUUCAAUGCAUAAAUUUAGAAUUUUUUUUUUGUAAUUCUUUAUUUAAAUAUAAACGUCGAUGGAAAAUUAUAAAAAUUUAGAUAUGAAAUUUUAAGUCACCAGACAAAAAAAAAAAAAAAAAAAAGGGGAACAGAAAUAGAGGAAUCUUGCUUUACCUUUUUUUUUUUUUCCUUUAACUCUUGUUCUUAUAUAAAUAAUCUUGUUUUGAUGAUUGUAACUCGUGACUGCGGGAAAUUUUCUAAUGGAAACAACUAAUUUCGGAAGAUAAGCUUAAUUACGCAAGUGAUGAAUUUGUUCAAUUGACUCUGUACUUGAACUAGUUGGAUUGGUUGAUUGAUGAUUGACUAAAUUUGAAUUAAGUUUAAUAGCUAUGAUGUGCUCCUUAAAAGCAAACGUAAAUCUUUUUUAGAUUUGACUGAAUUUGGGAACCUGUUGGAUUGAUUGUUUUUAGAUCAUUAAUAUCGGUUACUACAACGUAAAUAUUUUAUUGUGGUUGAGUCCUAUUCUCAAAUCAGUAGGUUGCCUUAGAAAAAGGGCUUUUCUCACUGAUCUUUUUUUUUUCUUUAAUUCACACGCACUUGAUUAUUGACUUCUUUCAUGAAGAAAUAAACUUGUAAUGACUUAAAGAUUUAAUUUCAAGUUAGAAUCAAUACCAAAAGACGGAGGUUUAACAAAGCCGUUUAGUGUGAUAAAAGUACUUUAAAAAAUGUUGUUCGACCCAAUUAAGUUGAAGAAAUAACAAAGUUUUCAUGGAAUAAAUACCGGUUGUGCUUUAAUGAUUUUGGCAUAGACAUUGCUUGUGUACUGUGAAAUCGAAAUGAAUUACUGUGAAAUUGAAAUGAAUAUUAAGUGACAGCGCGAUGUAUAUGCCUAAUAAAAGAUCAGCAAAAGCUUGGAUGAAUGAUUGAGGACCAAAACUUUUAUAAAAGCAUUUUUGAGAGAAACUAAACACCAAAUUAUCAAAGUAAGAUCAACAGUAUAUGAUUUGAUUUAUACAUAUUCAAAAACAAAAUAAUGAUUAAUAAUAAAGUUUGAUUUUGUAUUGCCAACGAUGCUUUUUUGUUGUUUCAUUUGUUCGACGUGGCCUUAUUUACAAAUUGGUUUAUGUUAACAGAAACAUAAAAUUCACAUCACACAAAAUUCCACGAACAAAUAUUAAGAGAACGUAAUAAUAAUCACUCAAUGCAUAAGGGUAAAUUUAGAAUUACAUAUUCUUUUUUAUUUAAUAAAAUCCCAACGGGAAGUCAUAAAAAUUUAGAUAUAAAAUUUUCAAUCACCAAACAAAAAAACAGGGGGAAUGAAAACACAGAAAACUUAUUUUAACUUUUUUUUCAUCUAACUCUUGUUCUUAUAUAAUAUUUUCCCUAGUAUUUCAGGCAAAAAAAAAAAAUCAAUAGAGAGCAAGUUGCUCAAAUUGAUUUAUCUUGUUUUUCAGGCAAUCUUGUGAUAUGAUGAUAAAGCUCAUGAAUGCUAGAAAACUUCUAAUGCAAACAACUCUAUUUGGGAUGAUAAGCUUAAUUUUACAAGCGAUAAAUAUAAAUAACUUUUUGUGGUUAAUUGAAUUUGUAAUUACUCUUAGCCCUAUUCUAAAAUUUGUAGGCUGCUUCAGAAAAGAAAAAAAAAAAUUCUUACUCAUCUUUAAUCUUCAAGUAAAAAGCAAAUCUAAUAAAAUGAAAAACAAACAAACAAGUAAAAGACAGCAAACAAACAACAUUUAACCAACUGAUAUUUAAACAAGGAAUUCUUUCUUCUUCCUUUUUCUUCCCCCCCCCCCCCCCCCCCCCGGGGCUCAUGGAUUAGAGUUUUUGCUAUUAACUGAAAGGUUUCAAGGGUCUGAAUAAAAUCCCAGACUUUUUUUUUUAAUUAACCAAAGCCAUAUAAUAAGAUCACAGACUUUAACAAUGAACAAUAAUUUGAAACUCAAGCAAAACCAAUGACAAGAUUAAAACAAACCAGAGAAAUUUUUUCUUGGAAAGUAGAUGAAAACUAAGUAAGAACUGCUAUUAAAGGAUAUUAUUAAAGGAUUUAGAACAUGUAUACCUCUUUAUUUAUAUGGGAUCAGAGAGUCGAUGACCUCCUCUAUUCGCUUCGGAUAUUAAGUAAGAACUGCUAUCAAAAGAAUGAAUUGAUGAGAGAAAUAACAGUGAAUUGCAAAAGAGGAAGACUUAAUCACGUACCCCUAUUAUACCCGAUUUUUAAGAUUUAAUUUUGAAGUCCAGAAUCAAGACAAAAGACGAAGCCUUAAAAAAUAUGCAGUGAGAAUAAUUAAGUUGAAGAAAGCACUAGUUUAUGGCUCAGUGUUUCAUAUGCUGUAAUGAAAUAAUUAAGUUGAAGUUUUUAACGAAUAAAUACAUGUUGUGCUAGAAUAAUUUUAGAAGAAUAUUGGCUUAUAGAGCAUAUUAGUAGGGAUAAGAUAGAAUAAAUGAAAUAAUAAAAAGCAUAACUGAUCAAGUCAUUAUUGAUCUUACUUUGAUUAUUACAUUGCACAUUAGUUUCUUUCUAAAAAUGUCAUUCUUCAUUCAAGCUUUUGCUUUAUCUUUUAUCAGGCAUCCUACUGUUGAUGCCCAAAUCUGAUCUAGUCUAUUAGUGACUUAAUAUCAGACUUCUACACUAGCAUUAGAUUUAUUUGGUAGAGAAUCGAUUGGUCAAUUGUCAAGAUGUCCUGCAACCACUAGCGAUUAACCUGCGAAUACCUGAAAUCAUAGAAGACGGUCAGAGGCGCUGGAAGUUUUUCCGGCGUGAACCCUCUAACGCUCAAGUCAGUUUCUGGGCCUUUGCCAAAAAACUUGUGCCACCACUCAUAUGGCUUAAUAAACAUUAACUUAAAAACCAAAAGCUUUUUGAGUAACUUGCAGAAAAAUGAAAUAGAGUGUAAAAGAAAGGAUUUUCCAUGAGAAGAAGAGAGAAAAAGAUGCCUUACAGACCCCGAAAAAAUAAAUAAAUCCUCCUUUUAAGGUCACGCCCCACUCCCCUCUUUUCCCCUUUGUUCUCCUCCACUUACGGAAGUUAAGGAUGAGUAAAAGUAAUGCCUCUACUCUCCAUUUUUUUCUCCUUUUUCCGUUACCAAACACUAGUCCCCCAGUUUCUAGUGUUGAGAGUUUUAACGAAUCAAGACUGGAAACUAUAUGAAUUUUAAAGUGACCUUGAUGUGGUUGGCAUAAAUCGGCUCGGGAUUGCUAAAAUUAACCUUACUAUUUGCAAAAAAUUUCAAGUUUUAAACUUUUACAUGCCUUUAAAUAUACCAUUUUCCUACUUGCAUAAUCAUGUAAAGCAGGUUUCAUAAGUUCACGUAUUUAUCUCACCUAAAGUAGGUUUUGAGACUUAGUCAUUUAUCUGCUUUAGAAUAUUUUUCACUCAUAUAACUCUUGCUCGCCUAAUCUUGGUCGGGCAAGAGCAGGCAAACUUUGACUUCAUCUCACUGCGAGGAGGUUUAAAGACUGUAAGCCUUUUACUUGAAGUACCCUUUGUUUUUUUUUUUUUUAACUUUCUGCUCGCCUUCACAUGGUUGAGCAGAUUCUGGCAAGCUUGAUUUCUUAUCUCGCCAUCGAGCAGACUUUGAGACUUUAAAGUCUUUUGUGUGCCUUAGAAACUUUCUUGGGAUUUUUGUUCUCUGCUCGCCUUUACAUGGUCGAGCAGAUUCUGGCGAGCUUGGCUUCCUGUCUCGCCAUCAAGGAGGCUUUGCGACUUUGGAGCCUUUGCUUGCCUUAGAAACUUUUUUGGAACUUUUGUGGUCUGCUCGCCUUCGCUUAGUCGAGCAGAUCCUGGCAUGCUUGGCUUCCUGUCUUGCCAUAAAAUAGGCUUUGAGACUUUGGAGCCUUUGCUUGCCUUAGAAACUUUUUUGGAAUUCUCAUUUUUUGCUCGCCUUCACAUGGUCGAGCAGAUUCUGGCGAGCUUGGCUUCCUGUCUCGCCAUUGAGGAGGCUUUGAGACUUUGAAGCCUUUGCUUGCCUUAGAAACUUUUUUGGAACUUUUGUGGUCUGCUCGCCUUCGCUUGGUCGAGCAGAUCCUGGCAUGCUUGGCUUCCUGUCUCGCCAUAAAAUAGGCUUUGAGGCUUUGGAGCCUUUGCUUGCCUUAGAAACUUUUUUGGAACUUUUGUGGUCUGCUCGCCUUCGCUUGGUCGAGCAGAUCCUGGUAUGCUUGGCUUCCUGUCUCACCAUAAAACAGGCUUUGAGACUUUGGAGCCUUUGCGUGCCUUAGAAGAUUUUUGAAACUUUUUUGGUCUGCUCGCUUUCGCUUGGUCGAGCAGAUCCUGGCAUGCUUGGCUUCCUGUCUCACCAUAAAACAGGCUUUGAGACUUUGGAGCCUUUGCGUGCCUUAGAAGAUUUUUGAAACUUUUUUGGUCUGCUCGCCUUCGCUUGGUUGAGCAGAUCCUGGCAUGCUUGGCUUCCUGUCUCGCCAUAAAACAGGCUUUGAGACUUUGGAGCCUUUGCGUGCCUUAGAAGAUUUUUGAAACUUUUUUGGUCUGCUCGCCUUCGCUUGGUCGAGCAGAUCCUGGCAUGCUUGCUUCCUGUCUCGCCAUAAAACAGGCUUUGAGACUUUGGAGCCUUUGCGUGCCUUAGAAGAUUUUUGAAACUUUUUUGGUCUGCUCGCCUUCGCUUGGUCGAGCAGAUCCUGGCAUGCUUGCUUCCUGUCUCGCCAUAAAACAGGCUUUGAGACUUUGGAGCCUUUGCGUGCCUUAGAAGAUUUUUGAAACUUUUUUGGUCUGCUCGCCUUCGCUUGGUCGAGUAAAUGUGGCUUCCUGUCUCGCCAUAAAACAAGCUUUGAGACUUUAGAGCCUUUGCGUGAUGAUGGGUGUCGAAGCCAACAAAAAUAAAUUCCUACUCUAAAUAAAUUGUGUAUAGUGAUUGAGCAGGGUCGUGUCCACAGAGAUCGGUAAUUAUUUAAAUCCUUUUGAAACGUAAAAAUAAAAUGGGGGUUUUGUUGACAAUAAUAAAAAUCAAAUUAAAAUAACGAGAAUGCAAAUUAAAGUUGUAAUUCAAAUUGGAGAAAGCUCUGGUUGAAGGAAUUAACUCAGCUUGAUUCGACUACUGAUCAUUGAUUCAAAUAAAGAUUAUUAUUACUUAUGAAUAGACCGGUUAUAGCUAUUGAGACCCUCUAAUAGCCAAUCUCUCCUUAACUAGUCGAUAACCAAGGUACGACCGUUGGAUAUUUCCCUAAUCAAAUAGACAACCCUAGAUACGAUCAUAAGAUUUAAUCAAUUGACAGCCUGAAAAACCAGAGAGACCCAAAUCCUAAUCAACACAUAUGAUGAUUCAUUUAAAUUAGAUUGUUUAUUCUCACAACACAACUCUCUGCUAUGUUAUUUGUCACAAAUAUUAAAUUCUUCAUACGAUGAAUCCUUUAAUUGACAAUAGAUUAAGUUGAUAAUUAAAUAGUGGCCAAUUACCUAAUUAACAAACAUAAUCAUGAAACUAAUUCAGAGAAUAAACAAAUACCCAAAGAGCAAUAAAACAAUUAAAGCACAAGAAAGAUCUCACAGUAGUGAUGAAUCAAAGCUUCAUUAUCCUUCAACCAGAAAAUAAGUUUAGUUCUCCAUAGAGAGAAGAGAAAAAUUAGCUCUAGGGUUUCUUUCUUUUUCUCCAAUCCCAAAAAAUCCCCCUUUUCACAAUAGAUUCCUCCCUUAAAUACUCUCUCUCUCUUCUCUUUUAGAGUUCUAUUUAAAAUAAAAUACUAAUAUUUGAAAUAUUAAAUUCGUAAUAAAAAAAUAGCCAAAAAUACAAAACACGUUAAACUAAAAACUGCAAGUCCGCAGUUGACAGCACGCGCCCACGCCUUAUCAACAAAGUUCUUCUGCCGCUCAUAAUUUCUCCAAGAAAACAAUCAUCCUUAAACAUCAUCUUAUAGCUCAAUUUUAUCACCAAUCAAUAGAAUUGCACCUACAAAAGUAAAACACAAGUAAAUCACUAUUAUUAAAUGCAAAACAUCGAUAUUAAGGGAAGUAAACAAUGCAAAACUAGUGCAUAAAUUGCACUCUAACACGUGCCUUCAAUGUGCUCUUAUUUGAGGUUUUUGCUUUAAAUCCUUACAUAUGGAUAACCAUCAAAAAUUUAAUUUCGGACUUGUAACUUAUAACUUGUCCAGAAAAUAGCUCUCAUUUACAACUUGCGCUUUAGCUAUUUAUAUAUGUUUGGGCCUUUGAUGGAUAAACAUCCUUGGUGUUUUUAUUACCAUCUAUAAUAUUUGGUUAGCAAUAUUAUUAAAGACCUUUGCUAAAGGUGCAGAGCACCAUUUACCAACACUAAAGAUAUUAAAAUUUAUAUAUAAAAUAAAUCAUAUUAUAUAAAAUAUGUAAUCAACAAAUAAAUGGUACCAUAAAAGUUUAAGCAAAGUCAUAUCACUGUAUCAAGGAAAUACGAUCUCAUGCUAACCCAAGUUCCAUCAAUCCUUCGGUCAAGCAUGUUGUGUGCUAAUAUAUGACUAUGCUAUAUAUUCUAUAAUAUGUAAUCUUAACUAUUUUCUAUUAACGACUUAAUAAGUCAAAACCCCAUCCAUCAGAUUUUUGAAGUCAAGUAGUGGAUUUAAAGGAUAAAUAUAAAACUGAGGUAUUAGAACAAGUGCACCUGAGAUUGUGCUCUGCAUUAUUUCAUUAGUACUUCAUCAAACAAAUCUCGAGCUUGACUCUGCUUUGCUCCCUUCUUAGAAUUAUUCUUGCAAUAUUUUAACAUGGGCACAAAACGGAUAAAAUAUGAAGGAAACAAAAAUCCAACUUCAUCAAUUCUUUGAAGCUUGAAGACAUGCCUAUCAAGCAUAUAUGUAGUGUAUGUAGUGUAAUCAGCAACAAACUCACUUUUGAACUUUCAUAUCCCUUGAGGCGAUUUAACGAAUAGCUCCUGAUUUGAAUUUUAACAAUUCGGCCUCAACUUGUAAUGAACCGAGUUUCAUACCAGAAUUGUCUAAAUACUUUCCCUGCAUAUUCUUCACAUGAAAACUAGCAGCAUGAUUGAUUGAUGGGGUGUAAAACCAGCAGGAAAUAUCUUGAAGAAACCACAGAUCCGUGGAUUUUUUAUGCUUACCACCAAAUGAAUUUAACAAUUUGUGUGAUCUUUAUUUUAAGAAAUUGAACAUUGCUAAUACCGCAAAUCGAUUGCUCUUUUGAACAGACUUUAUAUCUUGAGUUCGAUGAAAAGAGAACAAUCAAUCAAGAAAUAUAAAUACAUCAGCAAAAUAAUGAUGGUAGCAGCAUUACACAUCUAAUUAGCCAUAACGAAGCUGAAUAAUUAGCCAUAAUAAAUCUGAAAUGUUAACAUUAUGUCAAGCAUGUUGUUGGAAAAUACUAAAUUAAUUCAUUUGCAAGUAUAAUAGCAUGUAAUCUUGAAUUAUGAAUGAAGCCCAUUCUAACAAGCUAAUUUUGUGAAGGAACAUUAUCAACGAAUUCCAAGGGAUAAUAUUCAAUUUCAGCAAAUAUAUCAUGCACGGUAUUGAAACAUGCAUGUUAUUAAAGAAUUUCCAAGCAUCUCUCAGUUGAUAAAUCAAUCAUCAUAGCAAUUGGAAAUUGAAUUUUAAUGACAAUAUACUUAAAGCAAUAAAUAAGCCAAAACCUUUACAGGUAAGCAUUCCAUCCAGCCUUGAUUGGCUUCCGUGUUUGAGCCAGCUUAUCAAUUUGUGCAUGAUAAUAUUAUGCCUUUGGCUUGGCCGGAUGCAAAAUUGGUAGAGACAAGAAGUUGGCUUUUUGUAUCGAUUCCCCACAGACGGUGCCAAAUGUUGAUGCCCAAAUCUGAUCUAGUCUAUUAGCGACUUAAUAUCAAACUUCUACACCAGCAUUAGAUUUAUUUGGUAGAGAAUCGAUUGGUCAAUCGUCAAGAUGUCCUGCAACCACUAGCGAUUAACUUGCGAAUAUUUAAAAUCAUAGAAGACGGUCAGAGGCGCCGAAAGUUUUUCCGGCGUGAACCCUCCGACGCUCAAGUCAGUUUCUGGGCCUUUGCCAAAAAACUUGUGCUACCACUCAUAUGGCUUAAUAAACAUUACCUUAAAAACCAAAAGUUUUUUGAGUAAUUUGCAGAAAAAUGAAAUAGAGUGUAAAAGAAAGGAUUUUCCAUGAGAGGAAGAGAGAAAAAGAUGCCCUGCAGACCCCGAAAAAAUAAAUAAAUCCUCCUUUUAAGGUCAUGCCCCACUCCCCUCUUUUCCCCUUUGUUCUCCUCCACUUAUUGAAGUUAAGGAUGAGAUAAAAGUAAUGCCUCCACUGUCCAUUUUUUUUCUCCUUUUUCCGUUACCAAACACCUACAAAUCUUAUCCCUACUAAUAUCCUCUAUAAGCCAAUAUUCUUCUAAAAUUAUUAAAUGCCAUUCUUCAUUCAAGCUUUCAUGGACAUUAUUUACAAAUUGUUCUUGUAUUUGACAGAAAAAUGAAAACGCCUCGUCAUACAAAACUGGAUGAACAAAUCUUCUGUUUAAUUGUGAUAAAAUAAUAAAUUCCAUUAACAGAUUCAGCUGUAUGUUAAUGUGAGGGAUUUGAUCAGAUGAUCAUAUAAUUUACUACACGCUUUAAGAAGAACAAGAAUUGAUGACUUAAAAAUUAAAAAAUAAACAAAUAAAGAGUAGAUACAAAGAAUGUUAUUUGCAAUCACCAAACUGAAGAACAUGGGAAUGAUAACAGAGGACGGUUGAUGCAACAUUAUGAAGUCAAAAUUAAGAAAGGCCUUUUUUCCUUUUUUUUUUUUACAUUAUUCUAUUUAAUCUUACAUAAGGCGCACACUACGAAUAUAAAUUAAAUUCAUAAUUAAGAAUAAACGAUAAACCCUAACAAUCAUCUAGCAAGUACCGUGUAGACUGCAUCAAAAAUUUAGAUUUAAAUUUUUACAAUCACCAAAUGGAAAAACAGGGGACUGAAAACAAAGGAGCCCUGUUUCCAGAAACCGGGGAGUUUCCGGGUUUCUGGAAACAAACUCAGAAACGAAUGAACUGGCUGCCGGCGGUACUUUCUAGAUAAAUCGCUUGGUGUAUAUAAGCUUUCAUGGUCUGGUUUUAGUCUGGUUAGGUUCAGCCACUGUGACUGUUAGGGAUUCUCGUAAACUGAAUUUAAAGUUGCGGCUUAAAGUGUUUACCAACUUAAAACCAGAGCUAUAAAGUGUUUGAUGAAUUAUUUUUUAAUUUAAAAAAAAAAAACUGAUUUAGCGGGAUAAAAUAAUGCUCCAUUCCGUUUAGUAUGUGAAGUCCAGAGUAUUACCUACUACUAACUAAAUCCGCUUGAUUCACAAGACUACCAAGAGAUAACUGAAUCUUCAAUGUAAUAAAAUAAUAAUCAGCCUCACAGGAUACAUAAAAAGCUCAUUUAUCACAAUCAUAUCCUAGUGCAUCAUAAAUUUAGAUUAUUUACUUUUACUAUUAGGAAACCUACUUAUAUAAGGCGCAAACCACAAAUUCUAAAUUAAAUACCUAACUAGGAAUAAAAGAUAAACCCUAACAGUCAUACACCAGGUGCCGUGUAGCCUGCAUCAUAAAUUCUGAUUUAAAUAUUUGCAAUCACCGAACAGAAAAACAGGGGAACGAAAACAGAGGAGCCCUAUUUUUCCAUUUUUUUAACCCUUAACUCUUGCUCUUCUAAUUAUAUUUUUCCUUGGAAUUUCAAGUAUGAGAUGAAUUUGGAGAAAGUAAAUAAAUUUGAAUUACGUGAAAAAUUCUAAUUUUUUUAACCCUUAACAGUUGGUAUAUUUUUUUUAGGUCAUAUAUUAAUAAUUUCUUUUAAAAAAAAUUUAUAAUAUCAAUUAAUAUUAUAACCUACAGAUUAAUACAGAUAAAAAUAUGAUUGAUUUAUCUCCACCACCUAAGUCUUAGCCAAAUUUAAUUAAAGAUUAAUUUAAUAAAUUACCGAAAAUAAUAAAGUAAACGAAAAAUAAAGCACGCAAUUAAGUAAUCAUGCUUCUAAAGGGCUAAUUAACCAUAAUAGGCAUAGGUAUUAAUUUGACUUCUAUGAAAGUCCCUUCUAGUUUCUCAAAAUUCAAAAAUUACAAUAAAAAGCCAAAGAAAAAGUCAAUGCUUCUAAAGUAGAAAAGUUUGAGUACUAGAUAGGCUGCCCAAAAUACAUUUUCAUUACUCACAUAUCUCUAUAGAAAGUAAUUUUUUUAAUAAAAACAACCUAUUUGGCUAAUAUUCAGUCGUCUUUUUUGUUGAUGGAAUUAUCCUCUUAACAAUAUUUUAAAAAGUUUACAUGAAUAUUCCUUUUUUUUUAAAAAAAAGAAUUAAUAACGUGUAUUGUUAGGAUAAAAAUGAUCAUCAAUACGUAUGUAUAUAGGCACAAAUAUAUGAAAAAAAAUCAAGUUUAAGUACAAUGUAUAGGUCAAUGCCUAAGAGUCAAGCCUAAAUUAGGGCAACAUAUAACUACAAAAUACAAUUUCGUACACUACAAAAUUUUGAUAUCAGCAGUAGGGGUAUAAAAAAAUCAUUGUUGCCAAAAAUCCAAAAGCUAACUAGAGGUUUGGUUUUGUUUCAAAAAUUAAAAAAACAAGUCAAUUCGUAAAAUCAAAAACAGAAAAAGAAAAACAAAAUAUAGAGGAAUUUACAGUUUAAAAAGAAAAACCAAGCCAAAACGAAAUUGAAUCGAAAGUCGAACCAACUCAGUUCAGUUUGAUUUGAAUUUUAUUUUAUAAAAAAAAAUGAUCGGAACCAACUAAACUGUAUUAUGUUAUAAAUUAUUAUAUAACAUAAAUUUUUGAAUACCUUUGUGACGAGCACAAUUUAAAAUUUUAUGAUUUUAAAUUUUAACAUUAAUGGAGAGUUAAUACUCCACCAUUUUCCAAUUUUUACAAUACAUAUUACUAGUUUAGAUAUGCUGUAUAUUAUUGUUAUAAUUUUUCGAGCAAGAUAAUAUUUGUCAAUUGGUGUUAUGACAUCAAAAUACUUGGUAUUAGUUAGUGCUAAGUGCUUCUUUUUCUUAAAAAAAGCGGUUCCUUAGUUUUAAAACAAAAAUCAUUAUCCUGAAAUUCUCCAUUUGCUUUGUUAACAGAUAUAACAAAAUAAAGUGAUAAAAGUUUAAUUUAUAAAACUUCGGCAUUUAUAUCUAUCAGAUUCAACACUUUAGUGUCAUAGAUUUAUUUCGGUGGAGCACGAUGUGGGUCGGGCCAGGCUUAGAAUUUUAAGCACGAGAGCCUUAAAAAUAUGAUAUGAUUAGAGAUGGACUGAGCACAGCACGAUGAAAAUGCCCACAAUAAGCACAUUAUAUUUUUUUUUUAUUGAAAAUAAACUUAAAAUUUUAUGUUUUAUAAAUAACUUGAAGUUGAAUUUUUUAAAUUCAUUUAAUUCUUAGUUUAAAAAAAUAUUAUAAUUAAUUUAUAUUCAUAAUUUAUUAAAUAAAUAAUUGAUAUCAUGAUUUUAAUGAAUAAAAUUAUAAAUAUCACGAUUUUAUAAAUAUGCAUUAAUAUUAUUGUGAACUAUGAUCUAUGACUCUAUGUAACUCUAAGUUAACAAUUAAGUUAGCCCUUAAGAAAAUAUUAUUAUUAUUGUUGUUGUUGUUGUUGUUGUUGUUGUUGUUGUUGAGUAUUAAAAAAAUUAUAAUACUAAGAGAUCAAACUUAGUAAUUAAUAUUAAAUUUUCUUACUAUUAUUAGUUUAUUAUUAUUGAAUAUAAACUUGAGUUUUGAUUUUUUGAUUCUAUUAAAUUUGAAUAAAAGUAUAGACCUAAGAAAAAUAUAUAGACUUGAAAAAAAUAUGCCAACAGUUUAGUAUGCCCCUUAAAAAAUUUAAAAAAAAAAAGAAAAAAACUUAGUGAGCUUUUUUUCUUAGGCAUGGCACGGCAUGUAUCGGCAUGUGUGCUAGGCCGAACCUAAACAAAAAAAUAAAUAAAUAAAUCUUGACACGACACAACACAAGCAUAAGCACGCAUGGGCCUUACUUACCGCCCGACCCAUUGAGCAUCUCUAACUGUAUCUAUCUCCGCCAUAAUAAAUUAAACAUCGGGUAACUACUAGACUAGGCAUUAGCACAUAAACUAACUAACUAUAGUACCAAAAAGAAUGAUGCGACAUUGUAAAAGAGAUGGGGCAAAGGGCAGAAUGGGAAACGAAUGAACCAAAUAAUAGUAUAUAAUAAUAUGAAUUUGGUAAAAAUAAAAAAUAAAUAAAGUAAAGUGGUGACACGUACCUCCUUUUAUUUCUCGAUCGAGUAGUGCAGAAAGUGGAGUGUGUGUGUGUGUGUUAAUUGUGAAAUGUCAGCCAAUUUUUUCUCUCUCAUUCUGAAACAGCUCAGCAGGAAUGGUGUACACUAGAGACGUCUGUCUGUCAGUCAGAACUGCCAAAAGAGCAAAACGGGUGCACGUACAAAUUAAAGCAGCCAAUCAGCGAUAUAUUUCAGUUACUUAAAGCUAGCACAGAGGGAACAAGCAAUGUGCAGGGCCAAAAGAGAUGAGACCCCUGAACCCGAACCCUCCUGAAUGAUCUGAUCACAUCUGAUUCGAUGUCUCGAGUCAUUAGAUUUAACAUAUUUUAAAAAUAUUUCUCAGUUAAUAUGUGAUUUAAUUAAAGGUCAAGUUUACAUCUGAAACUGAACUUAUUAAAAAUUAAUUUGAAAUAACAUCUAAGCUAUCUAUUUGUUUAUAAUAAAAUUUAAUUGUCAUAUCAGAAUUAUUUUCCGUUAGACUUUACAAUAAGUUAAUCCCAAAUAAAUUGACAAUUUCAAUUUUAAAGUUAGUUUGUAACUUUAAAAUAAUUUUCUAAUAAAAAUUUAAUCUGAAACAUCUGCAAUAAUAUCAAGUAUUUUGAUGUCAUAACACCAAUGUUUCACAUGCACACACAAGUCAUAUAUAAGUUAAUAAAAACAUCAUUUGUUAUUAACAAAAUCAUGUUAAUUUUUAAUUCUUAAAUUAACUCCCUGUUAAAUUUUGGCUAAAUCAUUAUUGCAAUUUAUAAAUUAAUAUUUAUAAAAAAUUAUGAAUCAUCCAAAAAGCUGCUUGAUAUAGAUUAAUUUCAUGGUCAUCAAUUUUUUUUUUAUUUAUACACCUUUAAAUUAUCACUUGUAUCAUAUGAAAAGACUAUAUUACCCCUCUAACAUCAUCAUAUUUAAACGGCAACUAAGCUAUGGUGAACGACAUUAUAUUUUGUCAACUUAAGAUGAAUGACUGAUAUACGCUAAAAGUAUUGUAGUAAAUUUGAUAAUAAAGUAUACAAUUGAUAAUUUUCCUAUUUAUAAUUUAUCCCCUUAAUUAUGAGUAAUUUUGUUUUUGUCUUCAUUUGUCCCUUUCCUACAAAACCAUUACUAAUGUACAAGUUACAUAUAUAAAACAUUCUUCUUUAAUCAAGUUUGGAAUAUUUUCAUCCUUAUGUAAAAUUAUGCAUAUAUCUUUUGAGUUUCUCAAUUGUACUUGAAAAAAAAAAUUACAUUUAAUCACGGUUGGUUAUCCAUAAAAAAUUUUAGGUGGAAAGUUCACGCGUUUUAAAAUUUAAUUGUGGAAUUAUAUUACAUUUAUUAUUUAGUUUCAAUUUAAUCAUGUAUCAAAUUCAUGUUUUAAAACAUGUGGAAAUUUAUAAUAUAUAAUGAUUCUAUGUAAAUAUAUUAUCUCAUUUCUUCAUUCUUUUGUUAUUAGUUCUCCUCCACUGCAUUAGAUAUAUUUUGAAGUUUUCUAAUGUAAAUGUUACUAACAAAUACGCAUUGAAUAAUUAUCGGGUAGUUUAUAUUAUAAUUUAAUAAUAGCCACAACAUAAAUGUACAAUUUGGUGAUAGUAAAUGACAUUACAUGAAAAUGAAAUCAUCAUGUUGCAAACAAGAUGCAACCAAGGGAUUGCAAACAAUGUUAAGUUACUAUUGGGUCACUUGAACUCCUGGGCUCUCUCCUGUGUAAUUUAUAUUAGACUGUCGCGUACAAAACGCAGACAUAUAUAUACAUACAAGUAGUGCUUUGGCAACAGACACAAUAACCAAGAAGCAGCCCUUGUUUUCAAAUUCAUUCAAAUGCCAGCCUGCAGUUUUGAAUCCUUCAAAUGCCAGCCUGCAGUUUUGAAUCCUUCAAAUUGUGCUCCACCUUUUGAGGGGACGAUGAAGAGUGAAAGAAGAGACAAAUGGCAGAAUAUCAUCCAUUGCAAUGCCUCGUUUCUUAUAUUUCCAUGCCCGAACAGCAAAUUCCACCAAUCUUUUUGCUGCCUUUUCCCUAUCCACUACUGAAGAAACAAUCUCCACCGCCUCUUGGUUCGAAAUCACAUCCCAAACCUGAAGAACAAUCCAUAAUUGAUCUUUCAAACAUUGACAUUAGUUCAGAUCAAAAGAUAAUUCCAAUAUGUGGAUACGUACCCCGUCCGAUGCCAGAAUGACAAAUUGGUCUCGUGUUGUUAUGUUUCUUUGCGUUACAUGGAGCACGGAGAUUAGGCCAUAGUCCUUGACACAGUAAUCACCCAAGGCUCUUGAUAUGGCUAGUCCCGGAGUCUCACCAUUCGGCAUCCAGACUCUGUAUACGCCCGGCUCAUCAUUUAAGCAAAACACAAGCCCUUUGGACUGCGUUAUUCGCUCCGCUUCCUCUGUAUAGGCCAGUGAAGACAAGAACCCGUACGCAGACCUUAAAACACACCCAUAUAUACACCUACACGAGGCAGAAAUAUUUAAGAGAAGAUGAGAUAAUUGAGAUCUGAUUGGUAAAAUAUUGUUAAUUAGUAAAAAAUAAUUAAUAUACUUGCUAUUUAAGUAUUUUACUAAUAUUUUAAACAUCGGUAUUCAAUGAUGUUAAUAUGUGAUUUUAAUAUUAAAUUUAUGUUCUCAUUUAUAACAGUAUGGUCAUCAGUAUUCACAACACAUCAUAUAUUAAUGUAUGGGUUUAUUAAUAUUAACAAACAUUUAUUUCCAAAUAAAUAUGGUAGCCUUAGUAUUUAAGAAUAUUCUUUAUUGUCUAGUCGUCUGUCCAAGGAAGAACGGGCCAUCAUCAAAUUUAUCAAGGGCCUUCUCUAAGUAAUCAAAAGCAGGACCUGUGACAAAUUAAAACUUUUUCCGUGAGUUCAGCACAUAUAUAUACAUAUUCAAAAUGCAUUCUAUUAUAAACAAGUAAGCAAGUUUCAAAUCCUACCAGCUUGUUUUGCUGGGUCUCCUUUGAAUGAAGUAUACACAUCGUUGGUGAAGGUAUCGAUGUGGGAAAACAGUUCAUCAGCAAACUUUCGUUUCUCAGGAUCCUACAAUAUUUUCACAACAUUACUUUACUCAAAGUUGAGAGAGAGAGAGAGAGAGAGAGAAGCUUUUAUUAAAAGCAACAAUGUAAUCAGCAAAAUCUUACAUCAGGUAAAAGUGAAGGCCCUUCAAAAUUGCUGUCAACAUAUUUAAUCAAAUCAAGAGAUUCUCCAAUAACUUUGCCAUUGUGCUCCAGUGCUGGAACCUGUAAAGAAGAACUCUAAUAGGUAAAUAUACUUCAUAACUCCAGCAAUGAUCUCUAAUCUUGCACGAAAAUGUAACAAUCAGUUUAACUCUUUCGUUGUGUUUUCUUGCAAGCAAGCAACUUGCUCAAAUCAGAAUAUGUUAAGAUUUUACUAGGCACACAAAGCACAAAGACACCAUUCCAAUUUUAUUCAGGAACUCCUCCGCACAGAUUACAAGCAUUUCAAUUUCAAAGAUGGGGCAUAAGUGUUGGAGAAUUAACAAAUAAAACACACAAAAAACACACUAUUUUAUUUCUUCAACAACACUCCUCACCAAUUACAACUCUUAUCUUUCACUCUCUACACCUUAGAGAUUUUGCUACUUCACUUGAUGAUUAAACCAAAGGGGAGAGGGGGUAUUUAUACAUGAAACAAACUAAUCACAACCAUUCAUUUAUUCAACUAAUACACAAAUCCUCACCAUCCAUUAAAACCUACCACUCACCUACUUCACCAACCACACCUAACACACCUAACACAAAUAAUUCAAACCUCACCAACCAUACCUACUCAUGGAACCUUCCAUGAGUUGGGCUUGAUUUGGAUCAAGUUUAUGAUCCAACACCUCCCCUUAAACUUGAUCCUGUGACACCAAGCAAACUUCUGAAUCUUAUAAAGUCUUCUUGCUUGAGUGGCUUAGUGAAGAUAUCAGCUGUUUGAUCAUGUGAUUUUACAUACUUGAUUUGCACUUCUUUUGUUGCAAUACACUCUCUUAUAAAAUGAUAGCGAGUGUCUAUGUGUUUACUUCGAUCAUGAAAGACUGGAUUCUUGGAUAGGGCAAUUGCUGAUUUGUUAUCAACACAAAUCUCGGUUGGCUCUUCUUGUGCCAAACUCAACUCCUUCAGCAAAUUUCUGAGCCAAAUUGCAUGACAAACACUUGAUGUGGCAGCUACAUAUUCAGCUUCACAGGUGGAUAGCGUGACAAUUGGUUGCUUCUUUGACAUCCAUGUGAAAGCAGUAUCUCCCAUGAAGAACACAAAUCCUGUGGUGCUCUUUCAAUCAUCUACAUCUCCACCCCAAUCGCUAUCGCUAUAUCCAACAAGCUUAUAGUCAUUAGAAAAUGAGUACAGCAAGCUGAAAUUAGUUGUACCUUUGAUGUAGCGAAGGAUUCUUUUUGCAGCUUUAAAAUGGGUGGUCUUUGGAUUCUCCAUGUAUCGGCUCACAAGUCCAACAGCAUAAAGGAUAUCUGGUCUUGUGCAUGUCAAAUAACGUAGGCUUCCAACCAAACUUUUAAAGAAUGUUGGAUCUAUAUCUUCGCCUUCAUCAAGUUUGGAUAACUUGACUCCGCAUUCCACUGGCGUGCUUAUAGGCUUGCAAUAAUUCAUCUUGAUCCUUUUGAGAAUCUCCUUUGCAUAGCUUUCUUGGGAGAUAAAUAUGUCUUCUUCCUUUUGCUUGACUUCAAUGCCGAGGUAAUAUGCCAUCAGUCCGAUGUCAGUCAUCUCGAACUCUUUGAUCAUCACUCUCUUGAACUCUUCAAACAAGCUUGGAUUACUUCCAGUAAAGAUGAGAUCAUCCACACACAGGCACACAAUCAAAAUAUCUCCAUCUUUUUCUUUGACGUAGAGAGCAUGUUCAUAUGGGCAUUUAGUGAAGCCUUUCUCUUGAAAAUACUUGUCAAUUCUGCUAUUCCAUGCCCUUGGUGCUUGCUUUAACCCGUAGAGAGCUUUCUUCAAUCUCAAAACUUUGUCUUCAUGUCCUUUCACCACAUAGCCUAUUGGUUGUUCGAUGUAAACUUCUUCUUCAAGGAAUCCAUUCAAGAAAGCAGACUUCACAUCCAUUUGAAAAAUCUUCCAUUUGUUCUGAGCAGCCAAAGAAAUAAUAAGUCUAAUAGUUUCAAGUCGAGCUACAGGAGCAAAUACCUCGUCAUAGUCUAUGCCAGCCUUUUGACUAUAGCCUUUUGCAACUAGCCUUGCCUUGUGCUUUUCAAUUUCUCCCUUCGCAUUUCUUUUUGUUUUAUACACCCAUUUGACACCGAUCGCCUUGUGACCUUUUGGAAGAGUAGUAAGCUCCCAAGUAUCAUUCUUCACAAUGGCUUUGAUUUCUUCAUCCAUUGCAGUUCUCCACUUCUCAUCUAGUAUAGCUUCUUAGAAGUUGACUGGCUCACAAUCAGCAAAGAGGCAAAAGAGAGUGAGAUUAUCAUGUCUCUCAGUUACCUCAUAGAGAUCUUGAAGACUCCUUGUACGUUCUUCGAUUCUUUCAUUUAAGAAAGACGGCGGUGAAUCUCUGCAUGUGGUUGGUGCUGGUGAGAUAGGUGGAGUAGCAAGCUAUUGUUGUUCGUCUACUUGUUUUAUCUGUGUAUGAUCAUUUUCUUCAAUGGGAAAGAAGUUGAAGUCAUCCACACCAGAGCCAAAAUCCCAUUCUCCUUCUUCAUCAAAAAUUACAUCUCGACUGAUCACGAUCUUCCCGUUGUUUGGAUUGUAAAGCUUGUAUCCUUUGGAGUUGUUGUCGUAGCUGAUGAAGAUGAACUUCUCACUUUUGUCAUCCAGCUUGGCUCUACUUUCGUCUGGUACAUAUACAUGGGCAAUGCUUCCGAAAACUCUUAGAUGGGUGAUGCCGGGUUUUCUUCCACUCCAAGCUUCUUGUGGCGUCUUGCCCCACACGCUUCUUGUUGGAGAUCGAUUGGAUAAGUAGACUGCACAUGCAACUGCUUCAGCCCAAAAUUCUUUAGGUAGCCUCUUACUCUUAAGCAUGCUUCUUGCCAUGUCGAGGAUGGUUCUGUUCUUCCUUUCUGCAACACCAUUUUGUUGGGGGGAUCUUGGAACUGUCAAAGGGCGUCGAAUUCCAUUUGCUUCACAAAACUCUAAAAAUUCUUUGGAAGUGAACUCACCACCUCGAUCAGAUCUCAUGGCUUUAAUCUGGUAUCCACUUUCUUUUUCCACUGCAGCUUUAAACUUCUUGAAAGCUUCAAAGACUUCUGAUUUUUGCUUCAAAAAAUACACCCAAGUUUUUCUUGAAAAAUCAUCUAUGAAGAGAAGGAAGUAGUUACUUUUACCAAGGGAGUUUGGCUUGAAUGGACCGCACACAUCAGUAUGAAUAAGCUCGAGUGGCUUCUGAGCUCUUGAGUUUGACUCCUUUGGAAAGCUCUUUCUGAACUGCUUGCCAAGUAAACAUCCUUCACAAAGUUGAUCAGGGUGAUUGAUGUAUGGUAAGCCUUUCACCAUGUUCUUCUUAGAUAGUAGCUCCAGUCCUCCAAAGUUGAGAUGCCCAUAUCGAAGAUGCCAAGUCCAGGAUUGAUCUUUGUGACAGGCUUUGAGACAUUUUGCAACAUCAUUUUGAAUAUUUAAUGGAAACAUUCUAUUCUUUGACAUUUUCACCUUUGUAAUUAGAUUUCCUUUAUCAUCUCUUAGGAAAAGACUAUAAUCUUUUAAGUGAAUAUCAUAGCCUUUUUCAAAAAGUUGACCCAAACUAAGAAUGUUGCUUUUCAUAUUGGGCACAUAGUAAACAUUCGAAAUUAUUUGGUGACUACCAUCUUUUGCACGAAAAAGAAUGUUACCUCUACCCUUCACUGGUACUUUUGAAUCAUCUCCAAAAGCAACACUGCCAUUCACAGAUUCACUUAGCUGCACGAACAUGCUUUUGUUCCCACUCAUAUGAUUGCUAGCACCUGUGUCAAGAUACCAUGUAUUUUCUUGACCCCCACUUGUGUCAUUGCGUGCUAGUAAAAGUGUGCCAUCUUCACCAUUUUUCUCUUCAGCAUAGUUCACUCUCUCCUCAAUUCUAGUGCUUGGAGCUCUGCAUUCUGAAGCAUAAUGCCCAAACUUUUGACAAUUAUAGCACUGUACUUGAGAUUUGUCAUACCCUCGAUCUUGGAUUGCCUCUGCCUCGUCCUCUGCUUGAGCUUUCUCCUUUUGGCCAUAAUUGGAGUUGUUAUUGAAAUUCCCAACCCUCGUCCAUGACCCACGACCUCUACCUCGUCCCUCGACCUCUACCUCGGACAUAGUGUCUUCUCUCGUUGUCGGAGCUUUCUUCUCUUUUCUUUGGAUUGACUUCCAUCUUGAGAAGUUGUUCUUCGAUUCCCUGCUUCUUUUUUUGUUUCUCUUCAUAGGCUUGUAACCUUCCUUAAAGUUGCUCGAUCGUCAUAUCUUCCACGAACCUUCUUUACUUGCUCCGCUCCUUUGUAAGAGGUCUCUAGUUUCUCCCAUGCUUCUUUUGAGGAGGUUGUACCAGCAAUCUUUUCAAAAGCAUCUUCAUCUAAUGAUUGAAAGAUGAGAUACUUUGCUUUAUUCUCUUUCUUCUUCAAGUCUUUUAAAUUCUCCUUCUGCGCCGCAGUUAAAGUGGCUUCAUUUUCUGGCACAAUAAAGCCUUUCUCCACGACAUCCCAUACGUCAUGUGCACCCAAUAGAGCUUUCAUUUUAAUACUCCAAUUGUCAAACUUACUUCCCUUUAAUUGUGGAACUUAAAAUGACAUCAUACCAUUGUUUGCCAUAACUCACAAAUUGAGUGAAAAUUUGGAGAUUCUGAAAGCACAGAUGGAUCCGGCACGUCGAAAAACCUUGGGAAGGACUCGAGUCAACUUUCAGUCAACGGUCAACGUCGGUCAACGGUCAACACCGGCUUGGUAGUCUUGGUUUGGUCCGGAUUGGUUCAGCUCCAGUUGGCUCGGUUCGACUCGGCUCGGUUCAGCUCGGCUCGGCUUGGUUCAGUUCGGCUCAGCUUGGUUCAACUCGGUGAGUCGACUCAGCUUCAGGACAGAAAACUUCCGAUGGCAAGUGUGGGUGCGUUCGGUCUCGGAUCGGGAUGAUUUUUGCGGCGUCACGUUCCUCUCGUCAAGAUCUUCGAUUUGAUAUGCUAUAUGACUAUAUAUAGCAUCAAACACUAGCUCUGAUACCACUUUGUUGGAGAAUUAACAAAUAAAACACACAAAAAACACACUAUUUUAUUUCUUCAACAACACUCCUCACCAAUUACAACUCUUAUCUUUCACUCUCUACACCUUAGAGAUUUUGCUACUUCACUUGAUGAUUAAACCAAAGGGGAGAGGGGGUAUUUAUACAUGAAACAAACUAAUCACAACCAUUCAUUUAUUCAACUAAUACACAAAUCCUCACCAUCCAUUAAAACCUACCACUCACCUACUUCACCAACCACACCUAACACACCUAACACAAAUAAUUCAAACCUCACCAACCAUACCUACUCAUGGAACCUUCCAUGAGUUGGGCUUGAUUUGGAUCAAGUUUAUGAUCCAACAAUAAGGACACAGAGUCACAUAAUUAGGCUAUUUGGUAUUGAGGUGCUGUAGUUUUUUUAGCUACAGCUGCCACGGACCCAAAAAAAAAAAACUGUAACUAUAAAAUAAAAGUUAAAAAUGCGUAAUAAAUAUGAAUUUUAAAUUAAGAUUUUGACAAAAAUAGUAGAAAUAUUAUAAUUUUACAAAACACUUUUAACUCUAUACCUUUUAAUCCACGGCCGCCCUACCUCAAUACCNNNNNNNNNNNNNNNNNNNNNNNNNNNNNNNNNNNNNNNNNNNNNNNNNNNNNNNNNNNNNNNNNNNNNNNNNNNNNNNNNNNNNNNNNNNNNNNNNNNNNNNNNNNNNNNNNNNNNNNNNNNNNNNNNNNNNNNNNNNNNNNNNNNNNNNNNNNNNNNNNNNNNNNNNNNNNNNNNNNNNNNNNNNNNNNNNNNNNNNNNNNNNNNNNNNNNNNNNNNNNNNNNNNNNNNNNNNNNNNNNNNNNNNNNNNNNNNNNNNNNNNNNNNNNNNNNNNNNNNNNNNNNNNNNNNNNNNNNNNNNNNNNNNNNNNNNNNNNNNNNNNNNNNNNNNNNNNNNNNNNNNNNNNNNNNNNNNNNNNNNNNNNNNNNNNNNNNNNNNNNNNNNNNNNNNNNNNNNNNNNNNNNNNNNNNNNNNNNNNNNNNNNNNNNNNNNNNNNNNNNNNNNNNNNNNNNNNNNNNNNNNNNNNNNNNNNNNNNNNNNNNNNNNNNNNNNNNNNNNNNNNNNNNNNNNNNNNNNNNNNNNNNNNNNNNNNNNNNNNNNNNNNNNNNNNNNNNNNNNNNNNNNNNNNNNNNNNNNNNNNNNNNNNNNNNNNNNNNNNNNNNNNNNNNNNNNNNNNNNNNNNNNNNNNNNNNNNNNNNNNNNNNNNNNNNNNNNNNNNNNNNNNNNNNNNNNNNNNNNNNNNNNNNNNNNNNNNNNNNNNNNNNNNNNNNNNNNNNNNNNNNNNCUGGAAAGAGCUCAAGCUAAUUAAUUGAUUUUUAUCUUUUGGAUGCACUUAAUUGUAAUUAACCGGAUCAAAUUUUGAAACCAAAAUAAUUCACGGGGCAUUCUAGCUUCUAGCUAAUUCAUCCAAAAAAAUAUAAAAUUAUAUAAAAAUAAUAAAAAUACGUGUGAUGUCAGCUUGAUGCGUACAUUCAAAGUUCCAAUUGAAAACAAAUAGAUAUUCAUUUUUCUUGUCAAAUUAUUGAAAGAGACAUCUCUUAAUUUCUUCCAUCACCAGCAACGGUUGAGUGACCUUGUCUUACAUUGUGCAGCAGCCUCCUCGAAGUUAAAAAAAAAAAAAAAAAAUAGCCCAUUAUCUUGGCUUUUGGCUGGAUCCAAAUUUUUGUUAAAUACAAAUAAAUAUAAUAUCAACUUAAAUAUUCCAAUAAACCUUCUAAUAUCUUCUUUGAACAGUUUUAUUUUUAUUUUAUGAGGAGGGAAGAGUAAACCAUUAAAACUAUAAUUCAUCAUAAAUUUAUUGUACCAAUUUUUUUUUUAAAUCCAUAAUUUUGUGAAAUAUAAAUUUUAAGAAUUGAAAAAUAUCAUUAUAGCUUUCAUAUCCAAAGUUAAUUUUGAUAUUUUUGUACAAUUACAUAAUCUUCAAAUGUGGAUAAUGUAAAAGAUGAAAAUUGUCAAAUUAUUAGAUAAUUGUUUUUACAAAAUUUUAACGAUCAGAAAAAUCUUAAUUUAUAUGUCUUAGUUUAAAGAAUUGGUAUUAUCAAAUGUUACUUAAAUGUAAAUAUAAUAUAAAUAUUUUGUGUAUUUAUAUGUUACGUUUAUGAUUUGAUCACUGUUUAUCUAAAUUUUAAUAAAAUCAGACAUAUUUAUGUAAUUUACUCAUAAAAAAAUAAUCCAUGAUUUAAUUUGCAAUGAUCAAAUUGUUGUAUUUUGUCAUAUCAAAAUACAUAUUUUUGUACAAUUACCCAUAAAGUUUAUGCUACAAUCAAGCUAUUUAUAAUAUAAGUGUGAUUUUUGAAUUUAAUAUUGAUAUUAGUAUUAAAUAUGAUAAUAGAAAAAUAUUUUAUUAGAUAUUAAUUGGGUCAUUUGUGUUAUUGUUUUUAAAAAUUAAUGACCUGCAACAUUAAUUGUCAAUAAUGGGUUUUUUUAAAACAUGCUGGUGCCCGGAUGUAAAUGCCGGUACCUCCCAAGUCAGUAGCCUUAUUAUAACAGUGUAUUCCCGUCAGCAUAUUGGCCUGCCCCUGUACCAUUACUCCAAUUGAUGCUGAAAAUAUAACAACAUCAGUGACCGCGUUGUCGUUUCCCGUGAUGUUUAUUCCGAUGCCGGAGAAAUCCUUUUCGCGAUCAUCCCCGCCGAUGUUGAUGUGUUGGCCGAUGAAGGAAUUUCUUAUAUACGUUUCGUGGCCAUCUUGGAUGGAAAUGCCAGCGGUAGUGAAAUGCGAAAUGUAACAAUUGUCCACUGUGGUUCUUAUUGAAUUUAUAAUGGCAAUGCCGCCACCCCUAAAAUUGGAGUCCAACAUAAGCUCCUUCAAAGUAAUGUAUUCGUAUAAUGACGAUGAUGAUGACGAUCUUAACUCUAUGAGAUGUCCGUUGCCCGAAAAAUCAUCCGAUGCUCGGAGGGACCCACCGUGUACCUAUGUAUACAUAUAUAGAUGUUAAAAGUAAGAAUUAAAGUAAGAAUUAAAUUUUAAAUUAAUAUGUGAUUUGGUAUGAUUCCUAGUUACAAAAUUUUGGCAUUUUGUAUUCGGUUUUGUAGUCCUUCAUAAGACUGGCAAAAAUCAUUAUCAAUUAAACAUUAUGUUGUUAUAUUUUUUUAAUGAUCUUUAUUUUAUUUGCUUUAAACAAUAUCUAUUUUUCAAAAACAAUACUUUUGACAAGCAAACCCUAAAGUGGGAUUGAAGCAGAGAUGAAAGAGAAAGCAUGCAUUUUGCACAUGUUUAUAAAAACAAGAGAGUAUAUUUAAUCUCAAUCUGUAAUUCUGUAUAAUGUAUUAUUCUUAAGUUUGAAUCAAAUUAUUCUUGAUUCCAUCUGCCAAUCCAUCUCGGGCCAUUGAAUUAUGCAUAGCUAUUAUGGUAAUGGUCUCUUUAUUCUCCUCACAAUCAAUUAAUUGUGAUGACCAUACUGUUCUCACGAUUCUCAACCGCAAAAAAUUUAAAUAUUGUAUUGUACAUUUUUAUAAACAAAUUUUAUGUCAUCUCCAUUAUUGUGGAAUUUUAAUAUCCUAAUACAAUAUUAUGAUAGUAAUUGGGUCAAUAUGGGUAUUGGGUCAUAUUAUCGUUAUAAAUAUUAAUUUAUUAUAACUGAGUGUGUAAAGUAUCUUUUUUUAUUGUUGUACCAUAUUUAACUUUUGGCUGCAAAUAUAUAUAUACUUAGCAUUAUUUAUAUCAAUAAGUUAAUAUAUAUAUCCUUUUCUUUAGCAUCAAAUUUAAGUUUUUAAAAAGUUAUGAUAAUUCACUAAUUUGGUAUUUAGGAAAUUAAAUCCAUAUCAAUUUAUUAGAUAUCUUAAACCGUAUGUAAAAAUAGAAUAUUGACCAUUAUUCUAUUAGUAAUAUAUCCAUUAAAGAUUUUGACGUGCUAUGGUCUAAAAAAAUUAACUUGGCGGGAUGUUAUGAUUAUAUUCAAGGUGAUAGGCAAGAAAGUUAUGAGGAGACCCCAUUGAAGCCUAUAUAUUAUAGUAUGCAUAAAGACUCAAAAAGUGCACUUGAAAUAACAGUUGUCACUGACAGGUUAAGAUAAGCUACCAAAUUGGCACUUAAAGGAAGAAAUUCUAGUAUUAGUGUCAUAUUUUAUGCCAUAUUAUGUAAUGCAUAUUAGUAAUGAUUUCUUCAUAAUAUCGCAUAUAUAUAAAAGUUCAUCCUAGCUAGAUGCAUUGUAGAUUUUGUAAGAAUUAUUUUACUCUGUCCAAAUGAGUUCACAUUAUUAUCCAAUUUUCCUUUUUUUAAGUUGAUUUAUGAAAGAAAAAAAAAAAUGACACCAAUGUUUUCCACGUCGCCGCAAGUCUCAUCGAUAAAAGUCCAUCUACAAAUUAGUUCAUAAUUCUUUUUGUAACUUCGCUAAAAGCUAGUCAAGUCAUUGCUAGCAAGCCUCAAAAGCACGAAGUACGCGAAUCACGGCGAUAACUGAUAAUAACUUGGUUGUCCGGUUUCGCAUACUAAUUAGCUUGAUUGAAAAUCGUGAAGUAUGGGGCACGACUAACGCAACGCAUACGUCUCAUGCAUUAGGCAAAUAUUGUACGCGACCCAUGUUGAGAGCACAAAUCCACUAUCUACAAGUACUAUAUAUAGAGCUGCAAUGCGUGCUUCAAGUAUUCACAACUUACCCCCAGCUGGCUAGCUAGCCUCUAUAAUUUGAAGGGAAAAAAAAAAAAAAAAAACCUUGUUCAACUUGCAAAUACCUACCAAUUAUUAUGGAGAAAAGCUUUGAUAUCAUUGCCCUGUCUAUGAUCAUUCUGGUGACUUAUUCAUCUAAAAUGGUGUCGGUCGCCGGCCGGUCGCUGCAUGAACCAUCCAUUGUUGAGAAGCAUGAAAAAUGGAUGGCUGAGCAUGGGCGCACUUACAAGGACGACCUGGAGAAGGAAAAGCGGUUUAAGAUAUUCAAAGAAAACCUUGAAUACAUUGAGAAAGCCAAUGAGGAGGCGAAUCGGACGUACAAGUUAGGCACCAAUGAAUUUUCAGACUUAACUAAUGAGGAGUUUCGUGCUUCAUAUACAGGAUACAGGGUGCCAAGCCAGUCAUCUUCAUCACGGCAAUCCACAACAGCAUCCUUCAAGUAUCAAAACCUGACUGACGUUCCAACUAGCAUGGACUGGAGAGAGAAAGGAGCUGUCACUCCUAUUAAGAACCAAGGUCAAUGUGGUAAGUAAAUCGUAUACUAAAUAUUUAUGAAGUAACUAUAAUAGAUUAUUUAGCCUCCAACCUCUUUCAGAACUCAAACUCAGUUGACCAUCAGCUAAUUAAUAAAAACAGCUUGACAACCGUCUGCCAAACCCCUGCUGGGGCAUGUUUCAUGUAACUUAAUCAAGCCUUUUUUUUUUUUUUUUCCCUUAAUAUGUACGAUGCAGGAGACUGUUGGGCAUUUUCAACUGUGGCGGCGGUGGAAGGGGUGACUGAGAUUAGUAGUGGUAAUCUUAUUCCACUUUCGGAGCAGCAAAUACUAGACUGCUCAAUAGAUGGUAACCGUGGAUGCGGUGGCGGUUGGAUGGACAAUGCCUUUAAAUAUAUUAUAAAAAACCAGGGUAUUGCCUCAGAAGCGGAUUAUCCAUACAAGGAAGUCCAAGGGACUUGUGAAGACGCACAGGUCAAGGCAGCUGCUAAAAUUAGUAACUUUGAAGAUGUAAAACCCAAUGAUGAGCAGGCUUUACUCCAAGCUGUAGCCAUGCAGCCAGUAUCAAUUUGCAUUGAAGGAAGUGGACCAGACUUCCAGAGUUACAAAGGCGGUAUUUUUAACGGAGGAUGUGGAACUCAGUGUUCUCAUGCUGUUGCUAUCGUUGGAUAUGGGGCAACUGAAGAUGGAAUGAAGUAUUGGUUAAUUAAGAAUUCAUGGGGGGAGAGCUGGGGUGAGGCCGGCUACAUGAGGAUUCUCAGAGAUGUUGAAGCACCUGAAGGUCUCUGUGGCAUUGCCACUAAACCUUCCUACCCAGUUGCAUGAGUAGCAGUAUUUUAUAUUAUAAUAUUAUUAGCCGCCUCUUAGUAAUGAUGUCUUCAAGCCUACACAUGCAUUAGCCUCGAAAGGCUUAUACGAACCGUAUGAAUCGUAUGAUUCUGUGGUUUUACCUAUGUUGAGUAUUUCAUAAGUUGUAAUUGAACGCCAAUAUUUGGUAUUAGUUAAUGUUAAAUCUCUCGUUUAAAUAUAAGUUUGAUCUUUGCAGUAAUUAGUCAUUUACAUUUAAUGUCACGGAUACUCAAUUCGACCAAGAAAUACAUAGUUUAUAUCUUAGUUACUCUGAUAUUUUAUGUGGCAUGUUAUAUGUAGUUCAUUGAUCAAGUUGUAAGAAUAGUAUGUAAAUAAUUAAUAAUAAAUUUAUUUAUUAUCAUUUAUGAGACAAUAAAUGAUUAGUGGAACAUUAAUUAAAAUACAAACUAUUAUUAUUUAUUUAAGAAAUAUAUAUUGGUCAAUGAAAUUAAUGCAAGACAAAAAGUAACUGAAUUUUGAUUACACGCUUGAUGUCUGGAAGUACAAUGAUUAUGAAUUUGUGUUUAAUUAGGUCAAAGUUUUAAGUUAAAAUAAUCAAACCUAUAUACUCACACUAACUUUUAAAGUUUGAGUGGAAUUUGCCCGCUUUAAUUGGGGUCUCAUACAGCAAAAAAUUUUUGGCCAUCUUGAAUUUCUUUUUCUAUUUACUUAUAAAAAUUUAAAGGCUUGGUAAUUUCCCUCCCCCAAAUUCUGUCUUUAUUCCUAAGUAAAUUAGUUAGUCAUUAUUUCAAUAAUUAAAAUUAUUCUAAGUUCUAAAUUUUGGGCGUGGAGGGAAAGUUAAGCGCAAGUAGCCGUGACUGAUUAAUAUUAAACAAUAUAAUUUAAUGCAUUUUUUUCUUCAUCUAUUUUUUUAAUAUUAGUUUUUGAACAAAAUAGUAGAACGAUAGUUAGAAUUUAUUAAUCAAAUUUUUUUACUUUCAUAUCCAUAUUAUAUUGUCAAUAAUAGUGUCAUGUAAUUAUAAUUAAAAGUAUUUGCAAAUAAUUUUGAAAGUCGACCGCCUCAUCAAAAACUCAGGAUGGCCGAGUGGUCUAAGGCGCCAGACUCAAGUCUGGUCUUCGAAAGAGGGCGUGGGUUCAAAUCCCACUUCUGACAAUGUAAUUUUUUAUUUUUUAUUCAUUUUUUUACAACGUUACGACUAAACGACGUCAUUUUCAUUAAACGGCAAGUCGUUUCAGUCGUCUUCUUUAACGGAAUAAAAAAUAUCUAAACCGAAGACCAAUGUUUCCAAACCCGCUAUAAACCCUACAGAUAACCCUCAUUGCCACUCGCAUCACUGAGUUCUUAACCUGAGUUAAAAUGGCCGAGUCCGCAUCCGAACUCAGUGAGUUCCGGAUUUUUCCGGCGGACUCACCGCCACCACAACCGAAUUCAACCGGAGUUCCGGUUCAUAAUCUAACACCAGAGGAGCUCGUGGCCAAAGCCAUAGCUCCAGUUAAGAAACAGUUUCUUCGUCAUUAAAUUCCAAAAUAAAUUUUAACAUAAUAAUUAAUUCUUUUAAUAGAUAAAAUUUUCUAUAUGCACGAUUGAAUUCAGCCCCAAAAUGUUAAUUAAAAAACAAUUAUCCAAUAUUCAAGAUAGUUUGAAUCGUCAUUCUCAUAUCGUUAUAAUGUCAUGAAAUAAUUGUACAAAAACAAAUGACCAAUAAAUUCACAAACGUAUAAUAUUGCCUAAUGUAAAUAACUUAUUAAUUAAUAUUGAUAUAUUAUUAAUUACUUAAUGUUUUACCUUUUUAUAAAACAUAAAAUUAUGUUUACUUCCAUUCAAGAUAUCCCAAAAAAAUUAAUCUUUUUGGAUGAUUCAUAAUUUUCAAGAGGAUGUUUUUACACCAUACCAUCGUCAAAUUGAUAAGGGCCAUGUUAUUUUUUAUUUAAUUGAUUUAAAUUUCAACUAGAGAGCUAUUGGAAUCGAUCACUGUAAAAGUUAAGUUGUGAUGUAAUCACACAAUCUUGAGAUCUGCUAUUAGAAAAAUAAUUGAAGAACCAAAUCCCAAUGAAAAUACAUCCAAAAUGAUGUCGUUUUGAAUUUGUUCCCAAAAAAAAAAAAAAAUUAAACUCACUAAAAAACAACAUGUGUGUUUUUGUUAACCUUUUAUCGAAUUGUAAUUUAAAUAUUUAUCAUGUACUUUUAUAUUCUAUUCAGGGCUGGCUCAACCAUAUUUGAGGCCUUAGGCAAAUGGUUUUAAUUAGUUUUUCUUAAAAUUUAGGACAAAAAAUAUGUUUAUUAGUUAUGAGUGAUGAUACAGCCACAAACUCUUGUACAAACUGACGUGGUAUUAAUUCAUUGGUUGAAUGAAAAUAUAAAAUAAUAAAAACAAAUCACGUGAGCCAAGUGAUAUUUAAUUCAACCAAUCUUAUCAUGCCACAUCAGUUUGUACAAGAGUUUGUGGUUAUAUCAUUACUCAUUAGUUAUAUAAUAUUUAUUGAAAAUCAAUUCUUUAAACACUCUCUAAAAUGUAAAAUUAUUAAAUAAAAUUAUAUUACACUAUUGUCAAUCCUUGAAAUUUUAAUUCAAUUAUAAUAUUUUUACUUUUUUUUUUAACUCAAAUUACAUCUUUUAUACUACUUCUUUUCUACAUUAAAUUAAUUUUUUUAUUCUUCUAUUUUCUAAAGUUUUUUGAUAUAGUUAUUUAUUUCACAAUAGAAAAAAAAAAGCACACAAAAAAUAGUAGAUGAAUAAAAGAAUGUAUUAAAAAGAAAUAAGAACACAUAAAUAAUACGAUUAAUUAAGAGAAUAAUAAAAAAUAAAAUCUGAAAUUUGAAAUUUGAGAUGAAAUCAUAAAUUAACUUUAUCUUUAUAUUAAUUAUUUGAAGAUUUGAGUAAUGACUAAUAGCCAUAGAGAAUAGAAAAAAACUAUUAGAUUUUUUCUUUUUUUUCUUGAGUGGAAAGUAGAGGAAGCAAGAUUUUUUUUCCCCUCUCUCUCUUUCUUGCUCUCAAAAACGAAGAACAUAUGCUGUCUUCAUUGUUAGAAGAAAAAUUUAAUGGAUAAGUAAUAAAAUGUGGGGCUUUUAUAGAGGUUUAAAAUGAAUAUAAAACUUUUAUAUAAGUUGUUAAUUCUAACAAUGAAAUAACGAAUUUAUAGGAUUGAAACUAUUAAUUUAUCGGUUUUGUAGGAAUUAAAACUACUAAGUACUACAUUAAAUAAACUUUAUAGGAACUCGGUAGUUUAUUUGAGAAAAGAUAAUUACAAAAUAAUAAUAAAUUAGAUGCAUGAUAAUGACUUUUAAAUUCACUUUCCUCUUUUAUAUACAAAAUAAUCAUCUUAUAGGAUUUUCUUGUAAAGUAGGGCUCUAAGCAACCGCCUAAGUUGUCUAGAGAUCGAACUGCUACUGAUUCUAUUACUAAUUUUGAAAUUUUCAGACAUAUUUAAGCUCCACUAUUUUAUUUUUUUAAUCAAAAUAGUAUGUUUAUUAAUAAUGAUUAUAAAAAAAAGAUAAUGAUUCAAUAAUGUUGUUUAUAUAUAUUGAAUCAACUUUAAAAGUCAACAUUUACUUUACACACUCGUAUAAAUGCUAAAAUAACCCUUUAUUUAUGUAUUUUUUAAGGCUGUAGAAUGUAUUCAUUACAAAGAUACAGUACAUUUAAUUUGUGGUAUUCAAAAUUUGAUGAUUACCAUUUUUGAGUUGAUGGUCUUAUGCUUCAUAUUUGCAUUAAUUUUAUGUUUAAUAGUAUGACAGUGAUUUCAUGUAAAGUUUUAUUUCCUAAUUACAAUUUUAAAUUAAUGUUCCUAAAUUUCAUAUUAUCAUUAGUUUCAUAUAUCUUUUAUGUUCAAUAUUAAUGAUUUCAUGUAAUACUCCAAUGAAUUCUAGCUUAAUUAUUACAAUUGUAAGUAGAUGAUCAUAUUAUUUUAUGCUUAAUUUUAUAAUUAAAUUAACGAAUGAAACUGUUGCUACCUUUUCAUAAUUAUUUAUUUUCCAGGAAUCAUUUUUUAGCACUUCUCAAUGUCAUUAUUUGAAAAUUAAAUGAGGGGUUGGGUUUGUAUUCAUUACAUCGGAUGAUUUAUAUUUAAAUAAAUUAUUUCAAUCUCAUAUCGUUAUAUUAUGGGUGAUUUUAUAUCCACAUUUAAAUUUUUAAAGUUGUUAUCUUAACUUUUUAAAAUCAGAGUUGUGUUUAUUUAUCAAUUUAAAACGUCAAUAAUCUACUAUUGGCGUAACAAUUGAUAUUCUCAUUUUGGAAUCAUCAAGAAUCUUAAAAUUUUCAAAGCCACCAUGCUCAAUUUAUACACGAAAAAGAGGAGGGGGGGGGGGGGGGGUAAGAUGCAUGAUCAGAAAUGAAUUUGGCAAGUAUUUGAUUGAGUUGAGAGGUCACUAAUCUCACUUAAUUUGCGAAUCACAAUAUGAUUGUUUUCAAUCGGCACCAAAACGAAGGGCUGGUUUUGGUUAUUAUAGUGCCUUGUUCUAUGAAGGAUUUUGGUUACCCACAUAUGGGAUUGAUCUUUGCUUCUACUCAGUAUAAAUUCUUGAAUUAUACUAUAUAUAUAAAAAAAUAAAAAUUAUAGAACAUGCUAUAAGCGUAUAAAUUGAGACUUUCGUUAAAUUUUAAUUUAUAAUAUUUUUCCGGAGAAAAGUAAUUAGCAUGAAACACAACAGCGGUGAAUCAUCUCAUUUUUCAAGAAAUAAUAUUUGUCAGAGCUUUUUUUUUUAUAUUAGUUUAUAAUUAACUUUAAUAUGUAAUAAUAUAGCAUAUUCUGGGAAACCUGUUGGGAUAAUUGUUUUUAAUAUUAUUAUGAUAUUACACAUGAUUGGCAGUCGCAACUCAUCAUCAUCAUCUGAAACCAUAUUAACAAACAUUUAUUUAACAAUAUUCUUUAUGUAAACAGGAUUACCCUAAACCCAAUUAAUAUCUGCAGGGAUCAGACGACUGUUAGAACAUAUGUUAAAUUUGUAUAAUAUAUGAUUUAAAAAUUUAAAAAAUAAAUUUUUCUUUUUUGGAGAUAACAGUUGGUAUAUUUAGGAUUAGUAAAACUAAAUGUUUUAUUUUUAUUCUAUGUGCUCCAUCAUGGCAGUAGUUAUUUUUUUGCGAUUAAACAUACUAUUUUGAUUUAAAUGGAUUACAAAAUGGCACAUUUUUUUAACCCUUAACAGUUGGUAUAUUUUUUUUUAACCCUUAACAGUUGGUAUAUAUUUUUUAAUAAGAUUAUUAAUGCAUCAAGUAAUCUUGUUUUGAUGAUUGUAACUCGUGACUGCGGGAAAAUUUCUAAUGGAAACAACUCAAUUUCGGAAGAAAACUUGAUUUUGCAAGUGAUGAAUUUGAACUCGUUGGAUUGGUUGAUUUAUGAUUGACUGAAUUUCACUUUUCCUCAUAAGAUCUUUAACCAAAGUUUAAUAGCUAUCAUGUACUCCUUAAAAGCAAUUUUUUUUUUUAGAUUUGACUGAAUUUGAACUUGUUGGAUUGGUUGCUUUUAGAUUAUUAAUAUGAGAUAUUACAACGUAAAUAUUUUCAUGUGGUUGAGCCCUAUUCUAAAAUCUGUAUAGUUAGCUUUAGAAAAAGGGCUUUUCCUGCUGAUCUGUAAUCUUGAAAUAAACUUAGAUACAAAUAAUGAAAUAAAGGACAACAAACAAGCAAUACUGAUACAAAGCCAACAGAUCAGAGUUUUUGGUACAAAUCCAAUAAAAGACAAUAAACUUAGGACCUUUUUUUCUUGCUUUCUUUUGUUGAAGGAUUAGAGUUUUUGGUAUUAUCAGUAAAGGUUUCAAGGAGUAAAAGCCUAUAAACUUUUUUUUUGGGGGAGCGCCGCCGGGGGGGGCGGGGGAGAGCAUGCAAAUUAACCAAAAGAAAUAAUAAGAGCACAGGCUUUAACAAUGAAUACUGACUUAAAACUCAUGCAAAAUAAGUUACAAUACUAAAACAAACCAGAGAAAUUUUUUUCUUGGAAAGUAGAUGGAACUUAUGAAAGAGCAGAUGUCAAGGAUUUAGAAAACGUGCACCUCUUUAAUUACCUGGGAUUAGAGAGUUGGUGAGCUUCUCUAUUUAAGAACAAGUUGAAAGAGGAAAAAGAUCACUGGUAACUGCUGAGGAAUGUGUGAGAAAAGAGUUGAUGAGAGCAAUAACAAUGACCUGCAAAAGAAACAGAAUUAGUCAUUCACCGCUUUUCUAUAUCAUGUAUUUGGUUAUUGUUGCCCUGUUGACGCAUGUUGAAGAAGAAAGCACUAGUUCACAACUCUACGUUUUCAUAUAUUCUAAAGAAAUAAUUAAGCUUUCAUAGAAUAAUACCUGUUGUGUUUGAGUAAUUUUGGUAUAUACAUUGCUUGUGUACUGUGAAAUUGAAAUGAAUAUUGAUUGACAGAGCAAUGUAUAUGCCUAAUAAAACACAAAGCAAAUACCGGAAUUCCCCUUUUAAGGUGAAGGCCUUACUCAAUUCCUAUUGGAAUUGCAACGAAUGAUUCGGGACUAAAACUUUUAUAAAAGCAAAUACCGGAAACACACAAAAAGCAUUUAAGAGAGAAACUAAACAGCAAAUAAUAGAAGUAAGAUCAAUAAUAUAUGAUUUGAUUUAUGCAUAUUCAAAAACCAAAAUAUAAAAUAAAAUAAAAAAAUAAAGUUUGAUUUAUUCUUUCCACAAAAAACAGGGGAAUGAAAACAGAGGCAACUUGUUUUACCAAUUUUUUCUUCUUAAUUUCCGGCAAAAAAAAAAAAUUCAAUAAACAGGGGAAUGAACACAAAGGAACGAAAACAGAGGAAACUUGCUUUUCAGGCUAUCUUGUGACAUGAUGAUAUUGCUCGUGAAUGCAUGAAAAUUUCUAAUGCAAACAGCUCAAUUUGGGAUGAUAAGCUUAAGUUUGCAAGUGAUGCAAGUAAAUAAGUUUUUGCGGUUAAUUGAAUCUUUAAUACUCUGGGCCCUAUUCUAAAAUUUGUAGGUUGCUUCAGAAGAAAGGGCAGUUCUCACUCAUCUUUAAUCUCCAAGUAAAAUUAGAUACAAAGCAAAUCUAAUAAAAUGACAAACAAACAAACAAACAAAACAAAGAAAAGACAGGAGGCAAACAACAUUGAUCUUAAGCCAACUGAUAUUUUAAACAGAGAAUUCUUUUCUUUUAUUUUUUUUAACCACCUUUUGCUCAAGGAUUAGAGUUUUUAUAUUAACAGAAAGGUUUCAGGGGUCUGAAUAAAAGCCCACAAUUUCUCUAAUUGUUAUUUUUUUUUUUAUUAUUGAAAGGAGCUUCACUAUUGGCCUUGAACAUAUAAGAAUGAGCAAAAGAUCAAUGUCAACUGCCGAGGAAUGUGAGUAAAGAUUUCAUCAGAGUAAGUAAUACAAAUGAAUUGUAAAAGAACAAGACUUAAGCGUGCACCCCGUGUUUUGUUUUAUUGUACGUAUAAACAUAACAUGUUCAUUUUUAACAAAGUGGUCAAUUACUCUUUUUUUUUUUGGUACAAAGACGUGCCUAGCAUAGACUAGGGCAAAACAAAACGGGGGUGUGAAACCCCAAUACAAUUAUGACGAAUCCAAAACCCAGCCCCUAAAGGAAGAGAAUUGAAAAUGUGCAAUCCAACAGGGAGUGAAAGAGCAGAGUUUGCAAGAAAGUCAGCUGCAAAAUUUGAUUCUCUGUAAACAUGCUUGACCUGCACUUGCCAGGUUUUGUUAAGCAAUUCCUUAAUACCCCUGACAAGAGAAGCAUGUGCAUUUGGCCUAAUCUCGUCAUCCGCCACCAAAAGAGUAACACAAAGGCUGUCAAUCUCCACAUGAAGCUGCCGAAUUCCAUUAUCCCAAGCCAGACAUAACCCUUGAUAAAGGCCCCAUAACUCAGCACCAGUGAUGGUACCCACACCAAUAUUCAUUCCAAAACCAAUUAUCCACUCUCCAUAACAGUUUCUAAUCAAGCCAUCUGCACUAGACAGACCAGAACUUUUACGAGCUCCAUCUGUGUCGAGUUUAAACCAAGGCCAAGUAGGUGCCACCCAUCCAAAAUAUUCUCAAUCUUCAUGGCAGCAGGAACCAAACAACUCUAAUUAAUCUUUUGAAUUUCUUCUGUACGGAUCUUAAUAUCCAUUACAACAGUACUCUUGCUGUUGCUGGUAAAAACACCAUUAUGCAGAUUUUGGUUACGCCAAAACCAAAGCCUCCAAACUGUGACCCCAAAAAGACACGGCCAGUCAAACAUACCAUCAUACUUCCACAAGUUCCUCAAAUUAUAUAACAUCCAAUCUCGGAGAUUCAAACUAAAAAAUUAAUGACUAAUCCCAUGGGGUAUCAAUGACGACCAGACAUGCUUAGCACUGGGGCAAUCCCGUAGCACAUGAAGAGUAUUUUCAACAACACAGCCACACUUUGCACAGCUCAUAUCAUCAACAAUAUGUCUCCGGAAAAGUUCUGCUUUAGUUUUAAGUCUAUUUUGACCCACCACCCACAGAAAGGUUUUGAUACGUUGGGGACCUCUCCACUGCCAAAGAAUGCGCCAAAAUGAUUCUUCAUUGUGAACCUCCAUUUUUGACAAAGCCCUAUAUGCUGAAUUAGUAGUGAAAUCUCCUGACUUAGAAUAUGCCCAGUUCAUGUAAUCAUCCUCAUCAUUUACACUGGGAGGCUUGGUGGCUGCAAUUUUGAGAAGUAAAUGAUGGGGCAAUAAAUUCUCAAAAAGCCGCCAAUUCCAAGUACCCUCAACAGUGAUAAACCUCACCACGCACUCCUCAAGCUGCUCUAAAGGUAUCGGCUGCAAAGCGAAAGUAUACAAAGGGUAUUCCUCUGUUACCCAAUUAUCCCACCAAAAUCUAACUCGGUUGCCAUUUCCAAUGUCCCAUUUGAUCCCUUUUAAAACCUCAUGCCAAAUGCCUCCCACAGCCUUCCACAUGUAAGAGCCACAUUUCGUAGGUAAUGUGCUGGGGAGAGCAUUAGGAGCCAGCCCAUACUUAGACAAGAGAACCUUCAACCAUAAACUAUUUGGAGAAGCAAUUAAACCGCCCCCAAUCUUCAUGAGCAGAGCAUCAUUCAUUAAAUUAAGCUGCUUAAGACCAAGGCCUCCGCUAGGUUUCGGUUGACAUAUUGUAUCCUAUUUCACUAAACUGAUUUUCUUCUUGUCUGCUGUCCCGCUCCAAAUAAACCUCCUACAAGCCUGAUCAAUUUUCUCCCGAAUACCAAACGGAAUCCUCGUGGUCUGCAUUGCAUAAAUAGGAAUCGCCUGGAUUACCGAUUGAGUGAGAGUGAUCCUACCCGCCAAGGACAAAUGUAUCGCAUUCCACCGCAACAAAUGUUGGUUCACUUUGUCCAAAAUUCCCUGAUAAGUUAGCUUAUUAACCCGUGAAUGAAUAAUUGGCAUUCCUAAAUAUUUCCCUAGGUUUUUUGUGACAGAAAAACUGAAGGAAUCACCAAUUUCCUUAGCCUCAGCAAACUUUACGUUGUGGGAGAAAAAAACUUAUGUCUUUGUUUUACUAACUUUCUCUCCAGAGCUCAUACAAUAAACAUUCAACACUUCAUUUAUAACCAUUGCUUGCCUAGAGGAAGCCUCUGCAAGCAAGAUAAGAUCGUUAGCAAAAAAUAAGUGAGAUAAAGAGGUACCUGCACGAGACAGUUUAAUAGGUUUCCAGUACCCUCUCUUCACAGUGUCAUUUACUCCAUGGCUUAACCUUUCUAUACAUAACACAAAGAUAUAUGGGGAAAUGGGGUCUCCCUGUCUAAUACCCCUAGAAGGGGUAAAACUCUCCGUAAUUUCUCCAUUCCAUAGAAGUUGCAUAGUCGCCGUUGUAAUACAUUCCAUAAUAAGCUGAACCAAAACAGUAGGCAAUCCAAACUCCCUCAAGGUUUCAUAAAUAAAAUCCCAGCUUAAACGAUCAUACGCCUUUUCCAAAUCCACCUUAAUGGCCAUCUGCCCAAUCCUCCCUUUCUUACGUCUCAUCUAAUGAAUAACUUCCUGAGCAACCACUAUGUUUUCCGUUAUGUGUCUCCCCGGGAUAAAACUAGUCAGGGUAGGAAUGAGGUCAGGCAAGAUAGAUUUCAGCCGGUUAGCUAAUAACUUAGUGAUAGUUUUAUAGAUAACCGGGCAAAGACUAAUCGGACGAAAAAGCUUAAGGCUAAUAGGAUUAUCCGACUUAGGAACCAACACAAUCAGAGUUUUGUUCAGCUCCUUAAGGAUCUCGUUGCCAUUAAAAAUACCUUUUAUAAGACUACAGACAGAUUUUCCCACUACAUGCCACUGGGUCUGGUAAAAGAGAGCAUGCAACCCGCCUAUUCCAGGGGCUUUCAAAGCCUUCAUGCUGAAGAUCACAUUCUUAAUUUCCUCAUCCUCCACUGCUUGUCCCAAAGCUUGCAUUCGACUUUCCUCAAGGACUGGGAAGGCGUUAACAACAUGGUAUGGAUGAUAGAUUGCAUCCUCUUUGGGAUAGAGCUUUGAAAAGAAGGACACAGCAUAAUCUCUAAUCUCAUCAUUAUUCAACAACCAAUAACUCUAUUCGUUAUGAAAUUGAUAUUGUACCCAAUUUUAAGAGAGCAUAAUAAUAACCAUUCAAUGCAUAAAUUUAGAAUUAGGUUUUUUUUUGUAAUUCUUUAUUUAAAUAUAAACUUCAAUGGAAAAUUAUAAAAAUUUAGAUAUAAAAUUUUAAAUCACCGGACCAAAAAAAAAAAAAAGGGGAACGGAAAUAGAGGAAUCUUGCUUUACCUUUUUUUCCUUUAACUCUUGUUCUUAUAUAAAUAAUCUUGUUUUGAUGAUUGUAACUCAUGACUGCGGGAAAAUUUCUAAUGGAUUUGUUAUGCAAGUGAUGGAUUUGUUCAAUUGACUCUGUACUUGAACUAGUUGGAUUGGUUGAUUGAUGAUUGACUAAAUUUGAAUUAAGUUUAAUAGCUUAGCUAUCAUGUACUCCUUAAAAGCAAACGUAAAUCUUUUUUAGAUUUGAAUGAAUUUGGGAACCUGUUGGAUUGAUUGUUUAUAGAUCAUUAAUUUCAGAUACUACAACGUAAAUAUUUUCUUGUGGUUGAAUACCGGUUCUGCUUUAAUGAUUUUGGCAUAGACAUUGCUUGUGAACUGUGAAAUUGAAAUGAAUAUUAAGUGACAGCGCGAUGUAUAUGCCUAAUAAAAGAUCAGCAAAAGCUUGGAUGAAUGAUUGAAGACCAAAACUUUUAUAAAAGCAUUUUUGAGAGAAACUAAACACCAAAUUAUCAAAGUAAGAUCAACAGUAUAUGAUUUGAUCUAUACACAUUCAAAAACAAAAUGAUGAUUAAUAAUAAAGUUUGAUUUUGUAUUGCCAACGAUGCUUUUUUGUUGUUUCAUUUGUUCGACGUGGCCUUAUUUACAAAUUGGUUUAUGUUAACAGAAACAUGAAAUUCACAUCACACAAAAUUGCACGAACAAAUAUUAAGAGAACGUAAUAAUAAUCAGUCAAUGCGUAAGGGUAAAUUUAGAAUUACAUAUUCUUUUUUAUUUAAUAAAAUCCCAACGGGAAGUCAUAAAAAUUUAGAUAUAAAAUUUUCAAUCACCAAACGAAAAAACAGGGGGAAUGAAAACACAGAAAACUUGUUUUACCUUUUUUUUUUUCAUCUAAUUCCUGUUCUUAUAUAAUAUUUUCCCUAGUAUUUCGGGCAAGAAAAAAAAAAUUCAACAAAGAGCAAGUUGCUCAGAUUGAUUUAUCUUGUUUUUCAGGUUAUCUUGUGAAAUGAUGAUAAUGCUCAUGAAUGCUAGAAAACUUCUAAUGCAAACAACUCUAUUUGGGAUGAUAAGCCUAAUUUUACAAGCGAUAAAUAUAAAUAACUUUUUGUGGUCAAUUGAAUUUGUAAUUACUCUUAGCCCUAUUCUAAAAUUUGCAGGCUGCUUGAGAAAAAAGAAUAUUUCUCACUCAUCUUUAAUCUUCAAGGAAAAAACAAAUCUAAUAAAAUGACAAACAAACAAACAAACAUAUAAAAGACAGCAAACAAACAACAUUGAUCUUAUGCCUACUGAUAUUUAAACAGAGAAUUCUUUCUUCUUUUUCUCUUCAUGGAUUAGAGUUUUUGCUAUUAACAGAAAGGUUUCAAGGGUCUGAAUACAAUCCCAGACUUUUUUUUAACUUUGUUUUUUGUGGGAAAAUGGAUUCAAGUUAACCAAAGCCAAUAAUAAGAUCACAGACUUUAACAAUGAACAAUAACUUAAGCAAAACCAAUGACAAGAUUAAAACAAACCAGAGAAAUUUUUCUCGGAAAGUAGAUGAAAAGCAAGUAAGAACUGCUAUUAAAUAUUAUUAAAGGAUUUAGAACAUGUAUACCUCUUUAAUUAUAUGGGAUCAGAGAAAUGACCUUCUCUAUUCGCUUCGGAUAUUAAGUAAGAACUGCUAUUAAAAGAAUGAAUUGAUGAGAGUAAUAACAAUGAAUUGCAAAAUAGGAAGACUCAAUCAUGCACCCCUUUUAUACCCGAUUUUUAAGAUUUAAUUUUGAAGUUCACCAAUCAAGAACAAAGAAAAAACCUUAAUAAAGAAUGCAGUGAGAAUAAUUAAGUUAAAGAAAGUACUAGGUUAUGGCUCUGCGUUUCAUAUGCUGUAAUGAAAUAAUUAAGUUGAAGUUUUUAACGAUUAAAUACCUGUUGUGCUAGAAUAAUUUUAGAAGAAUAUUGGCUUAUAGAGCAUAUUAGUAGGGAUAAGAUUUGUAAGAUGCCAGAUAAAAGAUAAAGCGAAAGCUUGAAUGAAGAAUGGCAUUUAAUAAUUAUAGAAGAAUAUUGGCUUAUAGAGCAUUUUAGUAGUGAUAAGAUUUGUGGACAGAAUAAAUGAAAUAAUAAAAGGCAUAACUGAUCAAGUCAUUAUUGAUCUUACUUUGAUUAUUACAUUGCACAUUAGUUUCUUUCUAAAAAUGCCAUUCUUCAUUCAAGCUUUCGCUUUAUCUUUCAUCAGGCAUCCUACAAAUCUUAUCCCAACUAAUAUGCUCUAUAAGCCAAUAUUCUUCUAAAAUUAUUAAAUUCCAUUCUUCAUUCAAGCUUUCAUGGACACUAUUUACAAAUUGUUCUUGUAUUUGACAGAAAAAUGAAAACUCCUCAUCAUACAAAACUGCAUGAACAAAUCUUCAAUUUAAUUAUGAUAAAAUAAUUAAUUCCAUUAAUAGAUUAUGUUGUUUUUUUUUUUUUUGUCUUGACCACAAGGUAUCCUGGGAAGGGCCCCAACUGUGGGAGGCAUUUUUAAGCCCGUACCACAACCCAUACUAGAAGUCCCCACUCGAACCGGGAGGCACAAGUUCUCCCAACAAAGGCGACUUCCCUGCAAUUCGAACUGGGGAGCAAACCCAGUCAAUCCACUUAAGGGGACUCCAUUGCCAGUGGAGCCAACACUUUGUUGGUUAUGUUGUAUGUUAAUGUGAGGGAUUUGAUCAGGUGAUCAUAUAAUUUACUAAACGCUUUAAGAAGAACAAGAAUUAAUGAGUUAAAAAUUAAAAAAUAAAUAAAUAAAGAGUAGAUGGAAAGAAUGUUAUUUGCAAUCACUAAACCAAAGAACAGGGGAAUGAUAAGAGAGGACGGUUACUGCAACAUUAUGAAGUCAAAAUUAAGAAAGGCAUUCUUUUUUUUUUCACAUUAUUCUAUUUAAUCUUUCAUAAGGCGCACACUACGAAUCUAAAUUAAAUUCAUAAUUAAGAAUAAAAGAUAAACCCAAACAAUCAUCUAGCAGGUGCCGUGUAGACUGCAUCAAAAAUUUAGAUUUAGAUUUUUACAAUCACCAAAUGGAAAAACAGGGGAAUGAAAACAAAGGUGCCGUGUUUGUAGAAACAGGGGAGUUUCCGGGUUUCUGGAAACAAACUCAGAAACGAAUAAAUCUCUUGGUGUAUAUAAGCUUUCAUCAUCUGGUUUUAGUUUGGUUAGGUUUAACUACAUUUCCUGGGUAGCAUUACUUAUGCUAGUAUAUUCAUUUCUACCCAAGCCACAGUGACUGUUAGGAGUUCUCGUAAACUGAAUUUAAAGUUGCGGCUUAAAGUGUUUACCAACUUAAAACCAGAGCUAUAAAGUGUUUGAUGAAUUAUUUUUUCAUUAAAAAAAAAAAAACUGAUUUAGCGGGAUAAAAUAAUGCUCCAUUCCGUUUAGUAAGUGAAGUCCAGAGUAUUACCUACUACUAACUAAAUCCGCUUGAUUCACAAGACUACCAAGAGAUGACUGAAUCUUCAAUGUAAUAAAAUAAUAAUCAGCCUCACAGGAUACAUAAAAAGCUCAUUUUUCACAACCAUAUCCUAGUGCAUCAUAAACUUGAUUAUUUAAUUUUACUAUUAGGAAACCUACUUAUAUAAGGCGCACACUACAAAUUCUAAAUUAAAUUUUCAACUAAGAAUAAAAGGUAAACCCUAGCAGUCUUCCACCAGGUGCCGUGUAGCCUGCAUCAUAAAUUUUGAUUUAAAUCUUUGUAAUCACCGAACAGAAAAACAGGGGAAUGAAAACAGAGGAGCCCUCAUUUUUUUAACCCUUAACUCUUGUUCUUCUAAUUAUAUUUUUACUUGGAAUUUCAGGCAAACAACAAAAAAUAGUGACAACUAUUCAGAGAGAACAGGUGGAUGAUAGCAAAAAUAUUUUUAAUUAAUAUGCAUGAUUAACUCUUGUUCUUCAUUAUUGGUAGUCUCUGUGGGCUCAUUUCGUCUCCAGACCUGAUAUUGUAUAUCUCUUUUUGAAUAUGCAUGCUGCUGAAUAAAGAUGAUUACUUCCAAAUUUUUGUUGCUUUUUUUUUUUUUUUUUGGGCUUUGGUGCAUGAAGAAUGUGGAAAUAGAAAUAGCUUUCGAAGUUUAAUGGCUUGCUUCAUUAGUAAAGAAAGACAAGGAUAUCUGUCCCUUUUUGUUACUGAAUUAUUGAUCAAUUGACGGUUGAAGUUGGUUAUAUUAAUUUGUUGUACAAGAAUUGAAGCUUAUAUCUUAGCCGUUUCGUGAAGUGUCAAAUAUGUUCUUUCCUUGCAAUUGUUCAAAAUAUGUUAUUCUUUUGAAGUCACUAUUACAUAAAGGGUGUUGUAAAAUAGGGAAAGGCGGGUUUAUGAUUAGAUUUUAAUAUGUUUAAUUCAAGGAUUAACCGAAGCUAUUAACCAACGGCUACUAACCGAAAACCGAAUUUAACAAUAAACACUAACUCAGAAUUCAAGAAAAUUAAAUGACAAGAUUGAGACAAAUGAGAGAUAUUUUUCUUGGACAUUAAGAAAGAACUACUACCAAGAUCAAGGAUUAGAGAUUAUAUAUGCUAUUAUUAAUAGAAAUUAUUAAAGGAUUUAGAACAAGUUCACCUCGUUAAUUAUCUGGGAUGAUGAGUUUCUAUAUUCACCUUGAAUAUAUAAUAACAAUUUUAGUGAGCAAAAGAUCACUGGUAACUGCAGAGGAAUGUGUGAGUUUAAGAGCUUAUUAGAGUAAGCAAUACAAAUGAAUUUUCAAAUUAUGUACUUGGUCAUUGUUGUCCUACUGACGCACGUUUUUUUUCAUGAAUAAUUGCCAGAUCAGAAAAGAAUAAAUUCGGUUGAUUGAAAGAUUGCUGAAGUAAGUAAAACAAUCUUCAUAUCGAACAUGAUUCCAAUUAAAUUAAUCUUUUUAUAAGAUGACUAAUAAAAGAUAAAAGUAGAAGCUUUGAUGAAUGAACGAUGACCAAAACUUUUGUAAAAGCGGAUGCCGAUAAAAUAAACAAAAGGCACUUUAAAAAGAAACUAAAGUGCGAUCAUCAAAGUAAGAUCACUAAUGAUGCUUCGCUAUCACAAGGUCCGCAUGGACAUUAUUUACAAAUUGUUCUUAUGUUUCACAGAAAAAAAUGAAACACUGUUCAUCAUACAAAAUUGCAUGACCGAAUCUUCAAUUUUUAUAAUUAUAAAAUAAUGGAUUAUGGGUAUGUUAAUGUUACGGAUAUGAUCAGAUCAUCAUAUAAGUUACUAGAAGCAUUAACAAGAACAAGAUCUAAUGAGCUAAAAGUUUUUUUUUUAAAAAAAGUUAAAUAAAUAAAGAGUAAAAGUAAAAAAAUGUUAUUUGCAAUCACCAAAAUGAAAACAGAGGAGCCCUGUUUUUCCUCUUGUUUCUACUUCUCUCUUUUUCAAGUAGUAGAAAAUGAUAUCAGAGUAUGAGAGCUCACUGCUUUCAUUAGUUGGAAAGUGUCGCCUAAAACACUUCCUCUGCUGGGUGGAAUUGUUGGCUUGAAGAGAUGAGUUCUUGUCACGAGCACAAAUUUUAGCUGUACAUUAUUUCCUUUUAAAUGCACCAUUGUUGCACAGAUUUGAACCAUAUGAUCAUUAGUUUUUUGUUUUGAUUUGGUUAGUUCGUGAUGACAAAUGAAUUAUUUUCAUCACAUUGUCAUUAUGGUAAAAAGUUGCCCUCUUUGUUACUUCCACAGCUAUUUAGUUUAAUAUUUUGUAAUAAGAUCACAAAGUGCGUGGGAACUAUUGUUCGGGUACUUUAGCCUAAAAUGAAGAUCUAUUAAAAAUUUCCCUGAUGUCAUGAUAUAAAACAAUAAAAGGUACCAACUUCAGCUUAAAUUCAUAUAAAAUUAAACCUUACCACAUACUGUAUUGAAACAAAUUACUCAUCUUUAUUGGUAACAUCAUCACCUUCAUAAAAUAUAUGGUAUCGUACAAAGUUCUUGCGCUGGGUUCGGGCAUCUAACAACGAGGACACAGCAACCUAUUCGCUAGGUUAGAGACCAAAUAGCCAACAGCAAAAUGUGCACGACGCAUGUCACUAUCAUGAAAACAACAUUCUUUUUCUUUUUUUUUUUCCCCUCAAUAAUUUCAGAUAUAAUAUUUUAACUAAGUUUGUAACACUGUUGAUUGAAAUUAUCAAGUACGAAUGUGUGUAGAUUUUAACAUGUGCACUCAUAAUUAUUAUUGUGCAGUUUUAGACUUGGUUGGGUAUUGAGGUGCUAAAACUUUUGCCGUAAGAAAAAAAAGUUUUGCAAAAGUUUUAAGUAUAAAAUAAAAGUUAAUAGUAUAUAAUAAAUUUAGUUUUUUUAAUAAUAAUUUUGAUAAAAUUAUAAAAGAUAUAAUAAAUUUUUUAUCAUAUAAGUGUAAAAUCAAAUCAUCUUAACUUUUAAACUACAACAACUAUAACAUUUUAACUGUUCAAUCUCAAUCCUAAAUAGACCCUUAAUUUAUAAUUAGAUUGUCACUAAAAGAUUUUAAGUAUGUAUUUUAGAAUUUAACGAAUACACUUUUAAACUACCUUUGUCAGAUGAAAUGUUGGGAAAUUUUUAUUAAGCUCCAAAAGUGUUUGAAAUAAAUUUAUGUUUUUAUGAUACCAAAAAAAAAAAGAUUUAUGAACAUUUUUGUGAAGCUUAGGCGAAAAUUUUUGUUAGGCUCUAUUGGGCUAGAUGAGCAGCUCGGGCAGUUAAUUAUCGCCCAAAAAGCCCAACCCAGAUUACAACAAGCUGGGAUUUGGUUAGCUCGUUGACGGCCAUUUGGGUAUGCAUGAAUUGGGUGGAUGAUUAAUAAAUACGAUUUAUUAAUUAUUUCGCCGAUUUGAAUAUUCUCCUAAUUUAAUCUUUUCUAAUAUUAUAAUAACGAGAUUUUGACAUGUGUUAUACCUGUGUUAUUUUAAUAAUCCAAUAGAUAAUAUCUACUUUAUUUUUAUCUUUCGUUAUUAAAUACAAAAACACUAAUAGAAAAAAAAAAUGACUUAACUCUUUUUAUAUUUUUAAUUUUUAUUUAUUUCCGUUUAUUGCUUUCCUAGCAAUGUUCAUCUUUUUACUCUACAACAUCCAUAACCUUAACUUUGGAAAUAAAAGAGAAUAUGCGAAAGUAUAAGUAGGAGAAAGACUUCAUUGAAAUCAAACGAAUUGGGCAACGUUAGAUUUUUCUUUAAAAUUCUCAUGCGAUAUUAAUUAGUAGUAUUAUCGUUGUUGCCUGCCUACUUCUAACCUCAACCAAUAUAUGAUCAAUGCUUGAUUUGGUCAAUCUAAAUAAUUAUAAUCGAUGAUAGGAUAUUGUUGAAGGGCGGCCCUAAGGAUGAGAGAGGGAAUGCGUGUGCAAGCCACAUGUGUGAAGAAAAAGAAAAACGCAAGAGUGAAGAUGACGGCGAUUAAGAUCGUGUUUGAUUUCUUUUCCUGUUUAAUUUUAGUUAAUAUGCUGUUGUUAGUUCCAAAAUUUGAGUUAGCAACAAAAUGACAUGUUUUUGUGUUUAAUAAGGAAAAAGUAAAUAAUAGAUUUUCUAUAGGAUUCUUGGAAUGGAUUAGAUUAGACUAUGGAGAGAAAUAUAUUUGAAAAUAUUAGUGUUGAGUCAUUCUAAUGUCUUUAAUAGUAAAUUCAAUUAAGAAUAUUUUAGUAAUAUAAUUUUUUAUUAAAAUUAGAGUGUUCAAAGUUAGUAAUAAAAAAUUCAUAUAACUCUGGAUUUUUUUAUUGAAUUUAUAUAACUCUGGAUUCUUUUUUUUUUUUUUUUUUCCAACACUGAUAUGGUUCUGUUCUGUGUAUUUAUAUACAAUUUAAUGUUUACAUACAAGUUAAAUUAUAUACAAUCCUUCAAGUCGUAACUCAAUUUUAUGGAGGUUUAUACAUCUUUCAACGAUCAAUUUAAUAUUUAUAUACAAACCUCCGCAUCUUUCAACGAUCUCAUCUGCUGAUUUUUUGUAUUCCUGUUCUUUCACUUCAAUAAUUUUUUGUAUUAUUCCAUAUCUUUCACUUUAAUAACCCAAAAGCUUUCCUCUGUUUCAAUCGAAAGAAAACCCUAGCUUAAACUAAGAGAAAAUUUACAUAUUAAAGCUAAUUAGUACUGAAUUUUUUCUGGUGGUGCGACCAGAGGUGGAAACAGGGUAUGAAAAUGCGUUACUGGUGAGGUUGCUGCUUAAGAUGAGAAUGCAUUCUUUUCAAAAAUCCUUGGUAGGUGUUAUCUAAUUAUCUUUGAUGGAAUAUUAAAUGGCUAAAAAUCUGUCAUACGUUCAAACUUUGUUUUUGUUUAGAAGAAUGGUGUUGACUGUAUAUUCGUUUGGAAGAAUGGUGUUGAUUGUAUAUUCAUUUGCUUAGCCUUUUGACAGAUGGAUUUGGAACUGACGACAAAUGUGAUUCAAUUUACAAGGUUUUCGAGGGGCUCACCGUGGAAGGGAUAUUGAAGAACUGGUCUAAGAUAAAGCCUAUGAUUGUGAAAGAUUGGAGUGAGAAUAUAGAUGCUCUUUUUCAUCUUUUUGGCAAGGUCAGAGAUGAAUGGAUAGAUAAGGAUUUAUUUGACUACUUGGACUGGUGCUAAUAGGUAUUUUAGGCAAGCUUUUUGAGAUAACACUGAGCAAGUUAUACUACUAUUUUGCACAUGAUGAUCUCGAAAAGUAAAAUAAAAUAAAUUAUUAACUUUUACUUUCAUCUUUUGCAUAGCAAUCAAUGUGGUGCUUGUUCUGUGACAACUUUGAUAAUCUACUUAAUUAUUGGUUAGCAUUUGGACCAAAAAAGUUCUUAUGAUUUACAUGUUUUGUAGAAAUGCAUGAACCUUAAAUGUGCUGAUCAGGGAGUUUAAUUAUUGCACCUUGAAAUUCAUUUAUUGUUAACUAAUUGGCUUUCCUUUGCAUAAAGCCACUUAUAAGGCUUGAGUGGACGUCUUUAUGGGCAUAUUAUUUGUAUUUCUAUAUGCAUGCCUUUAUCAUUUAAUGUGCUGCUUUUAUUUCUUUAUGCAUGCCUUUAUCAUUUAAUGGCCAGCUCCCUCUCCUCUUUUGUAAUUUGAAUAGUAGUAUGGGCCUCCAUUUUACAAAUCUUUAACAUCUUUUGCUGUAAAUUAAUUUUUCUUUCAAAUAUUCACUACUAGAAAAAUAGUCUUUACUGACUUUACAAUAGUAUCAGAAAUUACUUUCACUGACACUUGUUAAUUGUGUCAGUAAUCUGGGAGUCAGAAAAAUAGUGACACUUAUAAGUGGUGUCAGUGAUUACUAUUACUACAGUAUCACCGAUAUUAUGACACCAUAGUGUUAGUAGUUAUUGAUAUUUUAUUAGUGUCUAUAAUUACUGUUACCAUGGUAUCACUAAUUAAUAUAUUUUUUUAAAAAUAAAAAAUUGAAUUGGAUCAUUGCCUAUUGAUUUAUUUGUAAAAUUAAAAGCACCACAAAAUAACAAAAAGAAAUUGAUUUAUAUCACAAAAUCUUUCAUUUCACAUUUAAAUAUUAUUAGUAUAUAACUAAAUAAUCCAAAUUCAAUACAUAAAAAUUUCUACCAUCCAAUCAAAUGCCUACUACUUGUGGCUAAAUUUAUAAAUCUAGAAGUUAAAUUGAGAAUGAUGACUGUCUUUCACUCUUUGAAUAUGAGUAGUAUAAUUGCGUUAUCACACCAGCAGCUUCUCCAUUUAAUAAACUGUAUGGGUUAUGAUACAAGUGAAGUUGAGGAAUAAACACUUCAAACACAUUGAGCAAAUAUGCAUACAUGGAAAAGGGAGAAAAAAUUAGCUGCCAAUUCCCAACCAUUAGAGAAACAAUGGUUAAUAUAAAUAAAUCUAUUUUGUUCUAAAGAAAAAAUAUUCAUACACUAUUUAUAAGUAAACUCAAUUAUUUCUAAUGGUGGAGCACAUAUGUGUGAACAACAGAGCAUCACAUAGCUCAAAGUACAUUAACUGUUCUGUGUCUUAUUCAUUUUUCACUUUAGCUUUUAUUUUAGCAAUUUUUUGAGAAUAAGCUCCAACUCAGAAGGUGAAAUCCAACUUCCAUAUGUAGACAUUCUUGCAGCUGACAGCAAUUAGUUUGGGACUACGGCUUUUUUGAGCAUCUGGCAUGGAUUACAUUGAGAUAUACAAUUUACAUACAAACAUUAAAGAACUAAAACAUUAUUUAUAUUUAGAGACAAUUCAAAUGUCAGCAAACAUUAUUUAUAUUGGUUUAGCAAGUGGCACGACAAUUUUUUAGAUAGAAAUGUACAGAAACUAUAAAGGAAAAACAUUAUCAAGACACCAUUAAAGAAUCAUAGAGUACCUUUACCGGAUUUGUUUGCUUUGCAGGUGGGCUGUGAUGAUGAUGAGCAUAAAGCAUUUUCAUUUAAGCGGACAAGUGCCUUAGCUUCUUUACUUACUACAGACCACGUGUUCUCCCCAUCUAGCCUUGCACUUCCAAAAUCAUGAAAUCCAUCUUUGUGGAAUGUCUUAAUGCCAGGAGUGCGUGAAAAUUCUGGGAGUGCAUUGGCCUUCUAAAUAAAAAGAAACUCGUAAAUAAUUCUUGUGUCAAGUAACAAGGACAAAAAUUUACUUGGAAGCAGCGCAUCCAUGAAAAGAUAGACGCAGAUAGCUACAGAGACACAGUCAACACAUAAUAGCUAAUCCUAAACCUUAUUGGAUAUAAUACCUCAUUAGCAGAGAUUGCUUCGUCAUCUGAGGUACAUGUUGAUGCCUUCCUUGGCGAGAAGAUAAAACCAACCUCAUCAGGAAAUUCAGGCGUUUCAACCUCGUCUUCCACAAAGACACUUAUUUGCUUCUGUUACAGCGACAUACACAAAUGUCAGUUUCUCCUAAGAAAACUGGUCGGAACCUGAAAAUUCUAUUCAAAUUUAAUCACUUGCCUUUGGUGAUAAACUGCCAGCAAUCCUUCCACAAGUUUCUCCAUGAGUACCUGUAUGUCAGAAACCAAAUCUGUGCUUUGGAACCUAAACAUGAAUAUCGAUGAACAACACCCUCAACAAUCUCAUUAGCGUCAAAAACAUUUUAUUACAAAAUAAUACUACGGUUUCGGAGCGCACCUUUCAGUAUGUCUAGUCGCGAUUGAAGUUGCACUACUUCCUAUCAAUUUACAAAAAUCAUAGCAUGAAUAAAUAAAACAAUUGCCUCUAAAUUUACAAAAUCAACGUCAUCACAUCAAUUACGUGAUGGAUAACAAUUUAAGUAAAUUUUAAUAAAAAAUUAUUCAACAAUUAAAUCGAAUGACAAUUAAAUUAGUAAAUUGAAUACUGACCUCUUUCUCCGAUGGCCCACCCAACGAAACACAAUUAUCUCGUAAAUCGACGUUAAAAUCUUCCUCAUCUGCAAAUCAAAAAAUUUGAAAAACAGAGAAAUGCUUAAAACGCGUACAGUGUUUAGUGUAUACAUAACAUAAGAGUAUUUAAAAAAUAAUGGCAACCCUGUAUGAAAUGUCAAUCAAAUUACCAGAAAUGCUUUGAUCAGAAUCUUCAUCUCCCUGAAAGCGCAUAAGAUCCCGGCAAAAUGAAAAGAAAAAAAUAAAACGAAUUAUCAUCUACAAAAAAAAACAACUUUAGUUGGUUAAAAUCUACAAACUAAGUGCGGCUCGGAUAGCAGAAUAUGACUAGAAAAACAAAAACAUUAUUGAGUAACCAGAACAUCUAACAUCGCAUAUGGGCACCAGAACAAAAUUCAUGCAAAAAUAUGGAAGUUGAAAAAUCAGCAAAUGCCGCUAACCGAGUUAAUGGAAUGCGAAACCUGCCUAGAUAGUGGAGGAGUUCCGGUAAAGGAGGACCAUCAAGCACAGCUAAGGAGGAAGAAUGCAACUUAAAAUAGUUAUAGUUUCAUUACGAAUUAAAAAAGUUUAAUCCUCUAAUUUUCAAUACAAUGGCAUCUCCUAUUCAUGCGCAUGCAUCAGCAGCAUUGUUAUUGAUAGAACUGAAAAAUUGGCACUCGGAUAAUCAUAUGGUUGUAGACACUGCUCCAAAAUAAUCAUUAAACAUGGAAACUAAUAAGGCCACAGGUUCUGGAAUGCCAAAAGCUGCACGCAUAUAUAUGGGUCAGUCACGAAUAAAAAGAAACGAAUUAUCAUAACCUCGACACGAAUGGGCGUAGUCACUAUAGGAUCAGAGCGGCACAGCCCUCAGCCACUAUAGGCAGGGGUUAUAUUAAUGGUUGUGAAUGAAUAAAUUCAAAUAUCAACUUUAGUAAUCAACUUAUUAAUUUACAAGUAUUUUUUUAUAUUAUGAUAUCGUAUACUCUACUAAUUGUAUUUAAAAUAUACACACACACAUACAUACAUAUAUACCAACUUAUAAUUGUGAGGUAAGCUAAGACUCGAAGCUAUUCCUUAACAAUCUAACACUCUAUAUAAUCUCAAGUGUGGAAAACCAGCAGAGAAACCAAGUUGCUUAAACUCUUGUUCAGUCAUGUGUUUACCUUUGGCCCUGUAGAUGGUCAUAACAAAAAUGUCCCCUUCUAAGAGAGCACGAGUCCUCUGACUUUCAUUUGAAUCAUCAGGCAGCACAGGCUCGCAAGCAAUCAGUUUUCCUCCUGCAGGAAUAGCCUUGUAACAAUUCUCCAUUAUCAGCUUGCAUUCAUCAUCAGUCCAUGUAGUUAAAACCCACUUCAUAAAGAUAGCAUCAGCGGCAGGAAUGGACUUAAACAUGUCCCCACCAAUAUGGGUCACUCCAGGGAUACUUGGAGCUUCGGCAACAACCUCAGGCAAAUCAAAAUUGAUCCCUUCACAUAUAAAACGAUGUUUCUAUAAUAUCAUCCUCAGGCAAUCACCUGCACUCCCACCCACAUCAACCAAUCGCUUCACACCUUUGAACCCAUCGUAACCGUCCAAAAUGGACGUCAUGAACGGCACGGACACUCCCGACAUGGCUUUUCGCAUCAAGCCGUUCAUUUCAGGCAUCUUCCCAUAAUAACUAUAUGUCGGCUCGCCAUGGACUUUCACAAAUGGCUCAAUAGUUGGGUCCAGAAUGGCCUCGUGCACCAAAGGCCACGCGCUCAUAAGCGCGUCCUGGUGAUGCUGGAGCACGUAGGGCGCGUACGAUUGACCCUCGGCAUCAGUAACGAGGGAUUUCCCAAUCUCGGUGAGGCUGUACUUCCUUUCGCCUCCAAAUUCGCGAUGCUCCGAGAACACGCCGUAGUUGGUGAGCAAGCGGAGGAUACGUUGCAAGUUCUCGGCGUCCCCACCGCCGGAUGGGAGGAUACGUGUCAAGAUCUGGGAGGCGGAGAGAGGGGUGUUGGCCAGUCUUCCCUUCUUCCCGCCAUCUCUGCACUCGUUAUCUUCCAUUACUGCUUACUGACCUUUGAUUUCGCAGCACCAUGCCGGCCAAACAAAAAGAUAAGACCUGAGCACUUUUUGACAAUUUGAAUGUUAGGGAUUUUUCAGAUGUGGGGAGCUUAGGAGGGAACGAAUACUUUGGUAGAGGGAGUUGAAAAGUUGUAUUUUGGAUAAGAUAAAGAUUUGUUCAUUUGUUUUGUUUUUAUCCACUCAAAAAGUACAAAUUCUAAAAAAAUUAAAAAUAAUUCGUAGUCUAGUGGUCUUUUGAUUCAAUGUAGAAGUUCUAGGUUUAAGCAGUCUUGGGUUCGAAUUCAGACUAAAACAAAAUUAGAAUGAUAAUUUUUAAUUACUGAUACUUAAGCGUCAUUGAUCGCUAUUACUAAAGUUAUUGAUACUUCAGUAUUAGUAAUUAGUGAUACAUAUCUGUUAAACGCGGAAAAUAAUCUAAAUAUAUGUAUAUAUUGAUACUUUUAAAUAAAGUGUCAGAACACAAGUAUCAGUAAAGACCAUUUUUCUAGUAGUGAUUUUGGAGGUCAUUGGAAUUCCUGUAGGUCUAUUUACCAGAUUUUAGUAAGUUUAAGGUUUUAAUUUUGCUUAGACUUUAAUUUUUCUGAAAGAUUGUAGUAUUGAUCCUUAAAGAAAGAUCAUGCUACUUCAAAUUAUUUUGAAGUGUUGCUAGUUAUAGCCUUACAUAUAAAAUUCCAUUUGUCUGGAAAUUUAUUGAUAGCUGUUACAGCAGCAUAUUUUAUGACUCUACUUCUUAGUUAUGUAAGUUCAUUAUGUUUAGGUCAGAGGCAGUCAGCUGUGGGGAAUUGAUAUAUACACAGAUGACUUUGAUCUUGUUGCCGGUAUGUGGUUCUAUGAAUAAUUGUUCACAAUAAUUGUGUUUGCCUCACUGUUUUUGUUUUAUGAGAUCUAUAAUUGAUCUUGGGAUAUUACUUUCUAGUUCUCAUGCAAGCAAGUUACUACCUUCCCACUGUAUCUCCUCCUUUAUCUGCUAUUCAAGAGUUGCGUGCCAUAAUCUGGUGUUACCUCUGCAAGAUUGUGAAUGAAUAUAAUGCCUCUAAAUUUAUUUUAUACAUAAUGCUGAUGCUGAAUAAUAUAUUGUAGCUCCUGUCAUAUUCUACUUUGACUUUUUAUAUUCUGUUUCAUAUAAAAAUCUUAUUCAACUUUAGUUGUUCAUGAGCAAAUGUCACAUGUAUAAGCCCAAAUGAUGUUUAAAGGUAGCGCAGCUACCUUUAGUUUGAGCUUACAAUGGAUGAAAAAGAAAUUGAAACUGAUAUUUUGCUGUUUUUCUGAUUUUUCAAAGUAUUUUAGAUCCUGACUUUUGUUUGGACUUGAUGGUUAUAGAUUGUGUCUAGAUUUGUUAAGUUGUUUCCAACACCUCGUGCCAAAUGAAAGCACAAUCUUUCUGAUUCAGAUGUCUUGUUAAUUGAAGAGAGCUCAUUGUGCUGAGUUAAAACAAGAAAGGAAGCCAGCAGUCAAGAUUCUUCAGCAAUGCCAUGUCAGUGCUGAGUCAGCUGAUUCUGUUAAGGAUUGUUGAAAGCUCACGUGACUAUUAGUUAGUUAAUUAGCUUUUAGUUAGUAAUGCAGGAUUCUGAUUGGUUGAUUAAUUGCAAUGCUUAUUUGAUCAAUUGUAGCUUGGAAAUAAACUGUAUAUAAACAGAGUCUAUAACGAUUGCUUCAAUUAAUGAAAAGAAAAUAUUCCAGAGAGUUCAUCUAUUUUCUCAGUAACCAAACAAGCAUUUAGCUUAAUUUGCUAUUAUUUUACAUGGUAUCAGGGCCACAAUAUGGCAAGCUCAAGCAAUCCAAACGGAAAUUCAAACACAAUCACUGCAAAUCAAUCAAUACAAACCACAUUCUCCUUCAUAUCACCAAUCAAGUUAGAUCGAUCUAACUACAUGCUCUGGCGAAAUCAAGUUCUAGCCUCUAUAAGAGGAAACAGACUUGAAGGUUACAUUAAUGGAGAGAAGGUUGCUCCCAAUCAGUUUAUCACAACUGGAGGAUAUGCUGGAGCAGCAGGUAGUUCUACUCAACAGAAAGAAAAUCCAGAAUAUACAGUCUGGAGAUCACAAGAUCAGACAUUACUAAGCUGGCUGUUGAGCUCAGUCACUGAAGGUAUUCUCCGCCUUGUUCAUUCUUGCAAUACUUCAUAUGAUAUAUGGAAAACAUUGGAGAAAAAGUUUGGUGCAAAAUCUGAAGCAAGAGUACUUCAACUUAGAUAUGAAAUGAGUGUUUUAAGAAAAGAUUCACUGAAUAUAGAAGAUUAUUGUUUGAAGAUGAAACAAAUAGCAGAUAAACUAGCAUGUGCUGGUAAUCCAGUUUCAGAUAAAGAUUUGCUGCAACAAAUUCUAAAUGGUCUUGGACAAGGAUAUCUUGAUUUAGCUACAUUCAUAACAGCAAGUAAACUUGAUUAUGAUGAUGCAUAUGCACUACUACUUACUCAUGAAACAAGACUUGAACAGAGUAUGAAUGAAAAACAGAUGUUCAAUGCAAAUUUUGCCAAUUUUACUCCUAAUAACAGUGGAUAUGGUAUGAUGAAUGCCUUUUAUGCACAAGCAAGAGGCAAUGCUCGAAGAGGUGGAUAUAAUGGAGGUUUUCACAGUGGCAAUCAAGGAGGAAGAAAUAAUUUUCAUACUGGAAGGGGAAUGUUUGUUAACUCUCAUCCAAGAGGUUUUCCCUCUGGAACUGGAAAUUUUGGUAACAGUCAUGGUAGAGGUCAGAUGAUUGGUAAUAAUAAACAGAUGCAAUUUAUGAGAGGUCAAUACAGUAGUAACUCUGGUAUGCCAAACUCUGAUGGUAAUGAUGAGCAAAGUGUUGUAUGUCAAAUUUGUUUUAAAUCUGGGCAUACAACAACAGAAUGUUGGCAUAGAUUUGAAGAGAAUUAUGUACCACAAUACAUGAAGAAAUGAAGAAAUUAGAGAUGAGCUUAUAUGGCAUAUUAUGAUGCACCAACUGAAAAUUCAUGGUCAACUGCUUGUUCAGGAAUGCCUCAAAUGCACAAUCCAUCAUUCACCCCAUACAUGUCUGAUUCAGUGAACUUGUUAGGAGCUGGAGCUGGAGCUGCCUAUGUUGCUAAUUUUGAAGGUCCAGCAGAUGAAGGAUGGUAUCUUGACAGUGGGGCUACACAUCAUUUGACAAACAACAUGGCAAAUAUGCAUGUCAGAGAUGAAUUCAAUGGUAAUGACAAGCUGAUUAUUGGCAAUGGUAAAGGUCUGUCAAUCACACACAUUGGUAGCACUACUUUUUCAGUUCAAGGUUCUAAGUCACAAGCUGCACGUAAAUGCAUUACACUUAAAGAUAUACUGCUUGUUCCUUCUAUCACAAAGAAUUUAAUAAGUGUUUCUAAACUUACUGCUGAUAAUAACCUAUCUAUUGAAUUCUUUGGAUGUAUCUGUUAUGUGAAGGAUUCACUGGAGGGGAAGGUUCUGCUACAGGGUAUUGCUGAGAAAGGUCUAUACAAAUUGCUGAUCAAAUCAUCUUCAAAAUCAUCACUACAACCUACAUACACCUCUUUUCUUUCUCAAAGCUCAAUAAAUCAACCUUUGUCUAUGUUGUCUCUCUGUCAUUUCAGUUCUGCAACUAAUAAUACUUGUUCUGCAAAUUGUUUUCAUUCAAAUAAAAACUCUUGUACUGAUUCAUCAUCAAAUAAAAUGUCUCUAUUUCACAGAAGAUUUGGUCAUCCCAAUGCUCAAAGUUUCAUUCACUUACUUAUACUUGUGCAUCCUAACUUGUUAUCUACAAAUAUGCUUAAUCAAGUAAUAAAGCAUUUAUGUGAAGCAUGUCAGCUGGGCAAAUUUCAUAGACUUCAUUUUCCUAUAACUGAUAUUAAGUCUAAAUCAGCACUAGAACUAAUCCAUACUGAUCUAUGGGGCCCUUCACUAAUAUGUUCUAGAGAAGGUUAUAGAUAUUAUAUUAGUUUUGUGGAUGAUCACACUAGAUACACCUGGAUAUACCCUCUGAAAUUAAAAUCAGAAGCUCUAGAAGUGUUCAAAUUGUUUAAACUUCAAGUUGAAAAUCAGUUUCAAACCACCAUCAAAGCUCUACAAUCUGACUGGGGGGGAGAGUAUAGACCAUUCACUACUUUUCUAAAUGAAUGUGGUAUUCUUUUCAGACACUCUUGUCCCUACACACAUUAUCGAAAUGGCCUUGUUGAAAGAAAACACAGACAGAUUAUAGAAUUAGGCUUAACACUUCUAGCACAAGUUAAACUUCCAUUCCAGUUUUGGUGGGAUGCUUUUCAUACCUCGGUUUAUCAUAUUAACAGACUUCCUACCUCUGCCCUUAAGAUGUCUAUUCCAUAUGAAAAAUUAUACAGACAUAAAGCUGAUUACAACAUGCUGAAAUGCUUUGGUUGUGCUUGUUAUCCAUACUUGAGAGAUUACAAUAAGCAUAAAUUUGAUUAUCAUACAACCAAGUGCAUCUUUCUUUGUUAUAGUCCUUUUCAUAAAGGUUUCAAGUGCUUUCAUCCCUCUGGUCGUGUGUAUAUUGCUAGACAUGUCAAUUUUGAUGAAACUUCAUAUCCAUUCUUUUCAGAUCCUGAUUUUCAUUCUUUGAAUAAAUCUCAGUCCAACUCUUAUGAUUCCAUUACACCUAUACAAGUAUUUCAAUUGUCUACCUUACCUGUCAUAUCAGUUUUUUUGAAUAACAGCAAUGAGUCUCUUUCUCAAGCAUAUACCAGUAGUGAUAACUUUCCUUCAGCAGUAGAUUCAACACAAGUACAUGUCUCAGAUCAACAACUCUCAAACACAAACAAUGUCUCAGAUCAACAACCAAUUUUACCUGCACCUACAACAUUACCUUCUCCAGAUGAAAUUCCACAAACUCAACCUAUUCUAAACUCACCAUCUCUAAACCACCAUCCUAUGAUUACUAGAGGAAAGGCAGGUAUCUUUAAGCCAAAGCUAUGUACUGCAGUUUUGUUGUACAAAGAACCAAAAACUAUUCAGGAGGCUCUCAACAAUGAAAGGUGGUUUCAGGCAAUGAAAGCUGAAUAUAAUGCAUUGAUAUCAAAUGGCACUUGGACAUUGGUACCAAGAACAGAAAAUCAUAAGCUUAUUGGUAACAAAUGGGUUUUCAGAAUAAAAACCAAUACUGAUGGAAGUGUUGAGAAAUAUAAGGCAAGAUUGGUUGCUAAAGGAUUUCAGCAGAUUGAGGGUGUUAACUACUUCGAGACUUUCAGUCCAGUGGUAAAAUCAGCAACAGUUAGAGUGAUCUUAAGUUUGGCAGUGAUGAACCAGUGGCAAAUACGACAAGUUGAUGUGAAUAAUGCAUUCUUAAAUGGAGAUCUAACUGAAGAAGUUUAUAUGAGACAGCCAGAAGGAUUUGUUGAUCCACAAAGACCAGACUCUGUAUGUAAACUGCACAAAGCUCUUUAUGGCCUGAAACAAGCUCCUCGUGGUUGGUUUGACAAACUGAAAAGUAGUCUUAUACAAUGGGGAUUCAAGAAUUCUAAGUCUGACACAUCUCUAUUCUUGAGAAGAACCAAGAGCUCAAUCAUUAUAAUUCUGAUAUAUGUAGAUGAUAUAUUGAUUAUAGGAUCAGAUUGUGUUGAGUUGGAAGAGUUUAUUAAGUUGUUCAGCUCUACAUUUGCAUUAAAGGAUCUGGGGAGACUAUCUUACUUUCUGGGUAUAGAAGUAUUAUAUGGUCAUGAUAGUAUAUACCUGUCACAAAAGAAGUAUAUCCGAGACUUGCUUGCAAAAGUUGACAUGCUUGAAUGCAAGGGAACAAACACACCAAUGAGUAGCAGUAAAGAUUACAGAUUGCAGAAGAGUGUUGAGGGAGAAAUGGGCUAUUAUAUUGAAGAUCCCACUCAUUACAGAAGCAUAGUUGGAGGACUGCAGUAUUUGGUUUUAACUAGACCUGAGAUAGCUUAUUCUAUUUACAAACUAAGUCAGUAUGUGUCUUCACCAACUCUUCAACAACUUAUGGCAUGUAAACGAGUGCUAAGAUAUUUGAAGGAAACACAAGAAUAUGGUCUAAAGUUUGUUAGAGAAGGUGACAUGAAGCUUACAGCAUUUACAGAUGCUGAUUGGGGAAGUGAUCUUGAUGACAGAAGAUCAGUUGGAGCUUAUUGUGUAUACUUGGGAAACAAUUUAAUCUCAUGGUCCUCAAAGAAACAAUCAGUGGUUACCAAGUCAUCAGCUGAAAGUGAAUACAGGGCUCUUGCUGCAGCUGUUUCUGAAAUAACAUGGCUAAAGUCAUUGUUCCUUGAAAUUGGUUUAUGUUGUGAUGAAAGCCAAUCAUAUGGUGUGACAAUGUGAGUGCUGCUGAACUUGCUCGCAAUCCAGUAUUUCACUCAAGAACAAAACACAUAGAAAUUGAUCUACACUUUAUCAGAGACAAGGUUUUGGCUGGAGACUUGAAGAUACUAUAUGUUCCCAAUGCAGAGCAAAUAGCUGACAUAUUAACUAAGCCACUGAACUCUUCUCAAUUCAAACCUAAGGCUCAAACUCAAUGUGGAGCUAUGUCCCUUGAGUUUGAGGGGGGCUGUGAAGAGAGCUCACUGUGCUGAGUUAAAACAAGAAAGGAAGCCAGCAGUCAAGAUUCUUCAGCAAUGCCACGUCAGUGCUGAGUCAGCUGAUUCUGUUAAGGAUUGUUGAAAGCUCACGUGACUAUUAGUUAGUUAAUUAGCUUUUAGUUAGUGAUGUAGGAUUCUGAUUGGUUGAUUAAUUGCAAUGCUUAUUUGAUCAAUUGUAGCUUGGAAAUAAACUGUAUAUAAACAGAGUCUGUAACGAUUGCUUCAAUUAAUGAAAAGAAAAUAUUCCAGAGAGUUCAUCUAUUUUCUCAGUAACCAAACAAGCAUUUAGCUUAAUUUGCUAUUAUUUUACAUUAAUUAUGCUUCAUUUUUUCGUUAAAGAUUGGAUGGUUGCAUGGAUUGAUGGAGUUGGAGUUCAACCAAUAAUUCUAAUUUUUUGGACUUAAAAUGCCUUUUUCUUCGGUAUAAAAACUUUAGUAAGUGCUAUUGAGUUGACAGAAGUUGAAUACUUACAGGUUGUUUCACACUUUUUAAUAGUUUUACAUAUAUGAAUUUCUGUUUUUUGAUUUUCAGAAAGGAGGUGGAACUAUUGAUUUGGAACCUUAUCUUACUCAUUCAUCGACAACGGAGCCUACCCUCGCUCCCAUGGCAGUGGAACGGACAACGACUACUAGGGCUGCAACAUCAGUUGGUUUGGGUCUGUUUUGAGUUUAUUUUCAUUUAUUUGGCUAUGUUUUGAUAGCGAAUUUUGAUAUGUCAAUGUAGGGUGCGUUUGGGAUUGAGGUGCUGUAGCUUUUAAGCUAUAGCCACUGUGAAAAAAAAGUUGUAAUUAUGAAAUAAAAGUUAAUAAUAUAUAAUAAAUAUAAAUUUUAAAUAAUAAUUUUAUUAAAAUUAUUAAAGAUAUAAUAAAUUUUAUAUUAUACAAGUGAAAAAUUAUAUCAACAUAACUUAAAAGCUACAGCAGUUAGUGUUUACCAAACACUUUAGUGCUGUAGCUUUUAAGCUACAGCUGGCCAACCUCAAUCCCAAACGCACCUGUAAUGUGUAAUUGUUUUGGGUUGAGCUGGUAAUUAUGCUGGAUUAGAUUGGUUUGGUUUUGGUGCUUCUCUGAUGGAACACUGUUUUUUUUAGAAAUUUUGAAUGUAAUAUGAGACUACAUUUAGUUUAAUUGAACACUGCAUCUAGUCUAAUUACUAGAAGUGCGGCAUUUGGUUUGGUUUAUCCGAUAUUCUCCAGAAUUUCACUUGCAUCUGGUUUUGUUGCAUAUGUUUGCUUGCAUUUGGUGGCAGUAGCAGACUGUUUGGUUUUGUGACAUUUGAUGGCAGUUUUGUCUGUUCUUGGUGUUGAUUUAAGAUUGUUCCUGUUGUGCUGAUGUUAAUUGCAGGUGCUUGAAUCAGCUAGGGUUGCUGGUUUAUUCAGAUGGUUGACUCAGGCGUUGUUACUGGUUAAUUCAGGUGGCUGACUCAAGUUGUUCAUUUAAUGUUAGGAAGCAAAUUAAGAAUUAAUGAAGUAUUCAUUUAACUAUAAUUAUUGUAGUUAUUUUAUUUCAUAACUGAAUUAUAAUCUAUGAUACUUGUGAACAAAUUAGAGAAUUUUUAUAUAUGAAUUAUAUAUAUGUGUAUGUACAUUUUGCUAAUAAUUUAAAGAAUAUAUUUCAAUUCCCACAAAAAAAUGGCUCCAAUUUCAAUAAUUCCCGCCAAAUAAUUAAAUUUUUUUAAUUUACCAGCAAAAUAUAUCUUAAAGAAAUUUUAGUUAUUCUUGCUAGAUUUAACAAAAAUGAUUUGUAGGAUUAACAUUUAAUUAAAAUAAUUAAAUAAUUUUAUUAUUCCAAUUAAAUAUGUCAUGUUUAUACGACAGACAAUAUUCAUGAAUGGGAAGUAUUAGUUACAUAUUUUUCCUUGGGAUUUCAGGCAAAUGAAAAAAAGAUUGAGAAUGAUUUCAAGAGGACAGGUGGAUGAUAAGUAUUCAUUUUUGUAUAUUUGUCUAAUGUCCUCAUUAGUGGAUUUUUAUUAGGGAUGGCAAUGGGGAGAGGAGGGGAGGGGACCAAUCUCCCCGUACCCAUCCCUGAUAUUUUGCGUAUGUCCCCGUCCCCUCUCCAUCCCCAUCAAAAUUAUUUAAGAGAAUCCCCAUCCCCUCCCCGAAUAAUAACAGGGGAUCCCCGAGGGUCCCCGAUCCCCGAAUAACUAAUACAUUUUUUUUAUUUUCGAUUUUGAGUUAAUCAUAUUAAAAUAAAAAAUUCAAAUAAAAGUAAAGUUCAAAAUAUAUCUUACAUUAAUAUCCAUUACAAAAGUCACAUACAUUAAAUUAGUAAGUAACGCAGCAUGCAAGAGAUACAAACUAUCAUGAACAAAUUAAUAGCCUAAUACAAAAUUGUUACAAAUAAAAUCAAAUUUAGAUUAAAAAUUAACUUUUCAAUGGUGGCGUGGGCACUUUAUAAAUGUGGACUAUUCCCUUUACAUCACAAUAGUUAAGUCGAAGCAAAUCAAGAGUAAAUAUUAGAUUAGAUUAUAUAUUAAAAUUGUGAUUUGCUGUGGGCAAUUAUAACAUCUAAAAAAAAAUAGAUUUAAGAUAAAUAAAAAAUAGAUUUAAGUUUAAAAUAUUUAAUGAAUAUUAAAAUUAAAACAAAAGUUUUGGGCUAAUAGAAUCUGUCCGGUCUUUUUAAUGUCCUAAAUAAAAAUUUAGGACUUUAAUUAGUUAAUUAGGCCUAAAAAUUUAAUAAUAUAAAUAUUUUGAUAUUUUUUAUUUUUACCAAUACUUAUAAUUUUAUAAUUCAAAUUUUAUUAUUUAUUUACUAGUAAUUUUAAAAAAUAAAAAUUAAAUUAAAAAUUAAAAUGGGGAAAUGGGUAGGGGAUGGGGAUUCCACCUCAUCCCUGUCCCCUCCCCGAAUAAGAAAUUGGGUACAAAAAUUUCCCCGUCCCUUCCCCGAAUAAGAAAUUAGGUAUGAAAUUAUCCCCAUACCCUCCCCGAAUGGGGAAAAUCCCCGAGCGUACCCGUCCCCGUGGGAAUUUUUGCCAUCCCUAAUUUUUAUGGUAUUGAUCUUUUUUUUUUUUAAUUUUCAGUUAGUUGCAGCCCUAGAGGAAGAGCAGGCUGAUCAAAUUGAUUUGUCUUGUUUUUCGGGCAAUCUACGACAUGAUGACCGUGAUAAUGCUCGUGACUGCUGGAAACUUUCUGAUGGAAAUAACUUUAGAGUUCGUAGCAAGCAUUUUUGUUAUGACAAAACAAAGGUUCCCCCAUAUUUUGUUUGUUUGUUAUGGUAUUUAUAUAUCCUGCAUUGGCUAGGUAGACAGGUUAUGAUGUACGUGUUUCUCAUAUAGAACUCAAGUCUGCUGUUGUCCCAAAGUUGGAACCAGAGAUAUCAUGACUCUGGUUUCAUUUCACCUCAACUGUGUUUUUUUUUUUUUAAUUAAAAAAAUAUUUGUUUUAGGUAUACAUACAUGUAUUUUGAUUCUAUUUUCAUUGUAAUUUCUCAUUUACUUUGAAUGAAAGUCAUUGGUGUUUUCGAAUGGGAAUUUUGCAUUAAAAAAUGAAGAAUAGUGAAUAGGAAAUUUCUUGAUUCUUUAGUUACUAUUUUUGGUAUGAGUGCCAUUAGUAGUAAGGUUGGUUUCUACUCGCAAACAAGUGAACUGCUCGAUUCCCGAGUGGUAUCAACCAGUUUCCAACUUUUUAAUAUACACUAAUUGUUAGUGUUUAAUAGCUACUGCUAUUAAAAUUCAACAGCUAACAAAAAUACUUAAAAAAAAUGAUUUUUCUUAUGAUGUUGGGAAAAAAAUUAUGGGUUUACUUAUUUCCACGAGAUCUAUAACAUGGUCUUGACUUCACGAAAUUCUUUUAAUUUAAAGCGUGCUGGUGUGAGAAGGUCAGUUUGACGGAUUAAUUCUUUUCAACAGUGGUCAAGAUAAUUUUACUAUACUAAAAAAUAUUCUUAUUCUGAUAAUGCCACAAAUGUUAUGCUGUUUUCUUCGGCUAAUGAUCUUCUAUUAGGAGAGGUUAGAAAUCAAAUGCUUAAAAGACCAAUUGAACGAAUAAUACAGAAAUUUAGGCAGAAUCUAAUCGAAUAUUGCAUGAAACAUGAAACAUCAAUUCAAGUCUUUUCUUAAACGGAGAAUGCAUCAAACAAAAUCCAAAGUGUCUUGCAAGUCUGUAGCAUGAGCAAAAAAUUGUAAAUAUGUUGAACCAAAUUAUUCAAGUACAGAAGAACGAGCAAGCUAAAUCAUGUAUAAGAGAUUGGCCUGGUUCGGGAUAGCUUCUUCACUGUACCUGAAGGGUUGGCUCAAUCUCUUCUUUAGAAUUCUGCAGAUUUUGUAAUUACUCGUGUAAGCAAGCAUACAUUGCCACCAUAAGAAUAAUAAAGCUAGAGUAAUGAUAUGACCACCACCUCUUGUGCACAAACAAUAUUGUAUAAACUAAUGCGACAUAAUAUGAUUGGUUAAACAAAAACAUUACAUGGCCCUCAUAAUUUAUUUAUUUAUUAUUAUUAUUAUAUAUUUUCAGUCAACCAAUCAUAUUAUAUUACAUUAGUUUCUAUAAAAUAAUUUGCUAAAUAGCACCAAAACUUAAUUGAUACUCACCAUUUCAUUGAACAAUUUUUUCAUGGUGUCAUUGAGAUUGCCUUCCCAACAUCCUUUAUCAUCAUCUUUUUCUUCUUCGGUGACGUUCACUUUGUUUAGCAUUGGUGUGUCUAAGACUCCUUGAGAGAAGAUCUUCAUUUUUGGACACUGUCUCACAACUACUUGUUUCAAGGACGGGAAUUCAAGAGCGUAAUUACCUAAACAAAAGCUUGUUAGGCUUGGCAAACAAUCAAGUCCCAAGUACUUCAAUUUGUUGAAAACAAUGCAAUCUUUCGAUUCUUCUCCAACCUGCGACUGUAUGAUUUCUUCCAUCAUUUUGCAAUCAGUUAUCUUCAUUCUUCUGAGAUUAACCAGAUUUUUAGAUGCUGAGAGCGUCAACACAUUUAUCAACCCGUGACACUUCGAUACUUUCAAAACCUCAAGGUUUUCCAAAUGCCACGAAGGUGGUACUAAUUUUUGCAACUUACCACAUUCCGAUAUUUUUAGACUUUCCAAAUUUGCAAAUACUUUGUUGGAUUCGGCAUUUUCCUUCCAGAGAUGCUGCAAUUUGUGUAAUCCAGACAACUCUAACCCCCACAAUUGAGGGAAAGCAACCUGAAAAUCAACAAAAUUAAGUUGUAAAUGAAAAUAUGUAUCCAAUCUCUGCAGUCUUCCUCUGCAUAUUUUAUGGACAAGAUUAAUCACGGCAUUUUAUAUUUUAUUUUCCAAAUUAGUAUGCUUUGCAGUAGGAUCCCAAAUAUAAGUAUCAAAUCGAUUACUCUUUGAAACACAUAAAUGAAAUCUGAUGCUAAAUCCAAUAUGAAUUAGCUAGGAAAACAGAGAUGUUACACACAUAAUUAAUAUAGUUCAUCACCUCGUGUUACCAGGCAUCCAAUUAAUUUCUGACAUUUUUAUAAUUCAUACUAUAAAGUUAGUUAAUAACGGAGGUUAUAUUGUUAAAUCAGAUAUAAAUUAAGACGACAUGCAAAAAGAUGAGUCAUUAAAUUUGAUUUGAUUCUAAUGAAAUUACAUCUGUGCGAAUGAAAGUGAAGGGAAAAAUAAUAAUAAUGAUUACCUUUUCAUCGAAGAGAUGUUGUAUUUGAUUAGCUACCAAGAGGUUCUCUUCUGAUUUUAAUUUUUGAGCUUCCUUAUUAUCUGCUGUCAUGUGCAGUACAGAUGUAGAAUUGGAUAUGAAUGUUUCCAUAUCAGGGCAAUUCUCAAUAGUUAGAUAACUCAGCAGUUCAAUUAUAUUCCCAGUGAAGUUGCAGAAUCUUUUGAGUUUUGGAAGAUCAAUGAGCCUUAGGUUGGAAAGCUUAGGAAACAGGGGGCCUAUAUGUUCUUUGUCAGCAUUAAUUAGCUCUUCCAAAUGGAGCACCUCUUCUAGUGAAUCACAAUUCGUCACUGCCAGGCAUUCCAAAUUGUUCAAGCACCGUAGCAGAUUGGCAGGAAUAGCACUCGACAUAUUCGUGCAGUCAUCCACUUCCAGCUUUCUUAAAUUGUUGAAGAAGCUGACAGGCAGUUCUUGGCCAUGCCAUAUUUCUUUCAAACGUGGAAAACGUGAGAGUUGCAAAUACUCUAUAUCACGAAAUCCAAUCUGCACAAACCAAAACAAUUGCACUGGAUAUAUACAAUUUUUUUUUAAAGGCAUUAGAUAUAUAUAUAUAUAUAUAUAUACACACACACACACACACACACAUUAAACUUACAUGUUUUGUGUUUUAACUUCUAAAACUACAUAUACAAGGUAGGUGUAUAUGUUUAAAUGUGCAAGCGUAGGGGAGAUGCAUGAACAAUUUGGGUGAAUCGAUUAACACAGACCAUCUUUUUGUAACAUAUUUUUAAAUGUGCAAGUGCAAGGGAGAUGCAUGAGCAAUUUGGAUGAAUUGAUGAGCACAUACCAUUUCUUUGUAACACUUCUGUAUAGUGGAAUUAAGAUUGCCUUCCCGAUGGUACAAUUCACUGUCUUCCUUUUUACUAACUUGCACUUUGUACAGCUUUGGUGUGGAUAAGAUUCCCUGGGGAAAAGUCUUCAUGUUCGGACAAUGUGUCACCGAAACUCGUUCCAAUGAUGGGAAUUCAAGAGUAUAAUUCUCCAAACAAAAGCUGGUAAGCCUUGGUAAAUAAUCAAGUAUCAAAACUUUUAAUUCGCUGAAAGCAAUACGAUUCUCCUUCACUUCUUCUCCAACAUGUCCUACGAUUUCUUCUAAUUUUUGGCAAUUCGAUACAUUAAGAUUCACCAGACUACUAGGAAUUCCAACCUGAAAAUAAGCAAAAGUGUGUGUAUAUUAAAAAAGUAAAAAUGUAAGAAUAUCAUUCAACUAGCACCACAACAGAAAUGGCUUUUUGCAACAAAAAGAUUUUGUUGCCUAAAGUGCCAAUUUUGUUGCCAUAGGUUAUUGCUACAAAAACAAGCUUGUCGGCCCGGUCGUCGGCCUAGCACUGUCGCCCUCUAUGUUUAACAACAUAUCAAAACAUUUCUCGCCUCAAACUUCCUUUCGCAACAAAACAGAUUCGUUGUGAAGGAGUCUUCAACUUGUUUAGAGAAUAAUUUGGCAACAAACAUUUUUGUUGCGCUAAACAGUUUUACACAACAAACUAAUUUUGUUUCUAUAUAGUUAUUUACUACAAAACUAAUUUGUUGCUAAGAAAUAAAGUACAUUUUAUAAAAAAAACGUGUACCAACAAAGGUGUUUGUUAGCUAAGAUCAUUUUAGGCAACAAAACUACUUUGUUUCUUUAUGUUGAAAAUUUUACAAAUUUGCAAUAAAUAUUUAUAUAUUUUUAGAAACAAAUCAAUUUUGUCAUUAAAAAAUAGUACAAUUUUUUUUUAAUAAUAUCAUGGUAUAAAAGGAAGCAAACCAAGUUCGUUGGGAAAGAUACCAAUUUUUUCCCCCACCAUGACAAUAAUAAACUAGAAAUAUAUGUUGAGAAAUCUAACAAAAAAAUCAUUAAUGUCAUUGAACUAAUUUAAAAGUUAAAGGCCCAUUCAGUAUCCAAGCUAUAUAUAUAUAUAUACAAAACUGACUUUAAGAAUCACAUAUGAUAGUCAAAUACAAAAGUGGAUUGUCAUCUAUCCCAAAAAUGUAAUGAGCAAAAAUUAUAAACGAUCUCUAAUUACAACUACUCCAAACUCCAAAUACUUAAAGAUAUGACAUGCACCAGCAGUAACCAAAAAGAUCAAGUGAUGACCAAUUCAAAAUACUAACAAGUUCAAGAUACUCUAAGGACAUCAUUGAAAUGAGUAAUCAUUGAGUAGCUGAAUCUGUAAAGCAAAAAGUGGAUCCUUGAGAAGAAAAAAAUUGCUGCAUCAUACCCUCAAAUUGGGACAAUCUGGACUCCAAUUGAUCAAUAGUCUUCUUUUGUUCUUGAAGCUCAACAUCUUGUGAAUCCAAUCUACUUUGUUGUGAAGAUAUAAUACCAUGCAAUCUGUCAGCCUCAGAAGUAUCAACACCAUGGUUUGAAGUUGGGCGUGGUCCGUUGCCAAGUCCUCGAAAAUAGCCUGUUUUCUUUCCAAGUACUUCAAUGCAUAUUUCCUUUUGAGUUAGUGGUUUUGCUUCUUGAGGAUCUAUUUGUUGCUGUUGUUGUAUCUCUACCAUUUGGUCCUAUACAUAAAGCUUUGUUAGUAAAUGAAGGAAGAAAAAAAAGAAUUUUAUUAAUUAAAUAGUUGAAAUUUAAUCCAUUGGUCAUGGAAUUAAUUUGUAUUAAGGCAUAAAUUGAAAAAAAAAAAAAAGAAACUUGCUGUUAUACUUAUAAAUCUAAUUAUUUGAUAUUUCAAAUAAUAAAGUUAAUUAGAGCAUGAAAGAAAAAUUAAGAAAAAAAAACUCAAUGAGUAAACUUUCAUCAACAGUAUGUAGGUGAUAAGAAAUAAUAAAAUUAAAAAUUUUGUUUCCAACAAAGCAUCUUACAUGGUUUAAGUGUGCCAUCUCAUUCACCCAACCUUUUGUCUUGCUGAAAUGAUUGACGCGAAAUAAUUCUAUUUCACCAUCAACCAUGUCAUCCUCAAGAUAAUUAACAAAAGGUCUUGAUCCCCCACAAUGGACAUAUGGGAGCUUAGCACGAUUAGCUUUGUUUUUGGUAGAUUGAGUCUACAUUAAAAAAAUAUAACAGUGGAAAAUAAGAUACAUAUACAAGCAUAUUGACAACUAGUUGGACAAUUUAAAGUUCAUAAUAUGAAUAUCAUUGGACCUGGAAACUUGCGGAAUUGUAAAUGUUAUGACAAAGCCAAGCCCAAUCAUCUGGACAUAUGCCUGGAUAUGAAUGCUUAAGUGCCUCUUCAAAGGAUGGAUAAUCCAAGUAAUGAUCAUACAUCCAAUGUCUCAUAUCAUGAUAUCUCCCACCCAUAAUGUUAUUCACACAUCGACGAACAUGUGGUACGUUCAAAUCAAUCUCAAACUUUGACUGAAUUUAGGAAAAAAAAGAUAUCUCAGUUUAUAAUUAAAAAAAAUGACAUAUGAAGAAUAUUAAUAAUCAUAAGUACUUACUAAUAGUCGAUCAAACAAAACCUACCAAUUAAACUCUUUAAAUACCAAAUUCUAGAGUUGUAACAACACCUUGCACAAACUCUUGGCUGGGCAUAACAGGCUAAGAUUGGGGAAUUGUAGAUGCGACAACAAUUUCUGCUCUUACACGUUUGGUAACUCUAUGUCCAGGACCCAUCUAGUAAUUAUUAAAAAUAUACAUUAGAGUUUAUUAAUAAUCAACAUAAAAAUAAAUCAAGAUAACUAUAAUUUUGUCAAAGAAAUUAUAACAUGAAAGAUCCUAUUACUGGGCAUAGAUCCUAAAUUCAUUUGACUAUUGUCCACAAACUCAGGUUCUUCACCAUGAAAAACCCAUGAAAAAUCCAUUAACUUUAAUUUAACAAAUUAAAAAUUGAAACAAAGACCCACUUAAUAAAUAAUUAAAGCAAAACCCACUAAACAAAAUCAAACUCAACAGGCCAAUAUAUAAAAUAAAACUAAAUUUACUUGAAGAAAUCGUUGUCUUGAGUGGUGCCUUCCAAGUACAACUCUUCAAUGGCUUAAAGCUUGGGCAGAGAGAAUGACUCCAAGGCAGGGCAAAAGAAACAAGCGAAGAGUAAAGUGGAAAUAUUCUAGAAGCAAUAUUUUAAUUAAGAAAAAAUUGGAGAUGGAAACUUUACUUCGGUUAGCACGCGGUUUAUUAAAUAAAGGGCGCGGAAAUAAAAAAUUAAAAAGCCUCCCACAAAGUCAUGUUUGCUUUUAUAUUAUCUUUAUAUUUUCAUUUAUUAAUUUAAUAUUUUUGUUAACCUUUGCGCAACAAAAUUAAUCUCGUUGCAAAAAACUCUGAGAGUACAAAACAAAUUUUCUCGCUAAUCACAACCUUUUGCAAUAUUUCAUUUGUUGCAACUGAUUUAAGUGUUUGUUGUGGAAAAACUUGAGCAACGAAACAUAUUUUGCCUUCAUUAAGCUUGUUAGGCAACAAGAACACUUUUGUUGCCAAACAUAGCGUAGGGCAAGAAAAUAUUUUGUUGCCAUAUAUUCUAAUUUUCUUGCCUAUUCCACAUCAUUAAGAAGAAUAAAAUCUGUUUAGCUAUAGCGAUAAAGACUAAUUUUUGUUGCAAGAUAUGAAUUUUAGCAAUAAAGUAAGUUUUGUUGCAAUAGAAUUUGUAGCCAAUACUCUAUUUUCUUGUGGUGUAGGUUCAAAGUAUGUUUAAUCAUACAAUUAUACGUUUUAUAAACAUAACAAACCAUGAAAUGUCUACUAGAUAAUUUUUUGUUAAACAAAAAAAGCAACAAGAUAAAUAAAUAAAUAAAAGCCAGAUAAACAAAGAUAAUAAAAAUGCAUUUACACUAUUUACUAUUAGGAAUGUAGAAAGAAUUUAAGGCAAUUUCUAAAUAUUUUAGACUUAUUUUGCAUCUUGAUAUCAGUUUUUAAGCAUAAAUUUGCAAAUUUCAACUAUUCCUUUUGGGGAAAAAAAAAUCAACCAAAAUGCCGCUUUUUCCCUUUUCCUUGGUCCCUUUUUUUUAUGUACAUUUAAAAAUGGGAAAAAAAAUUGGAAAAGACUUCCCAAUAUUGUCAACAAGGGACUGCUGCUGUAAAGUGGAUCUUUAUUAAGUACUUCCAGACUCAAGGAAAUUUCUUUACAAUCACGGGUCAGUUGUAAAUAAUCAUCAAUUUGUGGUUAAUUAAUGGCAUAAUCAAUUCGUAACUAAACAAGAGAUAUUAAUUAAAUUUGAAGACUUUUAUUUUCUUUUUUUUCUUUUUCCAAUCGAAAUGUGAAGAAUUAAGGAAAAGAGAAAUAUAUAGAUGAAUUUAUGAACCUAUAAGAUGAGUGACUAUCCUUUAAUUUUUGAAAAUCGUACUUUUUAAGAUAUGAGCAAAAACUAUUUAAUUGAAUUAUAUUAUGCUGUUGAAUCGUGUUUGAAAAAUUUAUAUUGUUAAUUCUAAUGCUGACGAACCUAAAAACCGGACUUAAAACGUAGAUUUCAGGGUGGUGGUUCGAAGUACGAUACUUGAAAUAAAUAAUCAGUGGCUGAAUAUCAUUUGUAAACAAAAAAUGGUUAAAAUAUUGUUGGAUGUAAUUUGAAAAAAAAAAAAAAGAUUCGAAAUGAAUACAGCGAACUUACCAAUGGAGGAAAAAUAUUCUUUAGGUUAUCACACCAAUUUAUCUCCAAAUUCUUCAAUUUGCUGAAAGACUCCGAAGCAAGCUGGUGGUGCCAUAUUCUUCUCAAAUUAUCCAUCCUCCCAAUAUCUAAUACCUCCAACCUAGGAAGUCGUACCUGGCAGUUAAAGAUUAAAUAACUAAUUGAUCAAUUAAUGGCAUAAUCAAUUGAUAACUAAAUUAGAGGCGGAUAUUAACUAAUUUUGAAGACUCAAGGAAAAGAAAAAUUAAGUAUUGUGACUAAAAUUAAUUUUUUUUAUUAAAAAAAAAACUUUUCGUCAAAGAGAGGAGGAGGUUGCAUUUCAGAAUGAUUGGUGUCUUCUGGUGAGCUCGUAGAGAUGAAUCUUAACAUAUUUCUGCAACCACGAAACUUGAGGUUUAGCAAAGAAGGGAAUUCAACAACUGAAUCUGAAUGAAUAUGUCCCGUAUUGGCAAAGCUUGUUAGUUUAUAAAGCCCAUAGAGCUGUAGGGAGUGUAGUUUAGGAAAAACCUUUAAUUCAAUCAACUUUCCUUCAUCUCUUUCUGACCACCCCGUGGUGUCGACUACCCUUUCCAUUGACCAACAAGUGGUUAUCUCAAGAUGUUGGAGUUUCGCAAGACUAUUAACCAUAGAAUAUGAAAACAGAUACUUCAUACGAUGACAACUGACCACGUGCAGCUUUGUUAGAUUUUGAUAACAGUACAUUCCUUGAUUAUGAUCGGCCCAUAAUUUUUUCAUGUUUCUUAAGUCCCUGAGAUUCAAUUCCUCUAAGCUCGGAAGAAUAACCUGCAAAGAAAACCCGUACAUUUUUGUUCCUUCAAGUACAACCGUCUAGUAUAAUAUUUUUUUGAUGAUCGAAGAUUAAUGGUGAUAAUAAAUUAAUCAAUUAAUUAUUGAACAGAAAAUUAUCACCUUUGGAGCAGUAUCAUCAUCAGCAAUGAUUUCGUUGAAUCCCAAAGAAGUUGUUGGUUUCUCCCUGUCGGGUCCUAUAAACAAACAAAAACAAUAUAUACAUAAUUAAUCUUUGUUUUUUUUUGGUCCAAAAUAAUUGAGGAGAAGUCCAUAAUCACACCAACACUUACCAACAAUCAUUUCCAGAUCAUCGCAAGAAGCCACUUCUACCUUUUGAAGCUGCAGUAGGUUUUUGGCUAUGGAGAAUGAGAAAAGAUGCUUCAAUUCGCGACAGGAUUUUACUUCGAUAAUCCUUAAGUUGCUGAAAGAUUGAUCUUCUGUGAGUUGGCUGUCACAUAUUGUCUCCAAAUUAUUCAAAUAGCUAAGAGACAAUGACUCCAGCAAGGGAAAGACUGUCCAAUGAACCCGUCCAACUGAACCAACAAUAUGCGAAAUAUCAUAACAAUAUUCUACACGAAGAUGCUUCAAUCGUGGAAAACCUUCCCCAUCAUCUAAUUCAUGAACAACAUUCUGAACACCCUUCAGUUCGAUUAGAUGGAUCUCUUCAGUUAACUUCAGCAACAUUUUCGUCCCAUAAUUCUCCCAAAGAGUGCUAACAUUUUCUAACCCAUGGAGCUCCACCAAUCUUGAUGUUUCAGAAUUAACGCGCCACCACGCUUCUCCUAUACAUAUCUUAUAUCUUUGCAAUUCCACAGGGACCCAAUCCUGCGGCAGAAUUUGGGCAUCCCGAACGUGUAUCUCCAAGGUACUUAGCUUUGACAACCCCUUCAAUUCAGCAAGACUGGCGUUACUUCCUCCUUCAACCUUAUCCCACUGCGAAAAACUGUCACCCAUAUAUAGUUCUUCCAAUCGAGAAAAAUUUGAUAUGACAUUUGGUGCUAUCACUACAAGGCUCCUACAAUGUUGGGUGCAAGCGGAAGUGCAGAAAAAUUUUUAUUUAAGAACAGAGUAUUUUGCUGGAAAUUUCUGAAACUUUAUUGCUUAAUUCAUUUUUUUCGUUUCUCUCUUCCUUUUCAUACAACCAGAGUUCUAUAUUUAUAUGCAUUAUAGACAACUCUAGAGAUUACAUUAAUCAUGCUUUACAUUUCCAAAGCUACAUUGCAAACAUCAAUUCUACCCUUUACUUCAUGUUGAAAAACAAACCAAAUAACCCUUCAAACUUCUUGCUCAAUUUACUAGAUUAUUAAUUAUAUCUCAACACCCCCUCUUAAUUAGUAAUCUUCAAUUGCUUCUUGAAUUUUUCAAACUUCUCAAUGUUGAUUGCUUUGGUCAGAAAAUCUGCUGGCUGCUCAUUAGUGCUGAUAAACUCCAUAUUAACUUCUCCUUUGUUUACUAAGUCACGGAUGUAGUGAUAACGCAGCUCAAUGUGCUUAGAUUUAGCAUGAAAUACGGGGUUCUUUGUUAGAGCAAUGGCUGACAUGUUGUCACAAUAAAUUGUUGUUGCAGCAUCUUGAUUGAAUUGCAAAUCCUUGAGAAUUCUUCUAAGCCAAACGGCUUCACAAGCUGAUUCAGUUGCUGCAAUGUACUCUGCCUCGGCUGAGGAUAAAGCUACUGACUUCUGCUUCCUUGAGCUCCAUGAAAUCACAUUUGUACCAAGACAAAAUAAAUAACCUGAUGUGCUUUUUCUGUUAUCAAGGGAACCAGCCCAGUCACUGUCAGUAAAACCAACAAGCUUGCAAUUGUCUUCUUUUUCAUACAUGAUCCCCUGCUUUUUUGUUCCUUGAAGAUACCUUAAGAUUCUCUUUGCUGCAAUAUAAUGGGACUUCCUUGGAUCAUUCAUAAAUCUAGAAAGAACACUAACUGAGUGCAAAAUGUCAGGUCUUGAGUUGGUUAGAUAAAUCAAUGAACCAACCAAGCUUCUAUAGAUUCUUGCGUCAGCCUUUUCUUCUUUUUCAUCAUGUUUCAAUUUUUCAUUCAAACCCAUAGGAGUAGGUGCUGGUUUGCAUUUGAACAUGUGGAAUUUCUUCAACAAAUCUUCUACGUAUUUUUCUUGACAAAAGAAGAUUUUACCUCUGGCUUGCUUCACUUGAAUGCCAAGAAAAUACAUCAUUAAGCCCAAGUCAGUCAUCUCAAAUUCAUCUAGCAUGCUUUUUUUAAACUCUUCCACCAUUUUCAGAUUAGUGCCACAAUAAAUUAGAUCAUCAACAUAAAGGCAAACAAUAAGGAAAUCAGUACCUUCCUUUUUGACAUAAAGAGAAGGUUCACUUGAGCUUCUGUCAAAUCCAUUUUUAACAAAAUAUCUAUCAAUUCUACUAUUCCACGCUCGAGGGGCUUGCUUCAAGCCAUACAAGGCUUUUCGGAGUCGAUAAACUUUGUUUUCUUCACCUUUUACUUCAUAUCCUUUAGGCUGCUCAACAUAAACCUCUUCUUCAAUUUCACCAUUUAGAAAUGCCGAUUUUACAUCUAGCUGAAACACAUUUAAUUCCAUUUGGGCUGCCAAGGCAAGAACAGUUCGAAUAGUCUCCAUUCGAGCUACGGGAGCAAACGUUUCUGUAAAAUCAACUCCAGGCAGCUGAGAGUAUCCUUUGGCAACGAGCCGCGCCUUAUAUUUUUGAACUGAACCAUCUUCAUUGUACUUGAUUUUGAAGAUCCAUUUCAGCCCAAUUGUUUCUUUUCCAUUUGGCAAAUUAACCAUCUCCCAAGUUUUAUUUUUCACAAUGGUGGCCAUUUCCUCGUUCAUUGCUUUGAUCCAAUCUUCAUUUCUUGAGGCCUCCUCAAAGUCUUGAGGCUCACAAGAAAAUAAAGCAAGUUCACAUGACUCAUAAAUUUCUCUCAUUGACUUUAUCUUCCUUGGAGGGCUUUCAUCAUCCGAAGAAACUUUCUGCUGCUGAAUUUNNNNNNNNNNNNNNNNNNNNNNNNNNNNNNNNNNNNNNNNNNNNNNNNNNNNNNNNNNNNNNNNNNNNNNNNNNNNNNNNNNNNNNNNNNNNNNNNNNNNNNNNNNNNNNNNNNNNNNNNNNNNNNNNNNNNNNNNNNNNNNNNNNNNNNNNNNNNNNNNNNNNNNNNNNNNNNNNNNNNNNNNNNNNNNNNNNNNNNNNNNNNNNNNNNNNNNNNNNNNNNNNNNNNNNNNNNNNNNNNNNNNNNNNNNNNNNNNNNNNNNNNNNNNNNNNNNNNNNNNNNNNNNNNNNNNNNNNNNNNNNNNNNNNNNNNNNNNNNNNNNNNNNNNNNNNNNNNNNNNNNNNNNNNNNNNNNNNNNNNNNNNNNNNNNNNNNNNNNNNNNNNNNNNNNNNNNNNNNNNNNNNNNNNNNNNNNNNNNNNNNNNNNNNNNNNNNNNNNNNNNNNNNNNNNNNNNNNNNNNNNNNNNNNNNNNNNNNNNNNNNNNNNNNNNNNNNNNNNNNNNNNNNNNNNNNNNNNNNNNNNNNNNNNNNNNNNNNNNNNNNNNNNNNNNNNNNNNNNNNNNNNNNNNNNNNNNNNNNNNNNNNNNNNNNNNNNNNNNNNNNNNNNNNNNNNNNNNNNNNNNNNNNNNNNNNNNNNNNNNNNNNNNNNNNNNNNNNNNNNNNNNNNNNNNNNNNNNNNNNNNNNNNNNNNNNNNNNNNNNNNNNNNNNNNNNNNNNNNNNNNNNNNNNNNNNNNNNNNNNNNNNNNNNNNNNNNNNNNNNNNNNNNNNNNNNNNNNNNNNNNNNNNNNNNNNNNNNNNNNNNNNNNNNNNNNNNNNNNNNNNNNNNNNNNNNNNNNNNNNNNNNNNNNNNNNNNNNNNNNNNNNNNNNNNNNNNNNNNNNNNNNNNNNNNNNNNNNNNNNNNNNNNNNNNNNNNNNNNNNNNNNNNNNNNNNNNNNNNNNNNNNNNNNNNNNNNNNNNNNNNNNNNNNNNNNNNNNNNNNNNNNNNNNNNNNNNNNNNNNNNNNNNNNNNNNNNNNNNNNNNNNNNNNNNNNNNNNNNNNNNNNNNNNNNNNNNNNNNNNNNNNNNNNNNNNNNNNNNNNNNNNNNNNNNNNNNNNNNNNNNNNNNNNNNNNNNNNNNNNNNNNNNNNNNNNNNNNNNNNAACUUGAUGGUGACUGCCUUUUCGGACCUUGAAAUUCUUGUUUUAGGAUUUCCCAAGCAUUUUUGGCCUUUUUGACACCAAAUAUUCUGGGGAAAAUUGACUUACUAACACCUUGCUGGAUAUAUCGAAGUGCCGUGGCAUUUCUCUGUAUGUUUUCUUUGUACUGCUGUUGAUGUGCUGGAGUCCAAUCUGAAGAACUUGCUGAUUCUGGUGGUUCAGCAUAUCCAUCUUCAACAACAAGGUGUUGGGUGCAAGCGGAAGUGCAGAAAAAUUUUUAUUUAAGAACAGAGUAUUUUGCUGGAAAUUUUUAUUUACAAUUGCUCAAAUCUAGCAAUUGUAACCCCGUCAAUUGUCCAAUUUCAAGUGGUAACUGCUUAAUGUCGGAAUAUCGAAAGCUAAGAAUCUCCAAUUUCUUUAGUUGUCCAAUUGCCGCUACAUCUUCUAGUUGGCACCAGUCUAAACACAAUGUUUGAAGGUUAAUGAGGCGACCGAGUGACGAAGGUAAUGAAGAGAAAGGAAUUCUAGUAAGACUUAAAACUUUGAGUUCUUCUGUCCCUUCAAAAAAGAGAUCUGAAAUUUGCAUAGGGCCAUUACCCUUUCUAAACAACAAAAAUAACUGGAGAUUGGGACAUUGCAACCUUUCAGGGAGCUCUUGAAUAUUUCUCUGGGGUAAUGAAAUGGCAAUUGGAUCUUUCCGUAUUGUCUCUUCCAUCUUUUUCUCUAAGUCGGCAACAUUUGGAAUAUUAAACAUGCGCUUCUCUGCGGCAAUUGAUACGGCAACAACAUGAGUGACGUCAUGCAUUUUAACUUCAUCUUUAGCAUCACCGUCCAACAAUAAGCAUGAAGAUUUGAGGUUGUCGAUCAACCGAUGCACUCUACUCCUUGCUUCUUCCGAUGUGUAAACAUUUUCAAAUAAACGCCAACCCACACCAUAUCUCAAUAAGUUAGAAACUUGUAUGACAUAACCUUCACUGUAUAGACCACAAAGACGGAACAGAGAUUUUGCCUCCUCACUUUCCAAGAAGUCAUAACUCAAUUUUAUGGAGGUGUAAACAUUUGCUUGCAUGCCAUGAAUUUCUCUUGCAUCCGAUCUUCUUAGCUGAUUCAAUGCAUCUUUCCAAAAGUCAAGCUCCUUAGUUUUCAGAGCAUUUGCAACUGUACUCAGUGCAACAGGCAAACCUCCGCAUCUUUCAACGAUCUCAUUGGCUGUACUUUGAAAAGCAGAUAUUUUAGUUGAAUCACCCACUAUCUCCUCAAAUAACUGCAAUGCUUCUUUUGGUGGCAAAGCAUCGAUCUGGAAAUUUUUCUGAGAAUUCAUAUCAAUGCGCAAUAAAUCUUGCUUUCUAGACGUCAAUAUUAUUGUGCAUCUUCUCUGAUCAUCCUUUCUAUCUUUCUCAGCAACAUCCCCGGUUGGAAUUCCAAAUUUAUCCAACUCAAGUUUUGUCCAAAUAUUAUCUAAUAUAAUGAGGAGCUGCUUCUCUUUCUUCAAUCUUUCAUGUAAUCGUUCAGCUCUUUGGAAUUCAUUCUCAUUCAGGCCAAAUUCCAUGCCUAAAUCAAAAGCAAGUUUGUUUUGAAUUUUAUGAUGAUCUGGGGUCUGUGUUACCUCAGCCAUAACGACCUUAUCGAACAAGUUUUCUUCCAUCACUUGCUUUGCAACUUGCUUGACUAUCGUGGUUUUACCCACGCCGCCCAUCCCGUGGACCCCAAUUAUGUUGAGCUUAUCAUCCCUCAACGCCUCCAUAACAUCUUGAAAUACUUUCAUUCUUGAAUCAAACGCCUCGAAAUCUUUCACUUGAAUAUGUUCUGCCAGCUUUGGAGUAGGACGGUGGGAAACAUUAGAGAAGUUGCCUUUUCCCACGAGACUAGCGGCAGCUUCUGCGGCCUUUGCUGCUUGUCUACUGAGCUUGUAACGGGAAAUCAAGUUUGGGCACGAUCCUUUGAAACAGAACUUCUUAGCUCUAUCUUCAUCAUCAGUGAUGGAUUUUGCAGCGCCCUGAGUGAAUUCCUUGACACUAUUAAGCCAGUCUGCAACAUCCUUAUAAAUCUCAUCUCCUUGUUGAGUAGCCUGAUGAACGGGUAUUUCCACCCUUUCUCUUUUGUGUUCCAGCUGCUUCACUUGAUCUUUUAGGCCAUCUAUGUAGCUCUGGUACUUGAACACAUAAGAUAUCUGCCGUAUAAUCGGUUUGAAUAGUGACUUUACACCUUCUGAUACGAUGCUGGAAAAAGCAGCCAGACCCACUUCUGCAGCCAUUGCCUGUUGCUUAACAGUAUAUAUAUAUAAAUAUAUAUAUAUAUAUAAAGUGAAUAAAAAUGUCAAAUAAAGGAAUACAAAUAAAUUAAAAUGAACUAGAGGGAAAGACAGAGAAAGAAUAGACCGCAAACAACAUCACGAUAUUGAUCUUGAACCAACUGAUACCUAAGUGGAGAAUUUCUUUUUCUAUCUUAAGGAUCAGAGGUUUCGCUAUUAACAGAAAGGUAUCCUUCAAGGAAAGUUGAUGGAAAUUAAGAAAGAAUGGCUAUCAAGAUCAAGUAUUCUGCUACUAAAAAUAAAUGAUAUGAUUAAGAAAAACCAGAGAAUUUUUUCCUAGGAAAGUUGAUGGAAAUUAAGAAAGCACCGCUAUGAAGAUCAAGUAUCAGAGAUUCUGCUACUAAAAGAAUAUUACAGGUUUUAGAACAAGUGCACCUCUUUACCUGUCUGGGAUCAGAGUUGAUGAGCUGCUGUAUUCACCUUGAAUAUAGAAGAAAUAUUACAGAUUUUGACUAAAGAGGAAUGUGAGGAACGAGUUGAUGAGAGUAAUAACAAUGAAUUUCCAAAAGAAGACGACUUGAGCAUUAAGCAUGCACCCCCUUUUUCAAUCAAAUAUUGGUACGUAUGUACGUAGGGACCAUUAUGCGUAUAUGAAGUCCAUUAGUUGCAAUCAGAAACCCUGGACCAAUUUAAAUGACACUCGAUUUUUGAUAAGAAGAAGGCAAGGAUAAGGACAAAGUCAAUCAAUCACCAACAGUAAUUACUUCAAUCUUUGUCAAUCUACUUAAAUUGUCGAUCAACAUGAAAAUUGUUUAAAUUGAUAUUUGUAAAUCAAUCAAUUUUCUAGUUACUAUGAUUAUAGCGUUUCACCUUUCAUAUUGGAUUUUAUCUUUUCGAAAGUUUUCAAAUAUGAGUGUCAAUAAUUAUUGAGACUCCAAGCCGUGCUCUCAAGAUCGUGCUGACACAUCACUAUUAACUUUAUUUAUGCAUAUUUCAAAGAAAAAAAGUUAUGGUUUUGUAUUGCCAGCCCUGCUACUUUUUGUUUUUUUUCAUUUGUAUUAUUUACGAUUUUUUUUUAACAGAAACAUGAGAACUCAUCAUCGUACAAAAUUGUAUGAAAAAAUCUUCAAAUUUAUAAAAGUAAAUUUCAUUGACAGAUUGUGGAUAUGUUAGCAAGAAUAAGGAUAAGAAUGAGUUAAGAAAUUAAAAAGAAAAAAAAUAUAGUGUAAGUAAACAAUGUUUUGGUACAUUUGGUAUUGUUUUCAAAAUAUUUUGAAAAGAAAAAUUUUCAAUCAUCCACCUAAAAAUUAUUUUAUUAUCCAAAAGUUAUGAAAAUUUAAAUAUACUUAAUUUUAUACCCAUUAUUACAAUGUGUAUCAACUGUUUACUAAAAAAAUAAAGUUACUCCUAAAACGUAAUCACCACUACAAUUUUAUGUUCGCUUCUAUUUUGUCACUUUGAACGAAUAACUUUGAGUAAAUGACUGAUAAUUUCUCUUUUAUAAGCUACAAGAAGUUAAAAAAAGAAAAAAGAAAAAAUAGGAUGAUAAUUUCUCUUUUAUUUGCCUCAGAUGAUUUAUUGUUUCGGGUCUAAGAUUUUAAAUAUUCAACUUAAAAGAUUAAUAUAUUAUAAAUUAAUUAAUUAAAUAAUCAUUAAGCAAAUAAAUUGUGUCCCUGGAUGUCAAUUCCUUUAAUAUUGACGCAACUAUUUUUUUCUGGCAAAUAAUUAUUAAUGCACUUACGGAACUUUGCAUAUCUACACAGCGAUUUUAAAUAUUACUGGUAACUGCUAAGAAAUGUGCGAGAAAGGAGUUGAUGAGAGUAAUAACAGCGACUUGCAAAAGGAAAAGACAGAAUCAUUCACCCCUUUUUGUAUCACGUAUUUGGUUACUGUUUCCCUGUUGACGCAUGUAUAAAUUUGAGUGGUUUUUCUCCACGUUUUUGAGUGGUCUUUCUGCACUUUUUAACAAUAUGAUAAUUGACAGGUUAAUUAUUUUAUAUCUUUUAUAAAAUUACUAUUAAAGGAGAUUUUCUGCACGCAUGUAUAAUAUUUUAUAUCUUUAUUUAUAUUACUAUUAAUUUUAAAUUAAAAUUAUUUAUAUUUAUUCAUAUUCAAAUAUUUAUUAUUAGUUAUAUUAACUAUAAUAUAAUUAAAUAAUACAUUAUUUAGUUAUAUUUUCAAUAUAAUAAAAAUUAAUAAUAUAAUAAUAAAAUUUAUUUAAACAUUUAUUAACAUGUAAUAAAUUUUGUUUUUGUGUACAAUACAAUAAAUUGAUAACUAAAAUAAAUAUUAUUAACAUUAUUUUAUUAUUUUAUUACCUCAAUAUUAUUAGUAAUUAUAAGAAUUCCUUGAAAGUUAAUGAUUUUACUUUUUUGAUUAAUAAGGAUAAUUUUAUAUUUUUAUAGUAUGUAUGACGGCUUGCCUCCUGCAUGCGUCUAAGUGCAACCUUCCUAUAUAAUCGGUUGCUUUGCUUGUGAAACUACAUCAAACCCUAAUCCUGAUCCUGAUCCUGCUGAGAUGAGUGUUAUAUAUGCUGAAGCAAAUUAAACACGCACAUCAUCAAUUUGAUUCGAUAUGCGCACCGUCUUACGUAUAAAUACCAAAAGAAAUCAUAAUAUACAUCUUAGUACUGAUAGUCGUGAUCACAAAUUAGGAACACAAUAUAUACACAUGCAUAAUAUAAAGAAAACACGAGGUAAAUUAAAAGCGUGUAAAUAUUCAUUUUUUUCAAAUAUUGAGAUGUAGCUAUAAAAGAAAAAAUAAAUUAAAAAAUUUUAAAUUUUAAUAUGGCCAUCGUAGAGUUAGAAUCCCCGCUCCAACCCAAUUUGGAGAUGUGCUUGGUCUAUUUAUGUUUUGGAAAAAGAAAAACCAAAGGAAAAAAAAAUACACACACGACCAAAUCAAGCAAUUCAUCAAAUAAAAAAUAAAAAAAGGAAAGAAAUUUAAUGACUUGCAUGCAAUUUUGGAUCUGAAAUUAAAAUUACAUAAAAAUUAAGGAUUACCUACCUUAAUAUUUACAGCUUAUUUGAUGGACUCAACAGGUUUAAGCAACAUCAAAAUGUUUGUGGCUCCUUAAAUGAGCCCCCGACAUGGUGCAAAUGACAACAUCGACUUGUUUGACAGCUCCAACAAGGCUACGAUGAUCAGAAAAUGAGCCCUCAAUCAACAAGCUAAGAUUGGCUUCUCUAUCCUCUUCUCCCCACAACCAGCGCCUUGCUCUUUGUCAUUUUUCCUCUUGUUAGUUUUCUUCUACAUAUAAUUAUUACACUGGGAAGUACACACCCCUCUUUUCUUUUUAUAGUACCUUACUAUUAUAUCUUUACAAAACAAUAUCACCCUAAGACAGAUAUGUAUGAAAUAAAUGAAAUAAAUAUAUAAGGAACUGACGAAAUAAAAUUAUCAUGACCAUAGACUUUUCUAAUUUAUUUUUUCCUUUAAAAAACGACAAGGAUAAGUUUGGGAAAAUGAUUAUAUUUUUAAUAAAAGAAUUCUUUUUUAUUAUAAGGAUCCACCUACGUUACAAUAGUGAUACCAUACUACAGUUUUUGUCUUUAUUUAGUUGAGUCGUUGGAUGUUUUACUGGUCAAUCUAAUGGCUGAAAUUAAUUAUUAGAUAAUUGAUGCGGCAACCUGCAACCGUUGGAGCCGGUUGCGUUUUAAUGUAAUGUAAUAUCAUUUGCGAGCUUGUGCUGAGAAAGUUUGUUGUACUGCAUCAAUGGAACUGAUUUGGUCAGGAUUUAUGGAUAUAGAGAAAGAGGAGUGUUAGAAAAGAAAACGGUGCAGAAGAUUGUCCCUUCAUCCAUUUGGCCUUUGGUAGGGGCUUCCUUUGAUUUUCACCUGGACUUCAUAAAUUCCUCAAAUUUCCUUCUUGAUAACAGUAAUCCUGCAUUCGGAGAGAGGUAAGUCACCAUGUUUCGUCACAAACGUGGCCAUCUCUUCUCCAUUCGAUUGGUUGCUUUUUAAAUCCAAUGGUUAUAUUAGAUGAGGACAAAAAUUGUGGUAUGGUACCACUGUUGUAACAUAAGUGGAUCCUUAUUAUAAUACUUUUUGUCUUAAUUAAUUUAAAAAUAUUGACUCUUAUAUUUUAAUAAAUAUAAAUAUAAUAUUAUAAUAAAAUAUAACAAUAUAUACAAAUAUUUAAAAAAUUUAAGAUUUUAUUAAAAUAAAUUUUAUAAUAAAUACAAAUAUAUUAUUAAUAUAAUUAUAAUAAUUUGCAUUUUAAAAAGUAAUACUGCUAUAAAUUUUUUAAAUUAUAUUACUCUACCAAAAAAAUAAACUAUUAAAUUAUAUUGAUAUUUAUUAAAAAAUUUGCAAUUAAUUCUUAUUAUAUUUUUAAUUGGAAUUUUUUUCUUGUGAUAUAACAACAAUUGCUACAGUUUUUUCCCUAAAUAAAGAUGGAGUUAUAAAUUAUUUGUAUAAGUGUCAUGAAAGUAAUAGUUGAAUAACAAUAAUGGGGCUUUAGGCAAUUUUUUUAUGAGGUCUUCUUACAAUUUCAACACUUAAACAGACUUGUCCUUGAUCCCAAUUUAUUUACUGCAUUUGGGCCCACGAUGAGAUAAAUAUAUUCCUGUGAGAUGAAAAACAUCAGGAGAAGAAAAUGUUUUAUUAUAAUAAAAAAAAAAGUGGUCCAUAUGUUACCUGUUACCUGCAGAGGAAUGUGAUUAUAGAGAGCUUAUGAGAGUAACGACAAUGAUUUGCAAAAGAAGAAGACUUAAUCAUGCAGCCCUUAGUAUUUAUCAAAUGAUUAGUGAUCAUUUCUUUUAUAAAUAAAAUGCCAACAGCAAAAAGAAAAAAAAAAGGUUAAAUUUAUUAAGUCUUAUUUUAAUUUUAAUUUCUUUUAUUUUCAUUCGCCGAAGAGGGAAUCUCUUUUCCUAAUGUGACAUAAUUAAAGCAAUCUAUAAAUAAUACAAUAAUCAGAUAAUAUAAUAAUUAAAAAGACGCACAUGUUUAUAAUAAUAAUGAUGGGAUCCAUAUGUUUAUACUGAUUAAAUUGGUGGACCAGAAUUUAUUUGACCUUACUUGUUUUCUAUUUAAUUAAAAAUUGAAACGACAGAGAAAAAAUGUCGUACUGAUGGUUUCGAUUGUGGAGUUCCGCUGUGGAUAGCACAUCCAAUAGUGAAAAAUGAAGCUUUCGUCAACUAUCUCACAUCCACGCGUACCAUCAUGCAUAAUUGGAUAUUGCAUUAUUUCUUUAGAAAAGCAAGAUUAAUUCUUUUAACAAGCAAACGCAUAUACAUAGAAUAAUUAUAUGUAUUUGUUGGUUCAAGAAACUUAACUGACAAGAUUGAGACAAACAGGAGAUUUUAAUUUUUUUUGGACAUUAAGAAAUAACAGCUGUCAAGAUCAAGGAGAUUAUGCUAUUAACAGAAAUUAUUAAAGGAUUUAGAACAAGUUAACCUCUUCAGUUAUCCGGGAUCAUACGGUUGAUGAGCUUCUCUGUUUGGCCUUGAAUAUUUAAGAAUAAUUUUGAUGAGCAAAAAGAUCACUGGUAACUGCUGAGAAAUGUGUGAGAAAAGAGCUGAUUAGCGUAAUAACAAUGAAUUGCAAAAGAAAAAGACUUAAGGGUAAUUUUUGGAAACCUCCCCUGAGGUUUGCCCUUGCUACACUUAGAGAGAAUGUAUGCAUAUAUUGACAUAUAGCACCCCUGACCGUGUAUGAGCGUUAGAGUGCCGUUUGGUUGUUAAGGGCAAUAACGUAAUUGCAAAAAUAAAGAGGCUGACUGCAGAAAGAACGCAAUAGCUUUUGCUUCCUCUCCAUGUCUUCGUUCUUGUUCUUUCUCUCGCUCUCAAAAGAAUUUGGAGGCAGAAAAGGAAAAAAAAAAAAUUCUUCUUUUCUUUCUCUUUUCCCCCCUUCCUCUCCACCCAUUUCGUUCUUUUAUCAGUAAAGCUGAAAAACAAAGGCCACUAUUCCUGCAUCACCACCAGUUUGUCGUAUUGCUUUGCUAGUCAACAAAAAUUCUAACCCCAUGUUAAAAAAUAACAUCAAUAUUAAUGCUUCUUCUUCUUAUGAUUCUUUCACCUCUUUAGAAAAUGGUGCACUAGUUAUUCAUAACAAAAGAGAAAGAAAACCAGCAGGCACCCCAUGUAGCUUUCUUUUUCAAUUUUCUUUUGUAUAUGGGUUAAAUUCUUUUAAGGCGAAUUGCAAGUUUUAAUUUUUGUUUUUCCGUUUUUUGUUUGAUACGCACACACGCAUAAAUCCAGAUGAGAGGUGGUUUUUAUAUGCUGUUCAAUCUAAUUAUAAAGCACAUCUAAAAAAUUGUGGUACUAGAGGCCAUUCUUCUGACUGUGGCCGAGUGUUUUCCAGGUUCUUCUCUUUCUCCUAAAUUUACUCCCUUUUUUAUUCUUUCAACAAAAAUGAGAUUCUUUGCUCCUUCAAGUGGAACCUCGGGGGCAAAUUACCUCCACAAAUUGACCCACGGGCCACGGCUACUAGAUUUGGAGGGGAGAGAGAGUGACCUACGGCUGCUGGAAUUGGAGGGGGGAGAGAGUGACCCACGGCGGCUGGAAUUGAAGGGGGGAGAGAGAGUGAACCGUGCGUUUUGUGCUAGAUUUGGAGAUCCGAGGGGAGAAAGAGAGUGUGACCCGUGACCCACAACUGUUGGAUUUGGAGGGGAAAGAGAGUGAGAGCUGUCGACGGAGCGUGGUGAGGAAGAAUGGGAAAUUGGUGGCUUGGUAAGAUUAGUGGCAUGAGCUGUGAGGGAGAGCGAGAGAGGGUGUGCUGCGAACGUUGCGUGUGUGUUGCAAAUGGUGUUGCACAGUUCUUUCAAUCAAACCCUAAGAUCCUCACAAAAUCAUGCCAAAAUAUUGAUUCACCAGGCCUUUUAAUUAAGUUAAAAGCUUCUGUUUUGUUAUCUUCUGCAAUGAAAGAAGCAUCGUCAAGUCUGCAACUCCACGUUGCUGCAAGUAUUGUCAGUUAUUGAACUGUGCAGUGAAGGGCAUUAUUGUACUUUCGGUAACAGAGCAAACGGCAGUCUAACACUGAUACACGGUCAGGGGUGCUAUAUGUCAAUAUAUGCAUACAUUCUCUCCAAGUGUAACAAGGGCAAACCUCAGGGGAGGUUUCCAAAAAUUACCCAAAGACUUAAUCAUGCACCCCUUUUCAUAUCACGUAUUUGGUUACUGUUGCCUUGUUGACAUAUGUGUAUAAUAAGGGUCCGCCUAAGUUACAGCUAAUGUAAGUUGAAGAAAGCACUAGUUCACGACUUUACCUUUGGAUAUAUUCUAAAGAGAUAAUUAAGUUUGAUAAAAGAUAAAGCAAAAGCUUGAAUGCAUGAUUGAGGGCGAAGACUUUUAUUAAAGCAGAUGCCGAAAGCACACGAAAAGCUUGAAUGUUGUGGCUCCUUAAGUGAGGCCCAGACAUGGUGCAAAAGACAAAAUCGACUUGUUUGACAGCUUCAACAAGGCUACGAUGAUCAGAAGAUGAGCCCUCAAUCAAGAGAGCUCCCUGCCUCUUAAAUGAUAAAUUAAAAGCAAUUGUAGCUUGUCGACAUCAGGCCAAUUUCAGGCCUUUGAAGAGCACAAAUGACAUGGCCUUGACCAAAGAUUGCCUUCUCUAUCCUCUGCCGACACAUCCACUUCUCUCCACAACCAACGCCUUGCUCUCUGUCAUUUUUCCUCUUGUUAAUUUUCUUCUACAUAUAAUUAUUACGCUGGGAAGCAUACACACACCUCUUUUCUUUUUUUUCUUUUUUUCAAACUACUAAAUAUUAUGGGAAAAUGAUCGAAACCCUUUUUUUUUUUCUUUCUAGUUAACAUUAUCAGGUGUAUUUUUGGCUUUUCACACUUGCAUAAAAAAUUGAUAAAAAUUUGAAACAUAAAAUUCACUUUAUUACCUUUUACUUUUGUAAAUAAACUAAAAGAUAUUUUAGUCUUUUCAUAUAUUUGCCAAACGUUUUUAUAAAUUAAAUGGUGAAAUUGUUUAUAUAGAUUACAAAUAAACAGUAUAAUUAAUUAUAUUUUGUAUGUAUAAAGCAUUAAAUAAUCAGAUAUUUGUGGCUUUUAAAACUCAAGAAAACUCAAGAAAAUUAAAUGACAAGAUUAAGACAAACAAGAGAUAGUUUUUGUUGGACAUUAAGAAACAACUACUAUCAAGAUCAAAGAUUAGAAAUUAUGCUAUUGAAAGAAAUUAUUAAAGUAUUUAGAACAAACGCACCUCUUCAAUUAUCUAGGAUCACAGAGUUUAUGAGCUUCACUCUUGGCCUUCGAUUUAUAAGAAAAAUUUUAAUGAGCAAAAGAUCGCUGUUAACUGCAGAAGAAUGUGAGUAAAGAGUUUAUGGGAGUAAGCAAUACAAUUGAAUUGUAAAAGAACAAGACUUAAAGCGUGCACCCCGUGUUCAUAUAAACAGAACACAUGUUCAUUUUUAACAAAGUGAUCAAUAACUCUAUUCGUUAUUUAAUUGAUAUUGUAACCAAUUCUAAGAGAAUAUAACAAUUAUCAUUCAAUCCAUAAAUUUUGAAUUAGAUUUUUUUAACUCUUUAUUUAAAUAUAAACCUUAAUGGAAAAUUAUAAAAGUUUAGAGAUAAAAUUUUUCAAUCACCAAACGAAAAAAACAGGGGAAUGAAAACAGAGGAAUCUUGUUUUAACUAAUUUUUUUUCCUCAUUUCUUGGUCUUAUAUUAAUAAUCUUGUUUUGAUGAUAGUGCUCGUGACUGCGGGAAAAUUUCUACUGGAAACAACUCAAUUUCGGAAGAAAACUUAAUUUUGCAAGUGAUGAAUUUGAACUCGUUGGAUUGGUUGAUUUAUGAUUGACUGAAUUUCACUUUUGCCCAAAAGAUCUUUAACCAAAGUUUAAUAGCUAUCAUGUACUCCUUAAAAGCAAUUUUUUUUUUAUAGAUUUGACUGAAUUUGAACUUGUUGGAUUGGUUGUUUUUAGAUUAUUAAUAUGAGAUAUUACAACGUAAAUAUUUUCAUGGGGUUGAGCCCUAUUCUAAAAUCUGUAUAGUUAGCUUUAGAAAAAGGGCUUUUCCUGCUGAUCUGUAAUCUUCAAAUAAACUUAGAUACAAAUAAUGAAAUAAAAGACAACAAACAAGCAAUACUGAUACAAAGCCAACAGAUCAGAGUUUUUGGUACAAAGCCAAUAAAAGACAAUAAACUUAGGACCUUUUUUUCUUGCUUUCUUUUGUUGAAGGAUUAGAGUUUUUGGUAUUAUCAGUAAAGAUUUCAAGGGUCUGAGUAAAAGCCUAUAAUCUUUUUCUAAACUUUUUUUUUGGGGGUGGGGGGGGAGCAUGCAAAUUAACCAAAAGAAAUAAUAAGACCACAGGCUUUAACAAUGAAUGCUAACUUAAAACUCAUGCAAAAUAAGUUACAAUAUUAAAACAAACCAGAGAAAAUUUUUUCUUGGAAAGUAGAUGGAACUUAUGAAAGAGCAGAUGUCAAGGAUUUAGAAAACGUGCACCUCUUUAAUUAUCUGGGAUUAGAGAGUUGGUGAGCUUCUCUAUUUAAGAACAAGUUGAAAGAGGAAAAAGAUCACAGGUAACUGCUGAGGAAUGUGUGAGAAAAGAGUUGAUGAGAGCAAUAACAAUGACCUGCAAAAGAAACAGAAUUAGUCAUUCACCGCUUUUCUAUAUCAUGUAUUUGGUUAUUGUUGCCCUGUUGACGCAUGUUGAAGAAGAAAGCACUAGUUCACAACUCUACGUUUUCAUAUAUUCUAAAGAAAUAAUUAAGUUUUCAUAGAAUAAAAUGGUAAGACUUUUAAUUGAACAAUUGAGUGCAAUCAGUAACAAAGGCUUUACAAAUGCAAGUAAAAUUUGUACGUUGCUUCAGAAAAAAAGGGCAUUUCUCACUCAUCUUUAAUCUGCAAGUAAAAUUAGAUACAAAGCAAAUCUAAUAAAAUGACAAACAAACAAACAAAACAAAGAAAAGACAGGAGGCAAACAACAUUGAUCUUAAGCCAACUGAUAAUUAAACAGAGAAUUCUUUUUUUUUUUUUUAACCUGUUGCUAAAGGAUUAGAGUUUUUAUAUUAACAGAAAGGUUUCAGGGGUCUGAAUAAAAGCCCACAAUUUCUCUAUUUUAUUUUUAUUUUUAUUUUUUGAAAGGAGCUUCACCAUUGGCCUUGAACAUAUAAGAAUGAGCAAAAGAUCAAUGUCAACUGCCGAGGAAUGUGAGUAAAGAUUUCAUCAGAGUAAGAAAUACAAAUGAAUUGUAAAAGAACAAGACUUAAGCGUGCACCCCGUGUUUUGUUUUAUUGUACGUAUAAACAUAACAUGUUCAUUUUUAACAAAGUGGUCAAUAACUCUUUUUUUUUCGGUACAAAGACGUGCCUAGUAUAGACUAGGGCAAAACAAAACGGGGGUGUGAAACCCCAAUACAAUCAUGACGAAUCCAAAACCCAGCCCCUAAAGGAAGAGAAUUGAAAAUGUGCAAUCCAACAGGUAGUGAAAGAGUAGAGUUUGCAAGAAAGUCAGCUGCAAAAUUUGAUUCUCUGUAAACAUGCUUGACCCGCACUUGCCAGGUUCUGUUAAGCAAUUCCUUAAUACCCCUGACAAGAGAAGCAUGUGCAUUUGGCCUAAUCUCGUCAUCCGCCACCAAACGAGUAACACAAAGGCUGUCAACCUCCACCCGAAGCUGCCGAAUUCCAUUAUCCCAAGCCAGACAUAACCCUUGAUAAAGGCCCCGUAACUCAGCACCAGUGAUGGUACCCACACCAAUAUUCAUUCCAAAACCAAUUAUCCACUCUCCAUAACAGUUUCUAAUCAAACCACCCGCACUAGACAUACCAGAACUUUUACGAGCUCCAUCUGUGUUGAGUUUAAACCAAGGCCAAGUAGGUGCCACCCAUCCAAAAUAUUUCUCAAUCUUCAUGGCAGCAGGAACCAAACAACUCUGAUUAAACUUUUGAAUUUCUUCUGUACGGAUCUUAAUAUCCAUUACAACAGUACUCUUGCUGGUAAAAACACCAUUAUGUAGAUUUUGGUUACGCCAAAACCAAAGCCUCCAAACUGUGACCCCAAAAAGACAUGGCCAGUCAAACAUACCAUCAUACUUCCACAAGUUCCUCAAAUUAUAUAACAUCCAAUCUCGGAGAUUCAAACUAAAAAAUUGAUGACUAAUCCCAUGGGGUAUCAAUGACGACCAGAUUGCUUAGCACUGGGGCAAUCCCGCAGCACAUGAAGAGUAUUUUCAACAACACAGCCACACCUUGCACAGCUCAUAUCAUCAAAAAUAUGUCUCCAGAAAAGUUCUGCUUUAGUUUUAAGUCUAUUUUGACCCACCACCCACAGAAAGGUUUUGAUACGUUGGGGACCUCUCCACUGCCAAAGAAUGCGCCAAAAGGAUUCUUCAUUGUGAACCUCCAUUUUUGACAAAGCCCUAUAUGCUGAAUUAGUAGUGAAAUCUCCUGACUUAGAAUAUGCCCAGUACAUGUAAUCAUCCUCAUCAUUUACACUGGGAGGCUUGGUGGCUGCAAUUUUGAGAAGUAAAUGAUGGGGCAAUAAAUUCUCAAAAAGCCGCCAAUUCCAAGUACCCUCAACAGUGAUAAACCUCGCCACACACUCCUCAAGCUGCUCUAAAGGUAUCGGCUGCAAAGCGAAAGUAUACAAAGGGUAUUCCUCUAUUACCCAAUUAUCCCACCAAAAUCUAACUCGGUUGUCAUUUCCAAUGUCCCAUUUGAUCCCUUUUAAAACCUCAUGCCAAAUGCCUCCCACAGCCUUCCACAUGUAAGAGCCAUAUUUCGUAGGUAAUGUGCUGGGGAGAGCAUUAGGAGCCAGCCCAUACUUAGACAAGAGAACCUUCACCCAUAAACUAUUUGGAGAAGCAAUUAAACCCCACCCAAUCUUCAUGAGCAGAGAGCAUCAUUCAUUAAAUUAAGCUGCUUAAGACCAAGGCCUCCGCUAGGUUUCGGUUGACAUAUUGUAUCCCAUUUCACCAAACUGAUUUUCUUCUUGUCUGCUGCCCCGCUCCAAAUAAACCUCCUACAAGCCUGAUUAAUUUUCUCCCGAAUACCAAACGGAAUCCUCGUGGUCUGCAUUGCAUAAAUAGGAAUCGCCUGGAUUACCGAUUGAGUGAGAGUGAUCCUAUCCACCAAGGACAAAUGUAUCGCAUUCCACCCCGACAAACGUUGGUUCACUUUGUCCAAAAUUCCCUGAUAAGUCAGCUUAUUAACCCGUGAAUGAAUAAUUGGCACUCCUAAAUAUUUCCCUAGGUUUUUUGUGACAGAAAAACCCAAGGAAUCACCAAUUUCCUUAGCCUCAGCAGACUUUACGUUGUGGGAGAAAAAAACUUGUGUCUUUGUUUUACUAACUUUCUCUCUAGAGGUCAUAGAAAAAACAUUCAACACUUCAUUUAUAACCAUUGCUUGCCUACAGGAAGCCUCUGCAAGCAAGAUAAGAUCGUUAGCAAAAAAUUAGUGAGAUAAAGAGGUACCUCCACGAGAUAGUUUAAUAGGUUUCCAGUGCCCUCUCUUCACAGUGUCAUUUAUUCCAUGGCUUAACCUUUCUAUACAUAACACAAAGAUAUAUGGGGAAAUGGGGUCUCCCUGUCCAAUACCCCUAGAAGGGGUAAAACUCUCCGUAAUUUCUCCAUUCCAUAGAAGUUGCAUAGUCGCCGUUGGAAUACAUUCCAUAAUAAGCCGAACCAAAACAGUAGGCAAUCCAAACUCCCUCAAGGUUUCAUAAAUAAAAUCCCAGCUUAAACGAUCAUACGCCUUUUCCAAAUCCACCUUAAUGGCCAUCUGCCCAAUCCUCCCUUUCUUACGUCUCAUCGAAUGAAAAACUUCCUGAGCAACCACUAUGUUUUCCGUUAUGUGUCUCCCCGGGAUAAAACUAGUCUGGGUAGGUCCAAUGAGGUCAGGCAAGAUAGAUUUCAGCCGGUUAGCUAAUAACUUAGUGAUAGUUUUAUAGAUAACCGGGCAAAGACUAAUCGGACGAAAAAGCUUAAGGCUAAUAGGAUUAUCCGACUUAAGAACCAACACAAUCAGAGUUUUGUUCAGCUCCUUAGGGAUCUCGUUGCCAUUAAAAAUACCUUUUAUAAGACUACAGACAGAUUUUCCCACUACAUGCCAUUGGGUCUGGUAAAAGAGAGCAUGCAACCCGUCUAUUCCAAGGGCUUUCAAAGCCUUCAUGCUGAAGAUCACAUUCUUAAUUUCCUCAUCAUCCUCCACUGCUUGUCCCAAAGCUUGCAUUCGACUUUCCUCAAGGAUUGGGAAGGCGUUAACAACAUGGUAUGGAUGAUAGAUUGCAUCCUCUUUGGAAUAGAGCUUUGAAAAGAAGGACACAGCAUAAUCUCUAAUCUCAUCAUUAUUCAACAUUCAAUAACUCUAUUCGUUAUGAAAUUGAUAUUGUACCCAAUUUUAAGAGAGCAUAAUAAUAACCAUUCAAUGCAUAAAUUUAGAAUUAGGUUUUUUUGUAAUUCUUUAUUUAAAUAUAAACUUCAAUGGAAAAUUAUAAAAAUUUAGAUAUAAAAUUUUAAAUCACCAGACCAAAAAAAAAAUAGGGGAACGGAAAUAGAGGAAUCUUGCUUUACCUUUUUUUCCUUUAACUCUUGUUCUUAUAUAAAUAAUCUUGUUUUGAUGAUUGUAACUCGUGACUGCGGGAAAAUUUCUAAUGGAAACAACUCAAUUUCGGAAGAUAAGCUUAAUUCUGCAAGUGAUGAAUUUGUUCAAUUGACUCUGUACUUGAACUAGUUGGAUUGGUUGAUUGAUGAUUGACUAAAUUUGAAUUAAGUUUAAUAGCUUAGCUAUCAUGUACUCCUUAAAAGCAAACGUAAAUCUUUUUUAGAUUUGACUGAAUUUGGGAACCUGUUGGAUUGAUUAUUUUUAGAUCAUUAAUAUCAGAUACUACAACGUAAAUAUUUUCUUGUGGUUGAGUCCUAUUCUCAAAUCAGUAGGUUGCCAUAGAAAAAGGGCUUUUCUCACUGAUCUUUUUUUUUUUCUUUAAUUCACACGCACUUGAUUAUUGACUUCUUUCAUGAAGAAAUAAACUUGUAAUGACUUAAAGAUUUAAUUUCAAGUUAGAAUCAAUACCAAAAGACGGAGGUUUAACCAAGCAUGCAGUGUGAUAAAAGUACUUUAAAAAAUGUUGUUCGACCCAAUUAAGUUGAAGAAAUAACAAAGUUUUCAUGGAAUAAAUACCGGUUGUGCUUUAAUGAUUUUGGCAUAGACAUUGCUUGUGUACUGUGAAAUUGAAAUGAAUAUUAAGUGACAGCGCGAUGUAUAUGCCUAAUAAAAGAUCAGCAAAAGCUUGGAUGAAUGAUUGAAGACCAAAACUUUUAUAAAAGCAUUUUUGAGAGAAACUAAACACCAAAUUAUCAAAGUAAGAUCAACAGUAUAUGAUUUGAUUUAUACAUAUUCAAAAACAAAAUAAUGAUUAAUAAUAAAGUUUGAUUUUGUAUUGCCAACGAUGCUUUUUUGUUGUUUCAUUUGUUCGACGUGGCCUUAUUUACAAAUUGGUUGAUGUUAACAGAAACAUGAAAUUCACAUCACACAAAAUUGCACGAACAAAUAUUAAGAGAACGUAAUAAUAAUCAGUCAAUGCGUAAGGGUAAAUUUAGAAUUACAUAUUCUUUUUUAUUUAAUAAAAUCCCAACGGGAAGUCAUAAAAAUUUAGAUAUAAAAUUUUCAAUCACCAAACAAAAAAACAGGGGGAAUGAAAACACAGAAAACUUGUUUUACCUUUUUUUUUUCAUCUAAUUCCUGUUCUUAUAUAAUAUUUUCCCUAGUAUUUCAGGCAAGAAAAAAAAAUUCAAUAAAGAGCAAGAAAACUUCACAAGCUCAGAUUGAUUUAUCUUGUUUUUCAGGUUAGCUUGUGAAAUGAUGAUAAUGCUCAUGAAUGCUAGAAAACUUCUAAUAUAAACAACUCUAUUUGGGAUGAUAAGCCUAAUUUUAUAAGCGAUAAAUAUAAAUAACUUUUUGUGGUUAAUUGAAUUUGUAAUUACUCUUAGCCCUAUUCUAAAAUUUGUAGGCUGCUUCAGAAAAAAAGAAUAUUUCUCACUCAUCUUUAAUCUUCAAGUAGAAAGCAAAUCUAAUAAAAUGACGAACAAACAAACAAAUAAAAGACAGCAAACAAAGAGAAGGGUUUCUUUCUUCUUUUCUUCCUCUCCCACACCCCCCCCCCCAACCCCCGCCUCAUGGAUCAGAGUUUUUGCUAUUAACAGAAAGGUUUCAAGGGUCUGAAUAAAAUCGCAGACUUUUUUUAAAAAUUUUUUUUUUUGGGAAAAUGGAUUCAAAAUAACCAAAGCCAAUAAUAAGAUCACCGACUUUGACAAUGAACAAUAACUUUUUCUCGGAAAGUAGAUGGAAACUAAGUAAGAACUGCUAUUAGAGGAUAUUAUUAAAGGAUUUAGAACAUGUAUAACUCUGUAAUUAUAUGGGAUCAGAGAGUCGAUGACCCCCUCUAUUCGCUUCGGAUAUUAAGUAAGAACUGCAAUUAAAAGAAUGAAUUGAUGAGAGUAAUAACAAUGAAUUGCAAAAGAGGAAGACUUAAUCACGCACCCCUUUUAUACCCGAUUUUGAAGAUUUAAUUUCGAAGUUCACCAAUCAAGAACAAAGAAAAAACCUUAAUAAAGUAUGCAGUGAGAAUAAUUAAGUUAGAGAAAGUACUAGGUUAUGGCUCUGCGUUUCAGAUGCUGUAAUGAAAUAAUUAAGUUGAAGUUUUUAACGAUUAAAUACCUGUUGUGAUAGAAUGAUUUUAGAAGAAUAUUGGCUUAUAGAGCAUAUUAGUAGGGAUAAGAUUUGUAAGAUGCCAGAUAAAAGAUAAAGCGAAAGCUUGAAUGAAGAAUGGCGUUUAAUAAUUAUAGAAGAAUAUUGGCUUAUAGAGCAUUUUAGUAGGGAUAAGAUUUGUGGACAGAAUAAAUGAAAUAAUAAAAGGCAUAACUGAUCAAGUCAUUAUUGAUCUUACUUUGAUUAUUACAUUGCACAUUAGUUUCUUUCUAAAAAUGCCAUUCUUCAUUCAAGCCUUCGCUUUAUCUUUUAUCACGCAUCCUACAAAUCUUAUAUACAAACCUCCGCAUCUUUCAACGAUCUCAUCUGCUGAUUUUUUGUAUUCCUGUUCUUUCACUUCAAUAAUUUUUUGUAUUAUUCCAUAUCUUUCACUUUAAUAACCCAAAAGCUUUCCUCUGUUUCAACUAAGCGAAAAUUUACAUAUUAAAGCCUGGCUCAAAUUCCUUUUUUCAAUCGAAAUAAAACGUAGCCACAAAACCCUAAUUCACCACACCAAUUUAUCUCUGCCCGGUAUUCAUUUAAACCCUACCUCGCGGUUCAAUGUCAUUCUAUACGAUUGCAGAUGCCGUUUCAACUUGUCAUUUAGUUAGCGCCAUCCAGUUCUCUAUGGUAAGCCUUAACCCUAACAACUAAUCGACUGUGGUAGCACGUUGCUUGUUAGGAGUGGGGAUACAUUAUUUGAAUAUACGAAUUGGGUGAUGUUAGUGAUUCAUUCCCCUAUUUGUCGUGAAUUGAGAUUUGUGUAUAAUGCUCGUAAGAUUGCUAAAAAUUUCAUAUUUUGUAUUGUUCCAGUUGAAUUUCUUGCUUGUGGAAGAUAGAACAAAAGUUCAAUUUCAUGUUGAUUUAAUUCUUCUUUUUCAUCUUUUUUUUUUCUUCUUUAUAGUCACGCUCUGGCUGGUGCUAUGCUUAGUGCAGUCUAUGGUUUCAAGAUUAAGUCACGUUUAUUUGAUGGCGUCGACUCCAUCAUUAAGAAGCUCUUCUUAUUUUAUCUCAGUUUCAAUUUUCUUUUAUUAUCUGCCUCUACCUGAAAAUGGACGUGUUUUACUAGUAAGCAGACUUUUUUUAUUUAAUUGAUAUUUUAAUUUUAUGUAUAAGAAUGGAGGUUUAUUUUAAAAAAAAAAGAAAUAAAAAAAUAGACUCUGUUGAAGCUAAUUAGUACUGUUUUUUUUUGGUGGUGCGACCAGAGGUGGAAACCGGGUAUGACAAUGUGUUACUGGUGAGGUUGCUGCUUAAGAUGAGAAUGCAUUCUUUUCAAAAAUCCUUUGUAGGUGUUAUCUAAUUAUCUUUGAUGGAAUAUUAAAUGGCCAAAAAUCUGUCAUACGUUCAAACUUUGUUUGUGUUUAGAAGAAUGGUGUUGAUUGUAUAUUCAUUUGCUUAGCCUUUUGACAGAUGGAUUUGGAACUGACGAUAAAUGUGAUUCAAUUCACAAGGUUUUCAAGGGGCUCACCGUGGAAGGGAUAUUGAAGAGCUGGUCUAGGAUAAAGCCUAUGAUUGUGAAAGAUUGGAGUGAGAAUAUAGAUGCUCGUUUUCAUCUUUUUGGCAAGGUCAGAGAUGAAUGGAUAGAUAAGGAUUUAUUUGACUACCUGGAUUGGUGCUAAUAGGUAUUUUAAGCAAGCUUUUUGAGAUAACACUGAGCAAGUUGUACUACUAUUUUGCACAUGAUGAUCAAAACUCUCGAAAAGUAAAAUAAAAUAAAGUAUUAACUUUUACUUUCAUCUUUUGCAUAGCAAUCAAUGUGGUGCUUGUUCUGUAACAACUUUGAUAAUCUACUUUAUUGGUUAGCGUUUGGACCAAAAAGGUUCUUAUGAUUUACAUGUUUUGUAGAAAUGCAUGAACCUUAAAUGUGCUGAUCAGGGAGUUUAAUUAUUGCACCUUGAAAUUCAUUUAUUGUUAACUAAUUGGCUUUCCUUUGCAUAAAGCCGCUUAUAAGGCUUGAGUGGACGUCUUUAUGGGCAUAUUAUUCGUAUUUCUUUAUGCAUGCCUUUAUCAUUUAAUGUGCUGCUUGUAUUUCUUUAUGCAUGCCUUUAUCAUUUAAUGGCCAGCUCCCUUUCCUCAUUUGUAAUUUGAAUAGUAGUAUGGGCCUCCAUUUUACAAAUCUUUAACAUUUUUUGCUGUAAAUUAAUUUUUCUUUCAAAUAUUUUGGAGGUCAUUGGAAUUCCUGUAGGUCUAUUUACCAGAUUUUAGUAUGUUUAAGGUUUUAAUUUUUCUUAGACUUUAAUUUUUCUGAAAGAUUGUAGUAUUGAUCCUUAAAGUAAGAUCAUGCUACUUCAAAUUAUUUUGAAGCGUUGCUAGUUAUAGCCUUACAUAUCAAAUUCCAUUUGUCUGGAAAUUUAUUGAUAGCUGUUACAGCAGCAUAUUUUAUGACUCUACUUCUUAGUUAUGUAAGUUCAUUAUGUUUAGGUCAGAGGCAGUCAGCUAUGGGGAAUCGAUAUAUGCACAGAUGACUCUGAUCUUGUUGCUGGUAUGUGGUUCUAUGAAUAAUUGUUCACAAUAAUUGUGUUUGCCUCACUGUUUUUGUUUUAUGAGAUCUAUAAUUGAUCUUGGGAUAUUGCUUUCUAGUUCUCAUGCAAGCAAGUUACUACCUUCCCACUGCAUCUCCUCCUUUAUCUGCUAUUCAAGAGUUGCGUGCCAUAAUCUGGUAUUACCUCUGCAAGAUUGUGAAUCAAUAUAUUGCGUCUAAAUUUAUUUUAUACAUAAUGCUAAUGCUGAAUAAUAUAUUGUAGCUCCUGUCAUAUUCUACUUUGACUUUUUAUAUUCUGUUUCAUAUAAAAAUCUUAUUCAACUUUAGUUGUUCAUGAGCAAAUGUCACAUGUAUAAGCCCAAAUGAUGUUUAAAGGUAGCCCGGCUACCUUCAGUUUGAGCUUACAAUGGGUGAAAAAGAAUUUGAGACUGAUAUUUUGCUGUUUUUGUGAUUUUUCAAAGUAUUUUAGAUCUUGACUUUUGUUUGGACUUGAUGGUUAUAGAUUGUGUCUAGAUUUGUUAAGUUGUUUCCAACACCUCGUGCCAAAUCAAAGCACAAUCUUUCUGAUUCAGAUGUCUGGUUAAUUAUGCUUCAUUUUUUCGUUAAAGAUUGGAUGGUUGCAUGGAUUGAUGGAGUUGGAGUUCAACCAGUAAUUCUAAUUUUUUGGACUUAAAAUGCUCUGUAUAAAAACUUUAGUAAGUGUUAUUGAGUUGACAGAAGUUGAAUACUUACAGGUUGUUUCACACUUUCUAAAAGUUUUACAUAAAUGAAUUUCUGUUUUUUGAAUUGCAGAAAGGAGGUGGAACUAUUGAUUUGGAGCCUUAUCUUACUCACUCAUCGACAACGGAGCCUACCCUCGCUCCCAUGGCAGUGGAACGGACAAUGACUACUAGGGCUGCAGCAUCGGUUGGUUUGGGUCUGUUUUGAGUUUUAUUGUCAUUUAUUUGGCUAUGUUUUGAUAGCGAAUUUUGAUAUGUCAAUAUAAUGUGUAAUUGUUUUGGGUUGAGCUGGUAAUUAUGCUGGAUUAGAUUGGUUUGUUUUGGUGGUUCUCUGAUGGAACACUGCUUUCUUUUAGAAAUUUUGAAUAUAAUAUGAGACUACAUAUAGUUUAAUUGAACACUGCAUCUAGUCUAAUUACUAGAAGUGUGGCAUUUGGUUUGGUUUAUCCGAUAUUCUCUAGAAUUUCACUUGCAUCUGGUUUUGUUGCAUAUGUUUGCUUGCAUUUGAUGGUAGUAGCAGACUGUUUGGUUUUGUGGCAUUUGAUGGCAGUUUGAUCUGUUCUUGGUGCUGAUUUAAGAUUGUUCCUGUUGUGCUGAUGUUAAUUGCAGGUGCUUGAAUCAGCUAGGGUUGCUGGUUUAUUCAGACGACUGACUCAGGCGUUGUUAUUGGUUGAUUCAGGUGGUUCAUUUAAUGUUAGGAAGCAAAUUAAGAAAUAAUGAAGUAUUCAUUUAACUAUAAUUAUUGUAGUUAUUUUAUUUCAUAACUGAAUUAUAAUCUAUGAUACUUGUGAACAAAUUAGAGAAUUUUUAUAUAUGAAUUAUAUAUAUGUGUGUAUGUACAUUUUGCUAUUUAUAUAAUAAUUUAAAGAAUAUAUUUCAAUUCCCACAAAAAAUGGCUCCAAUUCCAAUAAUUCCUGCCAAAUAAUUAAAUUUUUUAAAUUUACCACCAAAAUAUAUCUUAAAGAAAUGUUAGUUAUUCUUGCUAGAUUUAACAAAAAUAAUUUGUAGGAUUAAUAUUUAAUUAAAAUGAUUAAAUAAUUUUAUUAUUCCAAUUAAAUAUGUCAUGUUUAUAUGACAGGCAAUAGUCAUGAAUGGGAAGUAUUAGUUACAUAUUUUUCCUUGGGAUUUCAGGCAAAUGAAAAAAAGAUUGAGAAUGAUUUCAAGAGGACAGGUGGAUGAUAAGUAUUCAUUUUUGCAUAUUUGGCUAAUGUCCUCAGCAGUGGAUUUUUAUGGUAUUGAUUUUAUAAUUUUCAAUUAGUUGCAGCCCUAGAGGAAGAGUAGGCUGAUCAAAUUGAUUUGUCUUGUUUUUGGGGCAAUUUGCGACACGAUGACCGUGAUAAUGCUCGUGACUGCUGGAAACUUUCUGAUGGAAAUAACUUUAGAGUUCGUAGCAAGCAUUUCUGUUAUGACAAAACAAAGGUUCCCCCAUAUUUUGGUUGUUUGUUAUGGUAUUUAUAUAUCCUGCAUAUGCUAGGUCGACAGGUUAUGAUGUAGUUUGGUUGGCUCUUCUUGUGCUUUGUGCAAUUUGUAACUGCAGAUACCUGCGAGAAAACAUUUAAUGGAUCUUGUUGCUGUUGAUUGGUUCAAAGACACAGAGAAUGGACCAUGUAGCUAGGCGUCAAGGCUGUGCUGCACAAGUAACUAUUCUUUUCUUUUUAUUUUUCCUUUUCCAUUGAUGCGUUAGGAGAAAAUACUGCCUGUGAGAUACUACAAUGUAAAUAACUUCUUAUGGUUCAUUGAAUCUAUAACACACUGAGCCCUAUUCUAAAAUAUGUAGGUUGCUUCUGAAAAAGGACUUUUCUCACUGAUCUUUAAUCGUCAAGUAAGUUUGUUUCAUUUCAGAAGGUAUAAGUUUCAAACUUAUUGUAUUGGGAGGUUGUAUAGUUGUAACCUAAGCAUCUGCAGCUUCCUGGUUCAACACAUUAUAGUAUGGUAUUUUAUUUUGUCACAAGGUAAUUGGUUACGGGAUCACUUUUGCGACGGUUUGUUGAUGGCGAUGAUGAAUUUCGCAAUAGUAGGUUGAAACUUAUUCCAUCUGUUCCUAAGGUAUCCAUCUUGGCCUUCAUGUAUUAGGACUAUAUUAAUGUAUACUUACCCUUUACUACACGGUACACUUCAAUUUGUACAAAGAAGGCAUGCAUUUAGGUGUAAAUGUACUGAUGGGUUGUAUCUUCAAUCUUCAUGUCCUUUUUACCCUCUUGAAUUUGUUUUGCACUUGUUCUUGAUUUGAAGCACUGAAUCAUGCAGGGGUCAUGGAUCGUGCGCCAUAGUGUUGGAAGCACCACUUGUUUAUUAGGGAAAGCGGUUGAUUGUAACUAUCUUCAUGGUCCCAAGUACUUAGAAGUAAAUGCUCUUGGAAUUUCUUUAGUACACGAGAUGUUCCCCUUUCAAAUAGUGUCCGAUAUCAUUAACAUGGUUUAACAUUGUUCAUCUUUCUGUAGAUUGAUGUUGACAUCGGUUCUUCUACUGUUGCUAAUGGAGUUUUGGGCCUUGUAAAUGGUGUAAUUACGACAUUGGUGGUUGACAUGGCUUUCCUUGUACAGGUAUGUAUGAUUGUUAUUUUAUUUUAUUUUAUUUUUUUACCCCCACUUCUAAAUGGACACAAGGGAAAAGACAUGAUUUUGAGAUAUUGCCCUACAAUUUGCAUUUUUGCAUACUUGAAUGUUCUCAGAAUGGUAUAAAUAAUGCUUCGAGUGUCUCUUCUUUAUCUUGCUUUUUUGUAUGCAGGCAAACACUACAGAUGAAUUACCAGAGCGACUGAUUGGAGUUGUACGUGUUUCUAGUCUGCUAUUGUCCCAAAGUUGGAACCAGAGACAUCAUCAUGACUGUGGUUUCAUUUCACCUCAACUGUUUUUUUUUUUAAUUGAAAAAAAAAAUCAUUUGUUUUAGGUAUACGUACAUGUAUUUUGAUCCCGUUUUCAUUGUAAUUUCUCAUUUACUUUGAAAGAAAGUCAUUGGUGUUUUCGAAUGGGAAUUUUGCAUUAAAAAAUGAAGAAUACUUAAUAGGAAAUUUCAUGAUUCUUUAGUUACUAUUUUUGGAAUGAGUGUAAUAGUAUUAAAGUUGGUUUCUACUCGCAAACAAGUGAACUACUCGAUCCCAACUGCGACCACGCUAAUUGUCAUUGUUUAAUAGCUACUACUUUUAAAACUCAACAACUAACAAAAAUACUAAAAAAAAAAUGAUUUUCUUAUGAUGCUGUGAAAACAUUUAUGGGUUCACUUAUUUCCACAAGAUCUAUAACAUGGUCUUGACUUCACGAAAUUCUUUUAAUUUAAAGGGUGCUGGUCUGAGAAAGUCAGUUUGACGGAUUAAUUCUUUUUAAUAAUGGUCGAGUUAAUUUUACUAGACUCAUAAAAUUAUUCUUAUUCUGAUAAUGCCACAAAUGUUAUGUUGUUUUCUUCAGCUAAUGAUCUUCUAUCAGGACUAGUUGGAAAUCAAAUGCUUAAAACACCAAUUGAAUGAAUAAUGCAGAAGUUUAAACAGUAUCUAAUUGAAAAUUGCAUGAAACUUGAAACAUCAAUUCAAGUCCUUCCUUAAACAGAGAAUGCAUCAAACAAAUCCAAAGUGUCUUUCAAGUCUGUAGCAUGACUAAAAAAUUGUAAAUGCCUUCAGAACCAAAUUAUUCAAGUACAGGAGAACGAGCAAGUUGAAUCAUGUACAAGAGGUUGGCUUGGUUCCAGAUAGCUUCUUCACUGUACCUGAAGGGUUGGCUCAAUCUUUUCUUUAGAAUUCUGCACAUUUUGUAAUUACUCAUGUAAGCAAGCAUACAUUACAACCAUAAUAAUAAUAAAGCAAGAGUAAUGAUACGACCACAACCUCUUGUGCACAAAUAAUAUUGUACAAACUAAUAUGACAUAAUAUGAUUGAGUAAUGAUACGACCACAAUCUUUUGUGCACAAAUAAUAUUGUACAAACUAAUAUGACGUAAUAUGAUUGAUUAAACAAAAACAUAACAUAACCCUCAUAAUUUAUUUAUUAUUAUUUUAUAUUUUCAAUCAAGCAAUCAUAUUAUGCCACGUUAAUAGCUAUAGAAAUAAUUUGCUAGAUAGUGCAACACUUCAUUGAUACUCACCAUUUCAUUGAACAAUUUUUUUAUGGUGUCAUUGAGGUUUCCUUCCCAACAUCCUUCGUCAUCACCAUCUUCUUCUUCGGUGGGUUUCACUUUGUUUAGCUUCGGUGCGUCUACGACUCCUUGAGAGAAAAUCUUCAUUGUUGGGCACUGUCUCACAACUACGUGUUCCAAGGACGGGAACUCAAGAGCGUAAUUACCCAAACAAAAGCUUGUUAGGCUUGGCAAACAAUCAAGUCCCAAGUACUCCAAUUUCCUGAAAACAAUGCAAUCUUCCGCUUCUUCUCCAACCUGCGAUUGUAUGAUUUCUUCUAUCAUUUUGCAAUCAGCUAUCUUCAUUCUUUCGAGAUUCACUAGAGUUUUAGAUGUUGAGAGCGUCAACACAUUUAUCAACCCGUGACACUUCGAUACUUCUAGUUCCCACAGAUUUUCCAAAUGCCACGAAGGUGGUACUAAUUUUUGCAACUUACUACAUUCCGAUAUUUCUAGACUUCCCAAGUUUGCAAACGCUUUGCUGGAUUCGUCAUUUUCCUUCCAGAGAUGCUGCACUUUGUGUAAUCCAGAUACUUUAACUCUAUCAAUUGAGGGAAUGCAACCUAAAAAUCAACAAAAUUAAGUUGUAAAUGAAAAUAUGUAUCCAAUCUCUGCAGUCUUCCCCUGCAUAUUUUAUGGACAAGAUUAAUCACAGCAUUUUAUAUUUUUUUUUCCAAAUUAGUAUGCUUUGCAGUAGGAUCCCAAAUAUAAGUAUCAAAUCGAUUACCCUUUGAAACACAUAAAUGAAAUCUGAUGCUAAAUCUAAUAUGAAUUAGCUAGGAAAACAGAGAUGUUACACACAUAAUUAAUAUAGUUCAUCACCUCGUGUUACCAGGCAUCCAAUUAAUUUCAGACACUUUUAUAAUUCAUACUAUAAAGUUAGUUAAUAAUUGCGGUUAUAUUGUUAAAUCAGAUAUAAAUUAAGACGACAUGUAAAAAGAUGAGUCAUUAAAUUUGAUUUGAUUCUAAUGAAAUUACAACUGUGCGAAAGAAAGUGAAGGGAAAAAUAAUAAUAAUGAUUACCUUUUCAUUGAAGAGAUGUUGUAUUUGAUCAGCUACCAAGAGGUUCUUUUCUGAUUUUAAUUUUUGAGCUUCCUUAUUAUCUGCUGUCAUGUGCAGUACAGAUGUAGAAUUGGAUAUGAAUGUUUCCAUAUCAGGGCAAUUCUCAAUAGUUAGAUAUCUCAACUUAGGCAGUUCAAUUAUAUUCCUAGUGAAGUUGAAAAAUCUUUUGAGUUUUGGAAGGUCAGUGAGCCCUAGCUUGAAAAGCUUAGGAAACAGGGGGCCUAUAUGUUCUUUGUCAGCAUUAAUUAGCUCUUCCAAAUGAAGCACCUCUUCAAGUGAAUCACAAUUCCUCACUUCCAGGUAUACCAAAUUGUUCAAGCACCGUAGCAGAUUAGCAGGAAUAGCACUCGACAUAUUCGUGCAGUCAUCCACCACCAGGUCGAAUAAAUUGUUGAAGAAGCUGACAGGCAGUGCUUGGCCAUGCCAUAUUUCUUUCAAACGUGGAAAAUGCGAGAGUUGCAAAUGUAUUAUGUCACGAAAUCCAAUCUGCACAAACCAAAACAAUUGCACUGGAUAUAUACAAUUUUUUCUUUUUGAAAGGCAUAGAUAUAUAUAUACAUUAAACUUAUAUGUUCAAAUGUGCAAGUGCAAGGGAGAUGCAUAAGUAAUUUCGACGAAUCGAUUUAACACAUACCAUUUCUUCGUAACACUUUUGUAUAGUGGAAUUAAGGUUGCCUUCCCAACGGCGCAAUUCACCCUCUUCCUGUUAAGAAUAGAAUUAGUUAGUUAAUGAGUAUGCUGACAUGGCAGCUGAGUCAGCUAAAGGUUGUUAUAGAGGUUGUUAGUAGUAACCUGUGCGUGUGUGCAAUGUGUGUAGAAUCUUCUAUGCACAUAUAAAAAGGCUUGUAAUUUCCAGAUUCAUUAGAUCAAUAAUAACAGAAUUCUCAGCUUACAGAAGUUUUCUUUCUUCCUAUUUUCUUAGUAACCUAACAACAUCACAGUUUCAUAUAAAACUUAAUACUUCCUUUUACUCACUUGCACUUUGCAUAGCUUUGGUGUGGAUAAGAUUCCCUGAGAAAAAGUCUUCAUGUUCAGACAAUGUGUCAUAGAAACUUGUUCCAAUGAUGGGAAUUCAAGAGUGUAAUUCUCCGAACAAAAGCUGGUAAGCCUUGGUAAAUAAUCAAGUUCCAAAAGUUUUAAUUCGCUGAAAGCAAUACGAUUCUCCUUCGCUUCUUCUCCAACAUGUCCUAUGAUUUCUUCUAUUUUUUCACAGAGUGAUACAUUAAGAUUCACUAGACUAUUGGGAAUUCCAACCUGAAAAUAAAGAGUAGCAUUCAACUAGAUUCAAAGUAUGUCAAAAUCAUACAAUUGUUUUAUGAAAAAUAACAAACCAUGAAUGUCUACUAGAUAUUUUUUGUUAAAGAAAAAAAGGAAAAAAUUAAAACAAAAAUAAAUAAAUAGAAGUCCAGAAAAACAAAGAUAAUGAAAAUGCAUUUACACUAUUUAGUAUUAGGAACGGAGAAAGAAUUUCAGCUAAUUUUUAAAUAUUAUAAAUUCAUUUUUCAUCUUGAUGCUAGUUUUUAAAAAAUUUUAAUUUUCAAACAUGCCUAUUUUUAAAAUAACUAAACUAAAACGCUGUAUUUCCCAUUUUUUUUUCCCGAUAUUCAUGCUUUUAAAAAUGGAAAACAUUUCUGGAAAACACUUCCCAACGCCAUCAACAUGGGACUGUUAUAGAGUGAAUAUUUGAGGAAUUUUUUUAAUCAACGGUCGAUUCAAAAUGACCAUCAUGAAUUUGUGCUUAAUCAAUGGCGUAAUCAAUUCAUAACUAAACUAGAGAUAUUAACUACAUUUGAACACUUUUUUUUUUUAAAUAGAAAUCUAAAGACCCAAGGAAAAGAGAAAUAUAUAUGAAUUUGUGAACUUAAAAGCUGAGUAAUUAAGUAUCUUUUAAUUUCUGAAAAUCUUAUUUAUUAGGAUUUAAGAAAAAAAAACAAUUAAAUUGAAUUAUAUUAUGCUGUUAAAUCGUGUUUAAAACAAUUAUAUUGUUGACUUUAAUGCAGGUGAACCUAUAAAUUAGAUUGAAAAUGCAGAGUUCAGAAUGGUGAUUUGAAGUUCAAUACUUUUGUUCCCUCCAGAAGUUUGAAGUACAAUACUUGCAAUAAAUAAUUUGUGAAUGAAAAUUAUUUGUAAACACAAAAAUGAUUAAAAUAAUUGUUGAAUGUUAUUUGAAAUAAAAAUUCAAAAUGAAUAUAGCAAUCUUACCAAUGGAGGAAAAAUAUUCAGUAGAUUAUCACACUCAGAUAUCUCCAAUUUUUUCAAUUUGCUAAAAGACUUCGAAGCAAGCUGGUGGUGCCAUAUUUUUCUCAACUUAUCCGCCUCACUAAUAUGUAAUACCUCCAGACUUGGGAGUCGUACCUGAAGUUAAAAAUUCAAUGCAAUUAGAGAUGUAUAUUAAUUAAAUUUGAAGACUCAACGAAAAGAGAAAUUAACUAUUGAGAAUAAAAUUAAUUUAAAAAAAAAAAACCUUUUCAUCAAAGAGGGGUUGAGGUUGCAUUUCAGUGUGAAUGACGUCUUCUGGUGAGGCAAAGCUACAUAGUUUUGGAAGACCAUCGAGCCGCAGGUAGUGUAGUUUGGGAAAAACCUUUAAUUCAUCUCUUCCUCCUAACCCCCCCGUGGUGUCGACUACCCCUUCCAUUGACUCACAAUCCCAUAUCUCAAGAUGUUGGAGUUGCCCAAGACUAUUAACCAUAGAACAUGAAAACAGAUACUUCACACAAUGACACCUUUCCACAGUCACUUUUGUUAAAUUUUGACAACAAUACAUUCCCUGAAAUUGAUCGAGCCAUAAUUUUUCGAUGUUUCGUAAAUCGAAAAGUUUCAGUUUCUCCAAACGUGGAAAAGAAACCUGCAAAGCAAAACCGUACAUUUUUGUUCCUUCAACUACAACUUCUAAUAUAAUAUUCUUUCGAUGAUUGAAGAUCAAUCGUAAUAAUAUAUUAAUUAAUUAAUUAUUAAACAGAAAAUUAUUACCUGUUGAACAGGAUCAUCCUCUGCAUUGAUUUCUGUGAAUCCCUGAGUAGUUGUUGGUUUCUCCAUGUCGGGCCCUAUAAAUGAACAAAAACAAUAUGUAAUAAACAUCCGUGUUUUUUUUCACCAAAAAAAGAAAAAGAAAAAGAAAAAAAGAAUGAGUCAAUGUCAAUAAUCCUACCAAUAAUUAAUUUCAAUACUUACCAAUAAUCAUUUUCAAAUCAUCGCAGUUUUCCACUUCUACUUUUUGAAGCCGCAAUAGGUUUUUGGCCAUAGAGAAUGAGAAGAGAUACUUCAAUUUUGGACAGCAAUCUACGUUUAUAAUCCUUAAGUUGCUGAAAGAUUGAUCUUCUCUGAGUUGGCUGUAGCAUAUCGUCUCCAAAUUAGUUAAAAACAUAAGAGACAAUGACUCCAGCAAGGGAAAGACUUUGCAACGAACCCGUCUAACUGAACCGACAAUAUGUAAAAUCUCAGAACAACUUUUUACAUGAAGAUGCUUCAAUCGUGGAAAACCUUCCCCAUCGUCUAAUUCAUGAACAACACUUUGAACACCCUCCAAUGUUUCUAGCCAGAGACCUUCAGUUCUCUGCAGCAACAUUUUUGUCCCAUCAUUCUCCUGAAGAAUGCUAACUUUUUCUAGCCCCUUGAGCAUCAUCAAUCUUGGUGCUUCAGAUUUGACGAGCAAUGGGUCAAACUCAUCUUCGGACUCAUCUCCUAUGCGUAUCCUAUAUCUUUGCAAUUCCACAGAGACAAAAUUCGGCGGCAGAAUUUCGGCAUCCGCAACUUCUAUCUCCAAAGUAGCUAGCUUUGUCAACCUCUCCAACUCGACAAGACUGGCAUUACUUCCUCCUUCAACCUUCUCCCACCCUGAAAAGCUGUUACCCAUAUACAAUUCUUCUAAUUGAGAUAAUUUUGAUAUGACAUUCGGUGCUAUCACCUCAAGCAACCAACAAUUGCUCAAAUCUAGCAACUGUAACCGCGUCAAUUGUCCAAUUUCAAGUGGUAACUGCUUGAUAGUGGAACGUGCAAGGAUGAGAAUCUCUAAUUUCUUUAGCUGUCCAACUAUUGCUAUAUCUUUUAGUCGGCAAUAGUCUAAACACAAUGUUUGGAGGUUAAUGAGGCAACCAAGUGAUGAAGGUAAUGAAGAGAAGUGAAUUCGAGUAAAAUUCAAAACUUUGAGUCCUUCCGUCCCUUUAAAGAAGUGAUCUGAAACUUGCAUAGAGCCAUCACCCUCCGUAUGCAAUAGCUCAAGACAGGGACAUUGCAACCUUUCAGGAAGCACUUGAAUACCUCCAUAAGUUAAAGAAAUAGCAAUUGGAUCUUUUCGUAUUGUCUCUUCCAUCUUUUUCUCCAAGUCGGCAACAUUUGGAAUAUUAAACAUGCGCUUCUCAAAUAACUGCAAUGCUUCUUUUCGUGGCAAAGCAUCGAUCGGAAAAUUUUUCUGACAACUCAUAUCAAUGCGCAAUAAAUCUUGCUUUCUAGACGUCAAUAUUAUUGUGCAUCUUCUCUGAUCAUCCUUUCUAUCUUUCUCAGCAACAUCCCCAGAAGGAAUUCCAACAACAUCCAACUCAAGUUCUGUCCAAAUAUUAUCCAAUAUAAUGAGGACCCGCUUCUCUUUCUUCAAUCUUUCACGUAAUCGAUCAGCUCUUUCGAAUUUAUUCUCAUCCGAGCCAAAUUUCAUGCCUAAGUCAAAAGCAAGUUUCUUUUGAAUUUCCUGAUGAUCUGGGGUCUGUGUUACCUCAGCCAUAACGACCUUAUCGAACAACUUAUCUUCCAUAACUUGCUUUGCAACUUGCUUGACUAGCGUGGUUUUACCCACGCCGCCCAUGCCGUAGACCCCAAUAAUGUUGAGCUUAUCAUCCUUCAACGCCUCCACAACAUCUUGAAAUACUUUCAUUCUUGAAUCAAAGGCCUCGUAAUCUUUCACUUGCAUAUGUUCUGCCCGCUUUGGAGCAGGACGGUAGGAAACAUUAGAGAAGUUUCCUUUUCCCAGGAGACUAGCGGCAGCUUCUGCGGCCUUUGCUGCUUGUUUACUAAGCUUGUAACGAGAAAUCAAGUUUGGGCACAAUCCUUUGAAGCAGGACUUCUUAGCUCUAUCUUCAUCAUCACUGAUGGAUUUUGCAACCCCUUCACUGAAUUCAUCAACUUGAUUUAGCCAGUCUGUGACACCCUCAUAAAUCUCAUCCCCUUGUAGUCUAGCAUGAUUAACAGGUUGUUGCACCGUUUCUCUUCUAUAUCCCAGCUGCUUCACUUGAUCUUUUAGGCCAUCUAUGUAGCUCUGGUACUUGAACACAUAAGAUAUCUGCCGUACAAUCGGUUUGAACAGUGACUUUGCACCUUCUGCUACGAUGCUGGAAAAAGCAGCCAGACCCACUUCUGCCAUCGCCUGCUGCUUAACAAAUCUAAUAAUAUGUCAAAGAAAGGAAUACAAAUAAACUAAAAUGAACUAGAGGGAAAGACAAAAAAUGGAAAAGACAGCAAACAGUAUCGCAACAUUGAUCUUGAAUCAACUGAAACAUGAACAAAGCAUUUUUUCUUCUUUCUUAAGGAUCAGAGUUUUUGCUAUUAACAGAAACGUACUUCAAGUGUCUAAAAAAAAUUAACUAUAAAUGAACAAUAACUACAAAACUCAAGCAAAACAAGCCAUAAAAUUUUUAUCUUGGAAAGUGGAUGGAAAUUAAGAAAGAAAUGGUAUAGAGAUCAAGCAUCAGAGAUUAUGCUAUUAAAAGAAAUUAAUUGAAGGUUUUAGAACAAGUGCACCUGUUUAAUUAUGUGGGAUCAGAAAGUUGAUGAGCUUAUGUAAUCGCCUUGAAUAUUUAAGAACAAUUUCAAUGAGCAAAAAAUUUCUGUUACCUGCAGAGGAAUGUGAUUAUAGAGAGCUUAUGAGAGUAAUGACAAUGAUUUGGAAAAGAAGAAGACUUAAUCAUGCAGCCCUUAAUAUUUAUUGAAUGACUUGUGAUCAUUUCUUUUAUGAAUAAAAUGCCAACAGCAAAAAGAGAAGAAAGGGCGAAAUUUACUAAGUCUUAUUUUAUUUUUAAUUUCUUUUAUUUUCAUUCGGCGAAGAGGGAAUCUCUCCCUCUUUUUGUUUUUUUACGGGGAAUCUCCUUACCUAAUGUGACAUAAUGAAAGCAAUCUGUAAAUAGUAAUAUAAUGUAAUAAUUAAAAAUACCCACAUAUUUAUAAUAUUAAUGAUGGGAUCCAUAUGUUUAUACUGAUUAAAUUGGUGGACCAGAAUUUAUUUGACCGUACUUGUUUUCUAUUUAAUUAAGAUUGAAACGAUAGAGAAAAAUUUGUCGUAUUGAUUUGUUUCGAUUGUGGAGUUCCAACACUGAAAGUGAAGAUUUCAUCAACUUUCUCACAUGGACACGUACCGUCAUGCAUAUUGCAUUAUUUUCCUAGAAAAGCAAGAUUAAUUCUUUUAAUAAGCAAACGCGUAGGUGGGAAUCCAUUCAUGAAACAAGUGGAACGACAAUAUCAAACCAAUGAUAAUUCAAAAUCUGAAUCCGCCUGAUGGACGGCAACUAAUCUGAACCAUUCUCCUUUAGUAACAGGGGAAUGAAAUUAUAUCGAUGAUAGAUAAUUUCAAAACAGGGGAAUGAAAACAGAGGAACCUGUUUUUCCUUCCUUUUCUUCUUUCCCCCAACUCUUCUUCUAUUUAUAUUUUCCUUGGAAUUUUCGGCAAACGAAAAAAAAUUGGGAAUGAUUUCAGGAAAACAGGUGGAUAAUAACUAAAAUAUUUAUUUUUAUAUUUUUGAUAAACACACUCACUAUUAAUAGAAUUCAUUAGAUAUCAUAACUUAAAUAACUUCUUGUGAUUAAUUGAGGGUACAUUUGGGAUUUCUUUUAUUUCCCAAUAAUUAGCUUCUAUGUUGAUUCUCAGAAAAUUAAUUUUACGAAUAAUUUAGUAGGGUGUUUGGUAAAUGAUGAUUAUUUGACAACCAGUUUUCAAAUAAUCUACUAUACAAAUUUGAUAAGUAAAAAUUAGAAGUGUAAUAUUCAAGUGCAAAUGUGCAAUGAUAAAAAUGUAAUUGUUUGUUUAUUUGUAGUUUAUUUAGAAUAUUAUUACUAACAUCAUUUUUUUAUUUACUGGAUUUUUAAAGAGUAUAUUCUAUUUUCUUUAUUACAUAUCUAUAUCAAUUUUUUAUUAACUAUUUUAAUUUGUAAUAAAACUAACUUUAAUUUUUUUUAACUAAAAAAUUUGUUAUGCAGUUUGUUAUAUUAAAAAAAAAAUUCGGACGGUGUCUAAACAUGGUCACCAGUGAUUGUUAUAUUAAAAAAAAAUCUAUUCAAUUUUUUCUCUGAUUUUGUGUCGAUAUCUUUCUUACGUAUGUUGAUAUCAUAUUAAAGUGAAUUCAAGACCCUAUAUUAUUUUGCAUAACAUCAAAAUUUAGCCGAAUGGUAAUUAAGAAUUUCCUUUUUUGUUUGUCCCACAAUUAUAUAGUCUCAUUUUUUACAAUAAGCUCACAAUAUGCACGGAAAUGAAGAUCUAUUAAAAACUUCCCUAUAAUAUUAAACACUAAACAAUAUCACCAUGUUAUGCAUAUGGUGCCUCGUCAACAAUUUGAUGUUUAUUUUGUUUCUCGGGUGAAUAUGACUACUUGCGUUGCGAGUCCAUGCUUUUGUCGUUUGGAUGGAGGACGUGCCAUCUUUUUAUUUUAGAUGGUUUGUAAGACUUCUGAUUUAAUGAUUGAAUGCAGUCAAUUAACAAAAGCUUACAUAUUAUGUAGGUGCUGAUAUGUCUGUUCUUGAUAAAGUAGAUUUAUUUACAUCCAAGCCAACGGAGCCAAAGACAUUUCGUUAAUAAAAUACACGAUAAUUAUUUUUGUUAAACUGAUUUCUGGUUAAUAAGACCUAUAACAGCAUUCAAGGAAGCCACCGAACUCAAAGGAAAGGCAUGGUUAAAUAUACUGCGAAGCAUGUGAGUUCGUUUUUUAAUCUCUUGAUCACUCAUAAGCUUUUCUAUACCACUCACUGUAUCAUCCUUUUGAAUCGAUUUUGAUUGAUCAUCAGAGAUCAUGUACCCCACCUUAAGAUGAUUGAUCACAAAUUUGGCAUUGUAAUGUUGGUCACCUCUAAUUGGCCAUGCUAAAAUUGGGACUCGACAACCAAUUGCUUUUACUGUUGAAUUCCAUCCACAAUGAGAUAAAAAUCCACCCGUGAUUGAUGACUCAAUAUCAAUAAUUGUGGCGCCCAUCCAUCUAUUAUCAAAUCCUUUUUACCGACUUUAUUAUCCAAACCACUACGAAAAUAACUGCCUUCAGCUGGUUUGUCCAAAUGACGUAGAGGAUCCAAUCUACCUGCACCACCUUGAAUUACCCAAAUAAACGAUCGAUUUGAUGCUUCUAAAGGAUUAGCUAGUACUAAGUACUCAUCUAAGGUCAGAUCCACUUCAGUACCAAAUGACACAUAUAACACAGAUCCGCGUGAUUUCAAAUUCAACCUUUGAACGAUCUCAUCUUCCGUCAUAUUAGAACUCCGCCGGUUGGUUCUCAUCUCAUGAUCAUCAAGCACUGAACCGGCCGAUUUGUAAAAUUGUUCAGGUAAUAGUGGGCCCACUCCCCACAUCGGCUUUCCCAAUUCAUUGGCUAAAUAAUUAAUAAAUGGUCCCUCAAGACCAUCACACGUGUUGAACAUCAACGCCAUUGAUCCCUCCACUUCCUUCAUCCAGUGUGGUUGAUCACCGGCUUCUGGUGGACCUAUUUUCUCGGAACCGGGUGCACCUCUCAGAGGUGGUGGACCACCAGGAGGGGGCCCAUGAGGCCUGUGUUUUAGGUCCGAUUCAAAUAAAGCCAUAUCCUCGGGUAACCGAGGAAGUAAACGGGCCUCUCCCGGUUUGACAUCUUGGAUGCGAGCCUGCCACAUGGCACACUCCGCAGCUGCCGAGCAAGCACCAGAAGUGAAGAACCCAACAAUGGGAACUUCAAAAAUCUUGAAAACAUCAGCCGUCCAGCCCAUCAUAACGUCGAUGACUGCACAAACGGGUCGGCUUUUGGGUUCCCGGGUUGAAAGGAGGUUUCGAACUUCGAAGGCCUUGAAGCAUUUGGCUGUGCAUGGCAACAUGAGGGUGAGGAGGCGAAGGAGGGUAUUUCAGUAACUUCAAAGAGAGGGUAUUGGUGAAACGAGGAAGGGAUGAUGCUGGGGGCGGAAAUGUGAGAGGGAAUGAUGAGGGUAGAUUUGUAAUUACGAGUAGCGAUUUGCUUGCAUAAUUCAAUGCAUGGAAACAGAUGUCCCUGACCGAAGAAUGGGACAAUCCAAACCUCGGCCUCAGCAGCAGUAGCAACAGAGCUUGACAUCUUUUUGAAUUAUUUGAUACUUAAUUGUUACUGUUUGCUUUUACAUCUUUCAUAAAACACUCUUUGUUAUAUAUAAAGAGAUGACUUAAUGGAGAAGUAAGUGUUUUAGUUUUACAGUUUUACUAGUAGGUGAGCUCUGAGUUUGAUAAUUUGAUUGUUAGUUUUAGUUGGUUAGUUAUGAGAAAGCAUCUUUUAGAAAAUUCAUUCCAGUUUCAACUAAAAUUAAUAAUAUUGUUCAAAUUAAUUACUCGAUAAAUAAAUAAUUAGAGAUAAAUCUAUCCCUAAUCUCACAUUUAUAAAAUAAGGAUUGAAAUAAGUUCUUGUGGAUUCGAACUCAAGCCCUCAAGCCGAGUGGCUGGAUCUUGACUACUUUGACUUAAUUAUUAUUAUUAUUAUUAUUAUUAUUAUUAUUAUUAUUAUUAUUAUUAUUAUUAUUAUUAUUAUAUAUAUAUAUAUAUUUCAUUCUUUCAUUGAACAUCUUUUGUUAUAUAAUAAAGAAGAUAAGUUGACGGAGAAGAGUUUUACUUUUACUAGUAGAUGAGCUUUGAGUUGAGAACGUUAGUUUUAGUUGAUUAAAUAUCUACCAUCCAAAUCAACAUUCCUUAAACUAUUAUUCAAGUGAGAUGUCUGAGUAACAUACGCUUGAGUUAGUUGGUGCCUAACAAUUCGUGUGAUACAUGAAACCAACCAAUAUGAAAACCAAAUCAAGUUGGUAGGAUUACAUUAAUUUAAAUUAACUUUCAAGUUCCAACAUUAUAAGAUAAAUAAAUAGCAUAAACUAAUUUUUUUUUUCAAGUAAAUAUGUUUAUCGUUUAAAAAUUAUUUUUUCUUGCGGUAAAUGCAACACUAAAUAAGGAGUGAAGAGGGUAUUUUGUAGGGUAUACCCCCACCUUUUAUUUCAUUUCAUUAUUAAAAAAUAAAGGCUUGAUUCAACAUUCAAGUAAAAUUAACAAUUCCAUGAUAAAAUUGCUUGAGAAUAAGAAUUAAAAUAAAAAAAGAAAACAGCAACUCAAAAACGACAUACAAAUACCGCAUAGAGGUUUUUCGUCACGAGAUAUUUUUGGGUUGAGACAACAGUUGUAUAACAGAGCAUACAGACUGAAUGACGGUGAGAAUAAGAAGGAAAACGGCGCCACACACCGAAAUGCCAGCCCAUGGAGUAUUGAAGUAAUUUUGUUUCAAGUUUGCCCUCCAUUUGUAGCACGUUCUUUUGCAGUGAUCAUUCAAUCCUUUGCAUAGCCCAGAAAAAUAGAAGCUAUUAGACAGCAGAGUAGUACCUCUAGAAAGGAACACAUAAUCAUUUAUGUAACACAUAAUCAUUUAUGUAAUUCUCUGAGUAAUGCCGUUGUUCAAAGGCAAUGAGAUUACGAAAUAAGGAUUCUGUUUCUAGCUGUAGCUUCAGUUUCGGAAUAUGCGAUGUCCUGUUUUUGAAUUCUAUGGCGAACAAAUCAUUGCUCUUGCUCAAACUGAAGUGGACUCCAGCUUGGUGGAGAUUAGUCACACUUGGUGCGGUUUUACCUUUGUGGUAUUGCUGACCUUCUUGUUUUUCCUGAUUCCUCGAUGAUGGGAGAUGGCAAAUCCUUAGAAAAUCAAGGAAAUGCUCUACCCUAGCCUUAGUGUAAGGAGGGAAUUUUUGCUGAUUACCUUGUACUACCUCUAAACCCUUGAAAUACUCGUAUGUGACUGUGAUGAUGGUUGGAUUUUCAUGUUGGUCGGGGAUUUCAAUUGCCGCUAGAGCAAAAAGAUCCUCAAGAAUGAAGAAAGGAAGCUGAUUCUCAAGCAACCACAUAUCAUACCGUAUAUCCUCUAUUAAAUAGGGUUUAUGAAAUAUAUGAUCAUCUUUUUUUUGAAGUUGACGGAAAUGAUACCUCAAUAAGAGUUCAAUGAUGAAGGCAGCAUCCAGCAGAAUCAUUUCAACAAAUUUAUCACUACUUAGUUCGACUUUUUCUGCAUAAGAACCUCGUAAUUCUGCUUCUCUGAACUUUAUAAUUUGAACAAACUCGUCAAAGCUUAUUUGGGUCCGUUGAAGAAAGUAAUGCAGGUACCGCUGUUUAUGUUCUUCCAUGAACUGUAAGUUUGCUUUGCCAUGCUGAAGAGGGCCAAUUGAGACUACCUGAGGUGUAUGUACCUUUUCAUUUAUCUGACGUAAUCGCUCUGGAACUCUGUAGAUGCAGCAGUUUGAGGGCAAUGGUGAUAAUUUUUUCAACUUAACUUGCAAGCAUUCUUCCAUGUUAUAAACUGAAAACAUGGCGCGAAAUUUAAUCAAUUCAACACUUAAUAAGGCAUAGUAAUUAAAAAAGAAUUAAAAAAAAAAACCAAAUACAAGAGCAUUCUUACACGUACAGAAGCACCUCAAUCCCUACUAUUUGCAGAGCUGUAGCCAGGAGUCAAUGAUAGACCAGACUGAACUAAAAGGAACAACUUUCUUAGGAAUAUGUUAUCGGUAUUUUCUCUGGCCUCAGGCCAUCAACAAAGCAGUUUCAGUGCUUCUUAUAUAAUUCCAUGGAUUAUUCCUUGCCUUUACAGAUGAUAUAAGUCACAAUUCAUAUAUUAAUUUCUCCAGAUUCCGUACAAGUGGACCAUAACUAUGGAAAAAUUCAAAGAAUGCAACAGCCAUUUGAUUGGUCCAUGUCAGAAGUUAAUCUGGGGAAAGAAGCUUGAUCUAGCAGUAAAAUUCUCUCCUUCAAUCAGUCAGUUUGGGGCAGCAACAAGAUCAAAGCCACCACGCAAACAUUUACUAAAGUUUAUAUAAUAUUCACUAGUUUAUAUAAUAUUCUUGAAACUCAUCUUAAGUAAAGCAACAAAAGCCUUCACUGUUUCUUAACAACUUUAUUGCUCUAACACGUAGCAUAACACUUUUAAAUUUGCAUAAAGCACAAUAGUACUUUAGUUUGUAACAACAGCACAGAUAAUAAAUCGCAUUUUAUAGCUUUAACAAAAGCAUACAAAAUUCUUAAACCUUGUUUCAAGCAAUUCAUUAAUGCCACAAGGAUGUCUUUUUGCUUCCUACAGUUUUUAUUGAAAUUCAUAUAUUCUUCUUUAUCAAAUUAAGUAAUUUUCCUUUUUCAAAAAAUCAAGAAGGUUUCGACUGCAUGGAAAUACAGCACACAAUUACUACUAUUCCCGGAGUAAGAAAUUCAUAAAUGCAAUAUAAACAUACAUUUUCAUAAGACAUCAGAAUCAAAGAAUCAUCAAUGCAUCAAAUCUGUACACCCAAAAAAGUUGAAAGCAUCAAGAGAAAAUUAUACCGCAUGGACCCUUUACAACCCUUAUAACGAGUUCAGACAGCCUAAUCCAAUUUAAUAGAUUUGAGGACAGCUACAAUGUGCAAUACAAAAUUUCCCAAUACUAUUUAGAACAAAGUCUAGAAAAUAAAACCUAUAUAUUGUACAAAAUCACGAAAACCAGAAAUGACGAAAAACCUGCGAAUGUAAUUUUUGGGUUUCUUCAACAUAUCUUCCAUCCAAAUCAAACAAGAAUCGAUAAAUCAACAACAUUCAUCUUUAAACGACAUAUUACCACAAUAAAAUUGUCAACCAAGCCUCAUAUAAACCUUUUUUGUGUUUUUUGGUAAAUAUAUUUGUUAUUCUCUAAGAAUACUAGGGAAAAAAGAAACCCACUUUCUUAAUCAAGAAUCAAAUAGUAUAUAUGAAUCUAAGCUGAAGUAAGUCUUGGGUUUGAUGAAAAAGCUUGCAUUGUGAUUUAGAUUGGAAAGGAAGUUGAUUUUUGCUGGUUGAGAGAGAGAGAUUUGAGACUUAAGGAGUGUUGCUAAUCUUCGAUCGUGUAAACAAGGGUAACUGGGUCAUAGUUCAAAAUAAGGGUCCAAAAUUUACUAAAGCUAUUAAGGAGCCCAAAACUCAUAAUGGCUUCCCCAAAAUAAAUAAAAUUUUCUAGCAUUAAGUUUUUGUUUCUUCUUGAGAUUUCCUUGUCGUACUUACCCAUAUUUCGAUAUUGCCUCCAAGUAAACUUAUAUAUAUUGAUUAACAAUAUAAACAAGCACUAUGAAGUUUUAGGCCUGAAAAAACAUUGAGGUUGAAAUGAAAACCAUCUAUUUAAGUAACAAAAUCUUCUGAUAAUUUGAUGCUUAAUAAAUAGAGCAGAGAUGACAUAUUAAUCACGCUAUGAUGUGGAAGUUAUGAUUAUAUUCAUCUUAAGAAUAAGAUCUUUCAAACACUGGCAGAUUAGUAUCAAAAUACUCAGCAUAAGACCUACAAACUAGAAAUCAUGAACCAAUUAUUGAACUCAGUACAUAAGUUGAUCUUUUAUAAGCUAUAAAACAAAUCUGCUAUAACAUAAGAAAGUGGGAUUUAUCACCAGACAAAUAUUUUGGUGAAACUCAAGAUGACGGAAGGAUAUCCAAAACAACCUCCUUAAGGGAAGGCAUCACUUCCUGCUGAUGCAAACAUAUAUAUUUAUUACUCACUUUCUUGAGGACCUUCCAGGAACCUGGGUAGCAUCUAACAGAAAGUGGAAAAGAAUAAAAUGUAAAAUAUAAGUUAAACAGCAGGAAAACAGUGAGUGAUACUAGGCAAGCAUUAAUAGGUUGCCGCAGGAAAAGUGUCAGUAACUAGCUAGCAAACCUGAAAAGGGUUCCUCCAUUGCGACCCUUAAAAUUGUGAAUGUAAUAUAUGGUCUCCAUCACAGGAAAAAGUGUAUUGGAUAGUGCAGCCAGCUUAGUGUUGCGGACCGCCCAAAUUCGUAGCCCAAUUUAUUCACCAAGAGCCCAACACAAGGCCAAGAGUGCUACCUUGGCCCGAUUCCGGAAAAUUCUAGGCAACUCUAGCACAUUGAGCUUGUAAAUACUCUAGAAUUCUCCAUAGAAUUCCAGCACAUGUAAAUAGCUAGGAAAUGGUAGAAUUCUCUAGAAUCUCUAGAGCUUGGCAAGCCUCCCCUAUAAAUAUGGGAUGGCAUUAGGCAUUUGUAUCCAACAAACACUACAACAAGCAUUGUAAGCAACUCAAGCAAUGUAAUUCUCUCUUUGUGCAAUACAAUUUCUCUUAUUCGGCUCUAUUGCUCUCUUCUCUAGUUCGAGAAGCUCUAAGCUUACUUAGCAACAUUCGGCAAAGUUGUCUAAGUGCCGCACGAGUUAGCUGCGCAAAAUACUCAUCCCGUGACAAGUGGUAUCAGAGCUAAAGUUUGCACGCACGCAAAUUAGCUCACGAGCAAUGGCCAACCUUUCAAACGUAGCACAAUAGGGUGUUGUUGGUGUGGAUGUUCCACUGGAACCAAGCCGCGACCAAGAGGGAGAACGCUCCCAAGGCAAGACUCGUGGCAAGUCCAAGGCCCCAUCCGUGGAUGCGUUGGAGCCUCGUGUGACUACUCUCGAAAUCACAUUGUCCGCCGCUCAAGAAAGUCUCGAGGGAUUGGAGGAACGAGUGGACGGUCUCGAGGGGGAAUACGCCGAGUUCACGGUGGCAACAAAAGCUCUCAUCCAAGAGCAAGCGAACACUCUCCGAGGUGAGUUUCGUUCUUUCCAUGAUGAGUUGCUCAAACUUCGUAGCUUUGUUCAGGAUGAACUACGAGCUGUCCGUGCAGAAGUGGAUGAAGUCCGCUCGGAUUGGGCAUGGCACAAGUGCACAGUCUCUGCUAGUCCAGCUUCCGCAAACUCGAGUGAUGCGCGCCGCAUUGACGUGCCAAAGCCCGACACCUACGAUGGCACACACAAUGCCACCAUCGUGGAUAAUUUCCUCUUUGGGCUCGAUCAAUACUUCGAUGCCAUGGGUGUCCGAGACGAGGCAUCGAAAGUGGGCACUGCACCCACCUAUCUUAGAGGCGCUGCACAACUAUGGUGGCGUCGCAAGUAUGGCGAGAUGGGCAAGGGCAUUUGCACCAUCGACACUUGGGCCAACUUCAAGCAAGAACGCCGAAAGCAGUUCGCCCCAAGCAAUGCGGAGAAGGAAGCACGAGCGUGCUUACGUCGCCUCAAGCAAACGGGUAGCAUAUGGGACUACAUCAACGAGUUCACUACCCUUAUGUUGGAGAUAAGCGACAUGUCCGACAAAGAUUCGCUCUUCUACUUCCAAGAUGGCCUCAAGGAUUGGGCCAAGACUGAGCUUGAUAGGCGUGGUGUUCAAACACUUGACGAUGCCAUGGCCGUUGCGGAGUCGCUCACCGAAUACUCUAUCCAAUCCAAGGACAAAAAGGCCAACCAAGGCAAAGGUGGGGGAGAGAGUCGCAAGGACAAGGGCAACAACCGCAAAGAUUGGGGGUAGAAAAAACUGCCUAGCAACAAGAGCGAGCAAGGAAAAUCGGAGGGUAAGAAGGAGGCGCCAAAGCCGCGAAGCCCAUGCUUCAUAUGCAAUGGUCCUGAUUGGGUACGCGACUAUCCGGAGAAGAGGUCGCUAAACGCUCUUGCUGCCCAACUCAAGAGCAACCCUACAAUGUCCACAGAGGAACCCCAACUCAGCAUGGGUUCUCUCCAACGCCUCGGCGCACUUAAUCACUAACAGCCUGCACUCGUCAAGAAAGGGCUCAUGUAUGUAAGCGCAAAGGUAAACGGUCAGUUCGUUCGCGCGCUGCUAGACACGGGAGCGACGCACAACUUUGUGUCCGUAGACGAGGCCAAGCGCUUAGGCCUCAAGGCCACCAAGGAAGGAGGCACGAUGAAAGCGGUGAACUCACCCGCCAAGCCAAUUGCGGGGAUCGCACAAGGCGUGCACAUUAUGCUUGGAACAUGGAGCGGAAAGCUUGAUUUCUCCAUCGUUCCCAUGGAUGACUUCAAGAUGGUCCUCGGCAUGGAAUUCUUCAACCAAGUCCAUGCCUUCUCGCUGCCCGCUCCGAACUUCCUAAGCAUCCUCGACGGGAGUAAGGCAUGCAUGGUUCCCACGGAACGAGGCAAGUCCGAGGAGAAGACACUCUCUACCAUGCAAUUUAAAAGGGCUUUCAAGAAGGACCCAAGUUUCUUGGUCUCCAUUCGGGAACUAAACGAGGUAGGAAAUAGCGGAAUCUCGCCAAACCAAGUCCCUCCGCGAAUUCAAGCCGUCCUUAAUGAGUACAAGGACGUGAUGCCUCCAGAACUUCCGAAGAAACUCCUACCUCGACGAGAGGUUGACCAUGCAAUUGAGCUGGAACAAGGCACGAAGCCACCAGCCUUGGCGCCCUACCGCAUGGCGCCACCCGAAUUAGAGGAGUUGCGGAGACAACUCAAAGACUUACUGGACGCAUGCUACAUUCGCCCCUCAAAGGCCCCAUUCGGUGCACCUGUGCUCUUCCAAAAGAAAAAUGAUGGAUUGCUGCGGAUGUGCAUCGAUUAUAGAGCGCUCAACAAGAUCACCAUCAAGAACAAGUAUCCGAUUCCCUUGAUCGCGGACUUGUUCGACCAGCUUGGCAAAGCGCGGUACUUCACCAAACUCGACUUGCGCUCCGGGUACUACCAAGUGCGCAUCGCCAAGGGAGACGAACCAAAGACAGCGUGCACAACAAGGUACGGGUCUUUCGAAUUCCUUGUGAUGCCUUUUGGCCUUACUAAUGCACCCGCCACAUUUUGUACGCUCAUGAACAAGGUGCUCCAACCAUUUCUCGACCGCUUCGUGGUCGUGUACUUGGAUGACAUAGUGGUGUAUAGCACCACGCUCGAGGAUCAUGCCCAACACUUGCGACAAGCCCUCCAAGUACUUCGAGACAAUGAGCUAUUCCUCAAAUUGGAGAAGUGCUCGUUUGCCCAACGAGAAGUGGAGUUCCUUGGCCACAAGAUUGCGGGCGGGAAGCUCAUGAUGGAAAAUGCCAAAGUGAAGGCCAUUCUCAAAUGGGAACCUCCCUCGAAAGUGCCCGAGCUUCGCUCAUUCCUUGGGCUGGUGAACUACUACUGCCACUUCAUCAAAGGCUAUUCGGCCAAGGCAGCACCCUUGACGGAUAUCAGAACGUGGCAUUAGUUCGAAGAGUGCCAACGCGCAUUCGAGGAGUUGAAGAAGGCAAUUUCAGAAGAACCUGUCCUCGCUCUACCGGACCACACAAAGCCCUUCGAAGUCCAAACAGAUGCCUCAGAUUUUGCCAUAGGUGGAGUCCUUAUGCAAGAAGGCCACCCCAUAGCGUUCGAGAGUCGAAAGCUAAAUGAUACGGAGCGUCGCUACACGGUGUAAGAGAAGGAGAUGACAGCCAUCAUACAUUGCUUGCGUGUGUGGCGACAUUACUUGCUAGGCUCACACUUCACGAUUAUGACGGACAACGUGGUGACAAGCUACUUUCAAACUCUAAAGAAGUUGAGUCCGAAGCAAGCACGGUGGCAAGACUUCCUUGCGGAAUUCGACUAUUGGCUCGAGUACAAACCGGGGAAAGCCAAUGUCGUUGCGGACGCUCUAAGCCGCAAGGUGGAAUUGGCAACACUUAGCAUGAGCCAACCGAAGUUCGACCUUAUCUCACGCAUCAAGGAAGGCCUCCAACAAGAUCCGCUAGCAAAGGAUUUGCUGGAGAAGGUGCUCGAGGGAAAGACAAGGCGUUUUUGGCAAGAGGAAGGCAUCCUCCUCACCAAGGGAGAUAGGCUGUUCGUGCCAAGGUGAGGAAACUUGUGGAAGGAAGUUAUCAAGGAGUGCCACGACUUCAAGUGGGCUAGUCACCUAGGAAUCGAGCGCACCACCGCACUAGUUCAAGCCUCGUAUUUUUUGCCACACAUGAGGGACGACAUCGAGGCAUAUGUGCGAACUUGUCUUGUGUGCCAACAAGACAAGGUGGAUCAUCAACUUCCAGCGGGAUUAUUAGAGCCGCUAUCGCUAGCAACAAGACCAUGGGAAAGUGUCUCCAUGGACUUCAUCACAUCGCUGCCUAAGUCCGAAGGAUGCGGAAGUAUCAUGGUCGUUGUCGACCGAUACAACAAGUAUGCCACAUUUAUUGCCGUACCAAUCGAUUGCAAAGCGGAUGAGGCAUCUCGCCUAUUCGUCAAGCACAUUAUGAAGCUUUGGGGAGUUCCAAAGAACAUUGUGAGCGACCGAGACCCUUGGUUCACUGGGCGUUUCUGGACGGAGCUCUUCAAGAUGUUAGGGACCGAUCUCAAGUUCUCGACAAGCUUUCACUCACAAACGGAUGGGCAGACCGAGCGCAUUAAUGGCCUCCUCGAGAUGUACUUGAGGCAUUAUGUGAGCGCUCAUCAGCGAGAUUGGGCGAAGCUAAUCGACAUCGCCCAAUUUUCUUAUAACUUACAGCGAAGCAAGGCUACGGGCAAGAGUCCGUUCGAGAUCAUCAUGGGAUUUCAGCCCAUGACCCCCAACGCCAUAGCCUCGACUUACGGAAGGAAAAGCCCCGCGGCACACAAGCUCACCCGCGAAUGGCAUGAGGAAGCGAACACCACGCAAGCCUAUCUCGACAAAGCCGUGAGGAAAAUGAAGAAAUGGGCGGAUACAAGGAGACGACAUGUUGAGUAUAAGGAAGGUGAUCAAGUUAUGAUCAAGCUCCUACCCCAACAAUUCAAGAUGUUGCGGAAAGUCCACAAGGGGUUAGUGAGGCGCUACGAGGGACCCUUCCGAGUUGUUCGACGUGUGGGCAACGUCUCGUAUCAACUCCAACUUCCGCCAAGACUCAAGAUCCAUCCGGUCUUCCAUGUGAGUCUUCUCAAGCCAUAUCACGAAGACAUGGGAGACCCAAGUCGCGGAGAAUCGAGGCGCGCACCAACUGCCGUUGUCACCGCGUUCGACAAAGAUGUGGACUACAUCAUUGCGAACCGCGUGGUUUCGAGGAGGGGCGUGCCAGCACAUAGCGAGUACUUGGUGAAGUGGAAAAACCUCCCCGAGAGCGAAGCCACUUGGGAACGUGAAGACAAUUUGUGGCAAUUCGUUGAGCACAUCCAGAGGUUCAAGCACGAGAGCGCGAUGAGGACGCCGCGAGGUUAGGUGGGGGAGGAUGUUGCGGACAGCCCAAAUUCGUAGCCCAAUUUGCUCGCCAAGAGCCCAACACAAGGCCAAGAGUGCUAGCUUGGCCCGAUUCCGGAAAAUUCUAGGCAACUCUAGCACAUUGAGCUUUUAAAUACUCUAGAAUUCUCCAUAGAAUUCCAGCACAUGUAAAUAUCUAGGAAAUGGUAGAAUUCUCUAGAAUCUCUAGAGCUUGGCAAGCCUCCCCUAUAAAUAUGGGAUGGCAUUAGGCAUUUGUAUCCAACAAACACUACAACAAGCAUUGUAAGCAACUCAAGCAUUGUAAUUCUCUCUUUGUGCAAUACAAUUUCUCUUAUUCGGCUCCAUUGCUCUCUUCUCUAGUUCGAGAAGCUCUAGGCUUACUUAGCAACAUUCGGCAAAGUUGUCUAAGUGUCGCACGGGUUAGCUGCGCAAAAUACUCAUCUCGUGACAUUAGGGUAGAAGAAUGACGGAUAAUCUUUAGCUCAUUUAAGGAAAUCCUCUCUGAUCCUUUCAUUGCACAUUCCAAAACAACUCUACUACAACCAAGUUACCAAUUCUUUUUGUUAAGUCAUUGUUAUUUGUUAAAAAAAAAAAAAGUCUUCCUUGCAACAUUUUAUUGAAAGAUAUAACAUGAUCAUCCCUAUUAAUUCCCUUUUAGAUUUCUGUGAGUGAAUUUCAAAUUAUUGUAUUCAAAAAUAGAAGCAAAAGACCCACUUUACUUUCAAUUUCUGCAACAAGAUACCAAUUGAAGGACCAAAAAGUUGUAAACAAGCAAUUCAAUGGGUGGGCAUCUAGAAACUGCUAAAUAGCAUCAAAAUCAUACUAAAUUUACAGAAAGUACAAUAAUAAUGAAAGAAUGGUGAAGGAUACACCCAGACCUUAUCCGGUCAAGUUCUCUAUUGAAUAUAAUCAGUUUCUGGGCAGUAUUGAAGACAGCUUCUUUGUAAAGCUCUUCAACGACAAGCAUUUCUACAAGACGAAAGAAAAGCAAAAUUAAUUACCUUAAGGAAUGAAUAUCAAUAAGAAGACAAGGUGUAAGACUACCAUUGACAUUAAAAUAUGGAUAGGCGACUAGAAACAAUUCAUCUUCUGGCUUCACACGGUCUGCCAUUUUAACCUUCUCAGUGAAUCCAAAAUCCUCAAAGAAUGAAGGUUUUGUUAGAUAGUCCAACUUAAAUAAUGAUCCUUCAAAGACCGAUUUUCUUGCAUAUUUGACUUCAUUUGCCUCUGGGAAAAACUAAAAACCAAAUGACAGACCAAGAUCACGAAACGAAUCAUGAACAUAGAUAUCAGAUAAUCAGAAAUGGGCAUUAAACAGACUACUAACAAGUAGGAAAUGCAUACAGAAAACAUUAUUCAUACACCUUAUGCACAUGAAAUAUAUAUGCAGAGGGAUCCUCUUGUGAAUUUAGUUUAUAUCCUAAUAUGAGACAAUGAACAAUUGGAUGGCAUCUAAGGGCUAACAUUUGUUUGAUUAUUAUAUGAAAAAAAAAAACAAAACAGAGUUGAUUGAUGGCCUUUGAUGGAUUGCCUACACUCUUAAAGUGCAGAGAGCCUGAUUAAUUGCUUUACCUGCCCCCCCCCCCCACACACACUUGGUUUUAUUAUCUCUCUUUUCAAAUAUAUAAUCAUUGGCUGUCUUUCAUCCUGAUCCGGCUCUCCUUCCAGGCCCCAGCUGUGUUUUCUUCAAUUCAGUGAAACAUUCACAUUCAGGUAAGAAUAAACUUGUCCUUCCUCAAAAAUCAGCUUCUCACCAUGAAGCUUUCUUUUUUAAACCAAUUACUAGUCUAGCAUAACGCAUCUAAUUGAAGACAACUCAGAAUUGAAAAAGCCAUACUUUAAUGUCUGUUGUUGGGACCUCAAGACCAGGAACAAAAAGCUUCUUUCUAACAGUUGGAUUAACAAGUAGAAAUAGCUUUUUUUCUGAAGGACCCAACAUUGCAUUGAAAAAUUCAACAAAAGGAAUGGCAUCAUAUUUAGUCCUGCUAGAAUUUUGUGCACUUAACACAAUGGUUAAUAAUUGGCCCAGCGGACACUUUGUCGAACUAUUGGCAACCUUGACUGUGGAAAUGCAUAUUUCAAAUGUUGGCAGGCUCUAGCUUCUUGAUGUACUGUUGAUAGAAAUGCCUAUUUCAAAAGUUGGCAGGCUCAAACUGCCGAGACUUUGGUUUCUUGCAUUUCAAACCCACAAAUAAAACUUUGGCAGAACCCCAGAAAGAGCUACACCUCCCAAAUUUGAUGACAAAUGAAGAGACCAUGCCUAGUGCUUAGUUCGGCAAAUGAGUAAGUUUGAAAGAAAUUAAGGGAAACCUUUCCCACAGAGAGUCAUAUUGAAGGUUACAAUUUGAAGACUUUGUCCCCUGUCGCCCACAACCUUCUUUGAUCUCUUUGCUUAGUCAUAAAUAAUCAAACAUAUGUUAGUCGUUGGAUGCAAUCCACUCACUGACAUCUCAUGUCCACAAUCAAUCAACCAUAUUUUAAUAGAAAUGAAAACAUUUUAAUUAAAAAAGAAUGAGAUAGGAACAAAAUGAAACUUGGCAGACAUGGGUCUAUGAGAUUUUAAAGAUGCUUGGUGAAAGUCGUAUUCAAGAGUUCAACAGUCAGUUCUAUCACCUAUGGCAAAGUAACCACCAUAACUAAAGCAAUUACAAAACAUCAAGAAGCUUGAACUUGGCAAGAGGUCUCAUUAACAGUAUACCUCAGAAAUUAAGACAGACUUAAAGUACAAGCUUUUGGAUUUAUUUAAACACUGAAAAUAAUAUGGGUAGAAGCUCCUAUGGUCACAGCAAACAAUUACAAAGCACAAAACCCAAAAAAUAGAUAUGCAAAAAGCUGCAAAAGAACAUUAUUAGCAAUUGACAUCUGCUUUGCUCAGACAAAGGUUCUCAUAACAAAGGACUUAGUGAUUAUCUUUCAUAUGUUUAUGUUAAGGGGAAAAAGGAAGUUUGUUUUAGUCAAUCUCAUGUCUAAUGGCAUUCAUAAGGAGCCCAAAAAUAAAAGAAAAAAUAAAGAGUUAGUAGGUGUUUCUCGCAGUAUAAAGAAAAUUUAUCAUCCAUGAAAAACUUAGUAUGGAAAAAGCUAACUCAUUUAUCUGCCAAUGGAGAAAAACUUGUUGUCCACCCACUAAGGACCCACCAUUGGGAGAUGGAUCCCAUGGAUGGGAACCACAAAUAUUUUAUUCUAAAUGAAAUGGGUAUUGUACCAUAUCAUUUAAUUUGUAGAUUCCACUGAUGGAACUCAUCAAACUUUUCAAAUGGUAGGUCCUUCAUGGGUAGGCGCAUCACUUCAGCAUCCUUCUCCACCGAUGACUAAAUCUGGACUCAUUUAAAAAGAAUACAAAGCAAAACUAAUUGACACAAAUUGCAUAGAGGUCUAGGAGCCAAAUCAAUGUUGUUAACUCAUCCAAUUAAUACAUUCUCUUAGAGGUCAUACCUUGGUAACUCAUUUCAAAAGAAAUUAAAAGAAAAACGACUGCACAAAUUGUACUGAGCUCAAGAAGACCUGUUCAAGGUGUUCACUUGUCCAACUAAUAAAAGUCAUCAAGGAUUGUAUCGGGGACUUGGGACCAAUCCUGCCUUAACUAGAGAAAGGGAAUUUAGGAUGAAGAAGAUAACCUCUUCUCCUAGAGCCCUUUUGGACAAAAAUGAAUUCCUACUAAUUCUGAGAAUAAAACCAUAGACAUCUAACUUCUGAUAUCUAGUCAAUCUGGUAAAAUCUUGUCAGUUGCACUUGGGGCAGAAAUUAGUUCCACCUUGGUUUACAGGACAGAAAUUCGUCAUAUGCAUGUAUUUAUUUAUGUUUUAUACACAAACGCAUACAUGUACACACAAACACUACCUUCACUUUGAAGAAAAGAUUAAAAUAACACUGCUCACAUACACAAUACUUACUAUUCUAGUUCGUGUAACUUUCUCUGGAGUCACAAACAGGUCACAGAAUUCACGUAUUAACCGCAUACUUCCAGUCAUUUCUAUUCCUCCUUCACCAUCACCUGUCCCACAAUUACAAAAAGUGAGAGGUAAUAACCAACAUAUUUGGGUUGCUCUUCGGUAAGGGGUGGGAGGUAAGGGUUAGUUGUGGAGGGCACCUGGUACAGAAUCAAGGCCAGCUGUUGGGAAUUCGAUCUCUUGUAACAUAUACUUGUUCAUCAUAAACUAUAUACUUAUUCUGCAGUCGAUGUGUGCAUAUAGCUCUUCAAUUAUCCAGUAAUAACUCACCAUCAACUUCCUACCAUCCUUCAUGGCUAAUUCAGCAGCCAUUUUUGCCUGUUUAAAGGUCAAAAGCCCAAACUAAGCAGAUGCUCCUACUCCGAUACUUAUUAUCUAACUACUACAGAACAGAUGAUACACAUCAAGUUGUAUCAAGAGAGACACCAAGUUGUGUUUUCCAAGAGGUUCCAAAGAGGAUCUGUUUCUUUGUGUAAUUUUUAGACUGCUUUGACAACUCAUCUUAAAGGUGCCACUCAUCCAAUAUGAUGUGGUGACAGUAGUUUAGAGUUUUAAACUAAAUGCAGAGCUAAUAGUAUUUUGGAAAUAUAAUCAUCCUAAGAUACUAUAACACAAGGAUUCUUACACAAAAACAACAACUUCGAUGUAGAGAGAAGAUGAUUUCACAAAAGCAGAUGUUUUGAUUUAAGUCUCCAAAACCCCCACCAAGAAAAUGUUCAACGGAUAUAGAAAUAUGAUCCACAUAUCUGUAACUUAAACUGUAAAAGUUGUUGAUGUUGUUCUAAAAUUGCCACAAUCUAUCUACCCCAUGAAUGUUUUUGGAUAAAACAAGAAGCAGGACCCAAUGCCUGUUUUCUAAUAGCUUCAAAAAGGCCAAAUUGGUUUUGAAAUGUCUCCAGCUUUUCAUUUAACAAGUUUAAGGAUCCCUUCGGCAUUGCAAUUGGGGAGCUCAGAUAUAUAAAAGUGCCUGGUAAACUCUUACAGCCGCAGCUUUUGAGCAAAAAUAAUUUUAUCUCAUAAUUGUUUGACUAAAAACAUAUAUCACCUUUUAUCAGUUUUGUAAAAAAUAUUAUUUAUAAGUCAUAUUUACCAAACACAGUCAACUUUUACAUCACAACUAUAGCUUUUUUUUUUUUUUCACCACACAUAUAUAGUUAAAAACUACAAGAACUCGAUAUCAAACAGAUCCUAAAGCGUAAUCUAAUAAAAAGGUAAAUAAACAAAUGCAGAAGCCAGCGUACUUGAUCAAGAAGCUCUGAAUAGUCACUGGGAAAGGGAAUAUCGACGUUAAUGGGGUUAUUGCCAUCGCUUGAAACCGAAUUGGUGAGACAAUUGCGUUUUCUUCUGUACGGCGAAAAUGUGACGAUUGAGUAACAACUUAUAUCGAACUUUAGGUUAAAAUAAUUACUAUGGAAUAUUGGAAUACGAGAUUAUUAGCAUUUGAGUGCUUGAGUGGGAAUCAAGAAAACUUAAAAUAGUUCAGUUAACCCAAAAAGAAAAAGGGGGGAAAAAACCCAUGGAAAGUGCGAUGAAUGUAAAUCCACUUUAAAACUUUAAUCAUAAAUGGUUAACUAAUUUUAAGUAAUUUGGAUUAACUUGACAAAUUGAAAAACCAUGCACUAGAGGAAAAUGUUCAUAUUUGGAGGUCCGAAUUUAUCUACCAUUCAACCCUAUUUUCAGCUCCUGCAUGGAGGAUAAGUUAGUUUGGUGAAUCUACCACUAGCUAAUUAGCUAAUUUUUUUUUUUGAAGAUAGCUAAUUAGCUAAUUAAGAGAGCAUUAACGUUGAUAAUUUGUCCUAUCUAAAAUGAAAAGUAAGAAAUUUACACUAGUAAAUUUUACACAAUCACAGUUGGAAUUUCAAAGAAACAAAAACGGAUCAAUAGUGCAAUUGUAAUUCAAAUUUGCACUUUAGGCCACACGUUCGGCCCAGUUCUUGUAUUAACACUUCAAUACUUGACAUGUGGCCAUUUUUUUAUUCGUCCACGUUCUUUGCAUUCUCAUGGUAGUACUCGAACAAGACAAAAUUUCACGAAUAUUCAGUUGAAUUGUUGUUGAAACAUGUAUAAGAAAUCAAAUCUCGUUAGUUUUGAAUAUUACCAGCAACUCAAAUUAUUUUAACCUAAAGUUCAAUAUAAGUUGUUGUUGGGGGUUAACGGCAUUUUGAACCACAAAGUAAAGAGAGAGAGAGAAGAAACGCUCCCCUUUCAAAUACCGUGCUCUUUUGUACCUGGGAAUUUAAUAAUUCAUGCGAAUAAAAAAAUUAUAAAUUUAGUAAAUUAUUUAUUAAAAAAUAUUGAGAGGUUGUGCAUUAUUUUAUUAGUAAUGACAUAGUAAUCAUCAAAUUAGUUGAAUUAAAAUAGUUGUUGACUCACGUAAUUUAUUUUUAUUAUUUUUAAAAAAAAUGGUCUGCGUUAAUAAGGUUAAGGGUGACAACUGGGAUCAAUAUACAGUUUAUUCGGGUGCUUAAAACCUAAUAAAUAUCCACUAACUCAUAUAUAGUUAAAAUAUAAUUAUUUUUAAAUAAAAAAUUUAAUAUAAACUAAACAAAUUGAUCGGAUUUUGUUUCUCAAGGUACAUCAUUAGAACGUUACUUUUAAUUGAACAAAAGCACACAUAACUAGCACAUUCGCCACAAAAGCCUCGGCUUAGUGGUCGGCUUAUUAAUUAUCCUAAUAAAAUCAUGGUCAUAAAUUUGAGUCCCCGUAGGUUAGGUAGCUUUUUUAGACUACACUAUAAAUACAUGUAUUUUACUUCUCGCGGGUAUUGCUUCUAGUAGUUAUCCAUCCGAGUAUAGAGCUUUGUAGCUUUCUUCAUGACCUUCCCCAAUUUCAAUGCUUGUUAAACAAUCUCCACAGAAAAUGUGAUAGAAAUGUCCCGCUGCCACUUGUUGUGCAUAGUCCAAAUCUGCAAUUUAAGGUCAUCAUUUCAUUUAAUUUUCCGUUAUAUAUAUUCAUCUUUCUUAGAGGCCAAGAAGUCUUCGACAGAAAUGUGAUCUUUUUCUAGUAGCCUCCCGGUGAUGAGCUUCUCCCAAGUUUCAAUUAAUUCGCUUUGAGUGAGGAUAUUUUCUGGUGGCCUCAAAUACAAUGUUUUGUUCAGCACUCGAGGAGCAUCUAUUCUCUUAAUAGUAUAUAUGGCAACAUCAUCGAUAUGCACCAUAGAAAAAAAGAUAAUCAUUUUGUUUAAUAUGAACAUAAAUUCUUACAGUCUAACUCAUAUUAUAGUGAACGAUGUUGUUGUGUGGUGCGUGCAUGCACUAUCUAUAGUUUUAAUAUUAUUAAUAAAGAGUUAAAAGUCUUGAUUUAAUUUUAAAUUGUCAUUCCUCUAACUUCACCGUCUUCAUAGAUCCAGACUUUAUCUUUUGAAGGGCGAGGGUAGCUAUAUUUGAGAGAGGUGUCCGGGGAACCAACCAGCAAAAAACAGCUAGCAGAAACAUAAAUGACAGGGAUUUGAGCAGCCUUGAUUGCCCUUCUCACACAUGUGCUCUGCGUUCUCCCUCUCGCUCUCACUCACUCACGCCCAAAUCUCACCUCACUCACGCCCAAAUCUCACCUCACUCACGCAUCUCUCCUUCUGACCGGUGGUUUUCUCUCUCUCGCCGUGGGUCUCUAGGCUGGCAGGGAUUUCUCGACUUGACUACUAAAACAUAAUCCAAAAACUACUAAGAGAUGUAUAUAUUACUCUGAUAUACACAAUAUGAAGAAACUGCAGUUAUAUUUCAAAUAUUAUAUGAAGGAAGAGGCUGUAUGGAUUAUCCAAAGGUGCUGAAAUUAAGAGACCCACACCAACCGACAGACCCCCGGUGAUAGAGAGAAAGUCGACCGUGAGAUGCAUUCAAGACGGGGGAAGAGUGAGAGAGAAAACUGCCCGGUCAGAAAGAGAGAUGCAUGAUUGAGGUGAGAGAUUUGGGCGUGAAUGAGUGAGGAGUGAGGGAGAGGGUGCCGCGUGUGUGGGAUGCGUACAGUGACAAUUUAUACUUACAUCAAAACGCCGAGUUCGGUGCCAUGUGUAGGGCUAACUGUGGUUUGAAUCUCACUUUGGUAACGGAAAUGACUUUGCAAUUGACAGUUUUUGUCAAAAGUUCGCACUGCAUGAAACUAGUGUUAAUAUAAUUUAAAAAAUUAAUUUCAGUAUUAAUUUUUAAAAUGUUAAUUAUUAUAUUUAUUUUAAUAAUAUAUUUAUAUUUAUAAUAAAAAUUUUAGUUAAAUAUUUGUGUUAAAUAGAAUUUAUAAUUAAUAUAAUAUAUCUUAGGUAUUAAUUAUUAUAAUUAUUCUAUAUGCUAUUGAAAAUCAUUUAAAUUUUUAGAUGUUUAUUUUCAUACUAAGUUUCUAUUUAUUUUAAAAUUUAGUUUAAUAUAAUAUAAGCAAGUAAAGUAUUAAAAUAUUUUUUAGUAUUUUUAAAAUAUUAAAAUUAUUUUAAAAUAUAAGUCAAUUUUUUAAGUUAAUAGAACUAAUAUUUACAGUUUAUUUGAUGGCCUCAACAAGCUAAAGCAGCAUCAAAAUUAUGUGGCUCCUUAUUUUAUUUUUUCCCUUUCAAAAAGGGAAAAGGAUAAGUUUGGGAGAAUGUUUAUAUUUUUAAUAAAUUCUUUUUUAUUAUAAUACUUUUUGUCUUUAUUAAUUUAAAAAUAUUGACUCUUAUAUUUUAAAAAAUAUAAAUAUAAUAUUAUAAUAAAAUAUAACAAUAUAUAUCAAAUAUUUAAAAAAAAUUUAUAAUUUUAUAUUAUAUUAAAAUAAAUUUUUAAUAAAUAAAAAUAAUCUAUUAAAAUAAAGUACAAAAAUUUAAAUUAUUUUCAUUAUCAUCUAAAAUAAAUUUACUAUUAUUAAUGCAUGAAAUAUAUUAUAGUAAUUGUAAAUUUCAUUUAACUCAAAGAUUUAUUUAGAAUGUUUAUAAUAAGUCCAAAUAUAUUAUUAAAAUAAUUAUAAUAAUUUACAUUUUAAAAAUUAAUACUGAUAUUAAUUUUUAAAUUAUAUUACUCUACCAGAAAAAUUAAACUAUUAAAUUAUAUCAAUAUUUAUUAAAAAAAUUGAAAUUAAUUCUUGUUAUAUUUUUAAUUGGAAUUUUUUCAUGUGAUAUAACCACAAUUGCUACAUUUUUUCCCCUGAAUAAAGAUGGAGUUAUAAAUUAUUUGUAUAAGUGUCUGUGUGGAAACUAAUGUGACAUGAAAGUAAUAGUUGAAUAACAAUAAUGGGGCUUUAGGCAAUUUUUUCAUGAGAUUUUCUUGCGAUUUCAACACUUAAACAGACUUGUCCUUCAUCCCAAUUUAUUUACCCCAUUUGGGCCCGUUAUGACAUAGACAUAUUCUUGUGGAAUGAAAAACUUCAUGAGAAGAAAUUGUUUUAUUAUAAUAGAAAAAAGUGGUCCAUAAGUCUAUUCAUUACUUUUUUUAUUCAAUAUAAAUGGCUAACUUUAAAAAUGGUAAAAAUCACAUAACGCGCAAGCGAAAUCUAAGAUUUAUAUUUUUUAAUACUCUCCAAGUCUCUCUUUCUCUUUUUCUUUUUUUAAAUAAAUGUCAAUAUAAAAUUAGAAAAAUUUUAGAUAUAAAAUUUGGCGAUGACCAAACAAAAAUUGUAGAGGAAACCUUGAUAUCAUUGAAAUACUGAUCAUAGACACUACAGUAUAAAUAACUUAUUGUGAUCCACUCAACUUGUAACACUUUAAUCCAUAUUCUAAAAUUUUCAUGUUUGUUAGGAUUUUUAUUAUUGAUACUACUGUAUCAAUAAAAUUAUAAUUUAUUCAUAUGGAAUGAAAACAUCAAGAAAGGACCUCUGAUUUUUAUUAUAACAGAAAAAAAUGGUCCAUAAGUCUAUUAAUUAUUUUAUUUAUUCAAUACAAAUGUCCAACUUUAAAAAUGGUAAAAAUCACACAAUGCACAAGUAAAAUAUUACAAUUACAUUUUUUAACUCUCUUUGAGUCUCUCUCUCUCUCUUUAAAAAAUAAACCUCACUAUAAAAUUAGAAAAAUUUUAGACAUAAAAUUUGACAAUCACCAAACAGAAAACAUAGGGAAAUGAAAAUGGAGGAGCCCUAUUUUCAUUAGAAUAUUGAUCAUAGAUACUAUAAUGUAAAUGAUUUGUUGUGGUUCAUUCAACUUGUCACACUCUAAGCCAUUUUCUAAAAUUUGUAAGGUUUAUAGUAUUUUUAUUAUUGCCAUCAUUGUAUCAAUAAUAUUAUAAAUUAUAUAUUCUAUUGUAAUGAAAAUUUGUGUAAUCUUAGGUAUUUAUUAUAUUAAAUUGUGUGGAUUAAUUAAGAAUAUUUUUGGAGACAAAAGAAGUGUGUGUACGUAGGAUUAAUGAUAAAAAAUUUCUAAAUAAAGAUGAUUGCUUCAUUGACAAGCACAUAUUUAUAUUCCUCUAUUAAUAUUUGGGUUGUAAACUCUAUAAUAAAGUUGGUUGGUGUGAGUGGUUCGGCACUCUCACUCCUUAAGAAAGAUCAGGGGUUCAAGCCUCGCUCUCGUAUGGAGUCACCACUUUGGCCAGCACUUUACCUCUUACGGGCCGACCCGAUGCGAGCAUGAAUUAGUAUGAGUUGUGGUACGGGCUUAAAGGUGCCUCCCAUAGUUUGGGCCCACUUAGGAUCACCUCGUGGUUCAAACAAAAAAAAAGUGAAUAUAUUGUGGUAAGCGAUGUGGGCAAUAUCGGUUGCGAAAUAUUGAGAGAUCAUUAAUGCAUAUAAUUAUUGAAGAUGCAUAUAGAGGGAAGAGUGUAGAUCUGGCUGUAACAAUUAUGAAGCUUUCCCCAAGUAUACUCAUGCUUCCUUAAUUGUUCCGAAGUAUUUUUCAUAGUGUGCAGAUUUACUUUAUGGUGUCUUAAUUCGUCUUAAAUGAUUACUUUAGUUGUUUUGGGAUUUAAUGUCAUUUAUUGUGUUAAUUUUAAACAAUAGAAAAAAUAAGUAAUGGUAACGAAAGACUAAUUUGUGAUAUUGAAGCAUACGGGCUUAACUCAAUCCAAAAAUUAGUAAGUUAGCUCAAGAGUUAAGAGUUGUCCAAAUCUUAUAUGCUGAAUCCAAGUUUAAUACACAAUUGAUGCGGGAUGUUAUUCCUAACACCUUCCAUCAUGCGUAGGAUUGGCAAAAAAAUUCGGGUCAGUCCCACCUAAACCUGCAGGCUUUAUGCAUGGCUCGCAUGAUGAAGUUACGGAUAUUAACCUAAAAAUUUGAAACUUACUAUGAAUGGCCUUGCUUAAAGACUUUUGCAACUUUAAUUUAUAACAAGUAUGUAUAUAUACACACACAUAAGCUUAGAUUGCAUUUGGAUGGCUUUUUUAAUCAAUUCAAACAAUUUGAAAUUUAUCGGAUUAAUCUGAAUCUUAUCUGUAUCCGAUUUUGUCCGCCCCUACUAUUUAUAAGCCCAGGUGACUCUCUUUUACUAAUUAAUAAGAGAAUUUUUGACCUUAUAUCCUUGCUGUGGUGUUAGACUGUUGGUCAUUUUGAUUGUUUCCUACCUUCCAUUUACGCCAGCUAUAACAUUGUAUUAUCACCAUUUUAGCCAUUUAAAUGAAAUUUUAUUUUUGUCAAAAAUAAAAUGACACCCUUAAAAUUAAAAAAGAAAUAGUUAUGUAGACCUCAAAUUUUUAAUAAAGAAUGCCAAUACCCCUUUUAACUACAAGAUUCUUAGUAGAUGAUAACUAAAAAAAUUAACUUCAAAAAUUUUCACUAAAUGUAAAUCUGAUUGAAAUAGUUUAAAUUUUUCUAGUAGACUAAUAUAUAUAACUUAAAUAAUUAAUUUCAUUAUUAAUUUUUAAAAUGUUAACUAAUAUAUUUUUAAUUUAUUAUAAAAAUUUUAAAUAAAUUCUUGGAUUAGAUAGAUUUUACAAUUAAUGUAAUACUGUUGAUUUAUUAAUAAUAUUAAAAUUAUUUUAUAUGAUAUUCAAAAUAAUUUAAACUUUGAUAUAUUUAUUUUAAUAGUAUGUCUAUUUAUUAUAAUUUGGUUUAAUAUAAUACGGGAUUGCAAAAUAUUAAAAUAUUUUUCAAUAUCAAAUUAUUUUAAUAUGUAUAUAUCAUUACAUUUAUUUCAAUAUCGCAUUUAUAUUUAUUAUAAGAUAUAAAAUUAAAGAGUAUUGCAAUAAAGUAAAAAAAGAAAAAAAAAAGUCUUAUUAUCCCUUAUUCACGAUAUGAGGUUCUAUAAAAUUAUUUCCCCAAACGGGUGUCCUUUUCUUAUUUUCAAAAGAAAAACUAAAGUAAGAAUAAGUCCAUGGGUUUCAAAAGACUUAUAGUCCUAUCCCGGAACCUACAUUAUCUGCCACUAUGACUAAUGACAAAUUUUUGGUGGGAUAUAGGAAAAUUGUCAAAAGUUCAUGCUGCGUGAGAGUCUUUGGUGGGAUGUGGAAGGAUUGUCAAAAGAUCACACCACGUGACAUAACCACAAUUGCUACAGUUUUUUUUUUUUAAAAUAUUGAUGGGAGUUAUAAAUUAUUUAUAUAAAUUUGCGUAGACUGAUGUAACAUAAAAGAAGUAGCUGAAUAACAAUAUUUGGUGCUUUAGGUAAUUUUCAGAUGGGCCUUUCUUUUAUUUAGCGACUUUAGUGCUUAAACAAACUUGUGCUCGAUCUUAAUUUAAGCCUAUGAUGACAUAAACAUAUUCUUUUGUGACGAAAACAUCAAGAGAAGACAUCUCAUGUUUUAUUAUAACAGAAAAGAAGUGGUCCAAACGUCUAUUCAUUAUUUUAUUUAUUCAAUAUAAAUGGCCAACUUUAAAAAUCACACAACGCUCAAGUGAAAAUUUAGAAUUACAUUUUUUAAUACUCUCGGAGUCUUUCUCUCGUGCCCCCUUUUUUUCUAAAAAAAUAAACCUUAGUGUAAAAUUAGAAGAAUUUUAGAUAUAAAAUUUAACAAUCGCUAAACAGAAAAGCAGCGGAUUGAAAAUAGAGGAGCUCUGUUAUCAUUGGAAUAUUGAUUAUAGAUAAUAGGGUAUUUUUUAAUUGAGUCCUCAUUAUUUCUAGAAAAAAAUUCAGAGACCAGAAAUUUACUAAAUGAAUUAAUUAAAUCCUUUCAAGUACAAAUUAAUAUCAUUCAAGUCCAUAACUUAACUCUUCAGUUAGAAAUAUUAACAACGUUGAGGACAUUUUAGUAAAAGAACAAUUGAACCCUUCCUCAUUCUUUUAUUUUUGACAGGUGGCAAUAGUUUGCUUACAGGUGGCAAUAGUUUAAAGCAAAGUCAAUUCACCUAACCAAGUUAAAGUUCUUUCAAGCGGAAAAAAAAAAAACCUCUAGAAGAAACUGCCGUAUUCUUCGUGUGAGAGGAGGGAUUGAGAGAACGUGGGAUGGCGUCAAAAAUGUUAUAUAAAUAUACUGUAAUUUUGACCAAAGCUUUGUUAGCAUUGGUUGAGUUCAAGUAUUGGAGAGAAGCCGAGCUUAAAGGUUAGUAACUCUAAUUUUUAAGUGAUUUUUGCAAGUAUUUUCUGAUAAAAUUGUUUCCAUAUUUAGUGAUCUUUGUGAAAAAUUAUGUUUUUCAAGUCUAUUUUUCUAAAUGACAAACUAUGUUUAAUUAUUGGUGGAUUUUUUUAUUGAAUGUUGUAUUUUGUUAAUAUACUUUUUUUAAUUUGCUCUUUAUAUAAUAAUUAGACCAAAUACACCAUAUUUAUAUAUGUAUUUAUUGAACUUAUUUUGCCUAUUUUAUAGGCUUUCUUGAGUUGUUGUAUAUGUACAAUAUUUCAUUUCAACCAAUUGGUAUCGUUAUAUUAAUAAGAUUGAAUUCAUUGUAUUUGCUUUUUUGUUCAUGUAAAAUUGAAUUCUAUGUGUUAUUAUGAGUGGUAAUUUUUAUAUAUAUUAGACUAAAUUCUCUAUAGUUGUUGGGUUAUUUUUUCUUUUCAGUUUUUAUUUUUAUAUGUAUUAGAUUGAAUUUUCUUUUAUACUUUUUUUAAUCGAAUUACAUGUAUAUUUCAUUUAGGUUGAGUUUUUUAUUCUUUGCUAAAUAAAAUUGUAUUAGUUUAGCCAUUUUUUGAUGCAAUACUUUUUUGUUUUAAAAUUGAUGCAGGUAGUCAUGUUACCUUUUUUUUUGUUGGUUAAAAUUAAUGGGGCGGUGUAUGAGAUAGGAUAUAGGGACCCAGAGGAAUAUAAGAUUAUUAGGUUGUUUCAUGAAAUUCUAGAAGUCAUGGUUAAGUAUGGACACAAUGAAAUGGAUUUGAUUGAAAUUUUUGUUGUGUUGCCAUGGACUACAAGUAGGCAGAGGAAGCUAAUUUCAAAUGAUAGUGAAUUGUAUUCGGUUUUUGAGGAGUUUUUUUACUAAUAGUUGUCAUGUUAUUGAGUUUGAGGUGCACACUGGGUUAGGUGGUCAAUCAUGUCAUGAAAGUGUUGUAAUAGGAUCUGAAAAUCCUGUCAAUAUAGGUGUUAGUAUGGGUAGUGAUAAGUUUGAAAAACUUAGUGAGGAUGGCUUUAUCGGAGGGCACUUAUCUGAUGAAGAGAAUGGUCUCUUACAUAUGUAUGAAUCCAUUGUUGAUAAUGAGUGGAAACCAAAUCUAAAUGGUUCAGUUAGUCUAAAAGUAGGAAAUACCUUUGAAUCUGUUGCAUUAUUAAAAGAGGUUAUGGUGAAAUAUGCAAUCCAAGAGGGUUUUGAGUUAAAUAGGAUUAAAAAUGAUGGUGUUAGGUAUACUUGUUGUUGUGUUAAUCCAAAAUGCACUUGGAAACUUCAUGCUUCAUCGAUGGUUGAUGGGAUAACUUUUAAAAUUAGGUAUAUUAAAGGGAAACAUGAUUGCCAGAUUAAAUCAAUUAACAAAGAUGCAACAGCACCUUGGAUAGCUAAAGUUUGUGCUGGACUUAUUCAAACUAACCCAGGAGUUGGUGUAAAUGUCAUAAGAAGUGAGUUAAAAGAUAAACAUGGGAUUGAAUGUGACAAACAAAAACUAUACAGGGCAAAAAAAAUUGCAUUAGAAAACCUAGGUGCUGACCACAUUGCUUGCUAUGGAAAGCUUUUGAAAUAUGCUCACAUUCUAAUGAAAAUGAAUAGAGGUGCUUGUGUUAAGGUAAAGGUUAAAAGGCCAUUGUCAAAUAGCCCAGUUUUUCAAAGGUUUUUUUUGUCAUUUCCUGCACUUAAAGUGGGGUACCUAACUGGGUGUAGACCUUUCAUAGGAUUGGAUGGGUGUCACUUGAAGGGGCCAUACAGGGGAGUAUUGUUAUCUGCUGUUGCAUUAGAUGAUGAUAGUGGAAUUUUUCCAUUGGCUUUUUGCAUAUGUGAGGUAGAGAACUAUGAUAGUUGGAGUUAUUUUUUAUCUUUGCUGUAUGAAUUCAUUGGGGCUGAUGAUCAUAGGUCUGUAACUAUUAUUAGUGAUAGACAAAAAGGUCUUUUAUGGGGAUUGGAAAAAUAUUGGCCUAAUGCUAGUACUAGAUAUUGUGCUAGGCAUAUCUUUGCCAAUUUGAAGUGUAAGUUUCCUGGUUUGAAUGUCAUGGGGUUAUUUUGGAAAGCUUGUAGGGCUGCAAAUCAGUAUGACUUUGAGAGGGCAAUGAGUCAAAUUAGGGCUAAAGACCAAAAUUGUUAUGAAUGGUUGAGAAAAAUACCACCUGCACAGUGGUCUAGAAGCGGGUUUGAUCAUCAUGUGAAAUCUGACCAUGUUACAAACAACAUGACUGAAUCUUUUAAUAAGUGGGUGGAUGAGGUUAGGGAUAAGCCUGUCCUAACCAUUCUUGAGCAUAUUCGUAGACAACUAAUGGUGAGAAUGUUGAAAAAAUAUCAGCUAGGUGAAACUUGGCAAGACCAUUUGACCCCAUAUGCUAGAGAAAGACUAAAUCAAUCCUCAAAUGAGGCAAGGAGAAUUAAGGUCUUUGGAGGUAGAGGGGAGCUGUUUGAAUGUUGUCAAGCUGGCUAUAGAAACAUCCUGGUACAUAUUACAGAUGGUACAUGUGAAUGUGGGAUGUGGCAAGUUAGUGGAGUGCCUUGCAAACAUGCAGUAGCUGCUAUUCUUCAUAAAGGAGGGCAACCUGAAAAUUAUGUGCAUCAUUAUCUGACCAAGGAAUCUUUUAUGAUGACAUACAUGGGGACUAUAAAUCCUAUUCCUGAUGAGUGUGCUUGGCCUGAAGUGGAAGCUGAACCUUCCCCUGAUGUUGUGGUGCCUGUGAAGGUUGGACCACCUGACAUAAAGGCUCCAGUUGGUAGACCGAAAAAGAAAAGAACAAAAGAACCUGGUGAGACCAAACUAACUAGUAAAAGGUUUACUAUCAAAUGUAGUGCUUGCAGAUGUCUUGGGCACAACAAAAGGGGUUGCCCUAAUUUUCCAAAAACCACAAGAACUAUAGAGGUAUAACAUAAGAGUCAUUUUUGUUUUUUAAAUUUCAUUUGGUGAAGCUAACAAAUAUUGAUCUUGAUGUUGUGCAGGGAAGCAAUAGGACUUCAUCAAGUGCACAGGUUUAAUUUAAUUAUACAAUUUUAAUUCAAAAGGAUUUUUUUUUCUUUUGCACUAGAUAUUGCUUAAAACUUGGUGAUAUUGGUUGUGUGCAACGAAGAAAUAAGGCUUAAUCAAGUGGACAUGUUUAAUCUAGUUCUGAAAAUUUAAUUCUAAAGGAUUUUUUUCGUUCUUUUUCAUUAAAUUGCUUAAAACUUGGUGAUUUUUUUUGUGCGCAGGCAAGCGAUAUCACUUCAUCAACUGCACAGGUCUGAUUUUGUAAUUGAAUCUCCUUAUAUAUGUUUUGUUAUGUUAUCAAAUGGAUUAAUAACUUGGUACUAUAUAUGUUUGAUUUGAUCAUGGAAUUAUAUUGAAUAGAUUGAUUCUUUUUUUUUUAUUAAAUGAAAUUGAUGUCUUUUUUUUUUUCUUUUUGGACAGCAUGGAACUAACCCACAAUCUCAAGAAGUAGAUGUCAAUGAUCAAUCAAUUGGCAAUAGUUCUGAACAAGCUAGUUAGGCUUCAAUCAAUGUCACUCAACCAGUGGGGCUGUAUACACAACUAUUGUGGACUGUACUUCAACCUCAAAAUGAAGAAAUUAUCACUGUUAACAAGGAGUAGGAUAAUACAAUUUCACCUUGGGUUGACAUUUAAUUCUCCAUUAUAGAAUUUAGAAGACAAUUAACUAUUUUUUGUGUUUAAAUUUCAGUUUACCUUAGUAUUGUUAAGGUAUUUGUUAGUUUGAAUUUAAUUGACUUUCAUACUUUUAAUUUCAUUUUUAGACCGAAUGUUAUUGUGAUUUUUUUAAUAUUAUAUUCAAUACAUAUGUUAUUUAGUUUAACAAUUAUUAUAUUUUUAUAGAUGUGAUGAAAUUAUAUGGAUAGCAAAUUACAUUUUCAUGUAUAAUUCACUCAAAUUGAUAAAUAGGCUGUUAGAUUGAAAAAAAAAAGUCCAAGGUUAAAAUUGUACUUUAAAUCACUAAUAUGAUUAUAGGGGUAUACCUGUCUUUUAUGUUUAACUUAACAUUUUCACUAAUUUUUUUAACGGAAGAAUUGGGUUAAGGGCUUGAAUGACAUAAAUUUACAGUUGAAAGGAUUUAAUUGAUUCAUUUAGUAAACUUCUGGUCUCUGAAUUUUUUUCUAGAAAUAAUGAGGACUCAAUUAAAAAUUACCCUAGAUAAUAUAAUAACUUGUUGUGGUUCAUUGUAGCACUCUGAGCCAUAUUUUAAAAUUUACUGGUUUGUUAAUGCUUUUAUUAUUGACAUUAUUGUGUCAAUAUUAUUAUAAUUAAUUUAUUCAUUUUAUUGUAAUGAUAAUUUGUCUAGUCUUAGGUACUUAUUAUAUUAAAUUAUGUAAAUUAAUUGAGAAUACUUUUAGAGACAAAAGAAACACGUGUAUGUAGGAUUAAUAAGCGAAGAGUUGUAAAUGAUGGUGAUUGCUUCAUUCAGAGGCAUAUUAAAUAAUUAUGGAGAGUUGCUCUAUUUCGGAAGCAUAUAUUUAUACUUCCCUACCAGGAUUUGGGGUAAGCGAAGUGCUUUAUGUAUUGCAGUAAGGAAAUGUGGGCAAUAUCAGAGCCGAAAUAUUAAAAGAUCAUAACGCAUAUAAACAAUUAGUAUAUUCAAGACACAUAUAGAGGAAAGAGUGCAGAUCCGGCCGUAACUAUUAUGAGGAUUUCCUCAAGUAUUCUCAUGCUUCCUCAACUGUUCUGAACUAUAUAUUCUUCAUUGUGGGCUGUUUUGCUUAAAUACCAACACAAUGAUUCAAUACUUCAAAGGUCAAGGAAAUGUCAAAAUAUGAAAUGAAAAUACUUAAAUAGCCUUCUACCUAACAAAACUUAGUACUUCUAACUGCCUUCGCAGAGAAUCUAUAAAAUAAAAAAAAAAUCAUCCAGGAAAAGUUUCGUAACAGAAAAACCGUCUUUCAAAAAAUAAAAAUAGAAAAACCGACUCAUUUAUCUGCCAAUGAACCAGUCGGGACUCAUUUAAAAAAGAUUAAAAAGCAAAAGUAAAUGACACAAAUUGCAUAGAUAUCUCGGAGCCGCAUCAAAGGACAAAGGUGUUAAUUUGUCCAAGUAAUAAAUUCUCCUAGGUCAAAAGCAAUUAACGAUGAAAACUUUCUUCAUUAAGGGUCUGGCCUACGUAAAAAAAAAACAGAAAAACCACCCCAAGGUCAAAGCACAACCAUAAGUUUUGAGUUGCAGUUUUUAAAUUUUUUUUAUAAUAAAUCAACGUGUAUAAAAAAUAGAUAAUGAUUUUGAAUAAUCUUUUUGAUAAAUAUAGACAUAAAAUUUUAAAAUCACCAAACAGAAAAACAGGGAAUUAAAAGAGAGCCCUUGUUUCUCCUCUAUUUUGUUUGUUUGUCCUCUAUUUUAGCAGGGCAGCUAAAAGGGUUUGGAAGUUGACUGAAUUUUAUGAGGAUGUAAAGCAAUUAGCUCGGCAAGACAUGUUGAGUGUGCUGCAGGAUUUAACUGUGAAGAGAAAAAAGAAUGAGCUGGAGCUUGUUGUUGCGGUGUGCUGGGCCAUCUGGUACUCUAGGAAUCGUUUGGUGUUUGAAGGAAAGGAUGAAGAUCCAAAAAAUUCAGUGGCCAGAGCAAUUGCUAUGGUGGAAUCAUACAGGCGAAUAAAAGUUCCAAAUGAACAAAAUUCUCCAGGCCAUAGCAGAAUCAGUCAACUAGAAUGGGCAAAUCCUCCAAAGGGGUGUUAUAAAGUCAACGUUGAUGCUCCAAUCAAUGUUUCAAACCAAAAGGCAGGGUUGGGGGUAGUCAUUAGAAACUCUGUGGGUAAGGUUGUUGCUGCAGCAGUCCAAGGAACUCCAUAUAGGGGAGAUGUGGCGUGUAUGGAGGCUGAAGCUGUUCUGUUUGGUCUUCAGAGUGCCCAACAAGCAGCUGUUUCCCCAAUAAUUAUUGAGUCAGAUUCAAAGGAAGUGGUGGACCUAUCCUUAAAGAAAAAGAUCAGCAAGACUGAAAUUGAGUGGAAAAUUGCAGAAAUCCAAGCAAAUCUGGAAAAUCAGAAUGUGUCCUCGCUGUCAUAUGUCCCUAGAAACUGUAACUCUAUUGCUCAUUCUAUUGCAAAGAUAGCUCUAGGUUUUGAAAGUCAAGUCUUUUGGCUGGAAAACUUUCCAGAACAUAUCAGGUGUACUCUUGCUAAGUUCAUCAAUUGAAAAGCUUUACUUUUCUCAUCAAAAAAAAAAAAAUAGGGAAAUGAAAAGAUCGUAGGUGGAAAUUUUUUUUCUGCGUUGUAUCUUCUCAAUGCUGCAUGCAUUCAAAUUGUCAUAUUGCGAAAAUCCCUUUUCAAUGUUUCAAUUGCAAUGUCAUUGCCAUUAUUCAUAGUGGCAGACAAUGGACAUCACGGGACAUGGCUAGAAGUCUAUGUUACGGCUUCUGUAAGUAACAGCAGCCAAUGGGGAACUUCCACGGGUGCUAGAGGAGAGAGAAAGAGGUCCCAAUGCAAGGUGAUGGAAAUAGGGAUGGCAAUUGUACCCGCAAACCCGCAAACCCGCCCAAACCCACCCGCCAAAACCCGCCCGUUGCGGGUAAUUUUACCCGUUGCGGGCGGGUUUAGUAUUAUAAAUUAAAACCCGCACAUGGAUGCGGGUGGGUUUGGUAUUAACCUUAUAUCCGGUGGAUACCCGCAUGGAUAUCCACCAAACCCGCAAUAUUUUUUUUCAAAUAUUUUUAAUUUAAUUUAAAUAUAAAAAUGUAUAAAGAAAAUAAUGUCAUUAAUCAAAUUACCAAAUAGACAAAUGCUCAAAGUUGUGUAUGUGUGUAUGUGACCCAUCUCUUAUUCUAAAGUCAUAAGCUAAAGAAAACUAAAGGCAUUACCCUUCGAAUUAGUAUUUGAAAAUAUUAAUCUUAAUUAUUAUUAUAGGCAUUGUGUUGGAUGGGUGCUUAUGGUGGUGAAUGAAAUGAAUAUAUUCUCUUGGAUCUUGUUUUAAAUGAUAAUAUGAAAUGUAAUUAUUAUUUUUAGAUACUAGUUUGUGUUUUUUAAAUAGAUUUGUGUAAUUUAUACUUAAAUUUGAGAAUUUGUAUUGAAUUGAUGUGGAAAUUUUAAUUUUUCAUUGACAUUGUUUAAAUAUAAAAUUGAGUAUGCUAUAUGGAAUUUGAGGUUAUUAUUAUAAAUUUAUAUAUUAAAUAUUUGUGAUUUUAAAUACGGAAACCCGCAAAAAAUCCGCCGGAUACCAUUGCGGGUUUGGUAAUUGUUAAAACCCGCUGCGGGUGGGUUUUUUUAAAAAAAUUAAAACCCGCUGCGGAUUGCGGGUGGAUUUGGUGAUUUAAAUUUUGUGCGGGUUUGGGUUUGAUAAUGGCAAACCCGCUGCGGGCGGUGCCCAUUGCCAUCCCUAGAUGGAAAUGGGAAAGUUCAAAGCUGUUACUUUCAGCUUCUGCACCGUAGCCAUGUCCCACGGGACAAGGCUAGAAGUUAUCAUGACCAUAGACUUUUCUAAUUUAUUUUUUCCUUUCAAAAAGGGACAAGGAUAAGUUUGGGAGAAUGAUUAUAUUUUUAAUAAAAGAAUUCUUUUUUAUUAUAAUACUUUUUGUCUUUAUUAAUUUAAAAAUAUUAACUCUUAUAUUUUAAUAAAUAUAAUUAUAAUAUUAUAAUAACAUAUAACAAUAUAUACAAAUAUUUAAAAAAAAUUAAGAUUUUAUUAAAAUAAUUUUAUAAUAAAUACAAAUAUAUUAUUAAUAUAAUUAUAAUAAUUUUCAUUUUAAAAAGUAAUACUGAUAUUAAUUUUUUAAAUUAUAUUACUCUACUCAAAAAAUUAAACUAUUAAAUUAUAUUGAUAUUUCUUAAAAAAGUUGCAAUUAAUUCUUAUUAUAUUUUUAAUUGGAUUUUUUUCCCGAGAUAUAACAACAAUUGCUACAGUUUUUUCCCAAAUAAAGAUGGAGUUAUAAAUUAUUUGUAUAAGUGUCUGUGUGGAAACUAAUGUGACAUGAAAGUAAUGGUUGAAUAACAAUAAUGGGGCUUUAGGCAAUUUUUUUAUGAGGUCCUCUUGCAAUUUCAACACUUAAACAGACUUGUCCUUGAUCCCAAUUUAUUUACCCAUUUAGGCCCACGAUGAGAUAAAUAUAUUCCUGUGAGAUGAAAAACAUCAGGAGAAGAAAAUGUUUUAUUAUAAUAAAAAAAACAAGUGGUCCAUAAGUCUAUUUAUUACUUUUUUUAUUCAAUACAAAUGGCCAACUUAAAAAAUGAUAAAAAUCACAUAACGCACAAGCGAAAAUUUAGAUUUACAUUUUUUAGUUCUCUCCGUGUCUCUCUUUCUCUUUUUUUUUUAAAAAAAUAAAUAAAUGUCAGUGUAAAAUUAGAAAAAUUUUAGAUAUAAACUUUGGCGAUGACCAAACAAAAAUUGAAAUACUGAUCAUAGACACUACAAUAUAAAUAACUUGUUGUGAUCCACUCAACUUGUAACACUUUAAUCCAUACUCUAAAAUUUGUAUGUUUGUUAGGAAUUUUAUUAUUGACAUUAUUGUACCAAUAAAAUUAUACUUUAUUCAUAUGGAAAGAAAACAUCAAGAAAGGACCUCUGAUUUUUAUUAUAACAGAAAAAAGUGGUCCAUAAGCCUAUUUAUUAUUUUAUUUAUUCAAUACAAAUUGCCAACUUAAAAAAUGGUAAAAAUCACAAAAUGCACAAGUAAAAUUUUAGAAUUACAUUUUUUUAAUUCUCUUUGAGUCUCUGUUUCUCUCUUUAAAAAAUAAACCUCACUGUAAAAUUAGAAUAAUUUUAGACAUAAAAUUUGGCAAUCACCAAACAAAAAAUGUAGGGAAAUGAAAAUGGAGGAGCCCUAUUAUCAUUAGAAUAUUGAUCAUAGAUACUAUAAUGUAAAUGAUUUUUUGUGGUUCAUUCAACCUGUCACACUCUAAGCCAUUUUCUAAAAUUUGUAAGGUUUAUAGGAUUUUUAUUAUUGGCAUCAUUGUAUCAAUAAUAUUAUAAAUUAUAUAUUCUAUUGUAAUGAAAAUUUGUGUAAUCUUAGGUAUUUAUUGUAUUAAAUUGUGUGGAUUAAUUAAGAAUAUUUUUGGAGACAAAAGAAGUGUGUGUACGUAGGAUUAAUGAUAAAAAAUUUCUAAAUAAAGGUGAUUGCUUCAUUGACAAGUACAUAUUUAUAUUCUCUAUUAGUAUUUGGGUUGUAAACUUUGUUUAUAAAGUGAAUAUAUUGUGGUAAGCGAUGUGGGCAAUAUCGGAUGCAAAAUAUUGAGAGAUCAUUAACGCAUAUAUUUAUUGAAGACGCAUAUAGAGGAAAGAGUGUAGAUCCGGCUGUAACAAUUAUGAAGCUUUCCCCAAGUAUUCUCACGCUUCCUUAACUGUUCCAAAGUAUUUUUCAUAGUGUGCAGAUUUACUUUAUGGUGUCUUAAUCCGUCUAAAAUGAUUACUUUAGUUCUUUUGGGAUGAAAGGUCAUUUAUUGUGUUAGUAUUAAACAAUAGAAAAAAUAAGUAAUGGUAACGAAAGACUAAUUUGUGAUAUUGAAGUAUACAUGCUUAACUCAAUCCAAACUUAGUAAGUUAGCUCAAGAGUUAAGAGUUGUCCAAAUCUUAUAUACUGAACCCAAGUUCAAUACUCAAUUGAUGUAGGAUGUUAUUCAUAACACCGCCCGUCAUGCGUAGGAUUGGCAAAAAAACUCGAGUCAAUCCCACCUAGACCUGCAAGCUUUAUUUAUGGCCAGCAUAAUGAAGUUACAGAUAUUAACCUAAAAAUUUGAAACUUACUAUGAGUGGCCUUGGUUAAAGACUUUUGCAACUUUAAUUUAUAACAAGUAUGUACACACACACACACACACACACACACACAUGUUUAGAUUGCAUUUGGAUGACUUUUUUUUAUCAAUGCAAACAAUAUCAAAUUUAUCGGAUUAAUUUGAAUCUGAUCUAUAUCCGAUUUUGCCUACCCCUACUAUUUAUAAGCCCAAGUGACUCUCUUUUACUAAUUAAUAAGGGAAUUUUUUGACCUCAUGUCCUUGCUGUGGCAUUAGACUGUUGGUCAUUUUGAUUGUUUCCUACCUUCCAUUUACGCCAGCUGUAACAUUGUAUUAUUCACCAUUUUAGCCAUUUAAAUGAAAUUUUAUUUUUGUCAAAAAUAAAAUGACACCCUUAAAAUUAAAAAAAAAAUAGUUAUGUAGACCUCAAAUUUUUAAUAAAGAAUGUCAAUACCUCUUUUAACUACAAGAUUCGUAGUAGAUGAUAAAAAGAAAAUUAACCUCAAAUUUUUUCAUUAAAUGUAAAUCUGAUUGAAGUAGUUUAAAUUUUUCUAGUAGACUAAUAUAUAUAACUUAAAUAAUUAAUUUCAUUAUUAAUUUUUAAAAUGUUAACUAAUAUAUUUUUAAUUUAUUAUAAAAUUUUUAAAUAUUAUCCUUGGAUUAAAUAGAUUUUACAAUUAAUGUAAUACUUCUUAUUUUUUAAUAAUAUUAAAAUUAUUUUAUAUGAUAUUCAAAAUAAUUUAAACUUAUAUAUAUUAAUAUUAUGUCUAUUUAUUAUAAUAUGGUUUAAUAUUAUACGGGAUUGUAAAAUAUUAAAAUAUUCUUCAAUAUCAAAUUAUUUUAAUAUGUACAUAUCAUUACUUUUAUUUUAGUAUCGCAUUUAUAUUUAUUAUAAAUAUAAAAUUAAUAAAAUUAAAGAGUAUUGCAGUAAAGUAAAAAAAAAAAGUCUUAUUAUCCCUUAUUCAUGAUAUGAGAUUCUACAAAAUUAUUUCCCGAAACGGGUGUCCUUUUCUCAUUUUCAAAAGAAAAAAUAAAGUAAGAAUAAGUCCAUGGGUUUCAAAAACUUCUAGUCCUAUCCCGGGACUACAUUGCUGCCACUAUAACUAAUGGAAAUGACAUUUCAAUUGACAUUGCCUUUCGCAACAUGAAAAAUUUUUGGUGGGAUAUGGAAGAAUUGUCAAAAGUUCACGCCGUGUGAGAGUUUUUGGUAGGAUGUAGGAGGAUUGUCAAAAGAUCACACCAUGUGAUAAAACCACAAUUGCUAUGGUUUUUAUUUUUUAAAUAAUGAUGGGAGUUAUAAAUUAUUUAUAUAAAUUUGCGUAGAAACUAAUGUAACAUAAAAGAAAUAGCUGAAUAACAAUAUUUGGUGCUUUAAGUAAUUUUUAUAUGAGCCUUUCUUUUAUUUAGCGGCUUUAGUGUUUAAACAAACUUGUUCUCGAUCUUAAUUUACUGACCCCAUUUAAGCCCAUAAUUAAACAUAUUCUUUUGUGACGAAAACAUCAAGAGAAGACAUCUCAUGUUUUAUUAUAACAGAAAAAGAAGUAGUCCAAACAUCUAUUCGUUAUUUUAUUUAUUCAAUAUAAAUGGCCAACUUUAAAAAAAUGAUAAAAAUCACACAACGCUCAAGUAAAAAUUUAGAAUUACAUUUUGUAAUACUCUCUGAGUCUCUCUCUCCUGCCCCCCCCCCCCCUUCCUUUUAAAAAAAAUAAACCUUAGUGUAAAAUUAGAAGAAUUUUAGAUAUAAAAUUUGGCAAUAGCUAAACAGAAAAGCGGCGGAUUGAAAAUAAAAAAGCUCUAUUACCAUUGGAAUAUUGAUUAUAGAUAAUAUAAUAACUUGUUGUGGUUCAUUGUAGCACUGUGAGCCAUAUUCUAAAAUUUAUAGGUUUGUUAAGGCAUUUAUUAUUGACAUUAUUGUGUCAAUACUAUUAUAAUUUAUUCAUUUUAUUGUAAUGAUAAUUUGUCUAGUCUUAGGUACUUAUUAUAUUAAAUUAUGUAAAUUAAUUGAGGAUACUUUUAGAGACAAAAGAAACACGUGUAUGUAGGAUUAAUAAUCGAAGAAUUGUAAAUGAAGGUGAUUGCUUCAUUGAGAGGCAUAUUAAAUAAUUAUGGAGAGUUGCACUAUUUCGGAAGCACAUAUUUAUACUUCCCUAUCAGGAUUUGGGAUAAACGAAGUGCUUUAUCUAUUGCAGUAAGCAAUGUGGGCAAUAUCAGAGGCGAAAUAUUAAAAGAUCAUCCAUGAAAAGCUUCGUAACAGAAAAACCGUCUUUCAAAAAAAAAUAAAAUAAAAUAAAAAUAAAAACAGAAAAACCGACUCAUUUAUCUGCCAAUGAACCAAUCAGGACUCAUUUAAAAAAGAAUACAAAGCAAAAGUAAAUGACACAAAUUGCAUAGAUAUCUAGUAGCCGCAUCAAAGGACAAAGGUGUUAAUUUGUCCAAGAAUAAAUUCUCCUAGGUCAAAAGCAAUUAACGAUGAAAACUUUCUUCAUUAAGGUUCUGGCCUACGUAAAAAAACAGAAAAAAUCACCCCAAGGUCAAAGCACAACGAUAAGUUUAGAAUUGGAAUUUUUAAUUUUUUUUAAUAAAUCAACGUGUAUCAAAAAUAGAUAAUAAUUUUGGAUAACUUUUUUUGAUAAAUAUAGACAUAAAAUUUUAAAAUCGCCAAACAGAAAAACAGGGGAAUUAAAACAAAGUCCCUGUUUAUCCUCUAUUUUGCUUGUUAUUAAAAAGGGAAAUGAAAAGAUUGCAAGCCGAAAUUUUGUUUCUGCGUUGUCUCUUCUCAAUGCUGCAUGCAUUCAAAUUAAACCUUACAUAUGCUAGCAAACUAGCUACUCUGCAUGUAAGUUCUCGAUAAGUCCAAAUAAUAGAAUAAUUGUAAAAUGUUCAAAUUCAGUAAUUAAUUAUACAUAUUUAUUUAUUCAAAAAUUAUUAUUAUUACUAAUUAUUGUCAAUAAUAUAUUAAUAUACUAAUUAAUUGUAAAAAAAUUUAUCAUUCAUAACAAUAAUGAUGAUGAUGAUAAUAAUAAAAAUUCAAAAUAUAUUAAUUAAUUAUAAUAAUAUAUUAAUUAUUUAAUAAUAAUAUAUUUAAAAUAUAUAAAUUGAUUAGAAUAGUUAUAUUAAUAAAUUAUAAACAUAUAUUAAUUAAUCAUAAUAAUUUUUUAAUUGAUGACAAAAUAGAUAUUUUAUAGUUUGUGAGAGGGGGCAAAAUGAUCAAUCUUGGGAAUGGGGGAUUGAUUCCCACCACCUUCCUUAGGAAUCAAUCUUCCAUUCCUCAUUCCUAAUUUGGGUGGUCCCCAUAGUUCUUAUUCGGAUCCCAGCCUCUAUUUUGUGAAGUAAACAUCAUUAAUGAUUUCGAUUUCGGAUUCCGAUUCUCCAAUCCAAGAAGUAAAGGCACCAUUAUUGUUAAUUGGUUCAAACACACAAAGAGAAUGUACCAUGUAGCUAGGCGUCAAGGUUGUGUGGCACAAGGUUGUGUGGCACAAGUAGGGAUGGCAAUUCAACCCGCACCCGGCCCGGACCCGGAUGAAACCCGGAUUUUCCAGUCCGGGUUUAACCCGUACCGGAUUAAAUAAAAUCCGGAUCCGGAUGUCAUUUUAAAAACCCGCAUGUACCCGGGUCCGGUUCCGGGUUUAAGUAAACCCGUACAUCCGGAACCCGGACCCGGAUAUAUAUUAAUUUUAAAAAAUUAUUUUUAAUAUAAAUAGAAAGCAAAAAAAACCCAAAUGGUGCCCUAGAAGCUCAUUACACUUUCCCAGCCGCACAAACAUUUCCUCUCUUAUUCCCUCUUCAGCUCAUCUUCAUCUUCAUCAAAUCAUCGUCGCAUCACUUGCCCAUCUUCGCGGCUGUUCAACUUCAACAUCAUCAUCAUCAUCAUCAUCAGCCGUCGUUUCCUUUCUUUUUCUGCGGCGACCGGUAACUAGCUGUGAUACGGGUUGAACGCCGCCUUUGCCAAUCGCAACCGCGGCUGUGUUCAUCAUCAUCAACCGCCGUCACUUUCAAGAACGAUACUCGAAAAUAUUUUGAUGGGAAUCUUGUUUUUGGUCAUUUUAGUAACAGUGUGUGCAAGUGCGAGUGAGAGAGAGAGAGAACGUGGCUUACUCGAUGCCACUUAUCAUGCUUUCAUCUUUUUUCAUCCAGUGCGGGGUCUGUCUUUGUUGGCUUUUUGGAAAACUUGUUGCUUUUAAUGGUGUAUUACUUCUUUUGAAUAUCCAAUCAAUGUAAACUUAUUUACAUUACCCCUCCAGUUUUCCCAUCACCAUUAAAAGUGCUUUGGUUGCUCCUUGACUGUGCUUUGGUUGCUCCUUGACUCCUGACUUCCUGCUCGCAACAAAAGCUAGUUCUUUAGCUCUCUUUACUAAUUGAACGAGUCACCACAUUGGGUUGCUGAUUCUGGGCAGCCAAACAAAAUUGUUGUUUUUGUUAAUUAGUUUCCAGAUGAAAUAAUUUUUCUUUGAUUUGCUGAAAUCCUGGAUAUGUAUUUCUAUUUGAUUUUUUUAGUCGAAUUUAGUUUUUUUUUUUAAAUUGGAUUCAUCAAUCCGGGUUGGAAACCCGCAGUCCGGAAACCCGGAUUUUUCCGGGUUGAACCCGUACCGGACCCGGAGUGGAAAAAUGCGGGUUUAUUUCCGGGUCCGGUACAGAAAAUAUUCGUCCGGGUCCGGAUCCAGAAUGACUAAACCCGGACCCGGACCCGGAUUUUGCCAUCCCUAGGCACAAGUAACCUUUUUCUUUUCUUUUUAUUUUUUUUUGUUUUCCUUAACGGAUCAGAAGAAAUCGGUGCCUUUGAGAUACUACAAUGUAAAUAAGUACUUGUGGUUCAUUAAAUCUGUAACACUCGGUACCCUAAGGUUUCUUUUGAAAAAGGGCUUUUCUCACUGAUCACCAAUAUCCAAGUAAGUUUGUUUCAUUUCAGAAGGUGCAAAGUUUCAAACUUUUUGUAUUGGGAUGUAACAAACUUUGGCCUUAUAUGCCUGCUGUGACGUUAGACUGUUCAUUUUGAUUGUUUCAUACCUUUCACUUGCGCGCACUGUAGCACUGUAUUAUUCAUCAUUUUAGCUGUUUAAAUGAAAUUUUAUUUUUGUCAAAAAUAAAAUGACACCAUAAAAAUUUAGAAAAAUAAUCAUGUAGAUCCCAAAUUUUUAAUAAAGAAUACCAAUAUUCCCCUUGACUACAAUACCCUUAGUAGGUGGUAAUCAAACAAAUUGACUUAAACUUUUUUACGAAAUGUAAAUAUGAUUUAAAUAAUUUAAAUUUUCCAGUAGACUAAUAUAUAAUUUAAAUAAUUAAUUUCAAUAUUAAUUUUUAAAAUGUAAAUUAAUUUAUUUGUAUUUAUAAAAUAUUUGUAAUUAUUUUAAAAUUUUAACUAAAUCCUUAGGUUAAAUAGAUUUUACAAUUAAUAUAAUAUUUCUCAUGUAUUAAUAAUAUUAAAACUAUUUUAUAUGAUAUUGAAAAUAACCUAAAUUUUUAUAUAUUUAUUUGAAUAUUAUGUCUCUAUUUAUUAUAAUUUGGUUUAAUAGAAUACGAGAUUGUAAAUUAUUAAAAUUUUUAGAUAUUGAAAUUAUUUUAAUAUGUACAUAUUAUUAUAUUUAUUUUAAUAUCCUACUUAUAUUUAUUAUAAAAUAUUAAAAUUAAUUUUUUUAGUUAAUAAAUUUAAAAAAUAUUAUAAUUAAAAAAAAGAGUCUUAUUGCCUGUUAUUCACGAUAUGAGGUUCUACAAAAUUAUUUUCAAAAGGAAAAAUAAGUCCAGGGGUUUCAAUAAAUUCUAGUCCUAUCUGCCACUAUAACUAAUGGAAACGACAUUGCAAUUGACAUUGCUUUUCGCAAUAUGACAAUUUUUUGGAGGGAUAUGGGAGAAUCGUCAAAUGUUCACACUAUGCGGGAGUUUUGAAUGGGAUCGGGGAGAAUUGUCAAGAGUUCACACCACGAGAAACCAAUGAUAGCCAUAAUUACGCUGUCAGUUCUUUGUUUAUUUAUUUUGUUUAUUUCAUACAUUGUUGUCUUGUUGGCAUUGUUUUGUAAAUAUAUAAAAGUAAAGUAAACUAUUAGGGUGCUGCUAAGUUAAACUGUUGUAACUUACAAUCCCUUAAAAAAUAAUGUAAAAAAUUUAACACGUGGUGGGAUCGACAUAUGUUUGAAGAGGCUUUAAGUUACAGUAGUUGUGACUUAGAAAAAUCCAAAUAUUAGACAAUAACACACAUUAACAAUGCAUAUAAUUUGGGUUUGAUUUUUUUAAAAAUUAUUUGAGUAUUAACUAUCCUUAAGAUAUUAAUGUGAAUAUAAUUUAAUAUUAAAUAAUCAAAAUCUGUAUAAUUAUAAUAUAUAUUUCAUACAUUGCAUGUUUAAUCAAAAUCGGAUUGCUUUUUACCUUCCAUUUACGCCCACUGUAGCAUUGUACUAUUCACCAUUUUAGCUGUUUAAAUGAAAUUUUUAUUUUUUUUCAAAAAUAAAAUGACACCCUUAAAAUUUUAGAAAAUAGUCAUGUAAACCCCAAAAUUUUAAUAAAAAACACCAAUACCCUUUUUUACUAUAGUACUCUUAUGGUAGCCACAAAAAAAAAUGACUUCAAAAUUUUUUACUAAAUGUAAAUAUGAUUUAAAUAGUUUAAAUUUUCUAGUAGACUAGUAUGUAUAAUUUAAAUAAUUAAUUUUUAAAAUGUAAUUUAAUAUAUUUAUUUUAAUAAUAUAUUUAUUAUAAAAUUUUAAACAAAUCCUUGGGUUAAAUAGUUUUUAUAAUUAAUAUAAUAUUUCUCACGUUUUAAUAAUAUUAAAGUUAUUUUCUAUGAUAUUGAAAAUAAUUUAAAAUUUUAUAUAUUUAUUUUAAUAUUAUGUCUCUAUUUAUUAUAAUUUGGUUUAAUAGAAUACGAGAUUGUAAACUAUUAAAAUAUUUUUAGGUAUUGAAAUUAUUUUAAUAUGUAUAUAUUAUUAUAUUUAUUUUAAUAUCCUACUUAUAUUUAUUAUAAAAUAUUAAAAUUAAUUUUUUUAGUUAAUAAUUUAAAAAAAUAUUAUGGUUAAAAAAAAGAGUCUCAUUGUCCGUUAUUCACGAUAUGAGAUUCUACAAAAUUAUUUUCAAAAGGAAAAAUAAGUUCAGGGGUUUCAACAAAUUCUAGUCCUAUAUGCCAUUAUGACUAAUGGAAACGAUAUUGAAUUGACAUUGUUUUUUGCAAUAUGACAAAUUUUUGGAGGGAUAUGGGAGAAUCGUCAAGCGUUCACACCAUGCAAGAGCUUUAUGUCACGGGAUGAGUGUUUUGCGCAGCUAACCCGUGCGGCACUUAGACAACUUUGCCGAAUGUUGCUAAGUAAGCCUAGAGCUUCUCGAACAAGAGAAGAGAGCAAUUGAGCCAAAGAAGAAACUUGUAUUGCACAAAGAGAGAUUACAAUGCUUGUUGCUUACAAAGCUUGUUAGAUACAAAUGCCUAAUGCCAUUCCAUAUUUAUAGGGGAGGCUUGCCAAGCUCUAGAGAUUCUAGAGAAUUCUACCAACUAUCUAGAAUUUACAUGUGCUGGAAAGUCAUAGAGAAUUCUAGAGUAUUUACAAGCUCACAUGUGCUAGAGUUUCCUAGAACUUUCCGGAAUAAGGUCAAGCUAGCACUCUUGACCUUGUGUUGGCUCUCUACCCCGAAAUUGUGGGCAAUUGGGCUAGUGAAUUGGGAGGUCCGUAACAUCCUCCCCCACCUAAGCUCGCGGCGUCCUCGUCGUGCUCUCAUGCUUGAAGCGUUGGAUGUGCUCAGCGAAUUGCCACAAAUCAUCUUCACAUUCCCAAGUGGCUUCACUCUCGGGGAGGUUUUUCCACUUCACUAAGUACUCGCUAUGUGCUGGCACGCCUCUCCUCGAAACCGUGCGGUCCGCAAUGAUGUAGUCCACAUCUUUGUCGAACGCGUUGACAACGGCAGUUGGUGCACGCCUUGAUUCUCCAAGACUUGGUUCUCCCACGUCUUCGUGAUAUGGCUUGAGAAGGCUCACAUGGAAGACCAGAUGGAUCUUGAGUCUUGGUGGAAGUUGGAGUUGAUACGAGACGUUGCCCACAUGUCGAACAACUCGGAAGGGUCCCUCGUAGCGCCUCACUAACCCCUUGUGAACUUUCCGCAAAGUCUUGAAUUGUUGGGGUAGGAGCUUGAUCAUGACUUGAUCACCUUCCUUGUACUCAACAUGCCGUCUCCUUGUAUCCUCCCAUUUCUUCAUUUUCCUCGCGGCUUUGUCGAGAUAGGCUCGCGUGAUAUCCGCUUCCUCAUGCCAUUCGUGGGCGAGCUUGUGUGCCGCGGGAUUUUCCCUCCGUAAGUCGAGGCUAUGGCAUUGGGGGUCAUGGGCUGGAAUCCCAUGAUGAUCUCGAAUGGACUCUUGCCCGUAGCCUCACUUCGCUGCAAGUUAUAAGAAAAUUAGGCGAUGUCAAGUAGUUUCGCCCAAUCCCUCUGAUGAGCGCUCACAUAAUGCCUCAAGUACAUCUCGAGGAGGCCAUUGAUGCGCUCGGUCUGCCCAUCCGUUUGUGGGUGGAAGCUUGUCGAGAACUCGAGAUUGGUCCCCAACAUCUUGAAGAGCUCCGUCCAAAAAUACCCAGUGAACCGAGGGUCUCGGUCGCUCACAAUGCUUUUUGGAACUCCCCAAAGCUUCACAAUGUGCUUGACGAAUAGGCGGGCUGCCUCGUCCGCUUUACAGUCGACGGGUGCGGCAAUGAAUGUGACAUACUUGUUGUAUCGGUCGACAACAACGAUGAUGCUUCCGCAACCUUCAGACUUGGGGCAGCGAUGUGAUGAAGUCCAUGGAGACACUUUCUCAUGGCCUUGUUGCUAGCAGUAGCAGCUCCAACAAUCCCGCUGGAAGUUAAUGAUCCACCUUGUCUUGUUGGCACACAAGACAAGUUCGCACAUAUGCCUCGAUGCUGUCCCUCAUGUGCGGCCAAAAAUAUGAGGCUUGAACUAGUGCGGUGGUGCGCUCAAUUCCUGGGUGACCAGCCCACUUGGAGUCGUGGCACUCCUUGAUAACUUCCUUCCGCAAGUUUCCCCACCUUGGCACGAACAGCCGAUCUCCCUUGGUGAGGAGGAUGCCUUCCUCUUGCCAAAAUCACCUUGUCUUUCCCUCGAGCACCUUCUCUAGCAAAUCCUUGGCUAGCGGAUCUUGUUGGAAGCCUUCCUUGAUGCGUGAGACAAGGUCGGACUUCGGUUGGCUCAUGCUAAGUGUCGCCAAUUCGGCCUUGCGGCUUAGAGCGUCCGCAACGACAUUGGUCUUGCCUGGUUUGUACUCAAGCCGAUAGUCAAAUUCCGCUAGGAAAUCUUGCCACCGCGCUUGCUUCGGACUCAACUUCUUCUGAGUUUGGAAGUAGCUUGUCGCUACGUUGUCCGUCAUAAUCGUGAAGUGAGAGCCUAGCAAGUAAUGUCGCCACACGCGCAAGCAAUGUAUGAUGGCUGUCAUCUCCUUUUCUUGCACUGUGUAGCGGCGUUCCGUAUCAUUAAGCUUUCAACUCUCGAACGCUAUAGGGUGGCCUUCUUGCAUGAGGACUUCUCCUAUGGCAAAAUCCAAGGCAUCCGUUUGGACUUCAAAGGGCUUUGUGUGGUCCGGGAGAGUAAGGACAGGUUCCUCCGAAAUUGCCUUCUUCAAAUCCUCGAAUGCGCGUUGGCACUCUUUAGACCAAUGCCACGUUCUGUUUUUCUUGAGCAUAUCCGUCAAGGGUGCUGCCUUGGCCGAAUAGCCCUUGAUGAAGCGGCGGUAGUAGUUCACCAAACCAAGGAAUAAGCGAAGCUCGGGCACUUUCGAGGGAAGUUCCCAUUCAAGGAUGGCCUUCACUUUAGCAUUCUCCAUCAUAAUCUUCCCGUCCGCAAUCUUGUGGCCAAAGAACUCCACCUCUUGUUGGGCAAACGAGCACUUCUCUAGUUUGAGGAAGAGCUCAUUGUCUCGAAGUACUUGGAGGACUUGUCGCAAGUGUUGGGCAUGAUCCUAGAGCGUGGUGCUAUACACCACUAUGUCAUCCAAGUACACGACCACGAAGCGGUUGAGGAAUGGUUGGAGCACCUUGUUCAUGAGCGUACAAAAUGUGGCGGGUGCAUUAGUAAGGCCAAAAGGCAUUACAAGGAAUUUGAAAAACCCGUACCUUGUUGUGCACGCUGUCUUUGGUUCGUCUCCCUUGGCGAUGCGUUCUUGGUAGUACCCUGAGCGCAAGUCGAGUUUGGUGAAGUACCGCACUUUGCCAAGCUGGUCGAACUAGUCUGCGAUCAAGGAAAUCGGAUACUUGUUCUUGAUAGUGAUCUUGUUGAGUGCUCUAUAGUCGAUGCACAUCCGCAGCGAUCCAUCCUUUUUCUUUUGGAAGAGGACCGGUGCACCGAAUGGGGCCUUUGAGGGGCGAAUAUAGCCUGCGUUCAGCAAGUCUUUGAGUUGUCUCCACAACUCUUAUAAUUUUGGUGGCGCCAUGCGGUAGGGCGCCAGGGCUGGUGGCUUCGCGCCUUGUUCCAGCUCGAUGGCAUGAUCUACCUCUUGUCGAGGUGGGAGCUUCUUCGGAAGUUCUGGAGGCAUCACGUCCUUGUACUCAUUGAGGACGACUUGAAUUCGCGGAGGGACUUGGCUUGGCGAAGUUCCGCUAUGUCCUUCCUCAUUUAGUUCUCGAAUAGAGACCAAGAAGCUUGGGUCCUUCUUGAAAGCCCUUUUGAAUUGCAUGGCGGAGAGUGUCUUCUCCUCGGACUUGCCUCGCUCCGUGGGUACCAUGCAUGCUUUGCUCCCGUCGAGAAUGCUUAGGGAGUUUGUAGCGGGCAGCGGGAAGGCAUGGACUUGGUCAAAGAAUUUCAUGCUGAGGACCAUCUUGAAGUCGUCCAUGGGCACAAUGGAGAAGUCAAGCUUUCCGCUCCACGUACCGAGUGUGAUGUGCACGCCUUGUACGAUUCCCGCAAUUGGCUUGGCGGGUGAGUUUACUACCUUCAUUGUGCCUCCUUCCUUCGUGGCCUUGAGGCCUAAGCGCUUGGCCUCAUCUACGGACACGAAGUUGUGCGUUGCUCCCGUGUCUAGCAGCGUGCGAACGGACUGGCCGUUUACCUUUGCGCUAACAUACAUGAGCCAUUUCUUGACGAGUGCGGGCUGUUGGCGAUUGAGUGCGCCGAGGCGUUGGAGAGAACCCAUGCUGAGUUGGGGUUCCUCCGUGGACAUUGUAGGGUUGCUCUUGAGUUGGGCAGCAAGAGCGUUAAGCGACCUCUUCUCCGGACAGUCGCGCACCCAAUGGGGACCAUUGCAUAUGAAGCAUGGGUUUCGCAGUUUUGGCGCCUCCUUCUUGCCCUCCGAUUUUCCUUGCCCGCUCUUGUUAUUAGGCGGCUUUUUAUGCCCCCAAUCUUUACGGUUGUUGCCCUUGUCCUUGUGACUCUCUCCCCUACCUUUGCCUUGACUAGACUUCUUGUCUUUGGAUUGGGUAGAGUAUUCGGUGAGCGAUUCCGCAACGGCGAUGGCGUCGUCAAGUGUUUGAACACCACACCUAUCAAGCUCGGUCUUGGCCCAAUCCUUGAGGCCAUCUUGGAAGUAGAAGAGUGAAUCUUUGUCAGACAUGUCGCUUAUCUCCAACAUAAGGGUAGUGAACUCAUUGAUGUAGUCCCGAAUGCUACCCGAUUGCUUGAGGCGACGUAAGCGCGCUCGCGCUUCCUUCUCCGCAUUGCUUGGGGCGAACUGUUUUCAGAGUUCUUGCUUGAAGUCGGCCCAAGUGUCGAUGGUGCAAAUGCCCUUGCCCAUCUCGCCAUGCUUGCGACACCACCAUAGUUGUGCAGCACUUCGAAGAUAAGUGGGUGCAGUGCCCACUUUCGAUGCCUCAUCUCGUACACCCAUGGCAUCGAAGUAUUGAUCCAGCCCGAAUAAGAAGUUGUCCACGAUUGUGGCAUUGCGUGUUGUUGUGCAAAUUUUAAUGUACUCGCAAGCGCACGAAUCUAUUAUAGUAUAGAUCAAUGGUGACGAGUGUCGAUCCCACGAGAAGGUGGAUUUUAAUUGUGUAUAGAAUUAAUUUUGCAAAUGGUUGAUUGGAUUUGUGGUGGAAAUGAUUUGGAAUAUGCUAAAACUUAAAUUAAAAUGGCGAGAAUAAAUUCUGAAAUUGGAAUUGAAAUGACGAGAAUAAAUUGAAGAGAAUUCUAUUGAAAUGACGUACUUGGGUAUCUGGAUCCGUAUCAACAUGCAUCAUGGGCUAAAUAAUCCGUAUUAAUGCCAAUUAAAUCAUGAGGGGGGAAUCCACACCUCAUGAACCACGCUCUAAUCAAUAUGGUGCUAAGGGCUUAUCGUGCCAAAUAAUAAUAACCUUGUACUAGAGAGCCGGUGUAACCAAGGCGGUAUCUAGACAAGAUCAGUAUUAUUUGUCGACGAUAAGUCAAAUCAUCCACAAAAACUAGAGGGGAAAAGAAAAUAAAUUUACCAAAUAAAGCCCAUGACACAUGUUGAGACUUCACCUUCAACCCAAGCUUGAAAGAAAAUUAGCCACUCAUAAUUGAACUAAGGGCAAAAUGGGAAUUUAUUAAAAUACAAAGAAAAUACAAGAUGGAGAAGGAAUUACAGAAAAUGGAUCCCAAAAAUGGAUUCAGAGAUAUCAAAUUAGGGGGGGGAGGCCCCCUUUUUAUAGAUACAUGGAGUAAAUCAUGGCCAUCGGAUUAAAAACAGUUUGGACGCUCAGGAUUGCGCCACGUCAUCAGUCAACAGUCCACGGUUUGACCACGCGGAUGAACAGUAACACGGUUUGACCUGGAUGAACAGUAACGCGGUUUGGUUGACAAUAAUCCUGUGUGAUGCAUGCACCGUACGCGAGAUUUUUCGUCCACUGAUAUGCUGCCACGUCACCAUCAACAGUACAUAAGAUUUUAGUCCAACAGGAUCGUGACACCUCAUCAGUCAAUGCCACAUCAUCGGUCAAUGCCACAUCAUCGGUCAAUGCCACGUCAUCGAUCAAUGCCACGUCAUCGAUCCGUCUAUGUGAACAGUGUCGUGAACAGUAACGUAGACAGUACCGUAUACGUGAAUAGUACCGUACAUGUGAAUAGUGCCAUUUUUCCUUUUAUGCUCCUCCUAAGGUUUUCGACCGUCCUGAGUUCAAAAGUGAUGUCCGUUUUGCCAUCUGAUCUCUCCUUUAUUGUGAAAUGACUAUAAUGCCCCUAAAAUACAUAAAAUACUUAAUUAAAAUAACACACACGUAAUUACAUCACAAGAAGGUUAAAUACAUAAAAGUAAGGGUUGUUAGUAAGACUUGAAAUGUAAAAUGACGGUUUUCUCCUUUAUAAAUAUGCAUUUUCUAACACUCAACACACCCCCCAACCAGCUUAUUGCUAGUCCCUAGCAAAUAAAGCGAAAACAAAAUUCAAAUUCAAAUUUUUUUUUUUUUUUUUAGAAACACUCGUGUUUAUUCAAUCAGAUUAAUGAUAGCAAUCAAAUAAAAGUAUAAGCAUUAUCUCCAGUCUAAAGCAAUAUCACACCCACAUCAACCAUCCACAUGAAUCGGCCCAGUAGAUUUUGUUAUAGGUACUUUCAAGAAUGACAUGUCAAACCCCAAAAUCUCACUGGAAGUAAUGACACUCUCACAAAUAAAUUAAACCCAAUAAAAAUAGUCACUCCAAUGAAUGGUAAUUGAGAGAGAAAAUAAUAAAGAAGUGAUAUCACAUGCUCUCACCAAGAUGAAAUAAAUAUGCCCUUAGCUUAGAAAUAAUACGAUCUCAAGUCAAAUAAAAUGUUAGUCAACCCACUUUAUAUAUCUUUUUUUUUUUUUAUUAUGCAUCACUACAUCUUUUUAGCCCAUAUAACUAGCUUCUACUUCAAACUAUAGUUCCCUAAAAUCAAGAAGGACUUUUAUUAGGACGUAACGUAGGCUAGGGAUAUGGCUAAUAAAGAAAGGAAAUAAGGAAAACAAAGUGUAUGUUUGAGAAAAAUGCAGAAAUAAUUUUUUUUUUUUUUUGAAGUUGCAAGGUAGAUUUCACCUAUUAUUGUUAUUUUAUUCUUUUGAAACAACAACUUUUGUUUUUAUUUUAAUUUUUUUUUUUACUUUUAUUUGGCAUAACUUCACUGAACAACAUAAUUAUUUACAUUUUCUCAAACAUAAAUAGGUGAUGGAACUUAAAAGACAUUGGGUAAUACUCCAAAUCGGAGUGGGUCAAGAUGAUAAGUUGACAAAGAAAAUGUUUUUUUUUUUUUUUUUUUAAAGGCUCAAAAGGGGUAACUAUGGAUAUUUAAUAACAGGGAUGGCUAGAAAGGCUCAAACGGAUCAAAGAUGGUCUUUCCAUCGUUUUUUAGGGCUCUAAAUAAUUAUCCAUAUCUACUAGUUAAAUGGGCAUCCCAAUAUAGCAACACACAUUUUUUUCUUUUUUCUUUUUUUUUUUACCAUUUUUUUUUAAAGGGUUAACUCAAAAGAAAUCUAGAGAUCGUGUAUAAAAUAAUAAACUGCUAAGUUGUAUAGAGAAUGGGCAAAAGGGUUACUCUCCAAGAAAAUGAUAGGCUCAACUACUCACUUGGCACUUAUUUAUGACAUGUUCAUUCCUUCAAGCAACUCAUAUUUGUCUCCGACAUCAACAUGUAAAGUAGCAAACAUAGCGUAACAUCACUUAAGACCAAAGAUAAUACAAAUACUAAAAUUUGAAAUUAAUCAUGUCAUCCAAUGUUAAAACAAAUAACACAAUUUUUUUUUUUUAAACAACAUUCUACCCCCCAACCUAUUCUAAACAUGAAAGGAAAAUAUGCAUGCAGAAAUGUGAAAAUGAUGUAGAAAAAUUAAUUAGAAAAAGAAAUUUUUUUUUUUUAAACUAAGAAGAUGCGUUUCUAGAGGCACUACACUCCAUAUUCAGCCAUCUUCGACUCAAAAAUUUGAAACUACAUAUUUAUAAAGGAGAAAGAGGAAGAAAACAGGUUUUUUUUUUUUUUUUUUUUUUUUUAAACGAUGAAGAUGCGUUUCUAGAGGCACUACACUCCAUAUUCAGCCAUCUUCAACAUAAAAUGUUAGCAACAGUUAGUUUCUACAACAAAAAAUCAGUAAAAACUUAACCAAGAUUCCACAAUUGUCGACUAUUCCCUCCCCCCAACCAGAACGAAACAUUGUCCUCAAUGUUUUAAAGGAAAGAAGUAGAGUUUAGAAGACAUCACCUGGGUGGUGCAACACAGAAGAAAAUAUUUACAGGCGGAGAGUUAAAUCUAAUUUGUACUUCUUACUGCGGCUACUGUUACCAUCAUUAUUUGGUCGCUCCAACACAAAGGUCCAGGGGUCUGGCUCCGGUUUAUAAGCUUGUAACAUAUCAAGUAGCUCAUUAGCAGUGUGAGCACAAAUAAAGAGUUUUUUCACAUUAGAAGGAAUGAAAUAGUUUUUUAUUGCAUGGUUAAGAAAUGCGAUAAAGCCAUCAUAAAAGUUAUUGACAUUUAACAAACCGAUGGGUUUCUGGUGGAUGUGCAGAUGGGCCCAAGAUGCUAGUGUCAUAAGUGCCUCUAGUGUUGCAAGAUCUCCUGGAAGGAAAAUAAAAGCAUCAGCAUGAUUAAGCAUUUCAGUUAUUCUUUCUUGCAUACCUGAGACGACUAACUCUUCUCCAGUUGAUGAGUCAGACGAACUGCCCAAUGGUUUUAGGAUUCUUGGGAUGAUGCCUAACACUUGACUUCCUCUGAUAAAAGCUGCUUCUGAGACCAUUUUUGAUAACCCUCGGUUACCUCCUCCAUACACCAAAUGUAAUUUUCUCGCUGCUAUGCUUCGACCAAGAUCUAUGGCUGCCUCCACGAACUCUUUAUGUUUGCCAUAGGUAAAUCCAGAAAGCACACAAAUGUUCUUGAAUUGUCUAUUAGGAGUAGCUGCCAUUGUGAUACUUCUCAAAAAUAAUUUGUGAGUGCUUGACAAAAGAUAAAUCACAUUUAAGAAUCUUGGUGACAGUGGAUCACAGCUGUGAAUAAGGUAACAUGUCAGUGUCAAAUAACGCGUAAAGCACGUGGCUCGCGAGUCAAAAAGGAAACAGUAAAAAGGAAAAAGCAAACAGUAACAAAAUUAUUAAAGACAAUAAUGCAAACAAUAAAACAACAGUGAAAUGAAAUAAAAUAACAGUAAAGUAAAAGGAUAUUUACACGUAGUUGCGACUGUGGCUCACAUCUUCCUCUGGUUUUACGUCCAGAAACGGCUUGAACGCCCUCUAUGGGUCGAGGAUAGGCUUCCUAUCCAGUUUUCUUAUAAACUGGCAAACAGGGUCGUUUAUAGUCAGAUUCCCAAGACUAUAUUGUGUAUGCUCUUUCUGGAAUAAUGGCCAUAACUGGAGAAUCGCUCCUUGCACAUAUCCACUGGGAUGCGUUUCAAGAGACAAAAGGAUAUCAUCCAAUGACUCCUUAUUCAAGCCAUCCCUAAUGAAUUGAAUCUUAUCUUCUCUGUUAUCAGACACCAUUCCUAAAGAACAUGGGUUUCUAUCGCAACUCAUUCUGGCACACUUGUGACAAGCAACAGAAAUUCUUCGAGCUCGUCGUUUUCUUGCGUAAUUUCCUUUACCACAACCAGGCAUGUAUGCAAUAAAUUUAGGAGGUAACUCACCUGCCAAUCGUACUUUAGCCUCGAUUAACCAACGGAUGUCUGCAGGUAUGUUAUUCCUCAUGAGCAAUCGCAUGCGUUCAGACCGGGCUUUAUAGAUUGUAAGGAGGGCAUUCUGAGGAAGUGAAGGGAAUCGCUUGUGAAGCUUUGCUAGAAUCUCGUUUCUAUCCAUACCUUCGCCUCAGAAUAUCAGUUAUUAUGGGAAACUGAAGUAACCGACUUGAUUGUCACGGAGUACCGUUAUCCGCCACUUCACCGGGGUAACAAACUAAAGCACACAAAUAGAAAAACAAAUCAAAACACACAAAGAAAAUUAAAAUCGUCCUCUUAUUGAAUUUACCUCAAGCUCCAACUGGAUGUCGUAAACACUUCUCUCAAUGUCUCUGAGUUGGCGUUCUAAACCCUCAACAUAGGCUACUAACUCUGGUGGUUGUAGAGCCCAAAUGCGUUGUGUUUUACAAAAUNNNNNNNNNNNNNNNNNNNNNNNNNNNNNNNNNNNNNNNNNNNNNNNNNNNNNNNNNNNNNNNNNNNNNNNNNNNNNNNNNNNNNNNNNNNNNNNNNNNNNNNNNNNNNNNNNNNNNNNNNNNNNNNNNNNNNNNNNNNNNNNNNNNNNNNNNNNNNNNNNNNNNNNNNNNNNNNNNNNNNNNNNNNNNNNNNNNNNNNNNNNNNNNNNNNNNNNNNNNNNNNNNNNNNNNNNNNNNNNNNNNNNNNNNNNNNNNNNNNNNNNNNNNNNNNNNNNNNNNNNNNNNNNNNNNNNNNNNNNNNNNNNNNNNNNNNNNNNNNNNNNNNNNNNNNNNNNNNNNNNNNNNNNNNNNNNNNNNNNNNNNNNNNNNNNNNNNNNNNNNNNNNNNNNNNNNNNNNNNNNNNNNNNNNNNNNNNNNNNNNNNNNNNNNNNNNNNNNNNNNNNNNNNNNNNNNNNNNNNNNNNNNNNNNNNNNNNNNNNNNNNNNNNNNNNNNNNNNNNNNNNNNNNNNNNNNNNNNNNNNNNNNNNNNNNNNNNNNNNNNNNNNNNNNNNNNNNNNNNNNNNNNNNNNNNNNNNNNNNNNNNNNNNNNNNNNNNNNNNNNNNNNNNNNNNNNNNNNNNNNNNNNNNNNNNNNNNNNNNNNNNNNNNNNNNNNNNNNNNNNNNNNNNNNNNNNNNNNNNNNNNNNNNNNNNNNNNNNNNNNNNNNNNNNNNNNNNNNNNNNNNNNNNNNNNNNNNNNNNNNNNNNNNNNNNNNNNNNNNNNNNNNNNNNNNNNNNNNNNNNNNNNNNNNNNNNNNNNNNNNNNNNNNNNNNNNNNNNNNNNNNNNNNNNNNNNNNNNNNNNNNNNNNNNNNNNNNNNNNNNNNNNNNNNNNNNNNNNNNNNNNNNNNNNNNNNNNNNNNNNNNNNNNNNNNNNNNNNNNNNNNNNNNNNNNNNNNNNNNNNNNNNNNNNNNNNNNNNNNNNNNNNNNNNNNNNNNNNNNNNNNNNNNNNNNNNNNNNNNNNNNNNNNNNNNNNNNNNNNNNNNNNNNNNNNNNNNNNNNNNNNNNNNNNNNNNNNNNNNNNNNNNNNNNNNNNNNNNNNNNNNNNNNNNNNNNNNNNNNNNNNNNNNNNNNNNNNNNNNNNNNNNNNNNNNNNNNNNNNNNNNNNNNNNNNNNNNNNNNNNNNNNNNNNNNNNNNNNNNNNNNNNNNNNNNNNNNNNNNNNNNNNNNNNNNNNNNNNNNNNNNNNNNNNNNNNNNNNNNNNNNNNNNNNNNNNNNNNNNNNNNNNNNNNNNNNNNNNNNNNNNNNNNNNNNNNNNNNNNNNNNNNNNNNNNNNNNNNNNNNNNNNNNNNNNNNNNNNNNNNNNNNNNNNNNNNNNNNNNNNNNNNNNNNNNNNNNNNNNNNNNNNNNNNNNNNNNNNNNNNNNNNNNNNNNNNNNNNNNNNNNNNNNNNNNNNNNNNNNNNNNNNNNNNNNNNNNNNNNNNNNNNNNNNNNNNNNNNNNNNNNNNNNNNNNNNNNNNNNNNNNNNNNNNNNNNNNNNNNNNNNNNNNNNNNNNNNNNNNNNNNNNNNNNNNNNNNNNNNNNNNNNNNNNNNNNNNNNNNNNNNNNNNNNNNNNNNNNNNNNNNNNNNNNNNNNNNNNNNNNNNNNNNNNNNNNNNNNNNNNNNNNNNNNNNNNNNNNNNNNNNNNNNNNNNNNNNNNNNNNNNNNNNNNNNNNNNNNNNNNNNNNNNNNNNNNNNNNNNNNNNNNNNNNNNNNNNNNNNNNNNNNNNNNNNNNNNNNNNNNNNNNNNNNNNNNNNNNNNNNNNNNNNNNNNNNNNNNNNNNNNNNNNNNNNNNNNNNNNNNNNNNNNNNNNNNNNNNNNNNNNNNNNNNNNNNNNNNNNNNNNNNNNNNNNNNNNNNNNNNNNNNNNNNNNNNNNNNNNNNNNNNNNNNNNNNNNNNNNNNNNNNNNNNNNNNNNNNNNNNNNNNNNNNNNNNNNNNNNNNNNNNNNNNNNNNNNNNNNNNNNNNNNNNNNNNNNNNNNNNNNNNNNNNNNNNNNNNNNNNNNNNNNNNNNNNNNNNNNNNNNNNNNNNNNNNNNNNNNNNNNNNNNNNNNNNNNNNNNNNNNNNNNNNNNNNNNNNNNNNNNNNNNNNNNNNNNNNNNNNNNNNNNNNNNNNNNNNNNNNNNNNNNNNNNNNNNNNNNNNNNNNNNNNNNNNNNNNNNNNNNNNNNNNNNNNNNNNNNNNNNNNNNNNNNNNNNNNNNNNNNNNNNNNNNNNNNNNNNNNNNNNNNNNNNNNNNNNNNNNNNNNNNNNNNNNNNNNNNNNNNNNNNNNNNNNNNNNNNNNNNNNNNNNNNNNNNNNNNNNNNNNNNNNNNNNNNNNNNNNNNNNNNNNNNNNNNNNNNNNNNNNNNNNNNNNNNNNNNNNNNNNNNNNNNNNNNNNNNNNNNNNNNNNNNNNNNNNNNNNNNNNNNNNNNNNNNNNNNNNNNNNNNNNNNNNNNNNNNNNNNNNNNNNNNNNNNNNNNNNNNNNNNNNNNNNNNNNNNNNNNNNNNNNNNNNNNNNNNNNNNNNNNNNNNNNNNNNNNNNNNNNNNNNNNNNNNNNNNNNNNNNNNNNNNNNNNNNNNNNNNNNNNNNNNNNNNNNNNNNNNNNNNNNNNNNNNNNNNNNNNNNNNNNNNNNNNNNNNNNNNNNNNNNNNNNNNNNNNNNNNNNNNNNNNNNNNNNNNNNNNNNNNNNNNNNNNNNNNNNNNNNNNNNNNNNNNNNNNNNNNNNNNNNNNNNNNNNNNNNNNNNNNNNNNNNNNNNNNNNNNNNNNNNNNNNNNNNNNNNNNNNNNNNNNNNNNNNNNNNNNNNNNNNNNNNNNNNNNNNNNNNNNNNNNNNNNNNNNNNNNNNNNNNNNNNNNNNNNNNNNNNNNNNNNNNNNNNNNNNNNNNNNNNNNNNNNNNNNNNNNNNNNNNNNNNNNNNNNNNNNNNNNNNNNNNNNNNNNNNNNNNNNNNNNNNNNNNNNNNNNNNNNNNNNNNNNNNNNNNNNNNNNNNNNNNNNNNNNNNNNNNNNNNNNNNNNNNNNNNNNNNNNNNNNNNNNNNNNNNNNNNNNNNNNNNNNNNNNNNNNNNNNNNNNNNNNNNNNNNNNNNNNNNNNNNNNNNNNNNNNNNNNNNNNNNNNNNNNNNNNNNNNNNNNNNNNNNNNNNNNNNNNNNNNNNNNNNNNNNNNNNNNNNNNNNNNNNNNNNNNNNNNNNNNNNNNNNNNNNNNNNNNNNNNNNNNNNNNNNNNNNNNNNNNNNNNNNNNNNNNNNNNNNNNNNNNNNNNNNNNNNNNNNNNNNNNNNNNNNNNNNNNNNNNNNNNNNNNNNNNNNNNNNNNNNNNNNNNNNNNNNNNNNNNNNNNNNNNNNNNNNNNNNNNNNNNNNNNNNNNNNNNNNNNNNNNNNNNNNNNNNNNNNNNNNNNNNNNNNNNNNNNNNNNNNNNNNNNNNNNNNNNNNNNNNNNNNNNNNNNNNNNNNNNNNNNNNNNNNNNNNNNNNNNNNNNNNNNNNNNNNNNNNNNNNNNNNNNNNNNNNNNNNNNNNNNNNNNNNNNNNNNNNNNNNNNNNNNNNNNNNNNNNNNNNNNNNNNNNNNNNNNNNNNNNNNNNNNNNNNNNNNNNNNNNNNNNNNNNNNNNNNNNNNNNNNNNNNNNNNNNNNNNNNNNNNNNNNNNNNNNNNNNNNNNNNNNNNNNNNNNNNNNNNNNNNNNNNNNNNNNNNNNNNNNNNNNNNNNNNNNNNNNNNNNNNNNNNNNNNNNNNNNNNNNNNNNNNNNNNNNNNNNNNNNNNNNNNNNNNNNNNNNNNNNNNNNNNNNNNNNNNNNNNNNNNNNNNNNNNNNNNNNNNNNNNNNNNNNNNNNNNNNNNNNNNNNNNNNNNNNNNNNNNNNNNNNNNNNNNNNNNNNNNNNNNNNNNNNNNNNNNNNNNNNNNNNNNNNNNNNNNNNNNNNNNNNNNNNNNNNNNNNNNNNNNNNNNNNNNNNNNNNNNNNNNNNNNNNNNNNNNNNNNNNNNNNNNNNNNNNNNNNNNNNNNNNNNNNNNNNNNNNNNNNNNNNNNNNNNNNNNNNNNNNNNNNNNNNNNNNNNNNNNNNNNNNNNNNNNNNNNNNNNNNNNNNNNNNNNNNNNNNNNNNNNNNNNNNNNNNNNNNNNNNNNNNNNNNNNNNNNNNNNNNNNNNNNNNNNNNNNNNNNNNNNNNNNNNNNNNNNNNNNNNNNNNNNNNNNNNNNNNNNNNNNNNNNNNNNNNNNNNNNNNNNNNNNNNNNNNNNNNNNNNNNNNNNNNNNNNNNNNNNNNNNNNNNNNNNNNNNNNNNNNNNNNNNNNNNNNNNNNNNNNNNNNNNNNNNNNNNNNNNNNNNNNNNNNNNNNNNNNNNNNNNNNNNNNNNNNNNNNNNNNNNNNNNNNNNNNNNNNNNNNNNNNNNNNNNNNNNNNNNNNNNNNNNNNNNNNNNNNNNNNNNNNNNNNNNNNNNNNNNNNNNNNNNNNNNNNNNNNNNNNNNNNNNNNNNNNNNNNNNNNNNNNNNNNNNNNNNNNNNNNNNNNNNNNNNNNNNNNNNNNNNNNNNNNNNNNNNNNNNNNNNNNNNNNNNNNNNNNNNNNNNNNNNNNNNNNNNNNNNNNNNNNNNNNNNNNNNNNNNNNNNNNNNNNNNNNNNNNNNNNNNNNNNNNNNNNNNNNNNNNNNNNNNNNNNNNNNNNNNNNNNNNNNNNNNNNNNNNNNNNNNNNNNNNNNNNNNNNNNNNNNNNNNNNNNNNNNNNNNNNNNNNNNNNNNNNNNNNNNNNNNNNNNNNNNNNNNNNNNNNNNNNNNNNNNNNNNNNNNNNNNNNNNNNNNNNNNNNNNNNNNNNNNNNNNNNNNNNNNNNNNNNNNNNNNNNNNNNNNNNNNNNNNNNNNNNNNNNNNNNNNNNNNNNNNNNNNNNNNNNNNNNNNNNNNNNNNNNNNNNNNNNNNNNNNNNNNNNNNNNNNNNNNNNNNNNNNNNNNNNNNNNNNNNNNNNNNNNNNNNNNNNNNNNNNNNNNNNNNNNNNNNNNNNNNNNNNNNNNNNNNNNNNNNNNNNNNNNNNNNNNNNNNNNNNNNNNNNNNNNNNNNNNNNNNNNNNNNNNNNNNNNNNNNNNNNNNNNNNNNNNNNNNNNNNNNNNNNNNNNNNNNNNNNNNNNNNNNNNNNNNNNNNNNNNNNNNNNNNNNNNNNNNNNNNNNNNNNNNNNNNNNNNNNNNNNNNNNNNNNNNNNNNNNNNNNNNNNNNNNNNNNNNNNNNNNNNNNNNNNNNNNNNNNNNNNNNNNNNNNNNNNNNNNNNNNNNNNNNNNNNNNNNNNNNNNNNNNNNNNNNNNNNNNNNNNNNNNNNNNNNNNNNNNNNNNNNNNNNNNNNNNNNNNNNNNAUGAACUAUCAGAAAUUGGGUAAAUGAUACCUGCGUCUAAUAGCUUAAGGACUUCUGUUCUAACAACUUCUUUCAUAUUAGGAUUUAACCGACGUUGCAUUUCCCUAGUAGAUUUAGCAUUUUCAUCAAGGUGAAUGUAAUGCAUGCAGUCUACUGGAUUUAUACCUUUGAUGUCUGCUAUGGUCCAUCCUAAUGCCCCUUUGUGCUCUUUUAAAACAUCCAACAACUUACCUUUUUGUUCGUCAUUUAGGGAUGAUGAGAUGAUUACCGGCAGAGUACUUUCUUCUCCCAAAAAUGCAUAUUCCAGAGUGUUGGGUAAUGGUUUGAGCUCGAGUUUCGGUGGUGAUUCUGAUGAUGGAAUGAGUUUCUUCUCUGAUGGUGCUAGUUGUUCAACUCUUGACUUCCAUUUAUUAGUGUCCAUGGAUGGUGCUGAGUCAAGUAGGGCGUUGACCUCUUCGACCGAUCUGUCAAUAUCAAAAUCCAAACCAAAGUGAGUUAAACAUGUUUGUAAAGGAUCAUCACUAAGGUUUGAAAGAAAAGUAUUAUCAACUAUUGUUUCUAUUAAAUCCACAUCAACAAUUCCAUCAUCUGCACUGUGAGGUUGUUUGGCAAUGUUGAAGAUGUUUAGCUCCAUAGUCAUGUUGCCGAAGGACAAUUGCAUAUUUCCGGUCCUACAUUGAAUAUGAGCAUCUGCAGUUGCCAAGAAAGGUCGGCCUAGAAUAAUGGGGAUGUGCUUCCUUGAGUCCUGUAUUGGUUGAGUGUCAAUUACAAUGAAAUCAACAGGAAAAUAAAACUUGUCUACCUGGAUAAGCACGUCCUCCACAAAACCACGAGGUAUUUUUGUGGACCGAUCUGCAAGUUGUAACACCACUGGAGUUGGGUGUAAUUCUCCCAGUCCAAGUUUCACGAAUACAGAGUAAGGCAACAAAUUUACACUAGCUCCUAAAUCCAACAAAGCAUUCUCAAUUGUGUGGUUCCCUAUACUACAUGAGAUAGUGGGGGAGCCUGGGUCUUUGCAUUUUAAAGGAAUUUUAUGUUGGAGUAUAGAACUAACGUUUUCUGUUAAAAAUGCCUUCUUUUGAACAUGCAUAUUUCUCUUUUUAGUACAAAGGUCUUUAAGAAACUUGGCAUAAGAUGGAACUUGCUUUAUAGCAUCAAGUAAAGGGAUGUUAACACUUACCUGUUUGAAGAUUUCGAGAAUCUCACCUGUGGAUUUUCCUUUCUUGCCUUUCGCUAACCUCUGAGGAAAUGGAGCUUUCGGAACGUAUUCUCGUGGGUUGGUUUCUUCUUUCUCCUCCGGUGGUGAGUCUUCAACAUUCACAGGUACAAUUUGAUUUUCUUUUGUCACCGGCAUCUCCACUUUGUUGUCGACUUCCUUUCCUUUUCGCAAGGUCAUGACUGCUUUGACCUCUCCAUGCUGUUGUGGUGAACUGGUACUUGCUUCAUGUACUCCUUUAGGAUUAGGCACUGGUUGACUUGGAAAUUUUCCUUUCUCAACAGUCAUUGCCAAGGUCUGAACUGAAGAAGCAAGUUGUCCCACCAUCUUCUCGAGGCUUGAAACUGAUUGAGCUUGUGAGUUGAAGCCUGCUCUCAACUCAUUUCGUAGUCCAUCAAUGGUGCGGUUCUGUUGCUCAAUCGUAGAGUGAGUAGCAUUCUUGAAAUUCUGGAAUGAAUCCUCCCAUGGUCUGGGUUGAGAGUAGUUUUGGUUCUGAUUGAAUGGUCUAAAUGGGGGCUGAGAGGCUUGAGGAUUUUGAGGAAUUUGUUGCAUUGGUGGAGCUGCUGGUCCAUUCUGUUGGAAUCCUUGAGACCAUGAAAAAUUGGGGUGGUCUCUCCAUCCAGGAUUAUAUGUGUUGGAGUAUGGGUUGUAAUUCGAUGGUUUUCUCAUUACACCUAUGGCAUUGGCUUGAUCUGAGUAUGAGUCAUGGUCAUGUGAUUCUGUUGAUUUAGCAGUCGAUAACGAUGCUAUUUGUCGAGCAAGACCUUCAACCAUCUCCUUGACUUCUUUGAUUUCCGAAGUUGACUCGCCAAUUUGAACCUCAUUUACUCCCUUAAUUCUUCUAGUAUUCCUGAGUGAUCGACUCCGUUGUUGGGAAUUAUCCGCUUGUCGCUGGAAGAAUUCCCAAAUCUCUGAUGCACUUUUUGACAUUAGCUCUCCUCCACUUGUUGCCAUUAGCCAUUCUUGCACAUUUGGUAGUAAUCCCUCCAAAAAGUAUUGACAUUGGUGCCAUUUUUCGUACCCAUGAUGUGGACACUUCAAGAGUAGCCCAUUGAAUCGCUCCCAUGUUUCGAAAAACUGCUCGUCCUCUCUCUGUGUAAACUCUGAAAUUUCCCUGCGAAUAGCAUUGGUUUUAUGCACUGGGAAAUAUUUAUUCAAAAAUUUUGUAACCAUUUGUUCCCAUGAUGCAAUGCUAUUAGCAGGCAAUGUAUUAAGCCAUGAACGAGCUCUAUCCUUUAAAGAAAAUGGGAAUAAUCUGAGUUUAACAUCAUCGUCUGAAAAAUUCUCAUAUUUGAAUGUUUGACAAAUGGCAUGAAAAUCAUUCAAAUGAUUAUAUGGGUCCUCAUUUUCUAAGCCAUAGAAUGUGGGGAGACAAUUUAGCACACUAGGUUUUAAUUCAAAACUCCUAGCAGCUACAUUUGGGUAUCUUAUGCAUGACGUGCUCAAAUUAGCUAAGGGACUAAAAUAGUCCUUAAAUGGCCUCUCCUGUGGUGCUUGUAAAUCUAUUUUAUUUUUAACGUGUUUGUGUGUGCGAAGUGUUUUUUCUAAUUCAAGGUCUAUAGGUUCAAGAUUUGGUAAUAAUGACCUACGACCAUGCAUGCAAAAUAAAUAAAAUAAAAAUAAAGAUGGGAACAAAAACAAAUAAAAAUAAAGAAGAGGGAGAAAUUACGAUACUAACCUUAUUGCGCUAUUACAACCUUUCUAUAAAAAUACACAAAAACAAAUACGUGAAAUAAAUUAACUAAAAAUUAAAUUAAUAAAAUAAACAAAAAUUACAAAGAAAAAAAAUUAAAAAUUAAAUUACAGAAUUUUAAAGAAGAGAAAAAGAAAAGAAAUAAUAACCUUUAAAUGUAGAUUUACUUUUUUUUUUAAUAAAAAAUACAAGAAAACAAAUAAAAGAAAUUAUUCACAAAAAUUAAUUCUAUGAAUUAAAAUUACUUACCUCCCCAGCAACGGCGCCAAAAACUUGUUGUGCAAAUUUUAAUGUACUCGCAAGCGCACGAAUCUAUUAUAGUAUAGAUCAAUGGUGACGAGUGUCGAUCCCACGAGGAGGUGGAUUUUAAUUGUGUAUAGAAUUAAUUUUGCAAAUGGUUGAUUGGAUCUGUGGUGGAAAUGAUUUGGAAUAUGCUAAAACUUAAAUUAAAAUGGCGAGAAUAAAUUCUGAAAUUGGAAUUGAAAUGACGAGAAUAAAUUGAAGAGAAUUCUAUUGAAAUGACGUACUUGGGUAUCUGGAUCCGUAUCAACAUGCAUCAUGGGCUAAAUAAUCCGUAUUAAUGCCAAUUAAAUCAUGAGGGGGGAAUCCACACCUCAUGAACCACGCUCUAAUCAAUAUGGUGCUAAGGGCUUAUCGUGCCAAAUAAUAAUAACCUUGUACUAGAGAGCCGGUGUAACCAAGGCGGUAUCUAGACAAGAUCAGUAUUAUUUGUCGACGAUAAGUCAAAUCAUCCACAAAAACUAGAGGGGAAAAGAAAAUAAAUUUACCAAAUAAAGCUCAUGACACAUGUUGAGACUUCACCUUCAACCCAAGCUUGAAAGAAAAUUAGCCACUCAUAAUUGAACUAAGGGCAAAAUGGGAAUUUAUUAAAAUACAAAGAAAAUACAAGAUGGAGAAGGAAUUACAGAAAAUGGAUCCCAAAAAUGGAUUCAAAGAUAUCAAAUUAGGGGGGGAGGCCCCCUUUUUAUAGAUACAUGGAGUAAAUCAUGGCCAUCGGAUUAAAAACAGUUUGGACGCUCAGGAUUGCGCCACGUCAUCAGUCAACAGUCCACGGUUUGACCACGCGGAUGAACAGUAACACGGUUUGACCCGGAUGAACAGUAACACGGUUUGGUUGACAAUAAUCCUGUGUGAUGCAUGCACCGUACGCGAGAUUUUUCGUCCACUGAUAUGCUGCCACGUCACCAUCAACAGUACAUAAGAUUUUAGUCCAACAGGAUCGUGACACCUCAUCAGUCAAUGCCACAUCAUCGGUCAAUGCCACAUCAUCGGUCAAUGCCACGUCAUCGAUCAAUGCCACGUCAUCGAUCCGUCUAUGUGAACAGUGUCGUGAACAGUAACGUAGACAGUACCGUAUACGUGAAUAGUACCGUACAUGUGAAUAGUGCCAUUUUUCCUUUUAUGCUCCUCCUAAGGUUUUCGACCGUCCUGAGUUCAAAAGUGAUGUCCGUUUUGCCAUCUGAUCUCUCCUUUAUUGUGAAAUGACUAUAAUGCCCCUAAAAUACAUAAAAUACUUAAUUAAAAUAACACACACGUAAUUACAUCACAAGAAGGUUAAAUACAUAAAAGUAAGGGUUGUUAGUAAGACUUGAAAUGUAAAAUGACGGUUUUCUCCUUUAUAAAUAUGCAUUUUCUAACACUCAACNNNNNNNNNNNNNNNNNNNNNNNNNNNNNNNNNNNNNNNNNNNNNNNNNNNNNNNNNNNNNNNNNNNNNNNNNNNNNNNNNNNNNNNNNNNNNNNNNNNNCACUGGAGUUUGCGGAAGCUGGACUUGCGGAGAGUGUGCGAUUGUUCCAUGCCCAAUCCGAGCGGACUUCAUCCACUUCCGCACGGACAACGUGUAGUUCGUCCUGAACAAAACUACGAAGUUUUAGCAACUCAUCAUGGAAAGAUCAAAACUCACCUCAGAGAGUGUUCGCUUACUCAUGGAUGAGAGCUUUUGUGGCCACCGUGAACUCGGCGUAUUCUCCCUUGAGACCGUCCACUCUUCCUUCCAAUCCCUCGAGGCUUUCUUGAGCGGCGGACAAUGCGAUUUCGAGAGUGCCUACACGAGGCUCCAACGCAUCCACGGAUGGGGCCUUGGACUUGCCGCGAAUCUUGCCUUGGGCGCGUUCUCCCUCUCGGCCGCGGCUUGGUUCCGGUGGAACAUCCACACCAACAACACCCUCUUAUGCUACGUUCGAAGGGUUGGCCAUUGCUUCGUGAGCUAACUUGUGUGCGUGCAAACCUUAGCUCUGAUACCACUUGUCACGGGAUGAGUGUUUUGCGCAGCUAACCCGUGCGGCACUUAGACAACUUUGCCGAUUGUUGCUAAGUAAGCCUAGAGCUUCUCGAACAAGAGAAGAGAGCAAUUGAGCCAAAGAAGAAACUUGUAUUGCACAAAGAGAGAUUACAAUGCUUGUUGCUUACAAAGCUUGUUAGAUACAAAUGCCUAAUGCCAUCCCAUAUUUAUAAGGGAGACUUGCCAAGCUCUAGAGAUUCUAGAGAAUUCUACCCACUAUCUAGAAUUUACAUGUGCUGGAAAGUCAUAGAGAAUUCUAGAGUAUUUACAAGCUCACAUGUGCUAGAGUUUCCUAGAACUUUCCGGAAUUGGGUCAAGCUAGCACUCUUGGCCUUGUGUUGGCUCUCUAGCCCGAAAUUGUGGGCAAUUGGGCUAGUGAAUUGGGCGGUCCGCAACAUUUAGGUGGGAUAUGGGAGAAUUGUCAAGAGUUCACACCAAGAGAAAUUAAUGAUAGGCCUAAUUUCGUUGUCAAUUCUUUAUUUAUUUAUUUUAUUUUUUUAUACAUUAUUGUCUUGUUGGCAUUGUUUUGUAAAGAUAUAAAAGUACAAGUAAAAUAUUAGGGGAAGUAAAGUAAAAUAUUGGAGGUGUUGCUAAGUUACAGCUGCCGUAACUUACAGUUCCUUAAAAAAUAAUGUAAAAAAUUUAACACGUGGUGGGACCCACAUUAUGUUUGAAGAGGCCGUAAGUUAUAGCAGUUGUAAAUUAGUAAAAUCCAAAUAUUAGACAAUAAUACACAUUAACAAUGCAUAUAAUUUGAGUUUGAUUUUUAAAAAAAUUAUGUGAGUAUUACCUAUCCUUAAGACAUUAAUGAGAAUAUAUUUUAAUUUUAAAUAAUCAAAAUCUGUUUAAUCAUAAUAUGUAAUUCAUACAUUGCAUGUUAGAUUUGUUUGGAUUUUAAGUUGUUGCUAAUAAAUAUUUAUGUUGUGAAAGUCGAAUUCAAUAGCUACAAAAGCAGAGAUAAUGGUAUUUUAUGUAGUUUUUAAGAAUACAAGGAUAAGACCAUAACGCAUGAGAUAGUGUUAUUUUAUAUUAAAAGACCAUAACACAUGUAUUUGAGCCAUUUAUAUUGAGGACACAUAUAGAGCGAAAAGUGCAGAUCCGGCCGUAACUAUUGUGAAGCUUUCCUCAAGUAUUCUCAUGCACGCAGACCUUAGCUGGUCAAGUUUUCUGAUUUAAUAUAAUCAAUUUCCGCGCAGUACUAACGACAGCUUCUUUGUAAAGCUCUUCAACCACAAGCAUUUCUACAAGGCAAAAGACUAGGACGUGUCGGAAUGAAUAUCAAUAAGGGAAUGUCUUAUGAAUUUAGUUUAUAUCCUAAUAUAAGACAAUCAAUAAAUAUUAGAUGCAAUCUAAGGGCUAACAUUUGAUUGAUCAUUAUACGAAAAAAAGGUACAAAAAUACAAAACAGAGCUGAUUGAUGGCCUCUCACAGUCAGUUAUAUGACAAAGUAGCCACCACAACAAACUUGAACUUGGCUGGAGGUCUCAUUAGCAGUAUACCUCCGAACUUAAGACAAAGACUUUAAAAUGCAAACUUAUGGAGCAAUUUAAGCACUGAAACUAAUAACAGUACGGUAUUAGCAAUUGACCUCUGCUUUUGCUUAGACAAAGGUUCUCAUCACAAUGGAUUCAUUAGUUGCCCUUGCCUCACACGUUUGGAUGCUAAGGGGAAAAAGGAAGUUUGAAUUAGUCAAUCUCAUUUCUAAUGGCAUUCACAGAGAACCUAUAAAGCAAAAAAAUAAAUAAAAAUUUUCAUGUUGCAAGUGAGCUCGUUUUCAAUCGAUUUUUAUUGAUCAUAAGAGAUCAUGUGGCCCACCUUAUUUUUAUUUUGGAUCCAUAACCCAAAGCUGGCCCAAGUUCUGAUUCCAGAAUCAUUUGUCUACAAAGUGACCUCAUUCCGGCAAUUGGUUUAUGCUAAUAGCACGUGCAAUUUUCAUUUUCUUCUUUUUAUUAAUUAAUUUCAUCAUUAUUAUUUGCUUAUUAGUUUAAAUUAAUUAAUUAUAUUGUAUUAAUGAAAUUAGUCUUUCAUUUUCUUUUCUCUUUCAAUGCACAAAGCCAAACAACCAUUCUUUCUUCAAAUACCGAAGAGCUCCUGACUACGGCUGUCAAUGCUUCUAUAUUUAUGUGCUGUGCUGCAGCACUCUUAGCGAAAGCUUGAAUGAAUGAUUAAAGACAAAAGCUUAUAUAAAAGCAGAUGCCGGAGGCACUCAAAAAGCAUUUGAGAGAGAAGCUAAACAGCAAAUCAUCAAACGCACUUCAAUGACUUUGAUUUUGAUUUUUGUUUCAAAAGAAGUAGAAAAGUCCAUGGGUCACGAUAACUGCUUGUCCUCUGCCGUGACCUCAUUGUCCGCUGCUAGUGUCAAAUAGAUUAAUCUUUCUAGUAGAUUAAUAUAAUUUAUAAUUUUAAUUUCAGUAUUAAUUUUUAAAAUGUUAGUUGUUAUAUUUAUUUUAAUGAUAUAUCUAUUUUUAGUAUAAAAAUUUAAAUAAAUAUUUAGAUUAAAUAGAAUUUAUAAUUGAUAUAAUAUAUCUCAUGUAUUAAUGAUAUUUAAAUUAUUUUAAAUAAUAUUAAUCCUAACUUAAAAUUUUAUAUAUUUAUUUUAAUGUUAUGUUUCUAUAUAUUAUAAAAUUUAGUUUAAUAUAAUAUAAGAUUGUAAAGUAUUCAAAUAUUUUUUAAAUAUUAAAAUUAUUAUAAAAUGUAUAUACUGUUACAUUUUUAACAUUGAAGUCAAUCUUUUUUAAGUUAAUAGAGUGAAAAGAUAUAAUAAUAAAAGGCUAUGUAAUCUUUCACUUGCACAUAUUCUGUACUCUCUGGAGCACGACGGUAGGAAACAUGAUUACAGAUGUUAAAUUCGCCUUUUUUCACAAGUUUAUCAGCUUCGUUUGCGGCCUCUGCUGCUUGUUUACCAAGCUUGUAACGAGAAAUCAAAUUUGGGCACAACCCUUUGAAGCAGAAUAUCUUAGCUCUAUCUUUAUCAUCAAUGAUGGAUUUUGCAACCCCUUCACUGAAUUCAGCAACUCUAUUUAGCCAGUCUCUGACACCCUUAUAAAUCUCAUCUCCUUGUAGAGUAGCCUCUCUAACCAGUGUUUGCACCCUUUCUCUUAUAUAUUCCAGCUCCUUCACUCAAUCUUUUAGCCCAUUUAUGUAGCUCUGGUACUCGAACACAUAAGAUAUGUGCCGCAUAAUCAGUUCGAAUAAUGCUUUUGAACAUUGUGAUACAAUGCUGGAAAAAGCAGGGAGACACCCUUCUGCAGCCAUUGCUUGUUGCUUAACAAUAUAUAUAUAUAUAUAUAUAUACAAGUGUCAAAGAAAGGAAUACAAAUAAAUUAAUAUGAACUAGAGAGAAAGAUAGAGAAUGAAAAGACCGCCAACAAUAUCGCUAUAUUGAUCUUGAACCAACUAAUAAUUAAAUAGAGAAUUUCUUUUUCUUUCUUAAGGAUCAGAGGUUUUGCUAUUAGCAAAAAGGUACUUCAAGGGUCUGAAUAAAAAACCAACCAUAAAUUAUCAAAAGCUAGUAAGAACACAGACGUAAACAAUGAACAAUUACUUAAGCCAAACAGACCAUGAUACAAAGCAAAUCUAAUAAAAUGACAAAGAAAGAAAGAAAGAAAAUACAACAAACAGUAUUGAAGUGUUGAUCAUGAGCCAACUGAUAUUUAAACAGAUUUUUUUUUUAAUUUUUAGUCUUUUCUAAAAGGAUUAGAGUUCUUGCUAUUAAUAGAAAGGUUUCAAAGAUCUGACACUAUUAGAAAAGUAUUAAAUAAUGACAAAAAUUUUAUGACAUAUAUGGUUGUAUCUCGAAUGUGUCAUAAAAUUAUGAUAGAUUCAUAAUAUGUAUUCAUAUGCCCAGAAUAUAUGAUAUAUUCAUGACUUAUAACUUAACCGUAGUAAAUAAAUGAUACAUAUAAGUCAUGAUUAAGUUUUGUGACCUUAUAAGAUUGUAAAACAGUGUCGUUUAAAUUAACGACACCGUUCUGUAUAACUUAAAACACAUCAACACUUCAGCCAAAUUUUGGCGGGUAAAAACCCAUUUAGUCCCUAUAUUUUAAGAUUAGUAUACAUUUAGUCCCUAUAUUUUUAAAAAUGCCUCGAAACGUUCCUGCCGUUAAAGUAUUGAUACCCCUACUGUUACUUUUUAUUUCUUUUGGCUUACUUUUACAAUAUUAUAAAAGUGUAAUAUUGUAAAAGUAAGCCAAAAGAAAUAAAAAGUAACAGUAGGGGUAUCAAUACUUUAACGACAGGGACGUUUCGAGGUAUUUUUAAAAAUAUAGGGACUAAACAGACACUAAUAUUAAAAUAGAGGGACUAAAUGAAUUUUUACCCAAUUUUGACUAAGCGUUGAAUAAAUCCCUCUCUCUCCACUGGCGACUACAACCUAAAAUGAAUCAACUCUGAGCCUCUCUCUAUAACACUAUAUAGAACCCUAAACCUAAGAGCAUCUCCAAAAGGCUUUAUAAAUUUUACUCUUUAAAUAUUUAUUUGCUUACCUAUGUGGCUAAUAGAAGAGUGAAAAAAUAUAUUAUCUCUAAAAGACUUUUCAAAUAUAAAUGAGUUAAUAUUAUUUUAAUUAAAUAAUUAUUUUUUAAAAUGAAAAGUCAAUAAUAAUUAAAUCAUCUCUCUCUUUUUCCAACAAAAAUAAUAAAAUAUAAAUUAAAAAGAAAGAAAUCAACUCUCUAAAUUUAAAGAGAUAGAAUAAUUUUUUAUUUAAAAAAUUUUAAUUAAAAUAUUUUAUAAAACUUUAAAUGUUGACUUAACUUUUCAGACAGCUAAUAAAAUAAGAAAUAAAAUCUUAUUUGAAAAGUGUUUUCCUUAUAUUUUAAGUCUCACAUUCGCAACCGACGAAGCUGAAAAAGUUCCCCACAUAUCAAAACCACAGCGAACUGCCUCCGACCCUACGGACCCAAAAAAAUUUAUUGUAUUCCUGCUCUUUCACAUCAAUAAUUUUUUGUAUUAUUCCAUAACCCAAAAGCUUUCCUCUGUUUCAACUAAGCGAAAAUUUACAUAUUAAAGCCUAGCUCAAAUUCCUUUUUUCAAUCGAAAUAAAACGUAGCCCCAAAACCCUAAUUCACCACACCAAUUUAUCUCUGCCCGGUAUUCAUUUAAACCCUACCUCGCGGUUCAAUGUCAUUCAAUACGAUUGCAGAUGCCGUUUCAACUUGUCAUUUAGUUAUUGCCAUCCAGUUCUCUAUGGUAAGCCUUAACCCUAACAACUAAUCGACUGUGGUAGCACGUUGCUUGUUAGGAGUGGGGAUACAUUAUUUAACUAUAUGAAUUGGGUGAUGUUAGUGAUUCAUUCCCCUAUUUGUCAUGAAUUAAGAUUUGUGUAUAAUGCUAGUCAGAUUGCUAAAAAUUUCAUAUUUUGUAUUGUUCCAGUUGAAUUUCUUGCUUGUGGAAGAUAAAACAAAAGUUCAAUUUCAUGUUGAUUUAAUUCUUCUUUUUCUUCUUUUUUUUUUUCUUCUUUAUAGUCACGCUCUGGCUUUGGUGCUAUGCUUAGUGCAGUUUAUGGUUUCAAGAUUAAGUCACGUUUAUUUGAUGGCAUCGAUUCCAUCGUUGAGGAUUGGAUUGUUGAUCAAAUGCACAUAGUAAGCUCUUCUUAUUUUAUCUCAGUUUUAAUUUUCUUUUAUUAUCUGCCUCUACCUGAAAAUGGACGUGUUUUACUAGUAAGCAUAGACUUUGUUUAUUUAAUUGAUAUUUUAAUUUUAUGUAUAAGAAUAGAGGUUUAUUUUGGAAAAAAAAGCAAUAAAAAAACAGACUCUGUUGAAGCUAAUUAGUACUGAAUGUUUUUGGUGGUGCGACCAGAGGUGGAAACAGGGUAUGAAAAUGUGUUACUAGUGAGGUUGCUGCUUAAGAUGAGAAUGCAUUCUUUUCAAAAAUCCUUGGUAGGUGUGAUCUAAUUAUAUUUGAUGGAAUAUUAAAUGGCUAAAAAUCUGUCAUACGUUCAAACUUUGUUUGUGUUUGGAAGAAUGGUGUUGACUGUAUAUUCGUUUGGAAGAAUGGUGUUGAUUGUAUAUUCAUUUGCUUAGCCUUUUGACAGAUGGAUUUGAAACUGACGACAAAUGUGAUUCAAUUUACAAGGUUUUCGAGGGGCUCACAGUGGAAGGGAUAUUGAAGAACUGGUCUAAGAUAAAGCCUAUGAUUGUGAAAGAUUGGAGUGAGAAUAUAAAUGCUCGUUUAAAUCUCUUUGGCAAGGUCAGAGAUGAAUGGAUAGAUAAGGAUUUAUUUGACUACUUGGACUGGUGCUAAUAGGUAUUUUAGGCAAGCUUUUUGAGAUAACACUGAGCAAGUUAUACUACUAGUUUGCACAUGAUGAUCAAAACUCUCAAAAAGUAAAAUAAAAUAAAUUAUUAACUUUUACUUAUCUUUUGCAUAGCAAUCAAUGUGGUGCUUGUUCUGUGACAACUUUGAUAAUCUACUUAAUUAUUGGUUAGCAUUUGGACCAAAAAAGUUCUUAUGAUUUACAUGUUUUGUAGAAAUGCAUGAACCUUAAAUGUGCUGAUCAGGGAGUUUAAUUAUUGCACCUUGAAAUUCAUUUAUUGUUAACUAAUUGGCUUUCCUUUGCAUAAAGCCGCUUAUAAGGCUUGAGUGGACGUCUUUAUGGGCAUAUUAUUUGUAUUUCUAUAUGCAUGCCUUUAUCACUUAAUGUGCUGCUUUUAUUUCUUUAUGCAUGCCUUUAUCAUUUAAUGGCCAGCUCCCUCUCCUCUUUUGUAAUUUGAAUAGUAGUAUGGGCCUCCAUUUUACAAAUCUUUAACAUUUUUUGCUGUAAAUUAAUUUUUCUUUCAAAUAUUUUGGAGGUCAUUGGAAUUCCUGUAGGUCUAUUUACCAGAUUUUAGUAUGUUUAAGGUUUUAAUUUUGCUUAAACUUUAAUUUUUCUGAAAGAUUGUAGUAUUGAUCCUUAAAGAAAGAUCAUGCUACUUCAAAUUAUUUUGAAGUGUUGCCAGUUAUAGCCUUACAUAACAAAUUCCAUUUGUCUGGAAAUUUAUUGAUAGCUGUUACAGCAGCAUAUUUUAUGACUCUACUUCUUAGUUAUGUAAGUUCAUUAUGUUUAGGUCAGAGGCAGUCAGCUGUGGGGAAUCGAUAUAUACACAGAUGACUUUGAUCUUGUUGCUGGUAUGUGGUUCUAUGAAUAAUUGUGUUUGCCUCACUGUUUUUGUUUUAUGAGAUCUAUAAUUGAUCUUGGGAUAUUACUUUCUAGUCCUCAUGCAAGCAAGUUACUACCUUCCCACUGCAUCUCCUCCUUUAUCUGCUAUUCAAGAGUUGCGUGCCAUAAUCUGGUGUUACCUCUGCAAGAUUGUGAAUGAAUAUAAUGCCUCUAAAUUUAUUUUAUACAUAAUGCUGAUGCUGAAUAAUAUAUUGUAGCUCCUGUCAUAUUCUACUUUGACUUUUUAUAUUCUGUUUCAUAUAAAAAUCUUAUUCAACUUUAGUUGUUCAUGAGCAAAUGUCACAUGUAUAAGCCCAAAUGAUGUUUAAAGGUAGCGCGGCUACCUUUAGUUUGAGCUUACAAUGGAUGAAAAAGAAAUUGAAACUGAUAUUUUGCUGUUUUUCUGAUUUUUCAAAGUAUUUUAGAUCCUGAGUUUUGUUUGGACUUGAUGGUUAUAGAUUGUGUCUAGAUUUGUUAAGUUGUUUCCAACACCUCGUGCCAAAUGAAAGCACAAUCUUUCUGAUUCAGAUGUCUUGUUAAUUAUGCUUCAUUUUUUCGUUAAAGAUUGGAUGGUUGCAUGGAUUGAUGGAGUUGGAGUUCAACCAAUAAUUCUAAUUUUUUGGACUUAAAAUGCCUUUUUCUUCUGUAUAAAAACUUUAGUAAGUGCUAUUGAGUUGACGGAGGUUGAAUACUUACAGGUUGUUUCACACUUUUUAAUAGUUUUACAUAUAUGAAUUUCUGUUUUUUGAAUUGCAGAAAGGAGGUGGAACUAUUGAUUUGGAGCCUUAUCUUACUCACUCAUCGACAAUGGAGCCUAUCCUCGCUCCCAUGGCAGUGGAACGGACAACAACUACUAGGGCUGCAACAUCAGUUGGUUUGGGUCUGUUUUGAGUUUAUUUUCAUUUAUUUGGCUAUGUUUUGAUAGCGAAUUUUGAUAUGUCAAUAUAAUGUGUAAUUGUUUUGGGUUGAGCUGGUAAUUAUGCUGGAUUAGAUUGGUUUGGUUUUGGUGCUUCUCUGAUGGAACUCUGCUUUUUUUAGAAAUUUUGAAUGUAAUAUGAGACUACAUUUAGUUUAAUUUAACACUGCAUCUAGUCUAAUUACUAGAAGUGUGGCAUUUGGUUUGGUUUAUCCGAUAUUCUCCAGAAUUUCACUUGCAUCUGGUUUUGUUGCAUAUGUUUGCUUGCAUUUGAUGGCAGUAGCAGACUGUUUGGUUUUGUGACAUUUGAUGGCAGUUUGGUCUGUUCUUGGUGUUGAUUUAAGAUUGUUCCUGUUGUGCUGAUGUUAAUUGCAGGUGCUUGAAUCAGCUAGGGUUGCUGGUUUAUUCAGAUGGUUGACUCAGGCGUUGUUACUGGUUAAUUCAGGUGGCUGACUCAAGUUGUUCAUUUAAUGUUAGGAAGCAAACUAAGAAUUAAUGAAGUAUUCAUUUAACUAUAAUUAUUGUAGUUAUUUUAUUUCAUAACUGAAUUAUAAUCUAUGAUACUUGUGAACAAAUUAGAGAAUUUUUAUAUAUGAAUUAUAUAUGUGUGUGUAUGUACAUUUUGCUAUUUAUAUAAUAAUUUAAAGAAUAUAUUUCAAUUCCCACAAAAAAAAAUGGCUCCAAUUUCAAUAAUUCCCGCCAAAUAAUUAAAUUUUUUUAAUUUACUGCCAAAAUAUAUCUUAAAGAAAUGUUAGUUAUUCUUGCUAGAUUUAACAAAAAUAAUUUGUAGGAUUAACAUUUAAUUAAAAUAAUUAAAUAAUUUUAUUAUUCCAAUUAAAUAUGUCAUGUUUAUACGUCAUACAAUAGUCAUGAAUGGGAAGUAUUAGUUACAUAUUUUUCCUUGGGAUUUCAGGCAAAUGAAAAAAAGAUUGAGAAUGGUUUCAAGAGGACAGGUGGAUGAUAAGUAUUCAUUUUUGUAUAUUUGGUUAGGGGAUUUUUAUGGUAUUGAUCUUUUUUUUUUUUUAAAUUUUCAAUUAGUUGCAGCCUUAGAGGAAGAGCAGGCUGAUCAAAUUGAUUUGUCUUGUUUUUCGGGCAAUCUACGACACGAUGAUCGUGAUAAUGCUCGUGACUGCUGGAAACUUUGUGAUGGAAAUAACUUUAGAGUUCGUAGCAAGCAUUUUUGUUAUGACAAAACAAAGGUUCCCCCAUAUUUUGUUUGUUUGUUAUGGUAUUUAUAUAUCCUGCAUAGGCUAGGUAGACAGGUUAUGAUGUAGUUUGGUUGGCUCUUCUUGUGCUUUGUGCAAUUUGUAACUGCAGAUACCUGCGGGAAAACAUUUAAUGGACCUUGUUGCUGUUGAUUGGUUCAAAGACACAAAGAGAAUUGACCAUGUAGCUAGGCGUCAAGGCUGUGCUGCACAAGUAACUAUUCUUUUCUUUUUAUUUUUCCUUUUCCAUUGAUGCAUUAGGAGAAAAUAUUGCCUGUGAGAUACUUCAAUGUAAAUAACUUCUCAUGGUUCAUUGAAUCUAUAACACACUGACCCUCUUCUAAAAAACGUAGGUUGCUUCUGAAAAAGGGCUUUUCUCACUGAUCUUUAAUCUUCAAGUAAGUUUGUUUCAUUUCAGAAGGUAUUAAGUUUCAAACUUAUUGUAUUGGGAGGUUGUAUAGUUGUAACCUAAGCAUCUGCAGGUUCCUGGUUCGACACAUUAAAGUAUGGUAUUUUAUUUUGUCACAAGGCAAUUGGUUAUGGGAUCACUUUUGCAACGGUUUGUUGAUGGCGAUGAUGAGUUUCGCAAUAGUAGGUUGAAACUUAUUCCAUCUGUUCCUAAGGUAUCCAUCUUGGCCUUCAUGUAUUAGGACUAUAUUAACGUAUACUUACCCUUUUCUGCAUGGUACACUUCAAUUUGUCCAAAGAAGGCAUGCAUUUAGGUGUAAAUGUAUUGAUGGGUAGUACCUUCAAACUUCAUGUCCUUUUUACCCUCUUGAAUUUGUUUUGCACUUGUUCUUGAUUUUAAGCACUGAAUCAUGCAGGGGUCAUGGAUCGUGCGCCAGAGUGUUGGAAGCACCCCUUGUUCAUUAGGGAAAGCGGUUAAUUGUAACUAUAUUCGCGGUUCCAAGUACUUAGAAGUAAAUGCUCUUGGAAUUUCUAUAGUACAUGAGAUGUUCAUCUUUCAAAUAGCGUCCGAUACCAUUAACAUGGUUUAACAUUGUUCAUCUUUUUGUAGAUUGAUGUUGACAUUGGUUCUUCUACUGUUGCUAAUGGAGUUUUGGGCCUUGUAAUUGGUGUAAUUACGACAUUGGUGGUUGACAUGGCUUUCCUUGUACAGGUAUGUAUGAUUGUUUUUUUCCCCCACUUCUAAAUGGACACAAGGGAAAAGACAUGAUUUUGAGAUAUUGCACUGCAAUUUGCAUUUUUGCAUACUUGAAUGUUCUCAGAAUAGUAUAAUGCUUCGUGUGUGUCUUCUUUAUCUUGCUCUUCUGUAUGCAGGCAAAUACUACAGAUGAAUUACCGGAGCGGCUGAUUGGUGCUGUACAUGUUUCUCAUAUAGAACUCAAGUCUGCUGUUGUCCCAAAGUUGGAACCAGAGAUAUCAUGACUCUGGUUUCAUUUCACCUCAACUGUGUUUUUUUUUUUUUUAAAUUAAAAAAACAUUUGUUUUAGGUAUACAUACAUGUAUUUUGAUCCCAUUUUCAUGGGAAUUUUGCAUUAAAAAAUGAAGAAUAGUGAAUAGGAAAUUUCUUGAUUCUUUAGUUACUAUUUUUGGUAUGAGUGUAAAUAGUAGUAAAGUUGGUUUCUACUCGCAAACAAGUGAACUGCUCGAUUCCUGAGUGGUAUCAACCAGUUUCCAACUUUUUAAUAUACACUAAUUGUUAUUGUUUAAUAGCUACUACUAUUAAAACUCAACAGCUGACAAAAAUACUUAAAAAAAAUGAUUUUACUUCUUUCCACGAGAUCUAUAACAUGGUCUUGACUUCACGAAAUUCUUUUAAUUUAAAACGUGCUGGUGUGAGAAGGUCAGUUUGACGGAUUAAUUCUUUUUUAACAGUGGUCGAGAUAAUUUUACUAUACUCAAAAAUAUUCUUAUUCUGAUAGUGCCAUAAAUGUUAUGCUGUUUUCUUCGGCUAAUGGUCUUCUAUCAAGAGAGGGUAGAAAUCAAAUGCUUAAAAGACCAAUUGAAGGAAUAAUACAGAAAUUUAGGCAGAAUCUAAUCGAAUAUUGCAUGAAACAGGAAACAUCAAUUCAAGUCCUUUCUUAAACGGAGAAUGCAUCAAACAAAAUCCAAAGUGUCUUGCAAGUCUGUAGCAUGAGCAAAAAAUUAUUCAAGUACAGAAGAAUGAGCAAGCUAAAUCAUGUAUAAGAGAUUGGUCUGGUUCGGGAUAGCUUCUUCACUGUACCUAAAGGGUUGGCUCAAUCUCUUCUUUAGAAUUCUGCAGAUUUUGUAAUUACUCGUGUAAGCAAGCAUACAUUGCCACCAUAAGAAUAAUAAAGCUAGAGUAAUGAUAUGACCACCACCUCUCGUGCACAAACAAUAUUGUAUAAACUAAUGAGACAUAAUAUGAUUGGUUAAACAAAAACAUUACAUGGCCCUCAUAAUAAUAAUAAUAAUAAUAAUAAUAAUAAUAAUAAUAAUUAUUAUUAUUAUUAUUAUUAUUAUAUAUUUUCAGUCAACCAAUCAUAUUAUAUCACAUUAGUUUCUAUAAAAUAAUUAGCUAAAUAGCACCAAAACUUAAUUGAUACUCACCAUUUCAUUGAACAAUUUUUUUAUGGUGUCAUUGAGGUUGCCUUCCCAACAUCCUUCAUCAUCAUCAUCUUCUUCUUCGGUGACGUUCACUUUGUUUAGCAUUGGUGUGUCUAAGAGUCCUUGAGAGAAGAUCUUCAUUUUUGGACACUGUCUCACAACUACUUGUUUCAAGGACGGGAAUUCAAGAGCGUAAUUACCUAAACAAAAGCUUGUUAGGCUUGGCAAACAAUCAAGUCCCAAGUACUCCAAUUCCUUGAAAACAUUGCAAUCUUUCGCUUCUUCUCCAACCUGCAAUUGUAUGAUUUGUUCUAUCAUUUUGCAAUCAGCUAUCAUCAUUCUUCCGAGAUUCACUAGAUUUUUAGAUGCUGAGAGCGUCAACACAUUUAUCAACUCGUGACACUUCGAUACUUUCAAAGCCUCAAGAUUUUCCAAAUGCCACGAAGGUGGUACUAAUUUUUGCAACUUACUACAUUCCGAUAUUUCCAGCCUUUCCAAGUUUGCAAACGCUUUGUUGGAUUCGUCAUUUUCCUUCCAGAGAUGCUGCACUUUGUGUAAUCCAGACAGUCUUAAAUUCCCCAAUUGAGGGAAAGCAACCUGAAAAUCAACAAAAUUAAGUUGUAAAUGAAAAUAUGUAUCCAAUCUCUGCAGUCUUCCCCUGCAUAUUUUAUGGACAAGAUUAAUCACGGCAUUUUAUAUUUUAUUUCCAAAUUAGUAUGCUUUGCACUAGGAUCCCAAAUAUAAGUAUCAAAUCGAUUACCCUUUGAAACACAUAAAUGAAAACUGAUACUAAAUCCAAUAUGAAUUGAUAAUCAAUACUAUAAAGUUACCAGUUCAUCACCUCAUGUUACCAGUCAUCAAAAUAAUUUAGGACUUUUUUAAUUUAUACUAUAAAGUUAGUUAAUAACUGCGGUUAUAUUGUUAAAUCAUAUAUAAAUUAAGACGACGUGCAAAAAGAUGUCAUUAAAUUUGAUUUGAUUAUAAUGAAAUUACAUAUGUGCGAACGAAAGUGAAGGGAAAAUAAUAAUAAUGAUUACCUUUUCAUCGAAGAGAUGUUGUAUUUGAUUAGCUACCAAGAGGUUCUCUUCUGAUUUUAAUUUUUGAGGUUCCUUAUUAUCUGCUGUCAUGUGCAGUACAAAUGUAGAAUUGGAUGUGAAUGUUUCCAUAUCAGGGCAAUUCUCAAUAAUUAGAUAUUCCAACUUAGGCAGUUCAAUUAUAUUCCCAGUGAAGUUGCAGAAUCUUUUGAGUUUUGGAAGAUCAAUGAGCUUUAGGCUUAAAAGCCUAGGAAACAGGGGGCCUAUAUGUUCUUCCUUAGCACUUAGCUCUUCCAAAUGAAGCACCUCUUCUAGUGAAUCACAAUUCCUCACUGCCAGCCAUUCCAAAUUGUUCAAGCACCGUAGCAGAUUGGCAGGAAUAGCACUCGACAUAUUCGUGCUGUCAUCCACCACCAGCUCCGCUAAAUUGUUGAAGAAUCUGACAGGCAGUGCUUGGCCAUGCCAUAUUUCUUGCAAGCGUGGAAAAUGCGAGAGUUGCAAACGGUUUAUAUCAAGGAAUCCAAUCUGCACAAACCAAAACAAUUGCACCAGAAAUAUACAAUUUUUUUUUUUGAAAGGCAUUAUAUAUAUACACAUUAAACUUACAUUUUUUGUGUUUUAACUUCUAAAAAUAUAUAUACAAGGGAGGUGUAUAUGCUUAAAUGUGCAAGUGAAGGGAGAUGCAUGAUGAACAAUUUGGGUGAAUUGAUUAACACAUACCUUUUCGUCAUAACACUUUUGUAUAGUGGAAUUAAGGUUAUUGCCUUCCCAAUGGUGUAGUUCACCCUCUUCCUUUUCAGUCACUUGCACUUUGCAUGGCUUUGGAAUGGAUAAUAUUCCCUGAGAAAAAGUCUUCAUGUUCGGACAACGUAUCAUAGAAACUCGUUCCAAUGAUGGGAAUUCAAGAGUGUAAUUCUCCAAACAAAAGCCGGUAAGUGUUGGUAAAUAAUCAAGUAUCAAAACUUUUAAUUUGCUAAAAGCAAUACGAUUCUCCUUCACUUCUUCUCCAACAUGUCUUAUGAUUUCUUCUAUCUUAUCACACCACGAUACAUUAAGAUUCACCAGACUACUAGGAAUUCCAACCUGAAAAUAAGCAGAGAGUGUGUGUGUGUGUACGUUAAAAAAGUAAAAAUGUAAGAAUAUCAUUCAACAAGGUUCAAAGUAUGUUUAAAUCAUACAAUUAUACAUUUUAUAAACAUAACAAACCAUGAAAUGUCUACUAGAUAAUUUUUUGUUAAACAAAAAAGGCAACAAGAUAAAUAAAUAAAUAAAAGCCAAAUAAACAAAAGAUAAUAAAAAUGAAUUUACACUAUUUAGUAUUAGGAACAUAGAAAGAAUUUAAUGCAAUUUCUAAAUAUUUUAGACUUAUUUUGCAUCUUGACGCCAGUUUUUAAACAAAAUUUGCAAAUUUCAACUAUUCCUUUUGGGAAAAAAAAAAUCAACCAAAAUGCCGCUUUUUCCCUUUUUCCUUGGUCCCUUUUUUUUUAUGUAUAUUUAAUUUUGGAAACAAAAUUAAAGUGGAUCUUUAUUAAGUACUUCUAGACUCGAGGAAAUUUCUUUACAAUCAAGGAUCAGUUGUAAAUAAUCAUGAAUUUGUGGUUAAUUAAUGGCAUAAUCAGUUCGUAACUAAACAAGAGAUAUUAAUUAAAUUUGAAGACUUUUCUUUUCUUUUUUUCUUUUUCCAAUCGAAAUGUGAAGAAUUAAGGACAAGAGAAAUAUAUAGAUGAAUUUGUGAACCUAUAAGAUGAGUGACUAUCCUUUAAUUUUUGAAAAUUGUACUUAUUAAGAUAUGAGCAUAAACAAUUAAAUUGAAUUAUAUUAUGCUGUUGAAUCGUGAUUAAAAAAAUUACAUUGUUGAUUCUAAUGCUGGCGAACCUAAGAACUGGACUUAAAAUGUAGAUUUGAGAGUGGUGGUUCGAAGUACAAUACUUGAAAUAAAUAAUCAGUGGCUGAAUAUCAUUUGUAAACCCAAAAAUGGUUAAAAUAUUGUUGGAUGUAAUUUGAAAAAAAAAAAAAAAGAUUCGAAAUGAAUACAGCAACCUUACCAAUGGAGGAAAAAUAUUCAUUAGGUUAUCACACCCAAUUAUCUCCAAAUUCUUCAAUUUGCUGAAAGACUCCGAAGCAAGUUGGUGGUGCCAUAUUCUUCUCAAAUUAUCGAUCGACCUAAUAUGUAAUACCUCCAACCUAGGAAGUCGUACCUGGCAGUUAAAGAUUAAAUAACUAAUUAAUCAAUUAAUGGCAUAAUCAAUUGAUAACUAAAUUAGAGGCGGAUAUUAACUAAAUUUGAAGACUUAAGGAAGAGACAAAUAAAAUAUUGUGACUAAAAUAAAUUUAAAAAAAAAAAAAACCUUUUCGUCAAAGAGAGGAGGUUGCAUUUCAAAAUGAAUGGUGUCUUCUGGUGAGCUCGUGGAGAUGAAUCUUAACAUAUUACUGCAACUCUGAAUCUCGAGCUUUAGCAAAGAAGGGAAUUCAACAACUAAAUCUGAAUGAAUAUGUCCCGUAUUGGCAAAGCUUGUUAGCUCUGGAAGCCAAUAGAGCCGCAGGAAGUGUAGUUUAGGAAAAACCUUUAAUUCAAUCAACUUUCCUUCAUCUCUUCCUAACCACCCCGUCGUGUCGACUACCCCUUCCAUUGACUUACAAUCCCAUAUUUGAAGACGUUGGAGUUGCAAAAGACUAUUAACCAUAGAAUACGAAAACAGAUACUUCAUACGAUCACAACCGAACACGUGCAGCUUUGUUAAAUUUUGACAACAGUACAUUCCUUGAUUAUGAUCGGCCCAUAAUUUUUUUAUGUUUCUUAAUCUCGUGAGAUUCAAUUUUUCUAAGCUCGGAAGAAUAACCUGCAAAGAAAACCCGUACAUUUUUGUUCCUUCAAGUACAACCGUCUAGUAUAAUAUUCUUUUCAUGAUCGAAGAUUAAUCGUGAUAAUAAAUUAAUCAAUUAAUUAUUGAACGGAAAAUUAUCACCUUUGGAGCAGGAUCAUCAUCAGCAAUGAUUUCGUUGAAUCCCAAAGAAGUUGUUGGUUUCUCCCUGUCGGGUCCUAUAAACAAACAAAAACAAUACACAUAAUUAAUCUUUGUCGGUUUUUUUUUUUCAAAAUAAUUGAGGCGAAGUCCAUAAAUCCACCAACACUUAAUUUCAACACUUACCAAAAAUCAUUUCCAGAUCAUCGCAAAGACUUAUUAAUACUUUUUGAAGCCGCAGUAGGUUUUUUGCCAUGGAGAAUGAGAAAAGAUGCUUCAAUUUGUGACAGGAUUGUACUCCUAUAAUCCUUAAGUUGCUGAAAGAUUGAUCUUCUGUGAGUUGGCUGUCACAUAUUGUCUCCAAAUUGUUCAAAUAGCUAAGAAACAAUGACUCCAGCAAGGGAAAGACUGUACAAUGAACCCGUCCAACUGAACCGACAAUAUGCAAAAUCUCAGAACAACUUUCUACACGAAGAUGCUUCAAUCGUGGAAAACCUUCCCCAUCAUCUAAUUCAUGAACAACAUUCUGAACACCCUUAAGUUCGUAUAGAUUGAUAUCUUCAGUUUCCUUCAGUAACAUUUUCAUCCCAUAAUUCUCCAAAAGACUGCUAACAUUUUCUAGCCCAUGGAGCUUCAUCAAUCUUGAUGUUUCAGAAUUAACGGGCCAGAUGUCCCACACUUCUCCUAUGCAUAUCCUGUAUCUUGACAAUUCCACAAAGACCAAAUCCUGCAGCAGAAUUUGGGCAUCCCGAACUUGUAUCUCCAAAGUAGUUAGCUUUGACAACCCCUUCAACUCAGCAAGACUGGCGUUACUUCCUCCUUCAACCUUAUCCCACUGCGAAAAGCUGUCACCCAUAUAUAGUUCUUCCAAUCGAGAAAAUUUUGAUAUGACAUUUGGUGCUAUCACCAUAAGGCUGCUACAAUUGCUCAAAUCUAGCAACAAUAACCUCGUCAAUUGUCCAAUUUCAAGGGGUAACUGCUUAAUGUCGGAAUCUCGAAGGCUGAGAAUCUCUAAUUUCUUUAGCUGUCCAACUAUUGCUAUAUCUUCUAGUCCGCAACUAUCUAAACACAAUGUUUGAAGGUUAAUGAGGCGACCAAGUGAUGAAGGUAAUGAAGAGAAAGGAAUUCUAGUAAGACUUAAAACUUUGAGUUCUUCUGUCCCUUCAAAAAAGAGGUCAGAAAUUUGCAUAGAGACGGGCGCCAUGCCCCUUGCUAUUAACAAAAAUAACUUGAGUUGGGGACAUUCCAACCUUUCGGGAAGCUCUUGAAUAUCUUCGUAAGGUAAAGAANNNNNNNNNNNNNNNNNNNNNNNNNNNNNNNNNNNNNNNNNNNNNNNNNNNNNNNNNNNNNNNNNNNNNNNNNNNNNNNNNNNNNNNNNNNNNNNNNNNNGCAUUGAUACAGCAACAUCAUGAAUGAUGUCAUGCAUUUUAACUUCAUCUUCAGUAUCGCCAUCUAACAAUAAGCAUGAAGCUUUGAGAUUGUCGAUCAAUGCAUCCACUCUAUUCCUUGCAUCUUCCAAUGUGUGAACAUUUUUAAACAAACCCAAACCCAUACCAUAUCUCAACAGGGAAACAACUUCUACAGGAUUACCUUCACCAAACAGAGUACAAAGAAGGAACAAAGAUUUUGCUUCAUCACUUUCCAAGAAAUCGUAACUCAAUUUUAUGGAAGAAUACACAUAUGCAUCCAUACCACGAAUUUCUCUUAGAUUGGAACUUCUUAGCUGAUUCAAUGCAUCCUUCCAAAUGUUAAGACUCUUAUUUUUCAGAGCACUUGCAACUGUUCUCAGUGCAACAGGCAAUCCCCCGCAUUUUUCAACGAUCUCAUCUGCAGUGGGUUGAAAAUCAUAUGUUUUUUUUGAAUCACCCACAAUCUUCUCAAAUAACUGCAAUGCUUCAUCUUUGGAUAAAGCAUCGAUCCAGAAAUUUUUCUGAGAAUUCAUAUCAUUGCACAAUAAAUCUCGACUUCGAGACGUCAAUAUUAUUGUGCGUCUACUCCGAUCGUCCUCUCUAUCAUAAGGAAUUCCAACUUUAUCGAACUCAAGUUUUGUCCAAAUAUUAUCCAGUAUAAUGAGGAGCAGCUUCUCUUGCUUCAACCUUUGACACAGUCGAGAAGCUCUUUGAAAUUCAUUCUCAUUCAAGUCAAAUUCCAUGCCUAAAUCAAAAGCAAGUUUGUCUUGAAUUUUAUGAUGAUCUGGUGUCUGUGUUACCUCAGCCAUAACGACCUUAUCGAACAACUUAUCUUCCAUCACUUGCUUUCUAACUUGCUUGACUAGCGUGGUUUUACCCACGCCGCCCAUCCCGUAGACCCCAAUUAUUUUGAAACUAUCAUCCUUCAACGCAUCCAAAACAUCUUGAAAUACUUUCGUUCUUGAAUCGAACUCCUCGUAAUCUUUCACUGGCAUAUAUUCUGUACUCUUUGGAGCAGGACGGUAGGAAACACUAGAGAAGUUGCCUUUUCCCACGAGACUAGCGGCAGCUUCUGCGGCCUUUGCUGCUUGUUUACUAAGCUGGUAACGAGAAAUCAAGUUGGGGAACAACCCUUUGAAGCAGGACUUCUUAGCUCUAUCUUCAUCAUCAAUGAUGGAUUUUGCAACCCCUUCACUGAUGAAUUCAUCAACUUUAUUUAGCCAGUCUAUGACACCCUCAUAAAUCUCAUCCCCUUGUAGUCUAGCAUGAUUAACAGGUUGUUGCACCGUUUCUCUUCUAUAUCCCAGCUGCUUCACUUGAUCUUUCAGGCCAUCUAUGUAGUUCUGGUGCUUGAACACAUAAGAUAUCUGCCGUAUAAUCGGUUUGAACAGUGACUUUGAACCUUCUGAUACAAUGCUGGAAAAAGCAGCCAGACCCACUUCUGCCAUUGCCUGCUGCUUAACAAAUCUAAUAAUAUGUCAAAGAAAGGGGAAAGGAAUAGAAAUAAAUUAAAAUAAACUAGAGAGUGACAAAAAAGGAAAAGACAGCAAACAGAAUCGCAAAAUUGAUCUUGAAUCAACUGAAACAUGAACAGAGCAUUUUUUCUUCUUUCUUAAGGAUCAGAGUUUUUGCUAUUAACAGAAACGUGCUUCAAGUGUCCCAAAAAAAAAAUGAUAAAUGAACAAGCCAUAGAAAUUUUAUCUUGGAAAGUGGAUGGAAAUUAAGAAAGAAAUGGUAUAGAGAUCAAGCAUCAGAGAUUAUAUUAUUAAAAGAAAUUAAUUGAAGGUUGUGGAAAACCUGUUUAAUUAUGGAAAGUUGAUGAGCUUCUGUAAUCGCCUUGAGUAUUUAAGUGCAAUUUUGAUGAGCAAAAAGUUACUGUUACCUGCAGAGGAAUGUAAUUAUAGAGAGCUUAUGAGAGUAAUGACAAUGAUUUGCAAAAGAAGAAGACUCAAUCAUGGAGCCCUUAAUAUUUCUUUUAUGAAUAAACUGCCAGCAGGAAAAAUAAAAAAAAGUGGUAAAUUUACCAAGUCUUAUUUUAUUUUUAAUUUCUUUUAUUUUCAUUCGCCGAAGAGGGAAUCUCUUUUUUUUUCGUAAGGGAAAUAUCCUUUCCUAAUAUGUCAUGAUUAAAGCAAUCUAUAAAUAAUACAAUAAUCAUAUAAUGUAAUAAUUAAAAAGACCCACAUAUUUAUAAUAUUAAUGAUGGGAUCCAUACGUUCCUACUGAUUAAAUUGGUGGACCAGAAUUUAUUUGACCUUACUUGUUUUAUAUUUAAUUAAAAAUUGAAACGACAGAGAAAAAUUGUCGUAAUGAUGGUUUCGAUUGUGGAGUUCAGCUGUGGAUAGCACUUGCAAUACUGAAAAAGAAGCUUUCGUCAACUUUCUCACAUGGACGCGCACCAUCACGCAUAAUUGCAUAUUGCAUUAUUUCUCUAGAAAAGCAAAAGCAAGAUUUAUUCUUUUAAUAAGCAAACGCGUAGGUGGGAAUCCAUUCAUUAAACAAGUGGAACAGCAAUAUAUUAAACCAAUGAUAAGCAUUCUUAAGUGGGAAACCAAUUAUGACGGAUAGUUCAAAAUCUGAAUCCGCCUGAUGGACGGGUUUGACCGCAGAGCUCAAGAUAAUCUGAACCAUUCUCCUUUCGUAACUUAUAGAUAAUUUGAAAACAGGGGAAUGAAAACAGAGGAGCCCUGUUUUUCCUUCCUUUUUUUUUUUUUUUUUUCUUACCCAACUCUUCUUCUUUUGUAUAUUUUCCUUGGAAUUUUAGGUAAACCAAAAAACUUUGAGAAUGAUUUCAAGAGAAUAGGUGGGUAAUAACUAAAAUAUUUAUCUAUAUAUUUAUAUAAAGUUGGGACUACAAGAGAUGAUGUGGCAUCACCAUUUCUAAUUUUUGUAUAUUCUCUAUUAUCUAACAAAUAGAGAAAUUUUCUUUCAGAUUUUAUUUUUCAUCUUUUCAUAAUUAAUUUGACUGUUAUUAUACAAUCAAUAUGUAACAGUUCAUCAAAAGACCCACUAUCUUCUUUAAUUGAAACCUUCUUGAUCAGGACUACAAGAAGUAAUGUGGCACUACCAUUUCUCAUCUUUGUAUAUUCUCUAUUAUCUAACAAAUAGAGAAAAUUUCUUUUAGAUUUGGCUUUUUAUCUUCUCACAAUUAAUUUGACUGUUAUCAUACAAUUAAUAUGUAACAGUUCAUAAAAAAACUCACUAUCUUCUCUAAUUGAAGCCUUCUUGAUCAUAAAUUAAGCAAUAAUUUAUAAAUAUUUUUAAUCACUCUUCUCCUCUGACUCACCUAAAUUUAUAAAUAACAACAAAAAAUAUGAUAUCUCAUGUAAAUAUAAAAGAAUAGAAAAUAGCAAUAGCUCUAAAACAUUUUUUUUUUCAUUUUGGCCCUCACUUGCCUGAUCAUGGCAAAUAUUACAAAUGCAACCAGUAGGAAUGAUUGCCUCAACAACAAUAUGAAACCAGGCUACAAUCUUGCAACAAGACUUGAAGUUAGUGGAGGCCAAAUGGAGUGUUGGAACGUGUUAAUGGAGCUGAAAUCAUGCUCAAAUGAGAUUGUUAUAUUCUUCAUUAAUAGUCAGGCUGAUAUUGGCCCUGACUGUUGUCGCACUGGCCUGCAAUGCUCACCUCUCUCGGAUUCACGGCUGAAGAAGGGAACAUACUGAGAGACUACUGUGAUGCAUCUUCUGCUCCUUCUCCAGGUGGCCUCGCGGUGAUAUAUCAGCUUCAGGUUUCCAAGGUUUUUUGGCUUAGACAGGGUGCAUCUAUGGUACUUCAUAAUUAAAAAAAGUCUUUUUGGUUUUAUCUUUUCUUUAUUUUUUUAUUUUUUUUUUGGAAGUCUUGCCUCUUAAUCGAAUAGAAUAAAUUGUUAAAAUUAGAAUAAGAAAAAAAGGAUAAUAUUAUUUUUUUUCAAAGCCGCGCAAAGGGCGGUUCUAUUUCCUAGUUUUUAUAUAUUUGAUAAGCACGCUCACUAUUAAUAAAACCCAUUAAAUGCUAUAACUUAAAUAACUUCUUGUAGUUGAUUGAGAGUAUGUUUGGAAUUUCUUUUACUUCCCAAUAAUUAAUUUUUACCUUGAUUAUCAGAAAAUUAAUUUUAUGAAUAAUUUAGCCGGGUGUUUGGUAAAUGAUGAUUAUUUGACAAUCAGUUUUUAAAUAAUCUAUUAUAUAAAUAUAGUAAGUGAAAAUUAGAAGUAUAAUGUUCAUGUAGAAAUGACAAAAAUGUACUCAUUUACUUAUUUGUAAUUUAUUUAGAAUAUUAUUAUUUAAAUAAUUUUUCUUAUUCAUUGGAUUUUUUAAGAGCAUAUUCUAUUUUCUUGAUUACACAUUUAAAUAACUUUUUAUUAACUAUUUUAAUCUGCAAUAAAAAUUAACUAUAUUAUAUUUAACUAAAAAAUUUGUUAUGUAGUCCGUAAUAUACACAAAUACUUGAAUUUAUUAAUAAACUUAACUGCAAAAAAGAAAAUGCAUUACAUAUAUCUAAUUUCUUAUUUUCAACGAUUGAAAGAUGUUAUUUAGGAAACUUGUACGAGAUAAUUUAAUUUUGGACUAUUGACAUUAUAUUUACUUAGAAGUGGAAAUAGUGGGUGGAUAAAUUUAAUUUUUCAUUAAUUGCUCAAGAAGCAAGAGGAUUAGUGAUGGAUGGAGAGUUAGUGUAGAAUUGUGAGGCCAUUUGAUUACUGCAAGCAUUAUAAAUUUCUUGUUGCUGAGAUUAAUCUAAUUGAAUUAAUGACUCCAUGAUAGACUUAACAAAGGAUUCUUGUGGCAAGAUUUCUAUUUAUGAGGCCAUUUGAUUACUGUAAGCAUUAUAAAUUUCUUGUGGCAAGAUUUCUAUUUAUGACUCCAUGAUAGACUUAAGUUUUAGUGAGACAAUUGCUGCCUGUUGCAGACAUGAUACCUCUAGUACUUCAGAAGAUAGCAUAUCACGAAACACAUCCAGACUAUACUGAGGUUACAUCGAAAAUUCCUUGGCCCAUCGUGCGAGUGUGUGACAUCCCGCAACAAAAAUUAGGGUAUGUACUAUAUAUAUAAUGUGUUUUGAACAUAAUAAUAAGAAUGCUGAUUUUUAACAAUUAAUUUAUUUUACUUUUUUUAGUGGUGAUUGUGGAGAAUUUUUGUUGCGGUACUUGGAGGUCCUAACCCAUGGACUUGAUGUCAAUUCAUAUUGCAAACAAGAUCAUGUUAUACAAUUUCGAAAAGCCUUGGUUGUCAAAUUAUUUGGGCAUAGGUCAUGGAAAAAAACUUUGUAGUGUACUACCCUUAAAAACUUUGUUGGUGUGUCAUUUUUGGACCAUGAGAUGUGAUAGUUAUAAUGAGGAUGUUGUUGAUAUUUGAUGUCAUUAAAGAUAACUUGACAUCAUUAAUAUGUUUUAUUUCUUUGUUAACUAUAUUAAUGAUAGUGAAGAUAGUUUGUACAAUCUAUGUAAUGUAACAGGAUUGCCAUAUAUGCUCAGGGAAUACUCUGUAAGAAAAUACACGACUGCUGUUAGCUAUUUGCACGGAUACAUGACUGCAGUCGAGUAUUUACAAAUAUACAUGACUAGCUCUCUGUAAGAAAAUACUCGACUGCAAUUGGGUAUUUACACAGAUACACGACUGCAGUCAAGUAUUUAUAAUUGUACAUAACCAGCUCUCUAUAAGAAAAUACUCGACUGCAUUCGGGUAUUUACACAGAUACACGACUGCAAUCGAGUAUUUAUAAUUAUAUUUGACCAGCUCUCUGUAAGAAAAUACUCGACUGUAGUCGGGUAUUUGCACAGAUACACGACUACAGCCGAGUAUUUACAAUUAAAUAUGACUAGCUCUCUAUAAGAAAAUACACGACUGCAGUCGGGUAUUUGCACAGAUACACGACUGCAGUCGAGUAUUUGUAAAUAAACAUGACCAGUUCUGUAACAGCCAAAAUACACGAUUGUACUCGGGUAUGUGGACACGGAAUAAAAAAUCAACUAAAACAUUCAUUAUAUUGAUGACACAAUCAAUAUAAACUUUAACAUAUUAAAUUUCAAAUAAAUGAAACUAACUGUAGUCUGGUUGCCUAUCAAACAACAUAAAUCCAAUACUUAUUCGAAUCGUAAAUAAGUCAUAAUACAAUAAAAGUUGUUUAACAAUCAUCAUAAUUUUUUUGCAUUUUCAACCCAAACACUCGGUCCAUAUUUUAUAAGCCUCUAGUAAUUUGGUUGCCUAUUAAAUAACCCGAGAUACUAUUUCUAUCAAUUGUGCAUACGUUGUAGAAUAGGGCACUAUGAUCCCUCUUGCCUUUGUACCAUUAAAUCUAUAAUGGCCGUUUUGCUCAAUCCAUUCACCACAAAACAUAAUUGGCACACGUACUGAAGUCAUUUCCUGUAAUAAUACAACGGUUGAUUAUACAACAAAUACAAAAAUAAAAAUCAAGCAAUGUAUAUAACGAAGUGUGGAUCUGUCUGCCUAUUUACAUGACUCACGUCGUGUAAUUGGUAGUUUACACGACAAUAGUUAUGUAACUUGCUAAAAUACACAACUAUAGUUCUAUAAACAGUCAGAUGAUAUAUUUAGUAAAAAAAGCUGUAAUCUUUGUACUAAUCGAAUGGUAGGUGUCAUAACAGCUACUAUAUCUUCCAAACUUGCACGAUUGUUGUCGUGUAAAUUCAUACAUACAUGACAAAAGUCGUGUAAGUUGCAAAAAUAUAUGACUCAAUAAAUAAUCAGAGGACAUAUUUCUUCUUAAAAAAAUAUUGGGAUCUGAUAACAAUUGGAACAUUUUACAUAUAUACACAAUUAUAGUAUGUAAGUUCAUACGUACACGAUAGUAGUCGUGUAACUUAUUAACACACACGACUAUAGUCCAGUAAUAGUAAAAGGAUAUAUAUAGUGAAAAAAAAAAUAUUUUUUGCACCAAUAGAAUGAUAAAGUGUCAUGAUAAUUGGAAUCUUUUGCACAUUUGCACGACUACAGUUAUGUAAAUCCAUACAUACAAGACUGAUGUCGUGUAUGUCGGGUGCAGAAAAAAAUUUUGGCAACAACUUCAGGUUUUAACGAAUGUAGUUAUAAAAUCCAUCAAAUAACAGUCAUAUGAUGCAAAUGUAAUGAAAUAUGAGUUGCUUUAGUGUUUAUCACAAACCAAACAAAACCCUAAAAAUAAUAUAAUGUCAAUUAAAUGAAUAAAUAACACAAAAUAAAAAAAAAUUUCAAAUACCUUAUUCAUGGGAUGAAUAAUGCACCCAGCUGCAAAUUAAAAUCUCAAUGCAUUAGCUGUUUGUGAGUGAUUUUGAGUAUGGAGUGAGUUUUCGUUGUGUGGAGUUAAAAAAAGUGAGAAGUAAAGAGUGUUAGAGACGAGUUGUGUGUGUUUUAUAUAUUUUUUUAAGGAUAUUUUAAACAAUGUAUCACAUAAAAAGGUAUAUCUAGAUAAUUUUCAAGCAUGUGAUAUAUUUAACUAAAUACCCUACUUUUAAGGUAUCUUUAAUUAAAAACCCUCUUAUAGUUGAUUGAGGGUAUGUUUGGAAUUUCUUUUACUUCCCAAUUAUUAAUUUUUACCUUGAUUAUCAGAAAAUUAAUUUUAUGAAUAAUUUAGCCGGGUGUUUGGUAAAUGAUGAUUAUUUGACAAUCAGUUUUUAAAUAAUCUACUAUAUAAAUCUGGUAAGUGAAAAUUAAAAGUAUAAUGUUCAUGUGCAAAUGACAAAAAUGUACUCAUUUACUUAUUUGUAAUUUAUUUAGAAUAUUAUUAUUAAAUAAUUUUUCUUAUUCAUUGGAUUUUUGAAGAGCAUAUUCUAUUUUCUUGAUUACAUAUUUAAAUAAUUUUUUAUUAACUAUUUUAAUUUGCAAUAAAAAUUAACUAUAAUAUAUUUAACUAAAAAAUUUGUUAUGUAGUCCGUAAUAUACACAAAUACUUGAAUUGAUUAAUAAGCUUAACUGCAAAAAAGAAAAUGCAAAAAUUUAAUCUCUAUAUAAACUUUUAUGUACACAAAACUAUUGUAAUAAAGUAAUUCAUAGAAAUAUAAUAUUAUAUACAUGUGUAAAGAAAUAUAUAACUAUAAUAUUAUCCACUUGUAGCACUAUUAUUUUUCAAUCUCUCCAUCUCUUGAUCUUCAAGAACGUUAGUACCAUGAUCUGCUUCUUGAGUUCGACCUCCAUUUCCACAGCAUCAACAAGGCAAUCAAUUUGCCGUGAAAGCCUUACAGCUCCUCCCACUUUCCUCCUUUUUGUAGCCACUCUUUUUCCCUUUCUUUAUUUAGUAGCUUCUAUGGAAAUGUUGUGAAAAUUUUAAUAUACUCGCAAGCGCACGAAUCUAGAAAUAGAAUAGUAGUAACGAGGUCGAUCCCACAGGGAUUGUUAUAAAUUAAAAAGUCUAAUUUAAAUCUAAAAUUAAUAUUAAUUCUAACCUAGUUGAGCAAAUUGAGUUUUUAAGAAAAUUAAACCAAUAAAACUAAGGAAGCAAUUAAAAUAAAGGAGAAUUCAAUAAGAUAAGAAUUACCAAGGUUUUAGAAUCCACCACUAUUCAACUAGUAAUUAUCUAAUUAUUAAUUAAUCCCCAAUUUUGGAGUGACAACUCGAAAUCAAUCUAUGUCAUCUCAUGGAUAUAACAAUUAAGCCCAAGUAAUUAAAUCUAAUGUAAGUUCUUUUUCUGCUUAAUAAUAUGACAUCUAAGAAUCUCAUGUAAACAUAUUGAAUAACAAAGAGUCAAAGUUUUCCUAAGCACUCUAUGUAAACAAUUUAAUGAAAGACAUAGAAUCAAAGAUAAUCAUGUAUAAACUUUAUAAAUUCAAGCAUAGAUUUAAUUGAAUAUUAAUCCUAACAAUCAAUAAUGCAUGACAGAAUUGAUGAAAAGAUUUUAUUAAUAUCUAAUUAAUCAUGUGAAAUAAAAACCAUAAUCAUCAAAGAACAUAUAUAGGGAAUUAAUUAAAUAAAAAGAUAAUUAUUUCAUUGAAUAGGGUUUCAUCCUUAACCUCAGUAUAAGAAAAUUAGUUAGACAUACUUGAAUUGAGAGCAACAAAAUAAAUAAAUUCAGCCAUGGGGAAGCCGAAUUGCUGCAGAUUUUCUUCUCUGUCUUGAAUCCUUGCGUCUCCAGUUCUCCCUUCUGACGGCUCUCUUGCCUUUAUAUAAUGUUACUAACUUGCUUAAUCCUUAUUGGAUUCUAAUUGCAUUAAUUCUUCUCCACCGACUUAUAAAGCCCACUCACCAAGGCCUUUUAAAAUUAUUUCCUUACUAAACUUUGAAAGCAAAGCACACGUUUGACCACAAAAGCAAAAGGCCAAUUAAUGAUUUCUUCUUUUAAUGCCCAGCACAUGCAUUCCAAAUUGCCAAAUCUUUGCUUUCCAAAUGCAUGCCCACCGUUCAUCCUUUGAAGAGAUUGACUUCCAAUUUUGGUCUUCUUGACUUCCAUUAAUUCUUGGUUGCAUUUUUGUCUUCCAAUUUAAUCUUUAUUCCUUCUCAAUUUGAAGUGUUUUCAUGCCCUUUUUAUCAACAAUCUCCAAUUAAUUCCCUAUUCAAUAAAACAAUUCAAUUAAUUAAAAAUAACAAAUAAAUAUAACUAGCAAUUAUAUUAUUAAGGGUAAAAUAUGUAUAUAAAUUAUGCUCAUCAGGAAACAAACUCAUCGAACUACCAGUACAUUUUUCAAUUAGAUAGGACUGAUAGUAGAUAUUCAGUACUCUCAGAUGGUGUGCAAACAUGAUCAUCAGUGAUUGUUGUCUUAAAAAGCAUUCUAUUUAAUUGUUCCUCUGACUCUGGCAUGCAAAAUUUCUUGAUUCACGAAUUUCCUACGUAUGUUGAUAUCAUAUUAAAAUGAAUUCAAUAUCACAUNNNNNNNNNNNNNNNNNNNNNNNNNNNNNNNNNNNNNNNNNNNNNNNNNNNNNNNNNNNNNNNNNNNNNNNNNNNNNNNNNNNNNNNNNNNNNNNNNNNNGCAUGUUGUGAGCUUAUUACCAAAAAUGAGACUAUAUAUUUAAGCCGAAUGGUAAAAAACUUCGGAUGGAGGAUGUGCCAUCUUUUUAUUUUAGAUGCUUUCGGAUGGAGGAUGUGCCAUUUUUUUAUUUUACAUGCUUUGUAAGACUUUUAAUGAUCGAGUGCAGUCAAUUAACAAAAGCUUACAUAUUAUUUGUUGAAAAUUGAUUUUAAAAAAAGAAGUCAAAAUGAUGGGUGGUUGAGCCUGUUGGGGAAAAAUCAGGUUUUUAAAUUUUUAUAAAACCUUUUGAAGAUCGCUCUCAUAUAAUAUAUAAGAAUUCGUAUUCUAGAAAUCGUACCUUGUAAAUCUGAGUUUGCUUUUUCCGCUGAAGUGAUUUAGGCUCCUAGAUCACGAUCCGCCACCACCACUCCUGUUAGAUCACGAUCCGUCACCACCACGCUUGUUAGAUCACGAACUGUCUCCAAUGAUCUUCCAGGUUAUGACUCAGGUUCGAUCUGCACUUGACGUGUGGGCGCCUUUAUCACUACCAAAGCAACUAGCACGAGAAAAUUUUUCUCUCAAAAAUGGAGAGAAAAAUCUUAUUCUCUGAUUUGUAUAAAGUGGCUUCUCCACUUUUUCUUUAGAGAAAAAUAAGCCUUUUAUAUCACUCUUUAGUGAAAACCCUAGGCUCCAAAUAAAAUAAAAUCAAAACCCACGUUAUUUACUUUUUCAAUAGGGGACCCACCUUGUAAAAUAACAUAAGGCCCGUUAUACAAAAGCUAAUUAAAUGGAGCCUCCCACUAAAUGAUAUAUUUAGGCUUUUGACCCAAAUUGCUAGUUAUCUUACUUAUUAGUCCAGUAGUGGUGCAAUCAAUUAAAUGAGCUAACCCGGGGAUCAUUUGGGAACAUACAAUAGUGGCUACAAUAAUUAGGCAUGUAAUUAAACUAGCCCAAUUAUUUAAUUCCAAAUCUACUCCACUAAAAGAUUGGAACUGACUUCCAUAAUUGUAUGCUCGAAUAAUAAUUCGUCCCAAGCCACAUUGAUUUCUUUACUGCACAAUCCUUUGUACCACAUCGUUAAUUAAAUUGAUAUCUCAACUGUCCAAUCAAUUUAAUAACAUCUUAUUCCUUGAUCCUUACUGGUUUUCUCUAAUGAUCAUUUUCAACAUACUAAAUAUGUUGACACACUCUGGCCAGAGAAUUCUAUGAUCAAGUACCGAAAACCUAUCAAGAGAUGUGUUGUACAAAUUCUAUAUUGUUAAUCCAUAACUCCAAUACUCAUAAUUGCUCCCACCAAGAUACCGGGUAAUCUUGACCACAAGGAUGUGUCGUGCCCAUUGGUAACUCAAAUGGAAUAACAAUCACAAUCAUGAAAUCAUAAUUAACUCAAGAUUAAGAUUACAGUAAAAUCAAUGCCUAUGAGAUUUAAUAAGUCUGACAGUUAUUACAAAGUUAAUUAAAUCUCAUAUGUGAUCCUGUUCAAUGUAGUCGUACUACAUCAAUAAAUUCAUACAUGAUUAAGACAAAUCAUUCAAUGAAUUUAUUACAGUCUAUACCUAAAUAAAGUGCCCAACUUUAUUUAUCAACUGCGAACUAAAUUUAUUUAAUCAUAAGAUAACUUGUAUUUAUGUCUUCUGUGAAUCCACAUGGUGAUCACAUAAAUACAUAUAAUAUGAUUAAAUGGACUUUAAUACAAAUAUUAAUGCAAUUAAGAUAUUUGAAUAAAAUACCUCAUUAAUUUUAUUAAUCAGAAAAAAUGUUUAUUACAAUUAAAUAAACACAUAUGCUUUUAAAGAGCAUAUUUUCCCAACAGAGCCAUCAUCUUUGAAUUCAAAGAUGGUGGGUGGCCAAGUUAGCCACCAUCAUUGAACAAGAAAAAAUGGGUGGGUGCCGCCCAUGCAAUGAAGAAAAGGGAGAAAAUGAAGCCAAAGUUUGGCUAUAAAUAGAGGGGUUCUCCCUCUCAUUUUUGUAUCCCAGAGAAGAAAUCCCAAAAUUUGAGAAGCAAGAAUAUGUAAGAGAAGCAUUGAGAGCUUCCAACAUGGGAGAGAAAUAUUCUUAAGCAUGUAUUUAUAUUGAAAGAGCAUUUGGCUCCUCAAUAUGGGUAUUACGGGUUUGAUUUGUUAAGGAAUAUUUCUCGCAAUUAUGUAUUUGGGGCUUGGGUGAGAGAAAAUUAUUUAUGAGAGUGUGGUUGUAAUAAUUUUCCACAUAGUGAAAUUUUUUUUUUCUGGUUGUCUCUUGACAACGGCUAUGGUUUUUCUCCGGAUUUGGAGUUUUCCACGUAAAUCUUGUGUUGUGUGAUUGUUGUAUUCUCCAUUUAAAUUUUUUGUUAAUUUGUUGCUUGACAAAUUGCUUGGAGUGAUCUUGGAAGGAAACUCAAUUUCCUAACAGUGGUAUCAGAGCCAUUGAUUGAAGUUUUGAUGUCGAGGUACUGUUCACGUAGACAUUACUAUUUCACGUAUACGAUAUUGUUCAUGUAUACGGUAUUGUUCAUGUGAAGCAGUGGGAGCCAAUCUAAAUUGUCCGUGGUGAAGAGUAUAGGGUCAUUAUAAAGCAAAUAUGUCAGUAGCUGGUAUUUUUCAAACUUGGUGGAGUUUGAUGUUGUUCAAAAAUUAAUGGGAGAAUGAUUUUUUGUUGGCUUGUGGAGAAUUCAAGUCAAAGGUGUAUCCAAUCUGGUAUGCACAAAGAUUUGAAGGUGUGGACAAUUUUGGCACCUCAAGAAAAUUGUCAAGAAGGUGGAGCGGGCUCGACAAAUUACUCCAGAAUCAGUAAAAGAAAUACUGAUAUUUCUCGCAGAUGGUGAAUUUGUUUUUGAUAAGAGAUUGGAUUAGUUCUUUUGGCAUGUAGAUCUCCAAGUUACCAUAAAAGAGAACAUGUUAUUAUCAGUGGGGUCCACAAGUUUGCACGAGGGCAUUGGCUUGGUAUAAAUGCAAGGUGUGUGGUGGAAAAGUUAUGUCAUGGCUGAAGAAUUCUCAGUGAAACCAAGCAUGAGAAUUGCACUAUAAAUUUCAGCAGGAUAUUUUGAUAUGUGCCGAGAAAAAUCUUAGAAUAGUUGAUUCUAAGUGGUAUACUCAUUAUGGUGUAGUGUGAUAAUUCUUUAUAUUGAGAAUUAUAACUAUUGGUGAAGACAAUGUUUUGUAGUAGUGACUAUGAAAUUCUUUUUUUUAAUCAUGGUAGAGAUUGUUGAAAAUUGAUUUUAAAAAAAGAAGUCAAAAGGAUGGGUGGUUGAGCCAUCAUCUUUGAAUUCAAAGAUGGUGGGUGGCCAAGUUAGCCACCAUCAUUGAACAAGAAAAAAUGGGUGGGUGCCGCCCAUGCAAAGAAGAAAAGGGAGAAAAUGAAGCCAAAGUUUGGCUAUAAAUAGAGGGGUUCUCCCUCUCAUUUUUGUAUCCCAUAGAAGAAAUCCCAAAAUUUGAGAAGCAAGAAUAUGUAAGAGAAGCAUUGAGAGCUUCCAACAUGGGAGAGAAAUAUUCUUAAGCAUGUAUUUAUAUUGAAGGAGCAUUUGGCUCCUCAAUAUGGGUAUUACGGGUUUGCUUUGUUAAGGAAUAUUUCUCGCAAUUAUGUAUUUGGGGCUUGGGUGAGAGAAAAUUAUUUAUGAGAGUGUGGUUGUAAUAAUUUUCCAAAUAGUGAAUAUUUUUUCUUUGGUUGUCUCUUGACAACGACUGUGGUUUUUCUCCGGAUUUAGAGUUUUCCAUGUAAAUCUUGUGUUGUGUGAUUGUUGUAUUCUCCAUUUAAAUUUUUUGUUAAUUUGUUGCUUGACAAAUUGCUUGAAGUGAUCUUGGGGUGAAACUUAAUUUCCUAACAUUAUUUAGGUGCUGAGAUGUCUGUUCUUGAUAAAGUAGAUUUAUUUACACCCAAGCCAACGUAACAAAAGCCUAAUAUACACAAUAAUUAUUUUUGUUAGACUGAUUUCUAGCUAAUGAGAUCUUUGAAAGCAUUCAAAGAAGCCACAGAACUCAUAGGAAAGCCCUGAUAAAAUAUACGGCGAAGCAUGUGAGCUCGUUUUUUAAUCUCUUGAUCACUCAUAAGCUUUUCUAUACCAAUGACUAUAUCAUUCUUUUGAAUCGAUUUUGAUUGAUCAUUAGAAAUCAUGUACCCCACCUUUAGAUGAUUGAUCACCAAUUUGGCAUUGUAAUGUUGAUCAUCUCUAAUUGGCCAUGCUAAAAUUGGAACCCCACACCAAUGGCUUCUACCAUUGAAUUCCAUCCACAAUGAGAUAAAAAUUCACCCAUUGAUUGAUGAUUCAAUAUCAAUAAUUGUGGCGCCCAUCCAUCUAUUAUCAAUCCCUUUUUACUGGCUUUACUACCCAAACCACUAUGAAAAUAAUUGCCUUCUGCUGGUCUGUCUAAACCAGUUAAAUGACACGGAGGAUCCAAUCUACCAGCACCAGUUUGAAUUACCCAAAUAAAUGGUUCAUUUGAUACUUCUAAAGCAUUGGCUAGUACUAAAUACUCAUCUAACUUGGACCCACUUCGAUACCAAAUGACACAUAUAACACAGAUCCUCAUGAUUUCAAAUCCAACCAUUGAAUGAUCUCAUCUUCGUUCAUGUUAGAACUCCACCGAUUGGUUCUCAUCUCACGAUCACGAAGCACUGAACCCGCCCCAUUUGUAAAAUUGUUCAAGUAAUAAUGGGCCUACUCCCCACAUUGGCUUUCCCAUUCGAUUGACUAAAUAAUGGGAGAUUGCCAAUUUUCCCCUACUAUAAUCAAUAUAUAUCAUUUAUUCAUUUACUAUUUUUAUAAUGGUCAAAAAUCCCCUUGACAGUAUAAGUUUAUAAUAUUACUUUUAUUUUUAAUUGCUCUUUUAUUUAUAUUUAUUAUAAAUAAAAUAAAUCACAUGAAUAAAAAAUAAAUAAAUAAUUAAGUAUUAAAAACAAGAAAUAUAUGUUUUAAUAUGAGCAAAAAAUUUAAUAAUAAAUUUUUCUUGUAAUUAUUUAUUUUGUGAAUAUUUUCUUAUAAUAAACAUUUAUAAUAUUUUAAAAUUAAAUGUAAAAAGAAUAGGCAAAAUAUUUUAUUAUUUAUCUUAUAAUAAAUUUUUAUUUGUCAUUCAAGUUUUCUUAUAAUAGUUUUUUAUCAUUUUAUAAUAAUUUUCUUAUAUAUUUAUUAUAAGAAAAUUUUCAAAAAAUAAAUAAGUACAAGAAAAAAUUACAUUAUUGAUUUUUUUGCUCAUAUCAAAACAUAUAUUUGUUAUUUUUAAUGCUUAAUUUUUUAUUUAAUUUAUAUUCAUGUGAUUUAUUUAAUUUAUAAUAAAUAUAAAUAAAAGAGUAGUUGAAAAUAAGGAUAAUAUUAUAAACUUAUGUUAUCAGGAAGAGUUUUUGGUCAUUAUAAAAACAGGAAGGAGGUAAAUGGUAUAUAUUGAUUACAAUAGGGGGAAAAUUGGUAAUCUCCCCUAAAUGAUUAAUAAAUGGUCCCUCAAGAUCAUCACAGGUGUUGAACAUCAAAGCCAUCCAUUCCUCCACUUCCUUCAUCCAGUGUGGUUGAUCACGGGGUUCGAUGGACUCAUUUUCUCUGAACCGGGCGCACCUCGCAAAGGUAGUGGACCACGAGGAAGGGGCCCGUGAGGCCCGUAUUUAAGCUACGAUUCGAAUAAAGCCAUAUCCUUGGGUAACCCAGGAAGUAAAUGGGCCUCUCCCGGUUUGACAUCUUGGAUGCGAGCCUGCUACAUGGCACACUCCACGCUGCUGAGCAAGCACCAGAAGUGAAGAACCCAACAAUGGGACCUUCAAAAUUCUUGAAAACAUCAGCCGUCCAGCCCAUCAUAACGUCGAUGACUGCACAAAUGGGUCGGGUUUCGGGUUCCCGGGUUGAAAGGGGUUUUGAAGGCCUUGAAGCAUUUGACUGUGCAUGACAACAUGGUGGUGGUGGUGGCAGUGGUGGAGAUGAGGAGAGUAUUUCAGUAAUUUCGAAUAGAGGGUAUUGGUGAAGAGGGGAAGGGAUGAUGCCGGUGCCGGAAAUGUGAGAGGGAACGAAUAUUUUAACAGGGACGGAGCCAGCGUGGGACGAGGUGGGGCACAGGCCCCAGCUGGCUUUUAAUUUUUUUUUAUAAUUAUACUAAAAUAUGUAUUUUAUUUGUUAUUUAUGAAAAAUGUCUCAGCUGAAUUGUAAAAUUUAAAAUUGACUCCAGUAAUUUUAAAAUAUUUCAUACUGUCCCUAAUUUAUAUUUUUAAUUAUAAAUUAUUUAAUUAGUUAUUAACAUUUCAUGAAACUUUAUUAAAGACACGAGAACAAAUAUUAAAAUAAAAAAUAAUCAUAACAAAAUGUUAGUAUAAUGGUUAAUGGACUAGUUUUUAAUCUUUUUAUUUUUUAUUCAAGUAAAAUUAAUUAUUUAGUCUUUCAACACUGACCAUAAGUUGUAAGUCUUCCUAAUUCUAAUUUAUAAUUUUCUAAUUAAUCUUUUAUCUAGUUUUAAAAUUUAUAAUUUUAUCAUGCAUUUCAUAUUUGUUCUGUGUGUUGCAAUAUUUGAAUAUUUUUGUUAUUAUUAAAAGAUUUUAAGAGCAAAUUAAGUAAUAACCUAGUCUUGUAUAUUGAAAAAUAUAUUUUUGCUUAUAUUGAUAAUUCAUUAUUUUCAACUCAUAAAAUCCCAUUGAGGAGAUUUCGCGGAGAACCAUUGUAAUAAGUAAAUUUAUUAUCAAUGAAUAUUAUAGUUGUAAUGCUAUUUAUUGAUAUCUAAAUUUUUAAAAAUGUAUUAUACUUUAAAUAUGCUUUCAAUUAGAUGCAUACAGACGCACUCUAUAAGAAGUACAAUUGUACAUGUAGCAAGCUCCCAUUUAGAGUUUAUAGGGCCCACAAUACAGUUUCUCAAAUGACGACUUAUCACACGAGCAAUCGUACAUUCGAGUCAUCUUUAAUUUUAAAUGUGCCCCAGCUCUAUCAAAAUCCUGGCUACGUCCCUGGGAACGAUGAGGGUAGAUUUGUAAUUACGUGAAGCGAUUUACUUGCAUAAUUCAAUGCAUGGAAAUAGAUGUCCCUGACCGAAGAAUGAGACAAUCCAAAUCUCAGCCUCAGCAGCAUUAACGACAGAGCUUGACAUAUUUUAUUAAUCAUUUGAUACUUAAUUAUUACUGACUGCUUUUGCCACCUUUCGUAAAACAUUCUUGGUUAUAUAUAAAAGAGAUGAUUUGAUGGCGAAGUGUGUGUUUUACUUUUACAGUUUUACUAGUCGGUGAGCUAUGAUUUUGAUAAUUUGAUUGUUAGUUUCAGUUGGUUAGUUAUGAGAAAGCAUCUUUCAAAAAAUUCAUUACAGUUUCAACUAAAAUUAACAAUACUAUUCAAAUUAAUUACUCGAUAAAUAAAUAGUCACAGAUAAAUCUAUCCCUAAUCACACAUUUAUAAAAUAAGGAUUGAAAUGAGUUUCUGUGGCUUCGAACCCACGCCCUCAAGCCCAGCGGCUGGAUCUUGACUACUUUGACAUAAUUAUUAUUAGUUUUUGUCCAUCUUUCACCAGGCAUCUUUUGUUAUAUAAUGAAGAAGAUAAGUUGACGGAGAAGAGUUCUACUUUUACUAGUAGAUGAGCAUUGAAGGUUAGUUUUAGUUAGUUAAAUAUCUACCAUCCAAACCAAAGUUCCUUAGACUAUUAUUCAAGUGAGAUGUUUGAGUAACAUAUGCUUGAGUUAGUCGGUGCCUAACAAUUCAUGUGAUACAUGAAACCAACCAAAUGAAGUUGGUAGGAUUAGAUUAAUUUAAAUGAAAAUAAAAAUUAGUUUAUGCUAUUUAUUUAUCUUAUAAUGUUGAAACUUGAAAGUUAACUCUUCAACCUGUCAAUUGGUUCAUGACAUGAUCAAAUAUUCAAGUAAAUAAAUUUAUCGGUUAAAAUUAAUUUUUCAUGUGGUAAAAGCAAUACUAAAUAUGGAGUGGAGAGAAUCAUUUGUAGGUUAUACCCCCACCUUUUAUUUCAUUUCAUUUAAAAAAAAAAACAACAACAACAACAAAGGCUUGGUCAACAUCCAAGUAAAAUUAACAAUUCCAUGAUAAAAUUGCCUGAGAAUAAAAAUUAAAAAAAAAAAAAAACAGCAACUCGAAAACGAGAUACAAAUACCGCACAGAAGUUUUUCGUCACGAGAUAUUUUUGGGUUGAGACAACGCUUGUAUAACAGAGCAUACAGCUUGGAUGACGGUGAGAAUAAGAAGGAAAACGGCACCGCAGACCGAAAUUCCAGCCCAUGGAGUAUUGAAGUAAUUUUGUUUCAAGUUUGCCCUCCAUUUGUAGCACGUUCUUUUGCAGUGAUCAUUCAAUCCUUUGCAUAGCCCAGAAAAAUAGAAGCUAUCAGACAGCAGAGUAGUACCUCUAGAAAGGUUAUUUAUAAGCGUUGACGCUGCCUCUUUAUCCGGCAACCAGUUCUCAAUGAUUCCGUUCUGAACAAGCAACUCGACGUCCUUCGCUGUGUUCACGAGAUUAUGAAUAAGGAACACGUAAUCAUUUAUGUAAUUCUCUGAGUAAUGCCGUUGUUCAAAGGCAAUGAGAUUACGAAAUAAGGAUUCCGUUUCCAGCUGUAGCUUCAGUUUCGGAAUAUGCAAUGUCCUGUUUUUGAAUUCUAUGGCGAACAAAUCAUUGCUCUUGCUCAAACUGAAGUGGACUCCAGCUUGGUGGAGAUCAGUCACACUUGGUGCGGUUUUACCUUUGUGGUAUUGCUGACCUUCUUGUUUUUCCUGAUUCCUUGAUGAUGGUAGAUGACAAAUCCUUAGAAAAUCAAGGAAAUGCUCUACCCUAGCCUCAGUGUAAGGAGGGAAUUUUUGCCGAUUACCUUGUACUGCCUCUAAACCCUUGAAAUACUCGUAUGUGACUGUGAUGAUGGUUGGAUUUUCAUGUUGGUCGGGGAUUUCAAUUGCCGCUAGAGCAAAAAGAUCCUCAAGAGUGAAGAAAGGAAGCUGAUUCUCAAGCAACCACAUAUCAUACCAUAUAUCCUCUAUUAAAUAGGGUUUUAUGAAAUAUAUGAUCAUCCUUUUUUUGAAGUUGACGGAAAUGAUACCUCAAUAAGAGUUCAAUGAUGAAGGCAGCAUCCAGCAGAAUCAUUUCAACAAAUUUAUCACUACUUAGUUCGACUUUUCUGCAUAAGAACCUCGUAAUUCUGCUUCUCUGAACUUUAUAAUUUGAACAAACUCGUCAAAGCUUAUUUUGGUCCGUUGAAGAAAGUAAUGCAGGUACCGCUGUUUAUGUUCUUCCAUUAACUGUAAGUUUGCUUUGCCAUGGUGAAGAGGGCCAAUUGAGACUACCUGAGGUGUGUAUACCUUUUCAUUUAUCUGACGUAAUCGCUCUGGAACUCUGUAGAUGCAGCAGUUUGAGGGCAAUGGUGAUAAUUUUUUCAACUUAACUUGCAAGCAUUCUUCCAUGUUAUAAACUGAAAACAUGGCGCGAAAUUUAAUCAAUUCAACGCUUAAUAAGGCAUAGUAAUUAAAAAAGAAUUAAAAAAAAAAAAUACAAGAGCAUUCUUACAAGUACAGAAGCACCUCAAUCCCUACUAUUUGCAGAGCUGUAGCCAGGAUUCAAUGAUAGACCGGACUGAACUAAAAGGAACAACUUUCUUAGGAAUAUGUUAUCGGCAUUUUCUCUGGCCUCAGGCCAUCAACAAAGCAGUUUCAGUGCUUCUUAUAUAAUUCCAUGGAUUAUUCCUUGCCUUUACAGAUGAUAUAAGUCACAAUUCAUAUAUUAAUUUCUCCAGAUUCCGUACAAGUGGACCAUAACUAUGGAAAAAUUCAAAGAAUGCAACAGCCAUUUGAUUGGUCCAUGUCAGAAGUUAAUCUGGGGAAAGAAGCUUGAUCUAGCUGUAAAAUUCUCUCCUUCAAUCAGUCAGUUUGGGGCAGCAACAAGAUCAAAGCCACCACGCAAACAUUUACUAAAGUUUAUAUAAUAUUCUUGAACCUCAUCUUAAGUAAAGCAACAAAAGCCUUCACUGUUUCUUAACAACUUUAUUGCUCUAACACAUAGCAUAACAUUUUUAAAUUUGCAUAAAGCACAAUAGUACUUCAGUUUGUAACAACAGCACGGAUAAUAAAUAGCAUUUUAUAGCUUUAACAAAAGCAUACAAAAUUCUUAAACCUUGUUUCAAGCAAUCCAUUAAUGCCACAAGGAUAUCUUUUUGCUUCCUACAGUUUUUAUUGAAAUUCAUAUAUUCUUCUUUAUCAAAUUAAGUAAUUUUCCUUUUUCAAAAAAUCAAGAAGGUUUCGACUGCAUGGAAAUACAGCACACAAUUACUACUAUUCCCGGAGUAAGAAAUUCAUAAAUGCAAUAUAAACAUACAUUUUCAUAAGACAUCAGAAUCAAAGAAUCAUCAAUGCAUCAAAUCUGUACACCCAAAAAAGUUGAAAGCAUCAAGAGAAAAUUAUACCGCAUGGACCCUUUACAACCCUUAUAACGAGUUCAGACAGCCUAAUCCAAUUUGAUAGAUUUGAGGACAGCUACAAUGUGCAAUACAAAAUUUCCCAAUACUAUUUAGAACAAAGUCUAGAAAACAAAACUUAUAUAUUGUACAAAAUCAUGAAAACCAGAAAUGACGAAAAACCUGCAAAUGUAAUUUUUGGGUUUCUUCAACAUAUCUUCCAUCCAAAUCAAACAAGAAUCGAUAAAUCAACAACAUUCAUCUUUAAACGACAUAUUACCACAAUAAAAUUGUCAACCAAGCCUCAUAUAAACCUUUUUUGUGUUUUUUGGUAAAUAUGUUUGUUUUUCUCUAAGAAUACUAGGGAAAAAAGAAACCCACUUUCUUAAUCAAGAAUCAAAUAAUAUAUAUGAAUCUAAGCUGAAGUAAGUCUUGGGUUUGAUGAAAUAGCUUGCAUUGCGAUUUAGAUUGGAAAGGAAGUUGAUUUUUACUGGUUGAGAGAGAGAGAUUUGAGACUUAAGAGAGUGUUGCUAAUCUUCAAUCGUGUAAACAAGGGUAACUGGGUCAUAGUUCAAAAUAAGGGUCCAAAAUUUACUAAAGCUAUUAAGGAGCCCAAAACUCAUAAUGGCUUCCCCAAAAUAAAUAAAAUUUUCUAGCAUUAAGUUUUUGUUUCUUCUUGAGAUUUCCUUGUCGUACUUACCCAUAUUUCGAUAUUGCCUCCAAGUAAACUUAUAUAUAUUGAUUAACAAUAUAAACAAGCACUAUGAAGUUUUAGGCCUGAAAGAACAUUAGGAUUGAAAUGAAAACCAUCUAUUUAAGUAACAAAUUCUUCUGAUAAUCUGAUGCUUAAUUUAGAGAAGAGAUGACAUAUCAAUCACGUUAUGAUGUGGAAGUUAUGAUUAUAUUCAUCUUAGAAUAAGAUCUUUCAGGCACUGGCAGAUUAGUAUAAAAAAUACUCAGCAUAAGACCUACAAACUAGAAAUCACGCACCAAUUAUUGAACUCAGCACAUAAGUUGAUCUUUUAUAAGCUAUAAAACAAAUCUGCUAUAACAUAAGAAAGUGGGAUUUAUCACCAGACAAGUAUUUUGGUGAAACUCAAGCUGACGGAAGGAUAUCCAAAGCAACCUCCUUAAGGGAAGGCAUCACUUCCUGCUGAUGCAAACAUAUAUAUUUAUUACUCACUUUCUUGAGGACCUUCUAGGAACCUGGGUAGCACCUAACAGAAAGUGGAAAAGAAUAAAAUGUAAAAUAUAAGUUAAACAGCAGGAAAACAGUGAGUGAUACUAGGCAAGCAUUAAUAUGUUGCCGCAAGAAAAGUGUCAGUAACUAGCUAGCAAACCUGAAAAGGGUUCCUCCAUUACGACCCUUAAAAUUGUGAAUGUAAUAUAUGGUCUCCAUCACAGGAAAAAGUGUUUUGGAUAGUGCAGCCAGCUUAGGGUAGAAGAAUGACGGAUAAUCUUAGCUCAUUUAAGGAAAUCCUCUCUGAUCCUUUCAUUGCACAUUCCAAAACAACUCUACUACAACCAAGUUACCAAUUCUUUUUGUUAAGUCAUUGUUAUUUGUUAAAAAAAAAAAAAAGUCUUCCUUGUAACAUUUUAUUGAAAGAUAUAACAUGAUCAUCCCUAUUAAUUCCCUUUUAGAUUUCUGUGAGUGAAUUUCAAAUUAUUGUAUUAAAAAAUAGAAGCAAAAGACCCACUUUACUUUCAAUUUCUGCAACAAGAUACCAAUUGAAGGACCAAAAAGUUGUAAACAAGCAAUUCAAUGAGUGGACAUCUAGAAACUGCUAUAUAGCAUCAAAAUCAUACUAAAUUUACAGAAAGCACGAUAAGAAUGAAAGAAUGGUGAAGGAUACACCCAGACCUUAUCCGGUCAAGUUCUCCAUUGAAUAUAAUCAGUUUCCGGGCAGUAUUGAAGACAGCUUCUUUGUAAAGCUCUUCAACGACAAGCAUUUCUACAAGACAAAAGAAAAGCAAAAUUAAUUACCUUAAGGAAUGAAUAUCAAUGAGAAGACAAGGUGUAAGACUACCAUUGACAUUAAAAUAUGGAUAGGCGACUAGAAACAAUUCAUCUUCCGGCUUCACACGGUCUGCCAUUUUAACCUUCUCAGUGAAUCCAAAAUCCUCAAAGAAUGAAGGUUUUGUUAGAUAGUCCAACUUAAAUGAUGAUCCUUCAAAGACCGAUUUUCUUGCAAAUUUGACUUCAUUUGCCUCUGGGAAAAACUAAAAACCAAAUGACAGACCAAGAUCACGAAACGAAUCAUGAACGUAGAUAUCAGAUAAUCAGAAAUGGGCAUUAAACAGACUACUAACAAGUAGGAAAUGCAUACAGAAAACAUUAUUCAUACACCUUAUGCACAUGAAAUAUAUAUGCAGAGGGAUCCUCUUGUGAAUUUAGUUUAUAUCCUAAUAUGAGACGAUGAACAAUUGGAUGCCAUCUAAGGGCUAACAUUUGUUUGAUUAUUAUAUGAAAAAAAAAAAAAACAGAGUUGAUUGAUGGCCUUUGAUGGAUUGCCUACACUCCUAAAGUGCAGAGAGCCUGAUUGAUUGCUUUACCUGCCCCCCACACACACUUGAUUUUAUUAUCUCUCUUUUCAAAUAUAUAAUCAUUGCCUGUCUUUCAUCCUGAUCCAGCUCUCCUUCCAGGCACCAGCUGUGUUUUCUUCAAUUCAGUGAAACAUUCACUUUCAGGUAAGAAUAAACUUGUCCUUCCUCAAAAACCAACUUCUCACCAUGAAGCUUUCUUUUUUAAAACAAUUACUAGUCUAGCAUAAUUGAAGACAACUCAGAAUUGAAAAAGCCAUACUUUAAUGUCUGCUGUUGGGACCUCAAGACCAGGAACAAAAAGCUUCUUUCUAACCGUUGGAUUAACAAGUAGAAAUAGCUUUUUUCUGAAGGACCCAACAUUGCAUUGAAAAAUUCAACAAAAUGACUGGCGUCAUAUUUAGUCCUGCUAGAAUUUUGUGCACUUAACACAAUGGCUAAUAAUUGGCCCAGCGGACACUUUGUCGAACUACUGGCAACCUUGACUGUGGAAAUGCAUAUUUCAAAUGUUGGCAGGCUCUAGCUUCUUGAUGUACUGUUGAUAGAAAUGCCUAUUUCAAAAGUUGGCAGGCUCAAACUGCCGAGACUUUGGUUUCUUACAUUUCAAACCCACAAAUAAAACUUUGGCAGAACCCCAGAAAGAGCUACACCUCCCAAAUUUGAUGACAUAUGAGGAGACCAUGCCUAGUGCUUGGUUCGGCAAAUGAGUAAGUUUGAAAGAAAUUGAGGGAAACCUUUCCCACAGAGAGUCAUAUUGAAGGUUACAAUUUGAAGACUUUGUCCCCUGUCGCCCGUAACCUUCUUUGAUCUCUUUUCUUAGUCAUAAAUAAUCAAACAUGUGUUAGUCGUUGGAUGCAAUCCACUCACUGACAUCUCAUGUCCACAAUCAAUCAACCAUAUUUUAAUAGAAAUGAAAACAUUUUAAUUAAAAAAAAUGAGAUAGGAACAAAAUCAAACUUGGCAGACAUGGUCUAUGAGAUUUUAAAGAUGCUUGGUGAAAGUUGUAUUCAAGAGUUCAACAGUCAGUUCUAUCACCUAUGGCAAAGUAACCACCGCAACUAAAGCAAUUACAAAACAUCAAGAAGCUUGAACUUGGCAAGAGGUCUCAUUAACAGUAUACCUCAGAAAUUAAGACAGACUUAAAGUGCAAGCUUUUGGAUUUAUUUAAACACUGAAAAUAAUAUGGGUAGAAGCUCCUAUGGUCACAGCAAACAAUUACAAAGCACAAAACCCAAAAAACAGAUAUGCAAAAAGCUGCAAAAGAACAUUAUUAGCAAUUGACAUCUGCUUUUGCUCAGACAAAGGUUCUCAUAACAAAGGACUUAGUGAUUAUCUGUCAUAUGUUUAUGUUAAGGGGAAAAAGGAAGUUUGUUUUAGUCAAUCUCACGUCUAAUGGCAUUUAUAAGGAGCCCAAAAAUAAAAGAAAAAAUAAAGAGUUAGUAGGUGUUUCUUGCAGCACAAAGAAAAUUUAUCAUUCAUGAAAAACUUAGUAUGGAAAAAGCUAACUCAUUUAUCUGCCAAUGGAGAAAAACUUGUUGUCCACCCACUAAGGACCCACCAUUGGCAGGUCUGAUGGAUCCCAUGGAUGGGAACCGCAAAUAUUUUAUUCUAAAUGACAUGUGUAUUGUACCCAUAUCAUUUAAUUUGUAGAUUCCACUGAUGGAACUCAUCAAACUUGCCAAAUGGCAGGUCCUCCGUGGGUAGGCGCAUCACUUCAGCAUCCUUCUCCACCGAUGACCAAAUUUGGACUCAUUUAAAAAGAAUACAAAGCAAAACUAACUGACAUAAAUUGCAUAGAGAUCUAGGAGCCAAAUCAAUGUUGUUAACUCAUCCAAUUAAUACAUUCUCUUAGAGGCAGGGACGGAGCCAGCGUGGGACGAGGUGGGGCACAGGCCCCAGCUGGCUUUUAAUUUUUUUUUAUAAUUAUACUAAAAUAUGUAUUUUAUUUGUUAUUUAUGAAAAAUGUCUCAGCUGAAUUGUAAAAUUUAAAAUUGACUCCAGUAAUUUUAAAAUAUUUCAUACUGUCCCUAAUUUAUAUUUUUAAUUAUAAAUUAUUUAAUUAGUUAUUAACAUUUCAUGAAACUUUAUUAAAGACACAAGAACAAAUAUUAAAAUAAAAAAUAAUCAUAACAAAAUGUUAGUAUAAUGGUUAAUGGACUAGUUUUUAAUCUUUUUAUUUUUUAUUCAAGUAAAAUUAAUUAUUUAGUCUUUCAACACUGACCAUAAGUUGUAAGUCUUCCUAAUUCUAAUUUAUAAUUUUCUAAUUAAUCUUUUAUCUAGUUUUAAAAUUUAUAAUUUUAUCAUGCAUUUCAUAUUUGUUCUGUGUGUUGCAAUAUAUGAAUAUUUUUGUUAUUAUUAAAAGAUUUUAAGAGCAAAUUAAGUAAUAACCUAGUCUUGUAUAUUGAAAAAUAUAUUUUUGCUUAUAUUGAUAAUUCAUUAUUUUCAACUCAUAAAAUCCCAUUGAGGAGAUUUCGCGGAGAACCAUUGUAAUAAGUAAAUUUAUUAUCAAUGAAUAUUAUAGUUGUAAUGCUAUUUAUUGAUAUCUAAAUUUUUAAAAAUGUAUUAUACUUUAAGUAUGCUUUCAAUUAGAUGCAUACAGACGCACUCUAUAAGAAGUACAAUUGUACAUGUAGCAAGCUCCCAUUUAGAGUUUAUAGGGCCCACAAUACAGUUUCUCAAAUGACGACUUAUCACACGAGCAAUCGUACAUUCGAGUCAUCUUUAAUUUUAAAUGUGCCCCGGCUCUAUCAAAAUCCUGGCUACGUCCCUGCUUAGAGGUCAUACCUUGGUAACUCAUUUGAAAAGAAAUUAAAAGAAAAACGACUGCACAAAUUGUACUGAGCUCAAGAAAACCUGUUCAAGGUGUUCACUUGUCCAACUAAUAAAAGUCAUCAAGGAUUGUAUCGGGGACUUGGGACCAAUCCUGCCUUAACGAGAGAAAGGGAAUUUAGGAGGAAGAAGAUAACCUCUUUUCCUAGAACCCUUGAGAAAAUUAUUGAAGAAAUAUGUAUCUCCUUUUCUUAUUUUUACAAUAGGGUUACACAAUACAUAUAUAUAUAUUCUAAACUACAUAAUGUGCUAGAGUAGGAAAGUAAACAACUAACUGCAGACCAAGAAACUAGGAAACAAACUCUAUCUAAAAAACUGAAAUUCUAUCCCUAUCUUUUUUCUUUUCUAUCCCUAUCUUUUUUCCUUAAAAACAGGAUAGAAAACAAGUGACUUUUCCACACUCCCCCUCAAGCUAGUUCGAAGAUAUCAAUCAUUCCCAGCUUGCUAGUUAGUGACUCAAAGCUUGAUUUAUGAAGUCCUUUAGUAAGAAUAUCAGCUAGCUGCUUUGUUGUUGGAACAAAGGUCAUGCAUAUCAAACCACUUUCUAUUUUCUCCUUGAUAAAAUGACGAUCCACUUUGUUGAGUGUUAGAAAAUGCAUAUUUAUAAAGGAGAAAACCAUCAUUUUACAUUUCAAGUCGUACUAACAACUCUUACUUUUAUGUAUUUAACCUUCUUGUGAUAUAAUUACGUGUGUUUUAUUUUAAUUAAGUAUUUUAUGUAUUUUAGGGGCAUUAUAGUCAUUUCACAAUAAAGGAGAGAUUAGACGGCAAAACGGACAUCACUUUUGAACUCAGGACGGUCGAAAACCUUAGGAGGAGCAUAAAAGGAAAAAUGGCACUAUUCAUAUGUACGGUACUAUUCGCGUGUACGGUAUUAACUACGUUACUGUUCACAACACUGUUCACAACACUGUUCACAUAGACGGAUCGAUGACGUGGCAUUGACCGAUGAUGUGGCAUUGACUGAUGAGGUGUCACGAUCCUGUUGGGCUAAAAUUCUUAUGUACUGUUGAUGGUGACGUGGCAGCAUAUCAGUGGAUGAAAAAUCUCGCGUACGGUACAUGCAUCACACAUGAUUAUUCUCAACCAAACCGUGUUACUGUUUAUCCGAGUCAAACCGUGUUACUGUUCAUCCACGUGGUCAAACCGUGGACUGUUGACUUAUGACGUGGCGCAAUCCUGAGCGUCCAAACUGUUUUUAAUCUGAUGGCCAUGAUUUACUCCAUGUAUCUAUAAAAAGGGGGCCUUCCCCCCCUAAUUUGAUAGCUCUGAAUCCAUUUUUGGGAUCCAUUUUCUGUAAUUCCUUCUCCAUCUUGUAUUUUCUUUGUAUUUUAAUAAAUUCCCAUUUUGCCCCUAGUUCAAUUAUGAGUGGCUAAUUUUCUUUCAAGCUUGGGUUGAAGGUGAAGUCUCAACAUGUGUCAUGGGCUUAAUUUGGUAAAUUUAUUUUCUCUUCCCCUCUAGUUUUUGUGGAUGUUUUGACUUCUCGUCGACAAAUAAUAAUAAUCUUGUCUAGAUACCGCCUUGGUUACACCGGCUCUCUAGUAUAAGGUUAUUAUUAUUUGGCACGAUAAGCCCUUAGCACCAUAUUGAUUAUAGCGUGGUUCAUGAGGUGUGGAUUCCCCCCUCAUGAUUUAAUUGGCAUUAAUAAAGAUUAUUUAGCCCAUGAUGCAUGUUGAUACGGAUCCAGAUACCCAAGUACGUCAUUUUAAUAGAAUUCUCUUCAAUUUAUUCUCGCCAUUUCAAUUCCAAUUUUAGAAUUUAUUCUCGCCAUUUUAAUUUAAGUUUUAGCAUAUCCCAAAUCAUUUCCACCACAAAUCCAAUCACCCAUUUACAAAAUUAAUUCUACACAAUUAAAAUCCACCUCCUCGUGGGAUCGACACUCGUCACCAUUAGUCUAUACUACAAUAGAUUCGUGCGCUUGCGAGUACAUUAAAAUUUGCACAACAAGUUUUUGGCGCCGUUGCCGGGGAGGUAAGUAAUUUUAAUUCAUAGAAUUAAUUUUUGUGAAUAAUUUCUUUUAUUUAUUUUCUUGUAUUUUUUUUUAUUAUUAAAAAAAAAAGUAAAUCUACAUUUAAAGGUUAGUAUUUCUUUUCUUUUUCUCUUCUUUAAAAUUCUGUAAUUUAAUUUUCAAUUUAUUUUUCUUUGUAAUUUUUUUUUGUUUAUUUUAUUAAUUUAUUUUUAGUUAAUUUAUUUCACGUAUUUAUUUUUGUGUAUUUUUAUAGUAAGGUUGUAAUAGCGCAAUAAGGUUAGUAUUGUAAUUUCUCUCUCUUCUUUAUUUUUAUUUGUUUUGUUCCAUCUUUAUUUUUAUUUUAUUUAUUUUGUAUGCAUGGUCGUAGGUCUUUAUUACCUAAUCUUGAACCUAUAGACCUUGAACUUGAGAAAACACUUCGCACACACAAGAACGUUAAAAAUAAAUUUGAAAUGGAUUUACAAGCACCACAGGAGAGGCCAUUUAAGGACUAUUUUAGUCCCUUAGCUAAUUUGAGCACAUCAUGCAUAAGAUACCCAAAUGUAGCUGCUAGGAGUUUUGAAUUAAAACCUAGUGUGCUAAAUUGUCUCCCCACAUUCUAUGGCCUAGAAAAUGAGGACCCAUAUAAUCAUCUGAAUGAUUUUCAUGCCAUUUGUCAAACUUUUAAAUAUGAAAAUUUUUCAGACGAUGAUGUUAAACUUAGAUUAUUCCCAUUUUCUUUAAAGGAUAGAGCUCGUUCAUGGUUAAAUACUUUGCCUGCUAAUAGCAUUGCAUCAUGGGAACAAAUGGUUACAAAAUUUCUAAAUAAAUAUUUCCCAGUGCAUAAAACCAAUUCUAUUCGCAGGGAAAUUUCAGAGUUUACACAAAGAGAGGACGAGCAGUUUUUCGAAACUUUGGGAGUGAUUCAAUGGGCUACUCUUGAAGUGUCCACAUCAUGGGUAUGAGAAAUGGCACCAAUGCCAAUACUUUUUGGAGGGAUUAUUGCCAAAUGUGCAAGAAUGGCUAAUGGCAACAAGUGGAGGAGAGCUAAUGUCAAAAAGCGCAACAGAGAUUUGGGAAUUCUUCCAGCGACAAGCGGAUAAUUCCCAACAACGGAGUCGAUCACUCAGGAAUACUAGAAGAAUUAAGGGAGUAAAUGAGGUUCAAAUUGGCGAGUCAACUUCGGGAAUCAAAGAAGUCAAGGAGAUAGUUGAAGGUCUUGCUCGACAAAUAGCAUCGUUGUCGACUGCUAAAUCAACAGAACCACAUGACCAUGACUCAUACUCCGAUCAAGCCAAUGCCAUAGGUGUAAUGAGAAAACCAUCGAAUUACAACCCAUACUCCAACACAUAUAACCCUGGAUAGAGAGACCACCCCAAUUUUUCAUGGUCUCAAGGAUUCCAACAGAAUGGACCAGCAGCUCCAGCUCCACAAAUUCCUCAAGUUCCUCAAGCCUCUCAGCCCCCAUUUAGACCAUUUAAUCAGAACCAGAACUACUCUCAACCCAGACCAUGGGAGGAUUCAUUCCAGAAUCUCAAGAAUCUUACUCACUCCACGAUUGAGCAGCAGAACCGCACCGUUGAUGGACUACGAAAUGAGUUGAGAGCAGGCUUCAACUCACAAGAUCAAUCAGUUUCAAACCUCGAGAAAAUGGUGGGACAACUUGCUUCUUCAGUUCAGACCUUGGCAAUGACUGUUGAGAAAGGAAAAUUUCCAAGUCAACCAGUGCCUAAUCCUAAAGGAGUGCAUGAAGCAAGUACCAGUUCACCACAGCAGCAUGGGGAGGUCAAAGCAGUCAUGACCUUGCGAAAAGGAAAGGAAGUCGACAACAAAGUGGAGAUGCCGGUGACAAAAGAAAAUCAAAUUGUACCUGUGAAUGUUGAGGACUCACCACCGGAGGAAAAAGAAGAAACCAACCCACGAGAAUAUGUUCCUAAAGCUCCAUUUCCUCAGAGGUUAGCGAAAGGAAAGAAGGGAAAUUCCACAGGUGAGAUUCUCGAAAUCUUCAAACAGGUAAGUGUUAACAUCCCUUUACUUGAUGCUAUAAAGCAAGUUCCAUCUUAUGCUAAGUUUCUUAAAGACCUUUGUACUAAAAAGAGAAAUAUGCAUGUUCAAAAGAAGGCAUUUUUAACAGAAAACGUUAGUUCUAUACUCCAACAUAAAAUUCCUUUAAAAUGCAAAGACCCAGGCUCCCCCACUAUCUCAUGUAGUAUAGGGAACCACACAAUUGAGAAUGCUUUGUUGGAUUUAGGAGCUAGUGUAAAUCUUUUGCCUUACUCUGUAUUCGUGAAACUUGGACUGGGAGAAUUACACCCAACUCCAGUGGUGUUACAGCUUGCAGAUCGGUCCACGAAAAUACCUCGUGGUAUUGUGGAGGACGUGCUUAUCCAGGUAGACAAGUUUUAUUUUCCUGUUGAUUUCAUUGUAAUUGACACUCAACCAAUACAGGAUUCAAGGAAGCACAUCCCCAUUAUUCUAGGCCAACCUUUCUUGGCAACUGCGGAUGCUCACAUUCAAUGCAGGACUGGAAAUAUGCAAUUGUCCCUCGGCAACAUGACUAUGGAGCUGAACAUCUUCAAUAUUGCCAAACAACCUCAUAAUGCAGAUGAUAGAAUUGUAGACGUGGAUUUAAUUGAAGCAUUAGUUGAUGAUACUUUUGUUUCAAACCUUAGUGAUGAUCCUUUACAAACAUGUUUAACUCACUUUGGUUUGGAUUUUGAUAUUGACAGAUCGGUCGAAGAGGUCAACGCCCUGCUUGACUCAGCACCAUACAUGGACACUAAUAAAUGGAAGUUAAGAGUUGAACAACUAGCACCAUCAGAGAAGAAACUCAUCCCAUCAUCAGAAUCACCACCGAAACUCGAGGUCAAACCAUUGCCCAACACAUUGGAAUAUGCAUUUUUGGGAGAAGAAAUUACUUUGCCGGUAAUCAUCUCAUCAUCCCUAAAUGACGAACAAAAAGGUAAGUUGUUGGAUGUUUUAAAAGAGCACAAAGGAGCAUUAUGAUGGACCAUAGCAGACAUAAAAGGUAUAAACCCAGUAGACUGCAUGCAUUACAUUCACCUUGAUGAAAAUGCUAAAUCUACUAGGAAAAUGCAACGUCGGUUAAAUCCUAAUAUGAAAGAAGUUGUUAGAACAGAAGUCCUUAAGCUAUUAGACGCAGGUAUCAUUUACCCAAUUUCUGAUAGUUCAUGGGUCAGUCCUGUACAAGUUGUCCCCAAAAAGUCAGGAGUCACAGUAGUUACGAAUGCUGAUAAUGAAUUGAUACCCACUAGAGUAACUACAGGAUGGCGUGUAUGCAUUGAUUAUAGAAAGUUGAAUUCUGUCACACGUAAAGACCAUUUUCCUUUACCAUUUAUUGAUCAAAUGCUUGAUAGAUUAGUAGGCCAUGAAUUUUAUUGCUUUCUAGAUGGCUACUCAGGAUAUAAUCAGAUUCCCAUAGCACCAAAAGAUCAGGAGAAAACUACUUUCACUUGCCCUUUUGGCACAUUUGCAUAUAGGAGAAUGCCAUUUGGAUUAUGUAAUGCACCUGCUACAUUUCAACGAUGCAUGUUGAGCAUUUUUUCUGAUAUGGUUGAACAAUUCCUUGAAGUCUUUAUGGAUGACUUUUCUGUUUUUGGUAACUCGUUUGAUCAAUGUUUACAUCAUCUAACGCUAGUUCUGCAGAGAUGUAUCGAGAAGAAUUUAGUCUUAAAUUGGGAGAAAUGCCAUUUUAUGGUAAAACAAGGUAUUGUUCUCGGUCACAUCAUUUCGAGCAAAGGUAUUGAGGUUGACAAAGCCAAGGUGGAUCUCAUUUCUAAUCUUCCUCCACCUAAAACAGUCAGAGAAGUACGAUCUUUCCUUGGACAUGCUGGUUUCUAUAGACGUUUCAUUAAAGAUUUUAGCAAAGUUUCUAGACCCUUAUGCAAUUUACUUGCUAAGGAUGUACCUUUUAUCUUUAAUGAUUCAUGUCUCAUGGCGUUUGAAAAAUUAAAGCAAUUGUUGACAUCAUCACCCAUCAUUCAGGCCCCAAACUGGAGCUUACCAUUCGAGCUCAUGUGUGAUGCAUCUGAUUAUGCAGUAGGAGCAGUAUUAGGACAAAGAGUUGAUCGAAUUCCCCAUGUUAUUUACUAUGCUAGUAUGACAUUCAAUGAUGCACAGUUGAAUUAUUCAACUACUGAAAAAGAAAUGCUAGCAGUAGUGUUUGCAUUAGAAAAAUUUCGAUCUUAUCUCAUUGGUUGUAAAAUAAUUAUAUUCACAGAUCAUGCUGCUCUUAAAUAUCUUCUCACAAAGAAAGAUGCAAAAGCUAGACUAAUUCGUUGGGUAUUACUUUUGCAGGAAUUUGACUUGGAAUUCAAAGAUAAGAAAGGCACAGAAAAUGUCGUGGCGGACCAUCUCUCUCGUCUCCAUUUUGACACAAUUACAGAGCCAUUAAUAUUAAAUGAGUCAUUUCCAGAUGAACAAUUAAUGAGUGUGGAAGUAUUACCUUGGUAUGCUGAUAUAGUUAAUUAUCUUGUUACAGGUAAACUUCCAGAGCAUUGGACCAAGCAAGACAAGGCUAAAUUCUUUGCGGAAAUAAAGAAUUUCUUUUGGGAUGACCCAUAUUUGUUCAAGUAUUGUGCAGACCAAAUUGUUAGACGAUGUGUCCCUGAAAAUGAAAUUCAGAAUAUUCUUUCAUUCUGCCAUGAACAAGCUUGUGGAGGCCAUUUCAGUGCUAAGAAAACAACGACUAAAGUUUUACAAUGUGGUUUCUAUUGGCCAACUAUAUUUCGAGACGCUUACACUUUCUGUUCUUCAUGUGAUAGGUGUCAACGAAUGGGGAGCAUUACACGAAGGAACAUGAUGCCACUAAAUCCAAUUUUAGUGGUUGAGAUUUUUGAUGUAUGGGGUAUCGACUUCAUGGGACCCUUUCCCUCUUCUUUUGGCCAUCAAUACAUAUUGGUUGGUGUUGACUACGUCUCAAAAUGGGUAGAAGCAAUUCCAUGUAGAACCAAUGAUCACAAAGUGGUGAUAGGAUUUUUGAAAAGCAACAUUGUCUCACGCUUUGGAUUCCCUCGAGCAAUAAUCAGUGAUGGUGGUGCCCACUUUUGUAACAAAGCAUUCAAAGCUCUUUUGACAAAGUAUUCAAUCACACACAAAGUGGCAACCCCUUAUCAUCCGCAAACCAGUGGCCAAGUUGAGAUCUCCAAUCGAGAAAUAAAGCAUAUAUUAGAAAAGACGGUGAGGCCAGACAGAAAAGAUUGGUCAUUAAGACUUGAUGAUGCAUUAUGGGCAUAUAGAACGGCUUUCAAGACCCCGAUUGGGAUGUCACCCUACAGGCUAGUGUAUGGAAAAGCUUGCCACCUACCUGUGGAACUCGAGCAUCGUGCAUAUUGGGCCAUCAAGAAAUUCAACUUUGACAUGCAGCAAGCCAGCUCAGAAAGAAGAUUACAACUGGCAGAACUUGAAGAAAUUCGCAAUGAUGCAUACGAAAAUGCCAAAAUUUACAAGCAACGAAUGAAAGUCUUUCAUGACAAGCACAUUAUGAGAAAAUCGUUCACUCCAGGUCAGAAAGUGCUUUUAUUCAAUUCUCGCUUGCACCUAUUCCCAGGUAAGUUACGCUCUCGAUGGUCUGGUCCAUUUAUUGUUCAUACUAUUUUUCCACAUGGGGCAAUUGAAAUUAAGGACCCAAAGAACGGUGUCACGUUUAAAGUUAAUGGUCAAAGAUUAAAGCCAUAUCUUGAGUACCAACCACAUGGAGAAGACACCGAAAUAAAUUUGAGUGACCCACCAGAUUUGAAUUGAUUUUUUUUCUUUUUGUUGAUUUGAUUUUUCUUUCUUUUUAUUAUUCUUUUGCUAAUUGAAAUUAUUUUUGCAUAAGUGUGUUUGUUUUACCAUUAAGUUUUCUUUUCUCUUAUCAUUGUUAAUCAUGAGUACCAUACUUAGACCGUUCCUCCUGAACAUUCUUAAACCACUUCAACGUGUCAAAACUCAUCUCAAAAAGCAGAUUCAAUUUUGUAAAACACAACGCAUUUGGGCUCUACAACCACCAGAGUUAGUAGCCUAUGUUGAGGGUUUAGAAUGCCAACUCAGAGACAUUGAGAGAAGUGUUUACGACAUCCAGUUAGAGCUUGAGGUAAAUUCAAUAAGAGGACGAUUUUAAUUUUCUUUGUGUGUUUUAAUUUGUUUUUCUGUUUGUGUGUUUUAGUUUGUUACCCCGGUGAAAUGGCGGAUAACGGUACUCCGUGACAAUCAAGUCGGUUACUUCAGUUUCCCAUAAUAACUGACAUUCUGAGGCGAAAGUAUGGACAGAAAAGAGAUUCUAGCAAAGCUUCACAAGCGAUUCCCUUCACUUCCUCAGAAUGCCCUCCUUACGAUCUAUAAAGCUCGGUCCGAACGCAUGCGAUUACUCAUGAAGAAUAACAUACCUGCUGACAUCCGUUGGUUAAUCGAGGCUAAAGUACGAUCGGCAGGUGAGUUUCCUCCAAAAUUUAUUGCAUACAUGCCUGGUUGUGGUAAAGGAAAUUAUGCAAGAAAACGACGAGCUCGAAGAAUUUCUGUUGCUUGUCAUAAGUGUGCUAGAAUGAGUUGCGAUAGAAACCCAUGUUCUUUAGGAAUGGUGUCUGAUAACAGGGAAGAUAAGAUUUAAUUCAUUAGGGAUGGCUUGAAUAAGGAGUCAUUGGAUGAUAUCCUUUUGUCUCUUGAAACGCAUCCUAGUGGAUAUGUGCAAGGAGCGAUUCUCCAGUUAUGGCCAUUAUUCCAGAAAGAGCAUGCACGAUAUAGUCUCGGGAAUCUGACUAUAAACGACCCUGUUUGCCAGUUUAUAAGAAAACUGGAUAGGAAGCCUAUCCUCGACCCAUAGAGGGCGUUCAAGCCGUUUCUGGACGUAAAACCAGAGGAAGAUGUGAGCCACAGUCGCAACUACGUGUAAAUAUCCUUUUACUUUACUGUUAUUUUAUUUCAUUUCACUGUUGUUUUAUUGUUUGCAUUAUUGUCUUUAAUAAUUUUGUUACUGUUUGCUUUUUCCUUUUUACUGUUUCCUUUUUGACUCACGAGCCACGUGCUUAACGCGUUAUUUGACACUGACAUGCCACCCCAUACACAGUUGUGACCCACUGUCACCAAGAUUCUUAAAUAUGACUUUUUGUUAAGCACUCACAAAUUGUUUCUGAGAAAUAUUCCAAUGGCAGCUACUCCUAAUAGACAAUUCAAGAACAUUUGUGUGCUUUCUGGAUUUACCUAUGGCAAACAUAAAGAGUUCGUGGAGGCAGCCAUAGAUCUUGGUCGAAGCAUAGCAGCGAGAAAAUUACACUUGGUGUAUGGAGGAGGUAACCGAGGGUUAUCAAAAAUGGUCUCAGAAGCAGCUUUUAUCAGAGGAAGUCAAGUGUUAGGCAUCAUCCCAAGAGUCCUAAAACCAUUGGGCAGUUCGUCUGACUCAUCAACUGGAGAAGAGUUAGUCGUCUCAGGUAUGCAAGAAAGAAUAACUGAAAUGCUUAAUCAUGCUGAUGCUUUUAUUUUCCUUCCAGGAGAUCUUGCAACACUAGAGGCACUUAUGACACUAGCAUCUUGAGCCCAUCUACACAUUCACCAGAAACCCAUCGGUUUGUUAAAUGUCAAUAACUUUUAUGAUGGCUUUAUCGCAUUUCUUAACCAUGCAAUAAAAAACUAUUUCAUUCCUUCUAAUGUGAAAAAACUCUUUAUUUGUGCUCACACUGCUAAUGAGCUACUUGAUAUGUUACAAGCUUAUAAACCGGAGCCAGACCCCUGGACCUUUGUGUUGGAGCGACCAAAUAAUGAUGGUAACAGUAGCCGCAGUAAGAAGUACAAAUUAGAUUUAACUCUCCGCCUGUAAAUAUUUUCUUCUGUGUUGCACCACCCAGGUGAUGUCUUCUAAACUCUACUUCUUUCAUUUCAAACAUUGAGGACAAUGUUUCGUUCUGGUUGGGGGGAGGGAAUAGUCGACAGUUGUGGAAUCUUGGUUAAAUUUUUACUGAUUUUUUGUUGUAGAAACUAACUGUUGCUAACUUUUUAUGUUGAAGAUGGCUGAAUAUGGAGUGUAGUGACUCUAGAAACGCAUUUUCAUCGUUUAAAAAAAAUUAAAAAAAAACUAAAAAAAAAUUUCAGACAGUUUCUUUUUUUUUUCUUUCUUUAUUCUGUUUUUAUGUUUAUUUUUCUUCUUUUUAAUUUCUCCUCUAUAAAUAUACAUUUUCCAACUUGUGAGUCGAAGAUGGCUGAAUAUGGAGUGUAGUGCCUCUAGAAACGCAUCUUCUUAAAAAAAAAAAAAAAAAAAACCCAUUUUCUUUUUCUAUCAUUUUACGUGUAACUUUUCUAAUUAGUUUUUAUGCAUCAUUUUCACAUUUCUGCAUGCAUAUUUUCCUUUCAUGUUUAGAAUAGGUUGGGGGGUAGAAUGUUGUUUAAAAAAAAAAAAAUUGUGUUAUUUGUUUUAACAUUGGAUGACAUGAUUAAUUUCAAAUUUUAGUAUUUGUAUUAUCUUUGGUCUUAAGUGAUGUUACGCUAUGUUUGCUACUUUACAUGUUGAUGUCGGAGACAAAUAUGAGUUGCUUGAAGGAAUGAACAUGUCAUAAAUAAGUGCCAAGUGAGUUGUUGAGCCUAUCAUUUUCUUGGAGAGUAACACUUUUGCCCAUUCUCUAUACAGCUUAGCAGUUUAUUAGUUUAUACACGAUCUCUAGAUUUCUUUUGAGUUAACCCUUUAAAAAAAAAUGUGUGUUGCUACAUUGGGAGACCCAUCUAACUAGUAGAUAUGGAUAAUUAUUUAGAGCCCUAAAAGACGAUGGAAAGGCCAUAUUUGAUCCGUUUGAGCCUUUCUAGCCAUCCCUUUUAUUAAAUAUCCAUAGUUACCCCUUUUGAGCCUUUUUUUAAAAAAAAAAGAGAACAAAAACAUUUUCUUUGUCAACUUAUCAUCUUGACCCACUCCGAUUUGGAGUAUUACCCAAUGUCUUUUAAGUUCCAUCACCUAUUUAUGUUUGAGAAAAUGUAAAUAAUGAUGUUGUUCAGUGAAGUUAUGCCAAAUAAAAGCAAAAAAAAAAAAAAAAAAACAAAAGUUGUUGUUUCAAAAGAAUAAAAAUAACAAUAAUAGGUGAAAUCCACCUUGCAACUUCAAAAAAAAAUAUAUAUAUUUCUGCAUUUUUCUCAAACAUACACUUUGUUUUCCUUAUUUCCUUUCUUUGUUAGCCAUAUCCCUAGCCUACGUUAUGUCCUAAUAAAAGUCCUUCUUGAUUUUAGGGAACUAUAGUUUGAAGUAGAAGCUAGUUAUAUGGGCUAAAAAGAUGUAGUGAUGCAUAAUAAAAAAAAAAAAGAUAAAUAAAGUGGGUUGACUAACAUUUUAUUUGACUUGAGAUCGUAUUAUUUCUAAGCUAAGGGCAUAUUUAUUUCAUCUUGGUGAGAGCAUGUGAUAUCACUUCUUCAUUAUUUUCUCUCAAUUACCAUUCAUUGGAGUGACUAUUUUUUUAGGUUUAAUUUCUUUGUGAGAGUGUCACUACUUCCAGUGAGAUUUUGGGUUUUGACAUGUCAUUCUUGAAAGUAGUUAUAACAAAGUCUACUGGCCGAUUCAUGUGGAUGGUUGAUGUGGGUGUGAUGUUGUUUUAGACUGGAGAUAAUACUUAUACUUUUAUUUGAUUGCUAUCAUUAAUCUGAUUGAAUAAACACGAGUGUUUCUAAAAAAAAAAAAAAAAAUUAUUUUGAAUUUGAAUUUUGUUUUCGCUUUAUUUGCUAGGGACUAACAUUAAGCUGGUUGGGGGGUGUGUUGAGUGUUAGAAAAUGCAUAUUUAUAAAGGAGAAAACCAUCAUUUUACAUUUCAAGUCUUACUAACAACUCUUACUUUUAUGUAUUUAACCUUCUUGUAAUAUAAUUACGUGUGUUUUAUUUUAAUUAAGUAUUUUAUGUAUUUUAGGGGCAUUAUAGUCAUUUCACAAUAAAGGAGAGAUCAGGCGGCAAAACGGACAUCACUUUUGAACUCAGGACGGUCGAAAACCUUAGGAGGAGCAUAAAAGGAAAAAUGGCACUAUUCAUAUGUACGGUACUAUUCACGUGUACGGUAUUAACUACGUUACUGUUCACAACACUGUUCACAUAGACGGAUCGAUGACGUGGCAUUGACCGAUGAUGUGGCAUUGACUGAUGAGGUGUCACGAUCCUGUUGAGCUAAAAUUCUUAUGUACUGUUGAUGGUGACGUGGCAGUAUAUCAGUGGAUGAAAAAUCUCGCGUACGGUACAUGCAUCACACAGGAUUAUUUUCAACCAAACCGCGUUACUGUUCAUCCGAGUCAAACCGUGUUACUGUUUAUCCGAGUCAAACCGUGUUACUGUUCAUCCGCGUGGUCAAACCGUGGACUGUUGACUUAUGACGUGGCGCAAUCCUGAGCGUCCAAACUGUUUUUAAUCCGAUGGCCAUGAUUUACUCCAUGUAUCUAUAAAAAGGGGGCCUUCCCCCCCUAAUUUGAUAGCUCUGAAUCCAUUUUUGGGAUCCAUUUUCUGUAAUUCCUUCUCCAUCUUGUAUUUUCUUUGUAUUUUAAUAAAUUCCCAUUUUGCCCCUAGUUCAAUUAUGAGUGGCUAAUUUUCUUUCAAGCUUGGGUUGAAGGUGAAGUCUCAACAUGUGUCAUGGGCUUAAUUUGGUAAAUUUAUUUUCUCUUCCCCUCUAGUUUUUGUGGAUGUUUUGACUUCUCGUCGACAAAUAAUAAUAAUCUUGUCUAGAUACCGCCUUGGUUACACCGGCUCUCUAGUAUAAGGUUAUUAUUAUUUGGCACGAUAAGCCCUUAGCACCAUAUUGAUUAGAGCGUGGUUCAUGAGGUGUGGAUUCCCCCCUCAUGAUUUAAUUGGCAUUAAUAAAGAUUAUUUAGCCCAUGAUGCAUGUUGAUACGGAUCCAGAUACCCAAGUACGUCAUUUUAAUAGAAUUCUCUUCAAUUUAUUCUCGCCAUUUCAAUUCCAAUUUUAGAAUUUAUUCUCGCCAUUUUAAUUUAAGUUUUAGCAUAUCCCAAAUCAUUUCCACCACAAAUCCAAUCACCCAUUUACAAAAUUAAUUCUACACAAUUAAAAUCCACCUCCUCGUGGGAUCGACACUCGUCACCAUUAGUCUAUACUACAAUAGAUUCGUGCGCUUGCGAGUACAUUAAAAUUUGCACAACACACUUCAACAUGUUUAGUUCUGUCAUGAUGAAUAGGGUUAUGAGCAAUGUUUAUUGCUGCCUUGUUGUCACAAUACAACUUCAUAGGAACAUCAAUGAUAAUCUUCAAUUCUUCAAGUAGCUUCUUUAACCACAAAAGUUCACAAAUACCAUAUGCUACUGCUCUAAAUUCAGCUUCAGCACUGCUUCUUGCAACCACUGAUUGCUUCUUACUCCUCCAAGUUACCAAGUUUCCUCCCACAAAUGUGCAAUACCCUGAAGUUGACCUUCUAUCAAUAAUAGAUCCAGCCCAAUCUGCAUCAGUAUAUACUUCAACUUGCAUAUUGUUAUUUUUCUUGAAUAGCAGGCCUUUUCCUGGAGUUUUUUUCAGGUACUUGAGAACCUUGUAAACAGCUUCUAAGUGCUCUUUACAUGGAGAGUGCAUAAAUUGACUAAUAACACUUACUGCAAAGGCUAUGUCUGGCCUAGUAUGAGACAAGUAUAUCAACUUACCAACCAACCUUUGGUAACUUUCUCUAUCCACUGAUUUUCCUUCAAUUGCAUAUCCCAAUUUGUGAUAAGGAUCAAUAGGAGUGUCUCCAGGUUUGCAUCCCAACAUGCCAGUUUCCUUGAGUAAGUCUAAAGUAUAUUUCCUUUGAGAAACAAAAAUGCCUUUACUGGAUCUUGCAAUUUCCAUGCCCAAAAAAUAUCUUAAGGGGCCAAGGUCCUUCAUCUCAAAUUCUCUAGCAAGAACCUUCUUGAGAUUUUCCAUUUCUAUUACAUUGCUUCCAGUCAAGAUGAUAUCGUCUACAUAUACAAUGAGGAUCACAACACUACCAUCAGUGAAGUGUUUAAAAAACAUUGUAUGAUCUGCUUGACUCUGUAAAUAUCCAAAGCUAUGAACAGAUUUGGUAAAUCUGUCAAACCAAGCUCGAGGAGAUUGUUUUAAGCCGUAAAGUGAUCUCUUCAGCUUGCACACUUUUUCAAUACCAUAUUCAUUCUCAAAACCUGGUGGCAGAUCCAUAUAUACCUCUUCUUCAAGCUCUCCAUUAAGAAACGCAUUCUUAACAUCUAAUUGUUGUAGUUGCCAUCCUAAGCUUGCUGCAAGAGACAACAAAACCCGAAUGGAAUUCAUUUUUGCCACGGGAGCAAAUGUUUCUUGGUAGUCAAUGCUAUAUGUUUGUGUAAAACCUUUCGCGACAAGCCUAGCUUUGUACCUCUCAAGUGACCCAUCUGCUCUGUAUUUAACUGUAAAAAUCCACUUGCAACCCACUGGUUUUUUUCCUUCUGGUAAUUUAACUAGUUCCCAAGUUUUGCUUUUUUCUAGAGCUCUCAUCUCUGCAUACCCAGCAUCUCUCCAUUCUGGAAUAGAAAGAGCAUCUUGUACAGAUUUUGGAAUUGCUAUGACAGACAGGUUAGCUGCAAAAGCUCUAAAAGAUGGAGAUAAUCUAUGAUAUGACACAUACUUAGAAAUUGGAUGAAGAGUACAAGACCUAGUUCCUUUUCGUAGUGCAAUUGGAACAUCUAGAUCAUUUGUAGUUUCUAAAACAGAUUCUGAAAUAGGAUUAGAAUGAAUGUUACCUGCAAGUUCCAAGUUGCCUGUGUUUGGAUCCGAGUCUUGGCAGUGAGGAGAGGAAUGAUGAUUUGACCUUUUCGAAUUCCGUCGUGUGUAGACUUGAAGCUAUGGUUCUGGAACUCUCUCUAAUGAUUUUUCAUUAUUCAUAAUUGAUGGCAUUGUAGAAGGAACAUGAGGUACACAAGACAUAAUAGGCAUUGGAAGAGAUAAUUCCCAAAAAUGAUCUUCCGGAGUAUGAUUCUCCCCCUGAAGAGAAGUUUUGGGAAAGAAAGAUCUAUUUUCAAAAAAUGUGACAUCCAUUGUGAUGAAGAAUUUUUUAGACAAUGGAUCAUAACAUUUGUAGCCUUUUUGAGUAGGAGAAUAGCUAAGAAAUACACAUUUUAAAGCUCUAGGAUCAAGUUUGCUCAUGUUCUAUGUAUGAAUGUGAACAAAAGCAAUGCACCCAAAAAUCUUGGGUGGUAAAGAUGUGAAAAACUUAGCGGUAGGAUAGAAUUUUGUGAAAACAUUUAAUGGAGACUGAAAAUUAAAGAUUCGGGUAGGCAUGCGAUUUAUCAAGUAUGAUGCUGUGAGAAUGGCUUCACCCCAAAACUGUUUUGGCACCCUAUUUGUGAACAUAAGAGAGCGUGCAACUUCUAACAAGUGUUGAUUUUUCCGUUCAGCAAUACCAUUUUGCUGAGGAGUAUCUACACAAGAGGAUUGGUGCACAAUGCCAUUUUCCAUGAAAUAAUGACCAAGGGCAGUAGAAAAAUAUGCUCUCCCAUUGUCAGUUCUAAAGACUUGGAUUUUUGCUUGAAAUUGUGUUUGAAUCAUGGUAUGAAAGGUUUUAAAAACUGUUGCAGUUUCUGAUUUUUCUUUAAGCAAGUACACCCAACAAACACGAGUGUGGUCAUCAAUAAAAGUUAUGAACCAUUUAGCCCCCGAAAUGUUUGUAACAUGAGAGGGUCCCCAAAUAUCACUGUGUAUGAGAGAAAAAUGUUCAGAUUUUUUAUACGGCUGUGAAGGAAAAGAUACACGAUGAUGUUUGGACAAUACACAAAUUUCACACUGAAACAAAGAAGGAUUUUUAUUCUUGAACAACAAAGAAAACAAGUGUUGUAAAUAAGAAAAACUAGGAUGACCUAAUCGGAGAUGCCACAACAUUAUUUUAUCUUUAAUAGAGAAAGUUAGUUCAUUAUUUGUUGCCUGAGCUUCUCCACACAAACUAACAUCCUCCUCGAAGUAGUACAAACCAUCUACCUCUCUAGCACUGCCAAUUUUCUUCCCUGAACACAGGUCCUGAAAUUCACAAUAGGAAGGAGAGAAUUUAGCAAUGCAAUGAAGAUCCUUGGUAAUUUUGCUAACAGAUAAAAGAUUACAAGACAAAUUAGGAACAUGAAGAACAGAUGUUAACACCAAAUUUGUAGAGAUAGGAAUAGAUCCUUUUCCUGCUGCAGAAGAUAGUGAACCAUCAGCAAUUUUAAUUUUUUGACUACCAGGACAUGGAAUAUAUGAAUAAAAUAAUUUAGAAUGGCUAGUCAUAUGAUCGGUUGCUCCUGAAUCGAUGAUCCAUGGAUCUUUUUUCUCAUAAACAACUCCUAAAGCACUGAAAUCAUUACCUUUCUGGGCUAAAGAACUAGAAGAUGAAGGAUUUGGGAGAGAUUGUGACUGAUUAAGAAACUUGUACAGUUGCUCUAACUGUUCUUUAGUGAAGAGUUGAGAUUCGGAUUCUCCAGUGUUGAUUGUCGGCUGAUUCUCCCCAAAAACUUGAAAACCUCGACUAUGUUUACCAGAGAAUUUAUUGUUUUUCAAAUUUGGAGGUUUUCCAUGAAGCUUCCAACAUGCAUCUCUGGUAUGUCUUGGCUUGUGACAAUAAUCACACCAAACUCUGUCCUUCUCAUCACUCUUCUUCAGGUUUUUUGUUCCCCCAAUCAGUGGAGCUUCUGGUGUAACAGAGAUCAAGGCUGAGUUCUCUGCUGAAGAACCUCCCAUCAUCACAUUCUUUCUACUUUCCUCUCUUUUUACAUAAGAAAACACUUCCCUGGUAGAAGGAAGAGGUUCCUUGCCAAGUACUCGCCCACGGACUUCAUCAAGGUCUGAACUCAAACCUGCUAAGAAUUCAAAUACACGCUCUUUUUCUAACAUCUUCUUGUAUUUAGCACUAUCAGCAGCACAUUCCCACUCGCCAUCAUAGUACUGAUCUAACUCUUGCCAUAAGCCCUUCAAAAUAUUGUAGUAUUUAGUCACUCCUUGACUACCUUGUUUGGUUUCUCGAAUUCUGGUUUUCAGAUCAUAAAUCUGAGCAGAAUUUCCCAAAUCAGAAUAGGUCUCGGUGACAGCAUCCCACAAAUCCUUUGCUGUUGGCAGAAACAAGUAAGUUUGACCUAUCUCCGAUUCCAUUGAAUUCACUAACCAUGACAUGAUCAUUGAGUUGUCAGCAGCCCAAGUAUGAAACUUUGGGUCUUCUUCAGUUGGUUCUUUAAUUGAACCAGUAAGGUAACCAAUCUUCCCUUUACCUCUGAUAAACAUCUUCACAGAUUGGGACCACUGAAGAAAAUUUUGACCAUUCAAUUUAUGGAUUGUGAUCUAAAGUGAUGGACUAUCAUUAGAAACAUAACUUGAUAGUUGUAGAUGUCGUUGCAAUUGCUCUGAAGAUAACUCAGAAGUUUCUUGCUCGCUAUACUUUGAUAUUGGUAUUCAAAUAGAAUUGAAAACUAAAUCCAAGAAUCAAAGAGCGACUCUGAUACCAUGAGAAAAUUAUUGAAGAAAUAUGUAUCUCCUUUUCUUAUUUUUACAAUAGGGUUACACAAUACAUAUAUAUAUAUUCUAAACUACAUAAUGUGCUAGAGUAGGAAAGUAAACAACUAACUGCAGACCAAGAAACUAGGAAACAAACUCUAUCUAAAAAACUGAAAUUCUAUCCCUAUUUUUUUUCCUUUCUAUCCCUAUCUUUUUUCCUUAAAAAUAGGAUAGAAAACAAGUGACUUUUCCACAGCCCUUUUGGACAAAAAUGAUUUCCUGCUAAUUUUGAGAAUAAAACCAUAGACAUCUAACUUCUGAUAUCUAGUCAAUCUGGUAAAAUCUUGGCAGUUGCACUUGGGGCAUAAAUUAGUUCCACCUUGGUUUAAGGACAGAAAUUCGUCAUAUGCAUGUAUUUAUUUAUGUUUUAUACACACACACAUGCAUGUACACACAAACACUACCUUCACUUUGAAGAAAAGAUUAAAAUAACACUGCUCACAUACACAAUACUUACUAUUCUAGUUCGUGUAACUUUCUCCGGAGUCACAAACAGGUCACAGAAUUCACGUAUUAACCGCAUACUUCUAGUCAUUUCUAUUCCUCCUUCACCAUCACUUGUCCCACAAUUACAAAAAGUGAGAGGUAAUAACCAACAUAUUUGGGUUGCUCUUCGGUAAGGGGUGGGAGGUAAGGGUUAGUUGUGGAGGGCACCUAGUACAGAAUCAAGGCCAGCUGUUGGGAAUUUGAUCUCCUGUAACAUAUACUUGUUCAUCAUAAACUAUAUACUUAUUCUGCAGUCGAUGUGUGCAUAUAGCUCUUCAAUUAUCCAGUAAUAACUCACCAUCAACUUCCUGCCAUCUUUCACGGCUAAUUCAGCAGCCAUUUUUGCCUGCUUAAAGGUCAAAAGCCCAAACUAAGCAGAUGCUCCUACUCCGAUACUUAUUAUCUAACUACUACAGAACAGAUGAUACGCAUCAAGUUGUAUCAAGAGAGACACCAAGUUGUGUUUUCCAAGAGGUUCCAAAGAGGUUUUGUUUCUUUGUGUAAUUUUUAGACUGCUUUGACAACUCAUCUUAAAGGUGCCACUCAUCCAAUAUGAUGUGGUGACAGUAGUUUAGAGUUUUAAACUAAAUGCAGAGCUAAUAGUAUUUUGGAAUAUAAUCAUCCUAAGAUACUAUAACACAGGGAUUCUUACACAAAAACAACAACUUCGAUGUAGAGAGAAGAUGAUUUCACAAAAGCAGAUGUUUUGAUUUAAGUCUCCAAAACCCCCACCAAAGAAAUGUUCAACAGAUAUAGAAAUAUGAUCCACAUAUCUGUAACUUAAACUGUGAAAGUUGUUGAUGUUGUUCUAAAAUUGCCACAAUCUAUCUACCCCAUGAAUGUUUUUGGAUAAAACAACAAGCAGGACCCAAUGCCUGUUUUCUAAUAGCUUCAAAAAGGCCAAAUUGGUUUUGAAAUGUCUCCAGCUUUUCAUUUAAUAAGAGAGAGAGAGAGAGAGAAGAAUCGCUCCCCUUUCAAAUACCGUGCUCUUUUGUACCUGGGAAUUUAACUAAUUCUUGCGAAUAAAAAAAUUUAUAAAUUUGGUAAAUUAUUUAUUAAAAAAUAUUGAGAGGCUGUGCAUUAUUUUAUUAGUAAAGAUAUAGUUAUCAUCAAAUUAGUUAUAUUAAAAUAGUUUUUGACUCACGUAAUUUAUUUUUAUUAUUUUUAUAUAUAUAUUUAAUUAAUAAAUUUAUGUUAUAUUCAUUUGUAUAAAAAUGUACAGUUCUAUCCUCACUCUUAUUUUAUUUUUAUUAUUUUUUCAGAAAAUGGUAUGCGUUAUUAAGGUUAAGGGUGACAACUGGGAUCAAUAUACGGUUUAUUCGAGUGCUUAAAACCUAAUAAAUAUCCACUAACUCAUAUUUAAUUAAAAUAUAAUUAUUUUUAAAUAAAAAAAUUUAAUAUAAACUAAACAAAUUGAUUGGAUUUUGUUUCUAAAGGUACAUCAUUAGAACGUUACCUUUAAUUGAACAAAAGCACACAUAACUAGCACAUUCGCCACAAAAGCCUCAGCUUAGUGGUCGGCUUAUUAAUUAUCUUAAUAAAAUCAUGGUCAUAAAUUUGAGUCCCCGUAGGAAUUAUUAGGUUAGGUAGCUUUUUUAGACUACAAAAGCUUUUUUAGACUACUCAUUCAUUUAAUUUUCCGUUAUAUAUAUUCAUCUUUUUUAGAGGCCAAGAAGUCUUCGACAGAAAUGUGAUCUUUUUCUAGUUGCCUCCCGGUGAUGAGCUUCUCCCAAGUUUCAAUUAAUUCGCUUUGAGUGAGGAUAUUUUCUGGUGGCCUCAAAUACAAUGUCUUGUUCAGCACUCAAGGGUCAUCUAUUGUCUUAAUAGUAUAUGUGGCAACAUCAUCAAGAUGCACUAUAGAAAAAAAGAUAAUCAUUUUGUUUAAUAUGAACAUAAAUUCUUACAGUCUAACUCAUAUUAUAGUGAACGAUGCUGUUAUGUGGUGCGUGCAUGCACUAUCUAUAGUUUUAAUAUUAUUAAUAAAGAGUUAAAAGUCUUGAUUUAAUUUUAAAUUGUCAUUCCUCUAACUUCACCGUCUUCAUAGAUGCAGACUUUAUCUUUUGAAGGGUGAGGGUAGCUAUAUUUGAGAGAGGUGUCUAGGGAACCAACCAGCAAAAAACAGCUAGCAGAAACAUAAAUGACAGGGAUUUGAGCAGCCUUGAUUGCCCUUCUCACACAUGCGCUCUGCGUUCUCCCUCCCGCUCUCACUCACUCACGCCCAAAUCUCACCUCACUCACGCAUCUCUCCUUCUGACCGGUGGUUUUCUCUCUCUCGCCGUGGGUCUCAAGGCUGGCAGGGAUUUCUCGACUUGACUACUAAAACAUAAUCCAAAAACUACUAAGAGAUGUAUAUAUUACUCUGAUAUACACAAUAUGAAGAAACUGCAGUUAUAUUUCAAAUAUUAUAUGAAGGAAGAGGCUGUAUGGAUUAUCUAAAGGUGCUGAAAUUAAGAGACCUAUUGAAAAGUCAUGCAUGUGGUAAUUUUUCAAAGAGCUACCAAACAUUUGAAGAAAAAAUGGAAAGUUGGCAAAUUUGUCAAAUUUGCCAAAUGGACACCAUUGACUAUUGGCUUAGGUUAGGUGGAAUGGUAAAGGGGUUGGUGCAAUAGUGCCAUUAUUUUUCCUAUAAAUAGAUGGCACUUUUUCCAUUCUUUUGCAUCCCAAAAUUGUUAAGCUUAUAAGUUUCUAAGCUUUUGAGAGAAGUGAGAGAAGUGUGUCUGGGGAAUUUAUCUUUCCUGCAGAGUGUGAGAGUACUGGGUAUAUUUUGGGUUUCUGGGAAGUGAGAUUCGUUACUCAAAUAUUGUACUCUAUUAAUUGUUAAAUAAACAAUUAUUCUUUCUUGCCUCCGUGGAUGUAGGUUUAAUUACCGAACCACAUAAUUCUUGUGUCCUUUAUUUUUUCUAUAAUUAUUUGGUGCGCUUGAUUCCGCAUUCCAAGCACAACAAGUGGUAUCAGAGCCGAAGGUUCGUACUUGGGGGGAUACGGUACUGUUCACGUAUACGGUACUAUUCCCAUAUACGGUACUGUUCACGAAUACGGUGGAGACGGCCAUUUGUACUUGGGAGACAGUCUAUUGUAAGUAGUGUGUAUUUUUGCAUGUUUAGGAAAGUUCUGUCAACAAAGGCGAUAAGAGUCUAAGGAUUCUGGUUUUUAAUUGGGACCGAGUUCCCGUCCAGUUUCUUGGGAACUUUCCUGGUGCAUUUAUUCAUGCGAAAUUAACAUCAUAGAGACUGUUUUUCAAGUGGAAAUAGUUCGUUGAGAAAAUGGUAGAAGGUGAAACUUCCAGAAUUGGGGAGAGAUCUACCGAGACUAUUUCAGGAGACACUUCAGGUGGGAGACGAGAUUUGUCAAAUCGCUAUUCAGCACCUGUUAUAGGAGGUCAGAAGAUCGAUGUUGAAAAGUUUGAUGGGAAAAUCAACUUCGGCAUGUGGUGGCGCGAAGUUAUGGAUGCCCUUAUUCAAAUCGAUCUCGAUGUUGUUCUGAAAAAUAAAAGACACUUGUAUGAUGAAGAAAUUUGGGAUCGUAUGAAUGAAAAAGCUUGUGGUUAGAUCAGAUCUUGUUUGACCAAGGAGGUGAAAUACUUGGUGAAAGAUGAGGAGUGUGCGGUAACUUUGUGGCGUACAUUAGAGGAAAAGUACUUGGUGAAAAGUCCUGAAAAUCGCCUUCAUGCAAUGAGCCAAGUAUAUGGUUUUCGAAUGAAGCCUGGGGUGUCAAUGCACGAUCAUGUUUCAAGAUUUGAAAAGUUACUUGCUGAUUUGAAGAAUCUUGAUGAAGAUAUUAAGGAUGAAGUCAAGGCUAUGAUUCUGUUACACUCACUACCAGAGGAAUAUAGCCAUUUUGUGACUACUUUGAUAUAUGGGAAGAGUGUGAUCGUCUUCAAAGAUGUUUGCACAACAUUGACUAGCUUAGAGAUUCGGAAUAAUGAUAAAAAUUCUGAACGAGCAUCGUCUGAAGCUUUAGUGAGCAGAGAUUGGGCGAUGGAGAAACAGAAGAAGCGUGGUGGAAAGAACUCUCGAUCCAAAUCGAGAAGCAGAAAUAUAGCUCGAGAUGAGUGUGCCUUUUGUCAUGAAAAGGGCCAUUAGAAGAAAGAUUAUCCAAAUGCUCAAAAGAGAGAUGGGAAGAAACCAGCAGCAGCAAACAUGGCACGGAAAGAUGAGGGAUCUGAUUAUUCACUAAGUAUUACUCCUGCAGCAUACGUGGCUAGUUCGAGCGAGUGGAUACUUGAUACUGGAGCAACCUAUCAUUUGUGUCCCAUUAAGGAAUGGUUUACGGAUUUCAACGUAUUGGAAUCUGGUGCAGUUGUGAUGGGGAAUGAUCAACCUUGUCGCACAAUGGGGAUAGUAACAAUUCGGCUCAAAAUGUUUGAUGGAAUGGUCAGAGAACUCAAAAAGGUUAGAUUUGUUUCAGCUUUAAAGAAAAAUCUAAUUUCUGUGGGUGCUUUAGAAGCUAAAGGCUACAAGGUUACCAUUGAAGAUGGUAUAAUGAAGUUUACACAUGGGGCUAUGGUGAUUCUGCAAGGGGUUCGGCGUCACAAUCUGUACUAUUUGAAGAGAGGUACAACUGAUGAAGCAAAUGUUGUUGAGGCACACAGUGACACCACCAAGCUAUGGCAUGUACGACUAGGACAUGCUAGAGAGAAGUCUUUGCAAACUCUGAUAAGGCAUGGACUCUUAAAAGGUACCAAAACCUGUAAAUUAAAUUUUUGUGAGCAUUGUGUAGUAGGCAAGAAAACAAGGGUUAAGUUUGGUACAGCUAAUCACGAUACUCGUGAGAUCCUUGAAUAUGUUCAUAGUGAUGUAUGGGGACCAACCAAGACUGCAUCAAUUGGUGGAAGCCAUUAUUUUGUUACAUUUGUUGAUGAUUUCUCUAGAAGUGUGUGGGUGUACACCAUGCGAGCAAAUGAUGAGGUUCUAGAGAUUUUCGUGAAAUGGAAGAAAUUGGUGGAGACUCAAACUGGAAGAAAGAUCAAAGUAUUACGAUAUGAUAAUGGGGGUGAAUAUACUUCUGAUCCAUUCUUGCAAGUAUGCCAGAACGAGGGUAUUAAAAGACAUUUCACAGUGAGACAUACUCCGCAACAGAACGGUGUGGCUGAGCGUAUGAAUCGUACUUUACUGGAGAAGGUAUGGUGUAUGUUAUCUAAUGCUGGUUUAGAUAAAAAGUUUUGGGCUGAAGUUGUGAGCUACGCAAGUCACUUGGUAAACCGGUUGCCUUCUGCUGCAAUUGGAGGUAAAACUCCUAUGGAAAUGUGGUCUGGAAAGCAUGCACAAGACUAUGAUUCCCUUCGUAUAUUCGGGUGUCCAGCUUAUUAUCAUGUCAAAGAUGGUAAACUAGAUCCUCGUGCUAGAAAAGCUAUCUUUGUGGGAUUCAAAGGUGGAGUAAAGGACUUCAAGCUUUGGGAUCUCGAAGAUAAAAAGUUUGUGUGUAGCAGAAAUGUCACAUUUGAUGAAGCUUCAAUGAUGAAAGCUUCAAGUUCUCAGCAGGUGGAGAACAAGACCAAAGAGGUAUUGCUGCGGGUGGAGUUUGAUGCAACUCCAUAUGUACCAGUUAGUUCUACAUCAAAGAAGAGUUCAACUAUAGAGGUGACACCUAGAGUUGAAGAAGAGGUUGUUUCUUCUGAUGUCCCACAAAAUGAAGAAACAAUUGAUAAUGUAGAUAAUGAUGAUUUUAUAGCAACAAGGAGGCUAAGAAGAGAGAUAAAGAAACCCGGAUGGCUUACUAAAGAUAUGGUGGUAGCCUAUGCACUUCCAGUUAUUGAUGAUGACAUCCCCAACACUUUCGGUGAAGCAUUACGCAGCAGUGAAAGUGAUCAGUGGAAGUUAGCCAUGGAGGAAGAGAUGAAAUCUCUCCAUCAAAACCAGACUUGGGAACUUGUAAAGUUACCAAAAGGGAAAAAGGCUAUUGGCAAUAAAUGGGUCUACACCAAAAAGCAAGGAUCUCCGAAUAAAAUAACUCCUCGAUACAAGGCAAGGCUCGUGGCAAAAGGUUUUGCUCAAAAGGAAGGUAUUGACUACAAUUAAGUUUUCUCUCCAGUUGUAAAACAUACUUCCAUUCGUAUCCUACUUGCCUUAGUUGCAGAAUAUGAGUUAGAGUUGGCUCAAUUGGAUGUUAAGACCGCGUUCAUACAUGGAGAUUUGGAGGAGGAAAUCUAUAUGAUUCAGCCUUGUGGUUUCAAAGUUGCUGGAAAAGAGAAUCAUGUGUGUAGGUUGAUUAAAUUUUUGUACGGACUGAAGCAAUCGCCAAGGCAGUGGUAUAAAAGAUUUGAUCAAUUUAUACAAGGGCAGAAAUUCACCAGAAGUGAACACGAUCAUUGUGUUUACUUUAGAAGACUACCAGAUAGAGCUUUCAUCUAUUUGUUACUCUAUGUCGAUGAUAUGCUUAUAGCUUCGAAGAAUAGAGAUGAGAUCGAAAGAUUAAAAAAGCAACUGGCUUCUGAGUUUAAGAUGAAAGACUUGGGUGAUGCACAGAGAAUACUUGGGAUGGAGAUUCGUAGAGACAAGAAGAAUGGGAGCGUAUGGUUGACUCAAAAGUCUUAUUUGAAGAAAGUGCUAGAAAGAUUCGGUAUGGAUGACAAAACUAAACCAGUAUGUACACCUCUAGCUUCUCAUUUCAAAUUAAGCUUUUCUUCAUGUCCUAGAUCUCAAGAGGAGCGUGAUUAUAUGGCUCGUGUUCCAUAUGCUAGUGCUGUGGGUAGUCUUAUGUAUGCUAUGGUAUGCACAAGGCCCGAUAUAUCUCAAGCAGUGAGCAUGGUUAGUAGAUACAUGCAAAAUCCGGGUAAAAAUUAAUGGCUUGCGGUAAAGUGGAUUCUCCGAUAUCUGUAUGGGACAGUUGAUGUUGGGUUAUUGUUCAAGAAGGAUUGUGGUCAACAAUGUGUUGGGUAUUGUGAUUCUGAUUUCGCUGGAGACCUUGACAAGCGAAGAUCAACAACGUGCUACGUAUUCACAUUGGGUGGAGGUCCGGUUAGCUGGAGGUCGAUUCUACAAUCGACAAUUGCUCUGUCCACUGCGGAAGCAGAGUAUAUGGCAGCAACUGAAGCUAUAAAAGAAGCUAUCUGGUUGAAAGGUUUAUUAGGUGAUUUGGGAGUAAUCCAGGAGAACAUUGCGGUCUUAUGUGAUAAUCAAAGUGUGAUAUUCCUUGCGAAGAAUCAAACAUAUCACGCUCGGACGAAGCACAUAGAUGUGAAAUAUCAUUAUGUGAGAGAGAUUAUCGAGAGCGGUGUUGUGUUGUUGAGAAAGAUCGAUACCAAAGAUAAUCCAUUAGAUAUGUUGACGAAGGUAGUUUCUGGAGUUAAGUUUCAACAUUGCUUGAAAUUAAUUCAAAUCCUUCGAUUGUGUUAAGAUAUGUCCUUCGGGAAUUUUGAACUACGGUUGGCUUGAUCCCAAAUUUUGGGUACGUAGGCAGUCAUAGAGAUGCAGCCACUUUGGGGAUGAUGAUUGGUUGGUAGUCGGCUCAGAUUUGGACAAAUUUUCACCGAGGUGGAGAAUUGUUGAAAAGUCAUGCAUGUGGCAAUUUUUCAAAGAGCUACCAAACAUUUGAAGAAAAAAUGGAAAGUUGGCAAAUUUUUCAAAUUUGCCAAAUGGACCCCAUUGACUAUUGGUUUUAUGUUAGGUGGAAUAGUAAAGGGGUUGGUGCAAUAGUGCUAUUAUUUUUCCUAUAAAUAGAUGGCACUUCUUCCAUUCUUUUGCAUCCCAAAAUUGUUAAGCUUAUAAGUUUCUAAGCUUUUGAGAGAAGUGAGAGAAGUGUCUGGGGAAUUUAUCUUUCCUGCAGAGUGUGAAGUACUGGGUAUAUUUUGGGUUUAUGGGAAGUGAGAUUUGUUACUCAAAUAUUGUACUCUAUUAAUUGUUAAAUAAACAAUUAUUCUUUCUUGCCUCCGUGGAUGUAGGUUUAAUUACCGAACCACGUAAUUCUUGUGUCCUUUAUUUUUUCUAUAAUUAUUUGGUGCGCUUGAUUCCGCAUUCCGCGCACAACAAGACCCACACCAACCGACAGACCCCCGGUGAUAGAGAGAAAGUCGACUGUGAGAUGCAUUCAAGACGGGGGAAGAGUGAGAGAGAAAACUGCCCGGUCAGAAGGAGAGAUGCAUGAUUGAGGUGAGAGAUUUGGGCGUGAGUGAGUGAGGAGUGAGGGAGAGGGUGCCGCGUGUGUGGGAUGCGUACAAUGACAAUUUAUACUUACAUCAAAACGCCGCGUUCGGUGCCAUGUGUAGGGCUAACUGUGGUUUGAAUCUCACUUUGGUAAUGGAAAUGACUUUGCAAUUGACAGUUUUUGUCAAAAGUUCGCACUGCAUGAAACUAGUGUUAAUAUAAUUUAAAAAAUUAAUUUCAGUAUUAAUUUUUAAAGUUUUAAUUAUUAUAUUUAUUUUAAUAAUAGAUUUAUAUUUAUUAUAAAAAUUUUAGUUAAAUAUUUGUGUUAAAUGGAAUUUAUAAUUAAUAUAAUAGAUCUUAGGUAUUAAUAUAUUAUAAUUAUUCUAUAUGCUAUUGAAAAUCAUUUAUAUUUUUAGACGUUUAUUUUCAUAUUAAGUUUCUAUUUAUUUUAAAAUUUAGUUUAAUAUAAUAUAAGCAAGUAAAGUAUUAAAAUAUUUUUUAGUAUUAUUUAAAAUAUUAAAAUAAUUUUAAAAUAUAAGUCAAAUUUUUAAGUGAAUAUAACUAAUAUUUACAGCUAUUUGAUGGCCUCAACAAGCUAAAGCAGCAUCAAAAUUUGUGGCUCGUUAAUUUAUUUUUUCCCUUUCAAAAAGGGAAGAGGAUAAGUUUGGAAGAAUGAUUAUAUUUUUAAUAAAUUCUUUUUUAUUAUAAUACUUUUUGUCUUUAUUAAUUUAAAAAUAUUGACUCUUAUAUUUUAAAAAAUAUAAAUAUAAUAUUAUAAUAAAAUAUAACAAUAUAUAUCAAAUAUUUAAAAAAUUUAAUAUUUUAAUAUUUUAUAUUAUAUUAAAAUAAAUUUUUAAUAAAUAAAAAUAAUCUAUUAAAAUAAAGUACAAAAAUUUAAAUUAUUUUCAAUAUCAUCUAAAAUAAUUUUACUAUUAUUAAUGCAUGAAAUAUAUUAUAGUAAUUGUAAAUUUCAUUUAACUCAAAGAUUUAUUUAGAAUGUUCAUAAUAAGUCCAAAUAUAUUAUUAAAAUAAUUAUAAUAAUUUACAUUUUAAAAAUUAAUACUGAUAUUAAUUUUUAAAUUAUAUUACUCUACCAGAAAAAUUAAACUAUUAAAUUAUAUCAAUAUUUAUUAAAAAAUUUUGAAAUUAAUUCUUGUUAUAUUUUUAAUUGGAAUUUUUUCAUGUGAUAUAACCAGAAUUGCUACAAUUUUUUUCCCUAAUUAAAGAUGGAGUUAUAAAUUAUUUGUAUAAGUGUCUGUGUGGAAACUAAUGUGACAUGAAAGUAAUAGCUGAAUAACAAUAAUGGGCCGAUUUCAAUUCUUAAACAGACUUGUCCUUCAUCCCAAUUUAUUUACCCCAUUUGGGCCGGUUAUGACAUAAACAUAUUCUUGUGGAAUGAAAAACAUCAUGAGAAGAAAAUGUUUUAUUAUAAUAGAAAAAAGUGGUCCAUAAGUCUAUUCAUUACUUUUUUUAUUCAAUAUAAAUGGCUAACUUUAAAAAUGGUAAAAAUCACAUAACGCGCAAACAUAUUUUAGAUUUAUAUUUUUUAAUACUCUCCGAGUCUCUCUUUCUCUUUUUCUUUUUUUAAAUAAAUGUCAGUAUAAAAUUUAAAAAAAAUUUAGAUAUAAAAUUUGGCAAUGACCAAACAAAAAUUGCAGAGGAAACCUUGAUAUCAUUGAAAUACUGAUAAUAGACACUACAGUAUAAAUAACUUGUUGUGAUCCACUCAACUUGUAACACUUUAAUCCAUAUUCUAAAAUUUUCAUGUUUGUUAGGAUUUUUAUUAUUGAUACUACUGUAUCAAUAAAAUUAUAAUUUAUUCAUAUGGAAUGAAAACAUCAAGAAAGGACCUCUGAUGUUUAUUGUCAUAGAAAAAAGUGGUCCAUAAGUCUAUUAAUUAUUUUAUUUAUUCAAUACAAAUGGCCAACUUAAAAAAUGGUAAAAAUCACACAAUGCACAAGUAAAAUUUUACAAUUACAUUUUUUAAUUCUCUUUGAGUCUCUCUCUCUCUUUAAAAAAUAAACCUCACUGUAAAAUUAGAAAAAUUUUAGACGUAAAAUUUGACAAUCACCAAAUAGAAAACAUAGGGAAAUGAAAAUGGAGGAGCCCUAUUUUCAUUAGAAUAUUGAUCAUAGAUACUAUAAUGUAAAUGAUUUGUUGCGAUUCCUUCAACUUGUCACACUCUAAGCUAUUUUCUAAAAUUUGUAAGGUUUAUAGGAUUUUUAUUACUGCCAUCAUUGUAUCAAUAAUAUUAUAAAUUAUAUAUUCUAUUGUAAUGAAAAUUUGUGUAAUCUUAGGUAUUUAUUGUAUUAAAUUGUGUGGAUUAAUUAAGAAUAUUUUUGGAGACAAAAGAAGUGUGUGUACGUAGGAUUAAUGAUAAAAAAUUUCUAAAUAAAGGUGAUUGCUUCAUUGACAAGUACAUAUUUAUAUUCCUCUAUUAAUAUUUGGGUUGUAAACUCUAUAAUAAAGUUGGUUGGUGUGAGUGGUUCGGCACUCUCACUCUUUAAGAGAGGUCGGGAGUUCAAGCCUCGCUCUCGUAUGGAGUCACCACUUUGGCCAGCACUUUACCUCUUAUGGGCCGACCCGGUGCGAGUGGGAAUUAGUAUGGGUUGUGGUAUGGGCUUAAAGGUGUCUCCCACAGUUGGGGCCCACUCAGGACCACCUCGUGAUUCAAACAAAAAAAAAAAGUGAAUAUAUUGUGGCAAGUGAUGUGGGCAAUAUCGGAUGCGAAAUAUUGAGAGAUCAUUAACGCAUAUAUUUAUUGAAGAUGCGUAUAGAGGAAAGAGUGUAGAUCCGGCCGUAACAAUUACGAAGCUUUCCCCAAGUAUACUCAUGCUUCCUUAACUGUUUCGAAGUAUUUUUCAUAGUGUGCAGAUUUACUUUAUGGUGUCUUUAAUUCAUCUUAAAUGAUUACUUUAUUGUUUUAGGAUGCAAUGUCAUUUAUUGUGUUAAUUUAAACAAUAGAAAAAAUAAGUAACAGUAACGAAAGACUAAUUUGUGAUAUUGAAGCGUACGGGCUUAACUCAAUCCAAAAAUUAGUAAAUUAGCUCAAGAGUUAAGAGUUGUCCAAAUCUUAUAUGAUGAACCCAAGUUUAAUACACAAUUGAUGCGGGAUGUUAUUCCUAACACCUCCCGUCAUGUGUAGGAUUGGCAAAAAAACUCGGGUCAGUCCCGCCUAAACCUACGAGCUUUAUGCAUGGCUCGCAUGAUGAAGUUACGGAUAUUAACCUAAAAAUUUGAAACUUACUAUGAAUGGCCUUGCUUAAAGACUUUUGCAACUUUAAUUUAUAACAAGUAUGUAUAUCUACACACACAUAAGCUUAGAUUGCAUUUGGAUGGCUUUUUUAAUCAAUUCAAACAAUCUGAAAUUUAUCAGAUUAAUCCAAAUCUUAUAUGUAUCCAAUUUUGCCCGCCCCUACUAUAUAUAAGCCCAAGUGACUCUCUUUUACUAAUUAAUAAGAGAAUUUUUGACCUUAUAUCCUUGUUGUGGCGUUAGACUGUUGGUUAUUUUGAUUGUUUCCUACCUUCCAUUUACGCCAGCUAUAACAUUGUAUUAUCACCAUUUUAGCCAUUUAAAUGAAAUUUUAUUUUUCAUUUUAUUGUGUCAAUACUAUCAUAAUUUAUUCAUUUUAUUGUAAUGAUAAUUUGUCUAGUCUUAGGUACUUACUAUAUUAAAUUAUGUAAAUUAAUUGAGAAUACUUUUAGAGACAAAAGAAACACGUGUAUGUAGGAUUAAUAAGCGAAGAGUUGUAAAUGAAGGUGAUUGCUUCAUUGAGAGGCAUAUUAAAUAAUUAUGGAGAGUUGCUCUAUUUCGGAAGCAUAUAUUUAUACUUCCCUAUCAGGAUUUGGGGUAAGCGAGGUGCUUUAUGUAUUGCAGUAACCAAAUGUGGGCAAUAUCAGAGCCGAAAUAUUGAAAGAUCAUAACGCAUAUAAACGAUUAGUAUAUUGAAGACACAUAUAGAGGAAAGAGUGCAGAUCCGGCCGUAACUAUUAUGAGGAUUUCCUCAAGUAUUCUCAUGCUUCCUCAACUGUUCUGAACUAUAUAUUCCUCAUUGUGGGCAGAUUUACUUAAAUACCAACACAAUGAUUCAAUACUUCAAAGGUCAAGGAAAUGUCAAAAUAUGAAAUGAAAAUACUUAAAUACCCUUCUACCUAACAAAACUUAGUACUUCUAACUGCCUUAGCAGAGAAUCUAUAAAAUUAAAAAAAAAAAUUCAUCCAUGAAAAGCUUCGUAACAGAAAAACCGUCUUUCAAAAAAUAAAAAAUAAAAAAUAAAAACAGAAAAACCGACUCAUUUAUCUGCCAAUGAACCAGUCAGGACUCAUUUAAAAAAGAUUACAAAGCAAAAGUAAAUGACACAAAUUGCAUAGAUAUCUCGGAGCCGCAUCAAAGGACAAUGGUGUUAAUUUGUCCGAGUAAUAAAUUCUCCUUGGUCAAAAGCAAUUAACGAUGAAAACUUUCUUCAUUAAGGUUCUGGCCUACGUAAAAAAAAAAAAAAAAAACCACCCCAAGGUCAAAGCACAACGAUAAGUUUAGAAUUGCAGUUUUUAAUUUUUUUUAAUAAAUCAACGUGUAUAAAAAAUAGAUAAUAAUUUUAAAUAAAUUUUAUUUGAUAAAUAUAGGCAUAAAAUUUUAAAAUCACCAAACAGAAAAACAGGGGAAUUAAAACAGAGUCCCUGUUUAUCCUCUAUUUUGCUUGUUAUUAAACAGGGAAAUGAAAAGAUCACAAGCGGAAAUUUUGUUUCUGCGUUGUCUCUUCUCAAUGCUACAUGCAUUCAAAUUAAACCUUACAUAUGCUAGCAAACUAGCUACCUGCGUUUAAGUGUUAGAGUGCAAUUUAUGCACUAAUUUUGCAUUGUUUACUUCUUUUAAUAUCGAUAUUUUGCACUUAAUAAUAGUGAUUUACUUGUAUUUUAUUUUUGUAAGUGCAAUUCUAUUUAUUGGUGCUAAAAUUGGGCUACAAGAUGAUGUUUGAAGAUGAUUGUUUUCUUGGAAAAAUUAUGAGUUUCAGAAGAACUUUGUUGAUAAGGCGUGGGCGCUGGCUGUCAACUACGGACCUGUAGUUUUUAGUUUAACGUGUUUUGUCUUUUUGGUUAUUUUUGUAAUCACGAAUUUAAUAUUUAGAUAAUAUUUUAGAUAUUAGUAUUUUAUUUUAAAAAGAACUCUAGAAGAGAAUUUAAGAGGGGAAUCUAUGGUCAAAGGAAAAAAAAGAAAGGAAACCCUAGAUCUAAAUUUUUCUCUUCUCUCUAUGAAGAACUAAACCUAUUAUUCUGGUUAAAGGUUAAUGGAGCUUUGAUUCAUCAUUACUGUGAGAUCUUUCUUAUGCUUUAAUUGUUUUAUUGAUUUUUGGGUAUUUGUUUAUUCUCUAAAUUAUUGUCAUGAUUAUGUUUGUUAAUUAGAUAAUUAGCCAUUAUUUAAUUAUCAACUUAAUCUAUUGUCAAUUAAAGGAUUCAUCGUAUGAAGAUUUUAAUGUUUGUGACAAAUAGCAUAGCAGUUCGUUAUGUUAUGAGAAUAAACAAUCUAAUUUAAAUGAACCAUCGUAUGCGUUUGUUGAUUAGGAUUUGGGUCUCUCUGGUUUUUCAGGUUGUCAAUUGAUUAAAUCCUAUGAUCGUAUCUAGGGUUGUCUAUUGAUUAGGGAAAUAACCAAUGGUCGUACCUUGGUUAUCGACUAGUUAAGGAGAGAUUGGCUAUUAGAGGGUCUCAGUAGCUAUAACCGGUCUAUUCAUAAGUAGUAAUGAUUUAUAUUUGAAUCAAUGAUCAAUAGUCGAAUCAAGCUGAGUUAAUUCCUUCAACCAGAGCUUUCCCCAAUUUUAAUUUGCAUUCUUGUUAUUUUAAUUUGAUUUUUAUUAUUGUCAACAAUUCCCCCAUUUUGCAUUUUGCAUUUUAAAAGGAUUUAAAUAAUUACUAAUCUCUGUGGACACAACCCUACUCAAUCACUAUACACAAUUUAUUUAGAGUAUGUAUUUAUUUUUGCUGGCUUCGACAACCAUCAAUAAGUUCUCGAUAAGUCCAAAUAAUAGAAUAAUUGUAAAAUGUUCAAAUUCAGUAAUUAAUUAUACAUAUUUAUUUAUUCAAAAUUAUUAUUAUUAUUAAUUAUUGUCAAUAAUAUAUUAAUAUACUAAUUAAUUGUAAACUUUUUUAUCAUUCAUAACAAUGAUGAUGAUGAUGAUGAUGAUGAUGAUGAUAAAAAAUUCAAAACAUAUUAAUUAAUUAUAAUAAUAUAUUAAAUAUUUAAUUAUUUAAUAAUAAUAAUAAUAAAUGCACAAUGUAUAAAUUGAUUAGAAUAAUUAUAUUAAUUAAUCAUAAUAAUUUUUUAAUUGAGGACAAAAUAGAUAUUUUAUAGUUUGUGAGAGGGGGCAAAAUGGUCAAUCUUGGGAAUGGGGGAUUGAUUCCCACCACCUUCCUUAGGAAUCAAUCUUCCAUUCCUCAUUCCUAAUUUGGGUGGUCCCCAUAGUUCUGAUUCGGAUCCCAGCCUCCAUUUUAUGAAGUAAACAUCAUUAAGAUUUCGAUUCCGGAUUCCGAUUCCCCAAUCCAAGAAGUACAGGCACCAUUAUUGUUGAUUGGUUCAAAUGCACAAAGAGAAUGUACCAUGUAGCUAGGCGUCAAGGUUGUGCUGCACAAGUAACCUUUUUCUUUUCUUUUCUUUUUAUUUUUCUUAUUUUCCUUAAUGUAUCGGAAGAAACUGGUGCCUUUGAGAUACUACCAUGUAAAUAAGUACUUAUGGUUCAUUGAAUCUGUAACACUCGGUACCCUACAAUUGCUUUUGAAAAAGGGCUUUACUCACUUAUCGCUAAUAUUCAAGUAAGUUUGUUUCAUUUCAGAAGGUGCAAAGUUUCAAACUUGUUGUAUUGAGAUGUAACAAACUUUGGCCUUAUAUGCUUGUUGUGACGUUUGACUGUUCAUUUUGACUGUUUCCUACCUUCCACUUACGCCUGUAGCACUGUAUUAUUCACCAUUUUAGUUGUUUAAAUGAAAUUUUAUUUUGUCAAAAAUGAAAUGACACCAUUAAAAUUUAAAAAAAUAGUCAUGGAGAUCCCAAAUUUUUACUAAAGAACACCAAUAUUCCCCUUGACUAUAAUACCCUUAGCAGGUGGUAAUAAAAAAUUGACUUAAAAUUUUUUGCGAAAUGUAAAUAUGAUUUAAAUAAUUUAAAUUUUCCAAUAGACUAAUAUAUAUAAUUUAAAUAAUUAAUUUCAAUAUUAAUUUUUUAAAUGUAAAUUAAUAUAUUUGUAUUUAUAAAAUAUUUGCAAUUAUUAUAAAAAUUUUAAAUAAAUCCUUAGGUUAAUAGAUUUUACAAUAAAUAUAAUAUUUCUCAUGUAUUAAUAAUAUUAAAAUUAUUUUAUAUGAUAUUGAAAAUAACUUAAUUUAUAUAUUUAUUUGAAUAUUAUGUCUCUAUUUAUUAUAAUUUGGUUUAAUAGAAUACGAGAUUGUAAAAUAUUAAAAUAUUUUAGAUAUUGAAAUUUUAAUAUGUAUAUAUUAUUAUAUUUAUUUUAAUAUAUUUAUAUUUAUUAUAAAUUAUUAGAGUCAAUUUUUAGUUAAUAAAUUUAAAAAUAUUAUAAUUAAAAAAAAGAAUUCUUAUUGUCUGUUAUUCACAAUAUGAGGUUCUACAAAAUUAUUUCUCCAGACGGGUGUCCUUUUCUUAUUUGUAAAAGGAAAAAUAAGUUCAGGGAUCUUAAAAAAUUCUAGUCCUAUCGACCACUAUGACUAAUGGGAAACGACAUUGCAAUUGACAUUACUUUUCGCAAUAUGACAAAUUUUUGGAGGGAUACGGGAGAAUCGUCAAACGUUCACACCACACGAGAGCUUUAGGUGGGAUCGGGGAGGAUUGUCAAGAGUUCACACCACGAGAAAUUAAUGAUAGGCCUAAUUUCGCUGUCAGUUCUUUAUUUAUUUAUUUUAUUUAUUUCAUACAUUAUUAUCUUGUUGGUAUUGUUUUGUAAAGGUAUAAAAGUAAAGUAAAAUACUAGGGGUACCAUUAAGUUACAGCUGAUGUAACUUACAGUGUUUUAAAAAAUAAUAUAAAAAAUUUAAUAGCUGGUGGGAUCCACAUAUUUUUGAAGAGACUUAAGUUACAACAGUUGUAACUUAACAAAAUCCAAAUAUUUGACAAUAAUGCAUAUAAUUUGGAUUUGAUUUUUAAAAGAUUAUUUGAGCACCACCUAUCCUUAUGAUAUUAAUGUGAAUAUAUCUUAAUAUUAAAUAAUCAAAAUUUGUUUAAUUAUUAUUUGUAUUUCAUACAUUACCUAUUAGAUUUGUUUGAAUUUUACGUUCUUGCUAAUAAAUAUUUAUGUUGUCAAAGUCAAAUUCUAAUGAUUAAAAGAGCAACUAUCCCUUAAAUUUUAAUGGUGAAUUGUAUAUAGUUUUUAAGAAAGUAAGGAUAAGUUGGAUAAUUGACUUAAAUUCUAAUGAUUAAAAGAGCAACUAUCCUUUAAAUUAAAAUGUCAAUUUCUUUAAUUAUAAUUUUUUUUUCAUGUGAUAUAACCACAAUUGCUAUAGUUUUUUUAAAUAAUAAUGGGAGUUAUAAAUUAUUUAUAUAAAAUUUGUGUAGAAUCUAAUGUAACCUAAAAGUAGUUGCUGAAUAAUAAUAUUUGAAACUCUAGGUAAUUUUCAUAUGAGCCCUUUUUAUAUUCAGCAUCUUGAAUCGGGGGAAAUCCGACUUGAAUUGGCGGCUGAUUUUGGUGAUGUAGCUUUCGGUUUAUGGUUGCCUUACAGUGGCGGACGACUGAUUUACGGUCGCCGACUGCUAGGGAUUAUGGUGGUGGUGUAAAUUGACGGAAAAAGUAGAAGGUUUGGUGGCGGCGCGUGUAGGAACCACUCGUGGGUUGUCGUUUCGUGUGGUGACUGCGGGUGGCGAUCAAGGGCUGACGUUGGUCGGUUUUUGGUCAACGGAGGGCGGCCAGUUUGUUGGUGGAGGUGGCUGGCGGUGAAAGUGGCUGAAUGGUGGUGGAUAUCUUGGUGGAGCUACGGGUUUGGGUUGGUGAUUUGCGGCUGUUCAGGCGGCGGUUGAGGCAGCGAUAGCUGCGGCUUGGUCGGCGGUGGCUAGCGAGGUUUGUUGUGGUGUUGGCUGGCUGAUCGGUGGUGGUGGGCGGCGGCGGUGGAGGUUGAUGCGGCGGGUAGGGUUUUCAAAUCGGUUUUUGAUAUUUUUUUUUUUUUUUAUGAAUUUGGUGUGGAUGGGUAUAGGGUAAGAAACACUAGAUAUCAUUCUAGUACUGGACCAAGCCAACGCAAUUAAUUUACCAUCUAGUCGAAGGGUGAUUAGAUAUCGUUCUAACCCAAACGAUAAAAUGAGAUUUUUAACAACGCGUAAUACAAGAUUAGAUGAUGCUCUAAUCCAAACGACUCUACAACGACUCUAUAAGAGAGAUUUUGAUAGAUAAAUCUAGGGAAAAUUAUAAAAGAUGGGUUUUAUUUAAUAAUUAAACCUAAAGUUUUGAAAACAAUGACAAGAUAUUUUUAUUUAUAAUACAGGAAAUCUGCUUCCCUAAGAUAACCUAAAAAAGAAAAGUAAAUCAUAAUUAUAAUAGAAAUGAAAGAUUAAGAUACACACCAUAAUUGACUCAAACUAAAAUAGAAAAUCUUAAAGUAAUAAAUAUUCUAAAAUUGUAAAUUAUCUAAAAUAACAAUAAUUAACUUCCUAAAUCAUUUCUUUGGUGUAAAUCAUUUUACAUCCAACCUCGCUUUAAAGGUUUGAACCAGCGUUACCAACAACAAUGUAUCAAGUUCCAAUCUAGCUUAAGAUCAUGCUGAUACAUCUACUGAUAUCUUUAUUUGAUUAGACAAUAAUGAGUCUAUCUCAUCACUUGUUACCUCUUUCUUGAAGGCUGCAUCUGUUGAGCGAUAACCUCGUUGAAAGUUUAAAGAUCUUCCUCCAUGUUAAAUUAAAUGGGCAUUUGAUUAAGAACUUUAUCUCUAUCUCCUUCUAUCAAAUAACAACCAUCCAAAGGGAAAAAAAAAUUAAAAAAAUCCAUGGGUCACAAUAAUUUCUGGUCAGCCCACAAACCCCCCAUUAUCUGCCACUAUCAAUCAUGAAAAUGAAAAUAAAUGGCAUAUUCCCAAAAUGACGAAAGAUUUUGGGGGAUAUGGGGGAAUUGUCAAAAGUUCACACAACGCGAAACAAGUGUUACAUCCAAUUUUAUUUCGUCAUAUAAUGAUAAUAUCAAAUAAUGACAACCAUCCAAAAGUAUGAUGGGUCUUCCAAAAUUUUAAAAAUGUCGUCAACAUUUAAUUUUCAAUGCUAAAGAAAAUGAAAUGCCCAAAAAUGACACGCAAGACCCACUCACAAACUAAAUGGCCCUUGACCAUAUGUAACAAACUUUGACCUUAUGUCCCUGCUAUGGCGUUAGACUGUUGGUCAUUUUGAUUGCUUUUUACCUUCCAUUUACACCCACUGAAGCAUUGUACGAUUAACCAUUUUAGCUGUUUAAAUGAAAUUUUUAUUUUUUUCAAAAGUAAAAUGACACGCUUAAAAUUUUAGAAAAUAGCCAUGUAGACCCUAAAAUUUUAAUAAAGAACACCAAUACCCUUUUUGACUAUAGUACUUUUAGUCGAUGGUAACAAAAAAAAAAAAUGACUUCAAAAUUUUUUACUAAAUGUAAAUAUGAUUUAAAUAGUUUAAAUUUUCUAGUAGACUAGUAGGUAUAAUUUAAAUAAUUAAUUUAAAUAUUAAUUUUUAAAAUGUAAUUUAAUAUAUUUAUUUUAAUAAUAUAUUUUUAUUUAUUAUAAAAUUUUAAAUAAAUCCUUAGGUUAAAUAGAUUAUAUAAUUAAUAUAAUAUUUCUCAUGUUUUAAUAAUAUUAAAAUUAUUUUACAUGCUAUUGAAAAUAAUUUAAAGUUUUAUAUAUUUAUUUGAAUAUUAUGUCUCUAUUUAUUAUAACUUGGUUUAAUAGAAUAUGAGAUUGUAAAAUAUUAAAAUAUUUUUAGGUACUGAAAUUAUUUUAAUAGGUAUAUAUUAUUAUAUUUACUUUAAUAUCCUACUUAUAUUUAUUAUAAAAUAUUAAAAUUAAUUUUUUUAGUUAAUGAAUUUAAAAAAUAAUAUAAUUAAAAAAAGAGUCUUAUUGUCCGUUAUUCACGAUAUGAGGUUUUACAAAAUUAUUUUCAAAAGGAAAAAUAAGUUCAGGGGUUUCAAAAAAUUCUAGUCCAAUCGACCACUAUGACUAAUGGGAAACGACAUUGCAAUUGACAUUGUUUUUCGCAAUAUGACAAAAUUUUGGAGGGAUAUGGGAGAAUCGUCAAAAGUUAACACCACACAAGAGUUUUAUUUAUUUAUUUAAUUUAUUUCACACAUAUAUUGUCUUGUUGGUAUUGUUUUGUAAAGAUAUAAAAGCACAAGUAAAAUAUUAGGGGAAGUAAAGUAAAAUAUUGGGGGUGCUGCUAAGUUACAACUGCUAUAACUUACAGUUCCUUCAAAAAUAAUGUAAAACAUUUAACACGUGGUGGGACCCACAUUAUGUUUGAAUAGUCCGUAAGUUAUAGCAGUUAUAAAUUAGUAAAAUCCAAAUAUUAGACAAUAAUACACAUUAACAAUGCAUAUAAUUUGGGUUUAAUUUUUUUUAAAUUAUUUGAGUAUUACCUAUCCUUAAGAUAUUAAUGAGAAUAUAUUUUAAUAUUGUGAAGCUUUCCUCAAUUAUUCUCAUGCACCCAGACCUUAUCUGGUCAAGUUUUCUGAUUCAAUACUGACGACAGCUUCUUUGUAAAGCUCUUCAACCACAAGCAUUUCUACAAGGCAAAGGACAAGGACGUGUUGGAAUGAAUAUCAACAUGGGAAUGUCUUAUGAAUUUAGUUUAUAUUCUAAUAUAAGACAAUCAAUAAAUAUUGGAUGCAAUCUAAGGGCUAACAUUUGAUUGAUUAAUAUAAGAAAAAAAAAGGGUACAAAAAUGCAAAACAGAGCUGAUUGAUGGCCUUUAACAGUCAGUUCUAUGACAAAGUAACCACCAUAACCAAUGGAAUUAUAAGACAUCAAGAAACUUGAACUUGGCAGGAGGUCUCAUUAGCAGUAUACCUCAGAAAUUAAGACAGAGACUUUAAAAUGCAAGCUUAUGGAGCAAUUUAAGCACUGAAACUAAUAACAGUGAUGCCAAAAAAGGUGCAGGAGUACGGUAUUAGCAAUUGACCUCUGCUUUUGCUUGGACAAAGGUUCUCAUCACAAGGGACUCAUUAGUUGCCCUUGCCUCACACGAUUGGAUGCUAAGGGGGAAAAGGAAGUUUGAAUUAGUCAAUCUCAUUUCUAAUGGCAUUCACAGAGAACCUAUAAAACAAAAAAGUAAAUAAAAAUUUUCAUCCAUGAAAAGCUUAGUAACGGAAAAACCGACUCUUUUAUCUGCCACUGACCUAAUCCGGACUCAUUUAAUUAAAAAAGAAUUCAAAGCAAAACUAAAAGACACAAAUUGCAUACAAGUCUAGGAGCCAUAUCAAAGGCGUUAUAUAACUUGUCCAAUUAAUAAAUUCUCUUAGGGACCAUGCCGUGCUCACUCAUUUCCAAAGCAAUUAAUGAUAAGAACUUUCAUCAUUAAUUGAUAUGGCCAGUGUAGAAAAAAAUGAAAAACCCCUCCAAGAUUAAAGCACAAGGAUAAGUUUAGAAUUACACUUCUUAAAUUUUGGUUAAUAAAUAAACGUCUAUAUGAAAAUAGAAAAUCUUUUUGGAAUAAAUAAACGUCAAAUUUUUGUUUCUAUCUUACUACCUUCUAAAUCCGCAAUCCCAAGUACUUAGAAGUAAAUGCUACAUAGUACAUGAGAUGUUUCCCGUUCAAAUAGCUCGUCCGAUACCAUUAACAUGUUCAUCUCUCUGUAAUUGGUGUAAUUACGAGAUUGGUGGUUGACAUGGCUUUCCUUGUACAGGUAUGUAUGAUUGUUUUUUUUUUUUUUGGCACUUCUAAAUGGAUACUGUUGAAAAGCUUAAAAUUGAACUGAUAAUUUUGUUUGGAAGCUCAGAAAAUUCAUGAGAAAGUGAAAUAGAAUAUGCUGGAUUUCUUUUCUUUCCAUAACAUACAAAUGACAAACGUAGCAGUAUUUAUACUCGUUGCUUACAUCAUAAAAACAGAAUUAAAGCAAGGUACACAACUAUAACAGCAUCAAAAGCGUGCUUAACUAAUUGGCUGAGCUGGCAUAUACUUCUUUAACUAACAAUGCUGCUGACUGGACUUUAGCUCACACAUGCUUAUCGUGCAGCUACUCUUAGUUCACACGUGCUCAGUGUGCUUCCUUAACAGACACAAGGGAAAAGACAUGAUUUUGAGAUAUAACGCUUGAAUGUUCUCGGAAUGGCAUAACGCUUCGUGUGUCUCGGAGCGGCUGAUUGGUGCUGUACGUGUUUCUCAUAUAGAACUCAAGUCUGCUGUUGUCCCAAAGUUGGAACCAGAGAUAUCAUGACUCUGGUUUCAUUUCACCUCAACUGUGUUUUUUUUUUUAAUUAAAAAAAUAAUUUUUUUAGGUAUACAUACAUGUAUUUUGAUCCCAUUUUCAUGGGAAUUUUGCAUUAAAAAAUGAAGAAUAGCUAAUAGGGAAUUUCCUGAUUCUUUAGUUACUAUUUUUGGAAUGAGGGUAAUUAGUAGUAAAGUUGGUUUCUACUCGCAAACAAGUGAGCUGCUCGAUUCCCAAGUGGUAUCAACCAGUUUUCAACUUUUUAAUAUACACAAAUUGUUAUUGUUUAAUAGCUACUACUAUUAAAACUCAACAUCUUACAAAAAUACUUAAAAAAAAUGAUUUUUUCUUAUGAUGCUGUAAAAAAAAUUACGGGUUUACUUAUUUCCACGAGAUCUUGUAUAGUGUUCUUGUAUAGUGGAAUUAAGAUUGUCUUCCCGAUGGUGCAAUUCACCCUCUUCCUUUACAGUCACUUGCACUUUGUGCAGCUUUGGUGUGGAUACGAUUCCCAGGGAAAAAGUCUUCAUGUUCGGACAAUGUGUCACAAAUACUCGUUCCAAUGAUGGGAAUUCAAGAGUGUAAUUCUCCAAACAAAAGCUGGUAAGCCUUGGUAAAUCAUCAAGUUCCAAAAGUUUUAAUUCACUGAAAGCAAUACGAUUCUCCUUCACUUCUUCUCCAGCAUGUCCUACGAUUUCUUCUAAUUUUUUGCAGUUCCAUACAUAAAGAUUCACCAGACUAGUAGGAAUUCCAACCUGAAAAUAAGCAGAGAGAGUGUGUGUGUAUAAAUAUUAAAAAAGUAAAAAUGUAAGAGUAUCAUUCAACUAGGCUCAAAGUAUGUUUGAUCAUACAAUUAUACGUUUUAUGAACAUAACAAACUGUGAAAUGUCUACUAGAUAUUUUUUGUUAAACAAAAAAGGUAACAAGAUAAAUAAAUAAAUAAAUAAAAGCCAGAUAAACAAAGAUGAUAAAAAUGUAUUUACACAAUUAGUAUUAGGGACGUAGAAAGAAUUUAAGGCAAUUUCUAAAUAUUUUAGACUUAUUUUGCAUCUUGAUAUAAGUUUUUAAGCAUAAAUUUGCACAUUUCAACUAUUCCUUUAAAAAAAAACUCAACUAAAAUGCCUCUUUUUCCCUUUUCCUUGGUCCCCUUUUUUUUAUGUAUAUAUAAAAAUGGAAAAAAAAAUUUGGAAAAGACUUCCUAGUACUGUCAACAAGGGAUUGCUGUAAAGUGGAUCUUUAUUAAGUACUUCCAGACUCGAGGAAAUUUCUUUACAAUCAAGGGUCAGUUGUAAACAAUCAUGAAUUUAUGGUUAAGUAAUGGCAUAAUCAAUUCUUAACUAAACUGGAGAUAUUAAUUAAAUUUGAAGACUUUUUUUUUUUCCCAAUCGAAAUGUGAAGAACUAAGGAAAAGAGAAAUAUAUAGAUGAAUUUGUGAACUUAUAAGAUGAGUGACUAUCCUUUAAUUUUUGAAAAUCGUACUUAUUAAGAUAUGAGCAAAAACAAUUAAAUUGAAUUAUAUUAUGCUGUUGAAUCUGUUUAAAAAAAUUAUAUUGUUGAUUCUAAUGCUGGUGAACCUAAAAACUAGACUUAAAACGUAGAUUUCAGAGUGGUGGUUUGAAGUACAAUAUUUGAAAUAAAUAAUUAGUGGCUGAAUAUCAUUUGUAAACACAGAAAUGAUUAAAAAAUUGUUGAAUGUUAUUUGAAAAAAAAAAUCGAAAUGAAUACAGAAACCUUACCAAUGGAGGAAAAAUAUUCAUUAGCUUAUCACACUCUUCUAUCUCCAAAUUCUUCAAUUUCCUGAAAGACUCCGAAGCAAGCUGGUGGUGCCAUAUUGUUCUUAGGUUAUCCAUCCACACAAUAUAUAAUACCUCCAACCUAGGAAGUCGUACCUGGCAAUUAAAGAUUAAAUAACUAAUUAAUCAAUUAAUGGCAUAAUCAAUUGAUAACUAAAUUAGAGGCGGAUAUUAACUAAAUUUGAAGACUCAAGGAAAAGACAAAUCAAGUAUUGUGACUAAAAUUAUUUUUUUAAUUAAAAAAAAAAAACUUUUCAUCAAAGAGAGGAGGAGGUUGCAUUUCAGAAUGAAUAGUGUCUUCUGGUGAGCUCGUAGAGAUGAAUCUUAACAUAUUACUGCAACAACCAAUCAUGAGGUUUAGCAAAGAAGGGAAUUCAACAACUAAAUCUGAAUGAAUAUGUCCCAUAUUGGCAAAACCUUUAAUUCAAUCAACUUUCCUUCAUCUCUUUCUGACCAUCCCGUGGUGUCGACUACCCCUUCCAUUGACUCACAAUAGCUUAUCUCAAGAUGUUGGAGUUGCAAAAGGCUAUUAACCAUAGAAUAUGAAAACAGAUACUUUAGACGAUAACACCUUUCCACAGUCACUUUUGUUAAAUUUUGACGAAAGUACAUUCCUUGAUUAUGAUCGGCCCAUAAUUUUUUCAUGUUUCUUAAGUCCCUGAGAUUCAAUUCCUCUAAGCUCGGAAGAAUAACCUGCAAAGAAAACCCGUACAUUUUUGUUCCUUCAAGUACAACCGUCUAGUAUAAUAUUCUUUUGAUGAUCAAAGAUUAAUUGUGAUAAUAAAUUAAUCAAUUAAUUAUUGAACAGAAAAUUAUCACCUUUGGAGCAGGAUCAUCAUCAGCAAUGAUUUCGUUGAAUCCCAAAGAAGUUGUUGGUUUGCUAAUUGUUGCACCAAAGAAGUAAGAUUUGAAACUUGUUUUUCUAGAGAAGUAGUACUUACCUCAUUGACUCGCUUAGGUGGCGGCAGUAGAUCGUUCCUAGUGUUGAACUGUUGGGAAUUAGCAGCCAUGUUAGCAAUGAGAUUUCGGGCUGCUUCUGGUGUCUUAUCCACGAGUGCUCCUCCACUAGCGGCAUCAAUCAUACUCCUAUCCAUAGGUAGUAGAACCUCAUAAAAGUAUUGAAUAAGAAGUUGAUCACUUAUCUGAUGGUGAGGGCAACUAGCACAUAGCUUUUUGAAUCGUUCCCAAUAGUCGUAGAGCGACUCUCCAUUAUACUGUCGGAUUCCACAAAUUUCUUUUCGAAUGCUGCCAGCUUUUGAUGCUGGGAAAUAUUUCUCCAAAAAUAGCUGACGCAUCUCAUUCCAUGUAGUGACAGUACCGGAGGGAAGAUAGUACAACCAUUCCUUGGCUGAAUCCGCCAAAGAGAAUGGGAAGGCCAUUAGCUUAACUUGCUCUUCAGAAACUCCGGCUGGUUUCAUUGUGGAGCAGACCACAUGGAACUCCUUCAAGUGGUUAUUUGGAUCCUCUCCUGCAAGACCAUGAAAAGUAGGAAGAAGAUGAAUCAUCCCAGAUUUGAGUUCAAAGUUUACUUGAGGGUUUGGAUUCUCAAUGCAUAAGGGUUGUUGGUCCAAGUUAGGAGCUGCCAACUCUUUAAGUGUUCGGUUGUUAUUCUGAGCCAUUGGUUGGGGUUCUGGGCUGCUUGGNNNNNNNNNNNNNNNNNNNNNNNNNNNNNNNNNNNNNNNNNNNNNNNNNNNNNNNNNNNNNNNNNNNNNNNNNNNNNNNNNNNNNNNNNNNNNNNNNNNNNNNNNNNNNNNNNNNNNNNNNNNNNNNNNNNNNNNNNNNNNNNNNNNNNNNNNNNNNNNNNNNNNNNNNNNNNNNNNNNNNNNNNNNNNNNNNNNNNNNNNNNNNNNNNNNNNNNNNNNNNNNNNNNNNNNNNNNNNNNNNNNNNNNNNNNNNNNNNNNNNNNNNNNNNNNNNNNNNNNNNNNNNNNNNNNNNNNNNNNNNNNNNNNNNNNNNNNNNNNNNNNNNNNNNNNNNNNNNNNNNNNNNNNNNNNNNNNNNNNNNNNNNNNNNNNNNNNNNNNNNNNNNNNNNNNNNNNNNNNNNNNNNNNNNNNNNNNNNNNNGCUAGUCCCCGGCAACGGCGCCAAAAAUUUGGUAGUGUCGUUAAGGUGCACCAAAUUUAAAACCUUACCACUAAUAUAAAUAAUUAGUACAGAGCGAGUAAGGAUCGAUCCCAUAGAGACUAUGCUAGUUAUAUUUAUUAUUAACUCCAAAGCAAGAUUUAAAAUAAAAUAAUAGUAAUAGUAAUAAUAAUAUAAAUUAAUCUAACUAAAGAAAAUGCCAAUUAAAAAUAAAAGGGGGGUUUAUGAAUUUUUAACUAAAUAGUAAGAAAUAAAGAAAUUAAAAUUACGAACAAGAAUUUAAUAAAAACUCUAAUUAAAGGAGAAAGAAAUAAUAAUGAUGAAAACUUUGGUUAAAGGAUCAUUCGCCACCACCAAACAUGCACAUAAUAAAUCAAUUCUAUUAUCAAUUUAUAUUGAAACUAUCAACCAUAGACAACAAUAAGCUCUGUUAGUCUCAAUCUUUCCUUAGUGUGUCGUUAGGUAAAAUAAGCUCUUCACCUAAUCUAUAACCAUUAAAUAAUUUAAAACAAGCUCUUUAAAUUUAAGAUAAUGGAAGCAUUAAACAAAGAAAGAAAUUAGGUUGAUCUAGGCAAUAAACACACAAGCUCAGAUUAUUUAACCUAGGUUAUGUUCUCCAAUUGAAAUCAUUAAUUCCAACCUGCUACUAAUGAUUAAAAUAUCAAGACAAUUACGGAUCAAGAAUUUUAAUCUAGCAAUAAAAUUUAUUCAAGUCCUAUCUAAUUGGCCACUCAAACAAAACAAGAAUAAACCAUGAACAUUAAUUAUAGAAGAACAUAAACAAUCUCAAUUAAAUAAAUUGAAUGAUAGAAUUUAAAUUUAAUUGCAUAGCAUGUUUAGGGUUUUGAAUUCACCCUCAACCAAAUAAAAAUCUAGCCUAACAUAAUUGAAUUGGGAAUAAGAGAAUUGACAAAACCAAUCAUAGAGAUUAAUUCAAGCGGCUGCCUUUUUCUUCAAUUGAAUUCCGGCUGCUGAUUUUUUCUUCUUCUUGCGGCUAUUGAUUUUCCUCUUGCUGCCGAAUUGGAUUUGCCCUCCCAAAGUCUCUUGCUGCCCGAAUUCUUUUCCCUCUAUUGCUUCCGCUUGAUCCUAUUUAUAAUGCUUCAAUUGUGGCUUUUUUUAAAUCCUUGCCUGGAAAGAAUUAAAUUCAAAGCUCAAAACCGCCACCUCAUGCUUCAAUUAAUAAGCCAAUAAUGAUUUCCUAAAGCCAAAAGGCUUUAUUCUCUUUCCUUUCACGUGGCAACUUUUGGUUUGCAUCUUUGUUUUCCAAUUUUGCUUUCAUGUGAUGGCUUGGCUUGUUAAUUGGCUUGGCUUCCUUUUUGACUUCCAUUUUCUAAUUUUAGCUCCAUGUGCAACAUUAAUUUUGCUCGGCCCAUACAAGCUUUAAUUAAAUUUAUUUUCUAAUUCCUUCCAAUUCUUGAUCUCUUGUGCACUUUUGUCUCUCAAUCUUCAAUCAAAUUUUUUUUCUUGAAUGCUCCGAUUUAAUUUCUCUUUAAUUCCAGAAUAUACCUAAAAUAACAAAAUAAAUAAAACUAAGAUAAAAAUUAACAAAAUAAAAUAUAAUUUACUAAAUUAAAAAUUAACUAAAAUAACUAGAAUAUUUAAGACCAAAACAAGAAAAAGAUAGAGAAAUUAAUAGCAAAAUAUAUGAAAAAUAUGCACUUAUCACAAGCCUCUCAUUUUUCAAAGCUUUUGCAAGGGUAAUAAGUGCAACAGGCAAUCCUCCGCAUUUUUCAACGAUCUCAUCUGCUAAAGGUUGAAAAGCAGAUGCUUUUGCAGAAUUACACACUAUCUUUCCAAACAAUUGCAAUGCUUCUUCCUUUGAUAAAACUUCAAUUGAGAAAUCCUUCUGAGAUUUCAUAUCAUUGCGCAAUAAAUCUCGACUUCUAGACGUCAAUAUUAUUGUGCGUCUUCUCCGAUCGUCCUCUCUAUCUUUCUCAUCAACAUCCCCAUAAGGAAUUCCAACUGUAUCGAACUCAAGUUUUGUCCAAAUAUUAUCCAGUAUAAUGAGGAGCCGCUUCUCUUGCUUCAACCUUUGACACAGUCGAGAAGCUCUUUGAAAUUCAUUCUCAUUCAAGUCAAAUUCCAUGCCUAAAUCAAAAGCAAGUUUGUCUUGAAUUUUAUGAUGAUCUGGGGUCUGUGUUAUCUCAGCCAUAACGAACUUAUCGAACAACUUAUCUUCCAUCACUUGGUUUGCAACUUGUUUGACCAGCGUGGUUUUGCCCACGCCGCCCAUCCCAUAGACCCCAAUUAUGUUGACCUUGUCAUCCUUCACCGCCUCCAUAACAUCUUGAAAUACUUUCAUUCUUGAAUCAAACGCCUCGAAAUCUUUCACUUGCAUAUGUUCUGCCCGCUUUGGAGCAGGACUGUAGGAAACAUUGGAGAAGUUGCCUUUUCCCACGAGACUAGCGGCAGCUUCUGCCGCCUUUGCUGCUUGUUUACUAAGCUUGUAACGAGAAAUCAAGUUUGGGCAUAAUCCUUUGAAGCAGGACUUCUUAGCUCUAUCUUCAUCAUCAAUGAUGGAUUUUGCAACCCCUUCACUGAUGAAUUCAUCAACGCUAUGUAGCCAGUCUGUGACACCCUCAUAAAGCUCAUCCCCUUGUAGCCUAGCAUGAUUAACUGGUUGCUGCACCAUUUCUCUCUUAUAUCCCAGCUGCUUCACUUGAUCUUUUAGCUCAUCUAUGUAGCUCUGGUACUUGAACACAUAAGAUAUCUGCCGUGUAAUCGGGUUGAACAGUGACUUUGCACCUUCUGAUACACAGUUGGUUAAAAAAGCCAGACACGCUUCUAUAGCCAUUGCCGGUUGCUUAACAAUAUAUAUCUAGUUUUUGGCUGUUGAAAAAAAAAAUGGAUUCAAAUAAAUUAAAUGAACUAGCGGGGAAGAAAAAGAAAGAAACGACAACAAACAACUUUUUAGAAAAAGGUUUCAGGGGCCUGAAUGGAAAACCAACAAUUUUUUGAAGAAAGAAAACUUUUUUGGAAGAUGGAUGCAAAUUAACCAUUAAUAAUACUGCAUAAGAACACAGAAGUUAACAAUAAACAGUAACUUAAAACUCAAGAAAAUUAAAUGACAAGAUUAAGACAAACAAGAGAUAGUUUUUGUUGGACAUUAAGAAACAUCUGCUAUCAAGAUCAAAGAUUAGAAAUUAUGCUAUUGAAAGAAAUUAUUAAAGUAUUUAGAACAAACGCACCUCUUCAAUUAUCGAGGAUCACAGAGUUUAUGAGCUUCACUCUUGGCCUUCGAUUUAUAAGAAAAAUUUUAAUGAGCAAAAGAUCACUGUUAACUGCAGAAGAAUGUGAGUAAAGAGUUUAUGGGAGUAAGCAAUACAAUUGAAUUGUAAAAGAACAAGACUUAAAGCGUGCACCCCGUGUUCAUAUAAACAGAACACAUGUUCAUUUUUAACAAAGUGAUCAAUAACUCUAUUCGUUAUUUAAUUGAUAUUGUAACCAAUUCUAAGAGAAUAUAAUAAUAAUCAUUCAAUCCAUAAAUUUAGAAUUAGAUUUUUUUAACUCUUUAUUUAAAUAUAAACCUUAAUGGAAAAUUAUAAAAGUUUAGAGAUAAAAUUUUUCAAUCACCAAACGAAAAAAACAGGGGAAUGAAAACAGAGGAAUCUUGUUUUAACUAUUUUUUUCCUCAACUCUCGUUCUUAUAUUAAUAAUCUUGUUUUGAUGAUAGUGCUCGUGACUGCGGGAAAAUUUCUACUGGAAACAACUCAAUUUCGGAAGAAAACUUAAUUUUGCAAGUGAUGAAUUUGAACUCGUUGGAUUGGUUGAUUUAUGAUUGACUGAAUUUCACUUUUGCCCAAAAGAUCUUUAACCAAAGUUUAAUAGCCAUCAUGUACUCCUUAAAAGCAAUUUUUUUUUUUAGAUUUGACUGAAUUUGAACUUGUUGGAUUGGUUGUUUUUAGAUUAUUAAUAUGAGAUAUUACAACGUAAAUAUUUUCAUGUGGUUGAGCCCUAUUCUAAAAUCUGUAUAGUUAGCUUUAGAAAAAGGGCUUUUCCUGCUGAUCUGUAAUCUUCAAAUAAACUUAGAUACAAAUAAUGAAAUAAAAGACAACAAACAAGCAAUACUGAUACAAAGCCAACAGAUCAGAGUUUUUUCUUGCCUUCUUUUGUUGAAGGAUUAGAGUUUUUGGUAUUAUCAGUAAAGGUUUCAAGGAGUAAAGCCUAUAAACUUUUUUUUUGGGGGGGGCGCCGCCGCGGGGAGGGGGGGGGGGGGGAGAGCAUGCAAAUUAACCAAAAGAAAUAAUAAGAGCACAGGCUUUAACAAUGAAUACUGACUUAAAACUCAUGCAAAAUAAGUUACAAUAUUAAAACAAACCAGAGAAAAUUUUUUCUUGGAAAGUAGAUGGAACUUAUGAAAGAGCAGAUGUCAAGGAUUUAGAAAACGCGCACCUCUUUAAUUAUCUGGGAUUAGAGAGUUGGUGAGCUUCUCUAUUUAAGAACAAGUUGAAAGAGGAAAAAGAUCACUGGUAACUGCUGAGGAAUGUGUGAGAAAAGAGUUGAUGAGAGCAAUAACAAAGACCUGCAAAAGAAAAAGAAUUAGUCAUGCACCGCUUUUCUAUAUCAUGUAUUUGGUUAUUGUUGCCCUGUUGACGCAUGUUGAAGAAGAAAGCACUAGUUCACAACUCUACGUUUUCAUAUAUUCUAAAGAAAUAAUUAAGUUUUCAUAGAAUGAUACCUGUUGUGUUUGAGUAAUUUUGGUAUAUACAUUGCUUGUGUACUGUGAAAUUGAAAUGAAUAUUGAUGGAAUGACUGAAUUUCACUUUUGCCCAAAAGAUCUUUAACCAAAGUUUAAUAGCUAUCAUGUACUCCUUAAAAGCAAUUUUUUUUUUUAGAUUUGACUGAAUUUGAACUUGUUGGAUUGGUUGUUUUUAGAUUAUUAAUAUGAGAUAUUACAACGUAAAUAUUUUCAUGUGGUUGAGCCCUAUUCUAAAAUCUGUAUAGUUAGCUUUAGAAAAAGGGCUUUUCCUGCUGAUCUGUAAUCUUCAAAUAAACUUAGAUACAAAUAAUGAAAUAAAAGACAACAAACAAGCAAUACUGAUGCAAAGCCAACAGAUCAGAGUUUUUGGUACAAAGCCAAUAAAAGACAAUAAACUUAGGACCUUUUUUUCUUGCUUUCUUUUGUUGCAGGAUUAGAGUUUUUGGUAUUAUCAGUAAAGGUUUCAAGGGUCUGAGUAAAAGCCUAUAAUCUUUUUAUAAACUUUUUUUUUUGGGGGGGGGGGGGGGGGGGGAGCAUGCAAAUUAACCAAAAGAAAUAAUAAGAGCACAGGCUUUAACAAUGAAUAGUAACUUAAAACUCAUGCAAAAUAAGUUACAAUAUUAAAACAAACCAGAGAAAAUUUUUUCUUGGAAAGUAGAUGGAACUUAAGAAAGAGCAGAUGUCAAGAUCAAGGAUCAGGGAUUCUACUAUCAAAAAAAAAAAAAUUAUUCAAGGAUUUAGAAAUCGUGCACCUCUUUAAUUAUCUGGGAUUAGAGAGUUGGUGAGCUUCUCUAUUUGGCCUUCAAUAUUUAAGAACAAGUUGAAAGAGGAAAAAGAUCACAGGUAACUGCUGAGGAAUGUGUGAGAAAAGAGUUGAUGAGAGCAAUAACAAAGACCUGCAAAAGAAAAAGAAUUAGUCAUGCACCGCUUUUCUAUAUCAUGUAUUUGGUUAUUGUUGCCCUGUUGACGCAUGUUGAAGAAGAAAGCACUAGUUCACAACUCUACGUUUUCAUAUAUUCUAAAGAAAUAAUUAAGUUUUCAUAGAAUAAUUUUGGUAUAUACAUUGCUUGUGUACUGUGAAAUUGAAAUGAAUAUUGAUGGACAGAGCAAUGCAUAUGCCUAAAAAAACAUAAAGCAAAUCCUUGAACGAAUGAUUCAGGACUAAAACUUUUAUAAAAGCAAAUACCGGAAACACACAAAAAGCAUUUAAGAGAGAAACUAAACCGCAAAUAAUCGAAGUAAGAUCAAUAAUAUAUGAUUUGAUUUAUGCAUAUUCAAAAACCAAAAUAUAAAAUAAAAUACAAAAUUAAAGUUUGGUUUAUUCUUUCCACAAAAAACAGGGGAAUGAAAACAGAGGCAACUUGUUUUACCAAUUUUUUCUUCUUAAUUUCCGGCAAAAAAAAUCAAUAAACAGGGGAAUGAAAACAAAGGAACGAAAACAGAGGAAACUUGCUUUUCAGGCUAUCUUGUGACAUGAUGAUAUUGCUCGUGAAUGCAUGAAAAUUUCUAAUGCAAACAGCUCAAUUUGGGAUGAUAAGCUUAAGUUUGCAAGUGAUGCAUGAUAAUCAGAUAUUUGUGGCUUUUAAAACUCAAGAAAACUCAAGAAAAUUAAAUGACAAGAUUAAGACAAACAAGAGAUAGUUUUUGUUGGACAUUAAGAAACAACUACUAUCAAGAUCAAAGAUUAGAAAUUAUGCUAUUGAAAGAAAUUAUUAAAGUAUUUAGAACAAACGCACCUCUUCAAUUAUCGAGGAUCACAGAGUUUAUGAGCUUCACUCUUGGCCUUCGAUUUAUAAGAAAAAUUUUAAUGAGCAAAAGAUCGCUGUUAACUGCAGAAGAAUGUGAGUAAAGAGUUUAUGGGAGUAAGCAAUACAAUUGAAUUGUAAAAGAACAAGACUUAAAGCGUGCACCCCGUGUUCAUAUAAACAGAACACAUGUUCAUUUUUAACAAAGUGAUCAAUAACUCUAUUCGUUAUUUAAUUGAUAUUGUAACCAAGAUCAAGGAUCAGGGAUUCUUAUGCCUACUGAUAUUUAAACAGAGAAUUCUUUCUUCUUUUUCUCUUCAUGGAUUAGAGUUUUUGCUAGUAACAGAAAGGUUUCAAGGGUCUGAAUAAAAUCCCAGAUUUUUUUUUAACUUUGUUUUUUGUGGGAAAAUGGAUUCAAAUUAACCAAAGCCAAUAAUAAGAUCACAGACUUUAACAAUGAACAAUAACUUAAGCAAAACCAAUGACAAGAUUAAAACAAACCACAGAAAUUUUUUCUCGGAAAGUAGAUGAAAAGCAAGUAAGAACUGCUAUUAAAGGAUAUUAUUAAAGGAUUUAGAACAUGUAUACCUCUUUAUUUAUAUGGGAUCAGAGAAUCGAUGACCUCCUCUAUUCGCUUCAGAUAUUAAGUAAGAACUGCUAUUAAAAGAAUGAAUUGAUGAGAGUAAUAACAAUGAUUGCAAAAUAGGAAGACUCAAUCAUGCACCCCUUUUAUACCUGAUCAUAUUAAGAAGUCGUUAAAGAAUAACGACUAAAUUAGGAAUUAAUUCUGAAGUUCAGAAUCAAGAACAAAGACGAAGCUUUAAUAACGCAUGCAGUGAGAUACAAGAAAUGGAUCUGGUAAAAUACAUUAAAAAAAUUUGUUCAACUUCAACCUAGUUAAGCUGAUGAAAGCACUAGUUGUUGGCUCUACGUUUCAUAUGUUCUAAUGAAAUAAUUAAGUUGAAGUUUUCAACGAAUAAAUACCUGUUUCGCUUGAAUAGCUUUGGCAUAUACAUUACUUGUGUCCUGUGAAAUUGAAAAGGUUAUUGAUUUACAAAGCUUAUUAGUAGAGAAAAGCUACGUAAGAUGCCUGAUAAAAGAUAAAGCAAGAGCUUGAAUGAAGAAUGACAUUUUAGAAAGAAACUAAAGUGUAAUCAUCAAAGUAGGAUCAAUAAUGUACCACUUUCCUUGCAAAUCUGGUGGGUUUUCUGAAUAGAUUUUUACAUUAUUCUAUUUAACCAUUUUGGGUUUACCCUAAGCAUUCUUGGUUGGCAUUGUCCUGUAAUCUGCGUGCCCUGGAUACGUGUGAGGGAAAGAUGAGGGUAGAUAUGCAAUUUCAAGAAGCGAUUUGCUUGCAUAAUUCAAUGCAUGGAAAGAGAUGUACCUGACCAGAAAAAAAAGGGCACCAUCCAUAUCUGAGCUUGACUUUUUAGAUGGAUAAAUAUUCUUAUUACUGUUGAUAAUGGAGAAGGGUUCUACUUUUACUUUGCCAUCUUUGAUAUAAAACAGCAUGAUUCCUUUUUAUCAAACACUUGCCUAAGUCUAUUUUUUAUUUUUCUUAUUUUCAGAAAGAGAUUAGCUUAAUUUAAAUUAUAUUCAAGUACAAAGUGUUAUACACUCAUAAAACGAGAAAUAGGCAUGUAUUGAUCACGCGCAAUCUAGUUUUUUUUUUUUUUCUUUUUUUUUAAUCCAGUCUUCUUAUUAAAAAAAAAAGAAUUUAUUUGCUUUAUUUUAAAUUAUUUUUUCAUGCGGUAAAUGCAAUACUGAGUAAUGGGUGAGCAAAAUAUUUACAGGCACACCCCCUUUUAAUGAUUUCGUACUAAAAUUAAAAAUUGACGAUUCCAUGAUAAAGUUCAAAGAGUAAAUGAAGACCCAUAAAUGUUUUUUGGUCAUGAGCAAUUUUUGAGUUGGGACAGCACUCGUAUGAAAAAAAAUAGUUUUUUUUUUUCUUUAAGCAUGAGGAUAUUAAUUCUUUUUUUAUAAAUCAGCGUGAAUAUAAAAUUAAAAAAAUAGUUUUGAAUAACUUCUUUUCUUUUUUCAUAAAUAUAGAUAAAAAAUUUUAAAGUCACCAAACACAAAACCAGGAAAAUGGAAAGGAAGCCCCUGUUUCUCCGCUGCUGCAAGCACAAAUUCGGUUUCUACAGGAGUACCUUCUAAAUGCACCAUUUGUAUUGCUUUGUUUCCACGUAAGCUAACGGAAUUUGAUGAAGACAAAAUAGAUAUGAGUCGUGCUAUUCACACCCCUCGAUAAUUCUCUCAAAAUCCCCUUUCUAAUUAUACCGCCUUGAAUAAUUUCAAAACUGACUUUUCCUCUUAUAAUACCACCUUCAAUUCCCUUAAUACCCUUGUUCGCUAUGAAAAUAAGGAAAAUGCCUACAUAAAAAGCUGGCUCUGAUAAUCUACCUGAAUUUACAUUAGAAAAGAGUGGACUUUGAGAAAUAAGAAGACAAUAUAGGGAAUUUUACCAAAAUAAUCCAUUUUUAUAUACAGGGAAUGGUAUUUUCUAAUAUAAGGAGGAGUGGAGAAAUUAAAUUUAGCAAAAUAAAGAACCUCCAUCGAGAAGCAAAAAUGAUGAUAUCUUUGUCGUGAAGAGAUUUCAAUUCAAUUGCAUACAUUGACGAAACAUUAAAUACGGAAAAAACAAAAAAGAAAUAAUAGAACAUGGGGAUUUCGAGAACUUCUAAAGAGAGAAAUGUAUUUAUAAGCAUUGAAAAUUAGCUCAUUAAAUUUGACAGAAUAAUAUACAAUCUCACUGUUGGCCAGAAAAUAAUAGUAAGAACUUGUGAACAUAUAUAAUCAAUUGCUUAUUACUUAAGCUUUUUCUCCGUUAUUUUGAAUGGGUGCAAAGAGGAGAAGUUUUGUACCCAAAUUCCAACUCGAAUUGUGUAGGCUGCUUGCAAGAGCUUCAUUAGAUUUUUAUUUGUCUUUUAAUAGUGCUACUCGAUAAAUACAGCUAGCUAUCUGUCCUUUUUGUUACUGGACUAUAGAUCAAUUGACAGUUGAAGUUAUAUUAAUUUGUUGUACUGGAAUUGAAGCUUGUAUCUUAGCCAUUUCGUGAAGUGUCAAAUAUAUUUUUAAUUUCCUUAAAAUUGUUCAAAAUAUGUUUACACUUUUAAAGUCACUAUUAUACAUGAGUGCCCUAAAAUCAUUUCCUUAAAAUUGUUCAAGUGGGAUCCUAGUUCUCUAUGGCAGUUGAAGAGGUAAAUGCGCAUAGAGCUAUGCUCUAUCAUAGGCCUCGGCCACUAUAAGAAAUUUGAUUUUUUAAGACGAUAUUUUUUACAACAACUUUAAAUUUGGUCACAAAAUGGUAUUUAUUGUGACAAAUUUUUUAAAUCGUAGCUAAUAAUCUUGUCCUAACUUAUAUUUUUUUUUGUAACCAAUUAUUUUUAUUUUGAGACUUGUUCAUUGGUCAUUAAUUAAAUUUUUUUAUACCAAAAAUUAUUUUAGUCACCAAAAGAUAUAUUUUUUUGGCGCAAAAUCUUCCCUCCAAAAGUGAUUAUUUUGAGACAAUAUUUCACUAUUUAUGACAAAAUAAAUAGUCAUGAAAUAUAAUUAUAGGCGACCAAAUUAUUUGGUAACUAAAAGAGGGGUGUAAAAUUAACUAAACAAUCUAUGACACAAAAUAUUAGUAGCCAAAAUUAUUGUUCUUUUGGCAUAUUUUAAGACCAUUUUUUUGGUCAUAUAUAAUUACCUACAGUGACAAAAUUAAAAAAUAGUCGUUGAAUGUUUUAUCUUGAAUAAUUUUAUAUUUGAUAACCAAUUUUUUUUUCUUUUUGAGACAUAUUACUUGGUCCCUAUUUCAACUUCUUUUUGACUAACUUUAUAAUAGUCACAAAAGACAUUUUUUUUUUUUUUGGCAUAAAAAGUCUGUCCAAAGUUAGCUCUUUUGGGACAAUAUAUAAUCUUUUAUGACAAAAUAUAUAGUGGCGAAAUAUAAUUAUUUUUUACAAAGUUAUUUCGUAGCUGAAAAAGAGGUGUAAAUUUAGUUAACCUAUUUGUGACAUAAAAUAUUAGUCUCCAAAACUAUUAUGCUUUUAGCCAAUUUUAAGACCCGAUUUUGUUGUCAUGGAUAAUUACCUAUUUUCAAAAAACUAAGAGAUAGUAAUCAAAAGUUUGUCUUGAUUGACAUUGUAUUUUAUGAGCAAAAUAUUUUGUUUCAGUGACACUUUACUUGGUCUCUGAUUAGACUUGUUUGUGAUGAUCAAUAGAAAUAUAUAAUAACCACUAAAUUUUUUUGGAUUAAAUUUUAUAGAUACUAUUAAUUAAGUUGUUGACGAAAAUGAUCGAACCAAUACUAAUAUGGGAUACCAUCAACAGCCGUAAUACUUAUGAACCGAGAAAUUAUAAUAUGUAGUGAAAAAGUUUUAACAGUAGUCCCUAGUAUUUAGAAUUAUUUUGACUACUUUAUUUAUUUCCAAAACAUAAAAUUCUCAACCCAAAAUUCCCCGCAUUGUGUUUUAUUUUGUCUCCUCACUCAGUUACUCUUAUUAACUCACGGCUUGACAAAAAAAAGAAAAAAAUUCUCACAGCUUGAUGUUCUCCUCUCUUUAAAAAUAAAAAUCCCCAGUUACUCUGCUCAAACUCGUUAAUAUUUGUUUCCACCACCAAAGCAGCCACUCGUAUCUUUUAUUAAGCAUAACGUUUUUCUUAAAACCUAAUUGAUCAUUCUUUAACGUCUCCAGGAUUAUAUUUGGCACGCUAUUUUUCUCCUUCAAUUGAAUAGAAGUCUAGAACCUUUUUUUUUUCGCAAUUCACUUUUGCUGUGUUUCGUGGUUUGGACUAAGAUCAUGACAAUUAUUGAACGAUGGGGAUAAAUAUCAAAGAAGGAGCUUACAUGCCCUAUAUAUCUCUCUUUGGAUGAAUAACGAAUGUGAGCUUUCAAAGUACAGAGAUUUACAUGUUUUAAUUGUCAUUUACAUUGCUGCAUGCCAAUUGCUUGAUAAAAUACUGCAACAAAUACGCAUUCUCGAUUUUCUUAUAAAUUUAUUUUCUUAAUCUGAAAAAAAUUGAAUGUUCAGAGAAUUUUGAAGGUUUUGGUGUAUGCAUUAAUAUUUCGAUUCUAUUUAUGUUGUUUAACUAAUGAAGAUGAUACAUCUAGCCUCUUUUUGCCCCUUGUUGUUUUUAUUCUUGUGCUUUAUAUACGGUUCAAGUGUGAUACACUUUAGUUUUUCUCAAGUGUUUGUUAGUAUUUCCCGAAGCAAAAUUUGUCACAGACUUUGAGUUCAAAAGUUGAAAUCAUAACUAACAUACUUCGAUUUUUUAUUUUCCUUUUUUCUUCGGUAUCCUUCUAUAUGGCAUUGGUUGAGAAAUUGGUGUACUUAGAUCGUAAUAUUCUGUAGAAAUAAGCCAAUAUUUCAUUACGUACAUUGUUUAAUAUGAUGAGUAUUGUAUAGAAGUUUUACAUAUAAGCUCCUUAUAUAUUAUGCAUUAUGUUUUUAUCAUAUUGUUGCUUGGAACUUUGAAGGAUUGGCCACAGGGCUUUAGUCCUACAUGGACAUUUUAUAUUUAAUAGCUGGUUAGGCAUUUUAUUUGAUGUUAUUUGGACUUGUAGGUGUUAAAAGUUUUGUUCAGUAAUUUUAUAAUUCAGAUUCCCAUUGUGAUAAGAUAGCAAUUUUUUGUGUGUCAGAUUCUGUCAACUGAUAUUUAGCUAAAAUAUCUCACUAACCCCUAUUGGUUAGGUAUUAUUUUAAAUCACAUACUUGAUUUUUAUUUUCUUUUUAUCUGUGGAAUCCCAUGUAUCAUUCAUAAGAAACAAGCUAUUAUAUAAUCUAUUCUUUAGAUCCAUUUAUAUGUAGUGAGCACUCUGAUUUCUAUUAUUUGAAUUUUUUGCUACUGUUACUACUCUUUCGGCCCUUCAAAUAGGGGUUAACAGAAAUGGUGAGUAUAUUAAUACAAAUUCAAACUUUCUUUUUCUAAUUUUAUCCAAAAUAACCUACUAUUUUAUUUUAAUUUCAAACUUUUGUCAUAGUCUAAUGGGCAGUUGUCUUGUCAUUAUUUGGUUUCAAGUAAGAAGAGAGAAAGUUAGUGAGAGGAUGAAAAUUUUGCAAAAACUUGUUCAUAGCUAUGGUAAUUAAGUAGUUUGAGUUCUUUUUUUUGUUGUUUUCUAUGUUGGUUUUGGAUCAUUGUAGUUGCUGAUUGUGAUUUAUUGUCGCCUAUGGUUGCUGACUUUUGUUUACUGUGGCUACUUUAUUAAAGCAAUUUUGGAUAUUGAAGUUUAUGGCCAACUUUUAUUAGACACUUCUGACCUUUAUCGAUAUAUUUUCUGAACCUUUACACUUAAGAUGUGUGUGUGUGUUUUUAAAAAAUACAUGUGAAUGAAAUAGUACUUGAAAUAAUAUAUUUUCUCAACUUUUAUUAGAUAUAGUGAAAUAGUACUUGAAAUAAUAUAUUUUCUCAACUUUUAUUAGAUAAUUCAAAGUAUAUCCCACUUAUUAUCGAUAUAUUUGCUCAAGUCUCAUGUGCAACAUGUGAAUGAAAUAGUACUUGAAAUAAUAGAGACUUUGUUUUAUGACUCAUAUUUUUACAUUUCUUUGCAAGGAACCAUACUUAAUUGUACCUAAUAGAAGAGAUAUCUUUUCACUAUAUAGUCUUAGUAUAAAAAGAUACAUCUUCUAUAUAAGGCACAAUUGAUGGGACAUAUCUUUAUACUAAGACAUCAUUCAUAUUUAUCACACAAUAAUAGAAACUGCAAUGGUAGGUGGAAUAUUAUGAAGUCAAAAUUGAGAACGACAUUAAAUCAUGAAUUCUUUAUGUGUUUACUCGAAUGCCUGACAGUAUUUAGUUCAAUUAACACAGAUUGGAAAUCCAAAUGAUUGAAGAGUUGUAUGAGUUCAAGUUCAGUAUUUAAUUACUAUAUAAUUAUACAUAAAUGUGGAUUUUGCAAGCUUGAACCCAUGUGUGUUAGCCCAUUUCGGCCCAAUAAACAUAUUGUUCUGGAUAAAAAAUAUCAGGGGAUCUCUGAUGUUUCUUUGGUUUAACAUAAAUUUAUUCCUAACUCUAUAACCAUGCAUUAUUUAGACAAAAAUUUUUGCAAUCACCAAACAGUAAAACAGAGAAAUAAAAACGGAGGAGCUCUUUUCUAAAACAGAAGUAGGUGUUUUGUCUGAACGUACCACUUUCUGUUUAAUUAUUAUGUUUACGGAAUAGAUUUUUUUUUAUUAUUCUGUUUUAUGUUUCCGUCUUUACCCUAAGCAUUCUUGGUUGGCAUCGCUGCAUUGUCCUGUAAUCUGUGUGCCUUGGUGAGGAGGGGAAUGGAUAACUGUGGUGCUGGAUACGUGAGAGACAAUGAUGAGGGUAGAUUUGUAAUUGCCAGAAGCGAUUUGCUUGCAAUAAUUCAAUGCAUGGAAAGAGAUGCCUCUAACAAAAAAUGGGACUAUCCAUAUCUGAGCAUUAGAGCUCUACGUCUUAGAUAAAUAAAUAUACUUAUUAGUAUUGUUUUUGCAUAUAUCUUUCACAAAAUUAUUGUAUUCGCUUAUAUAGAGAGGACGAUUUAGAUAAGUUUCAACUAAAAAUUGACAAUUCCAUGAUAAAGUUAAAAAUCACCGAAUAAAAAACUGGAAAAUCCCCUGUUUCUCCUCUGCUUUCUUUUGAUUAUUAUUAAAAAGGGGAAUUAAAAAAUGAGUUGCAAGCACAAAUUUUAUUUCUACAGUAGUACCUUCUAAAUGCACCAUUGUUUGAUACAUUAAAAUUAAACAUUACUUAUGCUAGUAUAUCGGUACUUCACAUGUCCGUUCUUCAUUAAUGUAUAUUCAUUUACACCCAAGCUACCUGUCAGUUUUGCGAAAACUGAAUUUAAAGGUGUGGCUUAAAUUAAAAUAAUAAUCAGCCUCAUAGAAUACAGAGAAAAAAGAUAAUUUAUCACAAUCAUAUCCUAAUGCAUCAUAAAUUUAGAUUAUUUAAUUACUGUUAGGAAAUCUGCUUAGAUAAGGCGCACACUACAAAUUCUAAAUUAAAUUCCUAAUUAACAAUAAAAGAUAGACCCUAUUAAUCGUCCACCAGGUACCUUGUAGCCUGCAUCAUAAGUUUAGAUUUAAAUUUUUGCAAUUACCAAACGGAGAAACAGGGGAAUGAAAACAAAGGAGCCCUAUUUUUUCCAUUUUUGUCCCCCUUAACUCUUGUCCUUAUACAAAUAUUUUUCCUUGGAAUUUCAGGCAUACGAAAAAAUAUUGAAAAUUAUUUAAAGCAAACAGGUGGAUGAUAACAAAAAUAUAUUUAAUUAACCAAAUCAAGACACUAUAUUGGUCGUCAAUGUUUCGGCAUCACUGUCUUCUUCAGAUGUUACUUGUUUUUCACAUUUAUUUUGCGCUGUUGUGGAUUAAUAUGGUUCUGCUGGGUGCACAUUUUUACGUGCUACUGUAUUUUCUCUCAGUCCUUUUUAAAAGAACAUACACCCACAUACUAUGUAGAGUGACCUUUUUUAAUGAGGAAUCUGUCAUUUUAAUAAAAUGAAGAAUAAACUAAAAGGUAGAAGUACACGAACUCUAAUGCAAUAUACCUUUUCUUUUCUUUUACCUUUACUAUAAGAUAGGGAAUGAUAUAAUUGAUAAUGGAACUUGGGGUCAGAGCAGCGGUGUAAUUUUGAGAGGAUUUACAAGAUGGUAAGUGCAAUAAUUAACAGGCUCAUUUAAUAUAUCAAACUGCUAGAUAAUUGUACUAGUUAAACAUAAUUUUCAGAGAAUCUUUUUAAGGGUUUAUUUAUUAAUAUUUUGUUUCUUUCCAGCAUGAACACUUUGUUUUGACACGUGCUUAACAACCUUCAACGAACUGGAACAACCUUCAUCACAUGCUUCCUCACGUGAUUACUUAAAUUGAUAUGUAAAACGUGCUCCAUCCAUGUCGUUUCCACUAAAUCGUUUUUUGUUAAGAAUCAGCUGAGCAGCACGUGAGCUAAUGAAGCUUUUACGGCUUCAAAACGCAGCCGUUUCUGGGAACCAAACUUGAUUCAUCAUCUCACAACUACAGAUGAAUUAUCGAAGUGGCUGAUUGGUGCUGUACGUGUUUUUCGUAUUGAACUCAACUCUGCUAUAAUACAUGCGUGCAUCUGAUACAUGCACAAAAACCACCACUCCCACUCCCACUCCCACUCCCACGCCCUCGCGUCACGCGCCUUACCACUCCCUCGCCUCACCUCACCUCUCUUCUUGUUCCACGGCCAUCAACGGCGGCACGAGUCGGCAACGAUCAACUGCGGCUGUAAAUUGACCACAAUCAUCUCUCUCUCUCGGCUUUGCUCAAAUUUGGCCGAUCUAUGCGCUUGCUUAAGCUUGGCCGAUCUAUGCUUGCUCAAUUACUCUUCCUAUAUUCAGUCGGAGUCAACUGUUUGACAAGAGUCGAAGUCCAAGGUUCUUUUUUACAGGAUUUGAGCUACUUCUUUUAUUCUUCUUCCAUGUUCACUGAUACGAAGCUUUGAUGUGGUGUUCUGAGAGCGGGUGGAAUUUGAGAUUCUCCUUUCUUCUCUAUAUGAAGGUGCUUGUCAUGUGUCAAGAAAAAUAAAAUUAUUUACAAAAGAUUAUUUUAAGGAGAUUUAUUAUUAUUCGUGGAUCGGGAAGCUCAAAAAAUUUUCUUAUGUAGACUCAAAUCAUUUCUAUAGGGCGAAGCAUAUGAAUGAUACAUAUUAUCUUUUUUUGGCCUUAUGUAUUGUUAUUUGCAGUGUGAUUUGGUCUAGCUUAAGAGCUUAAGCUUGCAGGCUGGAUUUGUCUGACAUGGAACAAUUUAAUUUGUUCAUCGUGAUGUUUAUAUCCAUUUUGUACUACUAUCAAUUUCAAUCAUGGCUAAUUUUUAUAUGUAUUUCUCGUGGACUCUCAGGUUCAGUGCACAAGAGGAUGAAGACGAUGGACACCCAAAUUUGAUGUGGAGAACAACUAUUGCAAAUGGUCCUUGAUUUACUUCUCCAAUUGACUUGAAUUGGUUUGACGCAAUUUAUAGUGUAUUUUUGUCAUCUUUGUAUGACUGGCAGGUCGUCCUGAUUUGGUACAUGACUGGACACAGGAAUUGGACUCAUAUUUUUCAAACCAGAAUGCCAACAAUCAAGCAUUUUCUUUUGAAAGCACUGGCGUCUUCUUCAGUGCCAAAAAGGUUAGAGAUUUUCUGUAUCCUGUUUUGUAUUUGAUCAGUUUAGCAUGUGGGUGGCAAUCAAGAAAAGUUAUUAUAACAUUUUUGUGUUCCCGAAAAACUGCUGCUGAUGUGUAGUGCAGGAAAUGAAUUGUUUGUGACUUCUUUUUAUUUGUAUUCUUUCUUUUUUCUUUUCUCCCCAACAGAAUUACGUAUUUCUGAAGAGCUUCUUGAAGUUGAUUACCAUGUAUGCCACUUUCUUUACUCUAUGCUCAGGAUGUGAUUUUGUUUAGGUCAGAACCAUCAUCUAAAGUUUACUUAAUGCUGCCGAGAAGCUGUAGUAGAGCAAUGAAGGCUGUUGGUGUUAUGAAGGCCAGCUGUGAAGAAAUAUUUGAACUUGUAAUGAGCAUGGAUGGGACACGAUACGAGUAUGCUUCUUUUCUAUUUUUUAUUUUUAGUUACUUUAACAUAAUCAAGACUAUAUUGGCUGUCUGUGUAAGCUGAGUAUUAUAUUUCCUCUUGUAUGCUGUGAAAUUCACAUUGUCUCCAGUCCCGAUUCUGUAUGUGCCUUUUUGAAUAUAUUUAAUUAAUCUGCAUGGUGCUUUCUAAAGAUUAUUACAAACUUUUGUUGCUUAAGUAUAUGAAGAAUGUGGAAAUGAAAAUAGCUUUUGAAGUUUGAUGGAUUGCUUCAUUAAUAAAGAAAGACUAGGACUCAUUUUUAUAACUUUUCUCCACUUAGCUAAUGGUAUUUGAUGAAGACAAAAUAGAUGUAGCUAUCUAUAUUUUUUGUUGCUGAACUAUAGAUCAAUUGAUGGUUGAAGUUAGUUAUAUUAAUUUGUUGUACUAGAUUAAAGCUUGUAUCUUAGCCAUUUCAUGAAGUGUCAAAUACGUUCUUUCCUCUUUUUUUUUUUUUUCGAAACAUGUUACACUUUUGAAGUCACUAUUACAUAAAAGAGUGUUCUAAAACAGGAGAAGGCGUGCUGCCUGAAAUUACCUGUUUCCUAGCAAAUCUAGCUGGUUUGCGAAUUAGAUUUUAACAAGUCUCUUGGCAAGGUUUGCUAGUAAUGUGUUCAAAUUAUUCUAUUUAAUUUUACUGUCUGUACCCUAAUAAUUCUUGGUUUGCACCAUUGCAUUGUUCCAUAAUCUCUGUGCGUUGGCUUAUAAAGGCCAGCAAGGCUGAUCAUUUGUCGAAUAGUUAUUUCCAUGAAAUUCCUAUCAAUUUGACUCAGUAUUUAGAGGUCUUGAAGAGGGCAGUGUACUAGACAUGGAUUUCUACCUCUUUUGGUUGUACAAUUGUUGUAUUUCUUGGCCAUCAGAUCUUUUUUAUGUACCUUUCUCAAAGUUCUUGCCGCACGUACACCGUUUUUCAUGUUUUGUGCAGGUGGGAUUGUAGUCUUCUGUAUCGCAGCUUAGUUGAAGAGGUAGAUGGUCAUACGGCUAUUCUCUAUCAUAGGCUUCAGCUGGACUGGCUUCCAAUGUAAUAGUCUCUUGAUUCAAUCAUCUCAUUUAUGCUUUGGUCAGAAUAGAACAUUUAUUGUUCUUCUUUCCCCUUUCCUCUCUUCUGAUGUAAUAUGUGAGGAAAUUACCUAAAAUUUCUGUAUCCCAAUGUAAUUGUUGGCAUUCAGAAAUAAAAUAAAUACACCGUCUUGUUUUUCCCUCGGUUCAGUCCUAAGUUCUCUUUGGGCCUUCUGCAAGUUUUUAAACAUACUGUGACAGUAAAAAAUCUAGUGAUUGAGAUCAUUUUGAUGAAUUUAAUUUUAAUUCUUAGCUGAUACUUUUUCUGGAAUUUUUUUCUUAUGUUUCCUCAAUAUGACUUAAAUAUAGGGCUUAGUCAUGGAUCAUGCACCAGAGUGAUGGAAGCACCCCUUGUUUAUUAGGAAAAGCAGUUGAUUGUAACUAUAUCCGCGGUCCUAAGUAGUUAGAAGUAAAUGCUCUUCGAAUUCCUAUAGUACAUGGGAUGUGUUCCCUUUCAAAUAGCUUGUUCAAUACCAUUAACAUGGUUUAACAUUGUUCAUCUUUCUGUAGAUUGAUGUUGACGUGUUCUUCUAGAGUUGCUAAUGGAGUUUUGGGCCUUGUAAUUGGUGUAAUUACGGCAUUGGUGGUUGACAUGGCUUUCCUUGUGCAGGUAUGUAUGAUUGUUUUUUUCCCCCACUUCUAAAUGACACGAGGGAAGAGACAUGAUUUUGAGAUAUUGUACUGCAAUUUGCAUAUUUGCAUACUUGAAUAGUAACUCAAGAAUCAUUUUCAGAAUGGUAUAAUGCUUCGUGUAUGCAGGCAAAUACUACAGAUGAAUUACCGGAGCGGCUGAUUGGAGCUGUACGUGUUUCUUAUAUAGAACUCAAGUCUGCUAUUGUCCCAAAGUUGGAACCAGAGACAUCAUGACUCUGGUUUCAUUUCACCUCAACUGUUUUUUUUUUAAUUGAAAAAAAAAAUCAUUUGUUUUAGGUAUGCAUACAUGUAUUUUGAUCCCGUUUUCAUUGUAAUUUCUCAUUUACUUUGAAAGAAAGUCACUGGUGUUUUCGAAUAGGAAUUUUGCAUUAAAAAAUAAAGAAUACUUAAUAGGAAACUUAAUAAUUCUUUAGUUACUAUUUUUGGAAUGAGUGUAAUAGUAUUGAAGUUGGUUUCUACUCGCAAUCAAGUGAACUACUCGAUCCCCAACUGCGACCGCACUAAUUGUCAUUGUUUAAUAGCCUACUACUUUUAAAACUCAACAACUAAAAAAAUGAUUUUCUUAUGAUGCUGUGAAAACAUUUAUGGGUUCACUUAUUUCCACAAGAUCUAUAACAUGGUCUUGACUUCACGAAAUUCUUUUAACUUAAAGGGUUCUGGUCUGAGAAAGUUAAUUUGACGGAUUAAUUCCUUUUAAUAAUGGUCGAGUUAAUUUUACUAUACUCGUAAAACUAUUAUUAUUCUGAUAAUGCCACAAAUGUUAUGAUGUUUUCUUCAGCCAAUAAUCUUCUAUUAGGACUAGUUAGAAAUCAAAUGCUUAAAACACCAAUUGAAUGAAUAAUGCAGAAGUUUAAACAGUAUCUAAUUGAAAAUUACAUGAAGCAUGAAACAUCAAUUCAAGUCCUUCCUUAAACAGAGAAUGCAUCAAACAAAUCCAAAGUGUCUUGCAUGUCUGUAAAUAAUUGUAAAUGCGUUUAGAUUAUUCAAGUACAGGAGAACAAGCAAGUUGAAUCAUGUACAAGAGGUUGGCCUGGUUCGAGAUAGCUUCUUCACAGUACCUGAAGGGUUGGCUCAAUCUUUUCUUUAGAAUUCUGCACAUUUUGUAAUUACUCGUGUAAGCAAGCAUACAUUACAACCAUAAUAAUAAUAAGGCAAGAGUAAUGAUACGACCACAGCCUCUUGUGCACAAAUAAUAUUGUACAAACUAAUAUGACAUAAUAUGAUUGAUUAAACAAAAACAUAACAUGACCCUCAUAAUUUAUUUAUUAUUAUUUUAUAUUUUCAGUCAAGCAAUCAUAUUAUGCCACAUUAAAUAGAAAUAAUUUACUAGAUAGUGCCAACACUUCAUUGAUACUCACCAUUUCAUUGAACAAUUUUUUUAUAGUGUCAUUGAGGUUGCCUUCCCAACAUCCUUCAUCAUCACCAUCUUCAUCUUCGGUGGGUUUCACUUUGUUUAGCUUUGGUGCGUCUACGACUCCUGGAGAGAAAAUCUUCAUCGUUGGGCAUUGUCUCACAACUACGUGUGCCAAGGACGGGAACUCAAGAGCGUAAUUACCCAAACUAAAGCUUGUUAGGCUUGGCAAACAAUCAAUUCCCAAGUACUCCAAUUUCCUGAAAACAAUGCAAUCUUCCGCUUCUUCUCCAACCUGCGACUGUAUAAUUUCUUCCAUCAUUUUGCAAUCAGUUAUCUUCAUUCUUUCAAGAUUCACUAGACUUUCAGAUGUUGAGAGUGUCAAUAAAUUUAUCAACCCAUGACACUUCGAUACUUCCAGAGUCGCAAGAUUUUCCAAAUGCCACAAAGCUGGUACUAAUUUCUGCAACUUACUACAUUCAAAUAUUUCUAGACUUUUCAAGUUUGCAAACACUUUGUUGGAUUCGGCAUUUUCCUUCCAGAGAUGCUGCACUUUGUGUAAUCCAGAUAGCUUUAACUUCAUCAAUUGAGGGAAUGCAACCUGAAAAUCAACAAAAUUAAGUUGUAAAUGAAAAUAUGUAUCCAAUCUCUACAGUCUUCCCCUACAUAUUUUAUGGACAAGAUUAAUCACGGCAUUUUAUAUUUUAUUUCCAAAUUAGUAUGCUUUGCAGUAGGAUCCCAAAUAUAAGUAUCAAAUCGAUUACCCUUUGAAACACAUAAAUGAAAUCUGAUCAUAAAUCCAAUAUGAAUUAGCUAGGAAAACAAAGAUCUAACACGCAUAAUUUAUGCGAUAUAGUUCAUCACCUCCUGUCACUAGGCAUCUAAUUAAUUUGAGACAUUUUUUUAAUUCAUACUAUAAAGUUAGUUAAUAACUACAAUUAUAUUGUUAAAUCAGAUAUAAAUUAAGACGACGUGCAAAAAGAUAAGUCAUUAAAUUUGAUUUGAUUCUAAUGAAAUUACAUCUAUGCGAAUGAAAGUGAAGGGAAAAAUAAUAAUAAUGAUUACCUUUUUAUCGAAGAGAUGUUGUAUUUGAUUAGCUACCAAGAGGUUCUCUUCUGAUUUUAAUUUUUGAGCUUCCUUAUUAUCUGCUGUCAUGUGCAAUACAGAUGUAGAAUUGGAUAUGAAUGUUUCCAUGUCAGGGCAAUUCUCAAUAGUUAGAUAUCUCAACUCAGGCAGUUCAAUUAUAUUCCCAGUGAAGUUGCAGAAUCUUUUGAGUUUUGGAAGAUCAAUGAGCCUUAGAUUGGAAAGCUUAGGAAACAUGGGGCCUAUAUGUUCUUUGUCAGCAUUUAGCUCUUCCAAACGAAGCACCUCUUCUAGUGAAUCACAAUUCCUCACUUCCAGCCGUCGCAAAUUGUUCAAGCAUCGUAGCAGAUUGGCAGGAAUAGCACUCGACAUAUUCGUGCAGUCAUCCACCACCAGCCGUGCUAAAUUGUUGAAGAAGCUGACAGGCAGUGCUUGGCCAUGCCAUAUUUCUUUCAAACGUGGAAAAUGUGAGAGUUGCAAAUACCAUAUGUCACGGAAUCCAAUCUGCACAAACCAAAACAAUUGCACCGGAUAUAUACAAUUUUUUUUUUGAAAGGCAUUAUAUAUAUACACAUUAAACUUACAUGUUUUGUGUUUUAACUUCUAAAAAUAUAUAUACAAGACCGGGGUAUAUGCUUAAAUGUGCAAUUGCAGGGGAGAUGCAUAAACAAUUUGGGUGAAUCGAUUAACACAUACCAUUUCUUUGUAAUACUUUUGCAUAAUGGAAUUAAGGUUAUUGCCUUCCCAAUGGUGCAGUUCACCCUCUUCCUUUUCAGUCACUUGCACUUUGCAUGGCUUUGGAAUGGAUAAGAUUCCCUGAGAAAAAGUCUUCAUAUUUGGACAACGUAUCAUAGAAACUCGUUCCAGUGAUGGGAAUUCAAGAGUGUAAUUCUCCAAACAAAAGCUGGUAAGCCUUGAUAAAUAAUUAAGUAUCAAAACUUUUAAUUCGCUGAAAGCAAUACGAUUCUCCUUCACUUCUUCUCCAACAUGUCCUACGAUUUCUUCUAUUUUUUGGCACUUCGAUACUUUAAGAUUCACCAAACUACUAGGAAUUCCAACCUGAAAAUAAGCAAAAGUGUGUGUAUAUUAAAAAAGUAAAAAUGUAAGAAUAUCAUUCAACUAGGUUCAAAGUAUGUUUAAUCAUACAAUUAUACGUUUUAUAAAGAUAACAAACCAUGAAAUGUCUACAAGAUAAUUUUUUGUUAAACAAAAAAAGCAACAAGAUAAAUAAAUAAAUAAAAGCCAGAUAAACAAAGAUAUUAAAUGCAUUUACACUAUUUAGUAUUAGGAACGUACGAAGAAUUUAAGGCAAUUUCUAAAUAUUUUAGACUUAUUUUGCAUCUUGAUGCCAGUUUUUAAACAAAAUUUGCAAAUUUCAACUAUUCCUUUUGGGAAAAAAAAAUCAACCAAAAUGCCGCUUUUUCCCUUUUCCCUUGGUCCCUUUUUUUUAUGUAUAUUUAAUUUUGGAAACAAAAUUAAAGUGGAUCUUUAUUAAGUACUUCCAGACUCGAGGAAAUUUCUUUACAAUCAAGGAUCAGUUGUAAAUAAUCGUGAAUUUGUGGUUAAUUAAUGGCAUAAUCAGUUCGUAACUAAACAAGAGAUAUUAAUUAAAUUUGAAGACUUUUCUUUUCUUUUUUUCUUUUUCCAAUCGAAAUGUGAAGAAUUAAGGAAAAGAGAAAUAUAUAGAUGAAUUUGUGAACCUAUAAGAUGAGUGACUAUCCUUUAAUUUUUGAAAAUUGUACUUAUUAAGAUAUGAGCAGAAACAAUUAAAUUGAAUUAUAUUAUGAUGUUGAAUCGUGAUUAAAAAAAUUAUAUUGUUGAUUCUAAUGCUGGCGAACCUAAAAAAUGGACUUAAAAUGUAGAUUUGAGAGUGGUGGUUCGAAAUACAAUACUUGAAAUAAAUAAUCAGUGGCUGAAUAUCAUUUGUAAACCCAAAAAUGGUUAAAAUAUUGUUGGAUGUAAUUUAAAAAAAAAAAGAUUCGAAAUGAAUACAACGACCUUACCAAUGGAGGAAAAAUAUUCAUUAGGUUAUGACACUUAUAUAUCUCCAAAUUCUUCAAUUUGCUGAAAGACUCCGAAGGAAGCUGGUGGUGCCAUAUUUUUCUCAAAUUAUUCAUCCAGCUAAUAUCUAAUACCUCCAACCUAGGAAGUCGUACCUGGAAGUUAAAGAUUAAAUAACUAAUUAAUCAAUUAAUGGCAUAAUCAAUUGAUAACUAAAUUAGAGGCGGAUAUUAACUAAAUUUGAAGACUCAAGGAAAAGACAAAUUAAGUAUUGUGACUAAAAUUAAUUUUAUUUAUUAAAAAAAAAACCUUUUCGUCAAAGAGAGGAGGAGGUUGCAUUUCAGAAUGAUUGGUGUCUUCUGGUGAGCUCGUAGAGAUGAAUCUUAACAUAUUACUGCAAUUACCAAUCUCGAGGUUUAGCAAAGAAGGGAAUUCAACAACUAAAUCUGAAUGAAUAUGUCCUGUAUUGGCGAAGCUUGUCAGUUCUGUAAGCCAAUAGAGCUGCAGGGAGUGUAGUUUAGGAAAAACCUUUAAUUCAAUCAACUUUCCUUCAUCUCUUUCUGACCACCCCGUGGUGUCGACUACCCCUUCCAUUGACUCACAAGACCAUAUUUCAAGAUGUUGGAGUUGCAAAAGACUAUUAACCAUAGAAUACGAAAACAGAUACUUCAUACGAUCACAACUUCUCACGUACAGCUUUGUUAAAUUUUGACAACAGUACAUUCCUUGAUUAUGAUCGGCCCAUAAUUUUUUGAUGUUUCUUAAUUCCGUGAGAUUCAAUUCCUCUAAGCUCGGAAGAAGAACCUGCAAAGAAAAGCCGUACAUUUUUGUUCCUUCAAGUACAACCGUCUAGUAUAAUAUUCUGUUGAUGAUCGAAGAUUAAUCGUGAUAAUAAAUUAAUCAAUUAAUUAUUGAACAGAAAAUUAUCACCUUUGGAGCAGUAUCAUCAUCAGCAAUGAUUUCGUUGAAUCCCAAAGAAGUUGUUGGUUUCUCCCUGUCGGGUCCUGUAAACAAACAAAAACAAUAUACAUAAUUAAUCUUUGUCGUUGUCUUUUUUUUUUCAAAAUAAUUGAGGCGAAGUCCAUAAAUCCACCAACACUUAAUUUCAACACUUACCAACAGUCAUUUCCAGUUUAUUGCAGGAAGCCACUUUGACCUUUUGAAGCCGCAGUAGGUUUCUGGCUAUGGAAAAUGAGAAAAGAUGCUUCAAUUUAUCACAGGAUUCUACUUCUAUAAUCUUUAAGUUGCUGAAAAAUUGAUCUUCUCUGAGUUGGCUGUGGCAUAUGGCCUCCAAAUUGAUCAAUUUAUAGAGAGACAAUGACUCCAGCAAGGGGAAGACUUUGCGAUGAACCCGUCCAACUGAACCGACAAUGUGUAAAAUCUCAGAACACCUUUCUACCCAAAGAUGCUUCAAUCGUGGAAAACCUUCCCCAUCAUCUAAUUCAUGAACAACAUUCUGAACACCCGUCAGUUCCUCUAGACGGAUAUCUUCAGUUAACUUCAGCAACAUUUUCAUCCCAUAAUUCUCCAAAAGAGUGCUAACAUUUUCUAACCCAUGGAGCUGCACCAAUCUUGAUGUUUCAGAAUUAGCGCGCCAGAUGCCCCACGCUUCUCCUAUACAUAUCCUAUAUCUUGGCAAUUCGACAAAGACCAAAUCCUGCGGCAGCAUUUGGGCAUCCUGAACUUGUAUCUCCAAAGUAGUUAGCUUUGACAGCCCCUUCAAUUCAGCAAGACUGGCGUUACUUCCUCCUUCAACCUUAUCCCACUGCGGAAAGCUGUCACCCAUAUAUAGUUCUUCCAAUCGAGAAAAUUUUGAUAUGACAUUUGGUGCUAUCACUACAAGGCUGCUACAAUUGCUCAAAUCUAGCAAUUGUAACUGCGCCAAUUGACCAAUUUCAAGUGGCAACUGCUUAAUGUCGGAAUAUCGAAAGCUAAGAAUCUCUAAUUUCUUUAGCUGUCCAAUUGCCGCUACAUCUUCUAGUUGGCACCAGUCUAAACACAAUGUUUGAAGGUUAAUGAGGUGACCAAGUGAUGAAGAUAAUGAAGAGAAAUGAAUUCCGCUAAGACUUAAAACUUUGAGAUCUUCCGUCCCUUCAAAAAAGAGGUGUGAAAUUUCCAAAUAGCUAUCACCAUUUGCAAGCAACAGUAAUAACUUGAGUUGGGGACAUUCCAACCUUUCGGGAAGCUCUUGAAUAUCUCCAUAAGGUAUAGAAAUAGCAAUUGCACCUUUCUGUAUGAUCUUUUCUAUCUCUUCCUUCAAGUUGGUAACAUUUGGGAUACUAAACAUGAGCUUCUCUGAGGCAAUUGAUACGGCAACAACAUGAAUGACGUCAUGCAUUUUAACUUCAUCUUCAGCAUCGCCGUCCAACAAUAAGCAUGAAGCUUUGAGAUUGUCGAUCAAUGCGUCCACUCUAUUCCUUGCAUUUUCCAAUGUGCGAACAUUUUUAAACAAACCCUUACCAUAUCUCAACAAGGAAGCAACUUGUAUAGGAGUACCUUCACCAAAUAGAGUACAAAGAAGGAACAAAGAUUUUGCUUCAUCACUUUCCAAGAAGUUGUAACUCAAUUCUAUGGAAGAGCAGACAUUUGCAUCCAUUCCAUGAAUUUCUCUUGGAUUAGAAUUUCGCAGCUGAGUCAACGCAUCCUUCCAAACGGGAAGCUUCUUAUUUUUCAGAGCAUUUGCAACUGUACUCAGUGCAACAGGCAAUCCUCCACAUUUUCCAACAAUCUCAUCUGCUAAAGGUUGAAAAGCAGAUGCUUUUGCGGAAUUGCCCACGAUCUUUUCAAAAAAUUGCAAUGCUUCUUCCUUUGAUAAAACUUCAAUUAGGAAAAUCUUCUGAGAAUUCAUAUCAUUGGUCAAUAAAUGUUUACUUCUAGACGUCAAUAUUAUCGUGCGUCUCCUUAGAUCUUGCUUUCUAUCUUUCUCAUCAACAUCCCCAAAAGGAAUUCCAAUUUCUUCCAACCCAAGUUUUUUCCAAAUAUUAUCUAAUAUAAUGAGGACUCGCUUCUCUUUCGUCAAUCUUUGACAAAGUUGUUUUGCUCUGUGGGGUUUGCUAUCAUUCAAGUCAAAGUUCAAGUCUAAAUCGGAAGCGAGCUUGUCUUGAAUUUUCUGAACAUCUGGGUUCUCUGUUACCUCAGCCAUAACGACCUUAUCGAACACCUUAUCUUCCAUAACUUGCUUUGCAAUUUGCUUGACUAGCGUGGUUUUACCCACGCCGCCCAUACCGUGGACCCCAAUUAUGUUGAGCUUAUCAUUCCUCAAUGCCUCCACAACAUCUUGAAAUAAUUUCAUUCUUGAAUCAAAGGCCUCGAAAUCUUUCGCUUGCAUAUGUUCUGUACUCUCUGGAGCAGGACGGUGGGAAACACUAGAGAAGUUGCCUUUUCCCACGAGACUAGCGGCAGCUUCUGCGGCCUUUGCUGCUUGUUUACUAAGUUUAUAACGAGAAAUCAAGUUGGGGCAAAAUCCUUUGAAGCAGGACUUCUUAGCUCUAUCUUCAUCAUCAAUGAUGGAUUUUGCAACCCCUUCACUGAUGAAUUCAUCAACGUUAUUAAGCCAGUCUGCAACAUCCUUGUAAAUCUCAUCUCUUUGUUGAGUAGCCUCACGAACGGGUAUUCCCACCCUUUCUCUUUUAUAUUCUAGCUCCUUCACUUGAACUUUUAGCUCAGCUAUGUAGCUCUGGUACUUGAACACAUAAGAGAUCUGCCGCAUAAUCGGUUCGAACAAUGCCUUUGCACCUUCUGUUACAAUGCCGGAAAAAGUAGUGGAAACCAGGUCUGCAGCCAUUGCCUAGCCUGUUGCUUUCAUACAUACAUACAUACAUAUAUAUAUAUAUAUAUUAGCUGUUGGAAAAAUUAGAUUCAAAUAAAUUAAAAUGAACUAGGGGAAAGACGGAGAAAGAAAUGACAACCAACAACUUUUUAAAAAAAGGUUUCAAGGGCCUGAAUGGAAAACCAACAAUUUAAAAAAAAAAUUGUAAGAUGGAUGCAGAUUAACCAUUGCUAAUAUUACAUAAGAACACAGAAGUUAACAAUGAACAGUACGUAGAAAAUUAAAUGACAAGAUUAAAACAAACAAGGGCUAUUUUUUCUUGGACAAUUGUACCUAUUUAAUUAUUAAAGAGUUAAUGACCUUCACUGCUGGCCUUGAAUAUAUAAGAACGACCAGAAGAUGAAUAUUAACUGCAGACGAAUGUAAGUAAAGAGUUCAUGAGAGUGAGUAAUACAAAUGAAUUGUAAAAGAACAAGACUUAAGUGUGACCCCAUCUUUUGUUUUAUUAUAUAAAUAGAACACAUGAUCAUUUUUAACAAAGUGAUCAAUAACUCUAUGCGUUAUUUAAUUGAUAUUGUAACCAAUUUUAAGGGAAUUUAAUAAUAAUCAUUCAAUGCAUAAAUUUAAAAUUAGAUUUUUUUAAUUCUUUAUUUAAAUAUAAAUCUUAAUGGAAAAUUAUAAAAAUUUAGAGAUAAAAUUUUUCAAUCACCAAGGAAAAAAAAUGGGAAUGAAAACAGAGGAAUCUUGUUUUACCUUUUUUUUUUUUUCCUUAACUCUUGUUCCUAUACAAAUAAUCUUGUUUUGAUGAUAGUGCUCGUGACUAUGGGAAAAUUUCUAAUGGAAACAACUCAAUUUCGGAAGAUAAGCUUAAUUCUGCAAGUGAUGAAUUUGUUCAAUUGACUCUGUACUUGAACUCGUUGGAUUGGUUGAUUUACGAUUGACUGCAUUUCAAUUCUGCCUAAAAGAUCUUUUUAAUAGCUAUCAUGUACUCCUUAAAAGCAAUCAUUUUUAGAUUUGACUGAAUUUGAACUUGUUGGAUUGGCUGUUUUUAGAUUAUUGAUAUGAGAUACUACAAUGUAAACAUUUUCAUGUGGCUGAGCCCUAUUCUAAAAUCUGUAUGUUGCUUUAGAAAAAGGGCUUUUCCUACUGAUAUUUAAUCUUCAAGUAAACUUAGAUAUAAAGUAAAUCAAAUAAAAUGACAAACAAGCAAUAUAAUAAAAGACAACAAACUGGCAAUAUUGAUACAAAGGCAACAGAUAUUAAACUUUAGGACAUUUUUUUCCUAGCUUUCAUUUGUUGGAGGAUUAGAGAUUUUGGUAUUACCGGAAAGCUAAAAGGUUUCAAGGGUCUGAGUAGAAACCUAUAAUCUUUUUAAAAACUUUCUUUUUCUUUUUUCUUUUUUCUUUUUUUGGGGGGGGGGGGGGGGGGGGGGGGGGAAGAAUGCAAGUUAACCAAACGAAAUAAUAAGAGCACAGGCUUUAACAAUGAACAAUAACUUAAAACUCAUGCAAAGUAAAUUCAAUAUUAAAACAAACCAGAGAAAUUUUUUUUCUUGGAAAAUAGAUGGAAAUUAUGAAAGAACAGAUGUCAAGAUCAAAGAUCUACUAUACACAAACACACACAUUAGAGGAUUUGGAAAAUGUGCACCUCUUUAAUUAUCUGGGAUUAGAGAGUUGGUGAGAUUCUCCAUUUGGCCUUGAAUAUUUAAGAACAACCUCAAAGAGCAAAAAGAUCACCGGUAACUGCCGAGGAAUGUGUAAGAAAAGGGUUGAUGAGAAUAAUAACAUUGACUUGCAGAAGAAAAAGCAUUAAUCAAGCACCCCUUUUUUAUAUCAUGUAUUUGGUUAUUGUUGCCCUGUUUACGCACGUAUAGGAUAAUUAUAUGCAAUCUUUUUUUAAAAAUCCACAUGCACUUUAGGGCUUCUUUCAUAAAAGCAGAUACCGGAAACACACAAAAAUCAUUUGAGAGAGAAACCGAACAGCAAAUCAUCAAAGUAAGAUCAACAAUAUAUGAUUUGAUUAAUGCAUAUUCAAGAACAAAACAAAAAUAAAUAAAUNNNNNNNNNNNNNNNNNNNNNNNNNNNNNNNNNNNNNNNNNNNNNNNNNNNNNNNNNNNNNNNNNNNNNNNNNNNNNNNNNNNNNNNNNNNNNNNNNNNNNNNNNNNNNNNNNNNNNNNNNNNNNNNNNNNNNNNNNNNNNNNNNNNNNNNNNNNNNNNNNNNNNNNNNNNNNNNNNNNNNNNNNNNNNNNNNNNNNNNNNNNNNNNNNNNNNNNNNNNNNNNNNNNNNNNNNNNNNNNNNNNNNNNNNNNNNNNNNNNNNNNNNNNNNNNNNNNNNNNNNNNNNNNNNNNNNNNNNNNNNNNNNNNNNNNNNNNNNNNNNNNNNNNNNNNNNNNNNNNNNNNNNNNNNNNNNNNNNNNNNNNNNNNNNNNNNNNNNNNNNNNNNNNNNNNNNNNNNNNNNNNNNNNNNNNNNNNNNNNNNNNNNNNNNNNNNNNNNNNNNNNNNNNNNNNNNNNNNNNNNNNNNNNNCCCCAGGGGAAAAUCUGGAAUUCCUUUUUUUAAUUUUUUUUUUUUUAAAAAAACCCCACCGGAAAUUCUUAAAAUUUGGAAAAAAAAAUUUUGAGUCCCUUAUUCUGGGGGGGGGGGGGGGGGGGACGAAAACAGAGGAAACUUGUUUUACAUUUUUUUGAUCUUAACUCUUGUUCUUAUAUAAUAUUUUCCCUGGGAUUUCAGGCAAACCAAACAAAAAAAAAAAAAUUCAAUAAAGAGCAAGUUGCUCUAAUUGAUUUAUCUUGUUUUUCAGGCUAUUUUGUGACAUGAUGAUAUGUAAUGCUCUUGAAUGCUAGAAAAAUUCUAAUGCAAACAUUUUUGCAAAUGACGAAUGUAAAUAACUUUUUUUGAUUAAUUGAAUCUCUAAUACUCUUACCCUAUUCUAAAAUUUGUAGGUUGCUUCAGAAAAAAAGGGUAUUUCUCACUCAUCUUCAAUCCUCAAGCACAAUUAGAUUAAAAGCAAAUCUAAUAAAAUAACAAACAAAUUAACAAAAAAAAGAAAAAGAAAAAAAACAAUGUUGAUCUUGAGACAAUUGAUACUUAAACAGAGAAUUCUUUGUUCUUUUUUUACUCCCCCUGGCUCGAGGAUUAGAGUCUUUCUUUGCUAUUAACAGAGAGGUUUUAAGGGUCCGAAUAAAAACCCGCGCUUUUUUUAAAAACUUCUUUUUUUUUUUUUAUUGGGGAAGAUAGAUUCAAAUUAACCAAAGCUAGUAAUAAGAACACAGGCCUUACAAAUGAACAAUAACUUACAACUCAAGCAACAUAAAUAAUAAGAUUAAGACAAACAUGAGAUUUUUUUCUUCGAAAGUAGAUGGAAAUCAAGUAAGAACAGCUAUUAAAAGAAAUUACUAGAGAAUUUAGAACAUGUGUACCUCUUUAAUUAUUUGGGAUCAGAGAGUUGAUGAGCUCUCUAUUCGCCUUGAAUAUUAAGAACUGGUAUUAAAAGAAAUUAUGAAGAACAAUUUUAGUGAGCGAUAGAUCACUGUUAACUUCAGAGGAAUUUGUGAGUAAAAAGCUGAAAAGAGCCGUAAUAAUGAAUUACAAAAGAAGAAGACUUAAUCAAGCACCCCUUUUAUACCCGAUUUUUAAGAUUUAGUCUUGAAGUUCACAAUCAAGAACAAAGACGAAGCUUUAAUAAAGCAUGCAGUGAGAUACAAGAAAUGGAUCGGGCAAAAUACCUUACGAAGCGUUUCAUAUUUUCUAAUGAAAUAAUUAAGUUGAAGUUUUCGACGAAUAAAUACUUGUUGUGCUUGAAUAAUUUUGGCAUAUACGUUACUUGUAUCCUGCGAAAUUGAAAAGCACAUUGGUUUAUUAGAGCUUAUUAGGAGGGAAAAGCUUUGUAAGAUACCUGAUAAAAGAUAAAGUAAAAGCUUGAAUGAAGAAUGACAUUUUAGAAAGAAACUAAAGUGCAAUCAUCAAAGUGGGAUCAAUAGUGACUUGAUAUUUCAAUUGUUCUGUCCACAAAUGAUGCUUCGUUAUUACUAAUUCCAGAUGGACAUUAUUAGAAAAUGAUCUUAUGUUUAACAGAAAAAUAAAAACUCGUCAUCAUACAAAACAGCGUGAAGAAAUCUUCAAUUUGAUUAUUAUAAAAUAAUAAGUUUCAUUACUAGAUUAUGCGGACAUUAAUGUUAGAGAUUUGAUCAGAUUAUCAUAUAAUUUACUAAACGCUUUGAGAAGAACAAUAAUUAAUUUUUAAAAAAUUGAAAAAUAAAUUAAAUAAAGAGUACACGCAAAUAAUGUUACUUCCAAUCACCAAACUGAAAAACAGGGGAAUGAUAACAGACGAGUCCCUGAUUAUCCUCUCUCUCUCUCUCUCUUUUUCAAUCUCUCUCUUUGAUAUCCAUAUCUGAGCAUCAGAGCUUGACAUCUUUGAUAAAUAAAUAUGCUUACUGGUACUGUUUUUGCAUAUGUCUUUCACAAAAUCAUUGUAUACGCUUACAUAGAGAAGAAGAUUCAGAUAACUUUCAAAAUCUGAAUCCGCCUGAUGGACAGGCUUGACCACACAGCCCCGAGACAAGGAAGUCCAAGCAACUAAUCUAAACCGUUCUCCUUUAUUAGCUAGAUUUAGUAUUUGGGUUCUUUAUGUAAAACGACACUAUGAUCUUGAAAUUUUGAUUUAAUUAAUAAAUAGUUAAAUUCUUAAUGUUUCAGGAGUAGAUACAUAGACUCUCUUCUAAUUUUAGUCAUUACAAACAAUGCCAUUGUGCGGUUAUACUAUUGCUUCUUUUAUGAAACCAUUCUCACCAUCACAUAGAUCUUGGCAUAUAGAGUCUCAUAAUGUCAUCAAAUAAUUUUUUUUUUUUUUAAAAACAUAAAAUAUGAUACAUGUAUUCAUUUUUUUUCAAAUUAGGGUGUAUUAUUCUUAAAACUUAAGUGUUCUACUUAUAAAUAUCUUGAAGGUGUGAGUGUUUUCUUUUCGUAAACAAACCGUAAAAGAAAAAGAGGAACAAUAAUUUUUUACUUAUCCUUAGAGAUAAGAUUCAAUCGGGAUGUGAGUAAGUGUGUUUUUCUUUUUUUAUUAUGCUAAAUUAUCGAGUCACAAAGCAUAUUGAUUCAAAAGUAUAACUUUAUACUGAUGAUAGAUAAUUUCAAAACAAUGGAAUGAAAACAGAGGAGCUCCCCCCUCCCCCACCCCAAUCCCCGCCCCCCCCCCCCCCCCCCCCCAAAAAAAAGUUCUUCUUCUUUUAUAUAUUUUUCUUGGAAUUUUAGGUAAAAGAAAAAAAAAACUGAGAUUGAUUUCAAGGGAACAGGUGGAUAAUAACUAAAAUACUUAUUUUUAUAUAUUUGAUAUGUGCGCUCACUAUUAAUAGAACUUAUUAGAUACUACAACUUAAAUAACUUCCCAUGGUUGAUUGAGGGUAUGUUUGAGAUUUCCUUUACUUUCCAAGAAUUAAUUUCUACCUUGAUUCUGAACAAAAAAAUAAUUUUACAAAUAAUCUAUUAGGGUGUUUGGUAAAUGAUGAUUAUUUGACAAUCAAUUUUUAAACGGUUUACUAUACAAAUCUGGUAAAUGAAAAUUAAAAGUGUAAAAUGUUCAUGUACAAUGACAAAAAUGUACUUGUUUACUUGUUUGUAAUUUAUUUAGAAUAUUAUUAUUUAAAUCUUUUUUUAUUUACAAGAUUUUUUAAGAGCAUAUUCUAUUUUCUUUAUUACAUAUUUAAAUAAUUUUUUAUUAACUAUUUUAAUUUGCAAUAAAAUUAACUUCAAUAUCUUUUUAACUAAAAAAUUUGUUAUGUAGUUCGUGAUAUAACAAAUACUAACAUAUCAUUAGUUUGAUUAAUAAAUUAAGUGCAAAAAAGAAAAUGCAAAAAUUUAAUCUUUAUAUAAACUUUUAUGUACAUAAAAUCAUUGUAAUCAAACUAGUUCAUAGAAAUAUAAUAUUAUAUACAUGUGUGUAAAAAAAAAAAACAUAUGACCAUAAUAUUAUCCACUCAUUAAACUUGCUGCACUAUUAUUUCUCAAUCUCUCCAUCUCUCGACCUUCAAGAACAUUACUACCAUAAUCUUCUUCUUCUUGAAUCCAACCUCUAUUUCCUCAUCAUCAACAAUGCGACCAAUUUGCCUUGAUAGCCUUUCAACUAGAAUAGAGUUGGCAGUAGAUAUUUUAGUACUCUCAAACUAUGCCCAAACAGGGUCACCAGUGAUUGUUGUAUUAAAAGACAUUCUAUUUAAUUUUCCUCUGACUCUGGGUCGAUACCUUUUAUGCAAAAUCUAUUUACUUAAGGAAUUUUCUACACAUGUCGAUAUCAUAUUAAAGUGAAUUCAGAUCCUAUAUUAUUGACAUUAAAAUUUAGCCGAAUAGUAAAAAAUUUCCCUUUUUGUUUGUCACACAACCAUAUAGUCCCAUUUUUGGUUAUAAGCUCACAAUAUGUAAGGGAAAUGAAGAUCUAUUAAAACUUUCCCAUAAUAUUAAACAUUAAACAAUAUCAACAUUUUGUGCAUAUGGUGCCUCAUCAACAAUUUGAUGUUCAUUUUGUUGCUCGGAGGAAUAUGACUACCUAUUAAUUAAUUAGCAAGAAUUGCGUUGCGAGUCCAUGUUUUUGUCGUUUGGAUGGAGGAUGUGCCAUCUUUUUAUUGUAGAUGCUUUGUAAGGCUUUUGAUUUAAUGAUUUAAUGCAGUCAAUUAACAAAAGCUUACAUAUAUUAUUAUGUAGUUGCUGAGAUGUCUGUUCUUGAUAAAGUCGAUUUAUUUACACCCAAGCCAACGGAAUCAAAGCCUUUUCGUUAAUAAUAUACACGGUAAUUGUUUUUGUUAAAUUGAUUUCUGGCUAACAAGAUAUUUGAAAGCAUUUAGGUAGCGUUUACAUUUUGCGUUGGAGUGAGAAUCGUGAGAAAUGAGAAUCCUGGGAUUAGGAGUGUGGAGUGGGAGUCGAAGUAUGUUGUUUACUUACACUGAAAUGGAAGUAUGGAAUUGAAAUCAGAAUCCAAUUUAUUUGUUUACAUUGUCUUAGAUUGUGAGUAAUGAUUUUAAAUUACAGCUUUACUCUUAAAGAAUUAUAGUUAUUAAUUACAAAAUUAAUAAAAAUUAUAUUUUUAAAUUAAUAAUAAUUAUUAAUAUUCUUAACUAUGUAAAUCACAAUUAUUUUAUUAAUUUUAAUUUUAAUUAUAUAAAUAAAAAAUUAUUAAUAACAACAAUACAAAUGAAACAUUAUUAUUGAUAAUAUAGUACAAAAUUAAUUUUUUUAGAAUAAAAUAUUUAUUAUUAUUAAUUACUAAUAUUAAAUAAAUAUAAUAGUAUUAUUUUUAAAUAAGUAUAAUAAUAUUAUAUUUUCAAAUAAAAAUAGAAUAUAGUAAUAUUAUUAAUUCUUUAUGAAUAUAAUGAUAUUAUUUUUAAGUAAUUUUAACUUAGAAUCAAUGUAAAUUAUUAUUUUUAACCAAAAAAUUAAUAUUAUUUUAAAUAUGUUUAAUAUUAUUAUUUUUAAUAAAUUUAAUUUAUAAAAUAAUAAAAUAUUAUUAUUUAAAUAAAUAUGAUUUUACUUAUUUUAUUAAAUUUAAUAAAAUAAAUAUGUUUAAUAUUAUUAUUUUUAAUAAAUGUAAUUUAUAAAAUAAAAUAAUAAUAUAAGUUAAAUAAAUAUGAUAUUAUUUAUUUUAUUUUAUUAAAUAUAAGGGUGAAAAAGGAAGAGAGGCGAGUGAAUUUCCACUCCCACCUUCCUCCAUGGGAGUGGGAAUCUCACUCCCCCACUCCAAAAUUAGGUGGGAUCCACGGAGUGGAAUUCUCACUUCCCCUUUGAAAAUUGUAAGUAAACACUGGAGUAAGAGGAAUCCACACUCCUCACUCUCACUCCAAAAAGUAAACACUAUAUUAAAGAAGUCAUUGACUUAUAAGAAAGCCAUGAUUAAAUACACGGCGAAGCAUGUGAGCUCGUUUUUCAAUUUCUUUGAUCACUCAUAAGUAGGGGUGGGCAAAAUCGGAUUCGGAUUGGGUUCGGGUUGAUUUGAUCAAUUUCGGAUCAAUCGGGUUGGGGAAAAAAUCAUCCGAACUCAAUCCGAAUUAUUAACCCGAUCCAAUCCGAUCCGAAUAUAAUUCGGAUCGGAUUGGAUCGAAAAUUCGGAUUAAUUCGGAUUAGAUUCAGAUUUAAAAGCAUUCGGGUUAUAUAUCCAUUCUAUAUUUCUGGGUUAAUUUCAGAAGCAAUCAAGUAAAACAAUCAACCUUUUCUCAAGAUAUAGUUUUGUUUUAAGCUUUUUAAAUUAAAUUAUUUAAAACAAUAUAGUCAAUACCACCAAAAACUUGGUGACAGUGAAUGUGGAGGUGAAUUUAGUUGUAGCAGUUGUGGUAACCGGUGAAGCUAGUGGCAGCAAGCGGUAGCAGUCGAGGUGUAGUAGAUUCCAUCGGCACGUUGCGGUUGCAGCGAUGGCUUAGCUUUGAACGAUCGCGUCGGUGACUGAUGGCUGCUGGUUCACGCAGUUGCAUCUCCGAUUUGCUGGCUGCUGCUUCUUGCGGUUGCAUCUCCGAUCUGCUCGCCGCUGCUUCGCUGACAUCUCCGAUCUCCGAUGGUUUGGCUUCGCACGAUCACAUCGGUGAUUGCUGGCUGCUGGUUCGCGGCUUCGCGCGGCCGCAUCUCCGGUCUGCUGGUUGCUGCUUCUUGCGGUUGUAUCUCCAAUCUGUUGGCUGCUGCUUCGUUGUUUGGCAUCUCAACAUUUCCGAUCUCCGAGGCCAAACCUCUAUUUGUGUGUGACCGUGUGUGAUGUGAGUGUGUGUGUGUGCACUUACAGAUUAUUUUAAUUUAGAUCUAAGAUUUGCUUUUUGUGUGGUGUGAAUCCGAUUUUGUUGUGUUUGCCACUUUGUUAGUUUGUUACACAGUUUUUUUUUUAAGCCAACCCGAUCGGGUUUUCGGAUCGGAUCGGGUUUCAUCCGAUCCGAUCAUGAUCCGAUCGGGUUGGCAAAGUUACAUCCGAUUGGAUUUUGUUAACAAUCCGAUCCGAUCUGAACCCGAUAUUUUUUGGGUCAGAUCGGAUCGGAUCGGGUCGGAUAUUUUGCCCAACCCUACUCAUAAGCUUUUCUAUACCACUCACUAUAUCAUCCUUUUAAGUCAAUUUCGACUGAUCAUCAGAGAUCAUGCACCCCACCUUGAGAUGAUUGAUCACCAAUUUGGCAUUGUAACGUUGAUCACCUCUAAUUGCCCAUGCUAAAAUUGAGACCCCACAGCCAAUUGCUUCUACAGUUGAAUUUUAUCCACAGUGAGAUAAAAAUCCACCUAUUAAUUGAUAACUCGGCAUCAAUAAUUGUGGUGCCAUUCCAUCUAUUAUCAAACCCUUUUUACCGGCUUUACUAUCUAAACCACUAUGAAAAUAAGCUGGUUAAAUGACGUGGAGGAUCCAAUCUAUUUACAUCAGUUUGAAUUACCUAAAUAAUCGGUGGAUUUGAUGCUUCUAAAUCAUUGGCUAAUGUUGAAUAAUCAUUUAAGGUGGGACCCAUUUCGGUACCAAAUGACAUGUAUAACACUGAUCCACAUGAUUUCAAAUCUAACCAUUGAAUGAUCUCAUCUUUGGUCAUGUUAGAACUCCGCCGGUUGGUUCUCAUCUCACAAUCACGAAGCACUGAACCGGUCGAUUUGUAAAAUUGUUCAGGUAACAAUGGGCCCACUCCCCACACUAGCAUCAACACCAUCGAUCCCUCCACUUGCUUCAUCCAGUGUGGUUGAUCACUCGGUUCUGAUGGACCUAUUUUCUCUGAACCGGGUGCACCUCACAAAGGUUGUGGGCCACCAGGAAGGGACCCGUGAGGCCUGCGUUUAAGAUCUGAUUGGAAUAAAGCAACAUCCUUGGGUAACCCAAGAAGUAAAUGGGCCUCUCCCGGUUUGGCAUCCUGGAUGCGAGCCUGCCACAUGGCACACUCCACAGCUGCUGAGCAAGCAUCAGAAGUGAAGAACCCAACAAUGGGAACUUCAAAAUUCUUGAAAACAUCAGCCGUCCAGCCCAUCAUAACGCCGAUGACUACGCAAACAGGUCGGCUUUCGGGUUCCGGGUUGAAAGGAGGUUUCGAAGACCCUGAAGCAUUUGGUUGUGCAUGACAACAUGGAGGUAAGAAGGAGGCGAUGGUAGUAGUGGAGAUGAGGAGGGUAUUUCGGUAAUUUCACAUAGAGGGUAUUGGUGAAGAGAGGAAGGGGUGAUGCUGGUGGUGGAAACGUGAGAGGGAAUAAUGAGGGUAGAUUUGUAAUUACGAGAAGCAAUUUGCUUGCAUAAUUCAAUGCAUGGAAACAGAUGUCCCUGACCGAAGAACGGGACAAUCCAAAUCUCAGCCUCAGCAGCAUUCGCAACAGAGCUUGACAUCUUUUAUGAAUUAUUUGAGACUUAAUUGUUAUUGACUGCUUUUGCCAUCUUUCAUAAAACAUUCUUUGUUAUAUAUUCAAGUAAAUAAAUUUAUCGUUUAAAAUUAAUUUUUCAUGUGGUAAAAGCAAUACUAAAUAUGGGGUGGAGAGAAUAAUUUGUAGGGCAUACCCCCACCAUUUAUUUAAUUUCAUUAAAAAAGAAAGAAAAGAAAUAAAGGCUUGUUCAACAUUCAAUUAAAAUUAACAAUUCCAUGAUAAAAUUACUUGAGAAUAAAAAUUUUUAAAAAAAAAGUAACUCAAAAACGAGGAAUUUUUGAGUAACUGAAGAACCAUAGAUGUUUUUUGGUCAUGAGCAAUUUUUGAGUUGACACAGAACUUGUAUAAAAAAAAUAGUUUUGAAAACUUCUUUUCUUUUUUCGUAAAUAUAGAUAUAAAAUUUUAAAAUCACCAAACACAAAACCAGGAAAAUGGAAGGAGAGCCCCUGUUUCUCCUAUGUUGCAAGCACAAAUUCGGUUUCUAAAGUUGUACCUUCUAAAUGCACCAUUUGUAUUGCUUUGUCUCCACUUGAGCUAACGGAAUUUGAUGAAAACAAAAUAAUUGAACGAUAGGGAUAAAUAUCAAAGAAGGAGCUUACAUGCCCUAUAUAUUCUCUUUGGAUGAAUAACGAAGGUGAGCUUUCAAAGUACAGAGAUUUACAUGUUUUAAUUGUCAUUUACAUUGCUGCAUGCUAAUUGCUUGAUAAAAUACCGCAACAAAUACGCAUUCUCGAUUUCUUAUAAAUUUAUUUUCUUACUCUGAAAAAAAUUGAAUGUUUAGAGAAUUUUGAAGGUUUUGGUGUAUGCAUUAAUAUUUUGAUUCUAUUUAUGUUGUUUAACUAAUGAAGAUGAUACAUCUAGCCUCUUUUUGCCCCUUGUUGUUUUUAUUCUUGUGCUUUAUAUACGGUUCAAGUGUGAUACACUUUAGUUUUUCUCAAGUGUUUGUUAGUAUUUCCCGAAGCAAAAUUUGUCACAGACUUUUAGUUCAAAAGUUGAAAUCAUAACUAACAUACUUCGAUUUUUUAUUUUCCUUUUUUCUUCGGUAUCUUUCUAUAUGGCAUUGCUUGAGAAAUUGGUGUACUUAGAUCGUAAUAUUCUGUAGAAAUAAGCCAAUAUUUCAUUAUGUACAUUGUUUAAUAUGAUAAGUAUUGUAUGGAAGUUUUACAGAUAAGCUCCUUAUAUAUUAUGCAUUAUGUUUUUAUCAUAUUGUUGCUUGGAACUUUGAAGGAUUAGCCACAGGGCUUUAGUCCUACAUGGACAUUUUAUAUUUAACAGCUGGUUAGGCAUUUUAUUUGAUGUUAUUUGGACUUGUAGGUGUUAAAAGUUUUGUUCAGUAAUUUUAUAAUUCAGAUUCCCAUUGUGAAAAGAUAGCAAUUUUUAUUGUGGGUCAGAUUCUGUCAACUGAUAUUUAGCUAAAAUAUCUCACUAACCCCUAUUGGUUAGGUGUUUUUUUUAAUUCACAUACUUGAUUUUUAUUUUCUUUUUAUCUGUGGAAUCACAUGUAUCAUUCAUAAGAAACAAGCUAUUAUAUAAUCUAUUCUUUAGAUCCAUUUAUAUGUAGUGGGCACUCUGAUUUCUAUUAUUUGAAUUUUUUGCUACUGUUACUACUCUUUCGGCCCUUCAAAUAGGGGUUAACAGAAAGGGUGAGUAUAUUAAUACAAAUUCAAACUUUCUUUUUCUAAUUUUAUCCAAAAUAACCUACUAUAUUAUUUUAAUUUCCAACUUUUGUCAUAGUCUAAUGGGCAGUUGUCUUGUCAUUAUUUGGUUUUAGGUAAGAAGAGAGAAAGUUAGUGAGAGGAUGAAAAUUUUGCAAAAACUUGUUCAUAGCUAUGGUAAUUAAGUAAUUUGAGUUCUUUUUUUUUGUUAUUGUUUUUUAUUCACUUUUUCCUGUCUUAAAACAAAUAACGAGUUUUUGUGUUUUUAAUAUUUCUUAUAAACUUCAUGUUGUUUGGUAUAAAAUUAGGUAAUUGGAAAGGUCUCAUGUUGGAUGAAAUUAUCAAUUAUGUGCAGUCCCUACAAAAUCAAGUGGUCGUCAAUGUGUCAGCAUCACUUUCUUCUUCAGAUGUUACUUGUUUUUCACAUUUAUUUUUCUCUCAGUCCUUUUUAAAAGAACAUACACACACAUACUAUGUAGAGUGACCUUUUUUAAUGAGGAAUCUGUCAUUUUAAUAAAAUGAAGAAUAAACUAAAAGGUAGAAGUACACGAACUCUAAUGCAAUAUACCUUUUCUGUUCUUUUACCUUUACUAUAAGAUAGGGAAUGAUAUAAAACUGUUCGAUAAUAGUAAGUGAAAUAAUUAAAAGGCUACUGUUCUAGCUCAUUUAAUAUAUCAAACUUUUCUAGCUCAUUUAAUAUAUCAAACUGCUCGAUAAUUGAAUUGGCCUAGUUAAACAUAAUUUUCAGAUAAUCUUUUUAAUGGUUUAUUUAUUAAUAUUUUGUUUCUUUCCAGUAUGAACACUUUGUUUUGACACGUGGUUAACAACCUUCAACGAACUCGGAACAACCUUCAUCACAUGCUUUCUCACGUGGUUACUUAAACUGAUAUGUUAAACGUGCUCCAUCCACGCCGUUUCCACUAAAUCAUUUUCUGUUAAGAAUCAGCUGAGCAGCGCGUGAGCUAAUGAAGUUUUUCGUAUUGAACUCAACUCUGCUAUUUUCCCAAAGCUGGAAAGCAGAAACAUCAUCCCUUUGGUUUUAUUUCACCUCAACCUUUUUCUGAUCCCAUUUUCAUUGUAAUUUCUCAUUUACUUUGAGUGAAAGUCAUUGUUGCUUUCGAACGAGGUUUUGCAACUAAAAAGGAAAAUGGGGCGGCUACAAUACAUGCGUGCAUCUGAUACAUGCACAAAAACUGACCAUUGGAUUAAAUGGAGUGAUCUAAUGGCUGAGAUUUGUUUCAUUAUUAAGCAAUAAAAAAAUUUGAAACAACCAGAAACCUGUAAAACCGGUCAUUUGGUUUAAGGUAAAAAUAUAUAAAUGAAAAAAAAAAAAAAAAACCCACCACUCCCUCGCCUCACCUCUCUUCUUUUGGGUUUAGUAUUGCUGCUUUUAACAUAAUUGACCUAUGGCCCAAAUCAUUUCUAUAGGGCGAAGCAUAUGAAUGAUACAUAUUAUCUUUUUUUGGCCUUAUGUCUUGUUAUUUGCAGUGUGAUUUGGUCUAGCUUAAGAGCUUAAGCUUGCAGGUUGGAUUUGUCUGACAGGGAACAAUUUAAUUUGUUCAUCGUGAUGUUUAUAUCCAUUUUGUACUACUAUCAAUUUCAAUCAUGCCUAAUUUUUAUAUGUAUUUCUCGUGGACUCUCAGGUUCAGUGCACAAGAGGAUGAAGACGAUGGACACCCAAAUUUGAUGUGGAGAACAACUAUUGCAAAUGGUCCUUGAUUUACUUCUCCAAUUGACUUGAAUUGGUUUGACGCAAUUUAUACUGUAUUUUUGUCAUCUUUGUAUGACUUGCACGUCGUCCUGAUUUGGUACAUGACUGGACACAGGAAUUGGACUCAUAUUUUUCAAACCAGAAUGCCAACAAUCAAGCAUUUUCUUUUGAAAGCACUGGCGUCUUCUUCAAUGCCAAAAAGGUUAGAGAUUUUCUGUAUCCUGUUUUGUAUUUGAUCAGUUUAGCAUGUGGGUGGCAAUCAAGAAAAGUUAUUAUAACAUUUUUGUGUUCCCGAAAAACUGCUGAUGAUGUGUGACUUCUUUUUAUUUGUAUUCUUUCUUUUUCUUUUCUCCCCAACAGUAUUAUGCAUUUCGAAGAGCUUCUUGAAGUUGAUUACCAUGUAUGCCACUUUCUUUACUCUAUGCUCAGGAUGUGAUUUUGCCAAGCAUUAAAAUGGUUUAGGUCAGAACCAUCAUCUAAAGUUUACUUAAAGUUGACGGAUUAAUUCCUUUUAAUAAUGGUCUAGUUAAUUUUACUAUACUCAUAAAACUAUUCUUAUUCUGAUAAUGCCACAAAUGUUAUGAUGUUUUCUUCAGCUAAUGAUCUUCUAUCAGGACUAGUUAGAAAUCAAAUGCUUAAAACACCGAUUGAAUGAAUAAUGCAGAAGUUUAAACAGUAUCUAAUUGAAAAUUGCAUGAAACAUGAAACAUCAAUUCAAGUCCUUCCUUAAACAAAGAAUGCAUCAAACAAAUCCAAAGUGUCUUGCAUGUCUAUAGCAUGACAAAAAAGUUGUAAAUGCGUUUAGAACCAAAUUAUUCAAGUACAGGAGAACGAGCAAGUUGAAUCAUGUACACGAGAUUGGCCUGGUUCGAGAUAGCUUCUUCACUGUACCUGAAGGGUUGGCUCAAUCUUUUCUUUAGAAUUCUGCACAUUUUGUAAUUACUCGUGUAAGCAAGCAUACAUUACAACUCUUGUACACAAACAAUAUUGUAUAAACUAAUGCGACAUAAUAUGAUUGGUUAAACAAAAACAUUACAUAGCCCUCAUAAUUUAUUUAUUUAUUUAUUAUUAUAUAUUUUCAGUCAACCAAUCAUAUUAUAUUACAUUAGUUUCUAUAAAAUAAUUUUCUAAAUAGCACCAAAACUUAAUUGAUACUCACCAUUUCAUUGAACAAUUUUUUUAUGGUGUCAUUGAGGUUGCCUUCCCAACAUCCUUCAUCAUCAUCAUCUUCUUCAUCAUCAUCUUUUUCUUCUUCGGUGACGUUCACUUUGUUUAGCAUUGGUGUGUCUAAGACUCCUUGAGAGAAGAUCAUCAUUUUUGGACACUCUCUCACAACUACUUGUUUCAAGGACGGGAAUUCAAGAGCGUAAUUACCUAAACAAAAGCUUGUUAGGCUUGGCAAACAAUCAAGUCCCAAGUACUUUAAUUCCUUGAAAACAAUGCAAUCUUUCGCUUCUUCUGCAACCGGCGACUGUAUGAUUUCUUCCAUCAUUUUGCAAUCAACUAUCUUCAUUCUUCCGAGAUUCACUAGAUUUUUAGAUGCUGAGAGCGUCAACACAUUUAUCAACCCGUGACACUUCGAUACUUGUAGUCCCCACAGAUUUUCCAAAUGCCACGAAGGUGGUACUAAUUUUUGCAACUUACUACAUUCCGAUAUUUCUAGCCUUUUCAAGUUUGCAAACGCUUUGUUGGAUUCGUCAUUUUCCUUCCAGAGAUGCUGCACUUUGUGUAAUCUAGAUAGCUUUAACUCCUUCAAUUGAGGGAAUGUAAGCUGAAAAUCAACAAAAUUAAGUUGUAAAUGAAAGUAUGUAUCCAAUCUCUGCAGUCUUCCCCUGCAUAUUUUAUGGACAAGAUUAAUCACGGCAUUUUAUAUUUUAUUUCCAAAUUAGUAUGCUUUGCAGUAGGAUCCCAAAUAUAAGUAUCAAAUCGAUUACCCUUUGAAACACAUAAAUGAAAUCUGAUACUAAAUCCAAUAUGAAUUAGCUAGGAAAACAGAGAUGCGACAAGCAUAAUUGAUAUAGUUCAUCACCUCAUGUUACCAGUCAUCGAAAUAAUUUAAGACAUUUUUUUAAUUCAUACUAUAAAGUUAGUUCAUAACUGUAGUUGUAUUGUUAAUUCAUAUAUGAAUCAAGAUGACAUGCAAAAAGAUGAGUCAUAAAAUUUGAUUUGAUUCUAAUGAAAUUACAUCUGUGCGAACAAAAGUGAAGGGGAAAAUAAUAAUAAUAAUAAUAAUAAUAAUAAUAAUCACCUUUUCAUCGAAGAGGGGUUGUACUUGAUGAGCCAGCAAAAAGUUCUCUUCUGAUGUUAAUUUUUGAGGUUCCUUGUUAUUUGUUGUCACAUGCACUACAGAGUUGGAUAUGAAUGUUUCCAUAUCAGGGCAAUUCUCAAUAGUUAGAUUCUCCAACUCAGACAGUUCAAUUAUAUUCCCAGUGAAGUUGCAGAAUCUUUUGAGUUUUGGAAGAUCAAUGAGCCUUAGUCUGUUAAGCCUAGGAAACCGGGGGCCUAUAUGUUCUUCCUUAGCAUUUAGCUCUUCUAAAUGAAGCACCUCUUCUAUUAAAUCACAAUUCCUCACUUCCAGGCAUCUCAAAUUGUUCAAGCAACGUAGCAGAUUGGUAGGAAUAGCACUCGACAUAUUCGUGCAGUCAUCCACAGCCAGUUGUCGUAAAUUGUUGAAGAAGCUGACAGGCACUGCUUGGCCGUGCCAUAUUUCUCUCAAGCGUGGAAAAUGUGAGAGUUGCAAAUGCUCUAUGUCACGGAAUCCAAUCUGCAUAAACCAAAACAAUUGCACUGGAUAUAUAUAAAUUUCUUUUUUUGAAAGGCAUUAGAUAUAUAUAUACAUUAAACUUACAUGUUUUGUGCUUUAACUUCUAAAAAUAUAUUUACAACGCAGGUGUAUAUGUUUAAAUGUGGUAUAGUGGAAUUAAGCUUAUUGCCAUUACUUCGUAAUGGUGUUCGUAACACCAUUACUUCGUAAAGUGAAUCGAUUAACACAUACCAUUACUUCGUAACACUUUUGUAUAGUGGAAUUAAGCUUAUUGCCUUCCCAAUGGUGUUCACCCUCUUCCCUUUCAGUCACUUGCACUACGUAUAGCUUUGGUGUGGAUGAGAUUCCCCGAGAAAAAGUCUUCAUGUUCGGACAAUGUGUCAUAGAAACUUGUUCCAAUGAUGGGAAUUCAAGAGUGUAAUUCUCCAAACAAAAGCUGGUAAGCCUUGGUAAAUCAUCAAGUUCCAAAAGUUUUAAUUCGUUGAAAGCAAUACGAUUCUCCUUCGCUUCUUCUCCAACAUGUCCUAUGAUUUCUUCUAUUUUUGCACAGUCUGAUACAUCAAGAUUCACUAGACUAUUGGGAAUUCCAACCUGAAAAUAAAGAGUAGCAUUCAACUAGAUUCAAAGUAUGUCAAAAUCAUACAAUUGUUUUAUGAAAAAUAACAAACCAUGAAUGUCUACUAGAUAUUUUUUGUUAAAGAAAAAAAAGAAAAAAUAAAAAUAAAUAAAUAGAAGUCCAGAAAAACAAAGAUAAUGAAAAUGCAUUUACACUAUUUAGUAUUAGGAACGGAGAAAGAAUUUCAGGUAAUUUUUAAAUAUUCUAAAUUCAUUUUUCAUCUCGAUGCUAGUUUUUUAAAAUUUUUAAUUUUCAAACAUGCCUAUUUUUAAAAUAACUAAACUAAAACGCUGUAUUUCCCUUUUUUUUUUUUUCCCGAUAUUCAUGCUUUUAAAAAUGGAAAACAUUUCUGGAAAACACUUCCCAACGCCAUCAACAUGGGACUGUUAUAGAGUGAAUAUUUGAGGAAUUUUUUAAUCAACGGUCGAUUCAAAAUGACCAUCAUGAAUUUGUGCUUAAUCAAUGGCGUAAUCAAUUCAUAACUAAACUAGAGAUAUUAACUACAUUUGAACACUUUUCUUUAUUUUUUUUUAAAUCGAAAUUUGAAGACCCAAGGAAAAGAGAAAUAUAUAUGAAUUUGUGAGCUUAAAAGCUGAGUAACUAAGUAUCUUUUAAUUUCUAAAAAUCUUAUUUAUUAGGAUUUAAGGAAAAAAACAAUUAAAUUGAAUUAUAUUAUGCUGUUAAAUCGUGUUUAAAACAAUUAUAUCGUUGACUUUAAUGCGGGUGAACCUAUAAAUUAGAUUGACAAUGCAGAGUUCAGAAUGGUGAUUUGAAGUACACUACUUUUUUGCCCUCCUGAUGUUUGAAGUAAAAUACUUGCAAUAAAUAAUUUGUGAAUGAAAAUUAUUUGUAAACACAAAAAUGAUUAAAAUAAUUGUUGAAUGUUACUUGAAAUAAAAAUUCAAAAUGAAUAUAGCAAUCUUACCAAUGGAGGAAAAAUAUUCAGUAGAUUAUUACACCCAGAUAUCUUCAAUUUUUUCAAUUUGCUAAAAGACUUCGAAGCAAGCUGGUGGUGCCAUAUUUUUCUCAACUUAUCCGCCUCACUAAUAUGUAAUACCUCCAGACUUGGGAGUCGUACCUGAAGUUAAAAAUUCAAUGCAAUUAGAGAUGUAUAUUAAUUAAAUUUGAAGACUCAACGAAAAGAGAAUUUAAAAAUUCAAUGAAAAAAAACCUUUUCAUCAAAGAGGGAUUGAGGUUGCAUUUCAGUGUGAAUGACGUCUUCUGGUGAGGCAAAGCUACUUAGUUUUGGAAGCCAAUGGAGCGACAGGUAGUGUAGUUUGGGAAAAACCUUAAAUUCAUCUCUUCCUCCUAACGUCGUGGUGUUGACUACCCCUUCAAUUGACCGGCAAUUACGAAUCUCAAGAUGUUGGAGUUGCCCAAGACUAUUAACCAUAGAAUAUGAAAACAAAUACUUCAGACGAUGACAACUCCACACGGUCACUUUUGUUAAAUUUUGACAACAAUAUAUUCCCUGAAAUUGAUCGGACCAUAAUUUUUUUAUAUUUGUUAAACUGACAAGUUCCAGUUCCUCCAAGCGUGGAAAAGUAACCUGCAAAGAAAAACCAUACAUUUUUGUUCCUUCAACUACAACUUCUAAUAUAAUAUUCUUUCGAUGAUUGAAGAUCAAUCGUGAUAAUAUAUUAAUUAAUUAAUUAUUAAACAGAAAAUUAUUACCUGGUGAACAGGAUCAUCCUCUGCAUUGAUUUCUAUGAAUCCCUGAGUUGUUGUUGGUUUCUCCAUGUCGGGCCCUAUAAAUGAACCAAAACAAUAUAUAAUAAACAUCCGUUGUUUUUUUCCCCAAAAAAAGAAAAAGAAAAAAAGAAAGAGUCAAUGUCAAUAAUCCUACCAAUAAUUAAUUUCAACACUUACCAAUAAUCAUUUUCAAAUCAUCGCAGUCUUCCACUUUUACUUUUUGAAGCCGCAAUAGGUUUUUGGCCAUAGAGAAUGAGAAGAGAUACUUCAAUUUUCGACAGGAAUCUACGUUUAUAAUCCUUAAGUUGCUGAAGGAUUGAUCUUCUCUGAGUUGGCUGUAGCAUAUCGUCUCCAAAUUAGUUAAAAACAUAAGAGACAAUGCCUCCAGCAAGGGAAAGACUUCGCAACGAACCCUAACUGAACCGACAAUAUGUAAAAUCUCAGAACAGUCUGUUACGAGAAGACGCUUCAAUCGUGGAAAACCUUCCCCAUCGUCUAAUUCAUGAACAACACUUUGAACACCCUCCAAUGUUUCUAGCCAGAGAUCUUCAGUUCUCUGCAGCAACAUUUUUGUCCCAUCAUUCUCCUGAAGAAUGCUAACUUUUUUUAUCCCCUUGAGCAUCAUCAAUCUUGAUGCUUCAGAUUUGACGAGCAAUGGGUCAAACUCAUCUUCGGGCCCAUCUCCUAUACGUAUCUUAUAUCUUUGCAAUUCCACAGAGACAAAAUCCGGCGGCAGAAUUUCGGCAUCCGGAACUUCUAUCUCCAAAGUAGUUAGCUCUGUCAACCUCUCCAAUUCGACAAGACUGGCAUUACUUCCUCCUUCAACCUUCUCCCACCCUGAAAAACCGUUACCCAUAUACAAUUCUUCUAAUUGAGAAAAAUUUUUGGAUAUGACAUUUCGGUGCUAUUCACCUUCAAGCCCACCAAACAAUUGCUCUCAAAUCUAGGAAAUUGGUAACCGCGGCCAAUNNNNNNNNNNNNNNNNNNNNNNNNNNNNNNNNNNNNNNNNNNNNNNNNNNNNNNNNNNNNNNNNNNNNNNNNNNNNNNNNNNNNNNNNNNNNNNNNNNNNGCGAGGCUGAGAAUCUCUAUUUCUUUAGUGUCCCAAUUGCGCUAUAUCUGCUAGUCGCACCAGUCUAAACACAAUGUUUGAAGGUUAAUGAGGCGACCAAGUGAUGAAGGUAAUGAAGAAGAGCCAAUUCCAGGAAACUGUAAAACUUUGAGUCCUUCCAUCCCUUCAAAAAAGUGGUCUGAAACUUGCAUAGGGCCAUUACCCUCCGUAUACAACAAAAAUAACUGGAGAUUGGGACAUUGCAACCUUUCAGGGAGCUCUUGAAUAUCUCUAUGAGGUAAUGAAAUAGCAAUUGGAUCUUUCUGUAUUGUCUCUUCCAUCUUUUUCUCCAAGUCAGCAACAUUUGGAACAUUAAACAUGCGCUCCUCUCUGGCAAUUGAUACGGCAACAACAUGAAUGACGUCAUGCAUUUUAACUUCAUCUUCAGCAUCACCGUCCAACAAUAAGCAUGAAGAUUUGAGGUUGUCGAUCAACCGAUGCACUCUACUCCUUGCUUCUUCCAAUGUGUAAACAUUUUCAAACAAACCCCAACCCACACCACAUCUCAAUAAGUCAGAAACUUGUAUGACAUUACCUUCACUGUAUAGACUACAAAGACGGAACAGAGAUUUUGCCUCCUCACUUUCCAAGAAGUCAUAACUCAAUUUUAUGGAGGUGUACACAUUUGCUUGCAUGCCAUGAAUUUCUCUAGCAUCCGAUCUUCUUAGCUGAUUCAAUGCAUCUUUCCAAAAGUAACUAUCCUUAGUUUUCAGAGCAUUUGCAACUGUACUCAGUGCAACAGGCAAACCUCCGCAUCUUUCAACGAUCUCAUUUGCUAUACUUUGAAAAGCGGAUAUUUUAGUUGAAUCACCCACUAUCUUUUCAAAUAACUGCAAUGCUUCUUUUGGUGGCAAAGCAUCGAUCGGGAAAUUUUUCUGAGAAUUCAUAUCAAUGCGCAAUAAAUCUCGACUUCUAGACGUCAAUAUUAUUGUGCAUCGUCUCUGAUCAUCCUUUGUAUCUUUCUCAUCAACAUCCCCACAAGGAAUUCCAACUUUUUCGAACUCGAGUUUUUUCCAAAUAUUAUCCAAUAUAACGAGGACCUGCUUCUCGUUCUUCAAUCUUUCACGUAAUCGAUCUGCUCUUUCGAAUUUAUUCUCAUCCGAGCCAAAUUUCAUGCCUAAGUCAAAAGCAAGUUUCUUUUGAAUUUCCUGAUGAUCUGGGGUCUGUGUUACCUCAGCCAUAACGACCUUGUCGAACACCUUAUCUUCCAUAACUUGCCUUGCAACUUGCUUGACUAGCGUGGUUUUACCCACGCCGCCCAUCCCGUAGACCCCAAUUAUCUUGAGCUUAUCAUCCUUCAACGCCUCCACAACAUCUUCAAAUACUUUCAUUCUUGAAUCAAAGGCCUCGAAAUCUUUCACUUGCAUAUGUUCUGCCCGCUUUGGAGCAGGACGGUAGGAAACAUUAGAGAAGUUACAUUUUCCCAUGAGACUAGCAGCAGCUUCUGCGGCCUUUGCUGCUUGUCUACUGAGCUUGUAACGAGAAAUCAAGUUUGGGCACAAUCCUUUGAAACAGAACUUCUUAGCUCUAUCUUCAUCAUCAGUGAUGGAUUUCGCAGCUCCCUGACUGAAUUCCUUGACGCUAUUAAGCCAGUCUGCAACAUCCUUAUAAAUCUCAUCUCCUUGUUGAGUAGCCUGAUGAACGGGUAUUUCCACCCUUUCUCUUUUAUAUCCCAACUGUUUCACUUGAUCUUUUAGGCCAUCUAUGUAGCUCUGGUACUUGAACACAUAAGAGAUCUGCCGUAUAAUCGGUUUGAACAGUGACUUUGCAUCUUCUGAUACGAUGCUGGAAAAAGCAGCCAGACCCACUUCUGCAACCAUUGCCUGUUGCUUAACAAUAUAUGUAUAUAUAUGAAUAAAAUGAAUAAAAAUGUCAAAGAAAGGAAUACAAAUAAAUUAAAAUGAACUAGAGGGAAAGACAGAGAAAGAAAAGACCGCAAACAACAUCGCGAUAUUGAUUUUGAACCAACUGAUACAUAAGUAGAGAAUUUCUUUUUCUAUCUUAAGGAUCAGAGGUUUUGCUAUUAACAGAAAGGUAUCCUUUAAGGAAAGUUGAUGGAAAUUAAGAAAGAAUGGCUAUCAAGAUCAAGUAUUCUGCUACUAAAAAUAAAUGAUAUGACUUAAGAAAAGUAAAUGAUAUGAUUAAGAAAAACCAGAGAAUUUUUUCCUAGGAAAGUUGAUGGAAAUUAAGAAAGAACCGCUAUGAAGAUCAAGUAUCAGAGAUUCUGCUACUAAAAGAAUAUUACAGGUUUUAGAACAAGUGCACCUCUUUACCUGUCUGGGAUCAGAGUCGAUGAGCUGCUGUAUUCACCUUGAAUAUAGAAGAAAUAUUACAGGUUUUGACUAAAGAGGAAUGUGAGGAACGAGUUGAUGAGAGUAAUAACAAUGAAUUUCCAAAAGAAGACGACUUGAGCAUUAAGCAUGCACCCCCUUUAUCAAUCAAAUAUUGGUACGUAUGUACGUAGGGACCAUUAUGCGUAUAUGAAGUCCAUUAGUUGCAAUCAGAAACCCUGGCCCAAUUUAAUUGACACUCGAUUUUUGAUAAGAAGAAGGCAAGGAUAAGGACAAAGUCAAUCAAUCACCAACAGUAAUUACUUCAAUCUUUGUCAAUCUACUUAAAUUGUCGAUCAACAUGAAAAUUGUUUAAAUUGAUAUUUGUAAAUCAAUCAAUUUUCUAGUUACUAUGAUUAUAACGUUUCACCUUUCAUAUUGGAUUUUAUCUUUUCGAAAGUUUUCAAAUAUGAGUGUCAAUAAUUAUUGAGACUCCAAGCCGUGCUCUCAAGAUCGUGCUGACAAAUCACUAUUGACUUUGUUUAUGCAAAAUUCAAAGAAAAAAAGUUAUGGUUUUGUAUUGCCAGCCCUGCUACUUUUUGUUUUUUUCAUUUGUAUUAUUUACGAAUUAUUUUUUAACAGAAACAUGAGAACUCAUCAUCGUAUAAAAUUGCAUGAAAAAAUCUUCAAAUUUAUAAAAGUAAAUUUCAUUGACAGAUUGUGGAUAUGUUAGAAAGAAUAAGGAUAAGAAUGAGUUAAGAAAUAAUAUAUAUAUAUAUAUAUAUAUAUAUAGAUAGAUAGAUAGAGAGAGAGAGAGAGAGAGAGAGAGAGAGAGUGAAAGUAAACAAUGUUUUGGUACAUUUGGUAUUGUUUUCAAAAUAUUUUGAAAAGAAAAAUUUUCAAUUAUCCAUCUAAGAAUUAUCUUAUUAUCCAAAAAGUUAUAAAAAUUUAAAAAUAUUUAAUUUUAUACCCAUUAUUACAAUGUGUAUCAACUGUUUACUAAAAAAAUAAAGUUACUCCUAAAACAUAAUCACCACUACAAUUUUGUGUUCGGUUCUAUUUUGUCACUUUGAACGAAUAACUUUAUAUUUUUAACAGAUGUUUCAUACAAAUUGCAUACAUUGGAUGUAAAAUUAAAUAAAUUUAAAUUUUUAUAAUAAUUUUAAUAAUUGAAUAAACUUUGAGUAAAUGACUGAUAAUUUCUCUUUUAUAAGCUACAAGAAGUUAAAAAGAAAAAAGAAAAAAUAGGAUGAUAAUUUCUCUUUUAUAUGCCUCAGAUGAUUUAUUGUUUCGGGUCUAAGAUUUUAAUUAUUCAACUUAAAAGAUUAAUAUAUUAUAAAUUAAUUAAUUAAAUAAUCAUUAAGCAACUAAAUUGGGUCCCCUGGAUGUCAAUUCCUUUAAUAUUGACGCAACUAUUUUUUUCUGGCAAAUAAUUAUUAAUGCACUGACGGAACUUUUGCAUAUCUACACAGCGAUUUUAAAUAUUACUGGUAACUGCUGAGAAAUGUGCGAGAAAGAAGUUGAUGAGAGUAAUAACAGCGACUUGCAAAAGGAAAAGACAGAAUCAUUCACCCCUUUUUGUAUCACCUAUUUGGUUACUGUUUCCCUGUUGACGCAUGUAUAAAUUUGACUGGUUUUUCUGCACUUUUUUGGCUGUUGCUUAACAAUGUGUGUGUGUAUUUGCUGUUGAAAAAAUUGGAUUCAAAUAAAUUAACUGAAAGAUUAGAGUUUUGACUAUUAACUGAAAGGUUUCAAGGGUAUGAAUGAAAAGCAACAUUCUUUUUUAGAAACUAUUUUAGAGGAGAGAUGCAAAUUAACAAAUGCUAAUAACAAGAACACAGAAGUUAACAAUGAACAGUAACUUAAAUCAAGAAAAUUAAAUGACAAAAUUAAGACAAACAAGAGAUAUUUUUUUCUUGGACAUUAAGAAAUAACUGCGGUCAAGAUCAAGGAGAUUAUGCUAUUAAUAGAAAUUAUCAAAGGAUUUAGAACAAGUUCACCUCUUUAAUUAUCCGGGAUCAGAUAGUUGAUGAGCUUCUCUAUUUAGCCUUGAAUAUUUAAGAAUAAUUUUAAAGAGCAAAAAGAUCACUGGUAACUGCUGAAAAAUAAGUGAGAAAAGAGUUGAUGAGAAUAAUAACAAUGAAUUGAAUAAAAAAAGGACUUAAUCAUGCACCCCCUUUGCAUAUCAUGUAUUUGGUUACUGUUGCCUUGUUGACGCAUGUAUAGAAUAAUUACAUGUAUUAUUAUAAUUUUGGAUUCGAUAUCCUUGUAUUAGUGUCUAAGAUUUUCAUGAAGAAUUAAACUUGGAAUGACCAAAAGAGGAAGCUGCAGUGUAUUGUUGGACCCAAUUAAGUUGAAGAAAGCACUAGUUCACAACCUUACGUUUGGAUAUAUUCUAAAGAAAUAAUUAAACAGCAAAUCAUCACAUGCACUUUAAUGAUUUGAUCUAUUGUUUUCAAAAGAAAUUGCAAUUAACAGUUUUUGUCAAAAGUUCGCACAGCGUGAAACUAGUGUUAGUAUAAUUUAAAAAAUUAAUUUCAGUAUUAUUUUUUAAAAUGUUAAUUAUUAGAUUUAUUUUAAUAAUAUAUUUAUAUUUAUUAUAAAAAAUUUAGUUAAAUAUUUGUGUUAAAUAGAAUUUAUAAUUAAUUUAAUAUAUCUUAGGUAUUAAUAAUAUUAUAAUUAUUCUAUAUGCUAUUGAAAAUAAUUUAAAUUUUUAGACAUUUAUUUUAUAUUAAGUUUCUAUUUAUUACAAAAUUUAGUUUAAUAUAGUAUAAGCUUGUAAAGUAUUAAAAUAUUUUUUUCAUUUUUUUUAAAAUAUUAAAAUUAUUUUAAAAUAUAUAUAUUAACAUUGAAGCUAAUUUUUUGAGUUAAUAGAGCUAGUAGGUGUUAUAGUAAAAAAGAGUAUCUUAGUAUCUCUUAUUGAAAAUAUAUAGAUCUAUAUAAUCAUUUUUUCAAAUAUUGAGAUGUAGAAAAAUAAAUUAAAAAAUUUUAAAUUUUAAUAUGGCCAUCGUAGGGUUAGAAUCCCCGCUCCAACCCGAUUUGGAGAUUUAUGUUUUUAAAAAAAAAAAGAACAAAGAAAAAAUACACACCCGACCAAAUCAAGCACCUCAUCAAAUCAAAAAUAAAAAAGGAAAGAAAUUAAUGGCUUGCAUGCAAUUUUGGAUCUGAAAUUAAAAUUACAUAAAAAUUAAGGCUUACGUACCUUAAUAUUUACAGCUUGUUUGAUGGCCCCAACAAGUUUAAGCAGCAUCAAAAUGUUGUGGCUCCUUAAAUGACAACAUCGACUUGUUUGACAGCUCCAACAAGGCUACGAUGAUCAGAAGAUGAGCCCUCAAUCAACAAGGCUAAGAUUGGCUUCUCUAUCCUCUGCCGACAUGUCCUCUUCUCCCAACAACCAGCGCCUUGCUCUUUGUCAUUUUUCCUCUUGUUAGUUUUCUUCUACAUAUAAUUAUUACACUGGGAAGUAUACACACACUUCUUUUCUUUUUAUAGUACCUUACUAUUAUAUCUUUACAAAACAAUAUCACCCUAAGACAUAUAUGUAUGAAAUAAAUAUAUAAGGAACGGACGAAAUAAAAUUAGAUCUAACACUAGUUUCAUGUGGUGUGUGAACUUUUGACAAUCCUCUCAUACCCCAACAAAAACUUUGUCAUAUUACAAAAGUUAUCACGACCAUAGACUUUUCAAUUGCAUAUUGGAAUUGCAAUGUCAUUUUAUUAUAGUAAUGUCAUUUCCAUUAUUCAUAGUGGCAGACAAUGGACAUCACGGGACACGGCUAGAAGUUAUCACGACCAUAGACUUUUCUAAUUUAUGAAAUAAAUGAAAUUAGAUCUAAUUCUAGUUUCAAGUGGUGUGAACUUUUGACAAUCCUCCCAUAUCCUAACAAAAGCUUUGUCAUAUUGCGAAAAUACCUUUUCAAUGUUUCAAUUGCAAUGUCAUUGCCAUUAUUCAUAGUGGCAGACAAUGGACAUCACGGGACAUGGCUAGAAGUCUAUGUUACGGCUUCUGUAAGUAACAGCAGCCAAUGGGGAACUUCCAUGGGGGCUAUAGGAGAGAGAAAGAGGUCCCAAUACAAGUGUUAGAGUACAAUUUAUACACUAGUUUUGCAUUGUUUACUUCCCUUAAUAUCGAUGUUUUGCAUUUAAUAAUAAUGAUUUACUUGUGUUUUACUUUUGUAAGUGCAAUUCUAUUGAUUUGUGAUAGAAUUGAGGUAUAAGAUGAUGUUUAAAGAUGAUUGUUCUCUUGGAGAAAUUUAGAGCGUCAGAAGAACUUUAUAGAUAAGGCGUGGGCGCGUGCUGUCAACUGCGGACCUGCAGUUUUUAGUUUAAUGUGUUUUGUAUUUUUGGCUAUUUUUGUAAUUACGAAUUUAAUAUUUCAAAUAUUAUUAUUUUAUUUUAAAUAGAACUUUAAAAGAGAAGAGAGAGAGAGUAUUUAAGGGAGGAAUCUAUUGUGAAAAAGGGGGGAUUUUAAUUGGAGAAAAAGAAAGAAACCCUAGAUCUAAUUUUUCUCUUCUCUCUAUGAAAAACUAAACUUAUUUUUUCUAGUUGAAGGUUAAUGAAUUUUUGAUUCAUCACUACUGUGAGAUCUUUCUUAUGCUUUAAUUGUUUUAUUACUUUUUGGGUAUUUGUUUAUUCUCUGAAUUAGUUUCAUGAUUAUGUUUGUUAAUUAGGUAAUUGGCCACUAUUUAAUUAUCAACUUAAUCUAUUGUCAAUUAAAGAAUUCAUCGUAUGACGAGUUUAAUGUUUGUGACAAAUAACAUAGCAGUGAGUUGUGUUAUGGGAAUAAACAAUCUAAUUUAAAUGAAUCAUCAUAUGUGUUGAUUAGGAUUUGGGUCGCUCUGGUUUUUCAGGCUGUCAAUUGAUUAAAUCCUAUGAUCGUAUCUAGGGUUGUCUAUUAAUUAGGGAAAUAUCCAAUGGUCGUACCUUGGUUAUCGACUAGUUAAGGAGAGAUUGGCUAUUAGAGGGUCUCAAUAGCUAUAACCAGUUUAUUCAUAAGUAAUAAUAAUCUAUUUUUGAAUCAAUGAUCAGUAGUCGAAUCAAACUGAGUUAAUUCCUUCAACCAAAGCUUUCUCCAAUUUGAAUUACAACUUUAAUUUGCAUUUUUGUUAUUUUAAUUUGAUUUUUUAUUAUUGUCAACAAUUCUCCCAUUUUACGUUUUACGUUUCAAAAGAAUUUAAAUAAUUACCGAUCUCUGUGGACACAACCCUGCUCAAUCACUAUACACAAUUUAUUUAGAGUAGGAAUUUAUUUUUAUUGGCUUCAACAACCAUCAACAAGGUGAUGGAAAUGGGAAAGUUCGAAGCUGUUACUUUCAGCUUCUGCACCGUAGCCAUGUCCCACGGGACAAGGCUAGAAGUUAUCAUGACCAUAGACUUUUCUAAUUUAUUUUUUCCUUUCAAAAAGGGACAAGGAUAAGUUUGGGAGAAUGAUUAUAUUUUUAAUAAAAGAAUUCUUUUUUAUUAUAAUACUUUUUGUCUUUAUUAAUUUAAAAAUAUUAACUCUUAUAUUUUAAUAAAUAUAAAUAUAAUAUUAUAAUAACAUAUAACAAUAUAUACAAAUAUUUAAAAAAAUUUAAGAUUUUAUUAAAAUAAAUUUUAUAAUAAAUAAAAAUACAUUAUUAAUAUAAUUUUAAUAAUUUGCAUUUUAAAAAGUAAUACUGAUAUUAUUUUUUAAAUAUUAAUUUUUUAAAUUAUAUUACUCUACCAAAAAAAAUUAAACUAUUAAAUUAUAUUGAUAUUUAUUACAAAAUUUGCAAUUAAUUCUUAUUAUAUUUUUAAUUGGAAUUUGUUCCUGUGAUAUAACAACAAUUGCUACAGUUUUUUCCCUAAAUAAAGAUGGAGUUAUAAAUUAUUUGUGUAAGUGUCAUGAAAGUAAUAGUUGAAUAACAAUAAUGGGGCUUUAGGCAAUUUUUUUUAUGAGGUCUUCUUGCAAUUUCAACACUUAAACAGACUUGUCCUUGAUCCCAAUUUAUUUACCCCAUUUGGGCCCACGAUGAGAUAAAUAUAUUCCUGUGAGAUGAAAAACAUCAGGAGAAGAAAAUGUUUUAUUAUAAUAAAAAAACAAGUGGUCCAUAAGUCUAUUUAUUACUUUUUUUAUUCAAUACAAAUGGCCAACUUAAAAAAUGAUAAAAAUCACAUAACGCACAAGCAAAAAUUUAGAUUUACAUUUUUUAGUUCUCUCCGUGUCUCUCUUUCUCUUUUUUAAAAAAAAUAAAUAAAUGUCAGUGUAAAAUUAGAAAAAUUUUAGAUAUAAACUUUGGCGAUGACCAAACAAAAAUUGCAAGGGAAAGAAAAUAGAGGACCCUUGAUAUCAUUAAAAUACUGAUCAUAGACACUACAAUAUAAAUAACUUGUUGUGAUCCACUCAACUUGUAACACUUUAAUCCAUAUUCUAAAAUUUGUAUGUUUGUUAGGAAUUUUAUUAUUGACAUUACUGUACCAAUAAAAUUCUAAUUUAUUCAUAUGGAAAGAAAACAUCAAGAAAGGACCUCUGAUUUUUAUUAUAACAGAAAAAAGUGGUCCAUAAGUCUAUUUAUUAUUUUAUUUAUUCAAUACAAAUUGCCAACUUAAAAAAUGGUAAAAAUCACAAAAUGCACAAGUAAAAUUUUAGAAUUACAUUUUUUUUAAUUCUCUUUGAGUCUCUCUCUCUCUCUCUUUAAAAAAUAAACCUCACUGUAAAAUUAGAAAAAAUUUAGACAUAAAAUUUGACAAUCACCAAACAGAAAAUGUAGGGAAAUGAAAAUGGAGGAGCCCUAUUAUCAUUAGAAUAUUGAUCAUAGAUACUAUAAUGUAAAUGAUUUGUUGUGGUUCAUUCAACCUGUCACACUCUAAGCCAUUUUCUAAAAUUUGUAAGGUUUAUAGGAUUUUUAUUAUUGGCAUCAUUGUAUCAAUAAUAUUAUAAAUUAUAUAUUCUAUUGUAAUGAAAAUUUGUGUAAUCUUAGGUAUUUAUUGUAUUAAAUUGUGUGGAUUAAUUAAGAAUAUUUUUGGAGACAAAAGAGGUGUGUGUACGUAGGAUUAAUAAUAAAAAAUUUCUAAAUAAAGGUGAUUGCUUCAUUGACAAGUACAUAUUUAUAUUCUCUAUUAGUAUUUGGGUUGUAAACUUUGUUUAUAAAGUGAAUAUAUUGUGGUAAGCGAUGUGGGCAAUAUCGGAUGCAAAAUAUUGAGAGAUCAUUAACGCAUAUAUUUAUUGCAUAUAGAGGAAAGAGUGUAGAUCCGGCCGUAACAAUUAUGAAGCUUUCCCCAAGUAUUCUCACGCUUCCUUAACUGUUCCAAAGUAUUUUUCAUAGUGUGCAGAUUUACUUUAUGGUGUCUUAAUUCGUCUAAAAUGAUUACUUUAGUUCUUUUGGGAUGAAAGGUCAUUUAUUGUGUUAGGAUUAAACAAUAGAAAAAAUAAGUAAUGGUAACGAAAGACUAAUUUGUGAUAUUGAAGCAUACAUGCUUAACUCAAUCCAAAACUUAGUAAGUUAGCUCAAGAGUUAAGAGUUGUCCAAAUCUUAUAUGCUGAACCCAAGUUCAAUACUCAAUUGAUGCAGGAUGUUAUUCCUAACACCGCCCGUCAUGCGUAGGAUUGGCAAAAAAACUCGAGUCAAUCCCGCCUAGACCUGCAAGCUUUAUUUAUGGCCAGCAUGAUGAAGUUACAGAUAUUAACCUAAAAAUUUGAAACUUACUAUGAAUGGCCUUGGUUAAAGACUUUUGUAACUUUAAUUUAUAACAAAUAUGUAUACACACACACACAUGUUUAGAUUGCAUUUGGGUGACUUUUUUUAUCAAUGCAAACAAUAUCAAAUUUAUCGGAUUAAUUUGAAUCUGAUCUAUAUCCGAUUUUGCCCGCCAUAAGCCCAAGUGACUCUCUUUUACUAAUUAAUAAGGGAAUUUUUUGACCUCAUGUCCUUGCUGUGGCAUUAGACUGUUGGUCAUUUUGAUUGUUUCCUACCUUCCAUUUACGCCAGCUGUAACAUUGUAUUAUUCACCAUUUUAGCCAUUUAAAUGAAAUUUUAUUUUUGUCAAAAAUAAAAUGACACCCUUAAAAUAAAAAAAAAUAGUUAUGUAGACCUCAAAUUUUUAAUAAAGAAUGUCAAUACCUCUUUUAACUACAAGAUUCGUAGUAGAUGAUAAAAAGAAAAUUAACUUCAAAUUUUUUCAUUAAAUGUAAAUCUGAUUGAAGUAGUUUAAAUUUUUCUAGUAGACUAAUAUAUAUAACUUAAAUAAUUAAUUUCAUUAUUAAUUGUUAAAAUGUUAACCAAUAUAUUUUUAAUUUAUUAUAAAAAUUUUAAAUAAAUCCUUGGAUUAAAUAGAUUUUACAAUUAAUGUAAUACUUCUGAUUUAUUAAUAAUAUUAAAAUUAUUUUAUAUGAUAUUCAAAAUAAUUUAAACUUAUAUAUAUAUUAAUAUUAUGUCUAUUUAUUAUAAUAUGGUUUAAUAUUAUACGGGAUUGUAAAAUAUUAAAAUAUUUUUCAAUAUCCAAUUAUUUUAAUAUGUAUAUAUCAUUACAUUUAUUUUAGUAUCAUAUUUAUAUUUAUUAUAAAAUAUAAAAUUAAUAAAAUUAAAGAGUAUUGCAGUAAAGUAAAAAAGAAAAGUCUUAUUAUCUCUUAUUCACGAUAUGAGAUUCUACAAAAUUAUUUCCCGAAACGGGUGUCCUUUUCUCAUUUUCAAAAGAAAAAAUAAAGUAAGAAUAAGUCCAUGGGUUUCAAAAACUUCUAGUCUUAUCCCGGGACUACAUUGUCUGCCACUAUAACUAAUGGAAAUGACAAUACAAUUGACAUUGCCUUUCGCAACAUGACAAAUUUUUGGUGGGAUAUGGAAGAAUUGUCAAAAGUUCACGCCAUGUGAGAGUUUUUGGUGGGAUGUGGGAGGAUUGUCAAAAGAUCACACCACAUGAUAUAACCACAAUUGCUAUGGUUUUUAUUUUUUAAAUAAUGAUGGGAGUUAUAAAUUAUUUAUAUAAAUUUGCGUAGAAACUAAUGUAACAUAAAAGAAGUAGCUGAAUAACAAUAUUUGGUGCUUUAGGUAAUUUUUAUAUGAGCCUUUCUUUUAUUUAGCGGCUCUAGUGCUUAAACAAACUUGUUCUCGAUCUUAUAACAGAAAAGGCAUCCCAUUUAAGCCUAUGAUGACAUAAUUAAACAUAUUCUUUUGUGACGAAAACAUCAAGAGAAGACAUCUCAUGUUUUAUUAUAACAGAAAAGAAGUGGUCCAAACGUCUAUUCGUUAUUUUAUUUAUUCAAUAUAAAUGGCCAACUUUAAAAAAAUGAUCAAAAUCACACAACACUCAAGUAAAAAUUUAGAAUUACAUUUUUUAAUACUCUCUAAGUCUCUCUCUCCUGCCCCCCCCCCCCCCACCCCGUCCCCUUUUUUGAAAAAAUAAACCUUAGUGUAAAAUUAGAAGAAUUUUAGAUAUAAAAUUAGAAGAAUUUUAGAUAUAAAAUUUGGCAAUCGCUAAACAGAAAAGCAGCGGAUUGAAAAUAAAAAAACUCUAUUACCAUUGGAAUAUUGAUUAUAGACAAUAUAAUAACUUGUUGUGGUUCAUUGUAGCACUCUGAGCCAUAUUCUAAAAUUUAUAGGUUUGUUAAGGCAUUUAUUAUUGACAUUAUUGUGUCAAUACUAUUAUAAUGAUAAUUUGUCUAGUCUUAGGUACUUAUUAUAUUAAAUUAUGUAAAUUAAUUGAGGAUACUUUUAGAGACAAAAGAAACACGUGUAUGUAGGAUUAAUAAUCGAAGAAUUGUAAAUGAAGGUGAUUGCUUCAUUGAGAGGCAUAUUAAAUAAUUAUGGAGAGUUGCACUAUUUCGGAAGCACAUAAUUAUACUUCCCUAUCAGGAUUUGGGGUAAACGAAGUGCUUUAUCUAUUGCAGUAAGCAAUGUGGACAAUAUCAGAGGCGAAAUAUUAAAAGAUCAUAACGCAUAUAUUGGAGCCAUUUAUCUUCCGCAACUGUUCUGAACUAUUCUUCAUUGUGGGCAGAUUUACUUAAAUACCUGCACAAUGAUUCAAUACUUCAAAGGUCAAGGAAAUGUCAAAAUAUGAAAUGAAAAUACUUAAAUACCCUUCUACCUAACAAAACUCGCAGAGAAUCUAUAAAAUUAAAAAAAAAAUAUUCAUCCAUGAAAAGCUUCGUAACAGAAAAACCGUCUUUCAAAAAAUAAAAACAGAAAAACUGACUCAUUUAUCUGCAAAUGAACCAAUCGGGACUCAUUUAAAAAAGAAUACAAAGCAAAAGUAAAUGACACAAAUUGCAUAGAUAUCUAGGAGCCGCAUCAAAAGACAAAGGUGUUAAUUUGUCCAAGAAUAAAUUCUCCUAGGUCAAAAGCAAUUAACGAUGAAAACUUUCUUCAUUAAGGUUCUGGCCUACGUAAAAAAACAGAAAAAAACCACCCCAAGGUCAAAGCACAACGAUAAAUUUAGAAAUGAAGUUUUUAAUUUUUUUUUAAUAAAUCAACGUGUAUCAAAAAUAGAUAAUAAUUUUGGAUAACUUUUUUUGAUAAAUAUAGACAUAAAAUUUUAAAAUCACCAAACAGAAAAACAGGAGAAUUAAAACAAAGUCCCUGUUUAUCCUCUAUUUUGCUUGUUAUUAAAAAGGGAAAUGAAAAGAUUGCAAGCGGAAAUUUUGUUUCUGCGUUGUCUCUUCUCAAUGCUGCAUGCAUUCAAAUUAAACCUUACAUAUGCUAGCAAACUAGCUACGCUGCAUGUAAGUUCUCGAUAAGUCCAAAUAAUAGAAUAAUUGUAAAAUGUUCAAAUUCAGUAAUUAAUUUUAUUUAUUUAUUUAUUCAAAAAUUAUUAUUAUUAUUAAUUAUUGUCAAUAAUAUAUUAAUAUACUAAUUAAUUGUAAAAAAAUUUAUCAUUCAUAACAAUAAUAAUGAUGAUGAUGACGAUAAUAAUAAAAAUUCAAAAUAUAUUAAUUAAUUAUAAUAAUAUAUUAAUUAUUUAAUAAUAAUAUAUUUAAAAUAUAUAUAAAUUGAUUAGAAUAGUUAUAUUAAUAAAUUAUAAACAUAUAUUAAUUAAUCAUAAUAAUUUUUUAAUUGAGGACAAAAUAGAUAUUUUAUAGUUUGUGAGAGGGGGCAAAAUGAUCAAUCUUGGGAAUGGGGGAUUGAUUCCCACCACCUUCCUUAGGAAUCAAUCUUCCAUUCCUCACUCCUAAUUUGGGUGGUCCCCAUAGUUCUGAUUCGGAUCCCAGCCUCCAUUUUAUGAAGUAAACAUCAUUAAUGAUUUCGAUUUCGGAUUUCGAUUCUCCAGUCCAAGAAGUAAAGGCACCAUUAUUGUUAAUUGGUUCAAACACACAAAGAGAAUGUACCAUGUAGCUAGGCGUCAAGGUUGUGUGGCACAAGUAACCUUUUUCUUUUCUUUUUAUUUUUCUUGUUUUCCUUAACGGAUCAGAAGAAAUCGGUGCCUUUGAGAUACUACAAUGUAAAUAAGUAUUUGUGGUUCAUUGAAUCUGUAACACUCGGUACCCUAAGGUUGCUUUUGAAAAAGGGCUUUUCUCACUGAUCACCAAUAUCCAAGUAAGUUUGUUUCAUUUCAGAAGGUGCAAAGUUUCAAACUUUUUGUAUUGGGAUGUAACAAACUUUGGCCUUAUAUGCUUGCUGUGACGUUAGACUGUUCAUUUUGAUUGUUUCCUACCUUCCACUUGCGCCACUGUAGCACUGUAUUAUUCAUCAUUUUAGUUGUUUAAAUGAAAUUUUAUUUUUGUCAAAAAUAAAAUGACACCAUUAAAAUUUAGAAAAAUAAUCAUGUAGAUCCCAAAUUUUUAAUAAAGAAUACCAAUAUUCCCCUUGACUACAAUACCCUUAGCAGGUGGUAAUCAAACAAAUUGACUUAAAAUUUUUUACGAAAUGUAAAUAUGAUUUAAAUAAUUUAAAUUUUCCAGAAGACUAAUAUAUAUAAUUUAAAUAAUUAAUUUCAAUAUUAAUUUUUAAAAUGUAAAUUAAUUUAUUUGUACUUAUAAAAUAUUUGUAAUUAUUUUAAAAUUUUAACUAAAUCCUUAGGUUAAAUAGAUUUUACAAUUAAUAUAAUAUUUCUCAGGUAUUAAUAAUAUUAAAACUAUUUUAUAUGACAUUGAAAAUAACCUAAAUUUUUUAUAUAUUUAUUUGAAUAUUAUGUCUCUAUUUAUUAUAAUUUGGUUUAAUAGAAUACGAGAUUGUAAAAUAUUAAUAUUUUAGAUAUUGAAAUUAUUUUAAUAUCUAUAUAUUAUUAUAUUUAUUUUAAUAUCCUAUUUAUAUUUAUCAUAAAUUAUUAGAGUUAAUUUUUUUAGUUAAUAAAUUUAAAAAUAUUAUAAUUUAAAAAAAGUCUUAUUGGCCGUUAUUCACGAUAUAAGGUUCUAAUAAAUUAUUUCUCUAGACAGGUGCCAUUUUCUUAUUUUCAAAAGGAAAAACAAGUUCAGGGCCUCGGGGGUUUCAAAAAAUUCUGGUCCUAUCUAUCACUAUGACUAAUGGGAAACGGCAUUGCAAUUGACAUUGCUUUUCGCAAUAUGACAUAUUAUGGAGGGAUAUGGGAGAAUUGUCAAACAUUCACACCACGCGAGAGCUUUAGGUGGGAUAGGGGAGGAUUGUCAAGAGUUCACACCACAAGAAACUAAUGAUAGGUCUAAUUUCGUUGUCAGUUCUUUAUUUAUUUAUUUUUUUUAUUUCAUACAUUAUUGUUCUUGUAAAGGUAUAAAAGUAAAGUAAAAUACUAGGGGUGCUGUUAAGUUACAACUGAUGUAACUUGUAAUUUUUUCAAAAAUAAUGUAAAAAAUUUAAUAGGUGGUGGGACUCACAUAUUUUUUAAGAGACUUAAGUUAUAGUAGUUGUAACUUAACAAAAUCUAAAUAUUAUACAAUAAUGCAUAUUAAUAAUGCAUAUAAUUUGGGUUUGAUUUUUAAAAGAUUAUUUGAGUACCACCUAUCCUUAUGAUAUUAAUGUGAUUAUAUCUUAAUAUUAAAUAAUCAAAAUUUGUUUAAUUAUUAUUUGUAUUUCAUACAUUACAUAUUAGAUUUGUUUGAAUUUUAAGUUGUUGCUAAUAAAUAUUUAUGUUGUCAAAGUCAAAUUCAAUAGCUACAAAAGCAGAGAUAAUGGUAUUGUAUAUAGUUUUUAAGAAUGCAAGGAUAAGCUGGAUAAUUGACAUAAAUUCUAAUGAUUAAAAGAGCAACUAUCCCUUAAAUUAUAAUGUUAAUUUCUUUAAUUAGAUUUUUUUUUUCAUGUGAUAUAACCACAAUUGCUACAAUUUUUUUUUAUAAUAAUAAUGGGAGUUAUAAAUUAUUUAUAUAAAAUUUGGGUUGAAACUAAUGUACCAUAAAAGUGGUUGCUGAAUAACAAUAUUUGAAACUUUAGGUAAUUUUCAUGAGUCCUUUUUAUAUUCAGCAACCUGAAUUGGGGAAAAUCCGACUUGAAUUGGCGGUUGAUUUUGGUGAUGUGGCUUUUGGUUUAUGGCGGCUUUACUGUGGCGGAAGACUGGAUUUACGGUUGCCGACUGCUAGGGAUUAUGGUGGUGGUGUAAAUUGACGGAAAAAGAAGGUGUUUUGGUGGCGGCGCGUGUAGGAAGCACUCGUGGGUUGUCGUUUCGUGUGGUGACAGAGGGCGGCGAUCAAGGGCCGAAGUCGGUCAGUUUUUGGUCAACGAAGGCCGGCGAGUUUGUUGGUGGAGGUGGCUGGUGGAGAAAGUGGCUGAAUGGUGGUGGGUUGCUUGGUGGAGCCGCAGGUUUGGGUUGGUGAUUUGCGGCUGUUCAAGCGGCGGUUGAGGCAGCGAUGACUGAGGCUUGGUCGACGGUGGCUAGUGAGGUUUGUGGUGGUGUUGGCUGGCUGAUUGGCGGUGGUGGGCGGCGGUGGGGGUUGGUCUGACGGGUAGGGUUUUCAAAUUUGUAAUUUUUUUUUUUGAUGGAUUUGGUUUGGAUGGGUAUGGUGUAUCUAGGAAAGAUGUGUGAUUCGCACAGAAUUGCUUUGAUACCAAUUGAUGGAGCGAGCGUAGCGGAAGUGGAAUUGAUAAGGUAAGAAAUACUAAAUAUCAUUCUAGUACUGGAUCAAGCCAACACAAUUAACUUACGCUUUAAUCAAAGCGUGAUUAGAUAUUGUUUUAAUCUAAAUGAUUCAAUGAGAUUUUUAAUAACGCGUAAUACGAGAUUAGAUGACACUCUAAUUUAAAUAACUCUAUAAGAGAGAUUUUGAUAAAUAAUACUAGAGGAAAUUAUAAAAAAAAGAGUUUUAUUUAAUAAUUGAAUUUGAAGUCCUGAAAACAAUGACAAGACAUCUUUAUUUUUUUUAUUACAGACAUCUUUAUUUAUAAUAAAAGAAAUCCACUUUCCUAAGUUAACCUAAAAAGAAAAUUUAAAUUAUAAUUAUAAUGGAAAUAAAAGAUUAAGAUACAUACCAUAAUUGACUCAAACAAAAAUAGAAAACCAUAAAAUAAUAAAUAUUUUAGAAUUAUAAAUUAUCUAAAAUAACGUUAAUUAACUUCCUAAAUCACGUCUUUGGUGUAAACCAUUUUGCAUCCAACCUUGCUUUAAAGGUUUGAACCAACGUUACGAACAACAAUGUAUCAAAUUCCAAUCUAACUUAAGAUCCUGAUACAUCUACCGAUGUCCUUGUUUGAUUAGACAAUAAUGAGUCUAUCUCAUCACUUGUUACCUCUUUUUUGAAGCUGCAUCUGUUGAAGUGAUAGCCUCGCUUAGAGUUUAAAGAUCUUCUUCCAUGUUAAAUAAAGUGGGCAUUUGAUUAAAAAACUUUAUCUCUAUCUCCUUCUAUCAAAUAACGAAAACUAUCCAAAGGAAAAAAAAAAAAUUAGAAAAGUCCAUGGGUUGCAAUAAUUUAUGGUCUGUCCUCGGACCCCAUUAUCUGCCAAUAUCAAUGAUGAAAAUGAAAAUAAAUGGCAUCUUCCCAAAAUGGCGAAAGAUUUUUAGGAGAUAUGGGGAAUUGUCAAAAGUUCCCACAACGCGAAAUAAGUGUUACAUCCAAUUUUAUUUCAUCAUAUAAUGAUAAUAUCAAGUAAUGACAGCCAUCUAAAAGUAUAAUGGGUCUUCCAAAAUUUUGAAAAUGUCGUCAACAUUUAAUCUUCAAUGCUAAAGAAGAUGAAAUGCCCAAAAAUGACAUGCAGGACCCACUCACAGACUAAACGGCCCUGACCACAUGCAACAAACUUUGACUUUAUGUCCCUGCUGAGGCGUUAGACUGUUGGUCAUUUUGAUUGCUUUUUACAUUCCAUUUACGCCAUUGUAGCAUUGUACUAUUUACCAUUUUAGCUGUUUAAAUGAAUUUUUUUUUCCAAAAAUAAAAUGACACCCUUAAAAUUUUAGAAAAUAAUCAUGUAGACCCCAAAAUUUUAAUAAAGAACACCAAUACCCUUUUUGACUAUAGUACUCUUAUGGUAGCCACAAAAAAAAAAUGACUUCAAAAUUUUUUACUAAAUGUAUAUAUGAUUUAAAUAGUUUAAAUUUUCUAGUAGACUAGUAUGUAUAAUUUAAAUAAUUAAUUUUUAAAAUGUAAUUUAAUAUAUUUAUUUUAAUAAUAUAUUUAUUAUAAAAAUUUUAAACAAAUCCUUGGGUUAAAUGGAUUUUAUAAUUAAUAUAAUAUUUCUCAUGUUUUAAUAAUAUUAAAAUUAUUUUAUAUGAUAUUGAAAAUAAUUAAAAAUUUUAUAUAUUUAUUUGAAUAUUAUGUCUCUAUUUAUUAUAAUUUGGUUUAAUAGAAUACGAGAUUGUAAAAUAUUAAAAUAUUUUUAGGUAUUGAAAUUAUUUUAAUAUGUACAUAUUAUUAUAUUUAUUUUAAUAUCCUACUUAUAUUUAUUAUAAAAUAUUAAAAUUAAUUUUUUUAGUUAAUAAAUUUAAAAAAUAUUAUAAUUAAAAAAAAGAGUCUUAUUGUCUGUUAUUCACGAUAUAAGGUUCUACAAAAUUAUUUUCAAAAGGAAAAAUAAGUCUAGGGGUUUCAAUAAAUUCUAGUCCUAUUUGCCACUAUGACUAAUGAAAACGACAUUGCAAUUGACAUUACUUUUCGCAAUAUGACAAAUUUUUGGAGGGAUAUGGGAGAAUCGUCAAAUGUUCACACUACGCGGGAGUUUUGGAUGGGAUUGGGGAGGAUUGUCAAGAGUUCACACCACAAGAAACCAAUGAUAGCCAUAAUUUUGCUAUCAGAUCUUUGUUUAUUUAUUUUAUUUAUUUCAUACAUUGUUGUCUUGUUGGCAUUGUUUUGCAAAGAUAUAAAAGUAAAAUAAACUAUUAGGGUGCUGCUAAGUUAAGCUGUUGUAACUUACAAUCCCUUAAAAAAUAAUGUAAAAAAUUUAACACGUGGUGGGAUCGACAUAUGUUUGAAGAGGCUUUAAGUUACAGUAGUUGUGACAUAGCAAAAUCCAAUUAUUAGACAAUAACGCACAUUAACAAUGCAUAUAAUUUGGGUUUGAUUUUUUGAAAAAUUAUUUGAGUAUUAACUAUCCUUAAGAUAUUAAUGUGAAUAUAAUUUAAUAUUAAAUAAUCAAAAUCUGUAUAAUUAUAAUAUAUAGUUCAUACAUUGCAUGUUUAAUCAAAAUCUGAUUGCUUUUUACCUUCCAUUUACGCCCACUGUAGCAUUGUACUAUUCACCAUUUUAGCUGUUUAAAUGAAAUUUUUUUUUUUUCAAAAAUAAAAUGACACCCUUAAAAUUUUAGAAAAUAGUCAUGUAGACCCCAAAAUUUUAAUAAAGAACACCAAUACCCUUUUUGACUAUAGUACUCUUAUGGUAUUCACAAAAAAAAAAAAUGACUUCAAAAUUUUUUACUAAAUGUAAAUAUGAUUUAAAUAGUUUAAAUUUUCUAGUAGACUAGUAUGUAUAAUUUAAAUACUUAAUUUUUAAAAUGUAAUUUAAUAUAUUUAUUUUAAUAAUAUAUUUAUUAUAAAAAUUUUAAACAAAUCCUUGGGUUAAAUAGUUUUUAUAAUUAAUAUAAUAUUUCUCAUGUUUUAAUAAUAUUAAAGUUAUUUUAUAUGAUAUUGAAAAUAAUUUAAAAUUUUAUAUAUUUAUUUUAAUAUUAUGUCUCUAUUUAUUAUAAUUUGGUUUAAUAGAAUACGAGAUUGUAAACUAUUAAAUAUUUUUUGGUAUUGAAAUUAUUUUAAUAUGUAUAUAUUAUUAUAUUUAUUUUAAUAUCCUACUUAUAUUUAUUAUAAAAUAUUAAAAUUAAUUUUUUUAGUUAAUAAUUUUAAAAAAAUAUUAUAGUUAAAAAAAAGAGUCUCAUUGUCCGUUAUUCACGAUAUGAGAUUCUACAAAAUUAUUUUCAAAAGGAAAAAUAAGUCCAAGGGUUUCAACAAAUUCUAGUCCUAUCUGCCACUAUGACUAAUGGAGACGAUAUUGAAUUGACAUUGUUUUUCGCAAUAUGACAAAUUUUUGGAGGGAUAUGGGAGAAUCGUCAAGCGUUCACACCAUGCGAGAGCUUUAGGUGGGAUAUGGGAGAAUUGUCAAGAGUUCACACCAAGAGAAAUUAAUGAUAGGCCUAAUUUCGUUGUCAGUUCUUUAUUUAUUUAUUUUAUUUAUUUCAUACAUUAUUGUCUUGUUGGUAUUGUUUUGUAAAGAUAUAAAAGUACAAGUAAAAUAUUAGGGGAAGUAAAGUAAAAUAUUGGAGGUGCUGCUAAUUUACAGCUGCUGUAACUUACAGUUCCUUCAAAAAUAAUGUAAAAAAUUUAACACGUGGUGGGACCCACAUUAUGUUUGAAGAGGCCGUACAUUAUAGCAGUUGUAAAUUAGUAAAAUCCAAAUAUUAGACAAUAAUACACAUUAACAAUGCAUAUAAUUUGGGUUUGAUUUUUUAAAAAAUUAUGUGAGUAUUACCUAUCCUUAAGAUAUUAAUGAGAAUAUAUUUUAAUAAUAAAUAAUCAAAAUCUGUUUAAUCAUAAUAUGUAAUUGAUACAUUGCAUGUUAGAUUUGUUUGGAUUUUAAGUUGUUGCUAAUAAAUAUUUAUGUUGUGAAAGUCGAAUUCAAUAGCUACAAAAGCAGAGAUAACGGUAUUUUAUGUAGUUUUUAAGAAUACAAGGAUAAGACCAUAACGCAUGAGAUAAUGGUAUUUUAUAUAUAUUAAAAGACCAUAACACAUGUAUUUGAGCCAUUGAUAUUGAAGACACAUAUAGAGGAAAGAGUGCAGAUCCGGCCCUCAGUAUUGUGAAGCUUUCCUCAAGUAUUCUCAUGCACACAGACCUUAUCUGGUCAAGUUUUCUGAUUCAAUAUAAUCAAUUUCCGCGCAGUACUGACGACAGCUUCUCUGUAAAGCUCUUCAACCACAAGCAUUUCUACAAGGCAAAAGACUAGGACGUGUCAGAAUGAAUAUCAAUAAGGGAAUGUCUUAUGAAUUUAGUUUAUAUCCUAAUAUAAGACAAUCAGUAAAUAUUGGACUCAUUAGUUGCCCUUGCCUCAGACGUUUGGAUGCUAAGGGGAAAAAGGAAGUUUGAAUUAGUCAAUCUCAUUUCUAAUGGCAUUCACAGAGAACUUAUAAAACAAAAAAAUUAUAAAAAAAAAUUCAUCCAUAAAAAGCUUAGUAACGGAAAAACCGACUCUUUUAUCUGCCACUGACGAAAAAAAAACUGAAGUAUCAAAUAGAUAAAGAUUUUAAUUUUUUUCUUGGAAAAACUAAUAAUAAAUUAACAAUUGGAUAAUACUAUUAAUUAGAGAUCUUUAAUAUUAAGGUUAUCAAAGAUAGAAUGUGUAUAAAAAUUCUUAAUUAUAAGAUAAUUACUAACUAAAAAGAGGCCUAAAAAAGAAGAUUUGCUAUUAUAAGUAAUACCAAAAAUAAAAAAGGGAGACUUCCUAAUUGUUUAAUUGUUAAAAAAGAGGAUUUGCUAUUAUAGGCCUAAUUUGCCUAUAAGUAAUACCAAAAAUAAAACCGUUCCUGGAUGUAAAAAAUAAAAAUUAUUGUUAAAUUCCUGACUAAUAAGGUCAUUGAAAGUAUUCAAAGGACCUGAACUUAUAGGAAAGCCAGCCAUGAUGAACUAUACCACGUUGCAAGUGAGCUCGUAUCUUCAUCCCUUGAUCUGCCAUCGGCAUUUCUGUUCCACUCACUAUACCAUCCUUUUCAAUCGAUUUUUAUUGAUCAUAAGAGGCCAUGUGGCCCACCUUAUUUUUAUUUUGGAUCCAUAACCCAAAGCUGGCCCAAGUUCUGAUUCCAGAAUCAUUUGUCUACAAAGUGACCUCAUUCCGGCAAUUGGUUUAUGCUAAUAGCACGUGCAAUUUUCAUUUUCUUCUUUUUAUUAAUUAAUUUCAUCAUUAUUAUUUGCUUAUUAUUUUAAAUUAAUUAAUUAAAUUGUAUUAUUGAAAUUAGUCUUUCUUUUUUCUUUUCUCUUUCAAUGCACAAAGCCAAACAACCAUUCUUGCUUCAAAUACCGAAGAGCUCCUGACUACGGCUGUCAAUGCUUCUAUAUUUACGUGCUGUGCUGCAUCACUCUUAGCGAAAGCUUGAAUGAAUGAUUAAAGACAAAAGCUUAUAUAAAAGCAGAUGCCGGAGGCACUCAAAAAGCAUUUGAGAGAGAAGCUACACAGCAAAUCAUCAAACGUACUUCAAUGACUUUGAUUUUGAUUCUUUUUUUUUUCAAAAGAAGUAGAAAAGUCCAUGGAUCACGAUAACUGCUUGUCCUAUGCCGUGACCUCAUUGUCCGCUGCUAGUGUCAAAUAGAUUAAUCUUUCUAGUAGAUUAAUAUAAUUUAUAAUUUUAAUUUCAGUAUUAAUUUUUAAAAUGUUAGUUGUUAUAUUUAUUUUAAUAAUAUAUCUAUUUUUAGUAUAAAACUUUAAAUAUAUAUUUAGAUUAAAUAGAUUUAUAAUUAAUAUAAUAUAUCUCAUGUAUUAAUGAUAUUUAAAUUAUUUUAAAUAAUAUUAAGCCUAACUUAAAAUUUUAUAUAUUUAUUUUAAUAUUAUGUUUCUAUUUAUUAUAAAAUUUAGUUUAAUAUAAUAUAAGAUUGUAAAGUAUUCAAAUAUUUUUUAAAUAUUGAAAUUAUUAUAAAAUGUAUAUAUUGUUACAUUUUUAAUAUUGAAGUCAAUCUUUUUUAAGUUAAUAGAGUGAAAAGAUAUUAUAAUAAAAGGCUACGUAAUCUUUCACUUGCACAUAUUCUGUACUCUCUGGAGCAGGACGGUAGGAAAUAUGAUUACAAAUGUUAAAUUCGCCUUUCUUCACAAGUUUAUCAGCUUCGUUUGCGGCCUCUGCUGCUUGUUUACCAAGCUUGUAACAAGAAAUCAAAUUUGGGCACAACCUUUUGAAGCAGAACAUCUUAGCUCUAUCUUUAUCAUCAAUGAUUGAUUUUGCAACCCCUUCACUGAAUUCAGCAACUCUAUUUAGCCAGUCUCUGACACCCUUAUAAAUCUCAUCUCCUUGUAGAGUAGCCUCUCUAACCAGCAUUUGCACCCUUUCUCUUAUAUAUUCCAGCUCCUUCACUCAAUCUUUUAGCCCAUCUAUGUAGCUCUGGUACUCGGAACACAUAAGAUAUGUGCCACAUAAUCGGUUUGAAUAAUGCUUUUGAACCUUGUGAUACAAUGCUAGAAAAAGUAGGGAGACACCCUUCUGCAGCCAUUGCCUGUUGCUUAACAAUCUAUAUAAAUAAAUACAAGUGUCAAAGAAAGGAAUACAGAUAAAUUAAAAUGAACUAGUGGGAAAGACAGAGAAUGAAAAGACUGCAAACAAUAUUGCGAUAUUGAUCUUGAACUAACUAAUAAUUAAAUAGAGAAUUUCUUUUUCUUUCUUGAGGAUCAGAGAUUUUGCUAUUAACAAAAAGGUACUUCGAGGGUCUGAAUAAAAAACCAACCAUAAAUUAUCAAAAGCUAGUAAAAACACAGACGUAAAUAAUGAACAAUUACUUAAGCAAAACAGACCAUGAUACAAAGCAAAUCUAAUAAAAUGACAAAAAAAGAAAGAAAGAAAGAAAGAAAGAAAAUACAACAAAUAAUAUUGAAGUGUUGAUUAUGAGCCAACUGAUAUUUAAACAGAUUUUUUUAAAAUUUUUAGUCUUUUGCUAAAGGAUUAGAGUUUUUGUUAUUAAUAGAAAGGUUUUAAAGACCUGACAUUACUAGAAAAAUACUAAAUAAUGACAGAAAUUUUAUAACAUAUAUCGUUAUGUCACGAAUGUGUCAUGAAAAUAUGAUAGAUUCGUGAUAUAUAUUCAUGUCCAGAGUAUAUGACAUAUUCAUGACUUAUAACUUAACCAUCGUAAAUAAAUGAUACAUAUAAGUCAUGCUUAAGUUUUGUGAACUUAUAAGAUUGUAAAACAAUGCCGUUUAAAUUAACGACACCGUUUUGUAUAACUUAAAACCCAUUAACACUCGCAGCCAAAUUUUGGCUAAGCGUUGAAUUAAUCCCUCUCUCCACUGUAGAGAUGGCAGAAAAGCCCGCUCAGACCGGAUCCGGACUGGACCCGGUGCAUACGGUCCGGGUAAAACCCGGAUCGGAUGCAUGGAAAAAGCGGAUCCGGGCACGGGUCCGGUCACAGCACCAAGAAUCUGGAACCCGGACCCGUGCCCACUUUUUUAUUAAGUAAAAAAAAAAUAUAUAUAUAUAUAUAUAUAUAGUAGUUUUCCAAUCAGGGAUUAGUUAAAAGACAAAAUAAACACAUACUCCAAUGCAUUGUAUUUUAUCAUGUAGUGUAGUAAAAUUUAAAUUUUUUUGUCUUUUAGCUAAUCCAACUACUAUAUAUAUAUAUAUAACAACAAAAAUGCAUUUUGCUUUACCCAAUUUCCCCCAAACCCAACCGGCCAACCCUAAAUCGCAACAAGUCUCAGAAUCGCCACCUCCCUCCGUUUCUCCACCAACAACCACCACCCAUCUUCACCGAUGCAGUGUUGACGGCGCGGCCUCUUCCCCACUUACAGAAAAAUGCGCAUGCUUUUACCGAGAAAAGAAAGCUUUUAUUUUUUGUAUGACAUCUGGUCCUCCCAUCAAGCUUACCUGAGGCAGCGAGGCUGAAAGUCUCUGUUAUCAACCAUCAGGACACCAGAAAGAGUAAUUGCUCACAUCGUAAGCGCCAUGAACUAAUUUUUCCGAAAAGGAGGAAAUGAAGGUCACAAUGGAGCUCAUUUCCCGCGAUUCGAGAGCCCUACAGAGAGGUAGGACCCCUAACUCACUCCGUUUUAGUCACCUUUCAAUGGCUCCCUUAAUUUCCUAAAUCAAUAAGUGUUCUAAAAGGGCUUGAAAAAUCAAAAUGAUGCCCAACAUUAGUGCCAGGAUUAAGGAACUUUUCACUGCAAAGAAGUGAAUAGCUACGUGGAUGAAGUUAUGGGCCAUGCAGAAAUUCACACUUCACUCUCUCUUGAUUUGUACUCAAAAGUCGCCACCAACCUUCAAUUAUAUGGACUCAUGGAUUCAAUAUUUAGGCUUACAAUUGGACCUUCACAAAGCAAUUGGAGCACUCCAAGCUGCAAAAAAUGUCUCUUCUCUGUGACAUCUGCAGGUGGGCUAGAAGAAGGUUAUGCAUAGAUGGUCUAUGUGCGUGUGCUUACUAAAUGCAUACAAAAUGUAUAAGAACUGAGAUUCCUAUGUUUUUUCCUUUUUAAUUUUAAUAAUUAUGUUAGAUGUUUGCUUGGUAGUUAAGAUGUUUUGGUUUUGGACUGUUACGCUUUGUUAGAACUUAAAAGUAAACAAUUGUUUAGGCUGUAUUUUUUUUUACAGUGUUUUCACCUUUGAAAAUCCGGGUAGAGAAAACCCGGAAAAACCCGUGCCCGGAUAGUGCCGGGCAUGUACCCGGCCUGUAUAAAAAAAAUUCCGGACACGGUGCGGGUUCGGGUAGUUACGUGUGACAUCCGGGUCGGUCCCGGGCAGCCUCAAACCCAGACCCGACCCGGACUUUUGCCAUCUCUACUCCACUGGCCACUGCAACCUAAAAUAGUUUUUCACUUUAAUAACCCAAAAGCUUUCCUCUGUUUCAACUAAGCGAAAAUUUACAUAUUAAAGCCUGGCUCAAAUUCCUUUUUUCAAUCGAAAUUAAACGUAGCCACAAAACCCUAAUUCACCACACCAAUUUAUCUCUGCCCGGUAUUCAUUUAAACCCUACCUCGCGGUUCAAUGUCAUUCAAUACGAUUGCAGAUGCUGUUUCAACUUGUCAUUUAGUUAGCGCCAUCCAGUUCUCUAUGGUAAGCCUUAACCCUAACAACUAAUCGACUGCGGUAGCACGUUGCUUGUUAGGAGUGGGGAUACAUUAUUUGAAUAUAUGAAUUGGGUGAUGUUAGUGAUUCAUUCCCCUAUUUGUCGUGAAUUGAGAUUUGUGCAUAAUGCUAGUAAGAUUGCUAAAAAUUUCAUAUUUUGUAUUGUUCCAGUUGAAUUUCUUGCUUGUGGAAGAUAAAACAAAAGUUCAAUUUCAUGUUGAUUUAAUUCUUCUUUUCCUUCUUUUUAUUUUUCUUCUUUAUAGUCACGCUCUGGCUUUGGUGCUAUGCUUAGUGCAGUUUAUGGUUUCAAGAUUAAGUCAUGUUUAUUUGAUGGCAUCGAUUCCAUCGUUGAGGAUUGGAUUGUUGAUCAAAUGCACAUAGUAAGCUCUUCUUAUUUUAUCUCAAUUUUAAUUUUCUUUUAUUAUCUGCCUCUACCUGAAAAUGGACGUGUUUUACUAGUAAGCAUAGACCUUGUUUAUUUAAUUGAUAUUUUAAUUUUAUGUAUAAGAAUGGAGGUUUAUUUUGGAAAAAAAAAGAAAUAAAAAAAAUACUCUGUUGAAGCUAAUUAGUACUGAAUUUUUUUUGGUGGUGCGACCAGAGGUGGAAACAGGGUAUGAAAAUGUGUUACUGGUGAGGCUGCUGCUUAAGAUGAGAAUGCAUUCUUUUCAAAAAUCCUUGGAAGGUGUGAUCUAAUUAUAUUUGAUGGAAUAUUAAAUGGCUAAAAAUCUGUCAUACGUUCAAACUUUGUUUGUGUUUAGAAGAAUGGUGUUGACUGUAUAUUCGUUUGGAAGAAUGGUGUUGAUUGUAUAUUCAUUUGCUUAGCCUUUUGACAGAUGGAUUUGGAACUGACGAUAAAUGUGAUUCAAUUUACAAGGUUUUCGAGGGGCUCACAGUGGAAGGGAUAUUGAAGAACUGGUCGAAGUUAAAGCCUAUGAUUGUGAAAGAUUGGAGUGAGAAUAUAGAUGCUCAUUUAAAUCUUUUUGGCAAGGUCAGAGAUGAAUGGAUAGAUAAGGAUUUAUUUGACAACUUGGACUGGUGCUAAUAGGUAUUUUAAGCAAGCUUUUUGAGAUAACACUGAGCAAGUUAUACUACUAUUUUGCACAUGAUGAUCAAAACUCUCGAAAAGUAAAUAAAAUAAAGUAUUAACUUUUACUUUCAUCUUUUGCAUAGCAAUCAAUGUGGUGCUUGUUCUGUGACAACUUUGAUAAUCUACUUAAUUACUGGUUAGCAUUUGGACCAAAAAAGUUCUUAUGAUUUACAUGUUUUGUAGAAAUGCAUGAACCUUAAAUGUGCUGAUCAGGGAGUUUAAUUAUUGCACCUUGAAAUUCAUUUACUGUUAACUAAUUGGCUUUCCUUUGCAUAAAGCCGCUUAUAAGGCUUGAGUGGACGUCUUUAUGGGCAUAUUUUUUGUAUUUCUCGAUGCAUGCCUUUAUCAUUUAAUGUGGUGCUCGUAUUUCUUUAUGCAUGCCUUUAUCAUUUAAUGGCCAGCUCCCUUUCCUCUUUUGUAAUUUGAAUAGUAGUAUGGGCCUCCAUUUUACAAAUCUUUAACAUUUUUUGCUGUAAAUUAAUUUUUCUUUCAAAUAUUUUGGAGGUCAUUGGAAUUCCUGUAGGUCUAUUUACCAGAUUUUAGUAUGUUUAAGGUUAUAAUUUUGCUUAGACUUUAAUUUUUCUGAAAGAUUGUAGUAUUGAUCCUUAAAGUAAGAUCAUGCUACUUCAAAUUAUUUUGAAGUGUUGCUAGUUAUAGCCUUACAUAUCAAAUUCCAGUUGUCUGGAAAUUUAUUGAUAGCUGUUACAGCAGCAUAUUUUAUGACUCUACUUCUUAGUUAUGUAAGUUCAUUAUGUUUAGGUCAGAGGCAGUCAGCUGUGGGGAAUCGAUUUAUACACAGAUGACUUUGAUCUUGUUGCUGGUAUGUGGUUCUAUGAAUAAUUGUUCACAAUAAUUGUGUUUGCCUCACUGUUUUUGUUUUAUGAGAUCUAUAAUUGAUCUUGGGAUAUUACUUUUUAGUUCUCAUGCAGGCAAGUUACUACCUUCCCACUGCAUCUCCUCCUUUAUCUGCUACUCAAGAGUUGCGUGCCAUAAUCUGGUAUUACCUCUGCAAGAUUGUGAAUGAAUAUGAUGCCUCUAAAUUUAUUUUAUACAUAAUGCUAAUGCUGAAUAAUAUAUUGUAGCUCCUGUCAUAUUCUACUUUGACUUUUUAUAUUCCGUUUCAAAUAAAAAUCUUAUUCAACUUUAGUUGUUCAUGAGCAAAUGUCACAUGUAUAAGCCCAAAUGAUGUUUAAAGGUAGCGCCGCUACCUUCAGUUUGAGCUUACAAUGGGUGAAAAAGAAAUUGAAACUGAUAUUUUGCGGUUUUUCUUAUUUUUCAAAGUAUUUUAGAUCAUGACUUUUGUUUGGACUUGAUGGUUAUAGAUUGUGUCUAGAUUUGUUAAGUCGUUUCCAACACCUCGUGCCAAAUCAAAGCACAAUCUUUCUGAUUCAGAUGUUUUGUUAAUUGUGCUUCAUUUUUUCGUUAAAGGUUGGAUGGUUGAAUGGAUUGAUGGAGUUGGAGUUCAACCAAUAAUUCUAAUUUUUUGGACUUAAAAUGCCUUUUUCUUCUGUAUAAAAGCUUUAGUAAGUGCUAUUGAGUUGACAGAAGUUGAAUACUUACAGGUUGUUUCACACUUUUUAAUAGUUUUACAUAUAUGAAUUUCUGUUUUUUGAAUUGCAGAAAGGAGGUGGAACUAUUGAUUUGGAGCCUUAUCUUACUCACUCAUCAACAACGGAGCCUACCCUCGCUCCUAUGGCAGUGGAACGGACAAUGACUACUAGGGCUGCAACAUCAGUUGGUUCGGGUCUGUUUUGAUAGCGAAUUUUGAUAUGUCAAUAUAAUGUGUAAUUGUUUUGGGUUGAGCUGGUAAUUAUGCUGGAUUAGAUUGGUUUGGUUUUGGUGCUUCGCUGAUGGAACACUGGUUUUUUAGAAAAUUUGAAUGUAAUAUGAGACUACAUUUAGUUUAAUUGAACACUGCAUCUAGUCUAAUUACUAGAAGUGUGGCAUUUGGUUUGGUUUAUCCGAUAUUCUCCAGAAUUUCACUUGCAUCUGGUUUUGUUGCAUAUGUUUGCUUGCAUUUGAUGGCAGUAGCAGACUGUUUGGUUUUGUGGCAUUUGAUGGCAGUUUGGUCUGUUCUUGGUGCUGAUUUACGAUUGUUCCUGAUGUGUUGAUGUUAAUUGCAGGUGCUUGAAUCAGCUAGGGUUGCUGGUUUUUUCAGAUGGUUGACUCAGGCGUUGUUACUGGUUGAUUCAGGUGGCUGGCUCAAGUUGUUCAUUUAAUGUUAGGAAGCAAAUUAAGAAUUAAUGAAGUAUUCAUUUAACUAUAAUUAUUGUAGUUAUUUUAUUUCAUAACUGAAUUAUAAUCUAUGAUACUUGUGAACAAAUUAGAGAAUUUUUAUAUAUAAAUUAUAUAUAUGUGUGUGUAUGUACAUUUUGCUUUUUAUAUAAUAAUUUAAAGAAUAUAUUUCAAUUCCCACAAAAAAAUGGCCCCAAUUUCAAUAAUUCCUGCCAAAUAAUUAAUUUUUUUUAAUUUACCGCCAAAAUAUAUCUUAAAGAAAUGUUAGUUAUUCUUGCUAGAUUUAACAAAAAUAAUUUAUAGGAUUAACAUUUAAUUAAAAUAAUUAAAUAAUUUUACUAUUUCAAUUAAAUGUCAUGUUUAUAUCACAGACAAUAGUCAUGAAUGGGAAGUAUUAGUUACAUAUUUUUCCUUGUAGUUAUUUUAUUUCAUAACUGAAUUAUAAUCUAUGAUACUUGUGAACAAAUUAGAGAAUUUUUAUAUAUAAAUUAUAUAUAUGUGUGUGUAUGUACAUUUUGCUUUUUAUAUAAUAAUUUAAAGAAUAUAUUUCAAUUCCCACAAAAAAAUGGCCCCAAUUUCAAUAAUUCCCGCCAAAUAAUUAAUUUUUUUUAAUUUACCACCAAAAUAUAUCUUAAAGAAAUGUUAGUUAUUCUUGCUAGAUUUAACAAAAAUAAUUUAUAGGAUUAACAUUUAAUUAAAAUAAUUAAAUAAUUUUUCUAUUUCAAUUAAAUGUCAUGUUUAUAUGACAGACAAUAGUCAUGAAUGGGAAGUAUUAGUUCCAUAUUUUUCCUUGGGAUUUCAGGCAAAUGAAAAAAAGAUUGAGAAUGAUUUCAAGAGGACAGGUGGAUGAUAAGUAUUCAUUUUUGUAUAUUUGGCUAAUGUCCUCAUUAGUGGAUUUUUAUGGUAUUGAUUUUUUUUUUUUUGGUUUAUAAUUUUCAAUUAGUUGUUACCCUAGAGGAAGAGCAGGCUGAUCAAAUUGAUUUGUCUUAUUUUUCCGGCAAUCUGCGACACGAUGACUGUGAUAAUGCUCGUGACUGCUGGAAACUUUCUGGUGGAAAUAACUUUAGAGUUCGUAGCAAGCAUUUUUGUUAUGACAAAACAAAGGUUCCCCCAUAUUUUGGUUGUUUGUUAUGGUAUUUAUAUAUCCUGCAUAUGCUAGGUCGACAGGUUAUGAUGUAGUUUGGUUGGCUCUUGUGCUUUGUGCAAUUUGUAACUGCAGAUACCUGCGGGAAAACAUUUAAUGGAUCUUGUUGCUGUUGAUUGGUUCAAAGACACAAAGAGAAUGGACCAUGUAGCUCGGCGUCAAGGCUGUACUGCACAAGUAACUGAAGAAAAAUGUGAAUUGGUUCCUCUUUUUCUUACUUUCCAGAACAGUAUGUACAGGGAAUAUAUACAGCAAAAUAGGAGAGAAAAUAGGAGACUACAUCUAUCCUUUCCUAAAUAAUAGGAAACAAAAUCUGGAAAGAAUCCUAAUGAAUCUUCCCAUUAUAAUUUAACUUAUUCCUAAAAUAGCCUAGAUUACAAAUAAAUCAUAACUUUGAAUCUUUAUUUUCAACACUCCCCCUCAAGCUAGUGUGUGUAUAUCAUACAAACCCAGCUUGUUACUUAAGUCUUCAAAGUUAGGUCUUGGCAGUGCUUUAGUAAGGAUGUCUGCAAUUUGUUGUCUAGUUGGAAUGUACUUUAGUUCCACACUUCCACUAGUGACCUUCUUUGAGAUGAAGUGCCUAUCAAUCUCGACAUGUUUGGUUCGAUCAUGAUGCACUGGAUUUUUUGCGAUGCUGAUUGCUGCUUGAUUGUCACACCUCAUUAGAAUGGAUGAAGGGUUGCACACACCGAGUUCUUUGAGUACACGCUUUAUCCAAAUUCCUUCACAGAUUCCAUUUGCCAAAGCUCUGAACUCUGCUUCUGCACUACUCCUAGCUACAACUGAUUGUUUCUUACUCCUCCAGGUUACUAGAUUUCCCCAGACAUAGGAACAGUAAGCAGAUGUUGAUAUUCUAUUUGUGAUGUCUCCAGCCCAGUCUGCAUCAGAGUAGAUCUCAAUAUUCCUAUAUUCUGAUUUCUUGAAAAACAAUCCUUUUCCAGGUGUCAUCUUUAGAUACUUCAAAAUUCUAAAGACUGCAUCCAUGUGUUCCUCUGUAGGAUUGUGCAUGAAUUGGCUCACAGCACUAACAACAAAGCCUAUGUCCGGACGGGUAUGUGAGAGAUAAAUUAAACGACCAACCAGUCUUUGAUAUCUCUCUCUAUUGACUGGAACACUAUUCUCAACUGAGCCUAGUUUCUUGUAGGGAUCCAUAGGAGUAUCUACUGGUUUGCACCCAAUCAUACCAGUCUCCUUUAGUAAGUCCAGGGUGUAUUUCCUUUGGGAGACAACAAUUCCCUUCCUAGAUCUUGCCACCUCCAUCCCAAGAAAAUAUUUCAGAUUCCCUAGAUCUUUAACUUCGAAUUCCUGAGCUAGCUGUUUCUUCAACUUCUGCAGUUCUUCCUCAUCAUUUCCUGAGAGAAUGAUGUCAUCAACAUAUACGAUUAGGAGAGAGAUCUUCUUUGCUUGUGAUGUUCGGAGGAAUAGAGUGUGAUCUGCCUGACACUGAGUGUAACCAAGUCUCACAACUGCCUUCGCAAAUCUAUCAAACCAUGCUCGAGGGGAUUGUUUAAGCCCAUACAAAGAUUUCUUGAGCUUGCACACUUUAUUUCUAGUAAGAUUCAGAUCAAGACCCUGGGGAACUUCCAUAAACACUUCUUCUUCAAGAUCGCCAUUGAGAAAUGCAUUUUUUAUAUCUAGUUGGUAUAAGUACCAAUCUAGAUUUACUGCUAAGGAGAGCAAGAUUCUAAUGGUGUUGAGCUUCGCAACCGGAGCAAAGGUUUCAAGAUAAUCAAUCCCAUAUGACUGUGUGAACCCUUUAGCUACAAGACGAGCUUUGAGCCUCUCAACACUUCCAUCUGCCUUGUAUUUAACAGUAAAAAUCCACUUACAUCCAACUGGUCGUUUCCCUGCAGGAAGAUUUGUUAUAACCCAUGUAUCAUUUUUCUCAAGAGCAUUUAUUUCUUCAUGAACAGCUCUCUUCCACUCAGGAUGACCGAGAGCCUCUUGUAUAUUGUUGGGAACAUGUAGAUUAUCUAAAGAAGAAACAAAGGCUCGGUAUGAUGGGGACAAACCAUCAUAUGAGACAUAUUUGGCAAUUGGAUGAGUGGUGCAACUUCGAACCCCCUUUCUUUCUGCAAUUGAUUUAUUAGAAUCAUCCACACUUGGAACCAUGAACUCAACCGAGGCAAGACUAUCCAUACCUGUGUUGUCUUCAUAAGAGCUUGGAUUUGGUUCAGUUUCUUGGACAUGUGGCUGAGUUCUGUGCUCUAUCUGCUCUCCAGUUCUUCUCCUCCUAUAAACAUUAAGAUUAUCAACAGCAAGCUGUGGAAGAGGUGAGAUUAGAGGUUGUAGUUGAUGAGCUGAUGGAUGACGGGGUGACUCGGCUGGUUGUGGUUGGGAGGACUCAGAUGACUCAAAAGGUUGUGAAGAUGUUGGGAGGAUUGCUGAUUGUGGCUGUUGGAUAGAUUGAUCAUGUGUGGUGGUUGAGUUAUGAGGGUUUUCAUGAGGGGUUUCCAGCCAAGAUUGCCAAGAAGAUUCCCAAGGCUGAUGUUCGCUCAUACUCUCUCCCUGAACAACAGUUUUGGAAUAGAAAGGCAGGUUUUCAACAAAUGUUACAUCUCUGGAAAUGUAUAUUUUUCUGGUAUGAGGAGAAUAGCAUUUGUAUCCUUUUUUAUGUGGAGAAUAGCCUAAAAAUAUACACUUGAGAGAUCGGGGAUCAAGUUUAGUCCUGUGUUGAGAGUGAACAUGGACAUAUGCUGUGCAACCGAAUAUUUUUUGUGGUAAAUCUGCUGAAACAAUCCUAGUGUGUGGAAAGAAAUUGAGAAGAACUUUUCUUGGGCAAUGAAACCCCAAGACUCUAGAAGGCAUUCGGUUGAUUAAGUAGGCUGUAGUGAGAACAGCUUCACCCCAGAAAAAAUUAGGAACAUGAGAUGAGAACAAAAGACAGCGAGCCACUUCAAGAAGGUGUCUGUUUUUGCGUUCAGCGACCCCAUUUUGUUGUGGGGUGUCAACACAAGAACUGAUGUGAAGAAUGCCUUGAUGGAGAAGAUAUGAGCUGAGGGAGUCUUUGAAAUAUUCCUUGGCAUUGUCGGUUUUAAGGACUUGGAUUUUGGUAUUGAAUUGGGUUUGAAUCAUGGCGUUAAAGUUUUGGAAGAUUUGACUAACUUCGGAUUUGUUUUUCAUGAGAAACACCCAAGUGAGACGAGUAUGAUCAUCCACAAAUGACAAAAACCAGCGAGCCCCAGAAACAUUUUUAAUUCUUGAGGGACCCCACACAUCAUUGUGAAUUAAAGCAAAUGGACGAGAAGGCUUAUACUUAACGCUUGAAUAAACAUUUCGAGUAUGUUUUGCAAAUUGACAAAUUUCACAAUGAAAUGAUAAAGGGUUUUUAUUGAUGAAUAGAUUGGGAAAAAUUUUUGCGAGAUACAUGAAACUAGGAUGACCUAAUCGAUAGUGUAACAGAACAAUUUCACUAUCGUUAUUGACAUUUGGACUAACAAUAGAAUGAGGAUAACUAGUUGACAGACUAUUGGACUUGGCACAGUUUGCUCUCGAAUCUUGUAUGAAGGAGGAUUGAUCGCUUUUGAGUAGAUAGAGUCCAGAACAUAGCUCAGCACUGCCAAUCGUCUUCGCGAAUCCAAGUCCUGAAAAACACACAUAUUUGGAUAGAAUUUAGUUACACAAUUCUGAUCACGAGUGAAUUUACUGAUUGAAAGUAAAUUGCAAGCCAAAUUAGGCACAUAAAGUACAGAAUUAAGGUGUAACUCCUUAGUGAGUCUGAUGGAACCUGUCCCUGCUAUAUUGUGUGAGAGCCAUCUGCGAUCCGGACUGAAGUGCUGUUGAUGCUAGCUUUAUAAUCCUGCAACAUUGAGGCAUCUCCAGUCAUGUGAUCAGAAGCACCAGUGUCAAUUAUCCAGGGUUUGCUUGCUCCAUUAGUGGCUGCAAAUGCUGAAUGAGUCUCUUUCUAAGCCACUAGACUUGUCCCUGCAUUGGAGUUCAAAGUGGCUUGAUCGAAAAGCUUUUGAAGAAUCUCCAUUUGCUCCUUGCUGAAUGGAUUUGGCUCGGGUAGGGCCUGAUUGUCCGUGGUGGAUGCUGCAUGAGCACGAGAUUCACGGUCACCUUUGGAACGAGGUUUCCAAUCAGCAGGUUUGCCAUAAAUUUUCCAGCAACUCUCCUUAUAGUGGCCUGCCUUACGACAGUGAUCGCACCAUGGUCUUUCUUUCUUUGUACGAUUUUCACUAACCCCUACAGAGUUGGAUGCACGGGCAACAAGUGCAGAGGCGCCCAGUGUUGGUUCUGAUGACCCCAUCAUCACCUUUUUCCUACUUUCUUCAUGCCUAACUUCAGAAAAGGCUUCACGAGGGCGCGGUAGAGGCUUUGUCCCGAGUACACGGCUCCUAACCUGAUCAAGAUCUUUAUUGAGUCCGAGGAGAAAUUUAAACGUUCUCUUCUGUUCCACAAUCUUCUUGUACAAGGUUGUAUCGUCGGUGCACUUCCAAGGGUAUGUUUCAAAUAGAUCAAGGUGUUGCCAAUGCCUAGUCAGAGUAUUAAAGUAUUGAGUGACAGAUUGUUCUCCUUGGCGGAAGUCAUGGAGGAUGGUUUCAAUCUGGAAUAACUCUGAUGUGUUCUCAGAGCUAGAAUAGGUUUCCUUUGCAGCAUCCCAUAUGUCAUUUGCAGUCCCAAACAGAAGAAAAUUCUCACCAAUAUCAUUGUUCAUGGAAUUGAUAAGCCAUGACAUGAUCAUGUUGUUCUCUGACUNNNNNNNNNNNNNNNNNNNNNNNNNNNNNNNNNNNNNNNNNNNNNNNNNNNNNNNNNNNNNNNNNNNNNNNNNNNNNNNNNNNNNNNNNNNNNNNNNNNNNNNNNNNNNNNNNNNNNNNNNNNNNNNNNNNNNNNNNNNNNNNNNNNNNNNNNNNNNNNNNNNNNNNNNNNNNNNNNNNNNNNNNNNNNNNNNNNNNNNNNNCACGUAACAGAGGUUGAUGAGGAAGCCAUCCCGUAUUUUGCCACAGAGAAUACAACUGAUGGGAGAGGAAGGAAGGUAGAUUGUUCAAUUUAUGAGAGAAGAAGGAAAUGGCGGCUGAUAGGAGAACUAGGGUUUAGAGCCAGGCUCUGAUACCAUGAAGAAAAAUGUGAAUUGGUUCCUCUUUUUCUUACUUUCCAGAACAGUAUGUACAGGGAAUAUAUACAGCAAAAUAGGAGAGAAAAUAGGAGACUACAUCUAUCCUUUCCUAAAUAAUAGGAAACAAAAUCUGGAAAGAAUCCUAAUGAAUCUUCCUAUUAUAAUUUAACUUAUUCCGAAAAUAGCCUAGAUUACAAAUAAAUCAUAACUUUGAAUCUUUAUUUUCAACAGUAACUAUUCUUUUCUUUUUAUUUUUCCUUUUCUGAAAGAAACUUAGUUUUGUAUUGUUUGGCAAGCUAGAAAAUGAAAGAAAAUAAAAGAAAGCGCUGUAAAGAAGUUUGUAGAACCUUUAUUACUCUAGCAUUACAACUGAAUGAAUACAGACUGAUAUUUCUAUUAAGCUACAAUUUUCUCAACACACACACAAGUUUGUUACAUCACAUAACCAUUUGCUGCAUAACUAAUUUGACACAUCAGCUCAACCAGCUAACUAACUUUGCCAGGUCAAGCCUAGUGAGUUGAUCUGCUAAAGUCAGCUACACAGCAACAUCAUGCUCUGCUCCAACUUCAUUCAAUUCACUAACAUCCCCCCUCAAGCUGAAAUGUUUAGGAUGAACAUUCAGCUUGCUUCUUAAGUAACUAAACUGUUUGAGAGUAAGCCUUAGUCAACACAUCUGCUGUUUGAUCUUGACUGGGCACAAAACAUACUUCAAUCUCUUUUGCAGUAACUUUAUCUCGAAUAAAAUGUAUAUCCAAUUCGACAUGCUUAGUUUUAGCAUGAUAGACUGGAUUGUAAGCUAAAGCAAUUGCUUCUUGAUUAUCACACCACAUCAUAGGAGUAGAGCUCAAUUUGAUGUUAAGUUCACCAAGUAAAGAUUGUAUCCAGGGAACCUCUGAAGCAGCAUGAGCAAGAGAUCUAUACUCAGCCUCUGUGCUGGACCUGGAAACAACAACUUGUUUCUUUGAUGACCAUGAGACUAGAUUAGGGCCUAGGUAAACAGCAAAGCCAGCCACUGACUUCUUAUCAUCACGAUCACAAGCCCAAUCAGAAUUUGAAAAACAAUGUAGUUGCAAAGUUCCUUUGUUAUUAAAUUGCAGCCCAAGAUGUAUAGUGCCUUUUAAGUACCUCAAUAACCUUUUGCAUGUUUCCCAAUGUUGUGUUCUAGGACUUGAAAUGAAUUGACUUAGGUUGUUUACAGAGAGAGCAAUGUCAGGUCUGGUAAGAGUAACAUAUUGAAGAGCUCCUAUAACACUCCUAUAUUGAGAAACAUUAUCAAUUAGCUCUCCUGAUUCUUUUGUGAGAUAAUAACCAGUAGACAUUGGAGUAGGCACAGGACUGCAAUCUGUCAUGCCAUGUUUAUCCAGAAUGUCAGUAAUAUACUUUGCUUGUGUCAAGGAAACCCCUUGUGAAGACUUGCUGACUUCAAUCCCCAGAAAAUAGCUAAGUUCCCCCAUGUCUUUUAAAGCAAAGGCUUGAUUCAUAAUCUUAAUAACUUGCUGAAUUAGUGUUGGACUGGAACUAGUGAUGAUAAUAUCAUCAACAUAGACCGAAACAAGAGUUAGAUGACCACUGUUCCAGGCAUGAAACAGAGAGUUAUCAGACCUUGAAUGCUAGAAAUGCCGUUUAGAGAUCAUUGCAUCCUUGAAUCUAUCAAACCAGGCUCUAGGUGCCUGUUUUAAGCCAUACAAAGCUUUAUUCAGCUUGCAGAUAUGAUUAGGUUUAGUUGAGUCAACAAAACCUUCAGGUUGAGCCAUGUACACCUCUUCAAUUAAAAUGCCAUUUAGAAAGGCAUUAUUAACAUCUACUUGCCUAAUCACCCAUUGAUUCAAUACUGCUAAGCUAAGAAUAACUCUAACAGUUGAAGCUUUAACUACUGGACUAAAAGUUUCUGUAUGGUCAAUCCCAUGUGUCUGAUGAAACCCCUUUGCAACAAGCCUGACUUUAUAUCUUGAAACUGAACCAUCUGAGUUAUACUUUAUUCGAAACACCCAUUUGCUGCCAACUAUCUUCACUGGAGUAGCAUGUAAAACUAAAUCCCAGGUGUGAUUAGUUUUAAGUGCUAGAUACUUUUCUUGCAUAGCCUUAUACCACAUAGGAUCAGAAAGUGCUUGGGAAACAGAAGUUGGUUCUGAUUUCUGGGCUAAUAAAGCUGACAAAUAAAUUUUUGGCUUGAAAAUACCUGCUUUUGACCUGGUUAUCAUUGGAUGACCAGUUGAUGCAGGUUGUGGCAAUGUAUGUGGAGGUGAAUUAUGUGGUAGUGAAGAAGAAGAAGCUGAGUUGGAAUUAUCAGAAAAAUAAAGUGGAGUAGAAUUUGGUGAGGGAGUAGGAGCAUCUGAAUGAUGAACAUUUUGAUGGUGUUCUGAUGAUGCUGCUAAAGGUGCUUGUAACUGAGUAAUAGAAGGAACAGAGGAAUUGAAAGAAGACUUAUAAUUUUUUGUUGACUAACAACUUGAAGAGAGUGAAGAAAAAUCUGCUCCAGACUCAUAAGGAAAAGAAUUUUCAUCAAAGGUGACAUGAUUUGAAAUGUAAACCCUCUUAGAAGAGUGAAGACACUGAUAUCCCUUGUGUUGUGAAUUGUAGCCAAUGAAUAUACAUCUGGCAGUUCUGAAAUCAAACUUAUGUCUAUUGUAUGGUCUGAGUGUUGGAUAACAAGCACAACCGAAGGUUUUAAGUGUUGAAUAAUCUGGUUGAUGAUGAAAUAACUUUUGGAAAGGAGAAAUGUUGUUUAGAAUUGGAGUUGGAAGUCUGUUUAUCAAAUAGACAGCUGUGUGGAAUGCAUUCCACCAAAAUUUGAGUGGUAAAUGUGCUUGAGCUAAUAAGGUCAGACCUACAUCAACUAUGUGUCUAUGUUUCCUCUCAAUUCUUCCAUUUUGAUGAUGAAUAUGUGGGCAAGGGUGUCUAAAAUGGAUACCAGAAGCAGUGAGUAAUGAGGAAAAUGUUCUGAACUCUUCUCCCCAAUCAGUUUGGACAGUUUUGAUUUGAAGUUGAAGAUGCUUUUCAAUAAAAAUUUUGAAAUUGGUAAACACUUCAAGAGCAUCAGAUUUGGCUGACAAUGGAAAUAUCCAGGUAAAUCUACUAUAAUCAUCUAAGAUUGAUAAGUAGUAAUUAUAUCCUUGGGUAGAACAGACAUGAGAAGGACCCUGAUGGCUGUCGAAGCCAACAAAAAUAAAUUCCUACUCUAAAUAAAUUGUGUAUAGUGAUUGAGCAGGGUCGUGUCCACAGAGAUCGAUAAUUAUUUAAAUCCUUUUGAAACGUAAAACGUAAAAUGGGGGAAUUGUUGACAAUAAUAAAAAUCAAAUUAAAAAUAACAAGAAUGCAAAUUAAAGUUGUAAUUUAAAUUGGAGAAAGCUCUGGUUGAAGGAAUUAACUCAGCUUGAUUCGACUACUGAUCAUUGAUUCAAAUAUAGAUUAUUAUUACUCAUGAAUAGACCGGUUAUAGCUACUGAGACCCUCUAAUAGCCAAUCUCUCCUUAACUAGUCGAUAACCAAGGUACGACCGUUGGUUAUUUCCCUAAUCAAUAGACAACCCUAGAUACGAUCAUAGAAUUUAAUCAAUUGACAGCCUGAAAAACCAGAGAGACCCAAAUCCUAAUCAACACAUAUGAUGAUUCAUUUAAAUUAGAUUGUUUAUUCUCACAACACAACUCUCUGCUAUGUUAUUAGUCACAAGCAUUAAAUUCUUCAUACGAUGAAUCCUUUAAUUGACAAUAGAUUAAGUUGAUAAUUAAAUAGUGGCCAAUUACCUAAUUAACAAACAUAAUCAUGAAAAUAAUUCAGAGAAUAAACAAAUACCCAAAAAGUAAUAAAACAAUUAAAGCACAAGAAAGAUCUCACAGUAGUGAUGAAUCAAAGCUUCAUUAACCUUCAACCAGAAAAAUGGGUUUAGUUUCUCAUAGAGAGAAGAGAAAAAUUAGAUCUAGGGUUUCUUUUUCUCCAAUCCAAAAUUCCCCCCUUUCACAAUAGAUUCCUCCCUUAAAUACUCUCUCUCUCUUCUCCUCUAGAAUUCUAUUUAAAAUAAAAUACUAAUAUCUGAAAUAUUAAAUUCGUAAUUACAAAAAUAACCAAAAAUACAAAACACGUUAAACUAAAAACUGCAGGUCCGCAGUUGACAGCACGCGCCCACGCCUUAUCAAUAAAGUUCUUCUGCCGCUCAUAAUUUCUCCAAGAGAACAAUCAUCCUUAAAAAUCAUCUUGUAGCUCAAUUUUAUCACCAAUCAAUAGAAUUGCACCUACAAAAGUAAAACACAAGUAAAUCAUUAUUAUUAAGUGCAAAACAUCGAUAUUAAGGGAAGUAAACAAUGCAAAACUAGUGCAUAAAUUGCACUCUAACAAAUUCCCCCACACCAAGAUGAUGCUUGUCCUCAAGCAUAUAACUCAAGAUUAAUCCCAAAUCUCCACUCAAUUCUCAUCUCAACUCAUCCAAAAAUAGAAAUUAAGUCGAUCAACAUUCGAGAGACAAGGAUUUUAAAGCAUAGAAUCUCAUAAGAUAGAAUAAGAACAUUCAACCACCAAGAAGAUCCAUUCAAAAUUCAAGUGCAACAAGAUGUAAUAGCCCUCUCAAUAACUUCACUCCAUGCACUCAAAGUGUUUAGGGUGUCAUUUAUCCACUCAAAUCAAAUCAAAGAAUGCUAUUACCAUAAGCUUGCUCAUAUAUCACAUCUCAAUCCACAAAACAUGAAUAAAAUGCAAAAAUCUAAGGGUCUUAAAAGGAUUGUAAUGGGGUUAAAUGGGUUAAAUGAAAAAGAAAGGUUUACGAAAGAAAAAGAGAUCAAAAUGAGAAGAAUGAACUCAUUGAAUGAACUUAUGAUAUCAAAAUGCUUAUUUCUACUCAAGUCACCAAGAAUGUAAACAUUUUUUUUUUCGAUUUUUCUUUUUCUUUUUUUUUCUUUUUCCUUUUCUUUUUCUUUUUUUUUUUCAUUUUUUCAUUUUUUUUUGUUUUUUGUUUUUUGUUUUUUUCGAAUCAAACAAAAGAAACGAACCUUGCACAAUUUAAUUCAAGCAUAAUGCUUGUUGAUCUAAUUGAGAAACUUCAAUACAAGGUAGAAAAAGCAACAAAAUAUAUCCACACAAUGAGUCCAAAAAUCUCCUUAAAUUGAGGCUCAAAAAGAAGAAAAAUGGUUAAGUAGACGGAGAGAAUUAGAUGGGUAAUGGUUAAGGCUCAAACAAAGGUAGCAAAUAAAGGUCUUCGGGUAGAGAAAAAGGAAAAUGCGAGAAUAGAAAAAUGGUAAAUGGUUUGCCCUUAUCAUUUUAAUGCCUAAAAUCCCGUAAUGUGGCUUCAAUAUGCAUAACAAAGCAAAUUCUAGAAUAAACAAACUAGGAUUGAUAUUCACAUAACAAAAAUAAUUAGAGCAAAGUGGUUGCUCAUAGGCUCAAAUCCUCACAAAGUUGGUAAAUUUGCCAUCAAAUCAUGUACACUCUUCAAAUGAAUCAACCAUCAAUAGUGGUGUAGAAUGAGAAGAAGGUAUGAGUGAUAUAUAAAAGAAAAGGUAAAAAUUAUAAGAAGUGAGAAAGAUGUAUGUAGUAAUAUGAAAAGUGAAAGAUAAAAUGUGAGUGAUGAAAGAGUAUGGUAAAAUAAAAAUAGAUAUGAAUAGUUUGAGAUAGAUGGGAAAAAAGUAGUGAGAAAGAAAAGAAAAGAAAAUUAAUAAUAUAUGAAGCAUACUAACUCCAAAAUCAUUUAAGGAUGAGUAGAGUGAAAAUAGAUGAGUAGAGUGAAAAUAAUAAUUCCAGACAUCAAUAAUGCAAAAAUCCCUCCCCCACACCAAGAACUUACAUUGUCCCCAAUGUAAGAUAAUCAAAGCUCACAUAAAAAUUAAAGCGUAAGGAUAAAAGAUUAAGGGCAAAAAAAAAAACUUCCCUGAAUUGUGAGCUUUGAUCCACAUAACGUCUAUGGGCUUGGCGGAAAUGGUGGGGUAAAUCCCACACUCUCGAAGUAUGCGGCCAAAUUCUGCUCCAUCUUGUUCAGCUUGUGCUCCAUUUUCUCUAACUGAAUACUCAAAGGUGGUGCGGAUGUAGAAGGAAUAGUUGGCGGGGCAGCAGUGUCGUCGUCAAACUCGUCAUCAGAGGUAGCACCACUCCUAGCAUAAAGCUUCUUCGGAAGUUGAGUGGGUCCUGGUUCAGUAAACUGAAAUCUCCCCUCCUUGAAUUCAACCACACCUGUUCUUUCAAACACAGACAUAUCCAAAAAUUCCUUUUUGCAAGCAGGAUGCAAAUCAUUAUUGUCGGGAUCAAGAACACAUAGGUUUAUAGCUAACAGAGUAAUGUAUGGACCAAGAAAUAAAGUCCUAUACCGUUUAAGCACAUUUUGAAAUUGAUCCGCUAACCAAAAACCUAAAUUAGGCCUCACAUCAUUUAACAUGCACCAGAUAAAAUAAAAUUCAGUUUUAGAGAAAAUUCCCGAGUGAUCUUUCUUGCCUAAAAAAUUAUAUGCUAAGAAUCGAUGCACACAUUUCAAAACAGGAUCACGUAAGAAAGAACUCUUUGAUUUACUCGGGUCAUAGGCAUUGUGAUCAACAGAUAAAUUACGCCAAAGACCAUAAGGCUCAAAAUUUUCGCUAAAGUCACAAGUUGUUCCUAAAUAUGCAUCACUAGAAGAAUAAUCAUCAUCAAUGAAUCCUAAAGCUAGGUUAAAAUCCGUGAUAGAGUGUGAAAAAUUUCGUCUCAUUAACCUAAACUUAAUGACAUUCGGGGUAUGCAAAGUAAAAUCAUUCGGCAUAGUAAAUUGAAAAGUAGCAUAAAACUCCCUAAUCAACUCAACAUAACCCAAACAAUCAACAUCAACAAAUUUACGCAACCCAAUCUUAUCUAUCAAAGAAUCAAAAUUAUCCUUAACAUUCAAUUUUUCAAGAGUCGGGUAAUGAAUAUACUUAGCUGGAAGUAUUUUGCAAGUGGAAAUAUCUUUGUACCUCUCUUUCUCUUGUUGAGUCGCGAACGCGAGGCACCCUCCGAGAUUGGAUUCCGCAAGUGGCAAAACACUCAUGCCUUUUCCAUGCUUCGAUCUUUGUCUCACGGCUUUGCGUGAAUCUGAAAUUGUGUUCCAUGGAACCGUAGUGGGAGCGGCAAUCUUAGAUUUCUUUACGACGGGUUUCUUUUUCGAUGACUUGGAAGUAGAUGCUUUCCUCUUCGGCAUUGUUACAAUAAUUGCACUCACGGAUUUCGAUUUACCCGGCUGGAAUACAUGACGUAGGCUGGUUGCGUUGCGUUGCUGCUCGACUGGAGCUUGCUGUGCGGGUUGGAGCUGGUUGCGCACUGCUGGGCUGCGAGACACGGGAUGCUGGUGCUGCGCUCGCGGGGGCUUGCGUUGCGAGCUGGUGAUUCGCGUUGCUGGUUCGUGCUGCGUUGCGGGGCUGCUGGUGGGACUGAUGUUGCGCGUUGCGGCUGGGGCUGGAUCUACGCACUGCUGUGUGAUUCGCGAGAGCCGGUUCGUCUGCGUUGCUGUGCUGCACUGAGGUUGAUUCGCGUUGCUGCUGGUUGCGGUGCGCGAUGCUGCGCCCGGCGGCUGGGGCUGGUGGGGCUUGCUGCUGGAAAACGAUAAUCAACAGUAAUUUUUUUGAAUUAGGGAUUUGUGAACAGUGAUUUUCGAAUUUUUUUUUUUUUUUUUUUUAGUGAUGAAUCACUUUGAGACACUAAAAAUUUCAGAAGUACUUUUUUAAUAAGCACGUGGGCACGCCUUAUCAAAAAUUUUCUUCUGGCCAAAAUAAGCAAACACAUUAUUUUAAAAAAAAAUCUGAAUCAAAAUUAAAAGAAGAUAUAACAAAAACCAAAAUAAAUAAAUCAUUUGGGUUGCCUCCCAAAAAGCGCCUUUGUUUUAUGUCUUUGGCUAGACACGUUUAUGCAUCAAUCUCCAUAAUUGGGACUCUCGAGAGCCACAUCCUCCACAAUAUUCACCGAAAAACCUUCAUAAAAAGGUUUUAAGCGAUGACCAUUAACCUUAAAAACUUUGUCAGAGGUCGGACUCCGAAUCUCAACUGCACCAUGAGGAAAAACAUUAGUAACAAUAAAAGGUCCAACCCAGCAAGAACGUAAUUUACCCGGAAAAAGUUUAAGCUUAGAAUGAAAAAGAAGAACUUUUUGACCAACAGAGAACUCCUUUCUCAAAAUCAUUCUAUCAUGAAAUGUCUUCGUCUUUUCCUUGUAAAAAAUUUCCUGCGCUAUAGGGUUAAUAACAUCCACAGAAAAUACCGAAUGUUCCUCACUAGGAUAUUUCAUGGUAUCAUUCAUAUUGAAUCCUAUAACCUCUCCAUCAAACUCCAUAGUGAGAGUCCCUUUAUGUACAUCCAUUUUAGUCAUAGCAGUCUUAAGAAAAGGUCUUCCUAGCAAAAUUGGGACAGAAUUAGAGGAGUUAUCAUCUUCCAUAUCAAGUACAUAAAAAUCAGCAGGAAAAACCAACUCAUUAACUUGUACUAAGACAUCUUCUAAUACCCCAUCAGGAUAUGCAUUAGACCUAUCAGCUAGUUGAAUUAUCACGCCAGUUUCUUUUAAUGGACCAACAUUCAAAGAUGAAUAAAUGGAACGAGGCAUGACAUUAAUAGAAGCUCCUAGAUCUAACAUAGCCUUUUCAACUCUAACACUACCAAUUUUACAAGGGAUAGUAAACAUACCUGGAUCCUUGCACUUAGGAGGUAGUUUCUUUUGGAAAAUUGCUGAAACAUUCUCCCCCAUGUGAACUUUUUCAUCUCCUCUUAAUUUUCUUUUGGAGGUGCACAGUUCCUUAAGGACUUUAGCAUAUCGAGGUAUUUGUUUUAUAGCAUCUAAUAAAGGAAUAUUUACCUCAACCUUGCGAAAUGUCUCAAGGAUGUCUUUCUCUUGUUCUUCCUUCUUGGAUUUUGCAAACCGGCUUGGAAAAGGAGGAGGUAUCACAAUAGGUAGGGGUUUCGCUCCGGUGGGUUGUGCAUCUUGAGAUUGAGGCAUCAAUUCAUUCUUCUCAAGCUCAUCUUCUACAUGCUCUGUCACUUUCUUACUAGGCUCUUGCAACUCCUUCCCACUUCUAAGGAUGAUAGCACUAACGUUUUGCUUUGGAUUCACCUCAGAUUAUGAAGGCAAUCUUCCUAAUACUCGAGACUCCAGAUGGCUUACUGUAGUCGCCAAUUGACUCAUUUGGUUCUCCAAGUUCUGAAUGCUUGCUGUAGUUGCCUGCUGAAAUUGUUGAGUGUUAGUCGCAAGUGAUUUAACAAUUUCUUCAAGAGAUAUACCUGACUUGGAGUUUGACUGUGGAGGUGCUGGUUGUCUUGGUGGAUACUGUUGUGGGAAUCCUGACGGUUUAACUCCAUAGCUGAAGUUGGGAUGAUCCUUCCAUCCCAGAUUGUAUGUUUGUGCAUAAGGAUCAUACCUCCUCUGAGGCAUGCCUGGAAAUCCUCCAACUGCAUUGGCUUGUUCAACGAGUUCUUCUUGGAGUGUAGGACACAUAUAAGUUGAAUGACCCAUAUUGUAACAAAUGCCACAAGUCUUCACCUGUUGCACAUUACCUACAACAAACUUUUCCACAAGAGAAGUAAGUUUAUCUAAACGUUGUUCAACAAAAGAAAUAUUUACCUCAUUCACCUUCCUUGAAGUGGGAUCUUGCCUGCUACUAAAUUGUUGUGCAUUGGCAGCCAUAUUUGAGAUCAACUCCCUUGCUUGAGUAGGGGUUUUGUUCACCAACACACCUCCACUAGCAGCAUCUAUCAUACUUCUAUCCAUUAAUGAUAGUCCUUCGUAAAAAUAUUAAAUAAGAAGUUGAUCAGAAAUCUGAUGCUAAGGACAGCUGGCACACAAUUGUUUGAAUCGCUCCCAAUACUCAUACAAAGUCUCCCCAGGAAGUUGUCUGAUCCCACAAAUAUCUUUUCUGAUGUUGGCAGCUCUUGAAGUAGGAAAGUACUUCUCAAGGAACUGCUUUUUCAAACCAUUCCACGUUGUAAUUGAUCCAGGAGGCAAGUAGUACAACCAAUCUUUAGCUAGCCCAUCUACAGAGAAUGGAAAAGCACGCAACUUAAUCUGCUCUUCAGUCACGCCUUGUGGCCUCAUACUUGAGCACACAACAUGAAACUCCUUGAGAUGUUUAUGAGGAUCUUCACCUGCAAAACCAUGAAACUUGGGUAAUAAAUGAAUAAGCCCAGACUUUAAUUCAAAAUUUACCUCCAAGUCUACAUAUUGAAUGCAGAGUGGUUGUUGAUUCAAGUCUGGUUCAGCUAACUCUCUAAGAGUUCUUUCUACAGGUGCAGGUCUAUCCAUCACUUGUUCUUCUGAAUCGCUAGAUGAUUCAACUAAAUCAGGCACUGUAUCUGUUUCAGAAAGCAAAGGCGACGAGGAUCGUUGCUUAGCUCGCUUUGUCUGCUGUCUCAGUUGGCGAGCUGUCUUCUCAAUUUUAGGAUCAAACGAAAGUGUACCUGUACGAGAAGAACGAACCAUACACCAAGUAAAACGUAAAAAAGAUUAAAUAAAUGACACCAAUCCCCGGCAAUGGCGCCAAAAUUUGAUGGGUGUCGAAGCCAACAAAAAUAAAUUCCUACUCUAAAUAAAUUGUGUAUAGUGAUUGAGCAGGGUCGUGUCCACAGAGAUCAGUAAUUAUUUAAAUCCUUUUGAAACGUAAAACGUAAAAUGGGGGAAUAGUUGACAAUAAUAAAAAUCAAAUUAAAAAUAACAAGAAUGCAAAUUAAAGUUGUAAUUUAAAUUGGAGAAAGCUCUGGUUGAAGGAAUUAACUCAGCUUGAUUCGACUACUGAUCAUUGAUUCAAAUAUAGAUUAUUAUUACUCAUGAAUAGACCGGUUAUAGCUACUGAGACCCUCUAAUAGCCAAUCUCUCCUUAACUAGUCGAUAACCAAGGUACGACCGUUAGUUAUUUCCCUAAUCAAUAGACAACCCUAGAUACGAUCAUAGAAUUUAAUCAAUUGACAGCCUGAAAAACCAGAGAGACCCAAAUCCUAAUCAACACAUAUGAUGAUUCAUUUAAAUUAGAUUGUUUAUUCUCACAACACAACUCUCUGCUAUGUUAUUAGUCACAAGCAUUAAAUUCUUCAUACGAUGAAUCCUUUAAUUGACAAUAGAUUAAGUUGAUAAUUAAAUAGUGGCCAAUUACCUAAUUAACAAACAUAAUCAUGAAAAUAAUUCAGAGAAUAAACAAAUACCCAAAAAGUAAUAAAACAAUUAAAGCACAAGAAAGAUCUCACAGUAGUGAUGAAUCAAAGCUUCAUUAACCUUCAACCAGAAAAAUGGGUUUAGUUCCUAAUAGAGAGAAGAGAAAAAUUAGAUCUAGGGUUUCUUUUUCUCCAAUCCAAAAUUCCCCCCUUUCACAAUAGAUUCCUCCCUUAAAUACUCUCUCUCUUCUCCUCUAGAAUUCUAUUUAAAAUAAAAUACUAAUAUCUGAAAUAUUAAAUUCGUAAUUACAAAAAUAACCAAAAAUACAAAACACGUUAAACUAAAAACUGCAGGUCCGCAGUUGACAGCACACACCCACGCCUUAUCAAUAAAGUUCUUCUGCCACUCAUAAUUUCUCCAAGAGAACAAUCAUCCUUAAAAAUCAUCUUGUAGCUCAAUUUUAUCACCAAUCAAUAGAAUUGCACUUACAAAAGUAAAUCAUUAUUAUUAAGUGCAAAACAUCGAUAUUAAGGGAAGUAAACAAUGCAAAACUAGUGCAUAAAUUGCACUCUAACAGACCCCAAAGAUCUGCAUAUAUCACUUGUAAGGGUGCUGAAGUUUUUGUUUCAACUGAAUCAAAAUGCAGCAUAUGAUUUUUCCCAUAUUGACAUGCUGAACAAAAUUUCAAGCUUUCAAUUUUAUUAUAAGCAGUAGAGUUGUUACAAGUUUUGAGUAUAGUUUUGAGAGUAUAAGAUGCUGGGUGUCCUAAUCUUCUAUGAAGAAGAUUUACAUCAAUAGAACUCUUUGUAACAACUGACAGACAUGGCUUUUUAUUCAAUUCAUAAGAACUAACAGCAGUGAGCUGAUCAGAAUUGAAAACAGGAGAACAAGCAAAGAGAGUGAAUUUUAUUUUGACCAACUGAAUUGAGAAAGACUGAAUGAGCAGCAACAUGUGAAGAGACUCUAUACAAGUCACCUUUAGCAACACCUUCAAGUAAAAUUUUCCUUGUGUUCCUAGCCUUUAUAAAAAACAAAUCACCAAGAAAUUCCAACAGUAACUGGAUUGUCAGCCAAUAAUUUUGAAAUGCUAAGCAAAUUCUUAGUAAUAAAAGGGACAUGAAGAACAUGGUUUUUAAAGGUUUAGAAGUUGAAGUAUUUAGCACAACUGAUCCUACAUGUGUAAUAGCUAAUGCAUUUCCAUCUCCAACAAACAAUUUUUCAGUACUAGUAUAAAUUUGUGAAUCCAGAAGUUUACCUAGAUCAUUUGUAAUGUGAUUUGUUGCUCCACUAUCAAUAUACCAUGAAGGAUCUUCAAUGUGUUCUGGUGGAAGUGAAGAAGGCAUAGCUGAGGAAGAUGAAGCACUUGACUGUCCAGGAUUAUUAUUUCCUUGACCAGAAACAAAAGUAGAUGGUCUAGGGGUGAAUGAGUAAUAAGCAGAAGGAUUACUAUCUGGAUACACCAUAUUUCCUUGAUAGCCAAAACCAGCAUUUAAACCAAAACCUCCAAAACCUCUGCCACCAUUACCAUUAAAAGCUCUUCCUCUACCAUAUUGCCCUUGAUUAAAACCUCUGCCACCAUUCAUAUUACCUCUGCCAUAGUUUCUCUGUGGAACAAAAGAUGAAUUGUACCUAUUUUUGCAUCUAUUGGCUGCAUGACCAGGUAUGAAGCAGAUUUGACAAACAGUUUCAGAGGAAUUACCACCAUUAUUAAACUGACCAUAUCCAUAUCCAUUAAAACCUCCAUACCUAGAAUUAUUUCCAUAAUUUUUUUGAAAAUUGCCAUUAUUCUUUCCAGCAUAUGAGUUCUUCUGAGCAAUAUUUGCUGUCAUAUUGUGCAUCACAUCACCAGCAAUUUUUCCUUUCUUUUGUUCAACUCUAUUUUCAUGAUUCAAUAGCAAAGGAUAUAGUUCAUCUAAUGUUAUCUUCUCACCUCGAGCUAAAACACCUGUGACUAAAGAUUCAUAAUCUGAUGAAUCAAGACCAGUUAAUACAUGAAUCACAAGAUCACUUAACUCAACAGGUUUUCCAGCUAGAGCUAAAGUAUCAGCUAUACGUUUUACUUUUGCAAAGUAAUCAGACAUAUGCAUUGCACCUUUCUUAAUAGUUUGAAUCUGCAUUCUAAGUGUUUGAAUUCUAGCUUGUGAUUAAGAAAUAAACAUACUAGUAAGAGUCUUCCAAAGCUGUUUUGAAGUUGUGGAGUCAAUCACAGUAGCAAGUAGAUUUUGCUGUAUCGACGACAUCAUCUAACUCAACAGAAGUUGAUCAGUCUUCAUCCAAGCUAUGAACUCUGGAUUAAUAGAUUUGGAUUCAGAUUCAGUAAAAAUUUCAGCUCCAUUGUUGUUUCCAAAAGAAAGAAACUACUCAGGACAUUCUUGAUCACCAUUGAUAAACCCUUCCAGACCGUUUCCUUUGAUCGAUGCUAAAAUUUGUGCCCGCCAUAAAAUGAAGUUGUUUUGGUCUAGCUUUGCAGGCGUAACAAAACUAAAAGAGUUGUUAUUUUGAACUGUAUUCGCCAUUUAUGGCUCUAAUACCAUGAAAGAAACUUAGUUUUGCAUUGUUUGGCAAGCUAGAAAAUGAAGAAAAUAAAAGAAAGCUCUGUAAAGAAGUUUGUAGAACCUUUAUUACUUUAGCAUUACAACUGAAUGAAUACAGACUGAUAUUUAUAUUAAGCUACAAUUUGCUCAACACACACACGAGUUUGUUACAUCACAUAACCAUUUGCUGCAUAACUAAUUUGACACAUCAGCUCAACCAGCUAAUUAACUUUGCCAGGUCAGCUUAGUGAGUUGAUCUGCUAAAUUCAGCUACACAGCAACAUCAUGCUCUGCUCUAGCUUCAUUCAAUUCACUAGCAUUUUCCCUUGAUACAUUAGGAGAAAAGACUGCCUGUGAGAUACAACAAUGUAAAUAACUUCUCAUGGUUCAUUGAAUCUAUAACGCACUGAGCCCUAUUCUAAAAUAUGUAGGUUGCUUCUGAAAAAGGGCUUUUCUCACUGAUCUUUAAUCUUCAAGAAAGUUUGUUUCAUUUCAGAAGGUAUAAGUUUCAAACUUAUUGUAUUGGGAGGUUGUAUAGUUGUAACCUAAGCAUCUGCAGGUUCCUGGUUCAACACAUUAUAGUAUGGUAUUUUAUUUUGUCACAAGGCAAUUGGUUACGGGAUCACUUUUGCAACGGUUUGUUGAUGGCGAUGAUGAAUUUCGCAAUAGUAGGUUGAAACUUAUUCCAUCUGUUCCUAAGGUAUCCAUCUUGGCCUUCAUGUAGUAGGACUAUAUUAACGUAUACUUACCCUUUACUGCAUGGUACACUUCAAUUUGUACAAAGAAGGCAUGCAUUUAGGUGUGAAUGUAUUGAUGGGUUGUACCUUCAAACUUUAUCUCCUUUUUACCCUCUUGAAUUUGUUUUGCACUUGUUCUUGAUUUUCAGCACUGAAUCAUGCAGGGGUCAUGGAUAGUGCGCCAGAGUGUUGGAAGCACCCCUUGUUUAUUGGGGAAGGCAGUUGAUUGUAACUAUAUUCGCGGUCCCAAGUACUUAGAAGUAAAUGCUCUUGGAAUUUCUAUAGUACAUGAGAUGUUCCCCUUUCAAAUAGCGUCCAAUACCUUUAACAUGGUUUAACAUUGUUCAUCUUUCUGUAGAUUGAUGUUGACAUCGAUUCUUCUACUGUUGCUAAUGGAGUUUUGGGCCUUGUAAUUGGUGUAAUUACGACAUUGGUGGUUGAGAUGGCUUUCCUUGUACAGGUAUGUAUGAUUGUUUUUUUCCCCCACUGCUAAAUGGACACAAGGGAAAAGACAUGAUUUUGAGAUAUUGCACUGCAACUUGCAUUUUUGCAUACUUGAAUGUUCUCAGAAUGAUAUAAUGCUUCUGUGUGUGUCUUCUUUAUCUUGCUCUUCUGUAUGCAGGCAAAUACUACAGAUGAAUUACCGGAGCGGCUGAUUGGUGCUGUACGUGUUUCUCAUAGAGAACUCAAGUCUGCUGUUGUCCCAAAGCUGGAACCAGAGAUAUCAUGACUCUGGUUUCAUUUCAGCUCAACUGUGUUUUUUUUUUAAUUAAAAAAAUCAUUUGUUUUAGGUAUACAUACAUGUAUUUUGAUUCUAUUUUCAUUGUAAUUUCUCAUUUACUUUGAAUGAAAGUCAUUGGUGUUUUCGAAUGGGAAUUUUGCAUUAAAAAAUGAAGAAUAAUGAAUAGGAAAUUUCCUGAUUCUUUAGUUACUAUUUUUGGUAUGAGUGUAAUUAGUAGUAAAGUAGGUUUCUACUCGCAAACAAGUGAACUACUCGAUUCCCGAGUGGUAUCAACCAGUUUCCAACUUUUUAAUAUACACUAAUUGUUAUUGUUUAAUAGCUACUACUAUUAAAACUCAACAGCUAGCAAAAAUACUUAAAAAAAAUGAUUUUUCUUAUGAUGCUGUGAAAAAAAUUACGGGUGUACUUCUUUCCAUGAGAUCUAUAACAUGGUCUCGACUUCACGAAAUUCUUUUAAUUUAAAGCGUGCUGGUGUGAGGUCAGUUUAACUGAUUAAUUCUUUUUAACAGUGGUCGAGAUAAUUUUACUAUACUAAAAAAUAUUCUUAUUCUGAUAAUGCCACAAAUGUUAUGCUGUUUUCUUCAGAUAAUGAUCUUCCAUUAGGAGAGGUUAGAAAUCAAAUGCUUAAAAGACCAAUUGAACGAAUAAUACAGAAAUUUAGGCAGAAUCUAAUAGAAUAUUGCAUGAAACAUGAAACAUCAAUUCAAGUCCUUUCUUAAACGGAGAAUGCAUCAAACAAAAUCCAAAGUGUCUUGCAAGUCUGUAGCGUGAGCAAAAAAUUGUAAAUAUGUAGAACCAAAUUAUUCAAGUACAGAAGAACGAGCAAGCUAAAUCAUGUAUAAGAGAUUGGCCUGGUUCGGGAUAGCUUCUUCACUGUAUCUGAAGGGUUGGCUCAAUCUCUUCUUUAGAAUUCUGCAGAUUUUGUAAUUACUCGUGUAAGCAAGUAUACAUUGCCACCAUAAGAAUAAUGAAGCUAGAGUAAUGAUAUGACCACCACCUCUUGUGCACAAACAAUAUUGUAUAAACUAAUGCGACAUAAUAUGAUUGGUUAAACAAAAACAUUACAUGGCCCUCAUAAUUUAUUUAUUUAUUUAUUAUUAUUAUUAUAUAUUUUCAGUCAACCAAUCAUAUUAUAUCACAUUAGUUUCUAUAAAAUAAUUUGCUAAAUAGCACCAAAACUUAAUUGAUACUCACCAUUUCAUUGAACAAUUUUUUUAUGGUGUCAUUGAGGUUGCCUUCCCAACAUCGUUCAUCAUCAUCUUUUUCUUCUUUGGUGACGUUCACUUUGUUUAGCAUUGGUGUGUCUAAGAGUCCUUGAGAGAAGAUCUUCAUUUUUGGACACUGUCUCACAACUACUUGUUUCAAGGACGGGAAUUCAAGAGCGUAAUUACCUAAACAAAAGCUUGUUAGGCUUGGCAAACAAUCAAGUCUCAAGUACUCCAAUUCCUUGAAAACAUUGCAAUCUUUCGCUUCUUCUCCAACCUGCAAUUGUAUGAUUUGUUCUAUCAUUUUGCAAUCAACUAUCAUCAUUCUUUUGAGAUUCACUAGAUUUUUAGAUGCUGAGAGCGUCAACACAUUUAUCAAUCCGUGACACUUCGAUACUGCCAAAGCCUCAAGAUUUUCCAAAUGCCACGAAGGUGGUACUAAUUUUUGCAACUUACUACAUUCCGAUAUUUUUAGACUUUUCAAGUUUGCAAACACUUUGUUGGAUUCGGCAUUUUCCUUCCAGAGAUGGUGCACUUUGUGUAAUCCAGACAGCUCUAACCAUCUCAAUCGAGGGAAUGAAACCUGAAAAUCAACAAAAUUAAGUUGUAAAUGAAAAUAUGUAUCCAAUCUCUGCAGUCUUCCCCUGCAUAUUUUAUGGACAAGAUUAAUCACGACAUUUUAUAUUUUUUUUCCAAAUUAGAAUGCUUUGCAGUAGGAUCCCAAAUAUAAGUAUCAAAUCGAUUACCCUUUGAAACACAUAAAUGAAAUCUGAUACUAAAUCCAAUAUGAAUUAGCUAGGAAAACAGAGAUGUUACACACAUAAUUAAUAGAGUUCAUCACCUCGUGUUACCAGGCAUCCAAUUAAUUUAAGACAUUUUAAUAAUUCAUAUUAUAAAGUUAGUUGAUAGCGGAGGUUAUAUUGUUAAAUCAUAUAUAAAUUAAGACGACGUGCAAAAAGAGGAGUCAUUAAAUUCGAUUUGAUUCUAACGAAAUUACAUCUAUGCGAAUGAAAGUGAAGGGAAAUAAUAAUAAUAAUAAUAAUAAUCACCUUUUCAUCGAAGAGAGGUUGUACUUGAUGAGCCAGCAAGAAGUUCUCUUCUGAUGUUAAUUUUUGAGGUUCCUUAUUAUCCGCUGUCAUGUGCAGUACAGAGUUGGAUAUGAAUGUUUCUAUAUCUCGGCAAUUCUCAAUAGUUAGAUUUCUCAACAUAGGCAUUUCAAUUAUAUUCCCAGUGAAGUUGCAGAAUCUUUUGAGUUUUGGAAGAUCAGUGAGCCUCAGCCUGUAAAGCUUAGGAAACAGGGGGCUUAUAUGUUCUUUGUCAGCAUUUAGCUCCUCCAAAUGAAGCACCUCUUCUAUUGAAUCACAAUUCCUCUCUUCCAGCCAUACCAAAUUGUUCAAGCACCGUAGCAGAUUGGCAGGAAUAGCACUCGACAUAUUCGUGCAGUCAUCCACAGCCAGUUGUCGUAAAUUGUUGAAGAAGCUGACAGGCAGUGCUUGGCCAUGCCAUAUUUCUUUCAAACGUGGAAAAUGUGAGAGUUGCAAAUCCCAUAUGUCACGGAAUCCAAUCUGCACAAACAAAAACAAUUGCACUGGAUAUAUAUAAAUUUUUUUUUUGAAUCAACUUACAUGUUUUGUGUUUUAACUUCUAAAACUAUAUAUACAAGGCAGGUGUAUAUGUUCAAAUGUCCAAGUGCAAGGGAGAUGCAUAAGUAAUUUCGACGAAUCGAUUUAACACAUACCAUUUCUUCGUAACACUUUUGUAUAGUGGAAUUAAGGUUGCCUUCCCAAUGGCGCAAUUCACCCUCUCCCUGUUAAGAAUAGAAUUAGUUAGUUAAUGAGUAUGCUGACAUGGCAGCUGAGUCAGCUAAAGGUUGUUAUAGAGGUUGUUAGUAGUAAACUGUGCGUGUGUGCAAUGUGUGUAGAAUCUUCUAUGCACAUAUAAAAAGGCUUGUAAUUUCCAGAUUCAUUAGAUCAAUAAUAACAGAAUUCUCAGCUUACAGAAGUUUUCUUUCUUCCUAUUUUCUUAGUAACCAAACAACAUCACAGUUUCAUAUAAAACUUAAUACUUCCUUUUUACUCACAUGCACUUCGUGCAGCUUUGGUGUGGAUACGAUUCCCUGAGAAAAAGUCUUCAUGUUCGGGUAACAUGUCAUAGAAACUCGUUCCAAUGAUGGGAAUUCAAGAGUGUAAUCCUCCAAACAAAAGCUGGUAAGCCUUGGUAAAUGAUUUCAGGUAAUUUUUAAAUAUUCUAAAUUCAUUUAGAAUAUUUAAAUGAAUUUAGAAUAUUCACUAUUUAGUAUUAGGAAUGGAGAAAGAAUUUCAGGUAAUUUUUAAAUAUUCUAAAUUCAUUUUUCAUCUUGAUUCUAGUUUUUUAAAAAAAUUUAAUUUUCAAACAUGCGUAUUUUUAAAAUAACUAAACUAAAACGCUGUAUUUCCCUUUUUUUCCCGAUAUUCAUGCUUUUAAAAAUGGAAAACAUUUCUGGAAAACACUUCCCAACGCCAUCAACAUGGGACUGUUAUAGAUGAAUUAAGGAAAAGAGAAAUAUAUAGAUGAAUUUGUGAACCUAUAAGAUGAGUGACUAUCCUUUAAUUUUUGAAAAUUGUACUUAUUAAGAUAUGAGCAGAAACAAUUAAAUUGAAUUAUAUUAUGCUGUUGAAUCGUGAUUAAAAAAAUUAUAUUGUUGAUUCUAAUGCUGGCGAACCUAAAAACUGGACUUAAAAUGUAGAUUUGAGAGUGGUGGUUCGAAGUACAAUACUUGAAAUAAAUAAUCAGUGGCUGAAUAUCAUUUGUAAACAAAAAAUGGUUAAAAUAUUGUUGGAUGUAAUUUGAAAAAAAAAAAAAGAUUCGAAAUGAAUACAGCAACCUUACCAAUGGAGGAAAAAUAUUCUUUAGGUUAUCACACUCAAAUAUCUCUAAAUUCUUCAAUUUGCUGAAAGACUCCGAAGCAAGUUGGUGGUGCCAUAUUAUUCUCAAAUUAUUCAUCCAGCUAAUAUGUAAUACCUCCAACCUAGGAAGUCGUACCUGGCAGUUAAAGAUUAAAUAACUAAUUAAUCAAUUAAUUGCAUAAUCAAUUGAUAACUAAAUUAGAGGCAGAUAUUAACUAAACUUGAAGACUCAAAGAAAAGACAAAUUAAAUAUUGUGACUAAAAUUAAUUUUUUUUAUUAAAAAAAAAACCUUUUCGUCAAAGAGAGGAGGAGGUUGCAUUUCAGAAUGAUUGGUGUCUUCUGGUGAGCUCGUAGAGAUGAAUCUUAACAUAUUCCAGCAACUCUGAAUCUCGAGGUUUAGCAAAGAAGGGAAUUCAACAACUAAAUCUGAAUUAAUAUGUCCCGUAUUGGCAAAGCUUGUUAGUUUAUAAAGCCAAUAGAGCUCCAGGGAGUGUAGUUUAGGAAAAACCUUUAAUUCAAUCAACUUUCCUUCUUCUCUUUCUGACCACCCCGUGGUGUCGACUACCCCUUCCAUUGACUCACAAGAUCUUAUCUCAAGAUGCUGGAGUUGCAAAAGACUAUUAACCAUAGAAUAGGAAAACAGAUACUUCAUACGAUGACAACUGCUCACGUACAGCUUUGUUAAAUUUCGACAACAGUACAUUCCUUGAUUAUGAUCGGCCCAUAAUUUUUUCAUGUUUCUUAAUGACCUGAGAUCCAAUUCCUCUAAGCUCGGAAGAAUAACCUGCAAAGAAUACCCGUACAUUUUUGUUCCUUCAAGUACAACCGUCUAGUAUAAUAUUCUUUUGAUGAUCGAAGAUUAAUCGUGAUAAUAAAUUAAUCAAUUAAUUAUUGAACAGAAAAUUAUCACCUUUGGAGCAGGAUCAUCAUCAGCAGUGAUUUCGUUGAAUCCCAAAGAAGUUGUUGGUUUCUCCCUGUCGGGUCCUAUAAACAAACAAAAACAAUAUACAUAAUUAAUCUUUGUUUUUUUUUUCAAAAUAAUUGAGGCGAAGUCAAUUAUCCCACCGGUACUUAAUUUCAACACUUACCAACAAUCAUUUCCUGAUCAUCGCAAAAAGCCACUUCUACCUUUUGAAGCCGCAGUAGGUUUUUGGCUAUGGAGAAUGAGAAAAGAUGCUUCAAUUUGUGACAGAAUUUUACUUCUAUAAUCCUUAAGUUGCUGAAAGAUUGAUCUUCUGUGAGUUGGCUGUCACAUAUUGUCUCCAAAUUGAUCAAACGACGAAGAGACAAUGACUCCAGCAAGGGGAAGACUUUGCGACGAACCCGUCCAACUGAACAGACAAUAUGCAAAAUCUCAGAACAACUUUCUGCAGAAAGAUGCUUCAAUCGUGGAUAACCUUCCCCAUCAUCUAAUUCAUGAACAACAUUCUGAACACCCUUCAGUUCUUCUAGAUAGAGAUAUUCAGUUCUCGUCAACAACAGUUUCAUCCUGUAAUUCUGCAAAAGAACGCCAAACUUUUCCAGCCCCUGGAGCUUCAUCAAUCUUGAUAAUCCAGAUUUAACGGACCAGCUGCUCCACCACUUAUUUCCUAUACAUAUCCUAUAGCUUUGUAAUUCCACAGAGACGAAAUCCUGCGGUAAAAUUUCGGCAUCCCGAACAUGUAUCUCCAAAGUAGUUAGCUUUGACAGCCCAUUCAAUUCAGCAAGACUGGCGUUACUUCCUCCUUCAACCUUCUCCCACUGUGAAAAGCUGUUACCAAUAUAUAGUUCUUCUAAUCGAGAUAAUUUUGAUAUGACAUUUGGAGCUAUCACCACAAGACUGCUACAAUUUCUCAAAUCUAGCAACUGUAAUCUCGUCAAUUGUCCAAUUACAACUGGCAACUCCUUAACAUCAGAAUCUCGGAAGCUGAGAAUCUCUAAUUUCCUUAGCUGUCCAAUUAUAGUUAUUUCGUUCAGUCGGCAACCGUCUAAACACAAUGUUCGAAGGUUAAUGAGGCGACCAAGUGAUGAAGGUAAUGAAGAGAAAAAUAUGCCAGUAAAAUCUAAAACUUUGAGUUCUUCUGUCCCUUCAAAAAAGAGGUCUGAAAUUUGCAAAGAGCUAUCACGCUUUGAAAACAACAAAAGUAACUCGAGACGGGGACAUCCCAACCUUUCGGGAAGCUCUUGAAUAUCUCUAUAAGGUAAAGAAAUAGCAAUUGGACCUUCCCGUAUUGUCUCUUCCAUCUUUUUCUCCACGUAGGCAACAUUUGGAAUAUUAAACAUGAGCUCCUUUUCUGCAAUUGAUACAGCAACAGCAUGAAUGAUGUCAUGCAUUUUAACUUCAUCUUCAGCAUCACCGUCCAACAAUAAGCAUGAAGAUUUGAGUUUGUCGAUCAAUGCAUCCACUCUAUUCCUUGCAUUUUCCAAUGUGCGAACAUAUUUAAACAAACCCAAACCCAUACCCAUACCAUAUCUCAACAAGGAAGCAACUUGUAUAGGAGUACCUUCACCAAAUAGAGAACAAAGAAGGAACAAAGAUUUUGCUUCAUCACUUUCCAAGAAGUCGUAACUCAAUUUUAUGGAAGAAUACACAUCUGCAUCCAUACCAUGAAUUUCUCUUAGAUUGGAACUUCUUAGCUGAUUCAACGCAUCCUUCCAAAUGGCAAGACUCUUAUUUUUCAGAGCACUUGCAACUGUUCUCAGUGCAACAGGCAAUCGUCCGCAUUUUCCAACAAUCUCAUCCGCUAAAGGUUGAAAAGCAGAUGCUUUUGCGGAAUUGCCCACGAUCUUUUCAAAAAAUUGCAAUGCUUCUUCCUUUGAUAAAACUUCAAUUGGGAAAAUCUUCUGAGAAUUCAUAUCAUUGAUCAAUAAAUCUUGACUUCUAGACGUCAAUAUUAUCGUGCGUCUCCUUAGAUCUUGCUUUCUAUCUUUCUCAUCAACAUCCCCAGAAGGAAUUCCAAUUUCUUCCAACCUAAGUUUUUUCCAAAUAUUAUCUAAUAUAAUGAGGACUCGCUUCUCUUUCGUCAAUCUUUGACAAAGUUGUUUUGCUCUGUGGGGUUUGCUAUCAUUCAAGUCAAAGUUCAUGUCUAAAUCGGAAGCGAGCUUGUCUUGAAUUUUCUGAACAUCUGGGUUCUCUGUUACCUCAGCCAUAACGACCUUAUCGAACAACUUAUCUUCCAUAACUUGCUUUGCAAUUUGCUUGACUAGCGUGGUUUUACCCACGCCGCCCAUACCGUGGACCCCAAUUAUGUUGAGCUUAUCAUCCCUCAAUGCCUCCACAACAUCUUGAAAUAAUUUCAUUCUUGAAUCAAAGGCCUCGAAAUCUUUCGCUUGCAUAUGUUCUGUACUCUCUGGAGCAGGACGGUGGGAAACACUAGAGAAGUUGCCUUUUCUCACGAGACUAGCGGCAGCUUCUGCGGCCUUUACUGCUUGUUUACUAAGUUUAUAACGAGAAAUCAAGUUGGGGCACAAUCCUUUGAAGCAGGACUUCUUAGCUCUAUCUUCAUCAUCAAUGAUGGAUUUUGCAACCCCUUCACUGAUGCAUUCAUCAACGCCAUUAAGCCAGUCUGCAACAUCCUUGUAAAUCUCAUCUCUUUGUUGAGUAGCCUGACGAACGGGUAUUCCCACCCUUUCUCUUUUAUAUUCCAGCUGCUUCACUUGAUCUUUUAGCUCAGCUAUGUAGCUCUGGUACUUGAACACAUAAGAUAUCUGCCGCAUAAUCCGUUCGAGCAAUGCCUUUGCACCUUCUGAUACAAUGCUUGAAAAAGCUUCGAGACCCACUUCUGAAGCCAUUGCCUAGCCUGUUGCAUAUAUAUAUACAUUAGCCGAUGGAAAAAUUGGAUUCAAAUAAAUUAAAGUGAUCCAGAGGGAAGGACAAAGAAAGAAAUGACAACGAAUGACUUUUUAAACAAAGGUUUCAAGAGCCUGAAUCGAAAACCAACAAUUUGAAAAAAAAAAAAAGAAUUGGAAGAUGGAUGCAAAUUAACCAUUGCUAAUACUACAUAAGAACACAUAAGUUAACAAUGAACAGUUACUUAAGAAAAUUAAAUGACAAGAUUAAAACAAACAAGCGCUAUUUUUUCUUGGACAAAUGUACCUGUUUAAUUAUUAAAGACUUAAUGAGCUUCACUAUUGGCCUUGAGUAUAUAAGAAUGAGCAAGAGAUCAAUGUCAACUGCAGAGGAAUGUCAGUAAAGGUUUCAUGAGAGUGAGUAAUACAAAUGAAUUGUAAAAGAACAAGACUUAAGCGUGCACCCCCUGUUUUGUUUUAUUCGUUAUGAAAAUGAUAUUGUACCCAAUUUUAAGAGAGCAUAAUAAUAACCAUUUAAUGCAUAAAUUUAGAAUUAGCUUUUUUUUUUGUAAUUCUUUAUUUAAAUAUACACGUCAAUGGAAAAUUUUGAAAAUUUGGAUACAAAAUUUUAAAUCACCAGAAAAAAAAAAGCACGGGAACGGAAAUAGAGGAAUCUUGUUUUACCUUUUUUUUUCCCCCCUUUAACUCUCGUUCUUAUAUAAAUAAUCUUGUUUUGAUGAUUGUGACUCGUGACUGCGGGAAAAAUUCUAAUGGAAACAACUCAAUUUCGGAAGAUAAGCUUAAUUCUGCAAGUGAUGAAUUUGUUCAAUAGACUCUGUACCUGAACUCGUUGGAUUGGUUGAUUGAUGAUUGACUAAAUUUGAAUUAAGUUUAAUAGCUUAGCUAUCAUGUACUCCUUAAAAGCAAACGUAAAUCUUUUUUAGAUUUGACUGAAUUUGGGAACCUGUUGGAUUGAUUGUUUUUAGAUCAUUAAUAUCAGAUACUACAAACGUAAAUAUUUUCUUGUGGUUGAGUCCUAUUCAAAUCACACAAAAUUGCACGACCAAAUAUUAAGAGAACGUAAUAAUAAUCACUCAGUGCGUAAGGGUAAAUUUAGAAUUACGUAUUCUUUUUUAUUUAAUAAAAUCCCAGCGAGAAAAUCAUAAAAUUUAGAUAUAAAAUUUUCAAUCACCAAACAAAAAACAGGGGGAAUGAAAACACAGGAAACUUGUUUUACCUUUUUUUCAUCUAACUCUUGUUCUUAUAUAAUAUUUUCCCUAGUGUUUCAGGCAAGCAAAAAAAAAAAAAAAAUCAAUAAAGAGCAAGUUGCUCAAAUUGAUUUAUCUUGUUUUUCAGGCAAUCUUGUGAUAUGAUGAUAAUGCUUAUGAAUGCUAGAAAAACUUCUAAUGCAAACAACUCUAUUUGGGAUGAUAAGCUUAAUUUUACAAGUGAUAAAUAUAAAUAACUUUUUGUGGUUAAUUCAAUUUGUAAUUACCCUUAGCCCUAUUCUAAAAUUUGUUGGCUGCUUCAGAAAAAAAAAAAAAAAAAUUUCACUCAUCUUUAAUCUUCAAGUAAAAAACAAAUCUAAUAAAAUGACAAACAAACAAACAAAUAAAAGACAGCAAACAAACAACAUUUAGCCAACUGAUAUUUAAACAGGGAUUAGAGUUUUUGUUAUUAACUGAAAGGUUUCAAGGGUCUGAAUAAAAUCCCAGACUUUUUUUUAAAACUUUUUUUUUAAUUAACCAAAGCCAUAUAAUAAGAUCACAGACUUUAACAAUGAACAAUAAUUUGAAACUCAAGCAAAACCAAUCACAAGAUUAAAACAAACCAGAGAAUUUUUUUCUUGGAAAGUAGAUGAAAAGCAAGUAAGAACUGCUAUUAAAGGAUAUUAUUAAAGGAUUUAGAACAUGUAUACCUCUUUAUUUAUAUGGGAUCAGAGAGUCGAUGACCUUCUCUAUUCGCUUCGGAUAUUUAGUAAGAACUGCUAUCAAAAGAAUGAAUUGAUGAGUAAUAACAAUGAAUUGCAAAAGAGGAAGACUUAAUCACGUACCCCUAUUGUACCCGAUUUUUAAGAUUUAAUUUUGAAGUCCAGAAUCAAGACAAAAGACGAAGCCUUAACAAAUAUGCAGUGAGAAUAGUUAAGUUGAAGAAAGCACUAGUUUAUGGCUCUGUGUUUCAUAUGCCGUAUUGAAAUAAUUAAGUUGAAGUUUUCAACGAAUAAAUACCUGGUGUGCUGGAAUAAUUUUAGAAGAAUAUUGGCUUAUAGAGAUUAGAGCAUAUUAGGAGGGAUCAGAUUUGUAAGAUGCCUGAUAAAAGAUAAAGCGAAUGUUAUUAUGGACAUACCAAUUUCCGACUUUUCGGAGUGCAUCCGUCUAUCCAUGACUUGAAAAGAGACCCAAUGUGUGGACAGACUUGAUUACAUNNNNNNNNNNNNNNNNNNNNNNNNNNNNNNNNNNNNNNNNNNNNNNNNNNNNNNNNNNNNNNNNNNNNNNNNNNNNNNNNNNNNNNNNNNNNNNNNNNNNNNNNNNNNNNNNNNNNNNNNNNNNNNNNNNNNNNNNNNNNNNNNNNNNNNNNNNNNNNNNNNNNNNNNNNNNNNNNNNNNNNNNNNNNNNNNNNNNNNNNNNNNNNNNNNNNNNNNNNNNNNNNNNNNNNNNNNNNNNNNNNNNNNNNNNNNNNNNNNNNNNNNNNNNNNNNNNNNNNNNNNNNNNNNNNNNNNNNNNNNNNNNNNNNNNNNNNNNNNNNNNNNNNNNNNNNNNNNNNNNNNNNNNNNNNNNNNNNNNNNNNNNNNNNNNNNNNNNNNNNNNNNNNNNNNNNNNNNNNNNNNNNNNNNNNNNNNNNNNNNNNNNNNNNNNNNNNNNNNNNNNNNNNNNNNNAUUUAAUAAUUAUAGAAGAAUAUUGGCUUAUAGAGCAUUUUAGUAGGGAUAAGAUUUGUGGACAGAAUAAAUGAAAUAAUAAAAAGCAUAACUGAUCAAGUCAUUAUUGAUCUUACUUUGAUUAUUACAUUGCACAUUAGUUUCUUUCUAAAAAUGCCAUUCUUCAUUCAAGCUUUCGCUUUAUCUUUUAUCAGGCAUCCUACAAAUCUUAUCCCUACUAAUAUGCCCUAUAAGCCAAUAUUCUUCUAAAGUUAUUAAAUGCCAUUCUUCAUUCAAGCUUUCAUGGACAUUAUCUACAAACUGAAUCUUCAAUGUAAUAAAAUAAUGAUCAGCCUCACAGGAUACAUAAAAAGCUCAUUUAUCACAAUCAUUUCCUAGUGCAUCAUAAACUUAGAUUAUUUAAUUUUACUAUUAGGAAACCUACUUAUAAAAGGCGCACACUACAAAUUCUAAAUUAAAUUUCUAACUAAGAAUAAAAGGUAAACCCUAGCAAUUUUCCACCAGGUGCCGUGUAGCCUGCAUCAUAAAUUUUGAUUUAAAUCUUUGUAAUCACCGAACAGAAAAACCGGGGAAUGAAAACAGAGGAGCCCUAUUUUUCCAUUUUUUUAACCCUUAACUCUUGUUCUUCUAAUUAUAUUUUUGCUUGGAAUUUCAGGCAAACGAAAAAAAAUAGUGACAACUAUUUAGAGAGAACAGGUGGAUGAUAGCAAAAAUAUUUUUAAUUAAUAUGCAUGAUUAACUCUUGUUCUUCUAAUGUAGUGGCUUGAUUAAUUAAUAUUUUUAAUCAAGCCAUUACAUUAUUGGUAGUCUCUGUGGGCUCAUUUCGUCUCCAGACCUGAUAUUGUAUAUCUCUUUUUGAAUAUGUUUAAUUAAUAUGCAUGCUGCUGAAUAAAGACGAUGAUUUCCAAAUUUUUGUUGCUUUUUUUUUUUCUUUUUGCUGCUUUGGUACAUGAAGAAUGUGGAAAUAGAAAUAGCUUUCGAAGUUUAAUGGCUUGCUUCAUUAGUAAAGAAAGACUAGGAUAUCCGUCCUUUUUGUUACUGAAUUAUUGAUCAAUUGACGGUUGAAGUUAGUUAUAUUAAUUUGUUGUACAAGAAUUGAAGCUUAUAUCUUUACCGUUUCGUGAAAGUGUCAAAUAUGUUCUUUCCUUGCAAUUGUUCAAAAUAUGUUACACUUUUGAAGUCACUAUUACAUAAAGGGUGUUGUAAAAUAGGGAAAGGCGGGUUUAUGAUUAGAUUUUAAUAUGUUUAAUUCAAGGAUUAACCGAAGCUAUUAACCAACGGCUACUAACCGAAAACCGAAUUUAACAAUAAACACUAACUCAGAAUUCAAGAAAAUUAAAUGACAAGAUUAAGACAAAUGAGAGAUAUUUUUCUUGGACAUUAAGAAAGAACUACUAUCAAGAUCAAGGAUUAGAGAUUAUAUAUGCUAUUAUUAAUAGAAAUUAUUAAAGGAUUUAGAACAAGUUCACCUCGUUGAUUAUCUGGGAUGAUGAGUUUCUAUAUUCACCUUGAAUAUAUAAUAACAAUUUUAGUGAGCAAAAGAUCACUGGUAACUGCAGAGGAAUGUGUGAGUUUAAGAGCUUAUUAGAGUAAGCAAUACAAAUGAAUUUUCAAAUUAUGUACUUGGUCAUUGUUGUCCUACUGACGCACGUUUUUUUUCAUGAAUAAUUGCCAGAUCAGAAAAGAAUAAGUUCGGUGGAUUGAAAGAUUGCUGAAGCAAGUAAAACAAUCUUCAUAUCGAACAUGAUUCCAAUUAAAUUAAUCUUUUUAUAAGAUGACUAAUAAAAGACAAAAGUAGAAGCUUUGAUGAAUGAACGAUGACCAAAACUUUUGUAAAAGCGGAUGCCGAUAAAAUAAACAAAAGGCACUUUAAAAAGAAACUAAAGUGCGAUCAUCAAAGUAAGAUCAAUAAUGACUCGAUUUAUUUCACCUAUUCUGUCCACAAAUGAUGCUUCGCUAUUACAAGGUCCGAAUGGACAUUAUUUACAAAUUGUUCUUAUGUUUCACAGAAAAAUGAAAAACCGUUCAUCAUCAUAUAAUUAUGAAAUAAAUAAAUUUUAUUAAUGGAUUAUGGGGAUAUGUUAAUGUUAGGGAUAUGUUCAAAUCAUCAUAUAAGUUACUAAACGCUUCAACAAGAACAAGAAUUAAUGAGUUAAAAGUAAAAAAAAAAAAUUUUAAAAAAAGUUAAAUAAAUAAAACUUAGAAGUAAAGAAUGUUAUUUGCAAUCACCAAAAUGAAAACAGUGGAACCCUGUUUUUCCUCUCAUUUCUCUUUCUCUCUUUUUCAUUUGUUGGGAAGUGUCGCCUAAAACACUUCCUCUGCUAGGUGGAAUUAUUGGCUUGAAGAGAUGAGUUCUUGUCACAAGCACAAAUUUUAUCUGUACAUUAUUUCAUUUUAAAUGAUGAGUUCUUGUCACAUGAUCAUUACUUUUUUUGUUUUGAUUUGGUUAGUUCAUGAUAACAAACAAAUUAUUUUGCAUCACAUUAUGGUAAAAAGUUGCCCUCUUUGUUACUUCCACAGCUAUAUAGUUUAAUAUUUUGUAAUAAGAUCACAAAGUGCAUGGGAACCACUGUUCGAGUACUUCAGCCUAAUAUGAAGAUCUAUUGAAAAUUUUCCUGAUGUCAUGAUAUUAAACAAAAAAAGGUACCUCUUUUACUAAUUAAUAAGAGAAGUUUUGACCGAUUUCAUGUGACUCUCUUUUACUAAUUAAUAAGAGAAUUUUUGGCCUUAUAUCCUUGCUGUGGCGUUAGACUGUUGGUCAUUUUGAUUGUUUCCUACUUUCCGUUUACGCCAGCUGUAACAUUGUAUUAUCACCAUUUUAGCCAUUUAAAUGAAAUUUAUUUUUGUCAAAAAUAAAAUGACACCCUUAAAAUUAAAAAAAAAAUAGUUAUGUAGACCUCAAAUUUUUAAUAAAGAAUGCCAAUACCCCUUUUAACUACAAGAUUCUUAGUAGAUGAUAACUAAAAAAAUUAACUUCAAAAAUUUUCACUAAAUAUAAAUCUAAUUGAAAUAGUUUAAAUUUUCUAGUAGACUAAUAUAUAUAACUUAAAUAAUUAAUUUCAUUAUUAAUUUUUAAAAUGUUAAAUAAUAUAUUUUAAUUUAUUAUAAAAAAUUUAAAUAAAUUCUUGGAUUAGAUAGAUUUUACAAUUAAUGUAAUACUGCUGAUUUAUUAAUAAUAUUAAAAUUAUUUUAUAUGAUAUUCAAAAUAAUUUAAACUUUUAUAUAUUUAUUUUAAUAUUAUGUCUAUUUAUUAUAAAUUUAUAAUUUGGUUUAAUAUAAUACGGGAUUGUAAAAUAUUAAAAUAUUUUUCAAUAUCAAAUUAUUUUAAUAUGUAUAUAUCAUUACAUUUAUUUUAAUAUUGCAUUUAUAUUUAUUAAAGAGUAUUGCAGUAAAGUAAAAAAAAAAAAAGUCUUAUUAUCCCUUAUUCACGAUAUGAGGUUCUACAGAAUUAUUUCCCCAAACGGGUGUCCUUUUCUCAUUUUCAAAAGAAAAAAUAAAGUAAGAAUAAGACCAUGGAUUUCAAAAAACUUAUAGUCCUAUCCCGGGACCAAACGUCUAUUCAUUAUUUUAUUUAUUCAAUAUAAAUGGCCAACUUAAAAAAAUGAUAAAAAUCACACAAAGCUCAAGUGAAAAUUUAGAAUUACAUUUUUUAAUACUCUCGGAGUCUUCUCUCCUGCCCCCUUUUUUUCUUAAAAAAAAAAACCUUAGUGUAAAAUUAGAAGAAUUUUAGAUAUAAAAUUUGACAAUCGCUAAACAGAAAAGCAGCGGAUUAAAAAUAGAGGAGCUCUGUUAUCAUUGCAAUAUUGAUUAUAGAUAAUAUAAUAACUUGUUGUGGUUCAUUGUAGCACUCUGAGCCAUACUUUAAAAUUUACUGGUUUGUUAAUGCUUUUAUUAUUGACAUUAUUGUGUCAAUAUUAUUAUAAUUUAUUCAUUUUAUUGUAAUGAUAAUUUGUCUAGUCUUAGGUACUUAUUAUAUUAAAUUAUGUAAAUUAAUUGAGAAUACUUUUACAGACAAAAGAAACACGUGUAUGUAGGAUUAAUAAGCGAAGAGUUGUAAAUGAAGCUGAUUGCUUCAUUGAGAUGCAUAUUAAAUAAUUAUGGAGAGUUGCUCUAUUUCAGAAGCAUAUAUUUAUACUUCCCUAUCAGGAUUUGGGGUAAGCGAAGUGCUUUAUGUAUUGCAGUAAGCAAAUGUGGGCAACAUCAGAGCCGAAAUAUUAAAAGAUCAUAACGCAUAUAAACGAUUAGUAUAUUCAAGGCACAUAUAGCGGAAAGAGUGCAGAUCUGGCCGUAACUAUUAUGAGGAUUUCCUCAAGUAAAUAUUAAAAGAACAACUAUUCUGAACUAUAUAUUCUUCAUUGUGGGCAGAUUUACUUAAAUACCAACACAAUGAUUCAAUACUUCAAAAGUCAAGGAAAUGUCAAAAUAUGAAAUGAAAAUACUUAAAUACCCUUCUCCCUAACAAAACUUAGUACUUCUAACUGCCAUCGCAGAGAAUAUAUAAAAUUUAAAAAAAAAAUCAUCCAUGAAAAGUUUCGUAACAGAAAAACCGUCUUUCAAAAAAUAAAAAAUAAAAAAUAAAAACAGAAAAAUUGACUCAUUUAUCUGCCAAUGAACCAGUCGGGACUCAUUUAAAAAAGAUUACAAAGCAAAAGUAAAUGACACAAAUUGCAUAGAUAUCUAAGAGCCGCAUCAAAGGACAAAGGUGUUAAUUUGUCCAAGUAAUAAAUUCUCCUAGGUCAAAAGCAAUUAACGAUGAAAACUUUCUUCAUUAAGGUUCUGGCCUACGUAAAAAAACAGAAAAAACCACCCCAAGGUCAAAGCACAACGAUAAGUUUAGAAUUGCAGUUUUUAAUUUUUCUUUUUAAUAAAUCAACGUGUAUUAAAAAUAGAUAAAAAUUUUGAAUAAUGUUUUUUUGAUAAAUAUAGACAUAAAAUUUAAAAAUCACCAAACAGAAAAACAGGGCAAUUAAAAGAGAGCCCUUGUUUCUCCUCUGUUUUGUUUGUUAUUAAACGGGGAAAUGAAAAGAUCGCAAGCAUAAAUUUUGUUUCUGCGUUGUCUCUUCUCAAUGUUGCAUGCAUUCAAAUUAAACCUUAUAUAUGAUAGCAAACUAGCUACUCUGCAUGUACGAUAAGUCUAAAUAAUAGAAUAAUUGUAAAAUGUUCAAAUUCAGUAAUUAAUUAUACAUAUUUAUUUAUUCAAAAAUUAUUAUUAUUAUUAAUUAUUGUCAAUAAUAUAUUAAUAUACUAAUUAAUUAUAAAAAUUUUUAUCAUUCAUAACAAUAACAAUGAUGAUGAUGAUGAUAAUAAUAAAAAUUCAAAAUAUAUUAAUUAAUUAUAAUAAUAUAUUAAUUAUUUAAUACUAAUAAUAAUAAAAAUGUAAAAUGUAUAAAUUGAUUAGAAUAGUUAUAUUAAUAAAUUAUAAACAUAUAUUAAUUAAUCAUAAUAAUUUUUUAAUUGAGGACAAAAUAGACAUUUUAUAGUUUGUGAGAGGGGGCAAAAUGGUCAAUUUUGGGAAUGGGAGAUUGAUUCCCACCACCUUCCUUGGGAAUCAAUUUUCCAUUCCUCAUUCCUAAAUUUGGGUGGCCCCAUAAUUCUGAUUUGGAUCCCUGCCUCCAUCAUUAAUGAUUUCGAUUUCGGAUUCCGAUUCCCCAAUCCAAGAAGUAAAGGCACCAUUAUUGUUAAUUGGUUCAAACACACAAAGAGAAUGUACCGUGUAGCUAGGCGUCAAGGUUGUGUUGCACAAGUAACCUUUUUCUUUUCUUUUUAUUUUUCUUGUUUUCCUUAACGGAUCAGAAGAAAUUGGUGCCUUUGAGAUACCACAAUGUAAAUAAUUAUUUGUGGUUCAUUGAAUCUGUAACACUCGGUACCCUAGGGUUGCUUUGGAAAAAGGGCUUUUCUCACCGAUCGCCAAUAUCCAAGUAAGUUUGUUUCAUUUCAGAAGGUGCAAAGUUUCAAACUUGUUGUAUUGGGAUGUAACAAACUUUGGCCUUAUAUGCCUGCUGUGACGUGAGACUGUUCAUUUUGAUUGUUUCCUACCUUCCACUUACGCACUGUAGCACUGUAUUAUUCACCAUUUUAGCUGUUUAAAUGAAAUUUUAUUUUUGUCAAAAAUAAAAUGACACCAUUAAAAUUUAGAAAAAUAAUCAUGUAGAUCCCAAAUUUUUAAUAAAGAAUACCAAUAUUCCCCUUGACUACAAUACCCUUAGUAGGUGGUAAUAAAAAAAAAUUGGCUUAAAAUUUUUACGAAAUGUAAAUAUGAUUUAAAUAAUUUAAAUUUUCCAGUAGACUACUAUAUAUAAUUUAAAUAAUUAAUUUAAAUAUUAAUUUUUAAAAUGUAAAUUAAUUUAUUUGUAUUUAUAAAAUAUUUGUAAUUAUUUUAAAAUUUAACUAAAUCCUUAGGUUAAAUAGAUUUUACAAUUAAUAUAAUAUUUCUCAUGUAUUAAUAAUAUUAAAAUUAUUUUAUAUGAUAUUGAAAAUAACCUAAAUUUUUAUAUAUUUAUUUGAAUAUUAUGCUCUAUUUAUUAUAAUUUGGUUUAAUAGAAUACGAGAUUGUAAAAAAUUAAAAUUUUUAGAUAUUGAAAUUAUUUUAAUAUGUAUAUAUUAUUAUAUUUAUUUUAAUAUCCUAUUUAUAUUUAUCAUAAAUUAUUAGAGUUAAUUUUUUUAGUUAAUAAAUUUAAAAAAUAUUAUAAUUUAAAAAAAAGUCUUGUUGUCCGUUAUUCACGAUAUGAGGUUCUACAAAAUUAUUUCUCCAAACGGGUGUCCUUUUCUUUUUUUCAAAAGGAAAAACAAGUUCAGGGCCUCAGGGGUUUCAAAAAAUUCUGGUCCUAUAUACCACUAUGACUAAUGGGAAACGACAUUGCAAUUGACAUUGCUUUCCACAAUAUGAUAGAUUAUUGGAGGGAUAUGAGAGAAUUGUCAAACGUUCACACACGCGAGAGCUUUAGGUGGGAUAGGGGAGGAUUGUCAAGAGUUCACACCACGAUAAACUAAUGAUAGGCCUAAUUUUGUUGUCAGUUCUUUAUUUAUUUAUUUUAUGUAUAUCAUACAUUAUUGUAUUUUGUCAAGGUAUAAUAGUACAAGUAAAAUACUAGGGGUGCUGUUAAGUUACAACUUAUGUAACUUGCAAUUUUUUCAAAAAUUAUGUAAAAAAUUUAAUAGGUGGUGGAACCCACAUAUUUUUUAAGAGACUUAAGUUACAGCAGUUGUAACUUAACAAAAUCUAAAUAUUAGACAAUAAUGCAUAUAAUUUGGGUUUGAUUUUUAAAAGAUUAUUUGAGUACCACCUAUCCUUAUGAUAUUAAUGUGAUUAUAUCUUAAUAUUAAAUAAUCAAAAUUUGUUUAAUUAUUAUUUGUAUUUCAUACAUUACAUAUUAGAUUUGUUUGAAUUUUAAGUUGUUGCUAAUAAAUAUUUAUGUUGUCAAAGUCAAAGUCAAUAGCUACAAAAGUAGAGAUAAUGGUAUUGUAUAUAGUUUUUAAGAAUGCAAGGAUAAGCUGGAUAAUUGACAUAAAUUCUAAUGAUUAAAAGAGCAACUAUCCCUUAAGUUAUAAUGUCAAUUUCUUUAAUUAGAAUUUUUUUUUCAUGUGAUAUAACCUUAAUUGCUACAAUUUUUUUUAUAAUAAUAAUGGGAGUUAUAAAUUAUUUAUAUAAAAUUUGGGUUGAAACUAAUGUAACCUAAAAGUGGUUGCUGAAUAACAAUAUUUGAAACUUUAGGUAAUUUUCAUGAGUCCUUUUUAUAUUCAACAACUUGAAUUGGGGGAAAUCCGACUUGAAUUGGCGGUUGAUUUUGGUGAUGUGGCUUUCGGUUUACGCCGGCUUUACAGUGGCGGAAGACUGGAUUUACGGUUGCCGACUGCUAGGGAUUAUGGUGGUAGUGUAAAUUGACGGAAAAAGAAGGUGUUUUGGUGGCGGCGCGUCUAGGAAGCACUCGUGGGUUGUUGUUUCGUGUGGUGACAGCGGGCGGCGAUCAAGGGCUGAAGUUGGUCGGUUUUUGGUCAGCAGAGGCCGGCGAGUUUGUUGGUGGAGGUGGCUGGUGGAGAAAGUGGCUGAAUGGUGGUGGGUUGCUUGGUGGAGCCGCGGGUUUGGGUUGGUGAUUUGCGGCUGUUCAAGCGGUGGUUGAGGCAGCGAUGACUAAGGCUUGGUCGACGGUGGCUAGGGAGGUUUGUGGUGGUGUUGGCUGGCUGAUCGGCGGUGGUGGACGGCGGUGGAGGUUGAUGUGACAGGUAGGGUUUUCAAAUUUGUAAAUUUUUUUUUUGAUGGAUUUGGUUUGGAUAGGUAUGGUGUAUCUAGGAAAGAUGUGCGAUUCGCACAUAAUCAUUUUGAUACCAAUUGAUGGAGCGAGGCGUAGCGGAAGCAGAAUUGAUAGGGUAAGAAACAUUAGAUAUCGUUCUAGUACUAGACCAAGCCAACACGAUUAGUUUACGCUCUAAUUGAAGCGUGAUUAGAUAUCGUUAUAAUCCAAAUGACUCAGUGAGAUUUUUAAUAACGCGUAAUACGAGAUUAGAUGACACUCUAAUCCAAAUGACUCUACAAAAGAGAUUUUGAUAACUAAUCCUAGAGGAAAUUAUAAAAGAGGGGGUUUAUUUAAUAAUUGAACUUGAAGUUAUGAAAAUAAUGACAAGACAUCUUUAUUUUUUUUAUUACAGGCAUCUUUAUUUAUAAUAGAAGAAACCCGCUUUCCUAAGUUAACCUAAAAAGAAAAUUUAAAUCAUAAUUAUAAUGGAAAUAAAAGAUUAAGAUACAUACCAUAAUUAACUCAAACUAAAAUAGAAAAUCAUAAAAUAAUAAAUAUUCUAGAAUUAUAAAUUAUCUAAAAUAACGUUAAUUAACUUCCUAAAUCACUUCUUUGGUGUAAACCAUUUUGCAUCCAUCCUCGCUUUAAAGGUUUGAACCAACGUUACCAACAAUAAUGUAUCAAAGUCCAAUCUAACUUAAGAUCUUGAUACAUCUACCGAUGUCCUUGUUUGAUUAGACAAUAAUGAGUCUAUCUCAUCACUUGUUACCUCUUUCUUGAAGGCUGCAUCUGUUGAAGUGAUAGUCUCGCUUAGAGUUUAAAGAUCUUCUUCCAUGUUAAAUAAAAUGGGCAUUUGAUUAAAAAACUUUAUCUCUAUCUCCUUCUAUCAAAUAACGACAACUAUCCGAAGGAAAAAAAAAAUAGAAAAGUCCAUGGGUCACAAUAAUUUAUGGUCUGUCCCCGGACCCCAUUAUCUGCCACUAUCAAUGAUGAAAAUGAAAAUAAAUGGCAUCUUCCCAAAAUGGCGAAAGAUUUUUGGGGGAUAUGGGGGAAUUGUCAAAAGUUCACACAACGCGAAACAAGUGUUACAUCCAAUUUUAUUUCGUCAUAUAAUGAUAAUAUCAAAUAAUGACAACCAUCCAAAAGUAUGAUGGGUCUUCCAAAAUUUUGAAAAUGUCGUCAACAUUUAAUCUUCAAUGCUAAAGAAGAUGAAAUGACCAAAAAUGACACGCAUGACUCACUCACAGACUAAAUGGCUCUGACCACAUGUAACAAACUUUGAUCUUAUGUCCUUACUGAGGCGUUAGACUGUUGGUCAUUUUGAUUGCUUUUUACCUUCCAUUUAUGCCAUUGUAGCAUUAUACUAUUCACCAUUUUAGCUGUUUAAAUGAAAUUGUUAUUUUUUUUCCAAAAAUAAAAUGGCACCCUUAAAAUUUUAGAAAAUAGCCAUGUAGACCCCAAAAUUUUAAUAAAGAACACUAAUAUCCUUUUUUACUAUAGUACUCUUAGUAGAUGGUAACAAAAAAAAAAAUGACUGUAAAAGUUUUUACUAAAUGUAAAUAUGAUUUAAAUAUUUUAAUUUUUCUAGUAGACUAGUAUGUAUAAUUUAAAUAAUUAAUUUUUAAAAUGUAAUUUAAUAUAUUUAUUUUAAUAAUAUAUUUAUUAUAAAAAUUUUAAACAAAUCCUUGGGUUAAAUAGAUUUUAUAAUUAAUAUAAUAUUUCUCAUGUUUUAAUAAUAUUAAAAUUAUUUGAUAUGAUAUUGAAAAUAAUUAAAACUUUUAUAUAUUUAUUUGAAUAUUAUGUCUCUAUUUAUUAUAAUUUGGUUUAAUAGAAUCAAAUGAAAGUGUACAUGUACAAGAAGAAAGAACCAUACACCAAGUAAAACGUAAAAAGGAUUAAAUAAAUGACACCAAUCCCCGGCAACGGCGCCAAAAUUUGAUGGUUGUCGAAGCCAACAAAAAUAAAUUCCUACUCUAAAUAAAUUGUGUAUAGUGAUUGAGCAGGGUCGUGUCCACAGAGAUCGGUAAUUAUUUAAAUCCUUUUAAAACGUAAAACAUAAAAUGGGGGUUUUGUUGACAAUAAUAAAAAUCAAAUUAAAAUAACAAGAAUGCAAAUUAAAGUUGUAAUUCAAAUUAGAGAAAGCUCUGGUUGAAGGAAUUAACUCAGCUUGAUUCGACUACUGAUCAUUGAUUCAAAUAUAGAUUAUUAUUACUUAUUAAUAGACCGGUUAUAGCUAUUGAGACCCUCUAAUAGCCAAUUUGUCCUUAACUAGUCGAUAACCAAGGUACGACCGUCAGAUAUUUCCCUAAUCAACAGACAACCCUAGAUACGAUCAUAGGAUUUAAUCAAUUGACAGCCUGAAAAACCAGAGAGACCCAAAUCCUAAUCAACACAUAUGAUGAUUCAUUUAAAUUAGAUUGUUUAUUCUCAUAACACAACUCACUGCUAUGUUAUUUGUCACAAACAUUAAAAUCUUCAUACGAUGAAUCCUUUAAUUGACAAUAGAUUAAGUUGAUAAUUAAAUAGUGGCCAAUUACCUAAUUAACAAACAUAAUCAUGAAACUAAUUCAGAGAAUAAACAAAUACCCAAAAAGUAAUAAAACAAUUAAAGCAUAAGAAAGAUCUCACAGUAGUGAUGAAUCAAAGCUUCAUUAACCUUCAACCAGAAAAAUAAGUUUAGUUCUUCAUAGAGAGAAGAGAAAAAUUAGAUCUAGGGUUUUUUUCUUUUUCUCUCAUCCCCCUUUUUCACUAUAGAUUCCUCCCUUAAAUACUCUCUCUCUCUUCUCUUUUAGAGUUCUAAUUAAAAUAAAAUACUAAUAUCUGAAAUAUUAAAUUCGUAAUUACAAAAAUAACCAAAAAUACAAAACAUGUUAAACUAAAAACUACAGGUCCGCAGUUGACAGCACGCGCCCACGCCUUAUCAAGAAAGUUCUUCUGACUCUCUAAAUUUCUCCAAGAGAACAAUCAUCUUUAAACAUCAUCUUAUAACUCAAUUUUAUCACAAAUCAAUAGAAUUGCACCUACAAAAGUACAACACAAGUAAAUCAUUAUUAUUAAGUGCAAAACAUCGAUAUUAAGGGAAGUAGACAAUGCAAAACUAGUGCAUAAAUUGCACUCUAACAAGUUCACACCACGAGAAAUUAAUGAUAGGCCUAAUUUCGUUGUCAGUUCUUUAUUUGUUUAUUUUAUUGAUUUCAUACAUUAUUGUCUUGUUGGUACUAUUUUGUAAAGAUAUAAAAGUACAAGUAAAAUAUUAGGGGAAGUAAAAUAAAAUAUUGGAGGUGCUGCUAAGUUACAGCUGCUGUAACUUACAGUUCCUUCAAAAAUAAUGUAAAAAAUUUAACAUGUGGUGGGACCCACAUUAUGUUUGAAGAGGCCGUAAGUUAUAGCAGUUGUAAAUUAGUAAAAUCCAAAUAUUAGAUAACAAUACACAUUAACAAUGCAUAUAAUUUGGGUUUGAUUUUUAAAAAAAUUAUGUGAGUAUUACCUAUCCUUAAGAUAUUAAUGAGAAUAUAUUUUAAUAUUAAAUAAUCAAAAUCUGUUUAAUCAUAAUAUGUAAUUCAUACAUUGCAUGUUAGAUUUGUUUGGAUUUUAAGUUGUUGCUAAUAAAUAUUUAUGUUGUGAAAGUCGAAUUCAAUAGCUACAAAAGCAGAGAUAAUGGUAUUUUAUGUAGUUUUUAAGAAUACAAGGAUAAGACCAUAACGCAUGAGAUAAUGGUAUUUUAUAUUAAAAGACCAUAACACAUGUAUUUGAGCCAUUUAUAUUGAGGACACAUAUAGAGCGAAGAGUGCAGAUCCGGCCGUAACUAUUGUGAAGCUUUCCUCAAGUAUUCUCAUGCACGCAGACCUUAGCUGGUCAAGUUUUCUGAUUCAAUAUAAUCAAUUUCCGCGCAGUACUAACGACAGCUUCUUUGUAAAGCUCUUCAACCACAAGCAUUUCUACAAGGCAAAAGACUAGGACGUGUCAGAAUGAAUAUCAAUAAGGGAAUGUCUUAUGAAUUUAGUUUAUAUCCUAAUAUAAGACAAUCAAUAAAUAUUAGAUGCAAUCUAAGGGAAUGUCUUAUGAAUCCUGAUUGAUGGCCUCUCACAGUCAGUUAUAUGACAAAGUAGCCACCACAACAAACUUGAACUUGGCUGGAGGUCUCAUUAGCAGUAUACCUCAGAAAUUAAGACAAAGACUUUAAAAUGCAAACUUAUGGAGCAAUUUAAGCACUGAAACUAAUAACAGUACUGUAUUAGCAAUUGACCUCUGCUUUUUUCUUGGACAAAGGUUCUCAUCACAAGGGACUCAUUAGUUGCCCUUGCCUCAAACGUUUGGAUGCUAAGGGGAAAAAGGAAGUUUGAAUUAGUCAAUCUCAUUUCUAAUGGCAUUCACAGAGAACCUAUAAAACAAAAAAAUUAUAAAAAAAAAAAUCAUCCAUAAUUCGCCAAACCGAAAAGAAAAACAGGGGAAUGAAAAGAGAGCCCACGGGAAUGAAGAGAUCAGCUCUUGUCGCGAAAAUGCAGUCGACUGUAACUAUAUCCGGGUCCCUAGUACUUAGAAGUAAAUGCUCUUGGAAUUUCUAUUAUAGAUUGAUGUUUCCCGUUCAAAUAGCUCUUCCGAUACCAUUAACAUGUUCAUCUCUCUAUAGAUUGAUGUUGACAUAGAUGUUAUUCUACUUUUGCUAGUGGAGUUUUCCUUGUACAGGUAUGUAUGAUUGUUUUUUUUGCACUUCUAAAUGGACACUGUUGAAAAGCUUAAAAUUGAACUGAUAAUUUUGUUUGGAAGCUCAGAAAAUUCAUGAGAAAGUGAAAUAGAAUAUUCUGGAUUUCUUUUCUUUCCAUAAUAUACAAAUGACAAACGUAGCAGUAUUUAUACUCGUUGCUUACAUCAUAAAAACAGAAUUAAAACAAGGUACACAACUAUAACAGAAUCAAAAGCGUGCUUAACUAAUUGGCAGAGCUGGCAUAUACUUCUUUAACUAACAAUGCUGCUGACUGGACUUUAGCUCACACAUGCUUAUCGUGCAGCUACUCUUAGUUCACACGUGCUCAGUCUGCUGUUGGCCCAAAGUUGGAACCAGAGAUAUCAUGACUCUGGUUUCAUUUCACCUCAACUGUGUUUUUUUUUUUAAAUUAAAAAAAUCAUUUGUUUUAGGUAUACAUACAUGUAUUUUGAUUCUAUUUUCAUUGUAAUUUCUCAUUUACUUUGAAUGAAAGUCAUUGGUGUUUUCGAAUGGGAAUUUUGCAUUAAAAAAUGAAGAAUAGUGAUUUUUGGAGUGUAAUUAGUAGUAAAGUUGGUUUUUACUCGCAAACAAGUGAACUGCUCGAUUCCCGAGUGGUAUCAACCAGUUUCCAACUUUUUAAUAUACACUAAUUGUUAUUGUUUAAUAGCUACUACUAUUAAAACUCGACAUCUAACAAAAAUACUUAAAAAAAAUGAUUUUUCUUAUGAUGCUGUAAAAAAAAAUUACGGGUUUACUUCUUUCCAUGAGAUCUAUAACAUGGUCUUGACUUCACGAAAUUCUUUUAAUUUAAAGCUUGCUGGUGUGAGAAGGUCAGUUUGACUGAUUAAUUCUUUUUAACAGUGGUCGAGAUAAUUUUACUAUCUAAUCGAAUGUUAUGCUGUUUUCUUUUUCUAAUCUGGUGUGAGAUAAUUAAUUCUUUUUCACAAAUGCUAUGCUGUUUUCUUAGGCUAAGGAUCUUCUAUCAGGAGAGGUUAGAAAUUCAAUGCUUAAAAGAGAAUAAUACAGAAAUUUAGGCAGAAUCUAAUCGAAUAUUGCAUGAAACAUGAAAAAUCAAUUCAAGUCCUUUCUUUAAACGGAGAAUGCAUCAAACAAAAUCCAAAGUGUCUUGCACGUCUGUAGCAUGAGCAAAAAAUUGUAAAUAUGUAGAACCAAAUUAUUCAAGUACAGAAGAACGAGCAAGCUAAAUCAUGUAUAAGAGAUUGGCCUGGUUCGGGAUAGCUUCUUCACUGUACCUGAAGGAUUGGCUCAAUCUCUUCUUUAGAAUUCUGCAGAUUUUGUAAUUACUCGUGUAAGCAAGCAUACAUUGCCACCAUAAGAAUAAUAAAGCUAGAGUAAUGAUAUGACCACCACCUCUUGUGCACAAACAAUAUUGUAUAAACUAAUGCGACAUAAUAUGAUUGGUUAAACAAAAACAUUACAUGGCCCUCAUAAUUUAUUUAUUUAUUUAUUUAUUUAUUAUUAUAUUUUUUCAGUAAACCAAUCAUAUUAUAUCACAUUAGUUUCUAUAAAAUAAUUUGCUAAAUAGCACCAAAACUUAAUUGAUACUCACCAUUUCAUUGAACAAUUUUUUUAUGGUGUCAUUGAGAUUGCCUUCCCAACAUCCUUCAUCAUCAUCAUCUUCAUCAUCAUCAUCAUCUUCUUCAUCAUCAUCUUCUUCAUCAUCAUCUUUUUCUUCUUCUGUGACGUUCACUUUGUUUAGCAUUGGUGUGUCUAAGACUCCUUGAGAGAAGAUCUUCAUUUUUGGACACUGUCUCACAACUACUGGUUUCAAGGACGGGAAUUCAAGAGCGUAAUUACCCGAACAAAAGCUUGUUAGGCUUGGCAAACAAUCAAGUCCCAAGUACUCCAAUUCCUCGAAGACAACGCAACCUUUCGCUUCUUCUCCAACCUGCAAUUGUAUGAUUUGUUCUAUCAUUUUGCAAUCAGCUAUCUUCAUUCUUUGAAGAGUCACUAGACUUUCAGAUGUUGAGAGCGUCAAUAAAUUUAUCAACCCAUGACACUUCGAUACUUCCAGAGUCGCAAGAUUUUCCAAAUGCCACGAAGCUGGUACUAAUUUCUGCAACUUACUACAUUCAAAUAUUUCUGGACUUUUCAAGUUUGCAAACACUUUGUUGGAUUUGGCAUUUUCCUUCCAGAGAUGCUGCACUUUGUGUAAUCCAGAUAGCUUUAACUUCAUCAAUUGAGGGAAUGCAACCUGAAAAUCAACAAAAUUAAGUUGUAAAUGAAAAUAUGUAUCCAAUCUCUGCAGUCUUCCCCUGCAUAUUUUAUGAACAAGAUUAAUCACGACAUUUUAUAUUUUAUUUCCAAAUUAGUAUGCUUUGCAGUAGGAUCCCAAAUAUAAGUAUCAAAUCGAUUACCCUUUGAAACACAUAAAUGAAAUCUGAUGCUAAAUCCAAUAUGAAUUAGCUAGGAAAACAGAGAUGUAACACGCAUAAUCGAUAUAGUUCAUCGCCUUAUGUCACCAGGCAUCUAAUUAAUUUAAGACAUUUUUAUAAUUCAUACUAUAAAGUUAGUUAAUAACAGAGGUUAUAUUGUUAAAUCAGAUAUAAAUUAAGACGACCUGCAAAAAGAUGAGUCAUUAAGUUUGAUUUGAUUCUAAUGAAAUUACAUCUGUGCGAACGAAAGUGAAGGCAAUAAUAAUAAUAAUAAUAAUAAUCACCUUUUCAUCGAAGAGGGGUUGUACUUGAUGAGCCAGCAAGAAGUUCUCUUCUGAUGUUAAUUUUUGAGGUUUCUUGUUAUCUGUUGUCACGUGCACUAAAGAGUUGGAUAUGAAUGUUUCCAUAUCAGGGCAAUUCUCAAUAGUUAGAUUCUCCAACUCAAGCAUUUCAAUUAUAUUCCCAGUGAAGUUGCAGAAUCUUUUGAGUUUUGGAAGGUCAAUGAGCCUUAGCUCGAAAAGCUUAGGAAACAGGGGACCUAUAUGUUCUUUGUCAGCAUUUAGCACUUCCAAAUGAAGCACCUCUUCCAGUGAAUCACAAUUCCUCACUUCCAACCAUUCCAAAUUGUUCAAGCACCGUAGCAGAUUGGCAGGAAUAGCACUCGACAUAUUCGUGCAGUCAUCCACCACCAGGUGUCUUAAAUUGUUGAAGAAGCUGACAGGCAGUGCUUGGCCAUGCGAUAUUUCUUUCAAACGUGGAAAAUGUGAGAAUUGCAAAAACUCCAUGUCACGAAAUCCAAUCUGCUCAAACCAAAACAAUUGCACUGGAUAUAUACAAUUUUUUUUUUGAAAGGCAUUAGAUAUAUAUAUAUACAUUAAACUUACAUGUUUUGUGUUUUAACUUCUAAAAAUAUAUUUAAAUGUGCAAGUGCAGGGGAGAUGCAUGAACAAUUUGGAUGAAUCGAUUAACACAUACCAUUUCUUCGUAACACUUUUGUAUAGUGGAAUUAAGCUUAUUGCCUUCCCAAUGGUGCAGUUCACCCCCUUCCUUUUCAGUCACUUGCACUUUGCAUGGCUUUGGAAUGGAUAAGAUUCCCUGAGAAAAAGUCUUCAUGUUUGGACAACGUAUCAUAGAAACUCGUUCCAAUGAUGGGAAUUCAAGAGUGUAAUUCUCCAAACAAAAGCUGGUAAGCCUUCGUAAAUCAUCAAGUAUCAAAACUUUUAAUUCGCUGAAAGCAAUACGAUUCUCCUUCGCUUCUUCUCCAACAUGUCCUACGAUUUCUUCUAAUUCUUUGCAAUCCGAUACUUUAAGAUUCACCAGACUACUAGGAAUUCCAACCUGAAAAUAAGCAAAAGUGUGCGCAUGUGUGGUGUAUUAAAAAAGUAUGUUAAUCAUACAAUUAUGCAUUUUAUAAACAUAACAAACCAUGAAAUGUCUACUAGAUAAUUUUUUGUUAAACAAAAACGGAACAAGAUAAAUAAAUAAAUAAAAUCCAGAUAAACAAAGAUAAUAAAAAUACAUUUACACUAUUUAGUAUUAGAAACGUAGAAAUAAUUUAAGGCAAUUUCUAAAUAUUUUAGACUUAUUUUGCAUCUUGAUAUCAGUUUUUAAGCAUAAAUUUGCAAAUUUCAACUAUUCCUUCUUUUUUUUUUAAAAAAAAAGGGACCAUUUUCCUUGGUCCCUUUUUUUUAUGUAUAUUUAAAAAUGGAAAAAAAAAUUUGGAAAAGACUUCCCAAUACUGUCAACGAGGGACUGCUGUAAAGUGGAUCUUUAUUAAGUACUUCCAGACUAGAGGAAAUUUCUUUACAAUCAAGGGUCAGUUGUAAAUAAUCAUGAAUUUGUGGUUAAUUAAUGGCAUAAUCAAUUCGUAACUAAACUAGAGAUAUUAAUUAAAUUUGAAGACUUUUAUUUUCUUUUUUUCUUUUUCCAAUCGAAAUGUGAAGAAUUAAGGAAAAGAGAAAUAUAUAGAUGAAUUCGUGAACCUAUAAGAUGAGUGACGAUCCUUUAAUUUUUGAAAAUCGUACUUAUUAAGAUAUGAGCAAAAACUAUUUAAUUGAAUUAUAUUAUGCUGUUGAAUCGUGUUUAAAAAAUUUAUAUUGUUGAUUCUAAUGCUGACGAACCUAAGAUACUUGAAAUAAAUAAUCAGUUUGCUGGCUGAAUAUCAUUUGUAAACAAAAAAUGGUUAAAAUAUUGUUGGAUGUAAUUUGAAAAAAAAAAGAUUCGAAAUGAAUACAGCAACCUUACCAAUGGAGGAAAAAUAUUCAUUAGGUUAUCACACCCAAUUAUCUCCAAAUUCUUCAAUUUGCUGAAAGACUCCGAAGCAAGCUGGUGGUGCCAUAUUUUUCUCAAAUUAUCCAUCAACCUAAUACGUAAUACCUCCAACCUAGUAAGUCGUACCUGGCAGUUAAAGAUUAAAUAACUAAUUAAUCAAUUAAUGGCAUAAUCAAUUGAUAACUAAAUUAGAGGCGGAUAUUAACUAAAUUUGAAGACUCAAGGAAAAGACAAAUUAAAUAUUGUGACUAAAAUUAAAUUUUUUUAUUAAAAAAAAAACCUUUUUGUCAAAGAGAGGAGGAGGUUGCAUUUCAGAAUGAAUGGUGUCUUCUGGUGAGCUCGUAGAGAUGAAUCUCGACAUACUGUUGCACCAACUAAUCUCGAGGUUUAGCAAAGAAGGGAAUUCAACAACUAAAUCUGAAUGAAUAUGUCCCGUAUUGGCAAAGCUUGUUAGUUCUGGAAGAAAAUGGAGCUUGAGGGAGUGUAGUUUAGGAAAAACCUUUAAUUCAAUCAACUUUCCUUCUUCUCUUUCUGACCACCCCGUGGUGUCGACCACCCCUUCCAUUGACUCACAAGACCGUAUUUCAAGAUGUUGGAGUUGCAAAAGACUAUUAACCAUAGAAUACGAAAACAGAUACUUCAUACGAUGACAACUGCUCACGUACAGCUUUGUUAAAUUUUGACAACAGUACAUUCCUUGAUUAUGAUCGGCCCAUAAUUUUUUCAUGUUUCUUAAGUCCCUGAGAUUCAAUUCCUCUAACCUCGGAAGAAUAACCUGCAAAGAAAACCCGUACAUUUUUGUUCCUUCAAGUACAACCGUCUAGUAUAAUAUUCUUUUGAUGAUCGAAGAUUAAUCGUGAUAAUAAAUUAAUCAAUUAAUUAUUGAACAGAAAAUUAUCACCUUUGGAGCAGUAUCAUCAUCAGCAAUGAUUUCGUUGAAUCCCAAAGAAGUUGUUGGUUUCUCCCUGUCGGGUCCUAUAAACAAACAAAAACAAUAUAUACAUAAUUAAUCUUUGUUGUUUUUUUUUUUCCAAAAUAAUUGAGGAGAAGUCCAUAAUCCCACCAAUACUUAACUUCAACACUCACCAAAAAUCAUUUCCAGAUCACCGCAAAGAGCCACUUCUACCUUUUGAAGCCGCAGUAGGUUUUUGGCCAUGGAGAAUGAGAAAAGAUGCUUCAAUUUGUGACAGGCUUCUACUUCUAUAAUCCUUAAGUUGCUGAAAGAUUGAUCUUCUGUGAGUUGGCUGUCACAUAUUGUCUCCAAAUUGUUCAAAUAGCUAAGAGACAAUGACUCCAGCAAGGGAAAGACUGUACAAUGAACCCGUCCAACUGAACCGACAAUAUGCAAAAUCUCAGAACAACUUUCUACCCAAAGAUGCUUCAAUCGUGGAAAACCUUCCCCAUCAUCUAAUUCAUGAACAACAUUCUGAACACCCUUCAGUUCGUUUAGAUGGAUCUCUUCAGCUUCCUUCAGCAACAUUUUCGUCCCAUAAUUCUCCAAAAGAGUGCUAACAUUUUCUAGCCCAUCGAGCUCCACCAUUCUUGAUGUUUUAGAAUUAACGCCUCACAUGCGCCACGCUUCUCCUAUACAUAUCUUAUAUCUUUGCAAUUCCACAGAGACCAAAUCCUGCGGUAGAAUUUCGGCAUCCCGAACGUGUAUCUCCAAGGUAGUUAGCUUUGACAACCCCUUCAAUUCAGCAAGACUGGCGUUACUUCCUCCUUCAACCUUAUCCCACUGCGAAAAGCUGUCACCCAUAUAUAGUUCUUCCAAUCGUGAAAAUUUUGAUAUGACAUUUGGUGCUAUCACUACAAGGCUCCUACAAUUGCUCAAAUCUAGCAAUUGUAACCGCGUCAAUUGACCGAUUUCAAGUGGUAACUGCUUAAUGUCGGAAUAUCGAAAGCUAAGAAUCUCUAAUUUCUUUAGCUGUCCAAUUGCCGCUACAUCUUCUUGUUGGCACCAGUCUAAACACAAUGUUUGAAGGUUAAUGAGGCGACCUAGUGACGAAAGUAAUGAAGAGAAAUGAAUUCCAGUAAAAUCUAAAACUUUGAGUUCUUCUGUCCCUUCAAAAAAGAGGUCUGAAACUUGCAUAGGGCCAUUACCCUCCGUAUACAACAAAAAUAACUGGAGAUUGGGACAUCCCAACCUUUCGGGAAGCUCUUGAAUAUCUCUAUAAGGUAAAGAAAUAGCAAUUGGACCUUUCUGUAUUGUCUCUUCCAUCUUUUUCUCCACGUCAGCAACAUUUGGAAUAUUAAACAUGCGCUUCUCUGCUGCAAUUGAUACAGCAACAACAUGAAUGACGUCAUGCAUUUUAACUUCAUCUUUGGCAUCACCGUCCAACAAUAAGCAUGAAGAUUUGAGAUUGUCGAUCAACCGAUGCACUCUACUCCUUGCUUCUUCCAAUGUGUAAACAUUUUCAAACAAACCCCAACCCACACCAUGUCUCAAUAAGUCAGAAACGGGUAUGACAUUACCUUCACUGUAUAGACCACAAAGACGGAACAGAGAUUUUGCCUCCUCACUUUCCAAGAAUUCAUAACUCAAUUUUAUGGAGGUGUACACAUUUGCUUGCAUGCCAUGAAUUUCUCUUGCAUCCGAUCUUCUUAGCUGAUUCAAUGCAUCUUGCCAAAAGUAACGCUCCUUAGUUUUCAGAGCAUUUGCAACUGUACUCAGUGCAACAGGCAAACCUCCGCAUCUUUCAACGAUCUCAUUUGCUAUACUUUGAAAAGCAGAUAUUUUAGUUGAAUCACCCACUAUCUUCUCAAAUAACUGCAAUGCUUCUUUUCGUGGCAAAGCAUCGAUCGGGAAAUUUUUCUGAGAAUUCAUAUCAAUGCUCAAUAAAUCUUGCUUUCUAGACGUCAAUAUUAUUGUGCAUCUUCUCUGAUCAUCCUUUCUAUCUUUCUCAGCAACAUCUCCAGAAGGGAUUCCAACCGCAUCCAACUCAAGUCUUGUCCAAAUAUUAUCCAAUAUAAUGAGGACCCGCUUCUCUUUCUUCAAUACUCGACGUAGUCGAUUUGCUCUGUCGAAUAUAUUCUCAUUCAACUCAAACUUUAUGCCUAAAUCUGAAGCGAGUUUGUUUUGAAUUUGCUGAUUAUCUGAUUCAUGUGUUAGCUCAGCCAUAACGACCUUAUCGAACAACUUAUCUUCCAUCACUUGCUUUCUAACUUGCCUGACUAGCGUGGUUUUACCCACGCCGCCCAUGCCGUAGACCCCAAUUAUGUUGAGCUUAUCAUCCUUCAACGCCUCCAUAACAUCCUGUAAUACUUUCUUUCUUGAAUCAAAGGCCUCGUUAUCUUUCCCGCCCCUAGGUGAUUCGCUCUCUGGAGGAGGAUCGUAGGAAACAUCACUCUUCAGUUUGUCGCCUUUUUCCAUGAGAUUAGCAGCAUCUUUUGCGGCCUUUGCUGCUCGUUUACUGAGUUUGUAACGAGACAACAAAUUUGGACACAAUCCUUUGAAGCAGGACUUCUUGGCUCCAUCUUCUUCGUCAAUGAUAGAUUUUGCAACCCCCUCCGUAGAUUCAACCCUACUUCGCCAGUCUUUGACACGCUGAUAAAUCUCUUCCCCUUGUCGGGUAGCAUGAUAAACAUGUUGUUGCACCAUUUCGUUUAUACCUCCCAACUCCUUCACUUGAUCUUUCAGCUCUUCUAUGUAGCUCUGGUACUUGAACACAUAAGAGAUCUGCCGCAUAAUCGGUUCGAACAAUGCCUUUGUGCCUUCUGAUAUAAUGCUUGAAAAAACACCUUGACAGAAUUCUACAGCCAUUGCCUGCUGCUUAACGAUAUAUAUGUAGUUUUUGGCUGUUAAAAAAAAAAAAAUUGGAUUCAAAUAAAUUAAAUGAACUAGAGGGGAAGAAAAAGAAAGAAACGACAACAAACAACUUUUUAGAGAAAGGUUUGACAGGCCUAAAUGGAAAACCAACAACUUUUUGAAGAAAGAAAACUUUGGAAGAUAGAUGCAAAUUAACCGUUGAUAAUAAUACUACAUUAAGAACACAGAAGUUAACAAUAAACAGUAACUUAAAACUCAAGAAAAUUAAAUGACGAGAUUAAGACAAACAAGGGAUAGUUUUUGUUGGACAUUAAGAAACAACUGCUAUCAAGAUCAAGGAUUAGAAAUUAUGCUAUUAAAAGAAGUUAUUAAAGGAUAGUGCUCGUGACUGCAGGAAAAUUUCUAAUGGAAACAACUCAAUUUCAGAAGAAUUUAUCCAAUUGACUCUGUACUUGAACUCGUUGGAUUGGUUGAUUUAUGAUUGACUGAAUUUCAAUUCGGCCCAAAAGAUCUUUAACCAAAGUUUAAUAGCUAUCAUCUACUCCUUAAAAGCAAAUGUGUAUCUUUUUUAGAUUUGACUGAAUUUGAUCUUGUUGGAUUGGUUUUUUUUUAGACAAAGUUGUUUUCCUACUGAUUUUUAUUCUUCAAGUAAACUUAGAUACAAAGUAAAUCUAAAAAAAUGACAAACAAACAAUGAAAUAAACGACAACAAACUGGCAAUUUUGAUACAAAGCCAACAAAUAUUAAAAUUUAGAACAUUUUGUUUUCUUGCUUUCUUUUGUUGGAGGAUUAGAGAUUUUGGUAUUACCCGAAAGGUUUCAAGGGUCUGAGUAGAAACCUAUAAUCUUUUUAAAAACUUUUUUUUAAAAAAUUUUUUUUGGGGAAAAGGAUGCAAAUUAACCAAAGGAAAUAAUAAGAGCACAGGCUUUAUCAAUGAACAAAAACUUAAAACUCAUGCAAAAUAAUUCAAUAUUAAAACAAAUCACUGAGGAAUAUUUAAGAACAACUUGAAAGAGCAAAAAGAUCACUGAGGAAUGUGUGAGAAAAGAGUUGACGAGAGAAAUAACAAUGACUUGCAGAAGAAAAACCAUUAAUAAUUAUGUGCAUUUUUAUUUUAUUUUUAUCCGCAUGCACUUUAAUGAUUAGUGCUCCUUUCAUAAAGCAGCUACCGGAAACACACAAAUAUCAUUUGAGAGAGAAACUAAACAGCAAAUCAUCAAAGUAAGAUCAAUAAUAUAUUAUUUGGUUAAUGCAUAUUCAAGAACAAAAACAAAAAUAAAUAAAUAAAUAAAGAAGGUUUGAUUUUGUAUUGCCAACGCUGCUUUUUUGUUAUUUCAUUUGUUCUUUCCACAAAUGAUGCUUGGUUAUAAUUAAGUUUCACAUGGCCAUUACUUACAAACUGUGUUUGUGUUAACAGAAACAUGAAAUUCACAUCACACAAAAUUGCACUAUCAAUUCUUAAUAGAACAUAAUAAUAAUUACUCAACGCAUAAGGGUAAAUUUAGAAUUACAUUUUCUCAAUGCAGAAGGGUAAAUUUAGAAUUACAUUUUCUGAUUCUUUUUUAUUUAAUAAAACCCCAAUGGAAAAUCAUAAAAAUUUAGAUAUAUAAAUUUUCUCCACCAAACAAGAAAAAAAAAGGGGGAAUGAAAACACAGGAUUUAUUUUACCUCUCUUUCAUCUUAACUCUUUUUCAGGCAAACCAAAACAAAAAAAUUUCAAUAAAGAGCUAGUUGUUGAAAUUGAUUUAUCUUGUUUUUCAGGCUAUCUUGUGACGUGACGAUAGAUAAUGCUCGUGAAUGCUAGAAAAUUUCUAAUGCAAACAACUCAAUUUGGGAUGAUAAGCUUAAUUUUGCAAAUGACGAAUGUAAAUAACUUGUUUUGAUUAAUUGAAUUUGUAAUACUCUUACCCUAUUCUAAAAUUUGGAGGUUGCUUGAGAAAAAAGGGUAUUUCUCACUCAUCUUCAAUCCUCAAGUAAAAUUAGGUAAAAAUCAAAUCUAAAAAAUCACAAACAAAUUAACAAAAAAAAAAAAAAAAACAACAACAUUGAUCUUGAGACAAGUGAUAUUUAAACAGAGAAUUCUUUAUUCUUUUUUACUUCCCCCUCCCCCCCCGGGGGGCUCGAGGAUUAAAGUCUUGCUAUUAACAGAGAGGUUUUAAGAGUCUGGAUAAAACCCGUGCUUUUUUAAAAAACCACUUUUUUUUUUCUUUUCUCUUUUUUUUGGGAAGAUAGAUUCAAAUUAACCAAAGCUAGUAAUAAGAGCACAUACCUUACAAAUGAACAAUAACUUACAACUCAAGCAACAUAAAUGAUAAGAUUAAAACAAACCGGAGAAAUUUUUCUUGGAAAAUAGACGGAAAUUAAAUAAGAACUGCUGUUAAAAGAAAUUAUUAGAGGAUUUAGGAGCAUGUGUACCUCUUUAAUUAUUUGGGAUCAGAGAGUUGAUGAGCUCUCUAUUCGCCUUUAAUAUUGAGUAAGAACUGGUAUUAAAAGAAAUUAUUAAGAACAAUAUUUCAGUGAGCAAAAGAUCACUGUUAACUGCAGAGGAAUUUGCGAGUAAAAAUUAAGCUGAAAAGAGCAGUAACAAUGAAUUGCAAAAGAAGGAGACUUAAUCAAGCACCCCUUUUAUACCCGAUUUUUAAGAUUUAAUUUUGAAGUUCCCAAUCAAGAACAAAGACGAAGCUUUAAUGAAGCAUGCAGUGAGAUACAAGAAAUGGAUCGGGCAAAAUACCUUACGAAGCGUUUCAUAUUUUCUAAUGAAAUAAUUAAGUUGAAGUUUUCGACGAAUAAAUACUUGUUGUGCUUGAAUAAUUUUGGCAUAUACAUUACUUGUAUCCGGCGAAAUUGAAAAGCACAUUCAUUUACAGAGCUUGUUAGUAGGGAAAAGCUUCGUAAGAUGCCUGAUAAAAGAUAAAGCAAAAGCUUGAAUGAAGAAUGACAUUUUAGAAAGAAACUAAAGUGCAAUCAUCAAAGUAGGAUCAAUAGUGACUUGAUCAGUUAUGCUUUUUGUUAUUUCAAUUGUUCUGUCCACAAAUGAUGCUUCGUUAUUACUAAUUCCACAUGGACAUUAUUUAGAAACUGAUCUUAUGUUUAACAGAAAAAUAAAAACUCGUCAUCAUAAGCAUUCUUGGUUGUCCUAAACCAGAAGUAGGUGUUUUGCCUGAAAGUACCACUUUGCUAGCAAAUCUAGUGGGUAUACUGAAUAAAUUUUUACAUUAUUCUAUUUGAUCUCUCUGUCUUUAUCCUAAGCAUUCUUGGUUGGGAUCGCUGCAUUGUCCUGUAAUCUGUGUGACUUAGUGAAAAGAGGAAUGGGUAACUGUGGUUAUGGGUACGUGAGAGGUAACGAUGAGGGUAGAUUGUUAAUUUUGAGGAGCGAUUUGCUUGCAUAAUUCAAUGCAUGGACAGAAAUGUCCCUGACCAAAAAAAGGGACCAUCCAUAUCUGAAUCUGAGCAUCAGAGCUUGACUUAUUUGAUAAAUAGAUAUACUUGAACUGUUUUUGCAUAAUAACUAAAAUAUUUAUUUUUAUAUAUUCGAUAAACGAGCUCACUAUUGAUAGAACUUAUUAGAUACUACAACUCAAAUAACUUCUUGUGCUUGAUUGAGGUUUUUAUAUAUUCGUAUGUUUGAGUUUUUUUUUUUUUUUUACUUUCUAAGAAUUAACUUCUACCUUGAUUCUAAAAAAAAAUAUAUAAUUUUACAAAUAAUUUAGUUCGGCAUUUGGUAAAUGAUAACUAUUUGAGAAUAAGUUUUAAAAUGGUUUACUGUACAAAUCUGGUAAAUGAAAAUUAAAAGUGUAAAAUGUUCACAUAAUGAAAAUUAAAAGUGUAAAAUGUUCACUUGCAAUGACAACAAAUACUUAUUUACUUAUUUGUAAUUUAUUUUGAAUAUUAUUGUUUAAAUCAUUUUUUUUACUUACCAGAUUUUUUAAGAGCAUUCUAUUUUCUUUAUUACAUAGUUAAAUAAUUUUUUAUUAGCUAUUUUAUUUUGCAAUAAAAUUAACUUCAAUAUUUUUUUAACUAAAAAUUUUGUUAUGUAGUUCGUGAUAUAACAAAUACUAACAUAUCAUUAAAUUGAUUAAUAAAUUAAGUGCAAAAAAGAAAAUGCAGAAAUUUAAUCUUUAUAUAAACUUUUAUGUACAUAAAAUCAUUGUAAUCAAACUAGUUCAUAGAAAUAUAAUAUUAUAUACAUGUGUGUAAAAAAAACAUAUGACCAUAAUAUUAUCCACUCAUUAAACUUGCUGCACUAUUAUUUCUCAAUCUCUCCAUCUCUCGACCUUCAAGAACAUUACUACCAUAAUCUUCUUCUUGAAUUCAACCUCCAUUUCCUCAUCAUCAACAAUGCGACCAAUUUGCCUUGAUAGCCUUUCAACUCCUCCCACUUUCCUCCCUUUUUGCAGACACUCUUUUUCUUUUUCUUUUUCUUCUUUAAUAGCUUCAAUGGGAACAACCUCAUCUAACGACAAGUCCAUUCUUCAACUAGAAUAGAGUUGGUAGUAGAUAUUUUAGUACUCUCAAACUAUGCCCAAACAGGGUCACCAAUGAUUGUCGUAUUAAAAGACAUUCUAUUUAAUUUUCCUCUAACUCUGGGUCGAUACCUUUUAUGCAAAAUCUAUUUACUUCAGGAAUUUUCUACACAUGUCGAUAGCAUAUUAAAGUGAAUUCAGAUCCUAUAUUAUUGACAUUAAAAUUUAGCCGAAUAGUAAAAAAUUUCCCUUUUUGUUUGUCACACAGCCAUAUAGUCCCAUUUUUGGUUAUAAGCUCACAAUAUGCAAGGGAAAUGAAGAUCUAUUAAAACUUCCCCAUAAUGUUCAUUUUGUUGCUCGGAGGAAUAUAACUACCUAUUAAUUAAUUAGCAAGAAUUGCGUUGCGAGUCCAUGUUUUUGUCGUUUGGAUGGAGGAUGUGCUAUCUUUUUGUUGUAGAUGCUUUGUAAGGCUUUUGAUUUAAUGAUUUAAUGCAGUCAAUUAACAAAAGCUUACAUAUAGUAUUAUGUAGUUGCUGAGAUGUCUGUUCUUGAUAAAGUCGAUUUAUUUACACCCAAGCCAACGGAAUCAAAGCCUUUUCGUUAAUAAUAUACACGGUAAUUGUUUUUGUUAAAUUGAUUUCUAGCUAACAAGAUCUUUGAAAGCAUUUAGGUAGCGUUUACAUUUUAUGUUGGAGUGAGAAUCAUGAGGAGUGAGAAUCCUGGGAUUAGAAGUGUGGAGUGGGAGUCGAAGUAUGUUGUUUACUUACACUGGAAUGGAAGUAUGGAAUUGAAAUCAGAAUCCAAUUUAUUUGUUUACAUUGUCUUGGAUUGGGAGUAAAUGAUUUUAAAUUACAACUUUACUCUUAAAAAAUUAUAGUUAUUACUUACAAAAUUAAUAAAAAUUAUAUUUAAAAAAUAAAAUAUUUAUUUUAUUAUAUUUUUAAAAUAAUAAUAAUAAUUAAUAUUCUUAACUAUGUAAAUCAAAAUUAUUUUAUUAAUUUAAAUUUAAAUUAUAUAAAUAAAAAAUUAUUAAUAACAACAACACAAAUGAAACAUUAUUAUUGUACAAAAUUGAUUUUUAGAAUAAAAUAUUUAUUAUUAUUAAUCACUAAUAUUAAAUAAAUAUAAUAGUAUUAUUUUUAAAUAAGUAUAAUAAUAUUAUAUUUUCAAAUAAAAAUAGAAUAUAGUAAUAUUAUUAAUUCUUUAUGAAUAUAAUAAUAUAAUUUUUAAGUAAUUUUAAAUUAGAAUCAAUAUAAAUUAUUAUUUUUAACCAAAAAAUUAAUAUUAUUUUCAAUAUGUUUAAUAUUAUUAUUUUUAAUAAAUGUAAUUUAUAAAAUAAUAUAAUAAUUUAAUUUAAAUAAAUAUGAUAUUAUUUAUUUUAUUUUAUUAAAUAUAAAGGUAAAAAAUGAAGAGAGGCGAGUGAAUUCCCACUCCCACCUUGCCCCAUGAGAGUGGGAAUCCCAUUCAGUCACUCCAAAGUUAGGUGGGAUCCACAGAGUGGAAUUCUCACUCUCCCUUUGAAAAUUGUAAGUAAACACUAGAGUAAAAGAAAUCCACACUCCUCACUCUCACUCCAAAAAGUACACACUACAUUGAAGAAGCCAUUGACUCAUAAGAAAGCCAUGAUUAAAUACAAGGCGAAGCAUGUGAGCUCGUUUUUCAAUCUCUUUGAUCACUCAUAAGUUUUUCUAUACCACUCACUAUAUCAUCCUUUUAAGUCAAUUUUGACUGAUCAUCAGAGAUCAUGCACCCCACCUUGAGAUGAUUGAUCACCAAUUUGGCAUUGUAACAUUGAUCACCUCUAAUUGGCCAAGCUAAAAUUGGGACCCCAAAACCAAUUGCUUCUACAGUUGAAUUUUAUCCACAGUGAGAUAAAAAUCCACCUGUUAAUUGAUAACUCAGUAUCAAUAAUUGUGGUGCCAUUCCAUCUAUUAUCAAACCCUUUUUACUGGCUCUACUAUCUAAACCACUACGAAAAUAAGCUGGUUAAAUGACGUAGAGGAUCCAAUCUAUUUACAUAAGUUUGAAUUACCUAAAUAAUCGGUGGAUUUGAUGCUUAUAAAUCAGAGGGAAUUGCAGCAGAUACACCUUCAUACUUUAAAAAUUACCUCAAUACCUUAAAAUUUGAUUUUUCCAAAAUUUUCAUCAAUAUCCUUUAAAAGCUGAUAGGAAAUGACUAAGUUAUCCUCGUUUUAAAACACUUCAACUCAACUGGCAGCACCUCUCCCUCCCUCUACUCAAACAAACAAACACUCAUAUAUGCUACAAUUCCCUCCACUACCUUUACUCAAACAAACAAACAUUCAUUCUCCAUACAUGCUAAAUCGAACUUCAACACGAGCAAAUUGAGCUGAGAAAGGGAAGCUGCUACAACUGAGAAAGAGAAGCCUAGUUCGUCGCUACAUAAUCGCCAGCGAGAGUUGAUCCUUUAUUGCAAAAUGGUCAGAAUGUAACUAGUUGAGGUAAGUAAUUCCCUAUAAUUUGUUUUCUUGUUGAUAUUCAAGGGAAAAAACAAAAAGUUAGGGUUUUAUAUUGAAAAAAUAAUUAAUUAGUUGCGGGUCUCUCAUAACAUGUUCGAAAACACAUUUCUAGUUGUUUUGUUGCAUGCAAAUUGUGAAAAAUUAAUGGAUUGUGCCGAUUAUAAUUUUUUCAUGUAACACACGAUUUGGUCAUGUAAGGUUAUGUAAGAUUCAAGGUUGUGUAUUACACGACCUUCAUGUAUUGCACGAUUACAUGACCUUCAUAUAUUGCACGAUUACACGAGCUUUAUGUAUUACACAAUUACAUGACCUUCAAUUCCAGAUUGAGGAGUAAAAAGUUUAUCAUCUCUCCAGGUGUGUUCUGUAAUUUAAUUUUUUGUUUCUUGUCGAUAGAAUAUACACAUUACAUUUAGUUUAAUUAGGCUCACAAUUGGGGACAAUAAAUUGGAAUGGUACAUAUGCCUUUACCUUGUGGAAUGUCAUUACUUAGAGAGAUCCUUAAUUUGCAAUUAUAAGCCAUGGUAAGUCAUGGUAUGUCUAGUUAUGAGUGGAAACACUUUGAUCAUUGCGAAUGGUGUUCUUAUGUGUAUAACAUUACAUUAAUUUCCUAUAGUUAAUUUUUUUUCCUAAUUGAUUUCAUGGAUUAAUUAUAUGCAGGCAUUCCUCAUGUAUGCAUGUAUGUUUGGGCAGAGGAAGAAAGCACUUUGAAGAUUAAAAAAGCUUUUUAAAUGGUUGUACUAUGUUUAAUAGCGAUGUUCAUUAGUGUAUCAUAUCCAAAUAUUGAAAAAUUUGUACACUGAUAACUUUGUUUAUUUAUACUAAUUAAUCUAAUCAUUUCUCAAACUGUCGGAUGUUCAAAUUUAGUUUUUUUUUUCUGCAAUUUAUGAACACACGAUUUGGUCGUUUAAGGUCAUGUAACAUAGGAUUCAAGGUCGUGUAAUAUACUCAUGUAUACAUGACCCUCAGUCGUCUAUGACAUGACUUUGUAUAUUAUUACGCGAUCUUGAAUCAUGUGUUACGAGUCUUUCAUGACCUUCAGUUAUAUAUUACACGACUUUCAUGUACUACACGACUUUAUGUAUUACAUGACUUUAUAUAUUGCGCGAUUAUACAGCCUCCAUGUAUUACACGACCUUAAAAUUACACGAAAUUUUCCAUUAAUCAUUAGAUUAAUUUAGUUCAUUAAAGACUUAAUUUGUGCUAAGAAUUUAUAUUUGCUGCUAUGCAGAAAAUGUCAACGAAAAUUAUUAAAAAAAAGAAGUGAAAUUAAAUUGGAAUCUAAAAAAAUUCCACAUCAUCAUUGGUUUGAAUUGUAAGUGGUGGCAUAGGAUCAGAUGUCUUAAGCUUGAACUUCAUUGUGAUUUCGAAUUCCGAAGUAUCUAUAUCAAUAAAUUGAGCUAAUCUUCACCAAUCCGGCAUAUGUUGUCGAUCGUGGUAUCAUUAUCCCUUUAGCCUUGGAACCUUUGAACUUAUACUCAUCAUUUUGGUCAAUCCAUUCACCAUUGAAGAGAAUAGGUACACGUACCAAAACCAUAUCUGAUGAUACAAUAAAAACAAUAAUAUCAAAUUUCAUAUACAAGUAACUACACGACCUACAUGACUACAUUACUUACAUGACUUACACGACCUACAUGACUAUAUUACUUACAUGACCCACAUGACUUACACGACUAUAUUACUUACACGACCUACAUGACUAACUACAUGACGUGCACGGUAUCAAAAGGAAUGCACGACGCAAAACAUUUUCACCAUAAAUAAAUUAUAUUGCUGAAAAAAAUAAUUAAACAACCUACAUUGCAUAUAAUUCUACAUAUAAGAAAAAAUGGUGAAAAUACAACAUUAUAGAGUGAGGAAAUUUUCUAAAUUUUCCUAAAAAUUAAAAAAAAAUUAAAACCCAACAACAUUAACAUAUCUUAUUGGGUUGUUUAAUGAGCAAUGCACCUAAUUUCAGUUAAAGAAAGAGUGGGUGUUAAAGAAAUGAAUAUAUAAUUGUAUUUGUGUAAGAAGUUAUGAGAGAUUUUGAGAGAUUCUAGGAGAUUUUGAGAAAAUUUCGGCAGCAAGAAAAGAUUUGGGUGAAAGAAAUAUGAAGACAAUGAAGUUGAGUGAAUUUGAUGCAUUCAUUAAGGACAUUUCAAACUUUACUUACAUUUAUUAGGGUAUCCAUGAAAACAAAAAAGGGAGGGGAUAUUUAAAUAAUUUUGAAACUAUUAAAGGGUAUUUAAUUAAAAAACCCUCUAAAUCAUUGGCUAAUGUUGAAUAAUUAUUUAAGGUAGGACCCAACAUGUAUAACACAGAUCCAUAUGAUUUCAAAUCUAAUCAUUUAAUGAUCUCAUCUUCGGUCAUGUUAGAACUCCGCCGGUUGGUUCUCAUCUCACAAUCACGAAGCACUGAACCGGCCGAUUUGUAAAAUUGUUUAGGUAACAAUGGGCCCACUCCCCACACUGGCAUCAACACCAUCGAUCCCUCCACUUGCUUCAUCCAGUGUGGUUGAUCACUCGGUUCUGAUGGACCUAUUUUCUCUGAACCGGGUGCACCUCACAAAGGUUGUGGACCACCAGGAAGGGACCCGUGAGGCCUGCGUUUAAGAUCCGAUUCGAAUAAAGCAAUAUCCUUGGGUAACCCAAGAAGUAAACGGGCCUCUCCCGGUUUGACAUCCUGGAUGCGAGCCUGCCACAUGGCACACUCUACAGCUGCUGAGCAAGCAUCAGAAGUGAAGAACCCAACAAUGGGAACUUCAAAAUUCUUGAAAACAUCAGCCGUCCAGCCCAUCAUAACGCCGAUGACUACGCAAACAGGUCGGCUUUCGGGUUCCCGGGUUGAAAGGAGGUUUCGAAGGCCUUGAAGCAUAUGGCUGUGCAUGACAACAUGGUGGUGAGAAGGAGGUGAUGGUAGUGGUUGAGAUGGGAGGGUAUUUCGGUAAUUUCACAUAGAGGGUAUUGGUGAAGAGAGGAAGGGGUGAUGCUGGUGGUGGAAACGUGAGAGGGAAUAAUGAGGGUAGAUUUGUAAUUACGAGAAGCAAUUUGCUUGCAUAAUUCAAUGCAUGGAAACAGAUGUCCCUGACCGAAGAACGGGACAAUCCAAAUCUCAGCCUCAGCAGCAUUCGCAACAGAGCUUGACAUCUUUUAUGAAUUAUUUGAGACUUAAUUGUUAUUGACUGCUUUUGCCAUCUUUCAUAAAACAUUCUUUGUUAUAUAUUCAAGUAAAUAAAUUUAUCGUUUAAAAUUAAUUUUUCAUGUGGUAAAAGCAAUACUAAAUAUGGGGUGGAGAGAAUAAUUUGUAGGGCAUACCCCCACCAUUUAUUUAAUUUCAUUAAAAAAGAAAGAAAAGAAAUAAAGGCUUGUUCAACAUUCAAUUAAAAUUAACAAUUCCAUGAUAAAAUUACUUGAGAAUAAAAAUUUUUAAAAAAAAAGUAACUCAAAAACGAGGAAUUUUUGAGUAACUGAAGAACCAUAGAUGUUUUUUGGUCAUGAGCAAUUUUUGAGUUGAGACAGAACUUGUAUAAAAAAAUAGUUUUGAAAACUUCUUUUCUUUUUUCGUAAAUAUAGAUAUAAAAUUUUAAAAUCACCAAACACAAAACCAGGAAAAUGGAAGGAGAGCCCCUGUUUCUCCUCUGUUGCAAGAACAAAUUCGGUUUCUACAGUUGUACCUUCUAAAUGCACCAUUUGUAUUGCUUUGUCUCCACUUGAGCUAACGGAAUUUGAUGAAAACAAAAUAGAUAUGAGUGGUGCUAUUCACAGCCCUCAAUAAUUCUCUCAAAACCCCUUUUCUAAUUAUACCCCGUUGAAUAAGUUCAAGACCAACUUUUCCUCUUAUAACACCACCUUCAAUUCCGUUAAUACCCUUGUUCGCUAUGAAAAUGAGGAAAAUGCCUACAUAAAAAGCUGGCUCUGAUAAUCUACCUGAAUUUACAUUAGAAAAGAGUGGACUUUGAGAAAUAAGAAGACAAUAUAGGGAAUUUUACCAAAAUAAUCCAUUUUUAUAUACAGGGAAUGGUAUUUUCUGAUAUAGGGAGGAGUGGAGAAAUUAAAUUCAGCAAAAUAAAGAACCUCCAUCGAGAAGUAAAAAUGAUGAUAUCUUUGUCGUGAAGAGAUUUCUGCCUCAUACAAAUUUUUUAUUCUAGAAUGCUUGAAACCGAAAAGUUCUGUAGUUGUUUCAAUUCAAUUGCAUACAUUGACGAAACAUUAAAUACGGAAAAAAACAAAAAAGAAAUAAUAGGACAGGGGGAUUUCGAGAAGUUCUAAAGAGAGAAAUCUAUUUAUAAGCAUUGAAAAUUAGCUCAUUAAAUUUGACAGAAUAAUAUACAAUCUCACUGUUGGCCAGAAAAUAAUAGUAAGAACUUGUGAACAUAUAUAAUCAAUUGUUUAUUACUUAAGCUCUUUUUCUUCGUUAUUUUGAAUGGGUGCAAAGAAGAGAAGUUUUGUACCCAAAUUCCAACUCGAAUUGUGUAGGCUGCUUGCAAGAGCUUCAUUAGAUUUUUAUUUGUCUUUUAAUAGUGCUUCUCGACAAAUACAGCUAGCUAUCUGUCCUUUUUGUUACUGGACUAUAGAUCAAUUGACAGUUGAAGUUAUAUUAAUUUGUUGUGCUGGAAUUGAAGCUUGUAUCUUAGCCAUUUGGUGAAGUGUCAAAUAUAUUUUUAAUUUCCUUAAAAUUGUUCAAAAUAUGUUUACACUUUUAAAGUCACUAUUAUACAUGAGUGCCCUAAAAUUGGAGAAGGCGAUUUGCCUGACAUUACCUGUAUUCGCUUGUAUAGAGAGGACGAUUUAGAUAAGUCGGAACGGAACAACCUUCAUCACAUGCUUCCUCACGUGGUUACUUAAACUGAUAUGUAAAACGUGCUCCAUCCAUGUCGUUUCCACUAAAUCGUUUUCUGUUAAGAAUCAGCUGAGCAGCACGUGAGCUAAUGAAGCUUUUACGGCUUCAAAACGCAGCCGUUUCUGGGAACCAAACUUGAUUCAUCACCUCACAACUACAGAUGAAUUAUCGAAGUGGCUGAUUGGUGCUAUACGUGUUUUUCGUAUUGAACUCAACUCUGCUAUUUUCCCAAAAGCUGGAAAACAGAAACAUCAUCCCUGUGGUUUUAUUUCACCUCAACCUUUUUCUGAUCCCAUUUUCAUUGUAAUUUCUCAUUUACUUUGAGUGAAAGUCAUUGUUGCUUUCGAACGAGGUUUUGCAACUAAAAAGGAAAAGGGGGCGGCUAUAAUACAUGCGUGCAUCUGAUACAUGCACAAAAACUGACCAUUGGAUUAAAUGGAGUGGAUCUAAUGGCUGAGAUUUGUUUUAUUAUUAAGCAAUAAAAAAAUUUGAAACAACCAGAAACCUGUAAAACCGGUCAUUUGGUUUAAGUUAAAAAUAUAUAAAUGAAAAUAACAAAAAAACCCACCACUCCCCCGCCUCACACGCGCCUCACCGCUCCCCGCUCCCUCGCCUCACCUCUCUUCUUGUUCCACGGCCAUCAACGGCGGCACGAGUCGGCGACGAUCGACUGCGGCUGUAAAUUGACCACGAUCAUCUCUCUCUCUCGGCUUGCUCAAAUUUGGCCGAUCUGUGCGCUUGCUUAAGCUUGGCCGAUCUAUGCUUGCUCGAUUACUCUUCCUAUCUUCAGUCAGAGUCAACUGUUUGACAAGAGUCGAAGUCCAAGGUUCUUUUUUACAGGAUUUGAGCUAUUCCUUUUAUUCUUCUUGCAUGUUCACUGAUAUGAAGCUUUGAUGUGGUGUUCUGAUAGCGGGUGGAAUUUGAGAUUCUCCUUUCUUCUCUAUAUGAAGGUGCUUGUCAUGUGUCAAGAAAAAUAAAAUUAUUUACCAAAGAUUAUUUUAAGGAGAUUUAUUAUUAUUCGUGGAUCGGGAAGUUUAUUUUGUUUUUUGGUCUCUUAUUUAUUUAUUGUUUUCACGAGGAAAUUGCUGUGCUUUUGGAAAUUAAUAUGCUGUGUUGUCAAUGUUGUGUGAAAUCCUUUUAUUGGUGUCUAUGUAAAGUGUUUCAGAUUUCAGACCUGAGAGUUAAUCUUCGCGUACCAGUUGGCUUUUGGGUUUAGUAUUGCUACUUUUAACAUAAUUGACCUAUGGCCCAAAUCAUUUCUAUAGGGCGAAGCAUAUGAAUGAUACAUAUUAUCUUUUUUUGGCCUUAUGUAUUGUUAUUUGCAGUGUGAUUUGGUCUAGCUUAAGAGCUUAAGCUUGCAGGUUGGAUUUGUCUGACAGGGAACAAUUUAAUUUGCUCAUCGUGAUGUUUAUAUCCAUUUUGUACUACUAUCAAUUUCAAUCAUGCCUAAUUUUUAUAUGUAUUUCUCGUGGACUCUCAGGUUCAGUGCACAAGAGGAUGAAGACGAUGGACACCCAAAUUUGAUGUGGAGAACAACUAUUGCAAAUGGUCCUUGAUUUACUUCUCCAAUUGACUUGAAUUGGUUUGACGCAAUUUAUAGUGUAUUUUUGUCAUCUUUGUACGACUAGCAGGUCGUCCUGAUUUGGUACAUGACUGGACACAGGAAUUGGACUCAUAUUUUUCAAACCAGAAUGCCAACAAUCAAGCAUUUUCUUUUGAAAGCACUGGCGUCUUCUUCAAUGCCAAAAAGGUUAGAGAUUUUCUGUAUCUUGUUUUGUAUUUAAUCAGUUUAGCAUGUGGGUGGCAAUCAAGAAAAGUUAUUAUAACAUUUUUGUGUUCCCGAAAAACUGCUGAUGAUGUGUAGUGCAGGAAAUGAAUUGUUUUUGACUUCUUUUUAUUUGUAUUCUUUCUUUUUUCUUUUCUCCCCAACAGGAUUAUGCAUUUCUGAAGAGCUUCUUGAAGUUGAUUACCAUGUAUGCCACUUUCUUUACUCUAUGCUCAGGAUGUGAUUUUGCCAAGCAUUAAAAUGGUUUAGGUCAGAACCAUCAUCUAAAGUUUACUUAAUGCAGCCGAGAAGCUGUAGUAGAGCAAGGAAGGCUGUUGGUGUUAUGAAGGCCAGCUGUGAAGAAAUAUUUGAACUUGUAAUGAGCAUGGAUGGGACACGAUACGAGUAUGCUUCUUUUCUAUUUUUUAUUUUUAGUUACUUUAACAUAAUCAAGACUAUAUUGGCUGUCUCUGUAAGCUGAGUAUUAUAUUUCCUCUUGCAUGCUGUGAAAUUCACAUUGUCUCCAGUCCCGAUUCUGUAUGUGCCUUUUUGAAUAUAUUUAAUUAAUCUGCAUGGUGCUUUCUAAAGAUUAUUACAAACUUUUGUUGCUUAAGUAUAUGAAGAAUGUAGAAAUGAAAACAGCUUUUGAAGUUUGAUGGAUUGCUUCAUUAAUAAAGAAAGACUAGGACUCAUUUUUAUAACUUUUCUCCACUUAGCUAAUGGUAUUUGAUGAAGACAAAAUAGAUGUAGCUAUCUAUAUUUUUUGUUGCUGAACUAUAGAUCAAUUGACGGUUGAAGUUAGUUAUAUUAAUUUGUUGUACUAGAAUUAAAGCUUGUAUCUUAGCCAUUUCAUGAAGUGUCAAAUACGUUCUUUCCUUUUUUUUUUUUUUUUUCAAAACAUGUUACACUUUUGAAGUCACUAUUACAUAAAAGAGUGUUCUAAAACAGGAGAAGGCGUGCUGCCUGAAAUUACCUGUUUCCUAGCAAAUCUAGCUGGUUUGCGAAUUAGAUUUUAACAAGUCUCUUGGCAAGGUUUGCUAGUAAUGUGUUCAAAUUAUUCUAUUUAAUUUUACUGUCUGUACCCUAAUAAUUCUUGGUUUGCACCAUUGCAUUGUUCCAUAAUCUCUGUGCGUUGGCUUAUAAAGGCCAGCAAGGCUGAUCAUUUGUCGAAUAGUUAUUUCCAUGAAAUUCCUAUCAAUUUGACUCAGUAUUUAGAGGUCUUGAAGAGGGCAGUGUACUAGACAUGGAUUUCUACCUCUUUUGGUUGUACAAUUGUUGUAUUUCUUGGCCAUCAGAUCUUUUUAAUGUACCUUUCUCAAAGUUCAUGCCGCACGUACACCGUUUUUCAUGUUUUGUGCAUGUGGGAUUGUAGUCUUCUGUAUCGCAGCUUAGUUGAAGAGGUAGAUGGUCAUACGGCUAUUCUCUAUCAUAGGCUUCAGCUGGACUGGUUUCCAAUGUAAUAGUCUCUUGAUUCAAUCAUCUCAUUUAUGCUUUGGUCAGAAUAGAACAUUUAUUGUUUCCUUCUUUCCCCUUUCCUCUCUUCUGAUGUAAUAUGUGAGGAAAUUACCUAAAAUUUCUGUAUCCCAAUGUAAUUGUUGGAAUUCAGAAAUAAAAUAAAUACACCGUCUUGUUUUUCCCUCGGUUCAGUCCCAAGUUCUCUUUGGGCCUUCUGCAAGUUUUUAAACAUACUGUGACAGUAAAAAAUCUAGUGAUUGAGAUCAUUUUGAUGAAUUUAAUUUUAAUUCUUAGCUGAUACUUUUUCUGGAAUUUUUUUCUUAUGUUUCCUCAAUAUGACUUAAAUAUAGGGCUUAGUUUGGUUUAGAAGUUCAUCUAAAACCUUCUCCUUGAUUCCAAAAAAAUUCUCUAGAAAGGUCUCAGAUGGAUUUUAGGGGAGUUUUGUGGCAAAUUUGAAAAGUUCAGGGGAAGGGUCUAAUGAAUUUUAAAACCACAUGGGUUAUCUGUUUUAUUCAGAGGAUAGUGGAAUUCCCUGAAAUUUAUCAUUUUUAUUUAAAUAAUCUUCCUACUUUCCUCUGCAGAAUUUAUUUAUAUAUAUGAAUUCAUUUGGUUGCAGGUUUGUUUGGCCCCGCGGCCUUUGUUAAGUGCGUUAUUGGCGUUGAAAUGACGCUGCGAGUUAUGGUAAGGUUCUUGCUUCCCCACUUCUUGAAAUUAAAUCUAUCUUUUCUGGCACUAGAAGUUUCCAUAAGCUGUGUUUUGUUAUCGCGCAGUUGUGUUAUUUCAUUCUAGGGAGCAUAUGAACUGUGGUCCACAACCCGGAUAUGUACGAGCUCACAUGGAGAGUUAGUUUUCUGUCCUUUACUUUGGUUGAUGUAGAGAAUUAACAAGUGACUAAGUCAUGCCAAGUUGCACCACUUGCUUCCUGUAUUCUGAUUUCUCAGGUGGUGGAUUCAACAUUUCCCCACUAAAACCUCAAAAUGGUAGGCCCAGAACACAAGUACAGCAUCUUAUGCAGAUUGAUCUAAAAGGGUGGGGUGUUGGUUAUGUGUCAAUGUUUAGCAACACUGUCUUCUGCAGAUGUUAAAUAGCAUUGCUGGUAAGUUUCUUGCUUUCACAUUUUAUUUUGCGCUGUUAUGGGUUAAUAUGUUUCUGUUGGGUGGCCAUUUUAAGUCAUAUUUUUACGUGUUACUGUAUUUUCUUCAGUCCUUUUAUAGGGAACACACACAUACACGUAUGUAGAGUCACCUUUUAAUGAGGGAUCUACCAUUUUAAUGAAAUGAGGAAUGAGCUAAAAGAUAAAAAAUUCACGAACUCCAAUGCAAUAUGUGUGUGUGCGCGUGUACACCUUUUCUAACUCUUGUUCUUAGUUAGAUAUUUUUUGGGAUUUCAGGCAAAUGAAAAAAGAGAUUAAGAGAAUGAUUUCAAGAGAACAGGUGGAUAAUAACUUAAAUAUUCAUUUUUAUACAUUUUGUUAAUGUCCUCUUUAAUGGAUUUCUAUGGAAUUAACCUUGUAAUUGGUGUAAUUACGGCAUUGGUGGUUGACAUGGCUUUCCUUGUGCAGGUAUGUAUGAUUGUACUGCAAUUUGCAAAUUUGCAUACUUGAAUGUUCUCAGAAUGGUAUAAUGCUUCGUGUAUGCAGGCAAAUACUACAGAUGAAUUACCGGAGCGGCUGAUUGGAGCUGUACGUGUUUCUUAUAUAGAACUCAAGUCUGCUAUUGUUCCAAAGUUGGAACCAGAGACAUCAUGACUCUGGUUUCAUUUCACCUCAACUGUUUUUUUUUUUAAUUGAAAAAAAAAAAUCAUUUGUUUUAGGUAUACAUACAUGUAUUUUGAUCCCGUUUUCAUUGUAAUUUCUCAUUUACUUUGAAAGAAAGUCAUUGGUGUUUUCGAGUGGGAAUUUUGCAUUAAAAAAUAAAGAAUACUUAAUAGGAAAUUUCAUAAUUCUUUAGUUACUAUUUUUGGAAUGUGUGUAAUAGUAUUAAAGUUGGUUUCUACUCGCAAACAAGUGAACUACUCGAUCCCCAACUGCGACCACGCUAGUUGUCAUUUAAAACUCAACAACUAACAAAAAUACUAAUAAAAAAAUGAUUUUCUUAUAUUGCUGUGAAAACAUUUAUGGGUUCAUUUAUUUCCACAAGAUCUAUAAUUUGGUCUUGACUUUACGAAAUUCUUUUAAUUUAAAGGGUUUUGGUCUGAGAAAGUCAGUUUGACGGAUUAAUUCUUUUUAAUAAUGGUCGAGUUAAUUUUACUAUACUCAUAAAACUAUUUUUAUUCUGAUAAUGCCACAAAUGUUAUGAUGUUUUCUUCAGCUAAUGAUCUUCUAUCAGGACUAGUUAGAAAUCAAAUGCUUAAAACACCGAUUGAAUGUAUAAUGCAGAAGUUUAAACAGUACCUAAUUGAAAAUUGCAUGAAACAUGAAACAUCAAUUCAAGUCCUUCCUUAAACAGAGAAUGCAUCAAACAAAUCCAAAGUGUCUUGCAAGUCUGUAGCAUGACAAAAAAGUUGUAAAUGCGUUUGGAACCAAAUUCUUCAAGUACAGGAGAACGAGCAAGUUGAAUUAUGUACAAGAGAUUGGCCUGGUUCGAGAUAGCUUCUUCACUGUACCUGAAGGAUUGGCUCAAUCUUUUCUUUAGAAUUCUGCACAUUUUGUAAUUACUCGUGUAAGCAAGCAUACAUUACAACCAUAAUAAUAAUAAAGCAAGAGUAAUGAUACGACCACCACCUUUUGUACACAAACAAUAUUGUAUAAACUAAUGCGACAUAAUAUGAUUGGUUAAACAAAAACAUUACAUGGCCCUCAUAAUUUAUUUAUUUAUUUAUUUAUUAUUAUUAUUAUUAUUAUUAUUAUAUAUUUUCAGUCAACCAAUCAUAUUAUAUCACAUUAGUUUCUAUAAAAUAAUUUGCUAAAUAGCACCAAAACUUAAUUGAUACUCACCAUUUCAUUGAACAAUUUUUUUAUGGUGUCAUUGAGGUUGCCUUCCCAACAUCCUUCAUCAUCAUCAUCUUCUUCAUCAUCAUCUUUUUCUUCUUCGGUGACGUUCACUUUGUUUAGCAUUGGUGUGUCUAAGACUCCUUGAGAGAAGAUCUUCAUUUUUGGACACAGUCUCACAACUACUUGUUUCAAGGACGGGAAUUCAAGAGCGUAAUUACCUAAACAAAAGCUUGUUAGGCUUGGCAAACAGUCAAGUUCCAAGUACCUCAAUUUCCCAAAAACAAUGCAAUCUUCCGUUUCUUCUCCAACCUGCGACUGUAUAAUUUCUUCCAUCAUUUUGCAAUCAACUAUCUUCAUUCUUCCGAGAUUCACUAGAUUUUUAGAUGCUGAGAGCGUCAACACAUUUAUCAACCCGUGACACUUCGAUACUUGUAGUCCCCACAGAUUUUCCAAAUGCCACGAAGGUGGUACUAAUUUUUGCAACUUACUACAUUCCGAUAUUUCUAGCCUUUCCAAGUUUGCAAACACUUUGUUGGAUUCGUCAUUUUCCUUCCAGAGAUGCUGCACUUUGUGUAAUCCAGACAGUCUUAACUUCCUCAAUUGAGGGAAAGCAACCUGAAAAUCAACAAAGUUAAGUUGUAAAAGAAAAUACGUAUCCAAUCUCUGGAGUCUUCACCUGCAUAUUUUAUGGACAAGAUUAAUCACGGCAUUUUAUAUUUUAUUUCCAAAUUAGUAUGCUUUGCAGUAGGAUCCCAAAUAUAAGUAUCAAAUCGAUUACCCUUUGAAACACAUAAAUGAAAUCUAAUGCUAAAUCCAAUAUGAAUUAGCUAGGAAAACAGAGAUGUUACACACAUAAUUAAUAUAGUUCAUCACCUCGUGUUAUCAGGCAUCCAAUUAAUUUCAGUCAUUUUUAUAAUUCAUACUAUAAAGAUAGUUAAUAACUGAGGUUAUAUUGUUAAAUCAUAUAUAAAUUAAGAUGACAUGCAAAAAGAUGAGUCAUUAAAUUUGACUUGAUUCUAAUGAAAUUACAUCUGUGCGAACAAAAGUGAAGGGAAUAAUAAUAAUAAUAAUAAUAAUAAUUACCUUUUCAUCGAAGAGGGGUUGUACUUGAUGAGCCAGCAAGAAGUACUCUUCUAAUGUUAAUUUUUGAGGUUCCUUGUUAUCAGUUGUCACAUGCACUACAGAGUUGGAUAUAAAUGUUUCCAUAUCAGGGCAAUUCUCAAUAGUCAGACUCCACAACAUAGGCAUUUCAAUUAUAUUCCCAGUGAAGUUGCAGAAUCUUUUGAGUUUUGGAAGAUCAAUGAGCGUUAGGCUAAAAAGCCUAGGAAACAGGGGGCCUAUAUGUUCUUUGUCAGCAUUUAGCUCUUCCAAAUGAAGCAUCUCUUCUAGUGAAUCACAAUUCCUCACUUCCAGCCUUGCCAAAUUGUUCAAGCAUCGUAGCAGAUUGGCAGGAAUAGCACUCGACAUAUUGGUGCAGUAAUCCACCUCCAGCUCUGCUAAAUAGUUGAAGAAGCGGACAGGCAGUGCUUGGCCAUGCCAUAUUUCUUUCAAACGUGGAAAAUGUGAGAGUUGCAAAUACUGUAUGUCACGGAAUCCAAUCUGCACAAACCAAAACAAUUGCACUGGAUAUAUAUAAAUACAUUAAACUUACAUGUUUUGUGUUUUAACUUCUAAAACUAUAUAUACAAGGCAGGUGUAUAUGUUCAAAUGUGCAAGUGCAAGGGAGAUGCAUAAGUAAUUUCAACGAAUCGAUUUAACACAUACCAUUUCUUCGUAACACUUUUGUAUAGUGGAAUUAAGGUUGCCUUCCCAACGGCACAAUUCACCCUCUUCCUGUUAAGAAUAGAAUUAGUUAGUUAAUGAGUAUGCUGACAUGGCAGCUGAGUCAGCUAAAGGUUGUUAUAGAGGUUGUUAGUAGUAAACUGUGCGUGUGUGCAAUGUGUGUAGAAUCUUCUAUGCACAUAUAAAAAGGCUUGCAAUUUCCAGAUUCAUUAGAUCAAUAAUAACAGAAUUCUCAGCUUACAGAAGUUUUCUUUCCUCCUAUUUUCUUAGUAACCAAACAACAUCACAGUUUCAUAUAAAACUUAAUACUUCCUUUUUACUCACCUGCACUUCGUGCAGCUUUGGUGUGGAUACGAUUCCCUGAGAAAAAGUCUUCAUGUUCGGGCAACGUGUCAUAGAAACUCGUUCCAAUGAUGGGAAUUCAAGAGUGUAAUUCUCCAAACAAAAGCUGGUAAGCCUUGGUAAAUAAUCAAGUAUCAAAACUUUUAAAUUGCUGAAAGCAAUACGAUUCUCCUUCACUUCUUCUCCAACAUGUCCUAUGAUUUCUUCUAUUUUUUCACAGUAUGAUACAUUAAGAUUCACUAGACUAUUGGGAAUUCCAACCUGAAAAUAAAGAGUAGCAUUCAACUAAAUUCAAAGUAUGUCAAAAUCAUACAAUUGUUUUAUGAAAAAUAACAAACCAUGUCUACUAGAUAUUUUUUGUUAAAGAAAAAAGGAAAAAAAUUAAAACAAAAAUAAAUAAAUAGAAGUCCAGAAAAACAAAGAUAAUGAAAAUGCAUUUACACUAAAACGCUGUAUUUCCCUUUUUUUUUUCCCGAUAUUCAUGCUUUUAAAAAUGGAAAACAUUUCUGGAAAACACUUCCCAACGCCAUCAACAUGGGACUGUUACAGAGUGAAUAUUUGAGGAAAUUUUUUAAUAAACGGUCGAUUCAAAAUGACCAUCAUGAAUUUGUGCUUAAUCAAUGGCGUAAUCAAUUCAUAACUAAACUAGAGAUAUUAACUACAUUUGAACACUUUUCUUUAUUUUAUUUUUAAAAUCGAAAUCUAAAGACCCAAGGAAAAGAGAAAUAUAUAUGAAUUUGUGAACUUAAAAGCUGAGUAACUAAGUAUCUUUUAAUUUCUGAAAAUCUUAUUCAUUAGGAUUUAAGGAAAAAAAACAAUUAAAUUAAAUUAUAUUAUGCUGUUAAAUCGUGUUUAAAAUAAUUAUAUUGUUGACUUUAAUGCAGGUGAACCUAUAAAUUAGAUUGAAAAUGCAGAGUUCAGAAUGGUGAUUUGAAGUACAAUACUUUUUUUCCCUCUAGAAGUUUGAAGUACAAUACUUGCAAUAAAUAAUUUGUGAAUGAAAAUUAUUUGUAAACAAAAAAAUGAUUAAAAUAAUUGUUGAAUGUUAUUUGAAAUAAAAAUUCAAAAUGAAUAUAGCAAUCUUACCAAUGGAGGAAAAAUAUUCAGUAGAUUAUGACACACAGAUAUCUCUAAUUUUUUCAAUUUGCUAAAAGACUUCGAAGCAAGCUGGUGGUGCCAUAUUUUUCUCAACUUAUCCGCCCCACGAAUAUGUAAUACCUCCAGACUUGGGAGUCGUACCUGAAGUUAAAAAUUCAAUGCAAUUAGAGAUGGAUAUUAAUUAAAUUUGAAGACUCAACGAAAGAAGAAAUUAACUAUUAAGAAUAAAAUUAAUUUAAAAAAAAAACCUUUGCAUCAAAGAGAGGUUGAGGUUGCAUUUCAGAAUUAGCUUCUGGUGAGGCAAAGCUACUUAGUUUUGGAAGACCAUCGAGCUGCAGGAAGUGUAGUUUAGGAAAAACCUUAAAUUCAUCUCUUCCUCCUAACCCCGUGGUGUUGACUAUCCCUUCCAUUGACCAACAAUUAAUAAUCUCAAGAUGUCGGAGCUGCCCAAGACUAUUAGCCAUAGAAUAUGAAAACAUAUACUUCAGAGGACAACACCUUGUCACGGUCACUUUUGUUAAAUUUUGACAACAAUACAUUCCCUGAAAUUGAUCGGGCCAUAAUUUUUUGAUGUUUGUUAAACUGACAAGUUCCAGUUCCUCCAAGCGUGGAAAAGUAACCUGCAAAGAAAAACCAUACAUUUUUUUUCCUUCAACUACAACUUCUAAUAUAAUAUUCUUUCGAUGAUUGAAGAUCAAUCGUGAUAAUAUAUUAAUUAAUUAAUUAUUAAACAGAAAAUUAUCACCUGAUCAUCCUCUGCAUUGAUUUCUGUGAAUCCCUGAGUAGUUGUUGGUUUCUCCAUGUCGGGCCCUAUAAAUGAACAAAAACAAUAUAUGAUUAACCUCUGUUGUCCCCUCCCAAAACAAAAAAAAAAAAAGAAUGAGCCAAUGUCAAUAAUCCUACCAAUAAUUAAUUUAAACACUUACCAAUCAUCAUUUUCAAUUUAUUGCAAUUUACCACUUCUACUUUUUGAAGCCCCAAUAGGUUUUUGGCCAUAGAGAAUGAGAAGAGAUACUUCAAUUUUGGACAGGAAUAUACGUAUAUAAUCCUUAAGUUGCUGAAAGAUUGAUCUUCUCUGAGUUGGCUGUAGCAUAUCGUCUCCAAAUUAGUUAAAUUAAUAAGAUCCAAUGAUUCCAGCAAGGGAAAGACUUCGCAACGAACCCGUCUAACUGAACCGACAAUAUGUAAAAUCUCAGAACAACCUGUUACAUGAAGAUGCUGCAAUCGUGGAAAACCUUCCCCAUCGUCUAAUUCAUGAACAACAUUCUGAACACCCGUCAGUGAGUAUAGACGGAGAUCUUCAGUUCUCUUCAGCAACAUUUUCGUCCCAUCAUUCCCCAAAAGAAGGCUAACUUUUUCUGGCCCCUUGAGCACCAUCAAUGUUGAUGUUUUAGAUUCGACGAGUCGUCGGUUAGACAUUUGUCCUAUAAAUAUCUUAUAUCUUUCCAAUUCCAUAGAGACAAAAUCCGGCGGCAGAAUUUCGGAAUCCGAAACAUCUAUCUCCAAAGUAGUUAGAUUUGACAACCCCUUCAACUCGACAAGACUGGCAUUACUUCCUCCUUCAACCUUAUCCCACUGUGAAAAGCUGUUAUGCAUAAACAGUUCUUCUAAUCCAGAUAAUUUUGAUAUGACAUUUGGUGGUAUCAACUCAAGGCUCCAACAAUUGCUCAAAUCUAGCAACUGUAACCGCGUCAAUCGUCCAAUUUCAAGUGGUAACUGCUUGAUAUCGGAAUCUGCAAGGCUGAGAAUCUCUAAUUUCUUUAGCUGUCCAACUAUUGCUAUAUCUUUUAGUCGGCAAUAGUCUAAACGCAAUGUUUGAAGGUUAAUGAGGCAACCAAGUGAUGAAGGUAAUGAAGAGAAUUGAAUUCGAGUAAAAUUCAAAACUUUGAGUCCUUCCGUCCCUUUAAAAAAGUGGUCUGAAACUUGCAUAGAGCCAUCACCCUCCGCAUGCAAUAGCUCAAGACAGGGACAUUGCAACCUUUCAGGAAGCACUUGAAUACCUCCAUAAGGUAAAGAAAUAGCAAUUGGACCUUCCUGUACUGUAUCUUCCAUCUUUUUCUCCAAGUCGGCAACAUUUGGAAUAUUAAACAUGAGCUCCUCUUCUGCAAUUGAUACAGCAACUACACGAAUGACGUCAUGCAUUUUAACUUCAUCUUCAGCAUCACUGUCCAACAAUAAGCAUGAAGAUUUGAGUUUGUCGAUCAACGUAUGCAAUCUCCUCCUUGCUUCUUCCAGUGAGUAAACCUUUUUAAAAUAGUCCAUACCCAUACCAUAUCUCAAUAAGUCUGGAACAGGUAUAGCAUAACCUUUACUAAGUAGACCACAAAGACGGAACAGAGAUUUUGCCUCCGCACUUUCCAGCAAGUUGUAACUCAAUUUUAUGGAGGUGUACACAUUUCUUUCCAUUCCAUCAAUUUCUCUUGCAUCGGAACUUCUUAGCUGAUUCAAUGCAUCCUUCCAAAUGUCAAGAUCCUUAGUUUUCAGAGCUUUUGCAACUGUACUCAGUGCAACAGGCAAUCCUCCGCAUUUUUCAACGAUCUCAUCUGCAGUGGGUUGAAAAGCAGAUAUUUUAGUUGAAUCACCCACUAUCUUCUCAAAUAACUGCAAGGCUUCUUCUUUUGAUAAAGCAUCGAUCGGGAAAUUUUUCUGAGAAUUCAUAUCAGUGCACAAUAAAUCUCGACUUCUAGACGUCAGUAUUAUUGUGCAUCGUCUCUGAUCAUCCAUUCUUUCGUUCGGAAUCCCAACUUUAUCGAACUCCAGUUCCCCCCAAAUAUUAUCCAAUAUAAUGAGAUGCCGCUCCUUGUUCUUCAAUACUCGACAUAGUCGAUUUGCUCUGUCGAAUAUACUCUCAUUCAACUCAAACUUUAUGCCUAAAUCAGAAGCAAGUUUGUCUUGAAUUUUCUGAUGAUCUGGGUUCUCUGUUACCUCAGCCAUAGCGACCUUAUCGAACAACUUAUUUGUUUCCAUCACUUGCUUUGCAACUUGCUUGACUAGCGUGGUUUUACCCACGCCGCCCAUGCCGUAGACCCCAAUUAUGUUGAGUUUCUCAUCCUUCAACGCCUCCAUAACAUCCAGUAAUACUUUCUUUCUUGAAUCAAAGGCCUCGUUAUCUUUCCCGCCCCUAAGUGCUUCGAUAUCUGCAGAAGGAUCGAAGGCAAUUUCUUCACUCUUCAGUUUGUCGCCUUUUUCCAUGAGAUUAGCAGCAUCUUUUGCGGCCUUUGCUGCUCGUUUACUGAGUUUGUAACGAGACAACAAAUUUGCACACAAUCCUUUGAAGCAGGACUUCUUGGCUCCAUCUUCUUCAUCAAUGAUAGAUUUUGCAACCCCCUCCGUAGAUUCAACCUUACUUCGCCAAUCUUUGACACCCUGAUAAAUCUCUUUGCCUUGUCGAGUAUCAUGCUUAACACGUUGUUGCACCAUUUCGUUUAUACCUUCCAACCCCUUCACUUGAUCUUUUAGCUCAUCUAUGUAGCUCUGGUACUUGAACACAUAAGAUAUUUGCCGUAUAAUCGGUUUGAACAGUGACUUUGCACCUUCUAAUACAGUGCUGGAUAAAGCAGCCAGAGCCACUUCUGCCAUUGUCUGCUACUUAACAAAUCUAAUAAUAUAUCAAAGAAAGGAAUACAAAUAAAUUAAAAGGAACUAAAGGGAAAGACAGAGAAAGAAAAGACGGCAAACAACAUCGCAAUAUUGAUCUUGAACCAACUGAUACCUAAAUAGAGAAUUUCUUUUACUAUCUUAAGGAUCAGAGGUUUCGCUAUUAACCGAAAGGUAUCGCUUCUAUUUUGUCACUUUGAACGAAUAACUUUAUGUUUUUAACGGAUGUUUAAUACAAAUUGCAUACAUUGGGUGUAAAAUUAAAUAAAUUUAAAUAUUUAUAAUAAUUUUAAUAAUUGAAUAAAACUUUGAGUAAAUGACUGAUAAUUUCUCUAAGAUGAUUUAUUGUUUGGGGUCUAAGAUUUUAAAUAUUCAACUUAAAAGAUUAAUAUCUUAUAAAUUGAUUAAUUAAUUAAUCAUUAAGCAACUAAAUUGGUCCCUGGAUGUCAAUUUAUUUAAUAUUGACGCACCUAUUUUUUUUUUCUGGCAAAUAAUUAUUAAUGCACUUAGGNNNNNNNNNNNNNNNNNNNNNNNNNNNNNNNNNNNNNNNNNNNNNNNNNNNNNNNNNNNNNNNNNNNNNNNNNNNNNNNNNNNNNNNNNNNNNNNNNNNNNNNNNNNNNNNNNNNNNNNNNNNNNNNNNNNNNNNNNNNNNNNNNNNNNNNNNNNNNNNNNNNNNNNNNNNNNNNNNNNNNNNNNNNNNNNNNNNNNNNNNNNNNNNNNNNNNNNNNNNNNNNNNNNNNNNNNNNNNNNNNNNNNNNNNNNNNNNNNNNNNNNNNNNNNNNNNNNNNNNNNNNNNNNNNNNNNNNNNNNNNNNNNNNNNNNNNNNNNNNNNNNNNNNNNNNNNNNNNNNNNNNNNNNNNNNNNNNNNNNNNNNNNNNNNNNNNNNNNNNNNNNNNNNNNNNNNNNNNNNNNNNNNNNNNNNNNNNNNNNNNNNNNNNNNNNNNNNNNNNNNNNNNNNNNNNNNNNNNNNNNNNNNNNNNNNNNNNNNNNNNNNNNNNNNNNNNNNNNNNNNNNNNNNNNNNNNNNNNNNNNNNNNNNNNNNNNNNNNNNNNNNNNNNNNNNNNNNNNNNNNNNNNNNNNNNNNNNNNNNNNNNNNNNNNNNNNNNNNNNNNNNNNNNNNNNNNNNNNNNNNNNNNNNNNNNNNNNNNNNNNNNNNNNNNNNNNNNNNNNNNNNNNNNNNNNNNNNNNNNNNNNNNNNNNNNNNNNNNNNNNNNNNNNNNNNNNNNNNNNNNNNNNNNNNNNNNNNNNNNNNNNNNNNNNNNNNNNNNNNNNNNNNNNNNNNNNNNNNNNNNNNNNNNNNNNNNNNNNNNNNNNNNNNNNNNNNNNNNNNNNNNNNNNNNNNNNNNNNNNNNNNNNNNNNNNNNNNNNNNNNNNNNNNNNNNNNNNNNNNNNNNNNNNNNNNNNNNNNNNNNNNNNNNNNNNNNNNNNNNNNNNNNNNNNNNNNNNNNNNNNNNNNNNNNNNNNNNNNNNNNNNNNNNNNNNNNNNNNNNNNNNNNNNNNNNNNNNNNNNNNNNNNNNNNNNNNNNNNNNNNNNNNNNNNNNNNNNNNNNNNNNNNNNNNNNNNNNNNNNNNNNNNNNNNNNNNNNNNNNNNNNNNNNNNNNNNNNNNNNNNNNNNNNNNNNNNNNNNNNNNNNNNNNNNNNNNNNNNNNNNNNNNNNNNNNNNNNNNNNNNNNNNNNNNNNNNNNNNNNNNNNNNNNNNNNNNNNNNNNNNNNNNNNNNNNNNNNNNNNNNNNNNNNNNNNNNNNNNNNNNNNNNNNNNNNNNNNNNNNNNNNNNNNNNNNNNNNNNNNNNNNNNNNNNNNNNNGGGAUUAUGGGGGUAUGCUAAUGCGGCAACCUGACUGUGAGUCGGGAAAAGCUAAUGAGGCAACUUUGCUUGUGCUGCUUCUUUUUUUUUUUUCUUUUGCUUUCUUUUUUGCUUUUUUUUAAUAAUAUUAAAUAAUAUAAAUUUUAAUUUAAUUUAAUAGAAUAUUAUAUAAUAUUAAUUUUUAUUUUCUCUUAUUUUGACAUCAUAAUUAUUAAUAUAAAUUAAUUAUUUUUAUUCAUAUUUUAAUUUUUAUUACUAAAUAAUAAUUAUAUAAUAAUUAAUAUAUAAAAUUGAUUAAUAAAUACUUAAAUAAUAUAAAAAUAAGAAUAUAACUUGAUAUUACAUUAUUUAAUUAUAUUAUAGUAAUUAAUAUAUAUGAAAAUUUAAUAUAACUAAUAAAAAUAUUUAUAUAUGAAUAAAUUUAAAUAAUAUUAAUUUAAAAUUAAUAUUAAUAAAAAUAAUAAUAUAAAAUAUCAUUAUGUUAUGAUAUUAUUUAGGUAUUAAUAAAUAUUAUUUUCUAAAUAUAUAAUUUAAGUUAAUCACAAAAAAUUAAUACAGUACAGUGUAGCACCAAACAUUGUAUUAUGCUGUAUGCCUGUAUUGUAUUAGCACUGAUUGGGUGUAAAGCGUUUGUAAGUGGCUUUUUAAGUCUGCCGUCAAAUCCCCUGCAAAAGCUUUUUUCUUAAUAUCACGCGUGUUGGUACUACAUAAAACCGUAAACUCUAACAAUUUCUUUGUUCUUUCUUAAUAUCACGCGUGUUGGUACUACAUAAAACCGUAAACUCCAACAAUUUCUUAGUUCUCAACACCCCUUAAUUUACAAGAAUUAAUCACUUCAAGGGUGGAUUAGGUAUAUCUUUAGUUCAUAUAUAACUAGCAAUAUCUAAUAUCCCAUAUACAUGUUUUUCUCCCAGAAUGUAAACCAACUAUUCAUAUCUUAGACUCCAAGUAUUCGUAUCUUAAAGUCAAUCGAUAAUAUUAAUUUAAAUUUAAUAAUAAUAUAAAAUAUUAAUAUAAUAUAAUAUUUAAUUUAAAUUAAUUACAAACAAAUAAUAUAGUACAAUGUAGCACCAAACAUUGUAUAGCAUUAUUAUAAUACAAUGCUAAUGCAAUACAAUAUAAUAUAAUCCACCAACAUUAAAAUAAUAUAAUAUAGCAUAAUACAAUACAGUGUGUCAAAUGCACCCUUAGGGUGUGUUUGGUAUGUGGUAUUGCAUAGCAUUAAAUGUGGGCCCAACAUUAAUUUAAACCAAUAACAUGUUUGGGAGCAAUUGAGGCUUAUUGGGAUUGGGUAUUGAGGGGUGCGCUAAUGCGGGAACCACCGCAUUAGCUUGUCUUUUUUUUUUUACUUUUACUUAAUAAUAAUAUAAAUGAAUAAAUAUAUAAUUUUUAAUUUUUAAUAUAAUAUUAUUUUUAUUUUUAUAUCAUAAUUUAUUAAUAAAUUUAUAAUUUAAUAUGAUUAAUAAUAAAUAUUUAAAUAGUAUAUAAAAUAUAAUAUAAUAUUACACUGUGUAAUUAUUGUAAUAUAAUUAAUAUAUAUAAAUUAUUUAUUUUUAAAUAAUUUAAUAUAAAAAAUAAAAAAAUAUUUAAAUACAAAUGAAUUUCAAUAAUAUUGAUAUACGAUUAAUAAUAACAUAAAUAAUAAUAUAAAAUAUUAGCACAAUUCAUUUUGCUAUUAAAUAUGUUAUAACAAUUUUGUCAUUUUAUAAUUUUGUGGUGUAUAUGAACAUAUGUCUUAAGAUUAUUUUUGAACAAAUCUUGUAGGUUUUAACUAUUUAUUUUUCUUGUUAUAUUAUUUCAAGAUUAUUUGAUUAAAUUAUUUGCUUCGAUAUUUAACAAGUUAUAUAUUUAGAAAAUAUAGAAAAUAAAUGUUAUGCUUCCAAAAAUUAAAGGAUAUAACGUUCGAUCUUUAUGAAGAAUUAUGAUAUUUUUGAACAUUUAUACUAAAAAAUUAUUAAAUUUUUAGAAAAUUAAAAGAUAUAACAUUCGAUCUUUAUGAAGAAUUAUGAUAUUUUUUAACAUUUAUACUAAAAAAAUAAUUAAAUUUCUAAAAUUUAAGACCUCUAUAUUUAGUUUUUUUUAAGUACUAUUAAUAUUAUUUUAUAAAUAUAUAAUAUAAAUUAAUUACAAAAAAUUAAUACAGUACAGUAUAACACCAAACAUAAUAUAAUUAAAAAUUAAUACAGUACAGUGUAAUACCAAAUAUUGUACAAUAUUAUUAUAAUACAGUACUAAUGUAAUACAACAUAAUACAAUACACUGCAUAAAAAUAAUGUAAUUUAGUGUACCAAACACACCCUUACAGAACUUUUGCAUAUCUACACAGCGAUUUUAAAUAUUACUGAUAACUCCUGAGAAAUGUGUGAGAAAGGAGUUGAUAAGAGUAAUAACAGCGACUUGCAAAAGGAAAAGACAGAAUCAUUCACCCCUUUUUAUAUCAUGUAUUUGGUUACUGUUGCCCUGUUGACGCAUGUAUAAAAUAACCGUAUGUAUUUUUUUUGGCUGUUGCUUAACAAAAUGUGUGUUUGUGUGUGUAUAUAUAUAUAUUUGCUGUUUGAAAAAAUUGGAUUCAAAUAAAUUAAAAUGAACUAGAGAGGAAGAGAAAGAAUGAAAAGACAACAAACAAUUGAUAUUGAUCUCGAACCAACUUCUUUCUUUCUUUCUUUCUUUUUUGUGUUUUUUUUUUCGCCCGUACCCCCUCUCAGAUUAGAGUAUUGGCUAUUAAAUGAAAGGUUUUAAGGGUAUGAGUGAAAAACAACAUUCUUUUUUAGAAACUAUUUUAGAGGAGGGAUGCAAAUUAAAUGACAAGAUUAAGACAAACAGGAGAUAUUUUUUCGUGGGCAUUAAGAAAUAACUGCUGUCAAGAUCAAGGAGAUUAUGCUAUUAAUAGAAAUUAUCAAAGGAUUUAGAACAAGUUCACCUCUUUAAUUAUCCGGGAUCAGAUAGUUGAUGAGCUUCUCUUCUUGGCGUUGAAUAUUUAAGAAUAAUUUUAAUGAGCAAAAAGAUCACUGGUAACUGCUGAAAAAUAAGUGAGAAAAGAGUUGAUGAGAAUAAUAACAAUGAAUUGAAUAAAAAAAGGACUUAAUCAUGCACCCCCUUUGCAUAUCAUGUAUUUGGUUACUGUUGCCUUGUUGACGCAUGUAUAGAAUAAUUAGUGACUUCUUUCAUGAAGAAUUAAACUUGGAAUGACCAAAAGACGAAGCUGCGGUGUAUUGUUGGACCAAAUUAAGUUGAAGAAAGCACUAGUUCACAACCUUACGUUUGGAUAUAUUCUAAAGAAAUAAUUAAACAGCAAAUCAUCACAUGCACUUUAAUGAUUUGAUCUAUUGUUUUCAAAAGAAAUUGCAAUUAACAGUUUUUGUCAAAAGUUCGCACUGCGUGAAACUAGUGCUAAUAUAAUUUAAAAAAUUAAUUUCAGUAUUAGUUUUUAAAAUGUUAAUUAUUAUAUUUAUUUUAAUAAUAUAUUUAUAUUUAUUAUAAAAAAUUCUGUUAAACAUUUGUGUUAAAUAGAAUUUAUAAUUAAUAUAAUAUAUCUUAGGUAUUAAUAAUAUUAUAAUUAUUCUAUAUGCUAUUGAAAAUAAUUUAAAUUUUUAGACGUUUAUUUUCACAUUAAGUUUCUAUUUAUUAUAAAAUUUAGUUUAAUAUAGUAUAAGCUUGUAAAGUAUUAAAAUAUUUUUUCAUAUUUUUUGAACAUAUUAAAAUUAUUUUAAAAUAUAUUUAUAUAUUAACAUUGAAGUCAAUUUUUUAAGUUAAUAGAACCAGUAGGUGUUAUAGUAAAAAAGCGUUUCUUAGCAUCACUUAUUGAAAAUAUAAAGAUCUAUAUAAUCAUUUUUUCAAAUAUUGAGAUGUAGUUAUAAAAGAAAAAAUAAAUUAAAAAAUUUUAAAUUUUAAUAUGGCCAUCGUAGAGUUAGAAUCCCCGCUCCAACCCGAUUUGGAGAUGAGCUUGGUCUAUUUAUGUUUUGGAAAAAGAAAAACCAAAGGAAAAAAAAGGCACCCGACCAAAUCAAGUAACUCAUCAAAUAAAAAAUAAAAAAAGGAAAGAAAUUUAAUGACUUGCAUGCAAUUUUGGAUCUGAAAUUAAAAUUACAUAAAAAUUAAGGAUUACGUACCUUAAUAUUUACAGCUUAUUUGAUGGACUCAACAGGUUUAAGCAACAUCAAAAUGUUUGUGGCUCCUUAAAUGAGCCCCCGACAUGGUGCAAAUGACAACAUCGACUUGUUUGACAGCUCCAACAAGGCUACGAUGAUCAGAAGAUGAGCCCUCAAUCAACAAGCUAAGAUUGGCUUCUCUAUCCUCUUCGCCCCACAACCAGCGCCUUGCUCUUUGUCAUUUUUCCUCUUGUUAGUUUUCUUCUACAUAUAAUUAUUACACUGGGAAGUAUACACACACCUCUUUUCUUUUUAUAGUACCUUACUAUUAUAUCUUUACAAAACAAUAUCACCCUAAGACAGCUAUGUAUGAAAUAAAUGAAAUAAAUAUAUAAGGAACUGACGAAAUAAAAUUAGAUCUAACUCUAAUUUCACGUUGCGUGAAUUUUUGACAAUUCACCCGUAUCCCAACAAAAGCUUUGUCAUAUUGCGAAAAUACCUUUUCAAUGUUUCAAUUGCAAUGUCAUUGCCAUUAUUCAUAGUGGCAGACAAUGGACGUCACGGGACGGUAGAAGUCUAUGUUACGGCUUGUGCAAGUAACAGCAGCCAAUGGGGAACUUCCACGGGUGCUAGAGGAGAGAGAAAGAGGUCCCAAUGCAAGGUGAUGGAAAUGGGAAAGUUCGAAGCUGUUACUUUCAGCUUCUGCACCUUAGCCAUGUCCCACGGGACAAGGCUAGAAGUUAUCAUGACCAUAAACUUUUCUAAUUUAUUUUUUCCUUUCAAAAAGGGACAAGGAUACGUUUCGGAGAAUGAUUAUAUUUUUAAUAAAAGAAUUCUUUUUUAUUAUAAUACUUUUUUCUUUAUUAAUUUAAAAAUAUUGACUCUUAUAUUUUAAUAAAUAUAAAUAUAAUAUUAUAAUAAAAUAUAACAAUAUAUACAAAUAUUUAAAAAAAUUUAAGAUUUUAUUAAAAGAAAUUUUAUAAUAAAUACAAAUAUAUUAUUAAUAUAAUUAUAAUAAUUUGCAUUUUAAAAAGUAAUACUGAUAUUAAUUUUUUAAAUUAUAUUACUCUACCAAAAAAAUUAAACUAUUAAAUUAUAUUGAUAUUUAUUAAAAAAAUUGAAGUUAAUUCUUAUUAUAUUUUUAAUUGGAAUUUUUUCAUGUGACAUAAUUACAAUUGCUACAUUUUUUUCCCUAAAUAAAGAUGGGAGUUAUAAAUUAUUUGUAUAAGUGUCUGUGUGUAAACUAAUGUGACAUGAAAGUAAUAGCUGAAUAACAAUAAUGGAGCUUUAGGUAAUUUUUUAUGAGGUCUUCUUGCAAUUUCAACACUUAAACAGACUUGUCCUUGAUCCCAAUUUAUUUACCCCAUUUGGGCCCCUUAUGACAAACAUAUUCUUGUGGAAUGAAAAACAUCAGGAGAAGAAAAUGUUUUAUUAUAAUAGAAAAAGUUGUCCAUAAGUCUAUUCAUUUUUUUUUUAUUCAAUACAAAUGCGGGCCGCGUUCUGUGGGUCUNNNNNNNNNNNNNNNNNNNNNNNNNNNNNNNNNNNNNNNNNNNNNNNNNNNNNNNNNNNNNNNNNNNNNNNNNNNNNNNNNNNNNNNNNNNNNNNNNNNNNNNNNNNNNNNNNNNNNNNNNNNNNNNNNNNNNNNNNNNNNNNNNNNNNNNNNNNNNNNNNNNNNNNNNNNNNNNNNNNNNNNNNNNNNNNNNNNNNNNNNNNNNNNNNNNNNNNNNNNNNNNNNNNNUAAGUAGAGUGAGACUCUGGCAUCCUCUAAAUAUCUCUCAACACUCUUUCUUAUUAACCCCAUUAAAAUAUUUAAAAAUAUUAUAAAAUUCUUUUAACACCUUUUUUAUGGCAAAAAUACCCUUAGUUUAAAUUUAUUAAUAUAAACCCCAUUUUAAUUUUUGACCCCUGAUUGUGAUUUUUUUUUAAAGCACCUGAAUUUUGAAACAAUUAAUUAUCUAUUGAAAAAGAAAGAAAGAAAAGGAAAACAAAAGGAAAAGGGCACUUGCUCCAAGAAAGUUCUACUUUAAUGUGGCAAAUCAUUGAAACACCACAUGGCCAAAACUUUACUCUAUGCAUGACAACUCAUUGUAAUUGAUAAUGACCCUCGCAAACACUUGGCUACCAUGCGUGUAAUUCUAAGGCCAAGUGCUAAUUUGGUUUACUGAUGAAGAUGCUGAGCACAAGCUUCUGAAAAUGCAGAAUUACGAAUUUUUCGAAAGACUGCGAACCUUUAUGGAGAAAGACAACUAGGCCACUGGAAAACAUGUCGGUGGGAAAAUAAUUCUGAUGAUCGUUCAGCUCGUCCUUUGCUUCAUAAUUACUUUCUUCUUUCUUAAUUUCUCUCAUGGGUCUCGGUUUCUUCCUGAAGCUUGUUGAUGAUGAGUUGCAUAUGCCGAUAAUUCCUCACCAGAAAAUAAGAUGAAAAGGUAACUUUCUUAAUUUUUAAAAUGCUGAAUUUCAAUUUAAGGUACUAUUCAUUUUGUCUCUUUCAAGUUAUUUUUCAUUUUUCUGCUGAUAUUUUAAUAUUUACAGUCAAUUGUAGCAUUACUUAAAUUUAUAGUAUGUAGAUCAUAAUUCAUAAAUUAGUUUGCAGUUGGAGUAAACUCGAAAAUGUUAAAAAAAUAAUAAUAACAACAAAAAGAGUAGAGACAAGUUGUCAUCUUGAGUAACAAUAAAAUAAAGAAUUGCAGCUUUUACAAAGUCUUUCUUUAAAAAUAUGAAAUGAAUAAAAUGACUAUUAAAAUGGUUCAAAAUUUUCUGAUAGUGUCAUUGACUAGCUAGAUCAAUUGUUUCUUGUGUGGUAACUUCAAACACCAAAUCCUUGAAAGCAAGUAUAUUAGUUUUGUAUGGUGUUGCCCAGCCUUCUGCACAUGGUUCAUGAUAUUUGAUCCAACUAUUCGCAAUAGGAGGAAUAGGUGAAGCUGGAAGCAUGAACACCUGUAAAAAAAAAAAAAAAGCCAUAGAAAAAUUAGUCCAAUAAUUAAGAUAUUGCAGCAUAAUUUGAAUUUCUAAACUUUUACAUACCUCUAUGAAAUGAUUUCUAUUAACAAAUCCAAUAGCAAUGAUUUUAUGCGAGGAGCGUGAUAAUGGAAUAGAUCUAAGUGGAAGGAAUGUGACAAUCAGCACAUCUGAUAUAUGUAGUAAUACCACAUUAUAUUUAGAAGCAAUAAUAUGACCAAUUUCAGGCAUGGUCAUCCAAUACUCUCUUCCUGGGUUAUUCUCAAAGUAUAAAAGUGAAUGAAGCACCUCCUCUGCUCUACCAGCAUAUUCAAAGACUCUUUUAUAAUCAUUAAAGUGACUUUGCAACUCAACAACUAAGACUUUCCUGACUUGUGCCCAGUUAUCUUCACCAAUACCUAUUAGGUCAGCCACUGCCUGAAAACCACAAUUACCAUCUGCAACAACAUCUCUAACACCACAAAUAUAAGGCCUCAAACCAAAUGGAAAUGAAUCAAUAUAAGAAGCAUGCUUUGGUGCUUUUGUUUGAGAAACACUCAUUUUUCGUUGCCCUUUUGGUUUUUUUGUAGUUGUACUUGAAGACAUAAUGUCUGGAGAAUGAUUAUCCUGUGCGGAUACUACAUACUCAAAUCUUGAUGGAUCUCGGCGGGUAGAUUUAUCAAGCUUUUGGGAGGGUCGUCCUCGAGUCUUAGCUUUAACAGGUAGCUCAAUUAAAAAAGUUAAGAAUGGAUCAGCUAAUUCUUUCAGUUUUCUUUUUAUUUGCAUUUUUCCGAAACCAUCUGAAUCUUCAAAACGCUUGAUAAUCAUUUCCAUUUCAGGGGUACAACUCAACUCUGCUGAUUUUUCAUAGCUGGUGCAGACAAGGUCUAAUUUCCUCCAAUGCAAAUGUACAGAAUCUAAAGGUAUCGGUCGACCUUCACGCUUAUACUCUGCAAUUUCAUGUGCACACGGUAGCCCAUAAGUGUGUCGAACUACACAACCACAUGCUGAAAUAUCUAUACCAAUUAAAUCAGCUCUUUUUGACUCACUUAGUAUCAUAUCUAAUGCAUUUCUAGCAACUAACCCCCUUAAUUCUUUAAAAACUGAAGGUGUGAAACUAUGUUGCACAGUAGUCAAACUCUUCUCAAAUGAUGCCUUAAUUUUUGUAUGUUGCAACUCUACCAAAGAAUGAAGUUUUGUCCAUAAUGUUACAAAGUUUCCUUGGGAUGAACAUAGUUGCCUUUUUAAUUUUGAAUGUGCAGUCUCAGCCCUAAAAAUAAACCAACAAAAAAAUAAUAAAAAGAUAUAUAAAAAAAUGGUGUUGAGUUUAUUUAUAAAAUCAUUGAAAACUAAAUAUUGGUUACCUGUUGGUUGUCAUAUUUCCGAAAUGCAUAAUAAAGUCUGUCCAUGCUGCAAUAAAUUUUUCUUUAUACUUAUCAAGCCAUGUCUACUUCACAUAGACAAGUGCUUUCGGAUAUCUAGCAUAAUCACUCUAAAAAAUACUCAAGUGUUGUAUGUACUCUUGUUCAGUGGCUGAGAACACCAGUACAUUCCAGUUGCUGUUAAAGGCUUCCCAUCUUUCAUUAGUAUGAAAUAGCCUCUUAUAAUUAGCUAACACAUUUUUUGAAAUAUGCCAUCUACAAAGUAAAUUAGUUGCACUUGGAAAUAUCUUUUCAAUGGCAUUCAUCAGAGCUAAUUCCCUGUCUGUCACAAUCACAGCUGGUAACAUAUCAUCUUGCAUAAUGGUUUUCAAUCUUUCUAAUGCCCAAAUAUAGUUAUCUUCUCGUUCGGACUCAAGAUAUGCAAAACCAACAUUAAAUGUCUUUGCAGUCGAUGUGUCACCAACUAUUUCUAACAACGGAAACUUAUACUUAUUGACUUUAUAAGUGCAGUCCAUUAUCAGAACACUUGGAAAAGCUUUUAACAAAUCAAAAGUAAGAGGAUGUGCCUAAAAUAUGUCUUUCACACAAUUUGUAUCAUCAUCACUCCGAUGCCACUCAAUGUAAUUAUGAUCAUGCAAUUUACUCAUAAGCUGUUGCAUUUGUGACCGUCCGCCCAAUUCGCGAACCUUAUAUUUAUACCGAGCAUUAUAAACCGUCUUCAUUGUUGUAACAUUAAAUGUAUCCCUAGUCUUUAAAGUAUGUAAUAUCUCUUUUGGCCGAACAUUAUUUUUAGACAAAUCAACCAAUAUACUAACAUCUUCAUUAGUAAGUCUACCUGCAAAUGAGUGGCCCUCAAGAUAUUGUGCAAAAUGAUGGUUAUGCAAUCCACAGAUUACUUUUAACACCCAAUCUUGAUUAUUCACCAACAUUUGACCCUUUAAUAAAAAUGGACAGCCACACUUUUUUGUUCCAAUUGCAUUCGGUCUUUUCUUCUUUUCCAAGUCGCUAUUCUGCUUAGACAUGUUGGUACUUCUUUUCGGAUAUGCACCACUUCUUUCACAAGCAAAAAUUAUCCUUGGUCUCCUUCCAAUCACAUUCACGUCAGAUCUUUUAAUAAUAAUCACAAGUCCAUUUUUUUCCCAACAUCAUGCAUCCAUCGAAUCAACUUGUCUCUACUGGUGAAAACCUAUGAGAAAGACAAUAAUAUAUUAGUUAAUGAUACAAAGAAAAGAGAAUAUAUGUAUGAAAAUUUAUUUAGCAUUUUACCUCUUCAGUAGUGAAUGCAGCAGUGUAAUCCAUAACAUCUACUUUAUUAUCAAGAAUGACAACUAUGGUAGAACUUUCCUCCUUUACAAUCAUUGUAAGAUAUUACAUAAGUUAAUACAAGACACAAAACUAGAAUAAUAGCAAUUUAUUCAGCAAUAAUCAACCAAACAAUUGACAUUUGUUAAGGGAUAUUUGUUGAACAUUGUUCAACGCUCUCCCAGUCAUUAUAAUUCUAAAACAAUAAAUUAAUAGCAAACUUACUUUUUUAUUAUCAUCCCCAUCUAUUUGCAUGAUUAUUUUGCCCUAAAUUUGAAACUCUUAGAUUAGGGUUUAAGAAAGAAAAGAGAGUUUAUAUCGUAUGCCACACAAAGAAUUUAAAACUCUUAAACAAAAAUAUGCCAUAUAAGAAAUUUUUAAGGGGAAAAAAAUAUUUGAUUUUGAGUGGGGGUUUAAUUAGAAAUUGUCUUAUUAUGUAAUUUUAAUAAAGGUUAAAAUUGUAAAAUAACUAAAGGGGUGUUAAGAGGUAUUUAGAGGGGUGCCAAUAGUCCCACUCAAAUAAGUAAUGGUAACAAAAGACUAAUUUGUAAUAUUGAAGUGUACGGGCUUAACUAAAUCCAAAAAUUAGUAAGUUAGCUCAAGAGUUGAGAGUUGUCCAAAUCUUAAAUGUUGAACCCAAGUUCAAUACUCAAUUGAUGCGGGAUGUUAUUCCUAACACCUCCCGUCAUGUGUAGGAUUGGUAAAAAAACUCGGGUCAGUCCCGCCUAGACCUACGGGCUUUAUGCAUGGCCCGCAUGAUGAAGUUACGAAAUUAACCUAAAAAUUUGAAACUUACGAUGAAUGGCCUUGCUUAAAGAUUUUUGCAACUUUAAUUUAUAACGAGUAUGUAUAUAUACACACACAAAAGUUUAGAUUGCAUUUGGAUGACUUUUUUAAUCAAUUCAAACAAUCUGAAAUUUAUCAGAUUAAUCCGAAUUUGAUCUGUAUCUGAUUUUGCCCGCCCCUACUAUUUAUAAGCCCAAGUGACUCUCUUUUACUAAUUAAUAAGGGAAUUUUUUACCUUAUAUCCUUGCUGUGGCGUUAGACUACUGGUCAUUUUGAUUGUUUCCUACCUUCCAUUUACGCCAGUUGUAACAUUGUAUUAUUCACCACUUUAGCCAUUUAAAUGAAAUUUUAUUUUCAUAAAAAAUAAAAUGACACCCUUAAAAUUUAAAAAAUAGAUAUGUAGAUCUCAAAUUUUUAAUAAAGAAUGUCAAUACCCCUUUUAACUACAAGAUUCUUAGUAGAUGAUAACCAAAAACAUUAACUUCAAAUUUUUCACUAAAUGUAAAUCUGAUUGAAAUAGUUUAAUUUUUUUCUAGUAGACUAAUAUGUAUAACUUAUAUAAUUAAUUUCAUUAUUAAUUUUUAAAAUGUUAAUUAAUAUAUUUUUAAUUAUUAUAAAAAUUUUAAAUAAAUCUUGGAUUAGAUAGAUUUUACACUUAAUGUAAUACUUCUGAUUUAUUAAUAAUAUUAAAAUUAUUUUAUAUGAUAUUCAAAAUAAUUUAAACUUUUAUAUAUUUAUUUUAAUAUUAUGUCUAUUUAUUAUAGUUUGGUUUAAUAUAAUACGGGAUUGUAAAAUAUUAAAAUAUUUUUCAAUAUCAAAUUAUUUUAAUAUGUAUAUAUUAUUACAUUUAUUUUAAUAUCACAUUUAUAUUUAUUAUAAAAUAUAAAAUUAAUAAAAUUAAAGAGUAUUGCAGUAAAGUAAAAAAAAAAGUCUUAUUAUCCCAUAUUCACGGUAUGAGUUUCUACAAAAUUAUUUCCUCAAAUGGGUGACCUUUCCUCAUUUUCAAAAGAAAAAAUAAAGUAAGAAUAAGUCCAGGGUUUCAAAAACUUCUAGUCUUAUCCCAAGACCUCCAUUGUCUACCACUAUGACUAAUGGAAAUGACAUUGCAAUUGACAUUGCUUUUCGCAACAUGACAAAUUUUUGGUGGGAUAUGAGAGAAUUGUCAAAAGUUCAUGCCGCGUGAGAGUUUUUGGUGGGAUGUGGGAGAAUUGUCAAAAGAUCACACCACGUGAUAUAACCAUAAUUGCUACAAUUUUUUUUAAUAAUGAUGGGAGUUAUAAAUUAUUUAUAUAAAUUUGUGUAGAAACUAAUGUAACAUAAAAGAAGUAGCUGAAUAACAAUAUUUGGUGCUUUAGGUAAUUUUUAUAUGAGCCUUUCUUUUAUUUAGCGACUUUAGUGCUUAAACAAAUUUGUCCUCGAUCUUAAUUUACUUACCCCAUUUAAGCCUAUGAUGACAUAAACAUAUUCUUUUGUGACGAAAACAUCAAGAGAAGACAUCUCAUGUUUUAUUAUAACACAAAAGAAGUGGUCCAAACGUCUAUUCAUUCUUUUAUUUACUCAAUAUGAAUGGCCAACUUUAAAAAAUGAUAAAAAUCACACCACGCUCAACUGAAAAUUUAUAAUUACAUUUUUUAAUACUCUCUAUACUCUCUAGCCUCUCUCUCCUGCCCCCUUUUUUUUUUAAAAAAUAAACCUUAGUGUAAAAUUAGAAGAAUUUUAGAUAUAACAUUUGACAAUCGCUAAAUAGAAAAGUAGGGGAUUGAAAAUAGAGGAGCUCUGUUAUCAUUGGAAUAUUGAUUAUAGAUCAUAUAAUAACUUGUUGUGGUUCAUUGUAGCACUCUGAGUCAUAUUCUAAAAUUUAUAGGUUUCUUAAGGUUUUUAUUAUUGACAUUAUUGUGUCAAUACUAUUAUAAUUUAUUCAUUUUAUUGUAAUGAUAAUUUGUCUAGUCUUAGGUACUUAUUAUAUUAAAUUAUGUAAAUUAAUUGAGAAUACAUUUAGAGACAAAAGAAACACGUGUAUGUAGGAUUAAUAAUCGCAGAGUUGUAAAUGAAGGUGAUUGCUUCAUUGAGAGGCAUAUUAAAUAAUUAUGGAGAGUUGCACUAUUUCGGAAGCAUAUAUUUAUACUUCCCUAUCAGGAUUUGGGGUAAGCGAAGUGCUUUAUGUGUUGUAGUAAGCAAUGUGGGCAAUAUCGGAGGCGAAAUAUUAAAAGAUCAUAACGCAUAUAUUUGAGCCAUUUAUAUUGAAGACACGUAUUGAAGACACGUAUAGAGGAAAGAGUGCAUAUCCGGCGGUAACUAUUAUCAGGCUUUCCUAAAAUAUUCUCAUGCUUCCUCAACUGUUCUGAACUAUUCUUCAUAGUGGGCAGAUUUACUUAAAUACCCUUCUACCUAACAAAACUUGGUACUUCUAAUUGCACUCGCAGAGAAUCUAUAAAAUUAAAAAAAAAUUCAUCCAUGAAAAGCCUCGUAACAGAAAAACCAUCUUUCAAAAAAUAAUAAUAAAAUAAAAACAGAAAAACCGACUCAUUUAUCUGCCAAUGAACCAAUCGGGACUCAUUUAAAAAAGAUUACAAAGCAAAAGUAAAUGACACAAAUUGCAUAGAUAUCUAGGAGCCGCAUCAAAGGGCAAUGGUGUUAAUUUGUCCGAGUAAUAAUUAAUUUCAAUAUUAAUUUUUAAAAUGGAAAUUAAUUUAUUUAUAUUUAUAAAAUAUUUGUAAUUAUUUUAAAAUUUUAACUAAAUCCUUAGGUUAAAUAGAUUUUACAAUUAAUAUAAUAUUUCUCAUGUAUUAAUAAUAUUAAAAUUAUUUUAUAUGAUAUUGAAAAUAACCUAAAUUUUUAUAUAUUUAUUUGAAUAUUAUGUCUCUAUUUAUUAUAAUUGGGUUUAAUAGAAUACGAGAUUGUAAAAUAUUAAAAUUUUUAGAUAUUGAAAUUAUUUUAAUAUGUAUAUAUUAUUAUAUUUAUUUUAAUAUCCUAUUUAUAUUUAUCAUAAAUUAUUAGAGUUAAUUUUUUUAGUUAAUAAAUUUAAAAACUAUUCUAAUUUUAAAAAAAAGUCUUAUUGUCUAUUAUUCAUGAUAUGAGGUUCUACAAAAUUAUUUCUCCAGACGGAUGUCCUUUUCUUAUUUUCAAAAGGAAAAACAAGUUCAGGGUCUCAGGGGUUUCAAAAAUUCUGGUCCUAUCUACCACUAUGACUAAUGGGAAACAACAUUGUAAUUGACAUUGCUUUUCACAAUAUGACAAAUUAUUGGAGGGAUAUGGGAGAAUUGUCAAACAUUCACACCACGCGAGAGCUUUAGUGUGGGAUAGGGGAGGAUUGUCAAGAGUUCACACCACGAGAAACUAAUGAUAGGCCCAAUUUCAUUGUCAAUUCUUUAUUUAUUUCAUGCAUUAUUGUUUUUCUAAAGGUAUAAAAGCAAAGUAAAAUACUAGGGGCGCUUUUAAGUUACAAUUGAUGUAACUUACAAUUUUUUCAAAAAUAAUGUAAAAAAAUUAAUAGGUGGUGGGACCCACAUAUUUUUUAAGAGACUUAAGUUACGGCAGUUGUAACUUAACAAAAUUUAAAUAUUAGAUAAUAAUACAUAUUAAUAAUAUAUAAUUUGGGUUUGAUUUUUAAAAGAUUAUUUGAGUACCACCUAUCCUUAUGAUAUUAAUGUGACUAUAUCUUAAUAUUAAAUAAUCAAAAUUUGUUUAAUUGUUAUUUGUAUUUCAUACAUUACAUAUUAGAUUUGUUUGAAUUUUAAGUUGUUGCUAAUAAAUAUUUAUGUUGUCAAAGUCAAAUUCAAUAGCUACAAAAGCAGAGAUAAUGGUAUUGUAUAUAGUUUUUAAGAAUGCAAGGAUAAGCUGGAUAAUUGACAUAAAUUCUAAUGAUUAAAACAGCAACUAUCCCUUAAGUUAUAAUGUCAAUUUCUUUAAUUAGAUUUUUUUUUUUAUGUGAUAUAACCACAAUUGCUACAAAUUUUUUUUUUUAUAAUAAUAAUGGGAGUUAUAAAUUAUUUAUAUAAAAUUUGGGUUGAAACUAAUGUAACCUAAAAGUGGUUGCUGAAUAACAAUAUUUGAAACUUUAGGUAAUUUUCAUGAGUCCUUUUUAUAUUCAGCAACUUGAAUUGGGGGAAAUCCGACUUGAAUUGGCGGUUGAUUUUCGUGAUGUGGCUUUUGGUUUAUGGCGACCUUACAGUGGCAGAAGACUGGAUUUACGGUUGCCGACUGCUAGGGAUUAUGGUGGGGGUGUAAAUUGACGGAAAAAGAAGGUGUUUUGGUGGCGGCGCGUGUAGGAAGCACUCGUGGGUUGUCGUUUCGUGUGGUGGCGGGCGGCGAUCAAGGGCUGAAGUUGGUCGGUUUUUGGUCAACGGAGGCCGGCGAGUUUGUUGGUGGAGGUGGCUGGUGGAGAAAGUGACUGAAUGGUGGUGGGUUGCUUGGUGGAGCCGCGGGUUUGGGUUGGUGAUUUGUGGCUGUUCAAGCGGCGGUUGAGGCAGCGAUGACUGAGGCUUGGUCGACGGUGGCUAGUGAGGUUUGUGGUGGUGUUGGCUGACUGAUCGGCGGUGGUGGGCGGCCGUGGAGGUUGAUGUGACGGGUAGGGUUUUCAAAUUUGUAAAUUUUUUUUUUUGAUGGAUUUGGUUUGGAUGGGUAUCGUGUAUCUAGGAAAGAUGUGCGAUUCGCACAGAAUCCCUUUGACACCAAUUGAUGGAGCGAGGCGUAGCGGAAGCGGAAUUGAUAGGGUAAGAAACAUUAGAUAUUGUUCUAGUACUAGACCAAGCCAACGCAAUUAGCUUACGCUCUAAUCGAAGCGUGAUUAGAUAUCGUUCUAAUCCAAAUAACUCAAUACGAUUUUUAAUAAUGCGUAAUACGAGAUUAAAUGACACUCUAAUCCAAACGACUCUACAAGAGAGAUUUUGAUAAAUAAUCAUAGAGGGGUUUUAUUUAAUAAUUGAACCUGAAGUUAAUGAAAAUAAUGACAAGACAUCUUUAUUUUUUUUUAUUACAGACAUCUUUAUUUAUAAUAAAAGAAACCCGCUUUCCUAAGUUAACCUAAAAAGAAAAUUUAAAUCAUAAUUAUAAUGGAAAUAAAAGAUUAAGAUACAUAUCAUAAUUGACUCAAACUAAAAUAGAAAAUCAUAAAAUAAUAAAUAUUCUAAAAUUAUAAAUUAUCUAAAAUAACGUUAAUUAACUUCCUAAAUCACUUCUUUGGUGUAAACCAUUUUGCAUCCAAACUCGCUUUAAAGGUUUGAACUAACGUUACCAACAACAAUGUAUCAAAUUCCAAUCUAACUUAAGAUCUUGAUGCAUCUAUCGAUGUCCUUGUUUGAUUAGACAAUAAUGAGUCUAUCUCAUCACUUGUUACCUCUUUCUUGAAAGCUACAUCUGUUGAAGUGAUAGCCUCACUUAGAGUUUAAAGAUCUUCUUCCCUGUUAAAUAAAAUGGGCAUUUGAGUAAAAAGCUUUAUCUCUAUCUCCUUCUAUCAAAUAACGACAACUAUCCAAAGGGAAAAAAAAAAUUAGAAAAGUCCAUGGGUCACAAUAAUUUAUGGUCUGUCUCCGGACCCCAUUAUCUGCCACUAUCAAUGAUGAAAAUGAAAAUAAAUGGCAUCUUCCCUAAAUGGCAAAAGAUUUUUGGGGGAUAUAGGGGAAUUGUCAAAAGUUCAUACAACGCGAAAUAAGUGUUACAUCCAAUUUUAUUUCGUCAUAUAAUGAUAAUAUUAAAUAAUGACAACCAUCCAAAAGUAUGAUGGGUCUUCCAAAAUUUUGAAAAUGUCGUCAACAUUUAAUCUUCAAUGCUAAAGAAGAUGAAACGCCCAAAAAUGACACGCAGGACUCACUCAAAAACUAAAUGGCCCUCACCACAUGUAACAAACUUUGACCUUAUGUCCCUGCUGAGGCGUUAGACUGUUGGUCAUUUUGAUUGCUUUUUACCAUCCAUUUACGCCAUUGUAGAAUUGAACUAUUCACCAGUCUAGCUGUUUAAAUGAAAUUGUUAUUUUUUUUCCAAAAAUAAAAUGACACCCUUAAAAUUUUAGAAAAUAGUCAUGUAGACCCCAAAAUUUUAUUAAAGAACACUAAUAUCCUUUUUUACUAUAGUACUCUUAGUAGAUGGUAACAAAAAAAAAAUGAUUGCAAAAUAUUUUAGUAAAUGAAAAUAUGAUUUAAAUAGUUUAAAUUUUCUAGUAGACUAGUAUGUAUAAUUUAAAUAAUUAAUUUUUAAAAUGUAAUUUAAUAUAUUUAUUAUAAAAUUUUUAAACAAAUCCUUGGGUUAAAUAGAUUUUAUAAUUUAUAUAAUAUUUCUCAUGUUUUUAUGUUAUAGAAAUAUUAAAAUUAUUUGAUAUGAUAUUGAAAAUAAUUAAACAUUUUAUAUAUUUAUUUGAAUAUUAUGUCUCUAUUUAUUAUAAUUUGGUUUAAUAGAAUACGAGAUUGUAAAAUAUUAAAAUAUUUUUAGGUAUUGAAAUUAUUUUAAUAUAUAUAUACAUAUUAUUAUAUUUAUUUUAAUAUCCUACUUAUAUUUAUUAUAAAAUAUUAAAAUUAAUUUUUUUAGUUAAUAAAUUUAAAAAAUAUUAUAAUUAUAAAAAGAGUCUUAUUGUCUGCUAUUCACGAUAUGAGAUUCUACAAAAUUAUUUUGAAAAUGAAAAAUAAGUCCAGGGGUUUCAACAAAUUCUAGUCCUAUCUGCCACUAUGACUAAUGGAAACGACAUUGCAAUUGACAUUGGUUUUCAUAAUAUGACAAAUUUUUGGAGGGAUAUGGGAGAAUCGUCAAAUGUUCACACUACGCGGGAUUUUUGGAUGGGAUCAGGGAGGAUUGUCAACAGUUCACACCACGAGAAACCAAUGAUAGCCCUAAUUUCGCUGUUAGUUCUUUGUUUAUUUAUUUUAUUUAUUUCAUACAUUGUUGUCUUGUUGGCAUUGUUUUGUAAAGAUAUAAAAGUAAAGUAAACUAUUAGGGUGCUGCUAAGUUAAGCUGUUGUAACUUGCAGUCCCUUAAAAAAUAAUGUAAAAAAUCCACAUUUGUUUGAAGAGGCUGUAAGUUAUAGUAGUUGUGACUUAGCAAAAUCCAAAUAUUAGACAAUAACGCACAUUAACAAUGCAUAUAAUUUGGGUUUGAUUUUUAAAAAAAUUAUUUGAGUAUUAGCUAUCCUUAAGAUAUUAAUGUGAAUAUAAUUUAAUAUUUAAUAAUCAAAAUCUGUUUAAUCAUAAUAUAUAUUUCAUACAUUGCAUGUUUAAUCAAAAUCUGAUUGCUUUUUACCUUCCAUUUACGCCCACUGUAGCAUUGUACUAUUCACCAUUUUAGAUGUUUAAAUGAAAUUUUUAUUUUUUUUCCAAAAAUAAAAUGACACCCUUAAAAUUUUAGAAAAUAGCCAUGUAGACCCCAAAAUUUUAAUAAAGAACACUAAUAUCCUUUUUAACUACAGCACUCUUAGUAGAUGGUAACCAAAAAAAAAAAAUUGAUUGCAAAAUUUUUUAGUAAAUGUAAAUAUGAUUUAAAUAGUUUAAAUUUUCUAGUAGACUAGUAUGUAUAAUUUAAAUAAUUAAUUUUUAAAAUGUAAUUUAAUAUAUUUAUUUUAAUAUUAUAUUUAUUAUAAAAUUUUUAAACAAAUCAUUGGGUUAAAUAGAUUUUAUAAUUUAUAUAAUAUUUCUCAUGUUUUAAUAAUAUUAAAAUUAUUUUAUAUGAUAUUAAAAAUAAUUAAAAAUUUUAUAUAUUUAUUUGAAUAUUAUGUCUCUUUUUAUUAUAAUUUGGUUUAAUAGAAUACGAGAUUGUAAAAUAUUAAAAUAUUUUUAGGUAUUGAAAUUAUUUUAAUAUAUAUAUAUAUAUAUAUAUAUAUAUUAUAUUUAUUUUUAUAUCCUACUUAUAUUUAUUAUAAAAUAUUAAAAUUAAUUUUUUUAGUUAAUAAAUUUAAAAAUAUUAUAAUUAAAAAAAGAGUCUGAUUGUCUGUUAUUCACGAUAUGAGGUUCUACAAAAUUAUUUUGAAAAGGAAAAAUAAGUCCAGGGGUUUCAACAAAUUCUAGUGCUAUCUGCCACUAUGACUAAUAGAAACGACAUUGCAAUUGACAUUGCUUUUCUUAAUAUGACAAAUUUUUUUAGGGAUAUGGGAGAAUCGACAAAUGUUCACACUACGCGGGAGUUUUAGAUGGGAUCAGGGAGGAUUGUCAACAGUUCACACCACGAGAAACCAAUGAUAGCCCUAAUUUCGCUGUCAGUUCUUUGUUUAUUUAUUUUCAUUAUUUCAUACAUUGUUGUCUUGUUGGCAUUGUUUUGUAAAGAUAUAAAAGUAAAGUAAACUAUUAGGGUGCUGCUAAGUUAAGUUGUUGUAACUUACAAUCCCUUAAAAAAUAAUGUAAAAAAUCCACAUUUGUUUGAAGUGGCUGUAAGUUAUAGUAGUUGUGACUUAACAAAAUCCAAAUAUUAGACAAUAACGCACAUUAACAAUGCAUAUAAUUUGGGUUUGAUUUAAAAAAAAAAAAUUUUGAGUAUUACCUAUCCUUAAGAUAUUAAUGUAAAUAUAAUUUAAUAUUAAAUAAUCAAAAUCUGUUUAAUCAUAAUAUAUAUUUCAUACAUUGCAUGUUUCAUCAAAAUUUGAUUGCUUUUUACCUUCUAUUUACGCCCACUGUAGCAUUGUACUAUUCACCAUUUUAGAUGUUUAAAUGAAAUUUUUAUUUUUUUCCAAAAAUAAAAUGACACCCUUACAAUUUUAGAAAAUAGUCAUGUAGACCCCAAAAUUUUAAUAAAGAACACCAAUACCCUUUUUGACUAUAGUACUCUUAUGGUAGCCACAAAAAAAAAUUGACUUCAAAAUUUUUUAGUAAAUGUAAAUACGAUUUAAAUAGUUUAAAUUUUCUAGUAGACUCGUAUGUAUAAUUUAAAUAAUUAAUUUUUAAAAUGUAACUUAAUAUAUUUAUUUUAAUAAUAUAUUUAUUAUAAAAAUUUUAAACAAAUCCUUGGGUUAAAUAUUUUUAUAAUUAAUAUAAUAUUUCUCAUGUUUUAAUAAUAUUAAAGUUAUUUUAUAUGAUAUUGAAAAUAAUUUAAAGCUUUAUAUAUUUAUUUGAAUAUUAUGUCUCUAUUUAUUAUAAUUUGGUUUAAUAUAAUACGAGAUUGUAAAAUAUUAAAAUAUUUUUUGGUAUUGAAAUUAUUUUAAUAUAUAUAUAUAUAUUAUAUUUAUUUUAAUAUCCUACUUAUAUUAUUAUAAAAUAUUAAAAUUAAUUUUUUUAGUUAAAAAUUUAAAAAAAUAUUACAGUUAAAAAAAAAGAGUCUCAUUGUCCGUUAUUCACGAUAUGAGAUUCUAUAAAAUUAUUUUCAAAAGGAAAAAUAUGUCCAGGAGUUUCAACAAAUUCUAGUCCUAUCUGCCACUAUGACUAAUGGAGACGACAUUGAAUUGACAUUGCUUUUCGCAAUAUGACAAAUUUUUGGAGGGAUAUGGGAGAAUCAUCAAGCGUUCACACCACGCGAGAGCUUUAGGUGUGAUAUGGGAGAAUUGUUAAGAGUUCACACCACGAGAAAUUAAUGAUAGGCCUAAUUUCGUUGUCAGAUCUUUAUUUAUUUUUUAUUUAUUUCAUACACUAUUGUCUUGUUGGUAUUGUUUUGUAAAGAUAUAAAAGUACAAGUAAAAUAUUAGGGGAAGUAAAGUAAAAUAUUGGAGGUGCUACUAAGUUACAGCUGCUGUAACUUACAGUUCCUUAAAAAAUAAUGUAAAAAAUUUAACACGUGGUGGGACCCACAUUAUGUUUGAAGAGGUCGUAAGUUAUAGCAGUUGUAAAUUAGUAAAAUCCAAAUAUUAGACAAUAAUACAUAAUAACAAUGCAUAUAAUUUGAGUUUGAUUUUUAAAAAAAUUAUAUGAGUAUUACCUAUCCUUAAGAUAUUAAUGAGAAUAUAUUUUAAUAUUAAAUAAUCAAAAUCUGUUUAAUCAUAAUAUGUAAUUCAUACAUUGCAUGUUAGAUUUGUUUGGAUUUUAAGUUGUUGCUAAUAAAUAUUUAUGUUGUGAAAGUCGAAUUCAAUAGCUACAAAAGCAGAGAUAAUGGUAUUUUAUGUAGUUUUUAAGAAUACAAGGAUAAGUAGGGGUGGGCAAAUCGGGUUUCGAUUCGGGUUGUUCGGGUUUCGGAUUGGGUUUCAACCCGUUCGGGUUGGAGAAUUGAACCCAAUCGGGUUGAAAGCACCAACCCGAACCAAACCGAACCGAAUUUAAUUCGGUUCGGUUCGGUUUGGGUUGGCAAUUCGGAUCGGAUUGGGUUGAUAAUUCGGGUUAAAAUUUCGGUUCGGGUUAAUUCGGGUUAGAAUGGGUUGGAACAAUUUAAUCUAAAAAUUCUAACAACAACCACUUAAAAUCUAAAAAUUUAAAUUUCAAACAUUCUUAACAACAAAUAUCAAUUACAAAUCAUCCUUAAUAACAUUUCAACAAUUUAAAAAUCUCAAUUCCAAACAUUCCAAACAUCCUUAAGGAACGAUUUAAUCUAAAAAUUAUAACAACCUCUUAAAAUCCAAAAAUCUUAAUUCCAAAUAUCCUUAAUAACAAAUAUCAUCUACAAAUCAUCUUUAAUAACAUUUCAAUAAUUUAAAACUCUCAAUUCCAAACAUCCUUAAUAACAAAUAUCAACUACAAAUCAUCUUUAAUAACAUUUCAAUAAUUUAAAACUCUCAAUUCCAAAUAUUCCAAACAUCCUUAAGGAACAAUUUAAUUCAAAAAUUAUAACAACCACUUAAAAUCUAAAAAUCUCAAUUCCAAACAUCCUUAAUAUAUAUAUAUAUAUAUUUUUUUUUUUAAUUUAAAAGCUGAAUCUUAAAAAAAAAAAAAAGCUUCAACCCGAACGGGUUGAAACUUUGAAUCCGUUCGGGUUUCACCGGUUAACCCAAACCGAACCGAACGCCCACCCUAAGGAUAAGACCAUAACGCAUGAGAUAAUGGUAUUUUAUAUUAAAAGACCAUAACACAUGUAUUUGAGCCAUUUAUAUUGAGGACACAUAUAGAGCGAAGAGUGCAGAUCCGGCCGUAACUAUUGUGAAGCUUCCCUCAAGUAUUCCCAUGCACACAACCCUUAUCUGUUCAAGUUUUCUGAUUCAAUAUAAUCAAUUUCCGAGCAGUACUGACGACAGCUUCUCUGUAAAGCUCUUCAACCACAAGCAUUUCUACAAGGCAAAAGACUAGGACGUGUCGGAAUGAAUAUCAAUAAGGGAAUGUCUUAUGAAUUCAGUUUAUAUCCUAAUAUAAGACAAUCAGUAAAUAUUGGAUGCAAUCUUAGGCUAACAUUUGGUUGAUCAUUAUACAAAAAAAAAGGUACAAAAAUACAAAACAGAGCUGAUUGAUGGCCUCUCACAGUCAGUUAUAUGACAAAGUAGCCAUCACUACUUGAACUUGGCUGGAGGUCUCAUUAGCAGUAUACCUCAGAAAUUAAUACAGAGACUUUAAAAUGCAAACUUAUGGAGCAAUUUAAGCACUGAAACUAAUAACAGUACGGUAUUAGCAAUUGACCUCUGCUUUUUGCUUGGACAAAGGUUCUCAUCACAAGGGACUCAUUAGUUGCCCUUGCCUCACACUUUUGGAUGCUAAGGGGAAAAAGGAAGCUUGAAUUAGUCAAUCUCAUGUCUAAUGGCAUUCACAGAGAACCUAUAAAACCAAAUAAAUAAAUAAAGUUUUCAUCCAUGAAAAGCUUAGUAAUGGAAAAACCGACUCUUUUAUCUGCCACUGACGAAAAAAAAACUGAAGUAUUAAAUAGAUAAUGAAUUUAAUUUUUUUCUUGGAAAAACUAAUAAUAAAUUAACAAUUAGAUAGUACUAUUAAUUAGAGAUCUUUAAUAUUAAGGUUAUCAAAUAUAGAAUGUGUAUAAAAAUUCUUAAUUAUAAGAUAAUUACUAACUAAAAAGAGGCCUAAAAAAGAAGAUUUGCUAUUAUAAGUAAUACCAAAAAUAAAAAGGGAGACUUCCUAAUUGUUUAAUUGUUAAAAAAGAGGAUUUGUUAUUAUAGGCCUAAUUUGCCUAUGCUUAAAACCGUUCCCGGAUGUAAAAAAAUAAAAAUUAUUGUUAAAUUCCUGACUAAUAAGGUCAUUGAAAGUAUUCAAAGGACCUGAACUAUACCACGUUGCAAGUGAGCUCGUAUUUUUAUCCCUUGAUCUGCCAUCGGUAUUUCUCUUCCACUCACUAUACCAUCCUUUUCAAUCGAUUUUUAUUGAUCAUAAGAGACCAUGUGGCCCACCUUUUUUUUAUUUUGGAUCCAUAACCCAAUGCUGGCCCAAGUUAAACAGCAAAUCAUCAAACGCACUUCAAUGACUUUGAUUUUGAUUUUUUUUUUCAAAAGAAGUAAAAAAAUCCAUGGGUCGCAAUAACUGCUGGGAAAUUUAUAAAAAUAGUCAUAAAAUAUUUGUAUUUUUUAACUUUAAUCCCUUAAAGUUUUUUCUAUCAUAACUAGCCAAAUACCCUACUUUUGGACUAGAUUACCCUCAUCACUUUUAUCAAAUUUAUAAAGACAUGCCACUUUUUCAAUUCCAGCACAACUAAAUACGGUUCUUCUUCAAUAACUUAACAAACAUUUAUCACUCUCAACAAACUUCAUCACUCUCUAUAAAUCAAUUACAUAAUUGAAUAUAAUCAUCAAUGGGAGAGCUUCUUAAAAUUAGUUUAUGCUUUUACACAAUGUAAAUCUUUAAUCUAUUGAUUUUAUCAACUAAAUUUGAAAUUAAAGUGGGUUUUGUUACAAAUAUUGUUAUUUUUCAUUCAUAAAACAAUGUGAUUUGUUAAAGUACUUAGUUUGAGUUGAGAAAUGAAGAAAAAUCAUUGAAAAUAUAGAAAAAUCGGGCAAAAAACGAAGUUCAGAACAAGUGAGAUAGGCAAGUGGGACAGGUGCAUGUCUCACAUAAACGCACUGCAUUUAUGUGCGACAGGCACCUGUCCCACUGCUUGUCGCACAUAAACCCAUAAAUUUUAUAGAGUACAUGAUUUUGGAUUUGAUUUGUCUCGUCAUAAGCUUCGAAACAGUAUAUUAUACGCCUAAAACGAACAUAUGUAGCUCAAGUUAUAGCUUUUGCAAUAUAUAUGAAAUUUAGUGAGACAGGCACCUGUCCCACUUGCCUGUCUCACUAAAUUUCAUAUAUGUUUCAAAAAUCAUAACUUGAGCUAUAUAUGUCCGUUUUAGACGUAUAAUAUAUCAUUUCAAAGUUUAUGAUGAGACAAAUCAAAUUCAAAAUUAUGUACUCUAUAAAAUUUGUGGGUUUACGUGCGAUAGGCAAUGGGACAGGUAAAAUGAAUAAACUCUGAGCCUCUCUCUAUAACACUAUAUAGAACCCUAAGCCUAAGUCUCACAUUCGCAACCGCCCCACAUAUCAGAACCACAGCGAACUGCCUCCGACCCUACGGACCCAAAAAAAUUAUUGUAUUCCUGCUCUUUCACUUCAAUAAUUUUUUGUAUUAUUCCAUAUCUUUCACUUUAAUAACCCAAAAGCUUUCCUCUGUUUCAACCCAAAAGCUCAAAUUCCUUUUUUCAAUCGAAAUAAAACGUAGCCACAAAACCCUAAUUCACCACACCAAUUUAUCUCUGCCCGGUAUUCAUUUAAACCCUACCUCGCGGUUCAAUGUCAUUCAAUACGAUUGCAGAUGCCGUUUCAACUUGACAUUUAGUUAGCGCCAUCCCGUUCUCUAUGGUAAGCCUUAACCCUAACAACUAAUCGACUGUGGUAGCACGUUGCUUGUUAGGAGUGGGGAUACAUUAUUUGAAUAUAUGAAUUGGGUGAUGUUAGUGAUUCAUUCCCCUAUUUUUCGUGAAUUGAGAUUUGUGUAUAAUGCUAGUAAGAUUGCUAAAAAUUUCAUAUUUUGUAUUGUUCCAGUUGAAUUUCUUGCUUGUGGAAGAUAAAACAAAAGUUCAAUUUCAUGUUGAUUUAAUUCUUCUUUUUUUUUUCUUCUUUAUAGUCACGCUCUGGCUUUGGUGCUAUGCUUAGUGCAGUUUAUGGUUUCAAGAUUAAGUCACGUUUAUUUGAUGGCAUCGAUUCCAUCAUUAAGAAGCUCUUCUUAUUUUAUCUCAGUUUCAAUUUUCUUUUAUUAUCUGCCUCUACCUGAAAAUGGACGUGUUUUACUAGUAAGCAUAGACUUUGUUUAUUUAAUUGAUAUUAUAAUUUUAUGUAUAAGAAUGGAGGUUUAUUUUGAAAAAAAAAAAGAAAUAAAAAAAUAGACUCUGUUGAAGCUAAUUAGUACUGAAUUUUUUUUGGUGGUGCGACCAGAGGUGGAAACAGGGUAUGAAAAUGUGUUACUGGUGAGGUUGCUGCUUAAGAUGAGAAUGGCUAAAAAUCUGUCAUACGUUCAAAUUUUGUUUGUGUUUGGAAGAAUGGUGUUGACUGUAUAUUCGUUUGGAAGAAUGGUGUUGAUUGUAUAUUCAUUUGCUUAGCCUUUUGACAGAUGGAUUUGAAACUGACGACAAAUGUGAUUCAAUUUACAAGGUUUUCGAGGGGCUCACAGUGGAAGGGAUAUUGAAGAACUGGUCUAAGAUAAAGCCUAUGAUUGUGAAAGAUUGGAGUGAGAAUAUAGAUGCUCGUUUAAAUCUUUUUGGCAAGGUCAGAGAUGAAUGGAUAGAUAAGGAUUUAUUUGACUACUUCGUCUGGUGCUAAUAGGUAUUUUAGGCAAGCUUUUUGAGAUAACACUGAGCAAGUUAUACUACUAGUUUGCACAUGAUGAUCAAAACUCUCGAAAAGUAAAAUAAAAUAAAUUAUUAACUUUUACUUUCAUCUUUUGCAUAGCAAUCAAUGUGGUGCUUGUUCUGUGACAACUUUGAUAGUCUACUUAAUUAUUGGUUAGCAUUUGGACCAAAAAAGUUCUUAUGAUUUACAUGUUUUGUAGAAAUGCAUGAACCUUAAAUGUGCUGAUCAGGGAGUUUAAUUAUUGCACCUUGAAAUUCAUUUAUUGUUAACUAAUUGGCUUUCCUUUGCAUAAAGACGCUUAUAAGGCUUGAGUGGACGUCUUUAUGGGCAUAUUAUUUGUAUUUCUAUAUGCAUGCCUUUAUCAUUAAUUUAUGUGCUGCUUGUAUUUCUUUAUGCAUGCCUUUAUCAUUUAAUGGCCAGCUCCCUCUCCUCUUUUGUAAUUUGAAUGGUAGUAUGGGCCUCCAUUUUACAAAUCUUUAACAUUUUUUGCUGUAAAUUAAUUUUUCUUUCAAAUAUUUUGGAGGUCAUUGGAAUUCCUGUAGGUCUAUUUACCAGAUUUUAGUACGUUUAAGGUUUUAAUUUUGCUUAGACUUUAAUUUCUCUGAAAGAUUGUAGUAUUGAUCCUCAAAGAAAGAUCAUGCUACUUCAAAUUAUUUUGAAGUGUUGCUAGUUAUAGCCUUACAUAUCAAAUUCCAUUUGUCUGGAAAUUUAUUGAUAGUUGUUACAGCAGCAUAUUUUAUGACUCUACUUCUUAGUUAUGUAAGUUCAUUAUGUUUAGGUCAGAGGCAGUCAGCUGUGGGGAAUCGAUAUAUACACAGAUGACUUUGAUCUUGUUGCUGGUACGUGGUUCUAUGAAUAAUUGUUCACAAUAAUUGUGUUUGCCUCACUGUUUUUGUUUUAUGAGGUCUAUAAUUGAUCUUGAGAUAUUACUUUCUAGUUCUCAUGCAAGCAAGUUACUACCUUCCCACUGCAUCUCCUCCUUUAUCUGCUAUUCAAGAGUUGCGUGCCAUAAUCUGGUGUUACCUCUGCAAGAUUGUGAAUGAAUAUGAUGCCUCUAAAUUUAUUUUAUACAUAAUGCUGAUGCUGAAUAAUAUAUUGUAGCUCCUGUCAUAUUCUACUUUGACUUUUUAUAUUCUGUUUCAUAUAAAAAUCUUAUUCAACUUUAGUUGUUCAUGAGCAAAUGUCACAUGUAUAAGCCCAAAUGAUGCUUAAAGGUAGCGCGGCUACCUUUAGUUUGAGCCUACAAUGGAUGAAAAAGAAAUUGAAACUGAUAUUUUGCUGUUUUUCUGAUUUUUCAAAGUAUUUUAGAUCCUGACUUUUGUUUGGACUUGAUGGUUAUAGAUUGUGUCUAGAUUUGUUAAGUUGUUUCCAACACCUCGUGCCAAAUGAAAGCACAAUCUUUCUGAUUCAGAUGUCUUGUUAAUUAUGCUUCAUUUUUUUCGUUAAAGAAUGGAUGGUUGCAUGGAUUGAUGGAGUUGGAGUUCAACCAAUAAUUCUAAUUUUUUGGACUUAAAAUGCCUUUUUCUUCUGUAUAAAAACUUUAGUAAGUGCUAUUGAGUUGACAGAAGUUGAAUACUUACAGGUUGUUUCACACAUUUUAAUCGUUUUACAUAUAUGAAUUUCUGUUUUUUGAAUUGCAGAAAGGAGGUGGAACUAUUGAUUUGGAGCCUUAUCUUACUCAAUCAUCGACAGCGGAGCCUACCCUCGCUCCCAUGGCAGUGGAACGGACAACGACUACUAGGGCUGCAACAUCAGUUGGUUUGGGUCUGUUUUGAGUUUAUUGUCAUUUAUUUGGCAAUGUUUUGAUAGCGAAUUUUGAUAUGUCAAUAUAAUGUGUAAUUGUUUUGGGUUGAGCUGGUAAUUAUGCUGGAUUAGAUUGGUUUGGUUUUGGUGCUUCUCUGACGGAACACUGCUUUUUUUAGAAAUUUUGAAUGUAAUAUGAGACUACAUUUAGUUUAAUUGAACACUGCAUCUAGUCUAAUUACUAGACGUGUGGCAUUUGGUUUGGUUUAUCCGAUAUUCUCCAGAAUUUCACUUGCAUCUGGUUUUGUUGCAUAUGUUUGCUUGCAUUUGAUGGCAGUAGCAGACUGUUUGGUUUUGUGAGAUUUGAUGGCAGUUUGGUCUGUUCUUGGUGUUGAUUUAAGAUUGUUCCUGUUGUGCUGAUGUUAAUUGCAGGUGCUUGAAUCAGCUAGGGUUGCUGGUUUAUUCAGAUGGUUGACUCAGGCGUUGUUACUGGUUAAUUCAGGUGGCUGACUCAAGUUGUUCAUUUAAUGUUAGGAAGCAAAUUAAGAAUUAAUGAAGUAUUCAUUUAACUAUAAUUUUUGUAGUUAUAUUAUUUCAUAACUGAAUUAUAAUCUAUGAUACUUUUGAACAAAUUAGAGAAUUUUUAAAUAUGAAUUAAAUAUGUGUGUGUAUGUACAUUUUGCUAUUUAUAUAAUAAUUUAAAGAAUAUAUUUCAAUUCCCACAAAAAUAAUGGCUCCAAUUUCAAUAAUUCCCGCCAAAUAAUUAAAUUUUUUUAAUUUACCACCAAAGUAUAUCUUAAAGAAAUUUUAGUUAUUCUUGCUAGAUUUAACAAAAAUAAUUUGUAGGAUUAAAUUUAAUUAAAAUAAUUAAAUAAUUUUAUUAUUCCAAUUAAAAAUGUCAUGUUUAUACGACAGACAAUAGUCAUGAAUGGGAAGUAUUCGUUACAUGUUUUUCCUUGGGAUUUCAGGCAAAUGAAAAAAAGAUUGAGAAUGAUUUCAAGAGGACAGGUGGAUGAUAAGUAUUCAUUUUUGUAUAUUUGGCUAAUGUCCUCAUUAGUGGAUUUUUAUGGUAUUGAUCUUUUUUUUUUUUUAAUUUUCAAUUAGUUGCAGCCCUAGAGGAAGAGCAGGCUGAUCAAAUUGAUUUGUCUUGUUUUUGGGGCAAUCUACGACACGAUGACCGUGAUAAUGCUCGUGACUGCUGGAAACUUUCUGAUGUAAAUAACUUUAGAGUUCGUAGCAAGCAUUUUUGUUAUGACAAAACAAAGGUUCCCCCAUAUUUUGUUUAUUUGUUAUUUAUGGUACUUAUUUAUGGUAUUUAUAUAUCCUGCAUAGGCUAGGUAGACAGGUUAUGAUGUAGUUUGGUUGGCUCUUCUUGUGCUUUGUGCAAUUUGUAACUGCAGAUACCUGCGGGAAAACAUUUAAUGGAUCUUGUUGCUGUUGAUUGGUUCAAAGACACAAAGAGAAUGGACCAUGUAACUAGGCAUCAAAGCUGUGCUGCACAAGUAACUAUUCUUCUCUUUUUUAUUUUUCCUUUUCCAUUGACGGAUUAGAAGAAAAUACUGCCUGUGAGAUACUGUAAUGUAAAUAACUUCUCAUGGUUCAUUGAAUCUAUAACACACUGACCCUCUUCUAAAAAAUGUAGGUUGCUUCUGAAAAAGGGCUUUUCUCACUGAUCUUUAAUCUUCAAGUAAGUUUGUUUCAUUUCAGAAGGUAUUAAGUUUCAAACUUAUUGUAUUGGGAGGUUGUAUAGUUGUAACCUAAGCAUCUGCAGGUUCCUGGUUCAACACAUUAUAGUAUGGUAUUUUAUUUUGUCACAAGGCAAUUGGCUAUGGGAUCACUUUUGCAACGGUUUGUUGAUGGCGAUGAUGAGUUUCGCAAUAGUAGGUUGAAACUUAUUCCAUCUGUUCCUAAGGUAUCCAUCUUGGCCUUCAUGUAUUAGGACUAUAUUAAUGUAUACUUACCCUUUACUGCAUGGUACACUUCAAUUUGUCCAAAGAAGGCAUGCAUUUAGGUGAAAAUGUAUUGAUGGGUUGUACCUUCAAACUUCAUGUCCUUUUUACCCUCUUGAAUUUGUUUUGCACUUGUUCUUGAUUUUAAGCACUGAAUCAUGCAGGGGUCAUGGAUCGUGCGUCAGAGUGUUGGAAGCACCCCUUGUUCGUUAGGGAAAGCGGUUGAUUGUAACUAUAUUCGCAGUCCCAAGUACUUAGAAGUAAAUGCUCUUGGAAUUUCUAUAGUACAUGAGAUGUUCAUCUUUCAAAUAGCAUCCGAUACCAUUAACAUGGUUUAACAUUGUUCAUCUUUCUGUAGAUUGAUGUUGACAUUGGUUCUUCUACCGUUGCUAAUGGAGUUUUGGGCCUUGUAAUUGCUGUAAUUACGACAUUGGUGGUUGACAUGGCUUUCCUUGUACAGGUAUGUAUGAUUGUUUUUUUCCCCCACUUCUAAAUGGACACAAGGGAAAAGACAUGAUUUUGAGAUAUUGCACUGCAAUUUGCAUUUUUGCAUACUUGAAUGUUCUCAGAAUGGUAUAAUGCUUCGUGUGUGUCUUCUUUAUCUUGCUCUUCUGUAUGCAGGCAAAUACUGCAGAUGAAUUACCGGAGCGGCUGAUUGGUGCUGUAGGUGUUUCUCAUAUAGAACUCAAGUCUGCUGUUGUCCCAAAGUUGGAACCAGAGAUAUCAUGACUGUGGUUUCAUUUCACCUCAACUGUGUUUUUUUUUUAAUUAAAAAAAAUCAUUUGUUUUAGGUAUAUACAUACAUGUAUUUUGAUUCGAUUUUCAUUGUAAUUUCUCAUUUACUUCGAAUGAAAGUCAUUGGUGUUUUCGAAUGGGGAUUUUGCAUUAAAAAAUGAACAAUAGUGAAUAGGAAAUUUCCUGAUUCUUUAGUUACUAUUUUUGGUACGAGUGUAAUUAGUAGUAAAGUUGGUUUCUACUCGCAAACAAGUAAACUGCUCGAUUCCCGAGUGGUAUCAACCAGUUUCCAACUUUUUAAUAUACACUAAUUGUUCUUGUUUAAGAGAUACUACUAUUAAAACUCAACAGCUAACAAAAUUACUCAAAAAAGAUGAUUUUUCUUAUGAUGCUGUGAAGAAAAUUACGGGUUUACUUCUCUCCACGAGAUCUAUAACAUGGUUUUGACUUCACGAAAUUCUUUUAAUUUAAAGCAUGCUGGUGUGAGAAGGUCAGUUUGACUGAUUGAUUCUUCAAAAAUAUUCUUAUUCUGAUAUUGUCACAAAUGUUAUGCUGUUUCGGCUAAUGAUCUCCUAUUAGGAGAGGUUAGAAAUCAAAUGCUUAAAAGACCGAUUGAACGAAUAAUACAGAAAAUUUAAGCAGAAUCUAAUCGAAUAUUGCAUGAAACAUGAAACAUCAAUUCAAGUCCUUUCUUAAACGGAGAAUGCAUCAAACAAAAUCUAAAGUGUCUUGCACGUCUGUAGCAUGAGCAAAAAAUUGUAAAUAUGUAGAACCAAAUUAUUCAAGUACAGAAGAACGAGCAAGCUGAAUCAUGUAUUAGAGAUUGGCCUGGUUCGGGAUAGCUUCUUCACUAUACCUGAAUAAUUUGCUAAAUAGCACCAAAACUUAAUUGAUACUUACCAUUUCAUUGAACAAUUUUUUUAUGGUGUCAUUGAGGUUGCCUUCCCAACAUCCUUCAUCAUCAUCAUCUUUUUCUUCUUCGGUGACGUUCACUUUGUUUAGCAUUGGUGUGUCUAAGACUCCUUGAGAGAAGAUCUUCAUUUUUGGACACUGUCUCACAACUACUUGUUUCAAGGACGGGAAUUCAAGAGCGUAAUUACCCAAACAAAAGCUUGUUAGGCUUGGCAAACAAUCAAGUCCUAAGUACUCCAAUUCCUCGAAACCAUUGCAAUCUUUCGCUUCUUCUCCAACCUGCGAUUGUAUGAUUUCUUCUAUCAUUUUGCAAUCAGCUAUCUUCAUUCUUCCGAGAUUAACCAGAUUUUUAGAUGCUGAGAGCGUCAACACAUUUAUCAACCCGUGACACUUCGAUACUUCCAGUCCCCACAUAUUUUCCAAAUGCCACGAAGGUGGUACUAAUUUUUGCAACUUACUACAUUCCGAUAUUUCUAGACUUCCCAAGUUUGCAAACGCUUUGUUGGAUUCGUCAUUUUCCUUCCAGAUAUGCUGCACUUUGUGUAAUCCAGAUAGUGUUAACCAACUCAAUUUAGGGAAUGCAACCUGAAAAUCAACAAAAUUAAUUAAGUUGUAAAUGAAAAUAUGUAUCCAAUCUCUGGAGUCUUCCCCUGCAUAUUUUAUGGACAAGAUUAAUCACGGCAUUUUAUAUUUUUUUUCCAAAUUAGUAUGCUUUGCAGUAGGAUCCCAAAUAUAAGUAUCAAAUCGAUUACCCUUUGAAACACAUAAAUGAAAUCUGAUCCUAAAUCCAAUAUGAAUUAACACGCAUAAUUAAUAUAGUUCAUCACCUCAUGUCACUAGGCAUCUAAUUAAUUUGAGACAUUUUAAUAAUUUAUACUAUAAAGUUAGUUAAUAACUGCGGUUAUAUUGUUAAAUCAUAUAUAAAUUAAGACGACAUGCAAAAAGAUGAGUCAUUAAAUUUGAUUUGAUUCUAAUGAAAUUACAUCUAUGCGAACGAAAGUGAUGGGAAUAAUCAUCAUCAUCAUAAUAAUAAUAAUAAUAAUAAUAAUAAUAAUCACCUUUUCAUCGAAGAGAGGUUGUAGUUGAUGAGCCAGCAAGAAGUUCUCUUCUGAUGUUAAUUUCUGAGGUUCCUUGUUAUCUGUUGUCACGUGCACUACAGAUGUAGAAUUGGAUAUGAAUGUUUCCUUAUCAGGGCAAUUCUCAAUAGUUAGAUAGUCCAACUCAGGCAGUUCAAUUAUAUUCCCAGUGAAGUUGCAGAAUCUUUUGAGUUUUGGAAGAUCAAUGAGCCUUAGAUUGGAAAGCUUAGGAAACAUGGGGCCUAUAUGUUCUUCCUUGGCAUUUAGCUCUUCCAAAUGAAGCACCUCUUCUAGUGAAUCACAAUUCGUCACUGUCAGGUAUUGCAAAUUGUUCAAGCACCGUAGCAGAUUGGCAGGAAUAGCACUCGACAUAUUCGUGCAGUCAUCCACCACCAGGUCACUUAAAUUGUUGAAGAAGCUGACAGGCAGUGCUUGGCCAUGCCAUAUUUCUUGCAAACGUGGAAAAUGCGAGAGUUGCAAAUACUCUAUAUCACGGAAUCCAAUCUGCACAAACCAAAACUAUUGCACUGGAUAUAUACAAUUUUUUUUAAAGGCAUUAGAUAUAUAUAUAUAUACACACACACACACAUUAAACUUACAUGUUUUGUGUUUUAACUUCUAAAACUACAUAUACAAGGUAGGUGUAUAUGUUUAAAUGUGCAAGCGUAGGGGAGAUGCAUGAACAAUUUGGGUGAAUCGAUUAACACAGACCAUCUUUUUGUAACAUAUUUUUAAAUGUGCAAGUGCAAGGGAGAUGCAUAAGCAAUUUGGACGAAUCGAUUAACACAUACCAUUUCUUCGUAGCCCUUUUGUAUAAAGGAAUUAAGGUUAUCGCCUUCCCGAUGGUACAAUUCACCCUCUUCCUUUUUACUAACUUGCACUUUGCAUGGCUUUGGAAUGGAUAAGAUUCCGUGAGAAAAAGUCUUCAUGUUCGGACAAUGUGUCACAGAAACUCGUUCCAGUGAUGGGAAUUCAAGAGUAUAAUUCUCCAAACAAAAGCUGGUAAGCCUUGGUAAAUCAUCAAGUAUCAAAACUUUUAAUUUACUGAAAGCAAUAUGAUUCUCCUUCGCUUCUUCUCCAACAUGUCUUAUGAUUUCUUCUAAUUUUGUGCACUUCGAUACAUUAAGAUUCACCAGACUACUAGGAAUUCCAACCUGAAAAUAAGCAAAAGUGUGUGUAUAUUAAAAAAGUAAAAAUGUAAGAAUAUCAUUCAACUAGGUUCAAAGUAUGUUUAAUCAUACAAUUAUACGUUUUAUAAACAUAACAAACCAUGAAAUGUCUACUAGAUAAUUUUUUAUUAAACAAAAAAAGCAACAAGAUAAAUAAAUAAAUAAAAGCCAGAUAAACAAAGAUAAUAAAAAUGCAUUUACACUAUUUACUAUUGGGAACGUAGAAAGAAUUUAAGGCAAUUUCUAAAUAUUUUAGACUUAUUUUGCAUCUUGAUAUCAGUUUUUAAGCAUAAAUUUACAAAUUUCAACUAUUCCUUUUAGGGAAAAAAAAUUCAACCAAAAUGCCGCUUUUUCCCUUUUCCUUGGUCCCUUUUUUUAUGUACAUUUAAAAAUGGAAAAAAAAAAUUGGAAAAGACUUCCCAAUAUUGUCAAUAAGGGACUGCUGCUGUAAAGUGGAUCUUUAUUAAGUACUUCCAGACUCAAGGAAAUUUCUUUACAAUCACGGGUCAGUUGUAAAUAAUCAUGAAUUUGUGGUUAAUUAAUGGCAUAAUCAAUUCGUAACUAAACAAGAGAUAUUAAUUAAAUUUGAAGACUUUUAUUUUCUUUUUUUCUUUUUCCAAUCGAAAUGUGAAGAAUUAAGGAAAAGAGAAAUAUAUAGAUGAAUUUGUGAACCUAUAAGAUGAGUGACGAUCCUUUAAUUUUUGAAAAUCGUACUUAUUAAGAUAUGAGCAAAAACUAUUUAAUUGAAUUAUAUUAUGCUGUUGAAUCGUGUUUAAAAAAUUUAUAUUGUUGAUUCUAAUGCUGACGAACCUAAAAACUGGACCUAAAACGUAGAUUUCAGAGUGGUGGUUCGAAGUACGAUACUUGAAAUAAAUAAUCAGUGGCUGAAUAUCAUUUGUAAACAAAAAAUGGUUAAAAUAUUGUUGGAUGUAAUUUGAAAAAAAAAAAAAAAGAUUCGAAAUGAAUACACUCAAAUAUCUCCAAAUUCUUCAAUUUGCUGAAAGACUCCAAAGCAAGCUGGUGGUGCCAUAUUCUUCUCAAAUUAUCCAUCGACCUAAUACGUAAUACCUCCAAACUAGGAAGUCGUACCUGGCAGUUAAAGAUUAAAUAACUAAUUAAUCAAUUAAUGGCAUAAUCAAUUGAUAACUAAAUUAGAGGCGGAUAUUAACUAAAUUUGAAGAAGACUCACGGAAAAGACAAAUUAAAUAUUAUGACUAAAAUUAAUUUUUUUUAUUAAAAAAAAAACCUUUUCGUCAAAGAGAGGAGGAGGUUGCAUUUCAGAAUGAAUGGUGUCUUCUGGUGAGCUCGUAGAGAUGAAUCUUAACAUAUUACUGCAACUCUGAAUCUCGAGCUUUAGCAAAGAAGGGAAUUCAACGACUAAAUCUGAAUGAAUAUGUCCCGUAUUGGCAAAGCUUGUUAGUUCAUAAAGCGCUUCUAGCUGCAGGGAGUGUAGCUUAGGAAAAACCUUUAAUUCAAUCAACUUUCCUUCAUCUCUUUCUGACCACCCCGUGGUGUCGACUACCCCUUCCAUUGAAUCACAAAGCCUUAUCUCAAGAUGUUGGAGUUGCAUCAGACGAUUACAAUUCCCCACGUACAGCUUUGUUAAAUUUUGACAACAGUACAUUCCUUGAUUAUGAUCGGCCCAUAAUUUUUUCAUGUUUCUUAAGUCCCAGAGAUUCAAUUCCUCUAAGCUCGGAAGAAUAACCUGCAAAGAAAACCCGUACAUUUUUGUUCCUUCAAGUACAACCGUCUAGUAUAAUAUUCUUUUGAUGAUCGAAGAUUAAUCGUGAUAAUAAAUUAAUCAAUUAAUUAUUGAACAGAAAAUUAUCACCUUUGGAGCAGUAUCAUCAUCAGCAAUGAUUUCGUUGAAUCCCAAAGAAGUUGUUGGUUUCUCCCUGUCGGGUCCUAUAAACAAACAAAAACAAUAUACAUAAUUAAUCUUUGUCGUUGUCUUUUUUUUUUCAAAAUAAUUGAGGCGAAGUCCAUAAAUCCACCAACACUUAACUUCAACACUUACCAACCAUCAUUUCCAGAUCAUGGCAAAAAGCCACUUUGACCUUUUGAAGCCGCAGUAGGUUUUUGGCUAUGGAGAAUGAGAAAAGAUGCUUUAAUUUGUGACAGGAUUGUACUCCUAUAAUCCUUAAGUUGCUGAAAGAUUGAUCUUCUGUGAGUUGGCUGUCACAUAUUGUCUCCAAAUUGUUCAAAUUGCGAAGAGACAAUGACACCAGCAAGGGGAAGACUUUGCGACGAACCCGUCCAACUGAACCGACAAUAUGCAAAAUCUCAGAACAACUUUCUACAGAAAGAUGCUUCAAUCGUGGAAAACCUUCCCCAUCAUCUAAUUCAUGAACAACAUUCUGAACACCCUUCAGUUCGUUUAGAUGGAUCUCUUCGGCUUCCUUCAGCAACAUUUUCGUCCCAUAAUUCUCCAAAAGAGUGCUAACAUUUUCUAGCCCAUGGAGCCCCACCAAUCUUGAUGUUUCAGAAUUAACGGGCCAAAUGCGCCACCACGCUUCUCCUAUACAUAUCUUAUAGCUUUGCAAUUCCACAGAGACCCAAUCCUGCGGCAGAAUUUGGGCAUCCGGAACUUGUAUAUUCAAAGUAGUUAGCUUUGACAGCCCCUUCAAUUCAGCAAGACUGGCGUUACUUCCUCCUUCAACCUUAUCCCACUGCGAAAAGCUGUCACCCAUAUAUAGUUCUUCCAAUCGAGAAAAUUUUGAUAUGACAUUUGGUGCUAUCACUACAAGGCUCCUACAAUUGCUCAAAUCUAGCAAUUGUAACCGCGUCAAUUGUCCAAUUUCAAGCGGUAACUGCUUAAUGUCGGAACCUCGAAAGCUAAGAAUCUCUAAUUUCUUUAGCUGUCCAAUUGCCGCUAUAUCUUCUAGUUGGCACCAGUCUAAACACAAUGUUUGAAGGUUAAUGAGGCGACCAAGUGAUGAAGGUAAUGAAGAGAAAGGAAUUCUAGUAAGAGUUAAAACUUUGAGUUCUUCUGUCCCUUCAAAAAAGAGGUCUGAAAUUUGCAUUGAGCUAUAACGCUUUGAAAACAACAAAAGUAACUGGAGACGGGGACAUCCCAACCUUUCGGGAAGCUCUUGAAUAUCUCUCUGGGGUAAUGAAAUGGCAAUUGGAUCUUUCCGUAUUGUCUCUUCCAUCUUUUUCUCCACGUCAUCAACAUUUGGAAUAUUAAACAUGCGCUCCCCUGCAGCAAUUGAUACAGCAACAACAUGAAUGACGUCAUGCAUUUUAACUUCAUCUUCAGCAUCACCGUCCAACAAUAAGCAUGAAGAUUUGAGAUUGUCGAUCAACCGAUGCACUCUACUCCUUGCUUCUUCCAAUGUGUAAACAUUUUCAAACAAACCCCAACCCACGCCAUAUCUCAAUAAGCCAGAAACUUGUAUCGCAUGACCUUCACUGUACAGACCACAAAGACGGAACAGAGGUUUUGCCUCCGCACUUUCCAAAAAGUCGUAACUCAAUUUUAUGGAGGUGUACACAUUUGCUUUCAUGCCAUGAAUUUCUCUUGCAUGCGAUCUUCUUAGCUGAUUCAAUGCAUCUUGCCAAAAGUAACGCUCCUUAUUUUUCAGAGCAUUUGCAACUGUACUCAGUGCAACAGGCAAACCUCCGCAUUUUUCAACGAUCUCAUUUGCUGUACUUUGAAAAUCAGAUAUUUUAGUUGAAUCACCCACUAUCUUCUCAAAUAACUGCAAUGCUUCUUCUUUCGAUAAAGCAUCGAUCCAGAAAAUUUUCUGACAAUUCAUAUCAUUGCACAAUAAAUCUCCACUUCUAGACGUCAAUAUUAUUGUGCAUCUUCUCUGAUCAUCCUCUCUAUCUUUCUCAUCAACAUCCCCAGAAGGAAUUCCAACUUCAUCGAACUUCAGUUCUCUCCAAAUGUUAUCCAAUAUAAUCAGGACCCGCUUCUCUUUCUUCAAUACUCGACGUAGUCGAUUUGCUCUGUCGAAUAUAUUCUCAUUCAACUCAAACUUUAUGCCUAAAUCAGAAGCAAGUUUGUCUUGAAUUUUCUGAUGAUCUGGGUUCUCUGUUAUCUCAGCCAUAGCGACCUUAUCGAACCACUUAUCUUCCAUCACUUGCUUUGCAACUUGCUUUACGAGCGUGGUUUUACCCACGCCGCCCAUCCCGUAGACCCCAAUUAUGUUGAGCUUAUCAUCCCUCAACGCCUCCAUAACAUCUUGAAAUACUUUCAUUCUUGAGUCAAAGGCCUCGAAAUCUUUCACUUGCAUGUGUUCUACCAGCUUUGGAGUAGGACGGUGGGAAACAUUGGAGAAGUUGCCUUUUCCCAUGAGACUAGCUGCAGCUUCUGCGGCCUUUGCUGCUUGUCUACUGAGCUUGUAACGAGAGAUCAAGUUUGGGCACAAUCCUUUGAAACAGAACUUCUUAGCUCUAUCUUCAUCAUCUGUGAUGGAUUUUGCAGCGCCCUGAGUGAAUUCCUUGACGCUAUUAAGCCAGUCUGCAACAUCCUCAUAAAUCUCAUCUCCUUGUUGAGUAGCCUGAUGAACGGGUAUUUCCACCCUUUCUCUUUGAUGUCCCAGCUGCUUCACUUGAACUUUUAGGCCAUCUAUGUAGCUCUGGUACUUGAACACAUAAGAUAUCUGCCGUUUAAGCGGUUUGUACAGUGACUUUGCACCUUCUGAUACAACGCCGGUUAAAAAAGCCAGACACGCUUCUACAGCCAUUGCCUGUUGCUUAACGAUAUAUAUGUAGUUUUUGGCUGUUUAAAAAAAAAAAAUGGAUUCAAAUAAAUUAAAUGAACUAGAGGGGAAGAAAAAGAAAGAAACGACAACAAACAACCUUUUAGAGAAAGGUUUGACGGGCCUGAAUGGAAAACCAACAACUUUUUGAAGAAAGAAAGCUUUGGAAGAUAGAUGCAAAUUAACCGUUGAUAAUACUACAUAAGAACACAGAAGUUAACAAUAAACAGUAACUUAAAACUCAAGAAAAUUAAAUGACGAGAUUAAGACAAACAAGGGAUAGUUUUUGUUGGACAUUAAGAAACAACUGCUAUCAAGAUCAAGGAUUAGAAAUUAUGCUAUUAAAAGAAGUUAUUAAAGGAUUUAGAACAAGUUUACCUCUUUAAUUAUCUAGGAUCAGAGUUUAUGAGCUUCACUAUUGGCCUUGGAUGUAUAAGAAAAACUUUAAUGAGCAAAAGAUCACUCUUAACUGCGGAGGAAUGUGAGUAAAGAGUUUAUGGGAGUAAAGCAAUACAAUUGAAUUGUAAAAGAACCAAGACUUAAGCGUGCGUCCCGUGUUUUGUUUUAUUAUAUAAACAGAACAUAUGUUCAUUUUUAACAAAUUGAUCAAUAACUCUAUUCGCUAUUUAAUUAAUAAUGUAAUCAAUUUUAAGAGAAUAUAAUAAUAAUCCUUCAAUGCAUAAAUUUAGAAUUAGAUUUUUUUUUACUUUUUAUUUAAAUGUAAAUCUCAGUGGAAAAUUAUAAAAAUUUAGAGAUAAAAUUUUUCAAUCACCAAACGGAAAAACAGGGGAAUGAAAACAGAGGAAUCUUGUUUUACUUUUUUUUUCUUUUUAAACCUUAACUCUUGUUCUUAUAUAAAUAAUCUUGUUCUGAUGAUAGUGCUCUUGACUGCAGGAAAAUUUCUAAUGGAAACAACUCAAUUUCGGAAGAUUAGCUCAGUUUUGCAAGCGAUGAAUUUAUUCAAUUGACUCUGUACUUGAACUCGUUGGAUUGGUUGAUUUAUGAUUGACUGAAUUUCAAUUCGGCCUAAAAGAUCUUUAACCAAAGUUUAAUAGCUAUCAUCUACUCCUUAAAAACAAAUAUGUAUCUUUUUUAGAUUUGACUGAAUUUGAACUUGCUGGAUUGGUUUUUUUUUAGAUUAUUAAAAUUUGGAAUAUUUUUUUUUCCUUGCUUUCUUUUGUUGGAGGAUUAGAGAUUUUGGUAUUACCAGAAAGGUUUCAAGGGUCUGAGUAGAAACCUAUAAUCUUUUGAAAAACUUUGUUUUUUUUUUUUUUUAAUUUUUUGGGGAAAAGGAUGCAAAUUAACCAAAUGGAAAUAAUAAGAGCACAGGCUUUAACAAUGAACAAUAACUUAAAACUCAUGCAAAAUAAAUUCAAUAUUAAAACAAACCAGAGAAAUUUUUUUCUUGAAAAGUAGAUGGAAAUUAUGAAAGAACAGAUGUCAAGAUCAAGGAUCAGGGAUUCUACUACCCAAAAAAAAUAAAAAAUAAAAUUAAAGGAUUUAGAAAAUGUGCACCUAGAGUUGGUGAGCUUCUCUCUCUAUUCACUUGAAUAUUUAAGAACAACUUGAAAGAGGAAAAAGAUCACUGGUAACUGCUGAGGAAUGUGUGAGAAAAGAGUUGACGAGAGAAAUAACAAUGACUUGCAGAAGAAAAACCAUUAAUCAAGCACACCUUUUUAUAUCCUGUAUUUGGUUAUUGUUGCCCUCUUGACGCAUGUAUAGAAUAAUUACGUGCAUUUUUUUUAAUCCGCAUGCACUUUAAUGAUUAGUGCUCCUUUCAUAAAGCAGAUACCGGAAACACACAAAUAUCAUUUGAGAGAGAAACUAAACAGCAAAUCAUCAAAGUAAGAUCAAUAAUAUAUGACUUGGUUAAUGCAUAUUCAAGAACAAAAACAAAAACAAAUAAAUAAAUAAAUGGAGAAGGUUUGAUUUUGUACUGCCAACGCUGCUUUUUUGUUAUUUCAUUUGUUCUUUCCACAAAUGAUGCUUGGUUAUAAUUAAGUUCCACAUGGCCGUUACUUACAAACUGUGUUUGUGUUAACAGAAACGUGAAAUUCACAUCACACAAAAUUACACUAUCAAUUCUUAAGAGAACAUAAUAAUAAUCACUCAACGCAUAAGGGUAAAUUUAGAAUUACAUUUUGAAAUUGAUAAAAUGUUUUUUAUGGGAUUUCAGGCAAACCAAAACAAAAAAAAUUUCAAUAAAGAGCUAGUUGUUGAAAUUGAUUUAUCUUGUCUUUCAGGCUAUCUUGUGACGUGACGAUAUAUAAUGUUCGUGAAUGCUAGAAAAUUUCUAAUGCAAACAACUCAAUUUGGGAUGAUAAGCUUAAUUUUGCAAAUGACGAAUGUAAAUAACUUGUUUUGAUUAAUUGAAUUUGUAAUACUCUUACCCUAUUCUAAAAUUUGGAGGUUGCUUGAGAAAAAAAGGGUAUUUCUCACUCAUCUUCAAUCCUCAAGUAAAAUUAGGUAAAAAGCAAAUCUAAAAAAUCACAAACGAAUUAACAAAAAAAGAAAAAAAAAAACAACAUUGAUCUUGAGACAAGUGAUAUUUAAACAGAGAAUUCUUUAUUCUUUUUUACUUGCCCCCCCCCCCCCGGGGCUCGAGGAUUAAAGUCUUUGCUAUUAACAGAGAGGCUUUAAGAGUCUGAAUAAAAACCCGUGCUUUUUUUAAAAAACCACUUUUUUUUUCUUUUUUCUUUUUUUUUGGGAAGAUAUAUUCAAAUUAACCAAAGCUAGUAAUAAGAGCACAGACCUUACAAAUGAACAAUAACUUACAACUCAAGCAACAUAAAUGAUAAGAUUAAAACAAACCGGAGAUAUUUUUCUUGGAAAAUAGACGGAAAUUAAAUAAGAACUGCUGUUAAAAGAAGUUAUUAGAGGAUUUAGGAGCAUGUGUACCUCUUUAAUUAUUUGGGAUCAGAGAGUUGAUGAGCUCUCUAUUCGCCUUGAAUAUUGAGUAAGAACUGGUAUUAAAAGAAAUUAUUAAGAACAAUAUUUUAGUGAGCAAAAGAUCACUGUUAACUGCAGAGGAGUAAAAUGCUGAAAAGAGCAGUAACAAUGAAUUGCAAAAGAAGAAGACUUAACCAAGCACCCCUUUUAUACCCGAUUUUUAAGAUUUAAUUUUGAAGUUCCCAAUCAAGAACAAAGACGAAGCUUUAAUAAAGCAUGCAGUGAGAUACAAGAAAUGGAUCGGGCAAAAUACCUUACGAAGCGUUUCAUAUUUUCUAAUGAAAUAAUUUAGUUGAAUUCUUCGACGAAUAGAUACCUGUUGUGCUAGAAUAAUUUUGGCACACACAUUACUUGUGCCCUGUGAAAUUGAAAAGCACACUCAUUUACAGAGCUUGUUAGUGGGGAAAAGCUUCGUAAGAUGCCUGAUAAAAGAUAAAGCAAAAGCUUGAAUGAAGAAUGGCAUUUUAGAAAGAAACUAAAGUGCAAUCAUCAAAGUAGGAUCAAUAGUGAGUUGAUCAGUUAUGCUUUUUGUUAUUUCAAUUGUUCUCUCUUUUUUCAAUCUCUCUUUAUGUUAUAAUUGAAUAAUUGUAUAGAAAGUGUGACGGUUGCUGCAGCAUUAUGAAGUCAAAAUUGAGAACGACAUUAAAUAAUCAAUCUCUUUAUGUAUUUACUCGAAUGUCUGAUAGUGUUCAGACUUGGAUUUUCAAUAAACACAGAUUCGAAAUCCAAAUAAUUGAAUAAUUGUGUACGUUCAAAUUCAGCAUUUAAUUACUAUAUAAUUAGACAUAAAUGUGUAUAUAAUUUUACUUUCUAAGAAUUAACUUCUACCUUGAUUCUAAAAAAAUAUAUAUAUAUAAUUUUACAAAUAAUUUAGUACGGCGUUUGGUAAAUGAUAACUAUUUGAGAAUAAGUUUUAAAAUGGUUUACUAUACAAAUCUGGAAAAUGAAAAUUAAAAGUGUAAAAUGUUCACAUAAUGAAAAUUAAAAGUGUAACAUGUUCACAUACAAUGACAAAAAUAUAUUUAUUUACUUAUUUGUAAUUUAUUUUGAAUAUUAUUGUUUAAAUCAUUUUUUUACUUACUAGAUUUUUUAAGAGCAUUCUAUUUUCUUUAUUACAUAUUUAAAUAAUUUUUUAUUAACUAUUUUAAUUUGCAAUAAAAUUAACUUCAAUAUUUUUUUAACUGAAAAUUUUGUUAUGUAGUUCGUGAUAUAACAAAUACUAACAUAUUAUUAAAUUGAUUAAUAAAUUACGUGCAAAAAAGAAAAUGCAAAAAUUUAAUCUUUAUAUAAACUUUUAUGUACAAAAACCGUUGUAAUCAAACUAGUUCAUAGAAAUAUAAUAUUUUAUACAUGUGUUUAAGAAAAACAUAUAACUAUAAUAUUAUCCACUCAUUAAACUUGCAGCACUAUUAUUUCUAAUUCUCUCCAUCACUCGACCUACAGGAACAUUACUACCAUAAUUUUCUUCUUGAAUUCAACCUCCAUUUCCACAUCAUCAACAAAGCGAUCAAUUUGCCUUGAUAGCCUUUCAACUCCUCCCACUUUCCUCCCUUUUGCAGACACUCUUUUUCUUUUUCUUUCUUUAAUAGCUUCAAUGGGAACAACCUCAUCUAUCGACAAGUCCAUUCUUCAACUAGAAUAGAGUUGGUAGUAGAUAUUUUAGUACUCUCAAACGAUGCCCAAACCGUGUCACCAGUGAUUGUUGUAUUAAAAAACAUUCCAUGUAAUUUUUCCUCUGACUCUGGGUCGAUACCUUUUAUGCAAAAUCUAUUUACUUCAGGAAUUUUAUACAUAUGUCGAUAUCAUAUUAAAGUGAAUUCAGAUCCUAUAUUAUUGACAUUUAGCCAAAGGUAAAAAAUUUUCCUUUUUGUUUGUCCCCCAACUAUAUAGUCCCAUUUUUGGUUAUAAGCUCGCAAUAUGCAAGGGAAAUGAAGAUCUACUAAAAACUUCCCCAUAAUAUUAAACAUUAAACAAUAUCAACAUUUUGUGCAUAUGGUGCCUCUCCAACAACUUGAUGUACAUUAUGUUGCUCGGUGGAAUAUGACUACUUAUUAAUUAAUUAGCAAGACUUGCGUUGCGAGUCCAUGCUUUUGUUGUUUGGAUGGAGGAUCUGCCAUCCUUAUUGUGAAAUAUGAACUAAAUAUACACUCACGACAUGUCAUAUGUUGAGUCUGUAGUAGCACGACAUGUCAUCUGAUAAGCAUUUGGAACAAAACCGACAUGAGCCAAAAUGUCGUUCUUUGUUUAAGUAGCUCACGUGUUUGGCAUGUGAGCUGAACAAGACUCUUACUCUCAGAAACGACUGAACCAGAAGCCGUUUUGAGCAUGCUUAUUCAAGACACGUUGCAAGCACGUGGCUGAGGCUGAAUCUGUUAUGUUAGCGGGAAAAGCCGCUGAGGAAGGCAUCCAGAAUCAGUUAAUAAAGAACUGGAGUUCUGGGUUUUUCACAACAGGGCCAGAAAACAGAGAGAGAGCAGAGAAAGAGGGAAUGCGAGAGAGAGAGAGUUCUGAAUAGGCUUGUAAUCUCCAUUUGUGUUUGCUCUCUGUAAACUCUUGAACAAGCAAUAAAGUGAAAUCACAGAGUUUGUUUCCAGUGGAUGUAGGCAUCAUUCAUUUGGUGCUGAACCACUUUAAUUCGUGUGUGUUUUGUUCUUGAUCUAUUUGUUAUUCUUGAUUCUUAGUAGGUUGACUUCUUCUUGGUUGAAUCUUGAGUAUAAACCAGUGAGUGAAGUGUUCUUGGGGUGGGUUUAGUCUUGAUAGUUAGGGCUUAAACCAAAACACUUUUAUUUUAGAUGCUUUGUAAGACUUCUGAUUUAAUGAUUGAAUGCAGCCAAUUAACGAAAGCUUACAUAUAGUAUUAUGUAGGUGCUGAGAUGUCUGUUCUUGAUAAAGUAGAUAUAUUUACACCCAAGCCAACGGAAUCAAAGCCUUUUCGUUAAUAAUAUACACGGUAAUUGUUUUUGUUAAAUUGAUUUCUGGCUAACAAGAUCUUUUUUUUUUUUUGAAAGGGCUAAAAAGAUCUUUGAAAGCAUUCAAAGAAGCCGCCGAACUCAUAGGAAAGCCAUGAUUAAAUAUACGGUGAAGCAAGCGAGCUCGUUUGUUAAUCUCUUGAUCACUCAUAAGCUUUUCUAUACGGCUCACGAUAUCAUCCUUUUGAAUCGAUUUUGAUUGAUCAUCGGAUAUCAUGUCCCCACCUUGAGAUGAUUGAUCACCAAUUUGGCAUUGUAAUGUUGAUCACCUCUAAUUGGCCAUGCUAAAAUUGGGAGCCCACAACUAAUUGCUUCCAUAGUUGAAUUCCAUCUACAAUCAAAUAAAAAUCCACCCAUUGAUUGAUGACUUAGUAUCAAUAAUUGUGGCGCCCACCCAUCUAUUAUCAAUCCCCUUUUAACCAAUAAAGUGUUGGCUCCACUGGCAAUGGAGUCCCCUUAAGUGGUUUGACUGGGUUUGCUCCCCAGUUCGAGUCGCAGGGAAGUCGCCUUUGUUGGGAGAACCUGUGCCUCUCGGUUCGAGCGGGGACUUCUAGUCUGGGUUGUGGUACGGGCUUAAAGGUGCCUCCCACAGUUGGGGCCCUCCCCAGGAUACCUCGUGGUCAAAACCAAAAAAAAAAUCAAUCCCCUUUUACCGACUUUACUCUCCAAACCACUGGAAAAAUAACUGCCUUCUACUGGUCUGUCUAAACCGGUUAAAUGACGCGGAGGAUCCAAUCUACCUGCACUAGUUUGAAUUACCCAAAUAAACUGUUGAUUUGAUGCUUCUAAACAUUGGCAAGGCUGAAUACUCCUCUAAGGUGGGACGCACUUUGGUACCAAAUUAUAUGUAUAGCACAGAUCUACGUGAUUUCAAAUCCAACCAUUAAGCGAUCUCAUCUUCAGUCAUGUUAGAACUCUGCUGGUUGGUCUCGUCUCACGAUCAUGAAACGCUGAACCGACCAAUUUGUAAAAUUGUUUAGGUAACAAUGAGCCCACUCCCCACACCGGCUUUCCCAUUUGAUUGGCUAAAUAAUUAAUAAAUGGUCCCUCAAGAUCAUUACAUGUGUUAGAACAUCAACGCCAUCGAUCCCUUCACUUCCUUCAUGCAGUGUGGUUGAUCAUCGGGUUCUAGUGGACCUAUUUUCCCUGAACCGGGUGCACUCUGCAGAAGUGGUGGACCACUAGGAGGGGGCCCACAAGGCCUACGUCUAAGAUUCGAUUCAAAUAAAGCCGUAUCCUCAGGUACCCCAGGAAGUAAAUAGGCCUCCCCUGAUUUGACAUCUUUGAUGCGAGCCUACCACAUGGCACACUCUACAAUUGUUCAACUAAAAUUAAUAAUAUUGUUCUAAUUAAUUACUCGAUAAGCAAAUAGUCAUAGACAAAUCUAUCCCUAAUCCCACAUUUACAAAAUAAAGAAUUGAAAUGAGUUUAUGUGGCUUUGAACCCAAGCCCUCAAGCCUAGUGGCUGGAUCUUGACCACUUUGACAUAAUUAUUAUAACAAUUUUUUUUUUCAUAUUUCACUAAGCAUCUUUUGUUAUAUAAUGAGGAAGAUAAGUUGACGGAGAAGGGUUCUACUUUUACUAGUAGAUGAGAUUUAAAUUAAGAAGGUUAGUUUUAGAUUGUUAAAUUUCCUUAGACGAUUAUUCAUGUGAGAUGUUUAACAUAUACUUGAGUUAGUCGGUGCCUAACAAUUCUUGUGAUACAUGAAACCAACCAAUAUGAAAACCAUAUGAAGUUGGUAGGAUUAGAUUAAUUUAAAUGAAAAUAAAAAUUAGUUUAUGCUAUUUAUUAAUCUUAUACUGUUGAAAAUUGAAAGUUAAUUCUUUAGCCUGUCAAUUGGUUCAUGACAUAAUUAAAAUAUUCAAGUAAAUACAUUUAUCGUUUAACAUUAAUUUUUCAUGCGGUAAAACCAAUACUAAUUAUAGAGUGGAGAGAAUAAUCUGUAGGGUAUACCCCCACCUUUUAUUUCAUUUCAUUUAAAAAAAAAAGAGAGAGAGAGAAAAGUAAAGGCUUGUUCAACAUUCAAGUAAAAUUAACAAAUCUAUGAUAAAAUUACUUCAGAAUAAAAAUUAAAAUGUUUAAAAAAAAAACGGCAACUCGAAAACGACAUACAAAUACCGCAUAGAAGGUUUUCGUCACGAGAUAUUUUUGGGCUGAGACAACACUUGUAUAACUUAGCAUAUAGCUUGGAUGACGGUGAGAAUAAGAAGGAAAACGGCACCGCAGACCGAAAUGCCAGCCCAUGGAGUAUUGAAGUAAUUUUUUUUCACAAUUCAAAGGAGGUUUUGGAACUUACCACAAGGCUGAGUAUUUCAACAGUUAUGGAUGACAUAAUCCAGCUAAGCAGAAGCUGAUCUUGGCGUUUCCACACAGCAUAUUCUGGAUUUUCAUGACCUUCAGAGAUUGACGAAGUGCCUUCAAAUCCAGGUGAAAGAAAUUGAUCAGGACAUAGCUUUGAUCCAUCGAUAUAAGACUCAAGUCCAUUGCCUCGAACUGAAGAGAGCACCUGAUGUUUCCAGAUCGUGUAAUUUGUACGAUCUAAUUUGACUGGUGUAGUGAAGGUGAAAGAAGCUAUGGCACUGGUAUUAGAUUGUGAAUUUGAGUUCGUUAGAGCCAUUGGAUCUAGCUCUGAUACCAAGUUAAAGAAGCUUUUCCUGUUUGUUUACUCAGAAAGUGAAGGAAAAAUACAGAGAAAAUUAUGUAGCUAGAAUGAAUCUAAAACCAUCUUAUUAAUCUAUAUUUGGUUCAAUAUACAACAAUAUUUAUGCUACUCACUGGAACCUUCUAUAUGAAACAAACACGUGAACUCAAUACAAUUCAGCUUAACAAACUUUUAACGGGAAAUAACUAAACAGAGCAACGGCUUGCCAGCGUGGCUGCUGACUCAGCAGCCGACUAAUCAUACUCUGAAAAAAAAUCACCAAACAGAAAAACAGGGGAAUGAAAAGAUAGCCUCCGUUUAUCCUCUGUUCUGUUUUCAUUGUUAUUAAACAAGGGAAUGAGAAAAGAGAGCCCCUGUUUCUUCUCUUUUUUGAUUUUUUUAAUUACUAAACUGGGGAACGCACGGAUCACCUCUUGUUGCAAGCGCAAAUUCUUGUUUCUACUUUAGUACCUUCUAAAUGCUGCAUGCAUUAAAAUUAUUCUUACAUAUGCUAACAUAAUAGCUACUGUACAUGUAAGUUCUUGAUAAAUCCAAAUAACAUAAUAAUUUUAAGAGUUCAAAUUUAGAAUUUAAUUAUAUAUAUUUAUAUAAAUCCAAUGUGCAUAUCGGAUAUUGCAUGCUGCAAUGAUCUCAUAUGUUUCCUCAAUAUGACUUAAAUAUAUAGGCCACAACUUGGUUUUGAAGUUAGUCUAAAGCCUUCCCCUUGAUUCUAACAAAUUCACUAGGGAAGGUUCAUAUGGAUUUUGGGGGAGCUCUAUGGCCAAUUUUAAAAGUUCAGGGGGGAUCAAAUGAAUUUCAAAACUGCAUGGGUUAUCUAUUUCAGUCAGAGGAUAGUGGAAUUCCCUGAAAUUUAUCCUUUUUAUUAAAUUAAUCUUCCUCCUUUCCUCUGUGGACCUUUGCUAUGUGUGUUAUUGGCGUCCAAAUGACGAUGGGAAUUAUGGUAAGGUUCUUGCUUCCCCACUUCUUGAAAUUAAAUAUAUCUUUUCUGGCACUAGAAAUUUCCACAUGCUGUGUUUUGUUAUUGUUUGGGAGAAAUACGUCAACGAGACCAGGCGUGGUGAGCAGAUAUCUGAUAGCAGAGUUCCGCGAACCGGUGUGUUCCGUAAAAGCCUGGUGCGCGGAGGAACAGGAGCAGAAGUAUCCCGCUCGUCCACGAACACGUCAUCCGCGAGGCCAAUUUCCCGUAAGAGGCAUAAGGUCAUUCCGGCUAGAGGUCGAGAGGCGAGGAGACCCGGUCGACGGCAGUUGGCAAGACAUGCUCCCCAGCCCGAGAAUCUAGGCACGACAGCCACGCUUUCCCCAGAACUGUGGCGUAACACGCAAAAUCUCACGGAACCACGACAACCACGCUUUCCCCAGAACCGUGGCGUAACACGCAAGAUCUCACAGAACCACGACAGCCACGCUUUCCCCAGAACCGUGGCGUAACACGCGAGAUCCCACGUUUGCCCAUAACGCAGCAGUCAGAGUCCCAUACCGUCUCGAAAAAAGCGGAAAACUGGGAUUCAGGGGAGGCCUAUAAAAAGGUAGCCAACGAAGGUAAAAGGGUUAGCAUUUUUAAGAUUAGAAAAGAAAUAAAAAAAGCCAUAAGACCUGUGGCAAGCGUUCCCCGAACCUUGAUAUCUGAAUUGAGCGUCGGAGGGUUUGCGCCGGGAAAACAACCGGCGUACUCUGACUUGUCUGUGUGCGCAGGAACCUCUGGAGAAGAAGCCUCACGAGGAGACCUCCUGGUCGUGAAGAAGUUGAUCGGGCAGAGAUCCUGGUCGUAGAACGAGGAGACCCGGAAUCCCGCAUCAACAUUUUGGCGCCGUCUGUGGGGAACAGAGCAAAAAGCUUCUGUUGAUAGCAAGAGGAGGGGCGAAGCAAGUGAAAAGCAAUGGAGACAUGAGGAAGUAGUGGACAAGGGGGUGAUAGGAGGCCUAACGAUUCCGUGACGCUGAGGGAGAUAGUCAGUGAAGCACGGGAAAAAGUCAUGUUCGACCGGAUGGAACGGGUGGAAAAGCAGAUGGAGACCUUGACAACCAUCCUAGAUGAGCUGCGGAGCGAGCGAAGUAUAAUCCAAGAGGGAAGGGGGAGAGGCGGUGGAGUGGCACCAGGUCCCGAUAGUGCGGGGAGAAGUCAAACCACCGGGAGAUUUGGUGGUGAGAGAGGUAACGUACCUCUGCGGGGAGAAUUUCAUAGAGAAAGAGAGCGGUCCCCGGCAAGGCAGACUGGCGACGAGGACGAUGGAGUGGUGAAUGCAGAGGAAACGAAGUUGAGACAACACUUGCAUGAUGUAGAGCAAGAGCGGGAUCAAGUUGCAGCACGUGACCCUGGUCGUGCAGUGCAGCUGGAGGAGGAAGUGCGCAGACUAGCGCAGAUAAUCGACGACAUGCAAGGAAGGAACAGAGCCCCUGGUUGGAGGAUAAUGCUAGACGGAGAAUCACCGCUCGCAGCAGAGAUCAUGAGGGCAGUUAUUCCGAGAGAUUUCCGCCUCCCAGACCUCAGAUACUCGGGAAGAACUGAUCCGUUGGUGCACAUAGAGCGCUUCAACGACAUAACUGGGGUACAAGGAUUAUCUCAAUCCCAAAGGUGCAGAGUGUUCCCACUAUCCCUUGAGGGACGUGCACGAGAAUGGUACAGGAAACUUCCUCGGGGCAACAUUAAAACCUUCGAGCAGAUGUGCCAGGAAUUCGCGGAGCAGUUCAGUGGGGCAAUGGCGCCGGAAGAUGACAUGAUGGAGCUGAAAAGCAUGAAACAGGGGGAGCAAGAAACCCUUCGGGAAUUCAUCAAGAGGUUUCAUCGGGCUGUCCUCGACUUGGGAGCCUUCAACCACCCUCAGGCGUUAAGGGGAUUGAAAGAAGGGGUGAAGAUAGGAAGGCUGUGGUACAAUUUGAGAAGCCCAGCUAUUCAAACGUAUGCAGCCGCAUACGAACAGGCUAAGAGAGACAUCGAGAUUGAAGAGGAGAAGGCUGCACGGAUUAAGACAGACCAGUUACAAGGGUUGGGGAGGAAAGAGAAGAAAGCAUUACCGGGGAAUGGGCCGAUCAGGAGGAGGGACCACCAGGCCUCCGGUAGCGGAGCAGGAGGUCGGGUAGCCGCUUACCAUUCUCAUCAAAGGCCACCACAGUAUCAGCGCAGCAGGGCGCAACCUCCUCGUUCCCCAGUUAGGGAGCCUUGGAGAAGACAUGAGUCGGCAUCUGGUGGUCUCCAUCAACACCCCCACGGUAGCAGAGCGAGCAGACCAGAAGUACUUCCACCGCCCCCAACUCAGAGCGGGGCAAACGGAGAAAGAGUAGUGCACCUGAUCGACCAGAACCCGGACUAUGGGCGGUACACUUCCUUGAAGAUGUCCCUGGAUGAGGUGUACGAGGCCAUAAAGGAUCGAGGGCUGUUGCACCUCCCUACACCAAUAACAAAGCUACCCAACAGGAGGGAUAGAGGGCGUUAUUGUAAGUUCCAUGGCACCCAUGGCCAUACCACAGCAGAGUGUAGAGAUCUCAAGACCCAGGUCGAAGAUUUGGUGAGAAAUCGGUACCUGGACGAGUUUAUGGAUGGGACUUUCCCGAUGGGGGCCGCAACAGGUGAAGGGGAGCAGAGUGGCGGAAACGUGAGGCACGAGCAGCCUGCAGUAAGGGUGAUCGCCGGGGGCCCGACAUUGGCCGGAGAUUCCAACAGAUCGAGAAAAAAUUAUGCUAGGUACGCCAUGACCAGUAAAGAGGUACUCCUCAACACCCCAGCAGCCAAACGAGCAAGGGUCAGGCAAGUGCCAAUCAUGUGGACGGAUGAGGAUGAGGAAGGGAUUCUAUACCCCCACGAGGACGCUUUAGUCAUCAAGGCUACUAUCGCUAGCAAGAAGUUUGACCGGAUACUGAUUGAUACAGGGAGCUCAGUUGAUGUGUUAUUUAAGUCAACCCUGGAAGAGAUGGGAAUAGCCGACCGGAAGUUGGAAUACACCAAUACCUCCUUGAAGGGGUUCGGAGGAGGGAAGCUGGUCCCUCUGGGCGUGGUCGAGCUGCCUAUCACAAUUGGGAGCUCCCCGACAGAAAGAACAAUGAUACUGGACUUUGUCGUAGUGGAUGAGGAAGGUCCUUACCAGAUGAUCUUAGGUCGGCCAUUUUUAAGGAUGAGCAAAGCGGUGUUGUCCAACCAUUAUCUGGCCCUGAAGUACCGGGUGAAUGGGGUAGUAGGAGUGGUACGAGGAGACCAGAGGAUCGCAAGAAGCUGCUACUCCUCGGCAGCAAGGGAAGCAAUGCAGAUAACAUCCCUCGAUACCCGAGUGGAAAGCAGGAAGGGCAGACAAGAACCUGUAGAGGAUCUGGAAACAGUAAGCCUGGGACCAAAGAACCCGGAAAAGACGAUCAGAAUCGGGUCGAGACUUAGGGGAGGGCAAAAGCAGGAGUUGGUGAAAUGCUUACAGGCUCAUGCUGAUGUGUUUGCUUGGACACAUGAAGACAUGCCAGGGAUUGACCCUGAGGUAGCAUGUCAUAAGCUGGCAAUAAAGAAAGGUGCUCGGGCAGUAAGGCAGAAGAGGAGGUGCUUCAACCAGGAGAGGUAUGAGGCUAUAAAUGGCGAGGUGGAGAAGCUCCUGAGAGCAGGGUUCAUUCGGGAAGUCAGUUACCCUGAGUGAAUAUCGAAUGUGGUGUUGGUAAAGAAGGCAAACGGCGAGUGGAGGAUGUGUGUGGAUUUCACAGACCUCAAUAAGGCGUGCCCAAAAGACAGCUUCCCUUUACCAAAGAUCGAUCAGCUGGUAGAUUCAACGGCUGGACAUGAUCUGCUCAGCUUCAUGGACGCGUUCUCGGGAUACAACCAGAUCCCCAUGUACGGGCAGGAUGAGGAGAGCACGGCUUUCAUCACUAACCAAGGUUUGUUCUGUUACAGGGUAAUGCCAUUCGGUCUCAAAAAUGCGGGGGCCACCUAUCAAAGGCUGGUGAACAAAGUCUUUAAGCCGUUGAUUGGGAAAACCAUGGAGGUGUACGUGGAUGACAUGAUCACCAAGUCCAAAAUCCCGGAGGAACAUGUCAGACACCUCGAGGAGACAUUCGAGCUUUUGAGGAAGUAUAAGAUGAAGCUCAACCCGGAGAAGUGUGCUUUUGGGGUCGAGUCAGGGAAAUUCCUUGGAUUCAUGGUGAGCCAUAGGGGGAUUGAAGCAAAUCCCGAGAAAAUCCAGGCGAUUGUGCAAAUGACGUCUCCUCAUAACCUGAAGGAGAUGCAGAGCCUCACGGGGAGGUUGGCGGCGUUGAGCAGAUUCAUAUCCAAGGCUACAGAUAAGUGUCAGCCAUUCUUUCAAGUAAUAAGGAGGGGAAAGAAAACAGAAUGGACCCCAGAAUGCGAGGAAGCCUUGCGGAACUUGAAGCAAUACUUGCAGCAAGCUCCGCUGCUGUCCACACCGAGGGAUGGGGACAUGUUGUAUCUGUAUUUGGCGGUAUCGGAUCGGGCCGUCAGUUCUAUUCUGGUGAGAGAGGAAGAAGGAGUUCAGUAUCCGAUAUACUACACCAGCAAAGCCCUGCUCGACGCUGAGACCAGAUACCCACCGUUGGAAAAAUGGGCACUUGCCCUUGUGGUUGCUGCUCGGAAGUUGAGGCCAUAUUUUCAAGCAUUCCCGGUUUCGGUAGUAACAAACCAGCCAUUGCGUCAAACUCUGCACAAGCCAGAUGCCUCUGGUCGGCUCGUCAAGUGGGCUGUAGAGCUGAGCGAGUUCGACAUAGACUAUAAACCCCGCGCAGCGAUAAAAGCCCAGGCAAUGGCUGAUUUCGUAGCCGAAUUCACAGAGCCCGAAGUAUGCUUAGAUCAACAAGAUGCAGAUAUAGGCAAUGACGAAACUCAAGUAUGGCAGAUGUCUGUGGAUAGGUCAUCAGGGGAGCGGGGUUCAGGAGCAGGGAUUGUCUUGGAAGGCCCAGAGGGGGAGGAGAUCUCUUAUGCUGUAAAGUUGGAGUUUGCAGCCACGAAUAACCAGGCAGAGUAUGAAGCCUUGAUAGCAGGUCUGGAAUUAGCUAAGGCCGUGAAAGCAAACAGAGUUAAGAUCAGAACUGAUUCCUAGCUGGUUGCAAAUCAUGUCAGUGAAAGAUUCCAACCAAGAGAGGAGAAGAUGGAGCAGUACCUGAAGAUAGUCAGGCAGAUGAUGGGGAAGUUUGAAGCAGUGGAGGUAAUACAAAUCCCCAGGGAGCAGAAUAGUCGAGCAGACAUUUUGGCUAGGAUGGCAGCAGUAGCCGACCCAAAAAUGCCAAAGUCGGUUCCUCUGGAGGUGAAGUCCAGCCCAAGUAUUGGUCAGAAUUUGGGGGUGUUGCGGAUAGAACAAAAAUGCUCGUGGAGGGAUCCGAUAGUUUCAUACCUUAGGGACGGGGUAUUACCACCAGAUAAGGUGCGAGCUCGCAAGCUUAGAGCCCAGGCCUCGAGAUACACGAUGAUUGAUGGGGUACUGUAUCGGCGAGGAUAUACACUAUCGAUUACUUCACGAAGUGGAUAGAGGUAGAAGCCCUUAGCAGGAUCACAGAGUCGAGCAGACAUUUUGGCUAGGAUGGCAGCAGUAGCCGACCCAAAAAUGCCAAAGUCGGUUCCUCUGGAGGUGAAGUCCAGCCCAAGUAUUGGUCAGAAUUUGGGGGUGUUGCGGAUAGAACAAAAAUGCUCGUGGAGGGAUCCGAUAGUUUCAUACCUUAGGGACGGGGUAUUACCACCAGAUAAGGUGCGAGCUCGCAAGCUUAGAGCCCAGGCCUCGAGAUACACGAUGAUUGAUGGGGUACUGUAUCGGCGAGGAUAUACACUAUCGAUUACUUCACGAAGUGGAUAGAGGUAGAAGCCCUUAGCAGGAUCACAGAGAAGAAAACAACGGACUUCGUGUGGAGAAACCUGGUCUGUCGAUACGGGAUCCCUUAUGCCUUGGUAACGGAUAAUGGCAGGCAGUUCGAUAAUCACAGCUUCAGGGAUUUCUGCCAGAACCUCGGGAUAGAGCUGAAGUAUUGCUCGCCUGCUCACCCUCAAUCGAACGGACAAGUAGAAGCAGCCAACAAGACCAUCAAGAGGCUUUUGAAAACCAGGCUUGGAGCAAAAAAGGGUGCGUGGGUUGACGAGCUGUCAGGUGUGCUAUGGGCAUACAGAACAACCCACAAAACAGCAACUGGGGAGACACCGUUCGCUUUGGCUUUCGGACAUGAAGCGGUCGUGCCGGCCGAGAUAGGAACGACCACACACCGGACAAAUCAUUUCAAUGAGCAGGAGAACGACGAGCAGAUAUGUUUGAAUCUUGAUCUGCUAACGGAAAGGAGGGAGCAAGCAGCCGAGCGAUCGGUCAUUUACCAACAGAGGGUUGCUCGGUAUUAUAACCAGAAGGUGAACAUACGGCAAUUCAGGGUCGGAGACUGGGUACUGAGAAGAGUGAAUCAGAGCACCAAAGACUCGACUCAAGGAGUGCUGGGACCGAAUUGGGAAGGGCCAUAUAGAGUCAAGCAGAUAGCGGGACCUGGAGCUUACAAGCUGGUACGCACGGACGGCCACGAGGUGAAACGCCCAUGGAACGCAGCACACCUCCGAAAAUACUUCCAGUAAGACUUGUUCACAUGUGAAAACUAUUUUUGCUCAUGUUCAUUACCGUUUAUCUUUCACACUUAUUGUCCAAACAAUCUCAUGUAAGUCGAAUCUUGCCAUUAAUGGAACGUCGAAGAAUUUCUUUCGCUUGAAACCGAGAAAGUUGCCUAAGGCAUGCAAAGGCUCGACAAAGUCUCAAAGCCUGUCUUAUGGCGAGACAGAAGCCAAGCAUGCCAGGAUCUGCUCGGCCACGAGAAGGCGAACAGAAUCCCAAUCCUUGAAGAAAUGCCUAAGGCAUGCAAAGGCUCGACAAAGUCUCAAAGCCUGUCUUAUGGCGAGACAGAAGCCAAGCAUGCCAGGAUCUGCUCGGCCACGAGAAGGCGAGCAGAAUCCCAAUCCUUGAAGAAAUGCCUAAGGCAUGCAAAGGCUCGACAAAGUCUCAAAGCCUGUCUUAUGGCGAGACAGAAGCCAAGCAUGCCAGGAUCUGCUCGGCCACGAGAAGGCGAGCAGAAUCCCAAUCCUUGAAGAAUCCAAGGCAUGCAAAGGCUCGACAAAGUCUCAAAGCCUGUCUUAUGGCGAGACAGAAGCCGAGCGUGCCAGGAUCUGCUCGACCGUGCGAAGGCGAGCCGAAUCCCAGGCAUUGAAGAAUCUCCAAAGGCAUGUGGCGAAACCAUGAGCCAAGCCGGAACCUGCUCGUCUAGACAGACACAAGCAGAUUCUCAACCGAAAAUUAAUUCAUAAUUACAACACAAGAAAGUAAUCAAAAACCAUUUUUAUUAAUUUGUUAAUAAUUAACAGAGGGGACAAUCUCAAUGAACAUUGUUCAUUACAAUACAAGAAAUAUAUCAAGAAGAUGAUGGACCAGUAAGCCCGGCAGCAUCGGUUGGCUGGACCUCCUCAGGUGCUGGAGGGGUAUCACCAGUUGCGUCCGGGGGGGUACUUGCCUCGCCGACAUCAGCAGGGACUGCAUGAGCAGGAGAGUCUUCCUCCUCAAUCACGAUCGGCUCUACCCCAUCAGUAUCUUCCUUAGCCGCCUCCUCGUCCAUGUGUUGAGCAACACCAGCUGCAAGGUCAUCCAUCUUCAGAUCAGGGUGUUGCUUCCCGAGGACGGCCAUGAUGCAACGAUAGGAAUGCCGAAGGCCCUGGUCGUACUGGUUGUCAGCCUCCCUCUCCAAGUUCUCGACCUGAGCUCGGUGGGAGUCGCGGAGAGAUUCGAGCUGAGCCUCAUACGUAGCCUUCUGCCUUUGCAGAUCCUCCUUGACCUUGGUAAGCUCCUCCUCGAGGGAAAUGGCUUUUGCUUGAGCAAGUGAUUCUUGCUCUAUCAGCUUCAGAUUCUCGAGAUUCAGCUCCCCUGCUUUCUUCUCGGCAACGUCAGCCCUGGUCGUCGCCAAUUGAAUAUCCUCCUUCAUCUUCCGGUCGUAGCGGCCAACCUUAGCCUUGUAAUAGGUGGUCAGGCAGCUGAGGUGGAAAGCGUUAUGCUGCAUGGCCCCCACCAGCUCACCCAAGGUGCGGCCGUCAAAGUCCUCCAGGUCCUUCUUGCUCACGAGUUUAGUUAACUCAUUGAGGUAAGGGACCAGAUGUUCUGCUCGGCUGUCAGGUAAGCGAGACCAAGGCCCGACAGGAGGAGAAGAAGAAGCAGGAUCUGUGGCUGCUCCACUAGCUUCCCCGACUUUCACAGAAGCAGGAGGUAAAGUCUUCAAGGGUGGGACCUGCUGCACGAUGUUGGCCCGCUUUGCAGCAGGGGCAUCCUUACUCUGGUCCCUCUUCGUGGUUGGAGGUCGGGAACGUUUUCGGGUCAAAGCCCCAAUCACAGCGUCCUCCAUCCUAUAGCCAGGAAGUAUCAAGCGAGACUCGAGCAAGUUGUAUGUAGUUAACAGUUCUCGGCUCGAGCAGGAAUUGGCUGGUCAGGUUCAAGCGGGAAGUGGACACCCCAAGAAACUACAACACAAACAGACACUUGGUUAGAGACAAGCCAAUAAAGCAAGAACAAUUAUGAACGCAAGACAUCUAGAGCGAGCAGGCAACCUGGGACCGUGAAACGGGGUGGGACGCGACAAUCCUUCCCGUCUAUUUGUGCAAUUUGACCCCAAGGACCCCCAGCAAAAAAGAAUUUCCUCUUCCAAGCCCCACCACCACCGGUUGGAAGAUCGGUUAUGGGUUUCCGGCUCUUGGUGCUAGAUUGGAAGUAGUACCAGCCGGCAUCUUUGGGGCUGCUCUUUAGCUGGUACAAGUGCUUCACCUCAUCAACCGUGGACUCGCUUCCGAAAAAGGACUUUUCUCAUUAAUUUUUGAUCUUCAAGUUAAGUUUGUUUCAUUUCAAAAGGUAUUAAGUUUCAAACUUGUCGUGUUGGGAGGUUGGAUAGUUGUAACGUAAGACAUCUGCAGGCUUCCGGUUCAAAACAUUACAGUAUGGCAUUUUAUUUUGUCACAAGGGAAUUAGUUAUGGGAUCCCUUCUGCAACGAUUUGUUGAUGGCGAUGAUGAACUCCGCAAUAGUAGGCUGAAGCUUAUUCCAUCCGUUCCUAAGAUAUCCAUCUUGGUCUGCAUCUAUUAGGACUUUGUUAACAUGUCGUAACCUUCACUGCAUGGUACACUUCAAUUUGUUCAAAGAAGGCAUACAUUUAGGUAUAAAUGUAUUGAUGGGUUGUACCUUCUAACUUAAUGACCUUUUUUCACUCUGUUGAAUUUGUUUUGCACCUGCUCUUGAUUUUAAGCGCUAAAUCAUGCAGGGGUCAUGGAUCGUGCACCAGAGUGUUGGAAGCACCCCUUGUUUAUUAGGAAAAGCAGUUGAUCGUAAUUUUAUCCGCGGUCCCAAGUUCGUAGAAGUAAACGCUCUUGGAAUUUCUAUAAUACAUGAGAUGUUCCCCUUUCAAAUAGCUCGUCCGAUACCAUUAACAUGGUUUAACAUUGUUCCUCUGUCUUUAGAUUGAUGUUGACAUCGGUUCUUCUAAUAUUGCUCUUCUUUAUCUUACACGUGUCUCUUCUUUAUCUUACUCUUUAGUAUGCAGUCAAACACUACAGAUGAAUUACCAGAACGGCUGAUUGGAACCAGAAACAUCAUGACUGUGGUUUCAUUGCACCUCAACUUUUUUUAAUACCCGAAAAAAAAAAAUCAUUUGUUUUAGGUAUACGCACAUGUAUUUUGAUCCCAUUUUCAUUGUUUUCUUUGGAUGAAAGUCAUUGAUGUUUCCAAAUGAGACUUUUGCAUAAGUAUAGCUAGUAGGAAAUUUUCUGAUUCUUUAUUUACUAUUUUUGGAAUCUGAGUGUAAUAGUUUUAAAAUUGUUUAAUCGGUCUCUAAAUGUCGUACUCACAAGCAAACAAGUGAACUGAUUGAUUCCCAACCGUCACUCAACCGGUUUCCAACUUUUUAAUAUACACAAUAACUGUGUUUGUUGAAUAGCUAAUACUAUUAAAGCUCAACAUUAACAUAGAUACUAAUGGAAAAAUUGAUUUUCCUAUGAUGCUGUGUAAAGAAUAUGGGUUUACCUACUUCCAUAAGAUCGAAAACAUGAUCUUGACUUCACGUGAUUCUUUUAAUUUAGAGAGUGCUGGUUUGAGAAGGUCAGCUUGACGGAUUACUUCCUUUUAAUAAAUGUCAAUACACUAUAUUUGAUAAUACUAUAAAAAUGUAAUAAACAUUGUCUUGUGCUGUUUUCUUCAACUACAGAUCCUCAAUUGAAUCAGUCAAUCAGGUUAGAAAUCAAAUGCUUAAAAUACCAAUUGGAGAAACAAUAUAGAAGUUGAAUAUUGCAUGCAUAUGAAACAUCAAUUCAAGCCCUCACUUAACCAGUGUGCACCAAGCAAAUCCAAAGUGUCUUGCAAUUAUGUAGCAUGACCAAAAUGCUAUAAAUGCAUCUGGGAACAAAUUUUUGAAGUAGAGGAAAACGUGCAAGUUGAAUCAUGUAUAAGAGAUCGGCUUGGGUCGAGAUAGCUUCUUCUUUAUACUUGAAGGGUGGGCUCAAUCUUGUCUUUAGAAUUCUGCAUGUUUGUAAUUAUACAUGUGUAAGCAAGCAUACAUUACCAUAAUAAUAACAAUAAGAAAAAAGAAGCAAAUGUUAUGAUACGACUAUAAACUCCAUCAGACAAACAAUAAUGUAUAAAUUAAUGUGACAUAAUAUGAUUGAUUAAACAAAAACAUCACAUGGACCACUUGAUUUAUUUUUUAUUAUUAUAUAUUUUCAGUCGACCAAUCAUAUUAUACCAUAUCAAUUUCUACAAAAUAAUUUGGUAGUUAGCGCCAAUACUUAGUUAAUUAAUACUGACCAUUUCAUUGAACAAUUUAUGUAUGGUGUCAUUGAGGUUGCCUUCCCAGCAUCCUUCUUAUUUUUCGGUGAGUUUCACUUUAUUUAGCGUUGGCGUGCCUAUGAUUCCUUGAGAGAAAAUCUUCAUCUUUGGGCACUGUCUCACAAGUACUUGUUUCAAGGACGGGAACUCAAGAGUGUAAUUACCUGAAUAAAAGCUUGUUAGGCUUGGCAAACAGUCAAGUCCCAAGUACUCCAAUUUCCCGAAAACAAUGCAAUCUUUCGCUUCUUCAUUUAAUAAUUAUAGAAGAAUAUUGGCUUAUAGAGCAUUUUAGUAGGGAUAAGAUUUGUGGACAGAAUAAAUGAAAUAAUAAAAAGCAUAGCUGAUCAAGUCAUUAUUGAUCUUAUUUUGAUUAUUACAUUGCACAUUAGUUUCUUUUUAAAAAUGCUAUUCUUCAUUCAAGCUUUCGCUUUAUCUUUUAUCAGGCAUCCUACAAAUCUUAUCCCUACUAAUAUGCUCUAUAAGCCAAUAUUCUUCUAAAAUUAUUAAAUUCCAUUCUUCAUUCAAGCCUUCAUGGACACUAUUUACAAAUUGUUCUUGUAUUUGACAGAAAAAUGAAAACUCCUCAUCAUACAAAACUGCAUGAACAAAUCUUCAAUUUAAUUAUGAUAAAAUAAUAAAUUCCAUUAAUAGAUUAUGUUGUAUUUUUUUUUUUUUUGACCACGAGAUAUCCUGAGGAGGGCCCCAAUUGUGGGAGGCACCUUUAAGCUCGUACCACAACCCAUACUAGAAGUCCCCACGGGAACCGGGAGGCACAAUUUCUCCCAACAAAGACGAUUUUCCUGCGACUCGAACUGGGGAGCAAACCCAGUCAAGCCACUUAGAGCCAACACUUUGUUGGUUAUGUUGUAUGUUAAUGUGAGGGAUUUGAUCAGGUGAUCAUAUAAUUUAGUAAACGCUUUAAGAAGAACAAGAAUUAAUAAGUUAAAAAUUAAAAAAAUAAAUAAAUAAAGAGUAGAUGGAAAGAAUGUUAUUUGCAAUCACUAAACCAAAGAACAGGGGAAUGAUAAGAGAGGACGGUUACUGCAACAAUAUGAAGUCAACAAUAUAAAGUGUUUACCAACUUAAAACCAGGGCUAUAAAGUGUUUGAUGAAUUAUUUUUUAAUUAAAAAAAAAAAACUGAUUUAGCGGGAUAAAACAAUGCUCCAUUCCGUUUAGUAUGUGAAGUCCAGAGUAUUACCUACUACUAACUAAAUCCGCUUGAUUCACAAGACUACCAAGAGAUAACUGAAUCAUUAUUUAAUUUUACUAUUAGGAAACCUACUUAUAUAAGGCGCAAACCACAAAUUCUAAAUUAAAUACCUAACCAUAAAUUAAGAUCAACCCUAACAGUCAUCCACCAGGUGCCGUGUAGGCUGCAUCAUAAAUUCUGAUUUAAAUAUUUGCAAUCACCGAACAGAAAAACAGGGGAACGAAAACAGAGGAGCCCUAUUUUUCCAUUUUUUUAACCCUUAACUCUUGCUCUUCUAAUUAUAUUUUUCCUUGGAAUUUCAAGUAUGAGAUGAAUUUGGAGAAAGUAAAUAAAUUUGAAUUACGUGAAAAAUUCUAAUUUUUUUAACCCUUAACAGUUGGUAUAUUUUUUUUAGGUCAUAGAUUAAUAAAUUUCUUUUAAAAAAAUUUAUAAUAUCAAUUAAUAUUAUAACCUAUAGAUUAAUACAGAUAAAAAUAUGAUUGAUUUAUCUCCACCACCUAAGUCUUAGCCAAAUUUAAUUAAAGAUUAAUUUAAUAAAUUACCGAAAAUAAUAAAGUAAACGAAAAAUAAAGCACGCAAUUAAGUAAUCAUGCUUCUAAAGGGCUAAUUAACCAUAAUAGGCAUAGGUAUUAAUUUGACUUCUAUGAAAGUCCCUUCUAGUUUCUCAAAAUUCAAAAAUUACAAUAAAAAGCCAAAGAAAAAGUCAAUGCUUCUAAAGUAGAAAAGUUUGAGUACUAGAUAGGCUGCCCAAAAUACAUUUUCAUUACUCACAUAUCUCUAUAGAAAGUAAUUUUUUUAAUAAAAACAACCUAUUUGGCUAAUAUUCAGUAGUCUUUUUUGUUGAUGGAAUUAUCCUCUUAACAAUAUUUUAAAAAGUUUACAUGAAUAUUCCUUUUUUAAAAAAAAAAAGAAUAAUAACGUGUAUUGUUAGGAUAAAAAUGAUCAUCAAUACGUAUGUAUAUAGGCACAAAUAUAUGAAAAAAAAUCAAGUUUAAGUACAAUGUAUAGGUCAAUGCCUAAGAGUCAAGCCUAAAUUAGGGGUAUAAAAAACUACAAAAUACAAUUUCGUACACUACAAAAUUUUGAUAUCAGCAGUAGGGGUAUAAAAAAAUCAUUGUUGCCAAAAAUCCAAAAGCUAACUAGAGGUUUGGUUUUGUUUCAAAAAUUAAAAAAACAAGUCAAUUCGUAAAAUCAAAAACAGAAAAAGAAAAACAAAAUAUAGAGGAAUUUACAGUUUAAAAAGAAAAACCAAGCCAAAACGAAAUUGAAUCGAAAGUCGAACCAACUCAGUUCAGUUUGAUUUGAAUUUUAUUUUAUAAAAAAAAAUGAUCGGAACCAACUAAACUGUAUUAUGUUAUAAAUUAUUAUAUAACAUAAAUUUUUGAAUACCUUUGUGACGAGCACAAUUUAAAAUUUUAUGAUUUUAAAUUUUAACAUUAAUGGAGAGUUAAUACUCCACCAUUUUCCAAUUUUUACAAUACAUAUUACCAGUUUAGAUAUGCUGUAUAUUAUUGUUAUAAUUUUUCGAGCAAGAUAAUAUUUGUCAAUUGGUGUUAUGACAUCAAAAUACUUGGUAUUAGUUAGUGCUAAGUGCUUCUUUUUCUUAAAAAAAGCGGUUCCUUAGUUUUAAAACAAAAAUCAUUAUCCUGAAAUUCUCCAUUUGCUUUGUUAACAGAUAUAACAAAAUAAAGUGAUAAAAGUUUAAUUUAUAAAACUUCGGCAUUUAUAUCUAUCAGAUUCAACACUUUAGUGUCAUAGAUUUAUUUCGGUGGAGCACGAUGUGGGUUGGGCCAGGCUUAGAAUUUUAAGCACGAGAGCCUUAAAAAUAUGAUAUGAUUAGAGAUGGACUGAGCACAGCACGAUGAAAAUGCCCACAAUAAGCACAUUAUAUUUUUUUAUUGAAAAUAAACUUAAAAUUUUAUGUUUUAUAAAUAACUUGAAGUUGAAUUUUUUAAAUUCAUUUAAUUCUUAGUUUAAAAAAAUAUUAUAAUUAAUUUAUAUUUAUAAUUUAUUAAAUAAAUAAUUGAUAUCAUGAUUUUAAUGAAUAAAAUUAUAAAUAUAAUGAUUUUAUAAAUAUGCAUUAAUAUUAUUGUGAACUAUGAUCUAUGACUCUAUGUAACUCUAAGUUAACAAUUAAGUUAACCCUUAAGAAAAUAUUAUUAUUAUUAUUAUUAUUGUUGUUGUUGUUGAGUAUUAAAAAAAUUAUAAUACUAAGAGGUCAAACUUAGAUCUAUUAAAUAUUACAUUUUCUUACUAUUAUUAGUUUAUUAUUAUUGAAUAUAAACUUGAGUUUUGAUUUUUUGAUUCUAUUAAAUUUGAAUAAAAGUAUAGACCUAAGAAAAAUAUAUAGACUUGAAAAAAAUACGCCAACAGUUUAGUAUGCCCUUUAAAAAUUAAAAAAAAAAAAAAACUUAGUGAGCUUUUUUUCUUAGGCAUAGCACGGCAUGUAUCGGCAUGUGUGUUAGGCCGGACCUAAACAAAAAAAAUAAAAUAAAUCUCGACACGACACAACACAAGCAUAAGCACGCAUGGGCCUUACUUACUGGCCCGACCCAUUGAGCAUCUCUAACUGUAUCUAUCUCCGCCAUAAUAAAUUAAACAUCGGGUAACUACUAGACUAGGCAUUAGCAUAUAAACUAACUAACUAUAGUACCAAAAAGAAUGAUGCGACAUUGUAAAAGAGAUGGGGCAAAGGGCAGAAUGGGAAACGAAUGAACCAAAUAAUAGUAUAUAAUAAUAUGGAUUUGGUAAAAAUAAAAAAUAAAUAAAAUAAAGUGGUGACACGUACCUCCUUUUAUUUCUCGAUCGAGUAGUGCAGAAAGUGGAGUGUGUGUGUGUGUGUUAAUUGUGAAAUGUCAGCCAAUUUUUUCUCUCUCAUUCUGAAACAGCUCAGCAGGAAUAGUGUACACUAGAGACGUCUGUCUGUCAGUCAGAACUGCCAAAAGAGCAAAACGGGUGCACGUACAAAUUAAAUCAGCCAAUCAGCGAUAUAUUUCAGUUACUAAAAGCUAGCACAGAGGGAACAAGCAAUAUGCAGGGCCAAAAGAGAUGAGACCCCUGAACCCGAACCCUCCUGAAUGAUCUGAUCACAUCUGAUUCGAUGUCUCGAGUCAUUAGAUUUAACAUAUUUUAACAAUAUUUCUCAGUUAAUAUGUGAUUUAAUUAAAGGUCAAGUUUACAUCUGAAAAUGAACUUAUUAAAAAUUAAUUUGAAAUAACAUCUAAGAUAUCUAUUUGUUUAUAAUAAAAUUUAAUUGUCAUAUCAGAAUUAUUUUCCGUUAGACUUUACAAUAAGUUAAUCCCAAAUAAAUUGACAAUUUCAAUUUUAAAGUUAGUUUGUAACUUUAAAAUAAUUUUCUAAUAAAAAUUUAAUCUGAAACAUUUGCAAUAAUAUCAAGUAUUUUGAUGUAAUAACACCAAUGUUUCACAUGCACACACAAGUCAUAUAUAAGUUAACAAAAACAUCAUUUGUUAUUAACAAAAUCAUGUUAAUUUUUAAUUCUUAAAUUAACUCCCUAUUAAAUUUUGGCUAAAUGUUAGAGUGCAAUUUAUGCACUAGUUUUGCAUUGUUUACUUCCCUUAAUAUCGAUGUUUUGCACUUAAUAAUAAUGUUUUACUUGUGUUUUACUUUUGUAGGUGCAAUUCUAUUGAUUGAUGAUAAAAUUGAGCUAAAAGAUGAUGUUUAAGGAGGAUUGUUCUCUUGGAGAAAUUAUGAGCGUCAGAAGAACUUUGUUGAUAAGGCGUGGGCGCGUGCUGUCAACUGCGGACCUGCAGUUUUUAGUUUAACGUGUUUUGUAUUUUUGGUUAUUUUUGUAAUUACGAAUUUAAUAUUUCAGAUAUUAGUAUUUUAUUUUAAAUAGAAUUCUAAAAGAGAAGAGAGAGAGAGUAUUUAAGGGAGGAAUCUAUUGUGAAAAAGAGGAUUUGGAUUGGAGAAAAAGAAAGAAACCCUAGAUCUAAUUUUUCUCUUCUCUCUAUGAAGAACUAAACCUAUUUUUCUGGUUGAAGGAUAAUGAAGCUUUGAUUCAUCACUACUGUGAGAUCUUUCUUAUGCUUUAAUUGUUUUAUUACUUUUUGGGUAUUUGUUUAUUCUCUGAAUUAGUUUCAUGAUUAUGUUUGUUAAUUAGGUAAUUGGCCACUAUUUAAUUAUUAACUUAAUCUAUUGUUAAUUAAAGGAUUCAUCGUAUGAAGAAUUUAAUGUUUGUGACAAAUAACAUAGCAGAGAGUUGUGUUGUGAGAAUAAACAAUCUAAUUUAAAUGAAUCAUCAUAUGUGUUGAUUAGGAUUUGGGUCUCUCUAGUUUUUCAGGCUGUCAAUUGAUUAAAUCCUAUGAUCGUAUCUAGGGUUGUCUAUUGAUUAGGGAAAUAUCCAACGGUCGUACCUUGGUUAUCGACUAGUUAAGGAGAGAUUGGCUAUUAGAGGGUCUCAAUAGCUAUAACCGGUCUAUUCAUAAGUAAUGAUAAUCUAUAUUUGAAUCAAUGAUCAGUAGUCGAAUCAAGCUGAGUUAAUUCCUUCAAUCAGAGCUUUCUCCAAUUUGAAUUACAACUUUAAUUUGCAUUCUUGUUACUUUAAUUUGAUUUUUAUUAUUGUCAACAAUUCCCCCAUUUUACGUUUUACGUUUCAAAAUGAUUUAAAUAAUUACCGAUCUCUGUGGACACGACCCUGCUCAAUCACUAUACACAAUUUAUUUAGAGUAGGAAUUUAUUUUUGUUGGCUUCGACACCCAUCACUAAAUCAUUAUUGCAAUUUAUAAAUUAAUAUUUAUAAAAAAUUAUGAAUCAUCCAAAAAGCUGCUUGAUAUAGAUUAAUUUCAUGGUCAUCAAUUUUUUUUUAUUUAUAUACCUUUAAAUUAUCACUUGUAUCAUAUGAAAAGACCAUAUUACCCCUCUAACGUCAUCAUAUUUAAACGGCAACUAAGCUAUGGUGAACGACAUUAUAUUUUGUCAACUUAAGAUGAAUGACUGAUAUACCCUAAAAGUAUUGUAGUAAAUUUGAUAAUAAAGUAUACAAUUGAUAAUUUUCCUAUUUAUAAUUUAUCCCCUUAAUUAUGAGUAAUUUUGUUUUUGUCUUCAUUUGUCCCUUUCCUACAAAACCGUACAAGUUACAUAUAUAAAACAUUCUUCUUUAAUCAAGUUUGGAAUAUUUUCAUCCUUAUGUAAAAUUAUGCAUAUAUCUUUUGAGUUUCUCAAUUGUACUUGAAAAAAAAAAUUACAUUUAAUCACGGUUGGUUAUCCAUAAAAAAUUUUAGGUGGAAAGUUCACGCGUUUUAAAAUUUAAUUGUGGAAUUAUAUUACAUUUAUUAUUUAGUUUCAAUUUAAUCAUGUAUCAAAUUCAUAUUUUAAAACAUGUGGAAAUUUAUAAUAUAUAAUGAUUCUAUGUAAAUAUAUUAUCUCAUUUCUUCAUUCUUUUGUUAUUAGUUCUCCUCCACCACAUUAGAUAUAUUUUGAAGUUUUCUAAUGUAAAUGUUACUAACAAAUACGCAUUGAAUAAUUAUCGGGUAGUUUAUAUUAUAAUUUAAUAAUAGCCACAACAUAAAUGUACAAUUUGGUGAUAGUAAAUGCCAUUACAUGAAAAUGAAAUCAUCAUGUUGCAAACAAGAUGCAACCAAGGGAUUGCAAACAAUGUUAAGUUACUAUUGGGUCACUUGAACUCCUGGGCUCUCUCCUGUGUAAUUUAUAUUAGACUGUCGCGUACAAAACGCAGACAUAUAUAUACAUACAAGUAGUGCUUUGGCAACAGACACAAUAGCCAAGAAGCAGCCCUUGUUUUCAAAUUCAUUCAAAUGCCAGCCUGCAGUUUUGAAUCCUUCAAAUUGUGCUCCACCUUUUGAGGGGACGAUGAAGAGUGAAAGAAGAGACAAAUGGCAGAAAUAUCAUCCAUUGCAAUGCCUCGUUUCUUAUAUUUCCAUGCCCGAACAGCACAUUCCACCAAUCUUUUUGCUGCCUUUUCCCUAUCCACUACUGAAGAAACAAUCUCCACCGCCUCUUGGUUCGAAAUCACAUCCCAAACCUGAAGAACAAUCCAUAAUUGAUCUUUCAAACAUUGACGUUAGUUCAGAUCAAAAGAUAAUUCCAAUAUGUGGAUACGUAUCCCGUCUGAUGCCAGAAUGAUAAAUUGGUCUCGUGUUGUUAUGUUUCUUUGCGUUACAUGGGGCACGGAGAUUAGGCCAUAGUCCUUGACACAGUAAUCACCCAAGGCUCUUGAUAUGGCUAGUCCCGGAGUCUCACCAUUCGGCAUCCAGACUCUGUAUACGCCUGGCUCAUCAUUUAAGCAAAACACAAGCCCUUUGGACUGCGUUAUUCGCUCCGCUUCCUCUGUAUAGGCCAGUGAAGACAAGAACCCGUACGCAGACCUUAAAACACACCCAUAUAUACACCUACACGAGGCAGAAAUAUUUAAGAGACAAUGAGAUAAUUGAGAUCUGAUUGGUAAAAUAUUGUUAAUUAAUAAAAAAUAAUUAAUAUACUUGCUAUUUAAGUAUUUUACUAAUACUUUAAACAUCAGUAUUCAAUGAUGUUAAUAUGUGAUUUUAAUAUUAAAUUUAUGUUCUCAUUUAUAACAGUAUGGUCAUCAGUAUUCACAACACAUCAUAUAUUAAUGUAUGGGUUUAUUAAUAUUAACAAACAUUUAUUUCCAAAUAAAUAUGGUAGCCUUAGUAUUUAAGAAUAUUCUUUAUUGUCUAGUCGUCUGUCCAAGGAAGAACGGGCCAUCAUCAAAUUUAUCAACGGCCUUCUCUAAGUAAUCAAAAGCAGGACCUGUGACAAAUUAAAACUUUUUCCGUGAGUUCAGCACAUAUAUAUACAUAUUCAAAAUGCAUUCCAUUAUAAACAAGUAAGCAAGUUUCAAAUCCUACCAGCUUGUUUUGCUGGGUCUCCUUUGAAUGAAGUAUACACAUCGUUGGUGAAGGUAUCGAUGUGGGAAAACAGUUCAUCAGCAAACUUUCGUUUCUCAGGAUCCUACAAUAUUUUCACAACAUUACUUUACUCAAAGUUGAGAGAGAGAGAGAGAGAGAGAGAGAGAGAGAGAGAAGCUUUUAUUAAAAGCAACAAUGUAAUCAGCAAAAUCUUACAUCAGGUAAAAGUGAAGGCCCUUCAAAAUUGCUGUCAACAUAUUUAAUCAAAUCAAGAGAUUCUCCAAUAACUUUGCCAUUGUGCUCCAGUGCUGGAACCUGUAAAGAACUCUAAUAGGUAAAUAUACUUCAUAACUCCAGCAAUGAUCUCUAAUCUUGCACGAAAGUGUAACAAUCAGUUUAACUCUUUCGUUGUGUUUUCUUGCAAGCAAGCAACUUGCUCAAAUCAGAAUAUGUUAAGAUUUUACUAGGCACACAAAGCACAAAGACACCAUUCCAAUUUUAUUCAGGAACUCCUCCGCACAGAUUACAAGCAUUUCAAUUUCAAAGAUGGGGCAUAAGGACACAGAGUCACAUAAUUAGGCUAUUUGGUAUUGAGGUGCUGUGGUUUUUUUAGCUACAGCUGCCACACGUACCCAAAAAAAAAAAAAAAACUGUAACUAUAAAAUAAAAAUUAAAAAUGCGUAAUAAAUAUGAAUUUUAAAUUAAGAUUUUGACAAAAAUAGUAGAAAUAUUAUAAUUUUACAAAACACUUUAACUCUGUACCUUUUAAUCCAUAGCCGCCCUACCUCAAUACCAAACACAACUAAUCUCUUCCUUUUCUAUAUCUGAAUUGGUCUAUCAACACCUUGAUUAGAAAAAUUCCUAAUUAUUAUUCAGAAACUUUCUAAUACUAUUCAAAAUCUUCCCAGCAGAUUCUAAGCUCCAUGUUAACCAAAAGAAUGCACAUAUUGUUGAUCUAUCAAAUUACUUAAAUGAUCAAUCAAAUAAAAUCAAAUAUUAUUAUUGAUCACACAUCAGCAUCAGCAUCAGCAUCACCUUGUUAACAGGAUAAACCUUCUCCUUGUACCAAGCGGGCCUAUCUUGGAGGUUCAGUGGAACUAACUUAAUCUUGUCUUGUAAUCCCUGCAGCAGCACACCAAAAGUUGUCAAAUUCAAAGAGAGUAUUACGACAAAGGCGAAACGAAUAAACCAUAAAUUACUGUUAUUGUUAUUAUUAUUAUUUUAAUUAAACCUAGAAAGCAGAGACGGGUCAACAGUGAUAAAAAAAAUAUAAUAAAAAUAGUAAAUAAAAAUAAAACCUUGUAGUUCCUGGUGAUCCACACACGCUGAGCAAAUGGGCACGAGUAAGAAAUGUACAACCUGGGAGUUCCAUCGAACAGAGGUGGUAGCUCGGCCUUCGAAUCCAACGGUGGAGGAAGAUUCUCUUGCGCUCUAUCAAAGAUGACACAUGAUCGUUAAAAUAAUGAUCAUAAUUAAUUAUGAAAUUCCAAAAAAAAAAAAAAACCAAAUUCUUGUUGUGGCCAUCGAGGAAGGUAAGACUCUAGAGGUUUCCUGAAUGCUUUUCUUUUGCUUUGAAGAAGAAAGUCAUAUGAUACCGAAAUGUGUCUCUACGCAGAAUGAGUGCGCUUAUAUAUAGAAGCUUUAAAGUAACCUUCUGAAGCCAGCAGUGACGCAAUGCGCACGUGUUAGGGUGUCAUGAUAAUAAUGCAUGUUGCCAAAAAAAAGGGCAAAAUUCUUAUCAGUUUUAGGCAAUUGCCAUGCAUAUUAGUUGGAUUCAAUGGCUGCAAGGGAGAAGCAGUGAGAAUAUCGCUGAUUAAUUAAAUUUGUAUAAUAGAAAAAAUUUGGUAUAUUUUUUUAUGACAUAUUGCUAAAAAUGUGGAGGCUUUGAUAUUAAAAAAGAGUUAUUUAUAAAUAAUGUUAUUAUGUUAUUGUUGAUUAUUAACAAUAAAUUUUUAGGAGAUAUCAUUUGGUUUACAAGUAGUUCAUCAACCGUGUUUAUUAAAAUGUUACAAACAGGAUUACAAAAUAUUAAAUUAUCCUAAACCCAAUUAAUAUCUGCAGGGAUCAGACGACUGUUAGAACAUAUGUUCUAUAAUUUUUCUCUGGAAAAAUAUUAUUUCUUGUACAAACAUAAUAAAUAGCUAUUUAUAACUUAAUAAUUCAAAAAUAGUUAAUUUAUAAAAAGACUAUUCUUGGUGUUAACUAAUGCAGUGGAACUGAUAUAAAUUAACUUAUUGUAAAGAAUUCACUGUAAAGAUAUCAUUUGUUAAUUGUUAAUUAUAAAUAUCCAAUAUUAAAAUUAAUUUCUGAUUUAAUCCAUGAUUGUCAAGCUAUUGUUUUCAUGGUUUACAAUUUUUUAAAAUAGAAGAGGUAAAACAUUAAGUAAAAAGUUUUCAAUCUCGUAUAAAACAAUGUAGAAUGUUUUAACCAAUUCAAAAUUUUUUAUAAUAAAGCAGUUAUUUUCAAAAUUCACAUUAUGUUUCUAUUACUCAUAAAAAAAAAUCCCUUCAAUGAAUGCAGACAUCCUUGAAAGAAACUUCACUACUCUAACAAAAAGGCCAAAAUUUUAGAAAAUGACAGGAAAAGAGAACACCAAUUGUCAACUAGAGUACCCUUUGUGAAAAACACAAUAAUAAAUAGCUGAUAUAUGAUUAGGUUAAUUAAUUGAUUGGAUUGGAAUCAACUUCGGACUGUUUUGCCCUUCCCUGCAGUGCAGCGUAUUAGGUGGCGAAUGAAGUAACUGGCCUCACUAAUUUUAAGUAAAAAGAUUGUUAAUAUUUAACCGCGUCUUAUCAACAUUCUUUGUUUUGAUUAAAAUAUACGACAUCGUUUGCAGAAGAGGCAGCAAGGGCAACAACGUGCCAAGUAUAAUAGACAAAUUUUUUAUCAUAUUAAUUGAGAAGGCUUGAGUUCUGGCCGAUGUUAAUAAAAUUUAAAACACAAAAAAACUGAUAAUGUCACGGCUGGUGAGAUGAUAUAUAAAUAUUAAAAAGAAAAAAAAGAAUUAUCAAUAUUUAAUUUUUGAAGAUUAAACUCAUUAAUUAAAGUGAAUCGUGCAUGCUUUGCUAGCUGAUAUCGCGCGCGCGUGUGUAUGUAUAAAUAUGUUAGAUCAAAUCCAAAGCUAAUUCCAAGUAUUAUAUUAUAUAUAUGUUACUAUUAUUAAUUAGAAUUCCCAAGCUCAAGCUAAUUAAUUGAUGGUAAUCUUUUGGAUGCACUUAAUUGUAAUUAACCGGAUCAAAUUUUGAAACCAAAAUAAUUCACGGGGCAUUCUAGCUUCUAGCUAAUUCAUCCAAAAAAAUAUAAAAUUAUAUAAAAAUAAUAAAAAUACGUGUGAUGUCAGCUUGAUGCGUACAUUCAAAGUUCCAAUUGAAAACAAAUAGAUAUUCAUUUUUCUUGUCAAAUUAUUGAAAGAGACAUCUCUUAAUUUCUUCCAUCACCAGCAACGGUUGAGUGACCUUGUCUUACAUUGUGCAGCAGCCUCCUCGAAGUAAAAAAAAAAAAAAAAUAUAGCCCAUUAUCUUGGCUUUUGGCUGGAUCCAAAUUUUUGUUAAAUACAAAUAAAUAUAAUAUCAAAUUAAAUAUUCCAAUAAACCUUCUAAUAUCUUCUUUGAACAGUUUUAUUUUUAUUUUAUGAGGGAAGAGUAAACCAUUAAAACUAUAAUUCAUCAUAAAUUUAUUGUGCCAAUUUUUUUUUAAAUCCAUAAUUUUGUGAAAUAUAAAUUUUAAGAAUUGAAAAAUAUCAUUAUAGCUUUCAUAUCCAAAGUUAAUUUUGAUAUUUUUGUACAAAUACAUAAUCUUCAAAUGUGGAUAAUGUAAAAGAUGAAAAUUGUCAAAUUAUUAGAUAAUUGUUUUUACAAAAUUUUAACGAUCAGAAAAAUCUUAAUUUAUAUGUCUUAGUUUAAAGAAUUGGUAUUAUCAAAUGUUACUUAAAUGUAAAUAUAAUAUAAAUAUUUUAUGUAUUUAUAUGUUACGUUUAUGAUUUGGUCACUGUUUAUCUAAAUUUUAAUAAAAUCAGACAUAUUUAUGUAAUUUACUCAUUAAAAAAAAAAUCCAUGAUUUAAUUUGCAAUGAUCAAAUUGUUGUAUUUUGUCAUAUCAAAAUACAUAUUUUUGUACAAUUACCCAUUAAGUUUAUGCUACAAUCAAGCUAUUUAUAAUAUAAGUGUGAUUUUUGAAUUUAAUAUUGAUAUUAGUAUUAAAUAUGAUAAUAAAAAAAUAUUUUAUUAGAUAUUAAUUGGGUCAUUUGUGUUAUUGUUUUUAAAAAUUAAUGACCUGCAACAUUAAUUGUCAAUAAUGGGUUUUUUUAAAACAUGCUGGUGCCCGGAUGUAAAUGCCGGUACCUCCCAAGUCAGUAGCCUUAUUAUAAUCCCGUCAGCAUAUUGGCCUGCCCCUGUACCAUUACUCCAAUUGAUGCUGAAAAUAUAACAACAUCAGUGACCGCGUUGUCGUUUCCCGUGAUGUUUAUUCCGAUGCCGGAGAAAUCCUUUUCGCGAUCAUCCCCGCCGAUGUUGAUGUGUUGGCCGAUGAAGGAAUUUCUUAUAUACGUUUCGUGGCCAUCUUGGAUGGAAAUGCCAGCGGUAGUGAAAUGCGAAACGUAACAAUUGUCCACUGUGGUUCUUAUUGAAUUUAUAAUGGCAAUGCCGCCACCCCUAAAAUUGGAGUCCAACAUAAGCUCCUUCAAAGUAAUGUAUUCGUAUAAUGACGAUGAUGAUGACGAUCUUAACUCUAUGAGAUGUCCGUUGCCCGAAAAAUCAUCCGAUGCUCGGAGGGACCCACCGUGUAUCUAUGUAUACAUAUAUAGAUGUUAAAAGUAAGAAUUAAAAGUAAGAAUUAAAUUUUAAAUUAAUAUGUGAUUUGGUAUGAUUCCUGGCAUUUUGUAUUCGGUUUUGUAGUCCUUCAUAAGACUGGCAAAAAUCAUUAUCAAUUAAACAUUAUGUUGUUAUAUUUUUUUAUUAUAUUUUUUUAAUGAUCUUUAUUUUAUUUGCUUUAAACAAUAUCUAUUUUUCAAAAACAAUACUUUUGACAAACAAACCCUAAAGUGAUGAAAGAGAAAGCAUGCAUUUUGCACAUGUUUAUAAAAACAAGAGAGUAUAUUUAAUCUCAAUCUGUAAUUCUGUAUAAUGUAUUAUUCUUAAGUUUGAAUCAAAUUAUUCUUGAUUCCAUCCGCCAAUCCAUCUCGGGCCAUUGAAUUAUGCAUAGCUAUUAUGGUAAUGGUCUCUUUAUUCUCCUCACAAUCAAUUAAUUGUGAUGACCAUACUGUUCUCACGAUUCUCAACCGCAAAAAAUUUAAAUAUUGUAUUGUACAUUUUUAUAAACAAAUUUUAUGUCAUCUCCAUUAUUGUGGAAUUUUAAUAUCCUAAUACAAUAUUAUGAUAGUAAUUGGGUCAAUAUGGGUAUUGGAUCAUAUUAUCGUUAUAAAUAUUAAUUUAUUAUAACUGAGUGUGUAAAGUAUCUUUUUUUAUUGUUGUACCAUAUUUAACUUUUGGCUGCAAAUAUAUAUAUAUUUAGCAUUAUUUAUAUCAAUAAGUUAAUAUAUAUAUCCUUUUCUUUAACAUCAAAUUUAAGUUUUUAAAAAGUUAUGAUAAUUCACUAAUUUGGUAUUUAGGAAAUUAAAUCCAUAUCAAUUUAUUAGAUAUCUUAAACCGUAUGUAAAAAUAGAAUAUUGACCAUUAUUCUAUUAGUAAUAUAUCCAUUAAAGAUUUUGACGUGCUAUGGUCUAAAAAAAUUAACUUGGCGGGAUGUUAUGAUUAUAUUCAAGGUGAUAGGGAAGAAAGUUAUGAGGAGACCCCAUUGAAGCCUAUAUAUUAUAGUAUGCAUAAAGACUCAAAAUGUGCACUUGAAAUAACAGUUGUCACUGACAGGUUAAGAUAAACUACCAAAUUGGCACUUAAAGGAAGAAAUUCUAGUAUUAGUGUCAUAUUUUAUGCCAUAUUAUGUAAUGCAUAUUAGUAAUGAUUUCUUCAUAAUAUCGCAGAUAUAUAAAAGUUCAUCUAGCUAGAUGCAUUGUAGAUUUUGUGAGAAUUAUUUUAUUCCGUCCAAAUGAGUUCACAUUAUUAUCCAAUUUUCCUUUUUUUAAGUUGAUUUAUGAAAGAAAAAAAAAAUGACACCAAUGUUUUCCACGUCGCCGCAAGUCUCAUCGAUAAAAGUCCAUCUACAAAUUAGUUCAUAAUUCUUUUUGUAACUUCGCUAAAAGCUAGUCAAGUCAUUGCUAGCAAGCCUCAAAAGCACGAAGUACGCGAAUCACGGCGAUAACUGAUAAUAACUUGGUUGUCCGGUUUCGCAUACUAAUUAGCUUGAUUGAAAAUCGUGAAGUAUGGGGCACGACUAACGCAACGCAUACGUCUCAUGCAUUAGGCAAAUAUUGUACGCGACCCAUGUUGAGAGCACAAAUCCACUAUCUACAAGUACUAUAUAUAGAGCUGCAAUGCGUGCUUCAAGUAUUCACAACUUACCCCCAGCUGGCUAGCCAGCCUCUAUAAUUUGAAGGGAAAAAAAAAAAAAAAACAACAACCUUGUUCAACUUGCAAAUACCUACCAAUUAUUAUGGAGAAAAGCUUUGAUAUCAUUGCCCUGUCUAUGAUCAUUCUGGUGACUUAUUCAUCUAAAAUGGUGUCGGUCGCCGGCCGGUCGCUGCAUGAACCAUCCAUUGUUGAGAAGCAUGAAAAAUGGAUGGCUGAGCAUGGGCGCACUUACAAGGACGACCUGGAGAAGGAAAAGCGGUUUAAGAUAUUCAAAGAAAACCUUGAAUACAUUGAGAAAGCCAAUGAGGAGGCGAAUCGGACGUACAAGUUAGGCACCAAUGAAUUUUCAGACUUAACUAAUGAGGAGUUUCGUGCUUCAUAUACAGGAUACAGGGUGCCAAGCCAGUCAUCUUCAUCACGGCAAUCCACAACAGCAUCCUUCAAGUAUCAAAACCUGACUGACGUUCCAACUAGCAUGGACUGGAGAGAGAAAGGAGCUGUCACUCCUAUUAAGAACCAAGGUCAAUGUGGUAAGUAAAUCGUAUACUAAAUAUUUAUGAAGUAACUAUAAUAGAUUAUUUAGCCUCCAACCUCUUUCAGAACUCAAACUCAGUUGACCAUCAGCUAAUUAAUAAAAACAGCUUGACAACCGUCUGCCAAACCCCUGCUGGGGCAUGUUUCAUGUAACUUAAUCAAGCCUUUUUUUUUUUUUUCCUUAAUAUGUACGAUGCAGGAGACUGUUGGGCAUUUUCAACUGUGGCGGCGGUGGAAGGGGUGACUGAGAUUAGUAGUGGUAAUCUUAUUCCACUUUCGGAGCAGCAAAUACUAGACUGCUCAAUAGAUGGUAACCGUGGAUGCGGUGGCGGUUGGAUGGACAAUGCCUUUAAAUAUAUUAUAAAAAACCAGGGUAUUGCCUCAGAAGCGGAUUAUCCAUACAAGGAAGUCCAAGGGACUUGUGAAGACGCACAGGUCAAGGCAGCUGCUAAAAUUAGUAACUUUGAAGAUGUAAAACCCAAUGAUGAGCAGGCUUUACUCCAAGCUGUAGCCAUGCAGCCAGUAUCAAUUUGCAUUGAAGGAAGUGGACCAGACUUCCAGAGUUACAAAGGCGGUAUUUUUAACGGAGGAUGUGGAACUCAGUGUUCUCAUGCUGUUGCUAUCGUUGGAUUUGGGGCAACUGAAGAUGGAAUGAAGUAUUGGUUAAUUAAGAAUUCAUGGGGGGAGAGCUGGGGUGAGGCCGGCUACAUGAGGAUUCUCAGAGAUGUUGAAGCACCUGAAGGUCUCUGUGGCAUUGCCACUAAACCUUCCUACCCAGUUGCAUGAGUAGCAGUAUUUUAUAUUAUAAAUAGCCGCCUCUUAAUAAUGAUGUCUUCAAGCCUACACAUGCAUUAGCCUCGAAAGGCUUAUACGAACCGUAUGAAUCGUAUGAUUCUGUGGUUUUACCUAUGUUGAGUAUUUCAUAAGUUGUAAUUGAACGCCAAUAUUUGGUAUUAGUUAAUGUUAAAUCUCUCGUUUAAAUAUAAGUUUGAUCUUUGCAGUAAUUAGUCAUUUACAUUUAAUGCCACGGAUACUCAAUUCGACCAAGAAAUACAUAGUUUAUAUCUUAGUUACUCUGAUAUUUUAUGUGGCAUGUUAUAUGUCGUUCAUUGAUUAAGUUGUAAGAAUAGUAUGUAAAUAAUUAAUAAUAAAUUUAUUUAUUAUCAUUUAUGAGACAAUAAAUGAUUAGUGGAACAUUAAUUAAAAUACAAACUAUUAUUAUUUAUUUAAGAAAUAUAUAUUGGUCAAUGAAAUUAAUGCAAGACAAAAAGUAACUGAAUUUUGAUUACACGCUUGAUGUCUGGAAGUACAAUGAUUAUGAAUUUGUGUUAAAUUAGGUCAAAGUUUUAAGUUAAAAUAAUCAAACCUAUAUACUCACACUAACUUUUAAAGUUUGAGUGGAAUUUGCCCGCUUUAAUUGGGGUCUCAUACAGCAAAAAAAUUUUGGCCAUCUUGAAUUUCUUUUUCUAAUUACUUAUAAAAAUUUAAAGGCUUGGUAAUUUCCCUCCCCCAAAUUCUGUCUUUAUUCCUAAGUAAAUUAGUUAGUCAUUAUUUCAAUAAUUAAAAUUAUUCUAAGUUCUAAAUUUUGGGCGUGGAGGGAAAGUUAAGCGCAAGUAGCCGUGACUGAUUAAUAUUAAACAAUAUAAUUUAAUGCAUUUUUAUUCUUCAUCUAUUUUUUUAAUAUUAGUUUUUGAACAAAAUAGUAGAACGAUAGUUAUAAUUUAUUAAUCAAAUUUUUUUACUUUCAUAUCCAUAUUAUAUUGUCAGUAAUAGUGUCAUGUAAUGAUAAUUAAAAGUAUUAGGAGAUACUUUUAAAAGUCGACCGCCUCAUCAAAAAAUCAGGAUGGCCAAGUGGUCUAAGGCGCCAGACUCAAGUUCUGGUCUUCGAAAGAGGGCGUGGGUUCAAAUCCCACUUCUAAGUAAUUUUUUAUUUUUUAUUCAUUUUUUUACAACGUUACGACUAAACGACGUCAUUUUCAUUAAACGGCAAGUCGUUUCAGUCGUCUUCUUUAACGGAAUAAAAAAUAUCUAAACCGAAGACCAAUGUUUCCAAACCCGCUGUAAACCCUACAGAUAACCCUCAUUGCCACUCGCAUCACUGAGUUCUUAACCUGAGUUAAAAUGGCCGAGUCCGCAUCCGAACUCAGUGAGUUCCGGAUUUUUCCGGCGGACUCACCGCCACCACAACCGAAUUCAACCGGAGUUCCGGUUCAUAAUCUAACACCAGAGGAGCUCGUGGCCAAAGCCAUAGCUCCAGUUAAGAAACAGUUUCUUCGUCAUUAAAUUCCAAAAUAAAUUUUAACAUAAUAAUUAAUUCUUUUAAUAGAUAAAAUUGUCUAUAUGCACGAUUGAAUUCAGCCCCAAAAUGUUAAUUAAAAAACAAUUAUCCAAUAUUCAAGAUAGUUUGAAUCGUCAUUCUCAUAUCGUUAUAAUGUCAUGAAAUAAUUGUACAAAAACAAAUGACCAAUAAAUUCACAAACGUAUAAUAUUGCCUAAUGUAAAUAACUUAUUAAUUAAUAUUGAUAUAUUAUUAAUUACUUAAUGUUUUACCUUUUUAUAAAACAUAAAAUUAUGUUUACUUCCAUUCAAGAUAUCCCAAAAAAAUUAAUCUUUUUGGAUGAUUCAUAAUUUUCAAGAGGAUGUUUUUACACCAUACCAUCGUCAAAUUGAUAAGGGCCAUGUUAUUUUUUAUUUAAUUAAUUUAAAUUUCAACUAGAGAGCUAUUGGAAUCGAUCACUGUAAAAGUUAAGUUGUGAUGUAAUCACACAAUCUUGAGAUCUGCUAUUAGAAAAAUAAUUGAAGAACCAAAUCCCAAUGAAAAUACAUCCAAAAUGAUGUCGUUUUGAAUUUGUUCCAAAAAAAUAAAAUAAAAUCAAACUCACUAAAAAACAACAUGUGUGUUUUUGUUAACCUUUUAUCGAGUUUUAAUUUAAAUAUUUAUCAUGUACUUUUAUAUUCUAUUCAGGACCGGCUCAACCAUAUUUGAGGCCUUAGGCAAAUGGUUUUAAUUAGUUUUUCUUAAAAUUUAAGACAAAAAAUAUGUAUAUUAGUUAUGAGUGAUGAUACAGCCACAAACUCUUGUACAAAUUGACGUGGUAUUAAUUUAUUGGUUGAAUAAAAAUAUAAAAUAAUAAAAACAAAAUCACGUGAGCCAAGUGAUAUUUAAUUCAACCAAUCUUAUCAUGCCACAUCAGUUUAUACAAGAGUUUGUGGUUAUAUCAUUACUCAUAAGUUAUAUAAUAUUUAUUGAAAAUCAAUUCUUCAAACACUCUCUAAAAUGUAAAAUUAUUAAAUAAAAUUAUAUUACACUAUUGUCAAUCCUUGAAAUUUUAAUUCAAUUAUAAUAUUUUUACUUUUUUUUAACUCAAAUUACAUCUUUUAUACUACUUCUUUUCUACAUUAAAUUAAUUUUUUUAUUCUUCUAUUUUCUAAAGUUUUUUUAUAUAGUUAUUUAUUUCACAAUAGAAAAAAAAGCACACAAAAAUAGUAGAUGAAUAAAAGAAUGUAUUAAAAAGAAAUAAGAACACAUAAAUAAUACAAUUAAUUAAGAGAAUAAUAAAAAAUAAAAUCUGAAAUUUGAAAUUUGAGAUGAAAUCAUAAAUUAACUUUAUCUUUAUAUUAAUUAUUUGAAGAUUUGAGUAAUGACUAAUAGCCAUAGAGAAUAGAAAAAAACUAUUAGAUUUUUUCUUUUUUUUCUUGAGUGGAAAGUAGAGGAAGCAAGAUUUUUUUUCCCCUCUCUCUCUUUCUUUCUCUCAAAAACGAAGAACAUAUGGUGUCUUCAUUGUUAGAAGAAAAAUUUAAUGGAUAAGUAAUAAAAUGUGGGGCUUUUAUAGAGGUUUAAAAUGAAUAUAAAACUUUUUAAUUAUAAGUUGUUAAUUCUAACAAUGAAAUAUCAAAUUUAUAGGAUUGAAACUAUUAAUUUAUCGGUUUUGUAGGAAUUAAAACUACUAAGUACUACAUUAAAUAAACUUUAUAGGAACUCGGUAGUUUAUUUGAGAAAAGAUAAUUACAAAAUAAUAAUAAAUUAGAUGCAUAAUAAUGAUUUUUAAAUUCACUUUCCUCUUUUAUAUACAAAAUAAUCAUCUUAUAGGAUCUUCAUGUAAAGUAGGGCCCUAAGCAACCGCCUAAGUUGUCUAGAGAUCGAACCGCUACUGAUUCUAUUACUAAUUUUGAAAUUUUCAGACAUAUUUAAGCUCCACUAUUUUAUUUUUUUAAUCAAAAUAGUAUGUUUAUUAAUAAUGAUUAUAAAAAAAAGAUAAUGAUUCAAUAAUGUUGUUUAUAUAUAUUGAAUCAACUUUAAAAGUCAACAUUUACUUUACACACUCAUAUAAAUGCUAAAAUAACCCUUUAUUUAUUUAUUUUUUUAAGGCUGUAGAAUGUAUUCAUUACAAAGAUAGAGUAAAUUUAAUUUGUGGUAUUCAAAAUUUGAUGAUUACAAUUUUUGAGUUGAUGGUCUUAUGCUUCAUAUUUGCAUUAAUUUUAUGUUUAAUGGUAGAAUUAUCAAGCUCAAUGACAGUGAUUUCAUGUAAAGCUUUAUUUCCUAAUUACAAUUUUAAGUUAAUGGUCCUAGAUUUCAUAUUAACAUUAGUUUCAUAUAUCUUUUAGGUUCAAUAUUAAUGAUUUCAUGUAAUACUCAAUGAUUUCUAGUUUAAUGAUUACAAUUGUAAGUUGAUGGUCAUAUAUUUCAUGCUUAAUAGUAGAAUUAUAUUAAUGGAUGAAGCUGUUGCUAUCAUUUACAUUAAUAUUUAUUUCCUGGAACUCAUUUAUAGCACAUCUCAAUGUCAUUAUUUAAAAAUUUAAAUUGAUGGUUGGUUUUGUAUUCAUUACAUCGGAUGAUUUAUAUUUAAAUAAAUUAUUUCAAUCUCAUAUCGUUUUAUUAUGGGUGAUUUUAUAUCCACAUUAAAAUUUUUAAAGUUGUUAUCAUAACUUUUUAAAAUCAGAGUUGUGUUUAUUUAUCAAUUUAAAACGUCAAUAAUCUACUAUUGGCUUAACAAUUGAUAUUCUCAUUUGGGAAUCAUCAAGAUUUUAAAAUUUUUCAAAGCCCCCAUGCUCAAUUUAUACGCAAAAAAGAGGGGGGGGGGGGUGGGUGGUAAGAUGCAUGAUCAGAAAUGAAUUUGGCAAGUAUUUGAUUGAGUUGAGAGGUCACUAAUCUCACUUAAUUUGCGAAUCACAAUAUGAUUGUUUUCAAUCGGCACCAAAACGAAGGGCUGGUUUUGGUUAUUAUAGUGCCUUGUUCUAUGAAGGAUUUUGGUUACCCACAUAUGGGAUUGAUCUUUGCUUCUACUCAGUAUAAAUUCUUGAAUUAUACUAUAUAUGGGAUUGAGACUUUCGUUAAAUUUUAAUUUAUAAUAUUUUUCCGGAGAAAAGUAAUUAGCAUGAAACACAACAGCGGUGAAUCAUCUCAUUUUUCAAGAAAUAAUAUUUGUCAGAGCUUUUUUUUUAUAUUAGUUUAUAAUUAACUUUUUUUUUUAUAUUAAUCACGAGGUAUCCUGGGGAGGGCCCCAACUGUGGGAGGCACCUUUAAGCCCGUACCACAACCCAGACUAGAAGUCCCCGCUCGAACCGGGAGGCACAGGUUCUCCCAACAAAGGCGACUUCCCUGCGACUCGAACUGGGGAGCAAACCCAGUCAAGCCACUUAAGGGGACUCCAUUGCCAGUGGAGCCAACACUUUGUUGGUUGUUUAUAAUUAACUUUAAUAUGUAAUAAUAUAGCAUAUUCUGGGAAACCUGUUGGGAUAAUUGUUUUUAAUAUUAUUAUGAUAUUACGCAUGAUUGGCAGUCGCAACUCAUCAUCAUCAUCAUCUGAAACCAUAUUAACAAACAUUUAUUUAACAAUAUUCUUUAUGUAAACAGGAUUACCCUAAACCCAAUUAAUAUCUGCAGGGAUCAGAUGACUGUUAGAACAUAUGUUAAAUUUGUAUAAUAUAUGAUUUAAAAAUUUAAAAAAUAAAUUUUUCUUUUUUGGAGAUAACAGUUGGUAUAUUUAUGAUUAGUAAAACUAAAAGUUUUAUUUUUAUUCUAUGUGCUCCAUCAUGGCAGUAGUUAUUUUUUUUGCGAUUAAACAUACUAUUUUGAUUUAAAUGGAUUACAAAAUGGCACAUUUUUUUAACCCUUAACAGUUGGUAUUUUUUUUUAAUAAGAUUAUUAAUGCAUCAAGUAAUCUUGUUUUGAUGAUUGUAACUCGUGACUGCGGGACAAUUUCUAAUGGAAACAACUCAAUUUCGGAAGAAAACUUAAUUUUGCAAGUGAUGAAUUUGAACUCGUUGGAUUGGUUGAUUUAUGAUCGACUGAAUUUCACUUUUCCUCAUAAGAUCUUUAACCAAAGUUUAAUAGCUAUCAUGUACUCCUUAAAAGCAAUUUUUUUUUAGAUUUGACUGAAUUUGAACUUGUUGGAUUGGUUGCUUUUAGAUUAUUAAUAUGAGAUAUUACAACGUAAAUAUUUUCAUGUGGUUGAGCCCUAUUCUAAAAUCUGUAUAGUUAGCUUUAGAAAGAGGGCUUUUCCUGCUGAUCUGUAAUCUUGAAAUAAACUUAGAUAUAAAUAAUGAAAUAAAAGACAACAAACAAGCAAUACUGAUACAAAGCCAACAGAUCAGAGUUUUUGGUACAAAUCCAAUAAAAGACAAUAAACUUAGGACCUUUUUUUCUUGCUUUCUUUUGUUGAAGGAUUAGAGUUUUUGGUAUUAUCAGUAAAGGUUUCAAGGAGUAAAGCCUAUAAACUUUUUUUUUGGGGGGGGCGCCGCCGCGGGGAUUUUACACCAUACCAUCGUCAAAUUGAUAAGGGCCAUGUUAUUUUUUAUUUAAUUAAUUUAAAUUUCAACUAGAGAGCUAUUGGAAUCGAUCACUGUAAAAGUUAAGUUGUGAGGUAAUCACACAAUCUUGAGAUNNNNNNNNNNNNNNNNNNNNNNNNNNNNNNNNNNNNNNNNNNNNNNNNNNNNNNNNNNNNNNNNNNNNNNNNNNNNNNNNNNNNNNNNNNNNNNNNNNNNGAAAAAUUAAGUUUUCAUAGAAUAAAAUGGUACGAUUUUUAAUUGAACAAUUGAGUGCAAUCAGUAACAAAGGCUUUACAUAUGCAAGUAAAAUUUGUAGGUUGCUUCAGAAAAAAAGGGCAUUUCUCACUCAUCUUUAAUCUGCAAGUAAAAUUAGCUACAAAGCAAAUCUAAUAAAAUGACAAACAAAAGAACAAAACAAAGAAAAGACAGGAGGCAAACAACAUUGAUCUUAAGCCAACUGAUAAUUAAACAGAGAAUUCUUUUUUUUUUUUUUUUUAACCUGUUGCUCAAGGAUUAGAGUUUUUAUAUUAACAGAAAGGUUUAAGGGGUCUGAAUAAAAGCCCACAAUUUCUCUAUUUUAUUUUUAUUUUUAUUUUUUGAAAGGAGCUUCACUAUUGGCCUUGAAUAUAAAAGAAUGAGCAAAAGAUCAAUGUCAACUGCCGAGGAAUGUGAGUAAAGAUUUCAUCAGAGUAAGUAAUACAAAUGAAUUGUAAAAGAACAAGACUUAAGCGUGCACCCCGUGUUUUGUUUUAUUGUACGUAUAAACAUAACAUGUUCAUUUUUAACAAAGUGGUCAAUAACUCUUUUUUUUUGGUACAAAGACGUGCCUAGCAUAGACUAGGGCAAAACAAAACGGGGGUGUGAAACCCCAAUACAAUCAUGACGAAUCCAAAACCCAGCCCCUAAAGGAAGAGAAUUGAAAAGGUGCAAUUCAACAGGUAGUGAAAGAGCAGAGUUUGCAGGAAAGUCAGCUGCAAAAUUUGAUUCUCUGUAAACAUGCUUGACCUGCACUUGCCAGGUUCUGUUAAGCAAUUCCUUAAUACCCCUGACAAGAGAAGCAUGUGCAUUUGGCCUAAUCUCGUCAUCCGCCACCAAACGAGUAACACAAAGGCUGUCAACCUCCACCUGAAGCUGCCGAAUUCCAUUAUCCCAAGCCAUACAUAACCCUUGAUAAAGGCCCCAUAACUCAGCACCAAUGAUGGUAACCACACCAACAUUCAUUCCAAAACCAAUUAUCCACUCUCCAUAACAGUUUCUAAUCAAGCCACCCGUACUAGACAGACCAGAACUUUUACGAGCUCCAUCUGUGUUGAGUUUAAAACAAGGCCAAGUAGGUGCCACCCAUCCAAAAUAUUUCUAAAUCUUCAUGGCAGCAGGAACCAAACAACUCUGAUUAACCUUUUGAAUUUCUUCUGUACGGAUCUUAAUAUCCAUUACAACAGUACUCUUGCUGGUAAAAACACCAUUAUGCAGAUUUUGGUAACGCCAAAACCAAAGCCUCCAAACUGUGACCCCAAAAAGACACGGCCAGUCAAACAUACCAUCAUACUUCCACAAGUUCCUCAAAUUAUAUAACGCCCAAUCUCGGAGAUUCAAACUAAAAAAUUGAUGACUAAUCCCAUGGGGUAUCAAUGACGACCAUACAUGCUUAGCACUGGGGCAAUCCCGCAGCACAUUAAGAGUAUUUUCAACAACACAGCCACACCUUGCACAACUCAUAUCAUCAACAAUAUGUCUCCGGAAAAGUUCUGCUUUAGUUUUAAGUCUAUUUUGACCCACCACCCACAGAAAGGUUUUGAUAUGUUGGGGACCUCUCCACUGCCAAAGAAUGCGCCAAAAGGAUUCUUCAUUGUGAACCUCCAUUUUUGACAAAGCCCUAUAUGCUGAAUUAGUAGUGAAAUCUUCUGACUUAGAAUAUGCCCAGUACAUGUAAUCAUCCUCAUCAUUUACACUGGGAGGCUUGGUGGCUGCAAUUUUGAGAAGUAAAUGAUGGGGAAAUAAAUUCUCAAAAAGCCGCCAAUUCCAAGUACCCUCAACAGUGAUAAACCUCGCCACACACUCCUCAAGCUGCUGUAAACGUAUCGGCUGCAAAGCGAAAGUAUACAAAGGGUAUUCCUCUGUUACCCAAUUAUCCCACCAAAAUCUAACUCGGUUGCCAUUUCCAAUGUCCCAUUUGAUCCCUUUUAAAACCUCAUGCCAAAUGCCUCCCACAGCCUUCCACAUGUAAGAGCCAUAUUUCGUAGGUAAUGUGCCGGGGAGGGCUUUAGGAGCCAGCCCAUACUUAGACAAGAGAACCUUCACCCAUAAACUAUUUGGAGAAGCAAUUAAAACCCACCCAAUCUUCAUGAGCAGAGCAUCAUUCAUUAAAUUAAGCUGCUUAAGACCAAGGCCUCCGCUAGGUUUCAGUUGACAUAUUGUAUCCCAUUUCACCAAACUGAUUUUCUUCUUGUCUGCUGCCCCGCUCCAAAUAAACCUCCUACAAGCCUGAUCAAUUUUCUCCCGAAUACCAAACGGAAUCUUCGUGGUCUGCAUUGCAUAAAUAGGAAUUGCCUGGAUUACCGAUUGAGUGAGAGUGAUCCUACCCGCCAAGGACAAAUGUAUCGCAUUCCACCCCGACAAACGUUGGUUCACUUUGUCCAAAAUUCCCUGAUAAGUCAGCUUAUUAACCCGUGAAUGAAUAAUUGGCAUUCCUCAAUAUUUCCCUAGGUUUUUUGUGACAGAAAAACCCAAGGAAUCACCAAUUUCCUUAGCCUCAGCAGACUUUAUGUUGUGGGAGAAAAAAACUUGUGUCUUUGUUUUACUAACUUUCUCUCUAGAGCUCAUACAACAAACAUUCAACACUUCAUUAUAACCAUUGCUUGCCUACAGGAAGCCUCUGCAAGCAAGAUAAGAUCGUCAGCAAAAAAUAAGUGAGAUAAAGAGGUACCUCCACGAGACAGUUUAAUAGGUUUCCAGUGCCCUCUCUUCACAGCGUCAUUUAUUCCAUGGCUUAACCUUUCUAUACAUAACACAAAGAUAUAUGGGGAAAUGGGGUCUCCCUGUCUAAUACCCCUAGAAGGGGUAAAAAUCUCUGUAAUUUCUCCAUUCCAUAGAAGUUGCAUAGUCGCCGUUGUAAUACAUUCCAUAAUAAGCCGAACCAAAAUAGUAGGCAAUCCAAACUCCCUCAAGGUUUCAUAAAUAAAAUCCCAGCUUAAACGAUCAUACGCCUUUUCCAAAUCCACCUUAAUGGCCAUCUGCCCAAUCCUCCCUUUCUUACGUCUCAUCAAAUGAAUAACUUCCUGAGCAACCACUAUGUUUUCCGUUAUGUGUCUCCCCCGGAUAAAACUAGUCUGGGUAGGUCCAAUGAGGUCAGGCAAGAUAGAUUUCAGCCGGUUAGCUAAUAACUUAGUGAUAGUUUUAUAGAUAACCGGGCAAAGACUAAUCGGACGAAAAAGCUUAAGGCUAAUAGGAUUAUCCGACUUAGGAACCAACACAAUCAGAGUUUUGUUCAACUCCUUAGGGAUCUCGUUGCCAUUAAAAAUACCUUUUAUAAGACUACAGACAGAUUUUCCCACUACAUGCCACUGGGUCUGGUAAAAGAGAGCAUGCAACCCGCCUAUUCCAGGGGCUUUCAAAGCCUUCAUGCCGAAGAUCACAUUCUUAAUUUCCUCAUCCUCCACUGCUUGUCCCAAAGCUUGCAUUCGACUUUCCUCAAGGACUGGGAAGGCGUUAACAACAUGGUAUGGAUGAUAGAUUGCAUCCUCUUUGGAAUAGAGCUUUGAAAAGAAGGACACAGCAUAAUCUCUAAUCUCAUCAUUAUUCAACAACCAAUAACUCUAUUCGUUAUGAAAUUGAUAUUGUACCCAAUUUUAAGAGAGCAUAAUAAUAACCAUUCAAUGCAUAAAUUUAGAAUUAGGAUUUUUUUGUAAUUCUUUAUUUAAAUAUAAGCUUCAAUGGAAAAUUAUAAAAAUUUAGAUAUAAAAUUUUAAAUCACCAGACCAAAAAAAAAAAAAAAAAAAAAUAGGGGAACGGAAAUAGAGGAAUCUUGCUUUACCUUUUUUCCCUUUAACUCUUGUUCUUAUAUAAAUAAUUUUGUUUUGAUGAUUGUAACUCGUGACUGCGGGAAAAUUUCUAAUGGAAACAACUCAAAUUCGGAAGAUAAGCUUAAUUAUGCAAGUGAUGAAUUUGUUCAAUUGACUCUGUACUUGAACUAGUUGGAUUGAUUGAUUGAUGAUUGACUAAAUUUGAAUUAAGUUUAAUUGCUUAGCUAUCAUUUACUCCUUAAACGCAAACGUAAAUAUUUUCUUGUGGUUGAGCCCUAUUCUCAAAUCAGUAGGUUGCCUUUGAAAAAGGGCUUUUCUCACUGAUCUUUUUUUUUUUUCUUUAAUUCACACGCACUUGAUUAUUGAAUUCUUUCAUGAAGAAAUAAACUUGUAAUGACUUAAAGAUUUAAUUUCAAGUUAGAAUCAAUACCAAAAGACGGAGGUUUAACAAAGCCGUUUAGUGUGAUAAAAGUACUUUAAAAAAUGUUGUUCGACCCAAUUAAGUUGAAGAAAUAAUAAAGUUUUCAUGGAAUAAAUACCGGUUGUGCCUUAAUGAUUUUGGCAUAGACGUUGCUUGUGUACUGUGAAAUUGAAAUGAAUAUUAAGUGACUGCGCGAUGUAUAUGCCUAAUAAAAGAUCAGCAAAAGCUUGGAUGAAUGUUUGAGGACCAAAACUUUUAUAAAAGCAUUUUUGAGAGAAACUAAACACCAAAUUAUCAAAGUAAGAUCAACAGUAUAUGAUUUGAUUUAUACAUAUUCAAAAACAAAAUAAUGAUUAAUAAUAAAGUUUGAUUUUGUAUUGCCAACGAUGCUUUUUUGUUGUUUCAUUUGUUCGACGUGGCCUUAUUUACAAAUUGGUUUAUGUUAACAGAAACAUGAAAUUCACAUUACACAAAAUUGCAAGAACAAAUAUUAAGAGAACGUAAUAAUAAUUACUCAAUGCGUAAGGAUAAAUUUAGAAUUACAUAUUCUUUUUUAUUUAAUAAAGUCCCAACGGGAAAUCAUAAAAAUUUAUAUAUAAAAGCUUUCAACCACCAAACAAAAAACAGGGGGAAUGAAAACACAGGAACUUGUUUUAACUUUUUUUCAUCUAACUCUUGUUCUUAUAUAAUAUUUUCCCUAGUAUUUCAGGCAAAAAAAAAAAAAAAAAAAUCAAUAAAGAGCAAGUUGCUCAAAUUGAUUUAUCUUGUUUUUCAGGCAAUCUUGUGAUAUGAUGAUAAAGCUCAUGAAUGCUAGAAAACUUCUAAUGCAAACAACUCUAUUUGGGAUGAUAAGCUUAAUUUUACAAGCGAUAAAUAUAAAUAACUUUUUGUGGUUAAUUGAAUUUGUAAUUACUCUUAGCCCUAUUCUAAAAUUUGUAGGCUGCCUCAAAAAAGAAUAAAAAAAAAUUUCUUACUCAUCUUUAAUCUUCAAGUAAAAAAAAAAUCUAAUAAAAUGAAAAACAAACAAACAAGUAAAAGACAGCAAACAAACAACAUUUAACCAACUGAUAUUUAAACAGGGAAUUCUUUCUUCUUCUUCCCCCCCCCCCCCCCCCCCCCCGGGCUCAUGGAUUAGAGUUUUUGCUAUUAACUGAAAGGUUUCAAGGGUCUGAAUAAAAUCCCAGACUUUUUUUUUUUAAUUAACCAAAGCCAUAUAAUAAGAUCACAGACUUUUAACAAUGAACAAUAAUUUGAAACUCAAGCAAAACCAAUGACAAGAUUAAAACAAACCAGAGAAAUUUUUUCUUGGAAAGUAGAUGAAAACUAAGUAAGAACUGCUAUUAAAGGAUAUUAUUAAAGGAUUUAGAACAUGUAUACCUCUUUAUUUAUAUGGGAUCAGAGAGUCGAUGACCUCCUCUAUUCGCUUCGGAUAUUAAGUAAGAAUUGCUAUCAAAAGAAUGAAUUGAUGAGAGUAAUAACAAUGAAUUGCAAAAGAGGAAGA
Molecule: long non-coding RNA, 523643 nt
Filed under: Citrus x clementina
Lineage: Eukaryota; Viridiplantae; Streptophyta; Magnoliopsida; Sapindales; Rutaceae
Description: Citrus clementina (C. clementina) long non-coding RNA (CCLE_LNC002771)
Rfam family: tRNA (bases 56049-56131)
Source: RNAcentral